Molecule: long non-coding RNA, 500525 nt
Filed under: Gossypium barbadense (sea-island cotton)
Lineage: Eukaryota; Viridiplantae; Streptophyta; Magnoliopsida; Malvales; Malvaceae
Description: long non-coding RNA (GBAR_LNC016635)
Rfam family: Histone 3' UTR stem-loop (bases 464428-464473)
Source: RNAcentral
AUGGUUUGCUUCAUUACUUCACCUUCUCCCAACAAUUUGGCAACGCCAAAAUCUCCAACAUGUGCAACCAUGUCUUCAUCUAGUAAAAUAUUUCUUGGUUUUAUGUCACAAUGAAUUAUAGGUGUUGGAUGUCCAUUGUGGAGGUGUUCUAUAGCUCCCGCAACAUCUAUCAUUAUGUCGACCCUUUGUAUGAUAUCAAGGAAACAAAUUUCAGAGUGUAACCAUUUCUCAAGGUUUCCAUUAGACAUGUAAUCAAGCACCAAGGCUUUGAAGUCAACACUUGAGCAGCAAGUAAUGACCUUCACAAUAUUACGAUGAACUAUAUUACGCAUAGCAUCACAUUCAAUGUCAAAACUCCUAAAUGCUCCCUCUGUUUGCAAAUUGAAAACUUUUAUUGCAACUUCCAUUCCAUCUGAAAGCCUCCCUUUAUAUACAUAUCCAAAACUCCCUGAACCAAGCAUAUUGCUUUCCUCAAAUCCAUUAGUUGCUCGUGAAAGUUCAGCAUGUGAAAUUCUUCUCGGUGUCUUCAAAGACAACAAAUCAUCUUUAAUUGGUAGAGUUGUACUUCUCCUUUGGCAACUUCUAUACAUAAUAGUUAAGACUGUUAGUACUACGACAAUACCAAUUGUUGUAAACCAUACCUAAAAGCAUGCAAUAUAAUCAUUUGGGAGUUUUUGUGGAUGUCGUUUUUGCAAGGUGGGACUAGCAAUCUAGGUGGGCCACAAAGUGCAUAAUUCUUCAUGAAUGAUGUGCUAGAAAAGUUUGAAAAACAUCCUUUGCUGGGAAUUUCCCCUUCAAGUCUAUUGAAAGACACAUUAAAAUACUUUAGAUAUAAAAGCUUUUCCAAAGAUUUGGGAAUGACUCCAGAGAGAUUGUUAUUGCAUAAAUCCAAGAAUUCCAAACUAAUCAAUCCAUCAAAUGAUUCAGGGAUAUGACCAUGUAGUAUAUUAUUUGAUAAAUCUAAUGAAACCAAAGUUUGAAGACCCCCAAAUGUGGAUAAGAUAUCGCCCGUGAGAAGAUUCCUUGAUAAAUUUAGUUUCAGUAGACUCCUAAGAUUUCCAACAUCAAUAGCAUGUGAAUUGUGAAGAUGGUUUGAUGAUAAAUCUAUUUUUAAGAUAUCUUUAAGAUUCCACAAAGUUGAGGGUAUUGCAGAACUCAAUUUGUUGGAAUGUAACCAAAGAUAUCCCAAAGAAGUAAUAUUACCCAAACAAGAGGGUAUAGAUCCAUGCAGCUUAUUCAACCCUAAAAACAAGUUGUAUAAUCUCUCCAAAUCACAAAGGCUUUCUGAGAUGGGCCCUCCUAAUUUAUUAGAGGAAAGACCUAGACUUUGGAGAUUCCGCAGUCCUCCUAUUGAUGUUGGAAUGAAUCCACUUAAUUUAUUAUAGCCAAGUUCUAAAAGCAACAUGUUGCUUAAGUUACCUAUUUCCAUAGGAAUAGUGCCUUGAAGCUCACAAUCUUCGGCAUAAAAGUAUUGAAGGGAUUUUGAAAGGUUCCCAAUAUAAGUAGGAAGAACGCCACUCAAUGGAUUUUCUGAAACUCCUAUGGUUUUCAAAUUCUUACAAUUCGUCAAAGAAGAAAGAAAGCUCCACUCAUGAUCAGUAGCAGAUCCUGUGAUCAAAUUAUUGUUUACGAUUCGGAACCAUUCAAGCUGUCUUAAGUUGCCAAGCGUUUUAGGGAUUGGGCCAGAGAAUAAGUUAUCUCCCAAGUCUAGUUUCGUAAGCAUGGAAGCAUUGGAGAUAGAGUAGGGAAUGUUUCCGCUAAGUUUAUUUCCCCCCAAAAAAAGAAACUCAAGCUUUGGAGCAUUGGUAAUGGGUGGUAAAUUACCUGUAAAAUAGCAUCUUUUAGUAUACAUAUUAAUUGAAUACCAAAUUCAUAAAAUAUAUAAUACAUUAAAAUAAAAACUGUAAAACUUCAAAUCAAUUAAGAAUAAAAUUUUGGCAUGGAAAAAUGUGAUGAAAUCAAUUAGAAAGUUGAGACAUAAUAAGAAGUUUUGAGUAGUAAUUACUCAUGAUUUCUAUAGACAAAACAUAUAAUACACUGAUAAUUUUUUAUAAUUUUUACAAUAUUUACAAUUUCUAACAAUUUUUAAUAAUUUUAUUAUUUAAUACAAAUUUAAAAUUUAACAAUUUUUUAUUUUUUUAAAACAAUUAUAUAUUUAUAAUGUAGUUAUUUUUUUUAUAAUUUUUUUUGAAAUUUUAAAGAUUUUUUUGGUUUUUUUUCUAGAUGAUGAUGCCAUCAUGAUGACAUCAUAUGCCACAUGGCAAUUUAUAAUUAGUUAAAUAUCUCAAUCCAUUUUUCUAACGUCAAAUGGACUAAAACAAGAACACCUGAUAAUGUUAGAGACUACACUUGGAAUGUUUGAUAAUAUCAGGUACUAAAGUGGGCAAAAAAAUUAAGGACUAUAUUAAAAAUAUAUCUAUAAUAUAUAUAAAUGCAUGGAUUUUGAGAAACUUUUGAAAUGAUAAUUAUAUAGUCUUUGUUUUUUUUACUAUAUUAUUGAAUUUUUUAUUUUAAAUAUUUUUUAUUACUUUUAAGAUUUAUCAUAUGUAUGUAUAAGAAUUUUGGUUUUACUAAAAUAUUUGGUCAAAUAAAUUCACUUUAUCAAAAAAUCUAGCAUCCUUAUAAAUAAAAAUUUUGAUUCUAUUAAAAAAAUUAUUUUAAAAAAUAUAUAAUAAAAAUUUAAAAUUUAUAUUGAAUUACUUUAUACUUAAAUUAUUAUUAGAAACUUUAUCAUACACAUACGUGCAUUAGAACCAUGUAUUUAGAACUUAAAUUUGUGUUUUAAAAUAACUUAUGAUAAAUAAUGAAAUGUAUAAUUUGAAACUAUUUAAUAAUAACACAUGACAUAUCUACCAUAUUAAAAUAAAAAUAGAUUAAAUUGUAAGUAAAACAUAAUUUAAACAUAUGAAUACAUCAAAUUACGAAUACUAAAUGAAUACAGUUAUUUAUGAUGAUGUUGUUGUCAAUUCCUAAGUUGGUGUCGAGUUAAUUUGUGACAUCAUAAAUUUAAGUGAUAAAUUUAAGGUUUUAUGUAUUGAUGCGGAUUCAAAUAUCACCAUAAUUUUUUUUAAAUAAAAAACUAAAGUACCCUCAAAUAAUAUAACUUAUAUUAAAUAUGAAAGGGUAGUUUUGUAAUUUCUCUAACGAGUUGGUGCCCGGUUGACUCAUGACACCAACUCAAUCAAAAGCUUCAAUAAUAAUAUAGAUAUUCACGUUAAAAAAAAAGUACUUUAGUUCCAAAUAAUUAUAUAACAAGUAAAUUUAUAAUUGAUGAAUAAAUUUAUAAAAAUAUAUUUAUAUGAUCUAAUAUAUUAUAUUUAUAUUAAUUAUAUAUCAUCUACAAACUUUGAAGAUCAAUUCAUUAAGUAUCAAGAAAGGAAAAAAAUGAAAUUGAAUUAACACUAAAUCAAUUUUUAGAUUUUGUACAGAUGAUUUAAUGAUGAUAAAAAAAUUAUUAGCACUAUUUUUGAAUUAACAAAAAAUUAGUGAUAUAUUUUAAUUAUAUUUAUUAUUUAUUAUUUUUAAUAAUGUUUUUUUAAUUAUAUGAAGUAAAAUUACAGUGUAUACUAAAUAUGGUACAUAUACUUUAAUUAUAACUAGAAAAUUUAUUAUAUAAAUUAAUAUAUUUUAAUUAUAUUCAACCAUUUGAACAACAAAAUAAAAAAAAUAAUUAGAAUAAUUUAUUUUUUAAAGUUUAAUGGAAAUUAAAAAAUUAAAAAUAAAUCAAUUCAUAUAAAUUUUGUUGUUUAUUUCAGAUGAAAAUGAUAAAAGUAUAUGACAUAAAUAGAAGAAACAAAUUCAACACCAUGUUUUUGGAGUUUGGAAAAAAUUAAAGUGAAAAACAUACCUUCUAAUUUGUUGUCAUGGAGACCUAUUUUUUCGAGCAUAGUUGAAUUAAAAAUACUUGAUGGAAUCUGACCUGCACACAUAGUCGAAAAUUGAAGUGAAAAACAUACCUUCUAAAUUGUUCAACUAAAAAUACUUUAAGCAUAUUUUUUAGUAAAGCCCUUCAAGCUUGGGAAGAUGUUGACACGUUGACACAUAUCAUUAGGCAAAGACUAAUAGCUUUCAAAGAAGAAAUCUUGAAGAUGGAAGAUGGAACCUGACCAGAUAAUUGAUUGAGUCCCAAGUUCAAGAUCUCUAGAUUAGACAUGUUAGCAAGUGUUUCAGGGAUUGUGCCUAUAAAGUUAUUAUUUUUCAUUUCCAGCCUUCGAACUCUGUGUAUGUUCCAAAGCCAUGAUGGAAUUUCCCCAUUAAGACGGUUGUAGCUUAAUCGAAGGAUCCGCAAACGAUGCAAUUGGCCCAAUUCUUUAGGGAGAUGGCCAUAGAAAUGGUUGCUACUCAAGUCGAGAGAGAGUAGAAAUGAAAGAUUUCCAAGGUGUGGAGGGAUAGUACCCCUAAGAUUCAUGCUUGUAAGAUUCAAAGCUGUAACUCUUUUAUGGAGGAUGCCACAAGAAACACCAAUCCAAUUGCAAACAGAGGUUGAGACAGUCCAAUUGUUUGGCAAGACAUUUUGAGGACCGGCGAUGCGAUCCUUAAACUCGAGAAGUGCAAACUGAUCGGAGUUGAGAUUUCUGACUGUCAUAGCCAAGCAAAGUACGGAACAUGGUAUGAAUAAAGCUAAAAGAAGAUGAAAGCAAGUGUUGUAGUUCAUGAUUGCAAGACAGAAUAAGAAAAGAAAAUAAAAUAAAAAAAAGUAGGAAAAGGGAAGUUGAGUUGAUAAAAUAGUUUGGAUGAUGAAGAAAAGCCCAGACAGCAUGCUUUAAUAUGUUUGGAUGAUAAAUUUAAACUUGAUAAAUUUAAGACUACCCUAAAAAUACGUACAAAGAAAUUUCAAAAUUUCAAAAUAAAUACGUACAAAGAAGCGAAUUUUCAAAAUUUCUCCUAAAUUUUCUUCACAUUACUCUACAUAAUCCAUUAAAAAAAACUUAAAAAAUAUAUUUUAUUAAUUACUAUAUAUUCUUUUAUUUUCAGAAUCAUAAAUUGUUUAAAAUAUGCUAUUAGUCCCUGUAAUUUAAAAGUUAAAAAAAUUCAAUCCUCCUAUUUUUCUAAUUUAAAAAUUCUAGUCCAAUCAAUUUUAAUUCCAUUAAAAAAUUUCAACUUAAUAGAUUUUUUAUUAUCAAUCAUAUGCAACAUUAUAUGAAGACAGUCUACUCAGCAUAUAUCCAAGUUUACAGAUUUUAAUAGAAAAUACUUACAAUCCUAAUGGUAGGACUAAGUUUUUUAAACUAGAAAAGUAAGAAGACUUAAUUUUUAACUUUUUAAGUACAAGGAUUAAAUUUUAAAUGUUGUCAAAGUACAAGCACUAACAAAAUAUUUUGAUCUAAUAAAUGUAAAAAACUUUUUAAACAAAAUAAGGUUUGAAAUAAUCUAUUUGUCCUUGUAAUUUUAUAAAUUUGAGAUUUAAUCUUUAUACUUAAAAGGUUAAAAAUUAAGUCUUCUUGUUUUUAUUUAAAAAUCUUAGUCCUAUUGUUAAUAUUAUUUUUUUUUUGCCAAAAUUUGUCAACUUUACAUAUUAAUUAGGUUUCCCUUAUAUGUCGUGGUAUAUGACUAACACAAAAUAAGCAAGUUGACAAAUUCUGACAAAAAAUAUCAAAGAUGAUAAUAAUUGGAUUAAAAUUUUUAAAUUGAAUUAAUAACCUUUAAUGUAUAAGGAAUGGAUAUCAAAUAUUUAUAGGAAUAAAGGGACUAACAACAUAUUUUAACCAGAAAAUAAUAUGAGUGAUUAGAAUGAAUCUAAAAUUUUAUAGAAAUAAAAGAGACUAACAACAUAUUGAUAACUUUCAAAUCUCCUUCGAUCAUCCUUUUUCUACGUAGAAAAAGAAAAUUAAUUAGCAUCUAAAGUGUCAAUUAAUGAAACCUUCAAAAGAAAAUGUGAAAGUGAUUUAUCAAACAAUAAUAUUCUAACUUAUAAUAUAUUUAAUUACAUUUAGUAAUUUAUCAAUCAAAACUUAUUUAACAUCCAUCAAUACUUCAUACAUAAAAAACGCAAGCAUAAAUUACCAUUUAACUCAGAUUUAACUUUGCAAGUAAACUUAAAAUUUUAUUUAAUUUUGUUACUAAAUUUGAUUUGUUCACUAUAGAGUUUGGUGACUUAAAAUAAAAGUAAUAAAAAGUUAUUCUUUCAGAUAUCUUUUUAAUGUUUAAUAAUAAAUUAAUUUAUAAAAUAUACUUUCAUUGGACACAGGCCUCCAAAGCGGUGAACCACUAAUCAAAUUAAUUUGGGGAUACCUAAAUUUGUUUUCAUCAAUUAAGAAAUUUAAAAAAUUGUUGAGACCUCAUGAUUAUCUUUUAUAAUUUCAGUCUUAUCACCAAAAACUAAAAAAUAAAAACGUCGACAUUAAAUUUGUUGGUAUGCAAUCAAUUUUAAGAUGGUUUUUGGGGUUAUAUAUCACUUUAGCAUUGACUUACUUUUCUACUCUUAGUCUUCUCCAACAAGUUAAAUAUUUGAAUUUUAACAACAUUGGCAGGUCUUUGGGGUAGGGUCGACCAAAACUUAAUAGAAACAGAUGAUAUAGGUUGAGUUGGCUCGGCCAAGUCGAGUCGACUUGUUCAAAUUAUUUAAAUUAGUAAAUUUUAGGGUGCAGUUAGAAUUUUUUGUUUUGAGAUGCUAAGAUUAAAAAAUUUCAGUUGCUAAAACAAAAAAUUUGUAUUUAAAAAGGCAUAAAUUAAAUAAUUAAGUUUUUCAAGUUUCCAUUUAAUCAAAGGUUAAAAGGACUAAAUUGAAGCUUUUUAUUUUUAAGAAAGGCUGAAUGCCAAAUUGCCCAAAGCCCAUGCCCCUAGCUAUACAACUAACUUUUCUAUGAUUAGUCCUUGGUUUGCUUUGGGUGGAAUCUUCCAACUAGCCUCAUCCUUCGUUUUACUUUCCAACAAUUAGUUUAUCAUGAGUUUUGUUUUCUUUAAAAAAAUAUUUUUGUGGAUAUUAGGAGAUAAUGAAAAUUAAUUUAGUAUGAAAUUUUAAUAAAACUGGAAAAUAAGUAAUUUAUUUAAGAGAUCACAAUUAAACGUUAGAUUUCCAAUUUUUAAAUUUUAAAUUAUUUUGACAAUUGCAUAAUAUUUUGAGCAUUGUAGGAAUGCCAUAAUCUUCCCUACGCAUAAUCGACUCUUGAGCAUGAUGGAUCCUAGGCCUUCUCCUCUAUUCUCGUACCACAAACUGCUUCGAGUGUGGAUUCGAACAAUCACAAAUUAAACACAAAACCAGAAAUGAUUUAUUACUUUCAAUAGCAAAGUAAUUCUCUCUCAAUAGAAACCAAUAGAAUUGUAAUUCCUAAAAAAUAAAAUUUAUUUUUGGAAAAUAUAUUCCCACUACUUUCUAGCAGAAUAAUAAUAUGUGAAACUUAUGUCUUGUGUUAAUAGCUCUACCAGCACUAUCUAUUUAUAGGGAGAGACGAGAAUCCUGGUUGACUUAGUAAAACACGAAUAAUAUUUAUUUCAUUGAAAACAAUAUUCCACCCUAAGUAGAUCAAGUUUGUAUGACGCAUGGAUCGAAGCUCAAUCUAGGAGAAAAAAAAAAGGAAUUUUCUUUGUAAAGAAAAUCUGAGAUUGUACUAUUUUCAAAGUUAUAAAUAAAAUUAUAAGCUAAAUUUUCAAGUCAAUUUUCAACUCCAAUUUUGUAUGCACAAAUUUCUAAUACACUUGGUGGGACAUUCUUUGACUUUUAUCUAUUCUCUCAAAAAGUUAAAGUUCAAAGUUGCAUUAAACUCAAAGAAGAUAAUCAUUAGUAAACCAGCUCACAAGCCUGCUCAAGCUAAUCCUACAACUUGUUCCACUUCAUCAUCAAACACCAAUGUUCUUGCUUAUCCUUAUGGAAUUAAACAGUCUCAUUUUCUGCAUUUUGGAUACACACCUAGUUUUGUUUGAUGCUAAAACAGUCCCUGAGCACUCCAAAGCCUAUAAUUGAACAAAUAACACUAAUUUAAUCUUACAUAACGUGAUCCCAAAUUGAACUUGUAUCGAGGUUUUAACCCAUAAGUGACUAAACUUUACCUUCAACCGAUGAACAGUAAUUCCCACAUAAACUAAGACUCCGAUUGGCGAUUACGAGCCCUUGAAUCCUCCCCUAAUUGGCAUAAACAAAACACUUCAGAAGAAAGUUAACAAACAGAGACAAAUCACUUAUCUAAAACUUACUGAAUGAUCACAGACAAACGUGGAGCGACACAAGGCAGAGUGGGAAAAGAAAAAUCAAGAGGAUGAAGGGUGAAAGAGAGCAGAAAUUCGGUAGCAAUAAAGAGAAAACGGUAAGAGGGUGGAGGGAUUUUGGGGAAAGUAAAAAAAAAAGAUGAACAGAAUAUUUGAUAACUACCCCAAUCCCUUAUUUCUCUCCAUCAAACUCUCCACUAAAUCCACUACUCGAAUUUUUAGUCCAUCUCAAACUCUCCUGGACGCAUGAGCAAAAAAUAAUGCCCAUGCCAAAAUUUGAACACAUGACCUCCUUCACACCAACACUCCACUUAUCCACUAGACCAACAGGCUCAUUCUUUUAAUUAUUUGUCAACUUUUACUUAAAAGCCUACUGACCAAAAAAUACCAAAAUUUGCCCAAGUCCUAGAUUGAACUUGGGACCUCCCAAACACACCCAGAACACAUAGCCAAUUUUCAAGCAAUCUGACAUGAAUUCUCAAUCACAAUUAAUUGAAUUCAAGAUAUAUUUGGAUGAGAAGACAAAUAUUUCAAUUUUAACACAAACCAAUGCUUGGGAUGAUUUGGGAUAAGAACUCCAACAUUUUAAGAUCACAUUUUCUUUUAUAAUUUCAGGCUUAUCAACUAUUUUGAAAACAACAAAACGUCUUACACCAAAAACUAAAAAAUAAAAACUUCGACAUUAAAUUUGUUGGUAUGCAAUCAAUUUUAAGAUGGUUUUUGGAGUUAUAUCUCACUUUAGCAUUGACUUACUUUUCUACUCUUAGUCUUCUCCAACAAGUUAAAUAUUUCAAUUUUAACAACAUUGACAGGUCUUUGGCCGAAUAAUUUUAAACGUCUCAUCAUUGCAAAAAUGAAAUAAUAGAAAAGAAAGAGUAGCCAUUUUAUGAAAUCUAUAAUUCCAACUGUGAAUAAAAUAUAAAUUUUAUGAAUGUGGACAAGCCAUUUUAUUUAUAAUUUUCUGUGUUUUUCUGACUUUUUUUAAGUCAUUUUCUUUGUUUCCUAACCAAAAAAUUUGCCCAUCACUUUAAAUAUAAAUUUAAAUAUAAAUUUUCUUUUUAAAAUAUAAAUUACUUGUCACAAUUCAUAUUUCUAAGUCAAUUUGCCAUCACUUUAACAUACACUAACUGUUCUAUGAUUAGUCCUUGGUUUGCUUUGGGUGCAAUCUUCCAACUAGCCUCAUCCUUGGUUUUACUUUCCAACAAUUAGUGUAUUACGGGUUUUGUUUUCCUUAAUAAAUAUUUUUGUGGAUAUUAGGAGAUACUGAAAAUUAUUUCACUAUGAAAUUUUAAUAAAACUGGAAAAUAAGUAAUUUCUUUUAAGAGAUCACAAUUAAACAUUAGAUUUCCAAUUUUUAAUUUUAAAGUUUUUUGACAAUUGCAUAAUUAAUAAGGUACCAAUUUUGAGAGUUGUAGGAAUGCUAUAAUCUUCCCUACGCAUAAUUGACUCUUGAGCAUGAUGGAUCCUAGACCUUAUCCUCUAUUCUCGUACCAGAAAUUGUUUCGAGUGUGGUUCGAACAAUCACAAAUUAAACACAAAACCAGAAAUGAUUUAUUACUUUCAAUAGCAAAGUAAUUCUCUCUCAAUAGAAACCAAUAGAAUUGUAAUUCCAAGAAAAUAAAAUUUAUUUUUUGAAAAUAUAUUCUCACUACUUCCUAACAGAAUAACAAUAUGUAAUACUUAUGUCUUGUGUUAAUAGCUCUACCAGUACUAUCUAUUUAUAGGGAGACACACGAGAAUCCUGGUUGAAUUAGUAAAACACGAGUAAUAUUUAUUUCAUAGAAAACAAUAUUCUACCUUAAGUAGAUCAAGUUUGGAUGACGCAUGGAUCGAAGCUCAAUCUAGGAGAAAAAAAUAAAGUAAUUUUCUUUGUAAAGAAAACCUGAGAUUGUACUAUUUUCGAAGUUAUAAAUAAAAUUAUACGCCAAAUUUACAAGUCAAUUUUCAACUCGAAUUUUUUAUGUACAAAUUUCUAAUAGACUUGGUGGCACAUUUUUUGAAUUUUAUCUAUUCUCUCGAAAAGCUAAAGUUCAAAGCUGCAUUAAACUCAAAGAAGAUAAUCAUUAGUAAACCAGCUCACAAGCCUGCUCAAGCUAAUCCUACAACUCGUUCCACUUCAUCAUCAAGCACCAAUGUUCCUGCUUAUCCUUAUGGAAUUAAACAAAAGACAAAAGCUCUCUAAGAGUUAUUUGAACAGACAAAAUAUUCAGAUGUGUUGAGAUGGAAAGUGACAACGCAAAGUUGAUUGAAACUAUUUGUAACGGGUUGGCUACAAUAAGUAGUGUUGUGAAGUAAGAUAGAUUCACGAUUGGUGUUCCAAAAUUGAGUAGCUAGUUAUCUUGGAAGAUCCUCCACAUUAUGUGAGAUGCUGGCUUGAAGAAGAUAUUAGACAAUUGCUAGUGACUGAUGAUAAUUUUCAUUUGGACUGAUGCUUGCUUAAUUUUCUAAGCUUAUGUUCAACCAAAAAAAAAAAAAUUAAAUAUGUCUAAAUGAUCAUAGAGUUAACAUUUAGUGUAUAAAAAAUUAAUAUAUAAUUUGUUUUCAAUUGUAGUUUAGUUCUAGAAAUACCAACGAUGAACCUUAAAACGGAAAUGAAAAUUACAAAAAAAAAAACAAACCACAUCUAUUAUCAAACCAACAAUCCAUGUCUAAACUUAAAUUAACAAAAUUCGUUACGCAACUCGGUACACUAUUUUAUAUAAUCAAUAUAUUAGAUUUAUUCUUGAUGCACAUGUUUUAUUAUAGUUAAAAAUUAAAAUAUAUGAUUUACUAAGUUUUAAUUGAAUUAGUAUUGGUAUUAUAUCAGUGUAGGAAAAUGUGAGUUUAAUCGUACUUAAAUAUGUAUCCUCCAACUCAACAGUUGGGAAAAGGUUAUUGAUAAUUAAAUUAUACCAAUUUUUACAAUAUCUAAAAAGCAUUCAUAAACAUAUUCAUAUUGAUGGGCUCUUUCAUUAUUAAACUUUUUUUCUCUCACAAGUAAAAGUACUUGUGGUGAGGAUCAUGUAAAAUAAUAAACUGAAUAAUUUUAAACGUCUCAUCAUUGCGAAAAUGAAAUAAUAGAAAAGAAGCCAUUUUAUGAAAUUUACAAUUCCAACUGUGAAUAAAAUAUAAAUUUUAUGAAUGUGGACAAGCAAUUUUAUUUAACUUUUUUUAAAGUAAUUUUCUUUGUUUCCUAACCAACAUGAAAUUACUUGUCACAAUUCAUCUUUUUAAAUGAGAAACAUUUUCAACAAUUUGCCAUCACAUCAACAUACACUAACUUUUCUAUGAUUAGUCCUUGGUUUGCUUUGGGUGCAAUCUUCCAACUAGCCUUAUCCUUGGUUUUACUUUCCAACAAUUAUUGUAUCCUCCUCAUUACUUUUACUUACCGACGGAUGAAAAAUUCACUGAUCAAAUUAAUUCAAAGAUUUUUUUUUUCUAAAUCAAGUGAAUUCACGAGUUUUAUUUUCUUUAAAAAAUAUUUUUGUGGAUAUUAGGAGAUACUGAAAAUUAUUUUACUAUGAAAUUUUAAUAAAAUUGGAAAAUAAGUGAUUUAUUUAAAGGGAUCACAAUUAAACAUUAGAUUUUUAAUUUUUUAAUUUUAAAUUUUUUUGACAAUUGCGUAAUUAAUAAGGUACUAAUUUUGAGCAUUGUUGGAGUGCUAUAACCUUCCCUAUGCAUAAUCGACUCUUAAAUUCACUUUUUUCUCUAGAAUUUUAACAAACUUACAAAAUGAUUUAAUGAUAUUUAAUUAUUGAUGGGUAAAAAAAUUAUAUCAUAUAAAUUCCGAAUAAUUAAUUAUAUAUCUACAUAUUAUAACCAAUUCAUCUUUCAAAAUUAUUUCCUUAUAAUUAAAGCAAAAAUUAUAUUUAUAAAAUUCUAAAUAUAUUAUAAUUCUUGUAAAUAUAUAUAUUUACAUAUAUAAGUCCAAAUUGUAAUAGAGUUAACAUUUAUUGUAUAAAAAAUGUCUUGAAAUUUUUUUUUUCAAUUUCAAAAGAACUAUUCCAUUUAUAAAACCAUAAAACUUUAAAAAUAUAAACUCUAUUAAAUAAAAAUAAUAAUAUUUUUAAACAAUAAAUAUUGACUUUAUUUUAAAUUGACAUUAUCUAAUUCUUUUUAAUAUGUAUCGCUAAGCUUUACAUUAAUAUACAUGAUUUAUUUGUUCGUUAUUAUUAUUAUUAUUAUUAUUAUUAUUAUUAUUAUUAUUAUUUCUAUGAUUAUUAUAUUAUACUUAUCGGACUACAAUCAUAACCAUGUCUAUUAUCAUUCGAUAAAAAAAAAUUAAGUGUUGAGUAUAAUGACAAGGCACAUUACACUCUGAAGGGGAGAUUAAGGUUUGGACAAAGGAAGAAUAUGAUUCAAAUUUUGGAGACAACAUUCUUGAAAUGAGCAACCAUAAACCCCGAUUAUGAACCAUAAAACGAUCAUGAAAAGUACCCAAAAAAACACAUUUAUUACCAAAUAGUAAUCCAUCUAAGGAUUAAAUUAACAAAAUUCACCAUCCAACCGUGUAGACUAUUAUAAAUAUAUAUACUAUAUUUAUUCUUCAUGCAAAUGUUUAUUAUAUUUAAAAAUUAAAAUAUAUGGUUGAUUGAGUUUUAGUUGUGUUAAUAUUGAAAUUAUUGUCAGUGCAAAAGAACAUGAGUUCAAUCAUGUUUAAAUACGUUUUAUACUCCAAUUUAGGAGUUGGAGAGGAUUCUCAAUAGUUAAAUUAUAUUAGUUUUUGUCUAUUUAAAAAUGAUUUAUAAAUAAUAUAAGUAGAAAAUUUUAAAAAAAAUACAUAUUCAUAUUGAUCGGCUUUUUCAUUAUUAGACUUUUUUCCCCACAGUUAAAAGUAUUUAUCGAAUUCAAAUUUUGGGUUUUAAAUAAGGGUUUCGGAUUUUUUUUAAACAUUUGUGUGAGUUUUUGCCAAAUUUUAUAUUUUCGGAACGAAUAACUAAGUUGAUUUUUAAUUACUUUUUCAAACAAGUCGAUGUAAUUCCUCAAAAAUCUAGUCAAAGCGUCUAGGCUGGGUUUGGAGGUGUUACACUAACGUUACUAAAGUUAAUCUUAAUCUAUUUAGUCUAGAUCUAAACAUCAAUAUUCUCUUCCAAGAAAAAUCAAGAUUAUCAAAUUAUUACAACUGUGUAGCCAGACAAUCAUAUUAAAUAUGCAUAAAACAUAAUAAAUAAUUAGCGAAGAUUGAAACAAUCAAAGAAAAAAAUAAAUAAAUAAACUAAGAAAUAAGGAUCCAUUAUUGUUUCAAGAAAACAGAGUUUAGUUCAUAUUGAGUUGAGAAAACCAGAAAGGAGAUUCAAAACAAACUUGUGAUAAGGGGAACAAUGUCAAUAGAUCAUAUUCAAGUUGUUCGACUUCAGAUUUGACCUGAAAAGAAGAAACCAAACAUAUUUAGGAAAACAAGAAAAAACAAAGAAAAAAAACUAAAAUGAGAAAUUUAAGAAUAAAUAAUAAAUAUUAAAAAUAAAUAAAGAAAUUAUAGAAUAAAAAGUGGCAGAUGGAAUGAAGAAAUGAUGGAUAUAAAUAAAAGAUGGAUAUGACAUAUAGAUGAAUAAGUGUCUGAUAACUCUUGAAAAAAAGUUAUAUUUCAUGCCUUUAGACCUAGCUAAUUGCUUGUACUUAAGUAUAUUUUGUUGCUUUUUAAGACAUUUUAGUGAGCAUUUUUAAUAUUGUAUUAGGACUUAGACUGAGUUGGAAUUAGGUGCUUUUAAUCGCUUGUGGUGGAGUUUUUUGUGUGUUGGUAUGGCAGGAACAGGUUUUAGAUCGAGGAAAUAAAUGAGUGAAGUUUUGUUUGGGCAAAAGUGCAUAUAGUUUUCCAACAAGGAUGCCGUGGCAAUGCCGAGAAGACCAAGUUCAUAUUUUUUGUGCAACAGUCCUAGUUCAAAUUCAAACUUGUAUGAGAUAAAUCCCCCUAAAAGAGGAGAAGAUAAUUACAUUGAUGUUAGUUGACCCUAGCCUAAUCUAUCUAUUAAAUCCAAUGAAAGGGAUCUCACAAAUGGUAGAAAAAAGUGAGAGAGAUCUUUAGGGGUGAAUAAGGGUUUGGCUGUGCAAAGGAAAAGAAGUCAAGGGCAAUCAUUCUUAGCCUUCACAGGACGUUUUGUUGCCAAAGUGUGGACUGGGCAAGUGAAAGCUGUUUCCCAAAGUUCUUCUGUUAUUUCCAUCAGUGUUCCUUCGAAAGAUUGAAUUGAAGUAGUUGAACACAAUGUCAGAUAAUAUUUUGGUUUGAAAUUCUAUUUCCCAGUUUAUGAGCUAAAUCUCAUAAGGUUGGGAUUACUUUCGAUGAAACCUUUAAUUUUUUUUAUGGAUGCAAUAUAUAUCUAAUUUACAUUACAGUUUCAUUUGAUUGUUCUUAUUUCUUAAUUAAAAUGCAAAUGAUCUCUAGACAUAGAAGACUAUUCACAUACUUAUAAACUGAUUAUAAUUCUAAAAGGGUUGGAUUAAAAUUAAAUGAAAUGAGCAAGUAUUUGAUAGACACUUGUAGCCGACUCCAGACAUAGAGUCACGAUCAUACAGAAGGAACCCAUGCAAGAUAUCUGAAAAGCCUUUAGACACAGGCAAGGCAACUUGAGGUUAUUCUCUCACACGAGGCAGACCAUUUUAGAACUCUUCUGUGUUGUAAAGUAGAUACGAUUUUGCCAAGGCAUUAUUGACAAUAAGGGUUGAUUCUGGGUAAUCCCGACCUUCCAAAUCCACAUCGUAUAUCCUUCAUUAUUUUCCAUAGUAUCUUUUCCACAUCAUUAUUAAUUAUUUAUUUGUUCAUUUACAUAAUAUUCCCAUAGUAAUUCUCAUAAUUGCCAUUACAUUUCUACUCUCGAUUUGCCAUAGCAUUACCAAAUAUUCAUUAAUUCCACAUAUUGAUUACAUCAUUACUCUACUCAUUGCCAUUGCAUAUUUAUCAUUGACUUUGUCACAACAUUAAUUGUAUUUUAUGAUAAUAACUUGAUCGAUUUUGUGCCUCAAUCUGAUCAUCGUGGGAAUGAUACUCACUCAUCAUUUAUUACUUGAUUCAACGUGUAUACUUGCACAAAUCGCAUAUCAUUUCACAUGCGACAAUGUCCAAUUGAACCCUUUAAGAUAUAAACUCAAACAAACUCAAUUAAUGGCUUUAAUCAACCCACCAAGAAAUAAUCCUUGGCAAAUUGAAGGAUGAAUAAUGAAUUCCCAUGACUCCUUAAAGAAAAUUGAGAAGAAAACUGCUUCUAAAAAUUACAAGAAACAAUCUUGCACAAAGAAACUAACCUUGAGAGUUGGAAAUUUUAGUAACGAACAAAGACAAUUGUGUCUCUAAUGACCAUGAAAGAGCUUUACAUAGGCUAGAUAAGUACAUCCAAAUAAAAUUUCGAAGUAUCUUAAAACUUUAAUUAAUGUAAGCAAAAAGUAAUUUUCAACUAAAAUAGUCAUAAUUUCCGUAAUAAUCCCGUCUAGAAAUUCUACUCACAUAGUCAUCACUAAAAUAGUCAUCAUUUGAGCUCUUGAACUAGAAAUUGAGUGAAUAAAAGUGUGUUUGAUAGACCUUAGAACUCCAUCAAGACAUAUCAAUCGAAAAAUAUUUGGAUCCCAUCCAAAAAGUCAUUGCAAGUUAACUGAUUUUCCAAACUUGAAAAUUGGCAGCUUCAGUGAAUGAAAUUUAAUAAAGUUCACCCCAUCUGCUCAUGUAUAAACUUGCAGUGGUAAAAAGUAAAAAGAAAUAAUCUAUAGAGAAAAUAGUUGAAGAAUUUAUGACAAUUUAUUCAGACCUUUUUUUCUUCUAGCCUUUGCAAGCUUGAAGUUUCCGUUGGUGUGUGAGAGUUGUUCCUUACCCUUUAAGUUAUUUCUUUUCUUUUCCUUCUUUUUCUUUCUCUUCGAUCUCAUCACCUAAGGGUGCUCAAACAACUGAUUCAGUUAAUACCCGAACAAAGCUAUCAUUAAAUGAAAUUUUGAAACCCUUAAUCAUUAAUGAAACCAAUUUUUUGUUGAAACCUAUUAACCGGCCGGAUUGAUUUCGGUUAAUUUGUGCAGUUAACCAGAAUUUAUACAUUGUUUGUUUUUUAUCAAACAAUUUUAAAACAAAGAACAAUCCAUGACAACUUUUUCCUUGUUUUUUAUUCAAAAAUUAUUAAAAGAACUAAAAAAAAUAACAUAAUAACAACACUAAAUUAAAAACAUAAUAGCAUUCAUUACAGUACAAAUCUUUUUUCUUUUUUUUCUUUUUGUUGACUUUUUAGUUUAAUUUUAGUUUUUUUUCAAAUAUUUUAGUUUUCAUAUUCUUGUUAAGCUUAUUAUAAGAAAACUUAUAAAUCCAUUAGUUUUUAUAUAUUAGGUUUGUAUAAUGUAUUGGAGCUAUCUCUAUAAUAUAUUUUUAUUGAUUUCGGUUAAUCAAUUAAUUCGGUUAAUUAGUCGAUUUCAAACGAAACUAAUUGAUAAACAAAAUCUUCAAAAACAUUUAACCAACUCCCAACCAAAUUAGAUUCGUUGAUCGCCUGCUUAAUCAAGUUAAUCAUAUGGUAAAAUGGCAUAGUUUUGGAAUGGUUUUUUGGAAUUAUUGGUAUAGGUUUAAGUUAUGAUCUUGAGAUGUUGAGUUGAAUUAAGUUUGAUAUGUAUAUUGUGAUGCCUUCAUUGGCAUAUUGGUUAGAUAUUAAAGGAUGGUUGAUUUGGUAUGUUUUUAAAAUGGUUGUUGGUAUGUGUGAUCUAAAUUGAUUAAAUGAACUUGUAAUGUUGAAUGGUAUAAUAUUUGUUGGUACAUUAGUUAGUCUUAUAGGUUGAUGGAAUUGGUAUGUUUUAAAUGUGUUUAAAAUGUGUUUUGAUUGUUUAAAUGUUUGUGGAAAUGGUGUGUCUUGGUGUACAAGAUUUGAAAUUGAAAUGGCUUGAUUUAGAAGCAACUUAUGUUGUACACCACCUGGGACACUGGUUGUCACAUGGUUGUGUGUCAUUAUUGUUUUAGGUACAGGUUUCACACAAUCUGAGACUCGGCUCACGACAUAGCUGUGUAUCACAAGUCAGUAUGUAACACGGUUUGGUACAUGGCCUGCGACAUGACCGUGUGUCCAAACUUCGAAUGUCCACACGGUCUGGGCUAUGUCACACGGGUUGGCCACAUGGCCGUGUGACCCUUGUUUUCAAGUUUUCUAAAAUUUUCUAUUUUAUUUCAAAUUGAUCCUAGAAUAUUCUCAAACUGUUUUUAGGGCCCGUAGGUUCGAAUUAAGGCCCAUAAGUGUAUGUUUGCUAUAAUUAAGUUGUGUUAAUUAAUGUUAUUAAUUAAAUGGCAUGAAUAUUUUAUUGUAAGUUAAAUGUUUUAAUUUGAACUAUAAUGCUCCGUAACUCUAAUCUGGCGACGGAGACAGGUUUGGGGUGUUACAAUUUUGGACUUGAAAUUUGUUUUGGGGCUUUGUUCGAUGUUUGUUGGAUUUUAGUGUUUUAACAUUAAACUACAAAAUUGUAUGAUUUAACAAACUAAAAAUUAGGUUUUCAAAAUUAAAACUCUGGAAGUUUCUGUUUCAAAGAUUAAGUAAUCACUUAAGUGUUUUCCCAUAAAUAAUUAAAUGGUUUUUAACAAAUGUUUUCCUUAGUUUUGGAAAUGAUAUGCCAACAUUAGUACUUUUAAAACACAUGAUUUCAAAUUCAAAUUCUUGGUUUUAAGUAAGGGUUUUCAAACUUUGAUUUUUUUUAACAUUUGUGAGAGGUUUUUGCCAAAUUUUAUGUUUUCAGAACGUGUAACUAAGUUGAUUUUUAAUUAGUUUUUCAAACAAGUCAAUGUAAUUCCUCAAAAAUCCAAUCAUAGCGUCUAGGUCGGGUUUGGGUUGUUACACUGACGUUACUAAAGUUAAUCUUAAUCUAUUUAGUCUAGAUCUAAACAUUAAUAUUCUCUUCCAAGAAAAAUCAAGAUUAUCAAAUUAUUACAACUUGGUAGGCAGACAAUCAUAUUAAAUAUGCAUAAAAGUUAAUAAAUAAUUAGCGAAGAUUGAAACAAUCAAAUAAAAAAUAAAUUAAUUAACUAAGAAAUAAGUUCCAUUAUUGUUUCAUGAAAAUAGAGUUUAGUUCAUAUUGAGUUGAGAAAACCAAAAGCGAGAUUCAAAACAAACCUGUGAUAAGGGGAACAAUGUCAAUAGAUUAUAUUCAUGUUGUUUGACUCAAGAAAGAAAUAUUCGAAUCUAACUUGAAAAGAAGAAACCAAAUAGAUUUAGAAAAAUAAGAAAAAAAAACAAAGAAAAUAACUAAAAUGAGAAAUUUAAGAAUAAAUAAUAAAUAUUAAAAAUAAUAAAGAAAUAAAGAAAUUAUAGAAUAAAUAAUGGAAGAUGGAAAUGAAACGACGGAUAUGACAUAUAGAUGGAUAAGUGUCUGAUAAUUCUUGAAAAGAGUUAUAUUUCAUACCUUUAGACCUCACUAAUUGCUUGUACUUAAGUACAUUUUGUUGCAUAUUGAGACAUUUUUGUUCGUAUUUGUAAUAUUGCAUUAGGACUUAGAUUGUGUUAGAAUUAGGUGUUUUUGAUCACUUGUGGUGGAGUUUUUAGUGUGUUGGUAUGGUAGGAACAAUAUUUAGAACGAGGAAAUAAAUGAGUGAAGUUUAGUCAGCGCAAAAGUGCAGAUAGUUUGCCAACACGUAUGCCGUGGCAAUGUCGGGAAGACCAAGUCAACAAAUUUUUGCGCAACAGUCCUAGUUCAAAUUCAAACUUGUACUAGAUAAAUCUCCUUAAAAGAGGAAAAGAUAAUCACAAGUUGUUAACCGACCCUAGCCUAAUCUAUCUAUAAAAGCCAAUGAAGGGGAUCUCACAAAUGGCAGAAAAAAGUGGAAGAGAUCCUUAGGUGCGAAUAAUGGUUCAGCUGCGCAAAGGAAAGGAAGUUGAAGGCAAUCUUUUUUAGCCAUCACAAGACGUUGUGCUGUCGAAGUGUGGACUAGACAAGUGAAAGUUGUUUCCCAAAGUUCUUUCGUUAUUUCCGUCAGUGUUCCUUCAAAAUAUUAAAGUAGUUGAACAUAAUGUUGGAUAAUAUUUUGGUUUGGAAUUUUAAUUCCUAGCCCAUGAGCUAAAUCUCGUAGGGUUGGAAUUACUUUUGAUAAAACCUUAAACUAUUUUUAUGGAUGCAGUAUAUAUGUAAUUUACUUUACUGUUUCAUUUUAUUAUUCUUAUUUCUUAAUUAAAAUGCAAAUGAUCUCUAGACAUUGAAGCCUUUCACAUACUUAUAAACUGAUUUUAAUUCUGAAAGGGUUGGAUUGGUUGGAUUAAAAUUAAAUGAAAUGAGCAAGCAUUCGGUGGACACCUGUAGUAGACUUUAGACAUAGAGUCACGCUCAUACAGAAGGAACCCAUGCAAGAUAUCUAAAAAGCCUUUAGACAUAGGCAAGGUAACUUAAGGUUUUGCUCUCACGAGAGGCAGGCCAUUUUAGUACUCUUUUGUGCUUUAAAGUAGAUACGAUUUUGCCAAGGCAUUAUUGACAGUAAAGGUCGAUUAUGGGUAGUCCCAACCCUCCAAAUCCACAUCGUAUAUCCUUUACUCUUUGCCAUAGUAUAUUUGCCACAUCAUUAUAAGUUAUUUAUUUGUUCAUUUACAUAAUAUUUCCGUUGUAAUUCUCAUAAUUAUCAUUACUUUCUACUCUCGAUUUGCCACAACAUUACUAGUUAUUUAUUAAUUCCACGUAUGGCUUACAUCAUUGCUCUACUAAUUGCCACUGUAUAUUUACCAUUGACUUCGCCAUAGCAUUAAUCAUAUUUUAUUAUAAUAACUUGACCAAUUUUGUGCCUCAAUUCGAUCCUCAUGGAAAUGAUACUCACUCAUCACUUUAUUUGUAACACCCCAAACUCGGCCUAGACGUUAUGGCCGAAUCUGGUGAUGUCACAUGGAGAGGGAUUUGAAGACAAGAUUGUUGAGUUUAAAAACCGUUACAGUAAGUUAGCUUUUAUUUAGGGAAAAUCGUGUUUUGUAGAGUUGUAGUUUUUAGGAAAAAAAUCGUGUUUUGUAGAGUUGUAGUUUUUUUAAAAAACCCAAUAAAAAAUAGUAUAAAGUCCCAAAUUUAAAACCAAUCAGUCCAUAGUCCAGAAGAUACAUCAAAAACUCAAAAUAAGUAAUAAAUUCUAGGCAUUAACGGAAAACAAUCUAAAAUUUACGUGUGGCCACCAUUGAGUCCUCUGCUGCACCGAUUCGUCAAGUCUGAGGAUUACCUAUACAAAUUAAAUAGAGAAAGGGUGAGUUGUCGCAAACUUAGUGUGUAAUCCCCACAGAAAACAUGCAUAGAGAUAAUUAACAAAAUUUAGUUAGAUACAGUCUAGGGCCUGUGCCCAUCAUAGAAUCAGUUUGGGCCUUAGCCCAUUCAGAUAUAGUCUUAGAAAUACAUUAGGGCAUUGACCAGCCUCUACAAACCACCUCCAUCCAACCAUACACACCAUGUGGGGAUUAAAUCAACCAACCCAUCCCUACACACCAUGCUGUACCGAAAUGCGGCACAUAAUUAGAAGGUUGCAGCUGGGCUGCCAGAUAACAUAAGUCAUGCUCGGUAUAGAAAUCAGACAGACAGAUCACACAUAUAGGUGUCUAAGUAAAGCUUACUGACCCUACAGUAGGUCCACAGUUAACUUGGGCGACCCGUGCAAAAUUACAGAACUUUUUAGAAAAAUGGGCUUACACGCCUAUGUGGCCCACUCGGCCCAAAUUGGCCUUGACCACGUGAUCCAUUUUUAAUGUAACCAGUGCUAGUUAAUUAUUCAUAUAUGUUUUCACUAUUUACUUAUAUGUUAAUUUAAAGCUGUCUACUUGAGUCACUGUUACUAAAUUAUUUAUAUCUUGAGCUACAGAAUUUCAAAUUAAGAUCCGCUUAAUGUCUUUGAAACUAGACUCAAAUAUCUUUCUACUAUAAAAUUUUUAUAAUUUUUGGUUGAGCCAACAAGUACAGUAAAAUCUUCAAACCUUCCCCUAUUCUGCUGUCUGACAACUUCAACCCUUCUUUGCUAAGAAUUAAUUAUCUCUUAGUACAAGAUUUGGAUGAUGUUUACAUUUGUUUCUAUUGAAAAUAAACUCAUUAAUAAUUUAAAAAUGUAAAUUUUAAACCCCUAAUUAUUUUUCUCCAAUUUUUGAUGAUUUUCCAAAUUUAGAACAGGGGAACCUUAAUUCUUUCUGACCUUGUCUCACGAAGUUUAUUAUACCUCACAAUUUACAAUUCCAUUACUUACAUCGUUUAAGAUUUAAUUCCAUAUUUUUUUCAUCCUCUAAUUCAAUUUCCACAAUUUAUGGCAAUUUUUCAAAGUUAACCUACUGUUGUUGUCCAAACAGCAAGCAAUUUUGGCUUUUCGCCGAAUCCUUUUUUUUGCAUUUCGGGUACACACCUGGUUUUGUUUGAUGCUAAAACAAUCCCCGAACACUCUAAAGUCACCAAUGAUAACCAUCCAUUUAAAUAUUGUUAACACGAGAACACUGAAUUCACUAGUCCGAGUCUCCCCCUACGCCCAAAUCGCAGAGAAAAUACGUUACCACUUUAGUCGCUAAAAGAUUCAUGAUAGAAAAGAAGAGAAACACUUACCGAACUAAGCGAGCACUAACCGUGUGUGAAAAUGAAGGAAAAUAAAUGGAUUAGGGAAAAAUCAAGAACAAGAAAAAGAAGAAAAAGAAAAACUCAGAGAAUUUCAACAAGAGGAGAGGGAGAAGAAUAGACGGCGAAUAAAAUUCUGAUAACCCCCAAAAUCCCUUAAUCUUCUCCCCUAAUUCCCACUACACAUCCACUAUUCAUAACCCCCUAUUACAUAACUCUAUCCGAAAUCUGAUAAAAAAAAACAUAAUACCCUUGCCUGCAUAGGGGUUCAAACACAAAACCUCUACUAUAAUAACACAUCAUUUAACCACCAGACCAGCAGGCCCAUUCUGAUGUAAUUUACCCAAAAAUCAAAUAAAAGCCUACUCAACAAGAGUAAAGCCUAAUUCAUUCAAAAUACCAAAAUUUGCCCAAGCAAAAGCUUGAACUUGGGACCUCCCAAACACUCCCAGAACACAUAACUACUAAAGCUGACAAAUAUUUGUGUCAUAUUUUCACAAUAAUGAAAUUAGAAAUUUUGGGACAUUACAUUAUUACUUGAUUCAACUCUUGCACAAAUCGCAUAUCAUUUCACACACAACAGUGCUCAAUUGAACCCUUUAAGAUAUGAAAUCUAACAAACUCAAUUAAUGGCUUUAAUCAAUCCACCAAGAAAUAAUCAUUGGCAAAUUGAAGGAUGAAGAAUGAAUUCCCAUGACUCCUUAAAAAAAUUGAUAAGAAAACUACUUUUAAAAAUCACAAGAAACAAAUCUUGCAUAAAGAAACUAACUCUCAGAGUUGGUAAUUUUAGUAAUAAACAAAAACAAUUGCGUCUCUAAUGAACAUGAAGGGGCCUUUACAUAGGCUAGAUAAGUACAUCCAAAUAAAAUUGUCAAAUAUCUUGAAACUUUAAUUAAUGUAAGCAAGAAGUAAUUUUAAACUAAAAUAGUCAUAAUUUUCGUAAUAAUCCCGUCUAAAAAUUCUGCUCACAUAGUCAUCAUUAAAACAAUCAUAAUUUGAGCUCUUGAACUCAAAAUUGAGUGAAUAAAAGUGCGUUUCGAAGUUAAGUGAUAGAUCCUAGAACUCUAUGAAGACAUAUCAAUCAAAAAAAUAUCUGGAUCCCAUCCAAAAAGUCACCGCAAGUUAACUAAUUUUUCAAACUUAAAAUUUGGCAGCUUCGGUGAAUGGAAUUUAAUAAAGUUCACUCCAUCCAUUCAUGUAUCAACUUGCAUUGGUAACAAGUAAAAGAAAAAAAUCUAUAGAGAAAAUAGUUGAAGAAUUUAUGACAAUUUAUUCAAAUCUCUUUUUCUUCUAGUCUUUGCAAGCUUGAAGUUUCCCUUGGUGUGAGAGAGUUGUUCCUUACCCUCUAAGUGAUUUUUUUCUUUUUCUUUCUCUUCGAUCUCGUCACCUAUUGGUGUUCAAACAAUUGAUUCAGUUAAUACCCGAACAAAACUAUCAUUAACUGAAAUUUUGAAACCCUUAAUCGUUAAUCAAACCAAUUUUUUUAAAAAAAACCUAUUAACUAGCUGGAUUGAUUUCGAUUAAUUUUAGCGGUUAACCAGAAUUUAUACAUGGUUUUUUUUUGUUCAAAAAAUUUUAAAACAAAGAACAAUCCAUGACAAUUUUUUCCUUGUUUUUUAUUGAAAAAAUUAAAAGAACUAAAAAAAUAACAUAAUAACAACAAUAAAUUAAAAACAUAAUAGCAUUCAUUACAUUACAAGGCAUAUAUAUAUAUUUUUACUUUUUCUUCACUUUUUAGUUUAAUUUUAUAUUUUUUAAAAUAUUUUUAGUUUUCAUAUUUUUGUUAAGCUUAUUAUAAGAAAACUUAUAAAUCCAUUAAUUUUUCUAUAUUGGUUUUGUAUAAUGUAUUGGACUUAUCUCUAAUAUAUUUGGCCUAUAAUAUAUUUUUAUUGAUUUCGGUUAAUCAAUUAAUUCGGUUAAUUAGUCGAUUUCAAACUAAACUAAUUGGUAAACAAAAUCUUCAAAAACCUUUAACCAACUCCCAACCAAAUUAGAUUUGAUUGCUUAAUCAAAUUAAUUAGGUUUGAUAAAUUAAUUCGUUAAAACCAAAAAAUCCACACCCCUAUCAUCACCUUUAUUUUUAGGGAUUUUAAUCAUGUUGCUGCACCUGAUGCAGAAGUUGAGGUGGAACGAACUGCUUGCUACCACAAUUUAUGAAUUAUAGAGCAUGCUCCACCGUAGUGAAUCAAAUUCGGUGGAGUAGAAGACUUUUCUUCACUACUUUAUGCUCUAUGCUCCAAGUCUUCUAUUCUUCUUCUGAGACCUACAAUGGGAAAAUAAAAACUAAGAAACAAGUCUAAACUAACUUUGAAAAUUAGAAAUUUUCAACAAAAUUGAAAUAAAAUAUAAUUAAUCCAUAAAAAACUAUAAAAUGCAAUAAAAACAAACCUAAAUACUAAAAUUACCUCCUAAAAUGCUGUGGAAACUAUACUAAAAUAACUCUAAAUAUGAUAGUUAUCAGAAGCGACUUGAAUAAGCCAAUCGAGUAGAUGAUUUCAACUAUUGCAAAUAGCAUCAGUCGAUUAACCAUCCUCUUGAGAAGAUCAUAGAGUUGAAAGAAAAAAUCAUACAACUCCAUGAAGAAGAAAAAAUCAUGUUUGAAAAAGAAGUGGCAUUAUCAAACUUGACAUCAAUGCUUUGGUUUCUCAAUACAAUAUUAAGGAGAAAUUCAUCAAAUUUGGCUCUUUCACUCCUAUUACACUAGCUCUAAGUAGAAGUAAGAUGGUGAAUUUCGAAGGGAUUGGGGACAAUCAUCUAUUUUUGGAAUAUCAGAAUGGUCAUGAUUGGACUCAAAGAAGCCAAUGAAAUGCAUCUCUCCUAGGUAUAAGCUUAUAUUGUCACAUUGCUCCUAAGCACGAGCAUAAAUUGUUCAUCCAAAAUGAUGAUGCUCCUAAGCAUGAGCUUAAACUGUUCAUCUAAUGCUCCUAAGAAGGAGCCUAAACUAUUCAUAAAAAAUAAAUGAUGAUCCAGUGAAGCACGAGAUUAAACUAUUCAUACGAAAUAAAUGAUUACCUCCUAAGCAUGAAUUUAAAUUGUUCAUACAUAAUAAAUGAUGAUACUCCUAAGCAUGAGCUUAAAUAGCAGUCCAAAAAAAAUUGAACAACAUUAUAACUUUAUCUUUUAAAAAUGAAGGUACGUAGAUAGCCUGGUUUCAUUGCCAAGUUCAGUCAGUGAAACAAAUUCUUGAAAGUAGGAAGCAAAUAAAAUUUCAAGACUUGUACCCUUUCUACGCCCAACAAAAUUCAGAAUUCAGCAUUUGUUAUUACUGUUUAUCUCUAACUAAAUUAAUGAAAAGAUAAAUCAAGAAAUUAAAUCCUUUUAGAACUGUCUUAUAAAGAAACCAUAUUCUUUAAGGAUUACUUUAUCUAUAAUUAAUUAAAUUAAUAAGAUAUGAAUAAUAAUAAUAGAGUUUAAAUUCUUAUAGAACACUCAAAUGAAAAAGCUAAAUUCUACAACAACUCUCUUAUAUCAAAGUGAUUGGGCACUAUAAAAAUGGGUCACCUCCAAGUCAUUCUACACAUUCACAAGUUCAAGAAGUUCAAAAAUUCUUUACGAAAAUAUGAAGAAACUAAAGAAGUAGAAGAAAUUCUGAUGAACAUCAUAUCAGUUCUAAAGAAAAACUGCCUCCUAUCCAAUUCAAUUGAGAGGAGGAUGUCAACAGAAGAGAAGAAUCGAAGAAGUUUUGUUUGUAAAUAAAUUCAAAACUAUACACUCUUCGAAAUAAUAAAUAAAAUUUGACGCAAAAUUUUCAAGUCAAUUCUCAACUUAAAAUUUGCGUGUACAAUAUAUAUAGGAAAGAAUCCAUUUACAUUAUAUAAAACUAGUGUAUGUAUAAUACAGAAAUAUUUAGUACAUUAUCAAUAAAGUUUUUAAACUAUGCACUGUGAUUAAAACCAAAAUAAUAAUAAUAAUAACAACCAAUCACUUUAUUUGACUAACUUUUCCCUACAAGUCUUUAGUAUGGAGACAAAUCAGUUUAAUCAGCCUUUGGAGCUAUUAACUGACAUUUCCACCAUUGAUUUGAAAAUCCUAACCCAUCAAUUCACUUUAAAUGAAACGAGAUCCACUAGUGUUUGGUGUUAUAUUUUUAAAAUGUAUUUAGAUUAUUGUUUAUUAAUUUUAUUUGUUUAUAUUUAAAUCAAAUGUAAUAAAUUGUUGAAUUUAUAUACUUCAUAUUAUAACAAUAUAUUUUAACUUGCUACUUCUCUUUUUAAUUUAAUUUUUUGUAACUCUUCACAAUUUAUUUUGAAAAAAAUUGAAAAAACUAAAUGAUUAAAUUAAGGCUCAACUUUUCACUAACCUUAGUUUAUUUAGUCUAACUUUUCACAAAUUAAUAUACUCAUUUCAUGUUUCAUACCAACAACUUUUCUUUUUGGUAAAAAGAAAAAACAACUAUACGUUUUUUUUAAUCCCAAAAUUAAGGCUUUAUGAAUGAAAAUAAUAUUAUAUUAACUAUGAUAAUUAAGUCUUUAUUUUUAAUAUGAUUAAUAUUAUAUAUAAUAACUUUAAAUAUGCUUCCACUAAUCAGAUAUACUAAAGGAAAGAGUAACUUUCUUUUUAUGGUAACUAAUUUUCAAUUAUGUAUUUUAAUCUAUCACUAAAUAAUUAAUUAUAAUCAAGAUGUUAAUUUUCCAUAAAAUGUACAUAAUUUUGGUUGGUAUAUUAAUAAAUUUAGCCCUAAAAAUUUACACAUGCAAUUUGGUCUUAAUUUAACAAAAUUUUCCCGCAACAUUUGUGUAAAUAUGUAAAUGUUGAGGUUAAAUUUCUUGAAUUUUUUUUAAAAAAUUAAGGUCAAAAUGACAAAAAUAUAAAUAUUGAAAACUAAAUUUAUUACUGUACCAAUCAAAAUGACAAAAUAUAGCUAGGGACAUGGGCUUGACCGAGCCAACUCAACCUAUUUCAUCUGUUUCUAUUGACUUUUGCUCGACCCUACCCCAAAGACCUGUCAAUUUUGUUAAAAUUGAAAUAUUUAACUUGUUGGAGAAGACUAACUGUAGAAAAGUAAGUCAAUGCUAAAGUGAUAUGUCGACGUUUUGUUGUUUUCAAAAUAGUUGAUAAGCCUGAAAUUAUAAAAGAUAAUCAUGAGGUCUUAAAUGCAAUUAUGAUAUUUCUAAAAAGAUAUUUCUCAACAAUUUUUUUAAUUUCUUGAUUGAUGAAAACAAAUUUAGGUAUUUCCCAAUUUGUAAAAACAUGAUUUUUCUUUGAAUUUCUAGGUUUUUCUUAGCUUUUUUUUAUAUUAUUUUGGAAUUUUUGUAAUCUUCUUAUAAUUUCUUAAAAAAUAAUAUAUUUGUAAAAAUUUUUAAACCAUAAAUACCAAUUAAGAAGAAUGUGAUAAAAUUAGGGGUAAAUGUGUAUUUAAGCCAAAGAAAAUAAAAGAAUAAUAAUGAAAUUCACCUAAAAACAAUUACAAGGACUAGAUGAACAAUUUGACCUAAAACUUUGUUUGAAAUGAUGUCAUUAAUGUGUUACAUCAGCUUUCUUAGAGAGAUAAAAAUUAAAUGAAUAUGAGAUACAUGAAACUUGUAUCUCUUUCCAAUAAUUUAACAUUAUUUCAAUAUUUUCAUCUUGAAUUCACGAGUGAAGCGUACAUCAUAUACCAACUCAAUUGGAAAAAAGUCUUUAAAUUAUUUUUAAAUUGUAACAAAUAUUAUUAUUAAGAUGUUUUUCUUUUUAUAUUUUUUAUAAAAUAUAUUAAAAAACAAUUAAAAUAAUUUUAAGAGAAAAAAACUCAUACAAGGUAGAAUUUAAUCUAAAGAUGUCAAAGUUUUAAAGCCUCAACUUUAACAUUUCAACCGAAAUUCCAUUAGUAUAUAAAUAUUUAUAAAUAUAGAUUUUAUAUAAAAAAUUUUAUGUAAACUUUUUUUUAACCCGCAUCACAAGUACACCAUAUUUAGAGAUAUUCAUAGUUAGGCAGUCCACUUUGAGUCAAGCUUGAGCUUAGGUUUUCAAUCUCAAGUUGGCCCAAUUCAACUUAUUUUACUACUUAAAAAUAUAAAUAUAUGUUAUAUUGAUAUUUAUAUAUGUCUAUAGUUAAAAAAUUAUUAAAAAUAAAUUCAACUUAUUUAUUAAUUAAAAAUAUAAAUAUAUGUCUAUAAUUAAAUUUUAAAGAAAUUUAUUGUUAUUUUCUAAACAUAAAACAAAGAAAACUUUCACCCAAAUUAUAAGUUUGUGGUCAGGCAGCCCACUUUGGGACUGGAAUCAGCUUACUUUUUUAAUCUUGGGCUUUAAAAAUAAUAAAAAUAUAAAAAUAAUGUUCUAUUAAUAUUUAUAAAUUUUAUAAAUUUAAAUUUAAUUAUAUUUUUUAAACAGUAAAAUCAACCAUUUAUAUGGGCUAAAUUGAGUUAAGUUCGGUUUGCAUCAAGCCUUAACUUUGACCAAAUCCAACUAAAAACACCUCUAACCAUAAUCUAGUAUUGUUUUUAUGAAUUCAAUUUUAACUUGUAAUUUUCAAUUCUAUUACAAAAUUUCUUUGCCUACGAUAAGAAAAUAACAUAUUUGUAACUAAGUAAUUAAUUAAGUUAAUGUCACGAGUGAAUCAUACAUUAUAUGCCAACUCAAUUGGAAAAAGUUUUUAAAUUAUUUUUAAAUUGUAACAAAUAUUAUUAUUAAGAUGUUUUUCUUUUUAUAUUUUUUAUAAAAUAUAUUAAAAAACAAUUAGAAUAAUUUUAAGAGAAAAAAACUCAUACACGGUAGAAUUUAAUCUAAAGAUAUCAAAGUUUUAAAGCCUCAACUUUAACAUUUCAACUAAAAUUCCAUUAGUACAUAAAUAUUUUAUAAAUAUAGAUUUUAUAUUAAAAAAAUUAUGUAAACUUACAUAUAUGGUUCGUCAUGCAAAUGUUUAUUAUAUUUAAAAAUUAACAUAUAUGGUUAUUGAAUUUUAAUACUGGCUUGAGGAGUCGACUCUAUUGUAGAUUCUAGAUUAAUCUAAUAUUUCACCCUCUUUUAAUUUUCUUUAUUGGAAGAGUCUUUAAGAGAUAAGUUAAGUAGUAUAGCAGUUUCAUCUAAAACAACAUCUCUGCUAAUCACAACUUUUCUAUUUUUAGGACACCAUAACUUAUACCCUUUUACAUCAGCUUUAUAACCAAUAAAAACACAUUUAAUGAAUCUCGGUUCCAAUUUUUCAUUAUCAACAUGAGCUUACGAAGGACACCCAAAGAAUUUAAUCUAAAGAUAUCAAAGUUUUAAAGCCUCAACUUUAACAUUUCAACCGAAAUUCCAUUAGUAUAUAAAUAUUUUAUAAAUAUAGAUUUUAUAUAAAAAAAUUUUAUGUAAACUUUUUUUUAACCCGCAUCUCAAGUGUACCAUAUUUAAAGAUAUUCAUAGUUAGACGUCCACUUUGGGUCAAGCUUGAGCUUAUGUUUCCAAUCUCAAGUUGGCCCAAUUCAACUUCUUUUACUUUUUAAAAAUAUAAAUAUAUGUCUAUAAUUAAAUUUUAAAGAAAUUUAUUGUUAUUUUCUAAACAUAAAACAAAGAAAACUUUCAUCCAAAUUAUAAGUUUGUGGUUAGGCAGCCCACUUUGGGACAGGAUUCAGCUUACGUUUUUAAUCUUGGGCUUUAAAAAUAAUGUUCUAUUAAUAUUUACAAAUUUUAUAAAUUUAAAUUUAAUUAUAUUUUUUAAACAGUAAAAUCAACCAUUUAUAUGGGCUAAAUUGAGUUAAGUUCGGUUUGCAUCAAGCCUUAACUUUGACCAAAUCCAACUAAAAACACCUCUAACCAUAAUCUAGUAUUGUUUUUAUGAAUUGAAUUUUAACAUGUAAUUUUCAAUUUUAUUACAAAAUUUCUUUACCUACAAUAAGAAAAUAACAUAUUUGUAACUUCUCCAAUUCGACGUAAAUGUUCAGUCUGAAUUCAGAAGAUUACAUCAGCCAUAAAGAUGGCCUAGCAAGGUUAUUAGAGUUUUCAAAAACAGGCAUCUUUAAAAUGCUUGUUUAAUUUAUACAAAAACUUAUUUAAUUUCCAAAUUAUUUAUUACUUGAAAUCUUAAUUAUACUUUGAAAGCAAGAAGUGGUAACUAUUUAUUUUUAAUAAAAAUCAGGGUUCAUGUAUAAUUGAUUAAUAACUGUUAGAAUUAAGCGACCCGAAUCUUUAUUUAAAUGAAAUACAGUGGUAAAAUAAAAUAAAAUUAAAAUCCCUAUAGAACUACACUUAUUUUAUUUUAUUUUAGAAUAAGGAUUUUUAAACCUUAUUAAACUCCAUCCAUUUGAUAUUGAUUAGAAUAAGGUGUUUCAAUCUUACUACACUCCUAUUAGAAUAUGGUUUUACAAGCCUAUAAAUAGACAUAGUCUACUCCUCUUGUAAUUAUUCGAAUUCGACAUAGGGAUUUAUCUUCUCCUCUACCAAUAGCUUUUUCCCUGAAAGGGUUUCCACGUAAAAUCUGUGUGUUUUUUUUAUUUUUCUCCCUUUUAUUCUUUGCAAUACAUUGUCAUUACCAACAUUCUAUUUUUAGCAAAUUGGUAUCCAAGCUUCCAAUUUGUUCAUCUCAAUCAUGGUAAUGGCGUCUUUGAAGUAUGAAAUUCUGCUAUUGGAUCGCAACACCAGAUCCGCAUUGUGGCAGAUAAAGAUGCAGGCAGUUCUUACACAGAUAGACUUAGAGGAAGCCUUGCUAGGGGUAGAUAAAAUGUAUUCAACAUUAACAGAGGAAGAGAAGAAGCACAAGGAUCGAUAGGCGUUAACACAAUUACAUCUUCAUUUGUCCAACGAAAUUUCACAGUAUGGAGAAGACCGUCGCUGGAUUAUGGAAGAGGUUGGAACAAAUAUGUACGUCGAAUACUCUAACUAGCAAGUUGCAUAUGAAGCAGCUUCUUUAUGCUCAUCGUUUGGAGGAAGGUGUCUCUAUGCACGAACACUUAAUAGUGUUUAAAGGAAUUCUCUCGAACUUAGAGGUCAUGAAGGUUCAGUAUGAUAAUGAAGAUCUACGAUUGAUUCUACUUUGUUCGUUGCCUCUAUCUUAUUCAACCAUUAGAGAUGGGAUUUUAUAUAGCCGCGAGUCUCUCACAGUUGAUGAGGUUUAUGAUUCUUUAACCUCGUAUGAUAAGAUGAAGCAUCUUUUUCGUAAAACUGACUCUUAGGGAAUGGGUCUCAUUGUUCAUAGUAGAUAAGAUCAGAAUGCUGAUGAUGAUCGUGAAAGGACACAGGAAUAGAAUUCUCGCGAUAAAUCUAAGGAUAGAUCAAAGAUUUCAAGCAGAGGUAAAACUUGUAACUUCUGCAAGAAGAAAGGGCACAUUAAAUCUGACUGUUAUAAGCUACAAAUCAAUAUCAAAAGGGAGGUUGUGAAACAAAAUGGAAAACAACUAGAAUAUGUUGGUAAAGCUGAUGUUGUAGAAGACUAUAGCGAUGGUGAACUUCUAGUCACUUCUAUCAACAAUUCUAAAAUAAGCGAGGAGUGGAUCCUUGAUUUGGGCUGCACCUUUCACAUGAGUCCCAAUGGAUAUUGGUUUAUAACUUACGAAAUAGUGUUUGAAGGUGUUGUUUUGAUGGGAAAUAAUGCUUUAUGUAGAAUUGCAGGUGUUGGGACAAUAAAAGUUAAGAUGUUUGAUGGAGUUCUCAGAACACUUAAUGACGUACGACAUGUUCUAGAAUUGAAGAGAAAUUUAAUUUCAUUGAGUACUCUUAUUCAAAAGGUUAAAAAUACAUAGCUAAAAGUGGGGUUUUUAAUAUUUCCAAAGGUUCUCUCGUUGUGAUGAAAGGGCAGAGAAAGACUGCCAAGUUAUAUGUUUUGUAGGGUUUAGGAGUUCUUUGGCAUAUACGCCUAGGGCAUAUAAGUGAGAAUGACAUGGCAGAAUUGAGCAAAAGAGGACUUCUUGAUGGGCAAGGAAUUUGCAAACUGAAGUUCUGUGAUCACUGUAUUUUUGAGAAGUAAAAGAGAGUUCGAUUCAUCAGAGGAAUCUAUAACACGAAGGGAACAUUGGAGUAUAUUCAUUCUGAUCUGUCGGGGACACCCAGAGUGCAUUCAAGAGGUGGAGCUAAUUAUAUGCUAACUUUUAUUGAUGAUUUUUCUAGAAAAGUUUGGGCGUUCUUCCUAAAGCAGAAAAUCGAUGUGUUUUUCGCAUAUAAGUCUUGGAAAACUAUGAUUGAAAAACAUAUGGAAAAACAAAUAAAAUAUCUCCACAUAGAUAAUGGCUCAAAGUUCUGUUCUAAUCACUUUAAUAAACUGUGCAAGUCAGAAGGGAUCGUGAGACACUUGACAGUUUGCCACACUCCACAACAAAACGGUGUUGCAGAACGAAUGAACAGAAUGAUCGUGGAGAAGGUUUAAUGUAUGUUUUCAAAUGCCAACUUAACAAAGUUGUUUUGGGCCGAAGUAGCCUCUACUAUAUAUUUUUUGAUCAACCGAUCUCUAUCUAUUGCCAUUGAGAAAAAGACUCCACAAGAGGUAUGGUCUGGUAAUCCUGCUAACUGUUCUGAUUUAAAGAUCUUUGGGUGUCCUGUGAAUGCUCAUGUUGAUAAUGGAAAAUUGGAACUGAGAUCCAUUAAGUGUGUUUUUCUUGGUUAUAAAGCUGGUGCAAAAGGGUAUAAGUUAUGGUGCCCUAAAAAUAGAAAAGUUGUGAUUAGCAGAGAUGUUGUUUUUGAUGAAACUGCUAUGCUACCUAACUCAUCUCUUAAAUACUAUUCCAAUAAAGAAAAUAAAAAGCAGGUGGAGUAUCAGAGUAAUCCAAAAUCUACAACAGAGUCGACUCCUCAAGCCAAUACAAAAAUUCAAAAUAGAGUUGCUUCUUUACCACAAUACUCUAUCGUAAAAAAUAAAACUAGAAGAGAUAUUAAACCCUCAAAGAAAUAUGCCGAGGCUGAUCUAGUUGCUUAUGCUUUAAAUAUUGCUAAAGAUAUAGAUGCAAACCAAGAGCCAUCUAAUUAUUUUGAUCCGGUUAGCUAUAAAGACUCAGAAAAAUGGAUGUUUGCUAUGUAAGAGAAGAUGGAAUCACUCUACAAAAACAAAACAUGGGAUCUUGUAAAACUUCCUAAAGGUAAAAAGGUUGUUCGUUGUAAAUGGGUGUUUAAAAAGAAAAAGGGGACUCUGGGAGUUGAAGAACCCAGAUUUAAAGCAAGGCUUGUUGUAAAGGGUUACAGUCAAAUUCCAAGAGUGGACUUCACAGAUGUGUUCUCCCCAGUUGUGAAGCAUAGUUCGAUUUGAGCUUUGCUUGGUAUUGUGGCCAUGCAUGAUUUGGAGCUAACUGUAAAAACUACAUUUUUGCAUGAAGAACUUGAGGAUGAUACUUACACGCAACAACCAUAGGGUUUUAUAGUCUCAGAAAAAGAGGACUAUGUUUGCCUGUUGAAAAAGUCCUUUUACGGUUUGAAACAGUCACUAAGAAAGUGGUACAAGAGGUUUGUUUCCUUUAUGACUUCUUAUGAUUUUAAAAAAAGUAGCUUUGACAGUUGUGUUUACUUUAAGAAAAAUAGUGAUGAUUCUUUUGUGUAUCUACUUCUUUAUGUUGAUGACAUGUUGAUAGCAACAAAAGAUAAAUGAGAGAUAAGAAAGGUUAAAGCCCGACUAAGUGAAGAUUUUGAGAUGAAAGAUUUGGGACCAGUAAAGAAGAUACUUGAUAUAGAGAUUCUCAGAGAUAGAAAAGUAAGUAAAUUGUACCUAAGUCAGAAGGGGUACAUUGAGAAAGUUCUUUGCAAAUUCAAUAUGCAGAAUGCUAAGCCUGUUAGUACUCCUUUAGCAGCCUAUUUCAGACUUUCAUUGGCUUUGUCUCUACAAUCAAAUGAUGAGAUUGAGUACAUGUCAUAUUUUUCAUACUCUAGUACAAUGGGAUCUCUCAUGUAUGCUAUAUUUUGUUCACGUCCAAAUUUAUUAUAUGCAGUCAAUACAGUUAGUAGAUAUGUGGCAAAUCCUGGUAAAGAACAUUGGAAAAUACUGUUUCCAAAAAUUUAUGGAUUUCUGGUGAGUGAACUUCUAGUGAAAUUAUUGUGCUAAGUCCAUUGGGGCAGUCUGUUUGAGUAAGUACACUUUAUAGGAAUGUACCUUUGGAAGUACAAGGGAUUGUGUUUUCGGCAGAUCUGGUGAGGUUACUUCUAGUGAAAUUAUUGUACUAAGUCUGUUGGGGUAGUCUAUUCGAGUAAGUAGACUUUAUAGGAAUGUACCUUUGGAAGUACAAGGGAUUGUGUUUUCGGCGUUUUAUUCACAUAAAAGCAGCAAAAUUUAGCGACAUUGUCUACAGCGGCAUUUUUUACGGCGCUUGUGAAAGCGCCGCUAUAGGCCUAAAAAACACCGCUAAAAGCCUAUUUUGCUGCAGUGAAUUAAUAUUAUUAUAAGUAUAUUUUCACCUUUUCAUUCUUUUAUAUAAUCUUCAAGUAAAAUGAUUGAAAAAUAUUAUUUGAGAAUCAAACACAAGACUAACAAUAUUCAUAUAGAAAACGCUUAUCACUCCACUAAUAAUCAUUUGUUGAUGUAUUUUUGGUAAAAAGAGCCCUCCAAUCCCUCUUAAUUUCACAACUUCUCAAAUUAGUCCCUCUCAAAAAAAUUGGAGCAAUUUAAUCCCUAUCAAUUUUGAAAGUGAGUAACUAAGGACAAUUAAUUAUGGUGUUAAAUUCUUCAAUCAAUUGUACAUAAUUUUGAUUGGUAUAAUAAUAAAUUUAGCCUUUAAUGUUUAUGUAUUUUGUCAUUUUGGCCUUAAUUUUUUUAAAAAAAAUUCAAGAAAUUGAACCUCAACGUUUACAUAUUUGCACAAAUGUUGCAGGAAAAUUUUGUUAAAUUAAGACCAAAAUGCAAGUGUAAAUUUUGUUAAAUUAAGACCAUAUUUUCCCCCUUUAUUUUUUCAGUGCCGACCGGAAAAAAAAAUUUCAGUCUCAUCUAAAUAAGACAUACUUCAGCAGACCAAUAGACUGCAGAUCAGACCCAAUUCAAGGGUAAUGCAGUCCAAAGUUCCUUGAACUCCCUCCUCCAAAGUGAAAAACAAAUCUAUAUAUUUCUGCAUGAUUCAAACAGAAAGGACUGUUGGACAUGUAACUCAGAAAGAAUGCAAAUACAUUGAAAGUACCAUAGACUUUAUAAAUUAGUUUCAUGUUGUUAAAUUUCAACACUAUAAACCUAAAAAUUCCCAGAACGAAAUGCGGGAAUCAUGCCUUAAACUCCAAUACUCAAAUAAGAGACAGAUAAAUUGCACAUUUUUUAAUAUAAUAUUUACAGACUAGAGAUAAAAAUAUAGAAAAAUAUAAACAUGGACAUCGACAAAAAGACUAAUUGACUGUGCAUGUGUGCUAGAGAGUGGCAAUUAAACAUUAUCCAAACACAAUCAUUUCUCAACAUUUGUAAAACAAAAAGAAGAUUAAGAUUAGCAGUAAACUAAAUAAAACCAAAGAAGUGAGAACCACAAGUAAAUGAGAAAGAAAACAAAAUAGAGAUCCUAGUAGCUUUCCCAUUGAACUUCGUAUAAGAGAAAUAACAACAUUUGAACUUUAAGCAAAUAAAAAUGUAAAAUAUUCAGAAUCAAAACAAUCUUUUAUCAAAAUUCAAGCCAAAAACAAUGAGCUUCACUCUAUACAAGAAGCAUGUUAAAGUCAUAGGCUUUCUCGUUUCUGGAAACCAAAUCCAGAAACGUCUCCCACCAAAAAUCAAGAAAAUAACUUCUGUUUUUGAAAAUCACAUUCAAAUCGUGAAAUAGGAGCAAGGUCCUUCAAAUUCAAGCAAAGUUGGUAGUAAAAGCUUAACUUUCAAAGGUCAAACAACACAGCAUUAAGUAUAAAACUAACCCAAUCUCCACCAAUUCAAAAACAAGAAACCAAACACGAACCCGAAGAUCCAAACACGAUUUCGAAAAAAAAAAAUAGAUAUUCCUGAAAAUCGGAUAAAAAACUAGCAUAUACUUAAUGAAAAGAGAAAUUGACGAAAAAUCACAAGAGAUCUGCAUGCAAAUAUAGGCACACUUUUGCUUGAUUAUUCGCUUAAAAAAGUAACAAUGGAAAACAAGAUGCAAGUGUCACGGGCCGCAGUUCAAAGCCCGUGACCAGCGCACCAAAUGCAUCCAAUAGAGAUCUAUUGCUCAGAUAGGGAUCAUUUGGCCCACAAGAACUGGCUCGAUUCAAGGAGCUAUUGGACAAGCCUGUCAGAUUGAAGCCUGGUUGGCCCGAAAACGAAGAGAUGGCAACUUAGGCUAAUAUGGUAACUAAUCUUAGAAGAUAGAGGGAAUCUUAUCUUGUAAAGAUUAGAUUAGAUUAGAUAAGGCUUAUCUUGUAAAUCCCUAAAAUUAAGGGAUAUGGGUUAAUCUCAUCCGUCGAUGUAAAUGUAUAUUGACCGUCGAUUUUGGGGGAGAUCAACUAUAAAUAGAGAGCCUCCCCCUCAUUUGUACUCACUCUUGUAAUUAUUUCAUUAUUCUUUGUGAAUAAGAGAAUUGAGAGCAUUUACUCAAACACUUUACGAGCGUCCUUUCUGUUGUUCUUUUGUUUAGCUUCUUUUGGCACAAUCGCUUCCGCUAUACAAAUUGGUGCCUUGGAGGAGUUCUAAAAGAAUCCUCACUUGAGUUAAGCCUGACUUGGGCGAGUUUGGAUGAACAAAUUGUCUAAGGCUGCACGAAUUACGAGACGAAAGGUCUAGCCCUGUGACAAGUGGUAUCAGAGCCAAGUUUUGAACCAAGUGACAUUCGAGUUGGUUUGAAGGCACCGUUGGGAUGUCAAGAGAAGAGUUCGAACAAAGGUGGGAGAAGAAGUAUUUGAGGGAGACAUUAUCGGUAGUAGAGAAACGUGUGGGUAAACUCGAGGGAUCCAUGGAGGAUGUAAAGGAGGCACUCGAUGGGGUCGAGGAUCACAUUGCAAACUGGAAGGAGCAGUCUAGAGACUAUGUAAAGAUGUCUCUUAGUUCCAUCAUGGAUAUGGUAAACGAGUUGUUUAAUUCACACAGGGAUAAGCUGUCGGAAAGGAAUGAUGCUCUCGAGGCCAAAAUGAUGGCUUUGAAAGAGGAAACAAUGGCCACGACGAGGGCUUUGAGCACAAGAAUAGAGGAGCUCGAGGGAGAGCUGGCCUUGUGUUGAGCAGCCGUGAGGAAAGGAGUGGCAAAUGUAGCACUCAGUAACGAGGAUGUCCCAAAGCUGAAAGAGUUUGUGGGGACAAGGUCUGCGUGCGAUGUGGAUAAUUUCUUAUGGAGGAUGGAAAACUACUUCCGUGCCAAAGGCGUCAUGGAUGAUACGGUUAAGGUAAACACUACUUCAAUGUUUCUUACUGCCAUUGCACUUUUAUGGUGGAGAGGUAGGACCACAAAUAAAAGGCAAGGUGAGAUUGGGACGUAGCAAGAGUUCCAAUGCGAAUUGAAGGGACAGUUUUACCCAGAGUUUACCGAGGAAGAAGCUCGGGCAAAGUUGCAAGGGAUAACGUAACAGGGCACAGUGGGGGAGUAUGUUCGAGAGUUCAAGGAACUCAUGCUCCAAGUUUUAAAGGUGACCGAAAGAGAGGCAUUGCUUGCUUUUCAAAAUGGAUUGAAGCCGUGGGUCAGACAGGAGGUGGAACAAAGAGGUGUCCAAAAGCUAUCGGAAGCCAUGACGGUAGUUGAGUCUGUGGUUAAGCUUAGUCUAGGGAAAGACAAGCUUGGAUCUUCCAAGUCCGAUGGAAGGGGUAUAUGUGAAAUGGAUCAAAAGGAAGAUAGUGUUGAUGGCAAUGGCAACGGCAACAAUGGUGGUAAUGGGAAACCAUGAGUUGGGAAGAAGAAACCCAAGAGGAAAAGGGACAAGCUAAAAUGCUUUCUCUGCGACGGUCCACACAUGCUGAAGAAAUGUCUGAAAAAUUUGAGCUCAAGGAGAAGCCGGUGGGUAAGGCCUUGGUACUUGGUUCGAGCGCAAGGGGUGUCGAAGCCAAGAAGGCCAAAAGUAAGAAGAAGCCAGUGGAGUGGUUCUUGUGUCAUGGUCCGCAUAGGUUACGAAAGUGUCCGAGGAAGUCUAUCAUCGAGGGGAAUGAUGGAGCAGACAAGGAGCCCAAGAAGCUUGGUUCGAGCAAGGGAAAAGCCGAAGCCAAAGGGGCAAAAGGGAGCAAAAAGAAGCGAGUAAAGUGCUUCUUGUGCCGUGGUCCGCAUGAGUUACGGAACUGUCCAAAGCAAGCCGGAGUCAUAAGAAAGGCAACGUCUGAGCUUGGUGAGUCAUCGGAGGGGCUUCCACCCAAGGAAGAGGUGAGUUUGUCAUCGAACUUAAAGGAAAUAGUUGCGAUGAAAACAGUGAAGCUGGGACCAAUGAGGCUCAAGUUGAGUGAAGCGUCGGAGUUGGCCGAGUCAUCGAUAAGGCUUCCACCUAUGGGAGAGGUGGGUGGUGCAUCAGACUUCAAGGGAAAAGAAGGGAUGCAUGUGGGACAGUUGACCAGAGUAAAUGCGACGAGUAGGACGGUUUGAGUUAAGAAGCGACGUAAGCCGAGGCAAAAAUCCCGAAGGAAGGGAAAGGCUAAGGCAUUGAGACAAGACCGAGGUGAAUCGAGUCAGUGCCAUUCAAAAGUCACAACGAGGACGGUGCAAGAAUGUGUGGGGGAGAAUGUCACGGGCCGCAGUUCAAAGCCCAUGACCAGCGCACCAAAUGCAUCCAAUGGAGGUUUGUUGCUCAGAUGUGGAUCAUUUGGCCCACAAGAACUGGCUCGAUUUAAGGAGCUAUUGGACAAGCCUGUCAGAUUGAAGCUUGGUUGGCCCGAUAACGGAGAGAUGGAAACUUAGGCUAAUAUGGUAACUAAUCUUAGAAGAUAGAGGGAAUCUUAUAUUGUAAAGAUUAGAUUAGAUUAGAUAAGGCUUAUCUUGUAAAUCCUAAAAUUAAAGGAUAUGGGUUAAUCUCAUCCGUCGAUGUAAAUGUAUCUUGACCGUCGGUUUUGGGGGAGCUCAACUAUAAAUAGAGAGCCUCCCCCUCAUUUGUACUCACUCCUGUAAUUGUUUCAUUAUUCUUUGUGAAUAAGAGAAUUGAGAUCAUUUACUCAAACACUUUGUGAGCGUCCUUUCUAAUGUUCUUUUGUUUAGCUUCUUUUGGCACAAUCGCUUCCGCUAUACAAAUUGGUACCUUGGAGGAGUUCUAAAAGAAUCCUCACUUGAGUUAAGGCUAACUUGGGUGAGUUUGAACGAACGGAUCGCCUAAGGCCUCACAGAUUGUGAGACGAAAGGUCUAGCCCCGUGACACAAGUGCUAGGUAAAACCAUCAUGUCUGCUUACUCACCACAAACAAAGGCCCUCUAGGACCUUCAUGAAUUUUUGUCUUAUAAGUGCUUCCAUUGUGAGCCUGAACAGCUUGAUAGCCCACAAGAUAAGGAUAUCGAUCUUUACCCUACAGAUUAACAAGGUUAAAUCCACUUAAAUGAAGCACCAUUAGUCUAUAACAAUUUACUUCAAUUUUCUGCUGUUAGUUCAAAUAUUUAUUUUUUUAAUUUGCCAAAACUUGCUAGGAUCGAAGAUUUGGAAUUCCUAAAUUUCAAUUACAAAUUUACACCGUACUUGCAGAAAAAUAUAUUACUAUUAGAGACACCAGCAAUCAACCAGAGUUCUUUAGUUUUCAAUCAAGUUAUUCGACAGGUAUCUAUAUUGAUUACACAAAAAAAAUCAUACACCGUGAGAAUGUCGAGUAAAUUACAAAUACAAAAGCAAACGAACCCUAAAGGAGCUCCAAUACUUCUUCUCCCAGGGGCCUUUGUAUAGAGAUCCAAUGGAAACGAUCUCUAGAUCCUCUAAUUUCGUUGUUUGUUCUCCUUUUUUUGUUUUCGCCAUUCAAAGAAAUGAGAAGAAAGCAAGAUUUCCAAACAACUAACAAUAAGAGAGUAGAGAGGAUUUUCAAGAUAGACGAAGACAUGGCAUUUUAAAAUAGGGGAACUAAAAUCUUAAAAUGCAUGAUUUCCCUUGAAAUUCUAAAUAAAAACUUUAUUUGAUUAGGAAAAAUGUGAAUUGAUUUUGGGAAAAAGAAGGGAAAAAAAAGAAAAGAUUUCAUUUGAAAUAUUGGGAUAAAAAAAUAUAAUUACAAAACGACGCCGUUUUGAAAAAAACAUAUUCGUGGCGUUUGGAAAAAAAAGUCACUAUUGCUCGACUUUUAGCGACAUUUGGACCAAAAACGCUACUAUUGUUCAACUUUUUUCUGCAUUUACAACAAAAAAGCCGCUAUUGCUUACCUUUUGCGGCGUUUUUUUUAUAAAUGCCGCUAACACUUGACUUUUUUACAAUUUUUAUAUUGAAUUAUUGUAUCUUUCAUAUAAAUUUUAAAUGAAUAAUUUUUAGUUUUUGUAUUUCAUUUUUAUUUUUGUAUUUCAUUUUUAUUUGUUAUAAUUUUGUCCUAUCCAAAAUAGAUAGUUACCUAUCCAUAUCAAUCUGUUACUUUUUUUUAUUUAUUUAUCAAUAUUUUUUUAAAUUUAAUAGUUAAAUAUAUUAAAUGGUUUAGAUUUAAUAUUUUUAAAUAUAAAAGCAUUAAUUGAUUGUAUAAAAUUUUAUCAUUUAACAAAUCUCAAGUAAACCUUAAAUCCUAAACCAUUUAAUAUAUAUAAAGUUUAUCUAUUAUCUCUUAAAUAAUUUAAACUAUAAUCAUAAUUUUAAUAUAUUAAAAUUAAAAUUAAAAUGAUCUCUUUUACAAUUAUAUAAGAAAUUAUUUAAUAUAUAAAUUAAAAAACACUAAUUAACCUAAACCCUAAACCCUAAACCCCUAUCCCCUAAACCUUGAAUUAUAAAACAUAAAACAUAAACCCUAAAUCCCUGAAUCCCUAACCCUUAACCCCUAACCCCUAACCCCUAAACCUUAAACCCCAACCCUUAAACCAUAAUCCCUAAACCCAUAAUCCAUAAUCCAUAAACCUUAAAAUAGUAACUCUUAAACCUUAAACCCUAAACCAUAAACCCUAAACUAUAAUGAUAAUUAAUUCAAUAUUUUAAAAUUAAUACUAUCUCUUUUACGAUUAUAUAAGAAAUUAUUUAAUAUAUAAAUUAAAAACAAUCAGUCAUGUACCCAAGAAACUUUAAAAUUAUUUUAAAUAAUAUAUUUUAAUUUUUUCAUUUUUAACAAAUAUUUUCUAUGUUUUUACUUUCAAAAUUUCUCUACGUGUCAUUAUUUUUUUCUGAAGAAUUUAAAUAUUCAAUUAAAAAUAAAUUUAUUUUAAUUAAUAUAAAUAAAGCGGUUAAAUAAUAAAUAGACAGAUAAAAUACUUUUUGCGGUGAUUUUCAUAAAGUGCCGCUAAAGCUCGAUCUACAGCGGCGUUUUACGAAAAAGAGUCUUACUGAAUUUUUUGGGGCAUUUUUCAAAAAGCGCCACUAAUUCUCGAUCUAUAGUGGCGUUUUUCAAGAAGCGCCGCUAAUGCCACUAAAGCUCAACAUAAAACACCAGCAUUGAGCUUAAUUUUUUUGCGGCGUUUUUCAAAAAGAGCCGCUAAUGGUAGACCUAUAGCGGCGUUUUUCAAAAAGCGCCACUAAAGCUCAACAUAAAACACCGGCGUUGUGCUUAAUUUUUUUACGGCAUUUUUCAAAAAGCGCCGCUAAUGGUCGACUUAUAGCAGUGGUUUUAAAAAAGACCCACUAAUGCUCGAUCUAUAGCGGCAUUUUUCAAAAAGCGCCGCUAAUGCUCGAUCUAUAGUAGCGUUUUUUAUCCAAACGCCGCUAAAAAUGCCACUAAAAACCUAUUUUGCUGUAGUGAUUUGUGGGGUAAGUGGUUGAACAUUUUAAUAUAGACUGACUUUUCUAUAAUUAGUCCUUGCUUUAAUUACUUUGGGUGGAUUCUUCCAACUAGUCCAAGCAUUAUUGUACAAUUACAAUUAAUCUUUUUAAAUGAGACAAACAUUUCAAAUUUGUCAUUACUAUUUGUGAGUGAUUUGGGGGUAAGAAGUUUAACUCUUCUGGAUGUCUUAUAGAAUUGUGAUUAUACUUUUUGAGUAUUGACUCAGUUUUCCACAAUUGUGGGUCUCUAUUUGAGCAAAACAAUUUCAACAUUUCUUCAUCUCGUUUAAUCCAAAUGCAUUUAUGCAUUUCUUAUAUCAUUGAAUUUGCUGCUUCAUAUUCAAUUUUUGGACAAGUAGAAUUUUCUAACCUAUUUUCCAUCAACUUCACUUGAAUUUUCAAUCACAAUCAAUUGCAUUCAAGAGCACCACAUCUUUUUGGAUGAAACAAAAAUUUCAAUUUUAAGAUAAACGGGUCUUUAGGGUUAUAAUUUCAAUUUUUAAAAGUUUAAAAUAAAUUUGUAUUUUUAUUAACAAAAUGUAUAUAAAAAAAAACUUGUUUAGACAAGCCAAGAGACCUUUGGGAUCAUACGGGUGAUUUUGAUGAUGUUAAUGGUUAUUUUGGUGGAGAGAGUGAAAAAGAAACAAAUGAUUCAUUAUAUAUAUUAUAAUUAUGAAAUUCAAGCCAUAUAUUGUAUGUUUCAUACAUAAAAAAAAUUGGAGCAAUUUAAUCCCUAUCAAUUUUGAAAGUGAGUAACUAAGGACAAUUAAUUAUGGUGUUAAAUUCUUCCAUCAAUUGUACAUAAUUUUGAUUGGUAUAGUAAUAAAUUUAGCCUUCAAUAUUUAUAUAUUUUUUCAUUUUGGCCUUAAUUUUUUUUAAAAAAUUCAAGAAAUUCAACCUCAACAUUUACAUAUUUACACAAACAUUGCGGGAAAAUUUUGUUAAAUUAAGACCAAAUUGCAAGUGUAAAUUUUGAGGGCUAAAUUUAUUAUUAUACCAACCAAAAUCAUGUACAUUUUAUGGAAAAUUAACAUCUUGAUUAAUUAUUCUUAGUUGUUCACUUUCAAAAUUAAUAGGGACUAAAUUACUUUGAUUUUUUUAGGGUGACCAAUUUCCUCAAAGUGGAAAUUGAGAGAGACUAUUGAGAUCUUUUGCAUAUUUCUUUUAUAAAUAUAUUUUUUAAAUAUAAAAUAUAUUUGUUCACACACAUCGUGAGUAUGAUCUCAAUAGUCCACAUAAUCCAUUAAAAAAACUUAAAAAAUAUAUUUUAUUUUUUAACACCUAAGUGAUUCUCCAGCUAACGACCACCCAAGACACACCCCGACUUUAUAACACCCCAAUCUUAUUUAAUUAUUAGUUAUUUAUUAAUGCAGAAGUAAAUUAUGAGCCAAUUUUAAUCUUUUCCUCGGUAAUUUAACCUAAGGCCAAUUUCAUCAUUUUACCACCUAUUGUAAAACUAACCCGAUUUUAGAUAUAACAACAUGUUUGGUUUGGUGUAAUAGAUUAGCCAUUACACCCCUAUUUCGUGGGCCCCACUAAUCCCCACUUAUUCUUGUGUUUGGUUUGAUGUAUUGCCUAUUACAGGCCUAUUACAACACGAAUGUAUUCCUCAUUUUCUCUGCUUCAACAAUGAUUAGCCAUUCCGUUCCAAAAGUAAGGAUUAGCUAAUCGUCUCUGUUUUACCCUCCUCAGCCAAAAUCUACUGCUCCACCCCACCCUCUCCCUCCCAACAUCAACAGCAGUUUUCUUCGAACCAAAUCUCCACCGUCUCAGAUCGCCUGUGAGUAAUCUCAACAGCAGUUGCCAGUGAAAAUUGCCCUUUCUUCAAAAACCCAGCCCUAAACCCUUCUUCUCUUUCAAUACUCCAUUCGAACAGGUUGCGGUGUCUCCCUCCUCUGAGGUAUGGCUCUGUUUCUUUAACUUUAGCAUUGAGCGACUCUUUUCAAUUCCAAAAUUAGUCUACUCUGCUAAGGGUUCUUGCUUUUCAAACCAUUUUUUCACCAUUUUUCUUGUAAUUCUUUUUCUUGUUAGAGUUCAGAUUUUAGAUUUUUUUUAAAAAAAAACGAUUAGAUUGUGAGGUUCAGUUAAUUAUUAGGGUUUUCUGUUUUGGGUUUCCCUGUUGCGUGGUAAUUUUGAAGUGCAUAUAAAAUGGAUGCUUUUGAGGAUCUUAAGCAAUUCGGCGAUACUGAUAAAGGUUGAUAUUCGAUUCAUUUUGCUUUAAUUUACUUGGUUUAUGCAUUUUGGGGAUAAAAUUAGCUUUGUUUUCUUCUCUUUUGGUUGGCUUUAAGCUGAGAGUAAAAUUUGAAACCUUUGUGGUGGAGGAGUUACCGUUCUUCUGAGAUCAAAUGUAUAACAGGUUAGAAGGAAAUGAAAUUAGAUCCUUAAAUAUUGUGUUUUCAAUGUUAAGGGCAGGCUUUUGUUGCUAAAACAAUUGUGGUAACACUGUUUGAUUCAGUUAGAAGUCAAAUGUCGUUUCCAUGUGUGAACAAUUUCUGGUUUUUAAGUAGCGACUUUGUUUCAUGUUGGCCUGGACAUUUUCCAAAUUAGUAAUUAUAAGUUUGAAUUUGGCUACUAAAUCACGCCAAUUAAUGAUUUCAGUGUGCUGGUGUUUCAGACUUUCAGUUGAAUUGACUUUGGUUUCGAAUAUUUUUAGUGAUGGAAAUAAGCACGAUUUAUUUAAAUUAUGAUUGAAUUGGAGAAACUGCUUUUUGUACAUUUUGAGAAAUAUCAGGCCCUUGGAUACACAAAGGGUGUUAACUUGCGCCUAUCUCAAUUACCCCAUUCCUGCCCAUUGAAUUGGAGAAAGUUCUUUUUUUUAAUGAUUCUGCGUUGCUACUGAUUUUUAGUGAAAUGGUAUUUUUCUUAUGAUGUGUUUUCUUCUUUAUGAAGAGCUCAUUUCAGUAAAGUUAACCUUUCUAUUAUGCAGAAGGUGCAGUAUUUGAUGCAUCACAAUAUGCAUUUUUUGGAAACAAUGUUCUCGAGGAAGUUGAAUUGGGGGGGCUAGAUGAUGAGGAUGAGGAUUUACCUGCAGCUGGACUUGAUGAAGAGGAGUUUUUGUUUGAUCAAGAGGAGGUUAAUAUUCUUGUUUCUUUCAGUUUUAUUUUUCCUGUUUCGAUUGUUCUUGCAAGUUUCUGCAGCAUAGCACAACCAGUGACUAUUCGAUCGAAAAAUAAAUGUAUCCCUUCCAGGCGUCAUGCUAAAAAAUAGCCUUUUGGAUUAGUGUUGGAUUUUUUCUCCAUGUUCUUUAACAGAUAGAUUCCACUGCAUUCAAUUAGUGGUUGGCAUGCGAGUUUUAUUUGUGGAAUAAAGCUCUGUGGGAGUUCAUAUUAUAUAUUGUUCUAUUUGUCUGUGCAAAACAUUGUGAACCUUGUUCUCUGUAUUUAUAAGUUGACAAUGUAGCCAUCUUGGUUGGCUGCUUUCCGAAGUCAAUUUAUUUGAUUCGUUCUCUUUGCUCUUCACAAUGAGAGGUAGCUCUUUUGUACUUUUUUAAUAAGAUCAUAUUAUACAUGCUCUUUUGCAGUGGUCUAGUGGUUUAGUAUCUUGUUAAUAAAACCAUAUUGUAUAUUUGAAUAGUUUGGAGAUUGUGUUAACUGUAUUUGGUGCAUCUUGAAGUAAUGUUUGUUGUAUCUUAUAUGCUUCCUGAAUCAAAUAUGGAGAGAAGGUAGUAUAUGGAGUUUAUAUUUUCAAGUAUUUUUCACACAAUUGAUUUAUCUGUUCCCUUCAUUGAGGGGAAAACAUGGAAUGAAUUGACUUACACCUCACUUCUUCCUCAAACAUCUUUUGUACCACUUAUUUUCAUAAAAUGAUAAGAAUCUUUUUAGAUUACAACUUCCAGAGGUCUAUGUCACCUUCUUGACAAUCAGGUUUUUAGGAAUAUUUUUACCCAUCAUGCAGAAGUUUUAGACAAAAUCUUGUUCGUGGUUGCUGCUAGAUGCAUGAUACUGCCUCAUUUCCUUUGUGGUGGUUCUUCGCUCUCCCCCUUCUUAGUAUUUUUGGUUGUUGAGUCUUGGAGGCAGUUGUAUUCAGUAAUGGCUGGCUUGCUUUGAUGCAUUGCUUCUGUAUAUCUUUGUAGAAAACGAAUCUGUAUCUAUUAUUAACACAAAUUUGAUUAGUUCAUGCCAAUGGAUUUGUAAAGUUAAAUUAGUUAUUGGCGUUAGAAAUUUACUCUUAUGCCUGGAAGGAGAUCUGGCUUACAGAUCAACUACUGGAGUUAAUUGUGGAAAUUUGUUUGAUUUGGUUUCUUAUAAAAUUGUUACCCUGUUCUAUUUAUGUUGGAGUAGCUGAAAUCUGAGGUUGCAUUUGUCAUUAACAAAUAGAAAUCCAAAAAGAGAGGAAAGUGAUAUCAUCCCCUCCACUUUUUCCUUGGAAUUGCGUACUUCAAACUUUUUUAAUUGUAUAAAUUCAUAUAAGAAAAUUUAUUAUGAUGUUGUAAAACUAUAAAACAUAUGGAUUAUGAUGUAGAAUUUCAUUUUCAUCUAACCUUUUCUUAAUAUAAGUUAAUUAUGUUUAUGCAGAAUAUAAUCUCAAGUUAUAAUUUGAUUUUAGUAAAUUCAUAUAAGAACAUUUUAUUAUUAAAUUAUAUUUAAUAUUAAUUAUUUUAAAUUGUAUAAAUUCAUAUAAGAAAAUUUAUUAUCAAGAAUUUUAUGAAAUUAUAUAUCAUUAUUAAAUUAUAUUUAAUAUUAAUUAUUUUAAAUUAUAUAAAUUCAUAUAAGAAAAUUUAUUAUCACGAAUUUUAUGAAAUUAUAUAUUAUUAUUAAUUAUAUUUAAUAAUAAUUAUUUUAAAUUAUACAAAUUCAUAUAAGAAAAUUUAUUAGUUAUAAUUAUUUUAAAUUUUAUUAAAUCAUAUAUUUUAAUUAAAAUAUUUUUAAUAUUAAUUACUUCAAAUUAUAUUUUAUAGUAUCAUAUAUUAUGAUUUUAGUAAAUUCAUAUAAGAAUUUUGAUUAUUAAGAAUUUUAUUAAAUUAUAUAUUUUAAUUAAAAUAUAUUUAAUAAUAAUAAUGUUAAAUUAUCUUUUAUCGUAUCAUAUAUUAUGAUUUGAGUAAAUUCAUAUAAGAAUAUUAAUUUUUAAGAAUUUUACUAAAUUAUAUAUUUUAAUUAUAAUAUAUUUAAUAAUAAUUAUGUUAAAUUAUAUUUUAUAGUAUCAUAUAUUAUGAUUUGAGUAAAUUCAUAUAAGAUAUUGAUUAUUAAGAAUUUUAUUAAAUUAUAUAUUUUAAUUUAAUAUAUUUAAUAAUUAUUAUGUUAAAUUAUCUUUUAUAGUAUCAUAUAUUAUGAUUUGAGCAAAUUCAUAUAAGAAUAUUAAUUAUUAAUAAUUUUAUUAAAUUAUAUAUUUUAAUUAUAAUAUAUUUAAUAAUAAUUAUGUUUAAAUAUGAUUAAAUUAUUUAUUAUUGAUAUUAUUAAUCUUAUUAAAAUUUAAAUAACAAUAACAAUAAUCAUUUACCCAAACAAAUUUAUGCUAAUGGUAUUCUAGUCAUUUUAGUUUUUUUCCAUUAUGCUAUUACACCUCUAUUCCAUUCAACCAAACACAAGAAUACUAUUACGCCUCUAUUCCAUUACGCCUCUAUUCCAUUCAACCAAACAAUUGAUUUGCUAUUACGCCUCUAUUCCAUUACACCUCUAUUCCAUUACGCCUCUAUUCCAAUACAGCGAACCAAACGUGCUGUAAGUGUUUACCAACCUUCUUUUAGUUAAAUUAUGCAAGCCUAAAAUUUUCAGCUUUAUUUGAGUACGUUUUCUAUGUCUAAUUCAAGUUUUAUUAUUAAGGACUAAAUUGUAACUUAAACAAAUUAGAAUACCAAUUUAAAGAGACAAAAUUCAAAACCCCAAAACCCACACGGGCAUGUGGGUAAGUGGCACGGGCCAGUGGAGACUGGAGCUAUCACAUAAGGCGAGUGAGAUUGAAACAUAUGAAAUAAAUUAAUCCACUUAAUUUUCCAACAACCAUGCUAUACUACCAAACCAAAUAACGAGUGAAGCUUUGAAUAGGGGCGAAUCUAAAAAAAAAAUUAGAAGAAUUAGAAUUAAAUUAUAAAAUUUUGAGAAGUUAUCAUGUAUUAAUUUAUUAUUUUUUUAAAGGGUCCUAAUAGAAUUUUUUUCCCAUUCUGGUUGGGCCAAUACCUUUGACUGCCUCUUUAAAUUUGCUUCAACCCUAAACCCAAUAUUCGAUUUGGAUUAACAACAAUAUAUAGGUUUGUAUUUGUGGGAGUUUGACGAAUAAAAAUUUCUAUUUAAAAGGUUUAAAUUAUAAAUUUUUGAAAGUUUAAAAUAAAUUUGUAUUUUUUAUUAACAAAAUAUAAAAGAAAAAAAACAUGUUUAGACAAGACAAGAAACCUUGGGAUCAUACGGGUGAUUUUGAUGAUGUUAAUGGUUAUUUUGGUGGAGAGGGUAAACACGAAACAAAUGAUUCAUUAUAUAUAAUAUAAUUAUGAAAUUCAAGCCAUAUAUUGUACUUUUGGUUUUUCUGCAAUAUGAUACAUGUAUUUGGUAAAAAGUUAUAUAUUUUGAUACUUAAAAGUAACAUUGUUAAUUUUUUUAGUGCUUAAUCUGAAUUUUAGAGUUUAUUUAAUGAACAUUAAUUGUUAAUAUUGUUAUGUUUAUUUUUUUAUGAUUUUGUUAAUAAAAUAAAUUUUAUGUUUAUCUUGUUAUCUUUUUUAUUUUAGAAUUGAUUACAUGAAAGUUAAUUGCUAAUAUUAUUAGUUAACUAUUAGUUUUCUUCAAAUCAAAUUAAAACCCGAAAGAUCCCACUUUUUUUUUAUAUUAGUUUUAGUUAUCCAUUAAAUUUGUUUCUUUGUAAUAAAAUUAAAUUAUAGAAAUAACAUUAAAAUUUUAAAUAAAAUUAAUUCACAAUAAUUAUACAGAAUUUAAUUUUCUUUCAAAUACUGCAGUUAAUAAGGAAAGUGAAUAUAGUAAAAAGAAAUAUUGUUUAAUUAGUUAAUUUAAAAAUCAAUAGCGUCUAAAAACUGUCAGAAUGGAAUAUUAGAUUUUAUAAGAUUUCAUUAUUCUAAAAAAUAAAAUAUGACAAUGCUUAAAAAUUUUAUCAAAAAAGUUUUAAAUUUUAUAUAAAAUUUUAAAAAAUAAAAAAACAGUAUUAAAAAUUUUUAUAAGCAAAUUAAAUAUUAAUUAGUAAAUUAUUUUUGUAAUAUUUAUAUGUAUUUUCAUUUUUAUAAAUACUAUUAAAACUUUUUUUAAAAAAAUUGAAUGCUAUGUAAAAACAUUAUUAAAAAUAAAAUAUUAUAUGAAAGUUAAAAUGAUGUAAAAACAUAUUUUCAGUGUUGGCGUUGCUCGUUCGUAAAUGGGUUAGUUUCCGUUUUGAUGUGUUUUUACGUGGAUAGUAAAAGAAAUGUGUUAAUUUUUGGAUUAUGGAGUUGAUCGUUUUUAAUCAAUUCUCCAGUAAGUUGACUCGUUUGUUGUUGUUAUGUGCUAGGAUAAGAGAUUAAUUCUGAUUUGGGCCUGUGUGGUUGUGUAGAUUUUCCAUGUGAAAUCGUUUGGUAUUUUUAGGAUAAAUCAUUCUUUAAAUCGUAUUGCUACCAUCGCGAAUGUGAUGUUUUAAUUUAUGCAUUUAGGAUCUGGUAGUCUUAUAGGUGUUUUCGCAUAAAAAAUUGAACCAUGUGUGUAACGAAAGCUAAAAAAUUGCACUGUUGACGCCACACGGCCAUGUGACAAGUCGUGUGCUGGAUCAUGUGUAACACACGAUUUGAGCUAGUUGAGCCAUGUGGAAAACAAAGGUGUGUGUGAAGGCGUGUGCCACACCAUGUGGGCCACACAGGCUGGCCAUUUAGGCCGUAUGGGACCAAAAUUCUAAUUUUUUUCCUAGGGUUAUACACAGUGUGUAUACUUGUCUUUGAAUUGAAAAAUUCUAAACAACUCUAAAUAAAUGGAAAGCAGCAAAUUACCUGACGAGGCAAGCUAGGUCAAUUACGACCAUUGUGUUAUUCUUGUCUCUGAAUUGAAAAUUUUAGAAGAAACUAAAGAGAAAGUGUUAGAAAAUAAUUGAAAACAGAUAAAACUUAUGUCUCAUUGAUUGGAUAAACUACGAUCACCCAUAAUAGACCUUGUACUUGACUUUUUGUUUAGGGAGAUUGACUCUUUUAGGAGAAGUCUUUUGAGUGUUGUUUGCUAGGCAAUCGGUGCUGCCCUCAACAACUAAUGGUAGUGUCCCCAUGUUGGGAUUUUAUCCCCAGCCUCUGCGGAAUAAUCAUUGAGGAUAUGUGCGUAGGGAUUCAAACUACCAAUCAAUGCAUGUGUAGCCUUUACCUUGCAACCAUCUCCAUGAACCCAUAGGGUUCUUAGCGGGAUCAAGAGACGAAACCCUAAUGUGGGAACAAUACCAUUUGUUGAAGGCUUUGUUAAUAGGGUCACACCUAGGGGAGUUGGCAGGGGUCCCAACCCCCCUUAAAAUGAAAAAUUUUCCAUUUAGGCCCUUUAAAAUUUUUAAAAUUUUAAAUUAAUAAAAGUAAAAUUGUACUUUGGCCCCCCAAAAAGUGAUAAAACUUCGAUUUAGUCCUCUAAAAAUUAUAAAAUAUAGGCUAUUAAAAUGGUGAAAUUGCAUUUUUACUAUCAUAAAAAUUAUAAUUUAAUUUCACCCCCUAAAAAGAUUUUCUGGCUUCGCCCCAAAUAAAAUCUUUGCCAAAAGAUUAAAAUAAAAUUAUACCGUAAAUGAAAAAAUAAACUAAGAAAAUCCAAUCUAACAAAGAAAAUAACUUGAUGUCCAAAAGCUACCAUGAACCGUAAUUCAUGGGAAGUCUUGUUGCUCAUUUUAUUGGUUUCCAUUUUGAUUUUGCAAAAUAAGUUUGAAUUUUGAAGAGAGCCUACUACGUGAGAGCAAAAGAAAAAAAUUCUAUAAAGAUUUUGAAUUUUGAAUUUUGAAUUUUGAAUUUUGAAUUUUGAAUUUUGAAGCAGAUUUUCAUUAAGAUUGAAGAUUCCUAAUUGAUUUCUUAGGAGAUUAUCAUGAGUUCCUUAUUUCUUUCAGUUAUAUUGCCCUUUGGAUUUUUUAUUUUUAAUCAUGAACUACUUUUCUAAAUACGUAAGAGAGAUGAACCCUAUGAUAGAUUGUGACACCCCAAAGCUGACCGGGAUAGACCGGCCUGAAUUCAAAGCAUUACAUUAGCCACCUAAGGACCACUCAAGACACACCCCGACCUUAUAACACCUCAAUCUUAUCUAAUUACUAGUUAUUUAUUAAUGCCGAAGUAAAUUAUGAGCCAAUUUUAAAGUUUUCCUAGGUAAUUUAACCUAAGGGCAUUUACAUCAUUUUAUGACCUAUGGUAAAACUAACCUAGAAAUACCGAAAACAUUCCAAAAUAAUAUAAAAAAAAAGCUAAGAAAAACCUAGAAAUACAAAAAAAAAUUCAUGUUUUUACAAAUUGGGAAAUACCUAAAUUUGUUUUUAUCAAUUAAGAAAUUAAAAAAAUUGUUGAGAAAUAUCUUUUUAGUGAUUGUUAGCUUUGACAAGUUCUCUCCACCACUUCUCUUACGCUCCUUCCAGGAUCUUGCUUUUUGUGUGUUGAAAACUCAAAUGAACAAAAUAAAGUGAAUUUACGAGUUUUGUUUUCUUUUAAAAAUAUUUUUAAUAUUUUUGUGGAUACCAAGAGAUACCAAAAAUUAUUUCACUAAGAAGUUUUAAUUCACUCGAAAAGUUAGUGUUUUAUUUCAAGGGGUCAUAAUUAAUCAUUAGAUUUCUCAAUUUUAAAUUUUGAAUUUUUGACAAUUGUGUAAUUAAUAAGUACCAAUUUUGAGUGGUGUAGGGCUAGUACAAUCUCCCUUACACAUAACCGACUCUUGAUCUAAUAAAUAUUUAUCCUUAUACUUUGAUCUAAAUAUUUUGAUGUAAUCAAUGUAAAAAACCUUUUAAACAAAAUAAGGUUGAAAUAAUCUAUUUGUCUUUAUACUUUGAUAAAAUUUGGGAUUUAGUCCUCAUACCUAAUGUUGACACCAUUUUUUUGUGAAAACGGGGUUGACUUGGAUUUUGUAAACGAAAACGAAAACGGGGGUCGCCACCAAUUCUUUUUGAUAAGGUGUGAUCGGGCCACCUUGAAAAGUGGUUGUUUUUAAUAAACAAUUUAAUUUUAUGAAAACAACGAUUUUGGUCCACGAAAUUCAGAAAAACAGGUUCGGGAGUCGGUUACGUACGAGGAAGGAUUAGCACCCUCAUAACGCCCAAAAUUGGUACCUAGUUGAUUAAUUAAUGUCUUAGUGUAGAAGAUUGAAAACUCUAAAGAGAUUUAAAACACGAUCCUUUACUGAAAUGAUAAAAAUUUUCGGCAAAAAGGGCAUAUUUCACAUUAAUCGAGAAAGAGAAUUAUAUCCAAUAAGUUAGAACACAAUGUCUUGAAUUCCGAUGCGCGAAUGAAUACCAAAAAUUUACUUAUUUAAAAGAUAUUUAACUAUCUCGGAUUUAAAAAAGGGAUCAUGCCCAGUAAGUUAGGACACGAUCUUUUCUUAAUUCCCGAGAUCGUUUAAAACUUGAGAAAAAAGGGAUCAUGCCCAGUAAGUUAGGACAUGAUCUCUUCUUAAUUCCCGAGAUCGUUUUAAACUUGAGUUUGAAAAGAUUCGUGUAUUUAAAUUUAUUGUGAAAAUUGAAACCCCGUAAGUUAGGGUACGACCUUCUCGAAUCUAAACAUGAGAUUUUGCUUAUUCAAAAAAUCAUAAUUUAUGCAUUGAAUAAAAUUAAUCUAACACGAAAUAGUAGAAAUGCAACACGGUGUCAAUAUGUGUAACAAGACAAAAAUGAAUAUGAUAAUGUAAGCAUAAAUAGUACGAACGACAUCGUAAAUGAGAUAAAUAAUAGGAGAGACAAAUCCAUCAUAUCACAACAAAUAAAUAAAUGCAAUAUUAAGACAUUCUUUUCAAAUGAUAAUGAACAUAUACGCAAAUAAACAAAUUAACAUCGAGUGAAACAAAAAUGCAAUAACGAAAUUAAUAAAACUAUAAAAAGUAUAAAAAUAUGUGUGUAUGUACGUGUAGGUAUGCAUUAUAAAAAUAUAUGUGCAUAUAUAUAUAUAUAUAUUUGAAAUUACAAAAUAUAAAAGAUAUAUAUAGGUAUGUAUAUGUAUGAGUUAUAAAAUAUAUGUAUGUAUAUGUGUACAUAACUAAAUUUGAAAUAAAUAGAUAUAGAUAAACAUAAUAAUAAUAUAGUAAGACAGAUAUAUUUAAUAUUUAAAUAAGUGAACAUAAUAAAUGGGAGUAUAAUAAAUAAUAAUAAUAAUGCAAAGCUAGUAAUAUGAUAUAAUGAUAUAAUAUUAAUGACUAAGUAAAUAUAAGAAGAAAAUAUUAAUAGAUAAUGUAACAACCCGGUUUUGACCCUAAUCGGAAUAGUGGUUUCGGGACCACAAAUCCGAACUAGAAAAAUAUUAUUAAUAUUAUUUAGUGUGUUUAUAUUGUGUGCAUUUGAAUGUGUGAAAUUUUCGUGUUUUAAUUUCAUCGUUUAAGUGUCCGAUUUAAUAAAAGGGUUUAAUCGCGUAAAAUGAAAAAUUAGGGGUUAAUUAUAAAAGCACCUAAUUGUUGUUGGCUUUAUAAUUUAGAGGUUUUACUAUGAAAUUAGUCCACUAUAUAAGUUAGUGGGUGGCAAAAGACUAAUGUAACCUUAUUAUAUAUGUUUUAUAUAUAUAUUAGUAAAGGUUAAAAUAGUAAAUUAAUUAUAAAGUUAAUAUAUGUUUAAUAUAACAAAUUAAAUGGCUAUGUUCUUCAUCUUUUGGCCGAAUGGGUGAGAAAAUAAAAGGGGUUUAAAGCUUUUUGUAUUUCGGCAGAUUCAAGCUUUGAUUUAGGUAUGUUUUUGCUUCGGUUUUUGAUGAUUUUUACGUUUUUGAGAUCGUUGCUUUGAAUACUUCAAAACCCAUGUCUUAAUUUUGUGAAUUGAUGAAUAUUUUGAAUUAUGUCAUUGAUGAAUAUUUGUGUUUUGGGAUGUUUGAUGAUGAAUAAUGGAAGAUAUGUCUUAGAUUAACAUGUUUUGUAUUGGUAUUUUUGAUGAAUUUGAGUAUUUAGGGCUAAAUUGUGAAAAUAAAUUUUUGAGGGAUUAAAAUGUGAAAUAAAUGCAAUGUGUGGACUUGUAUGAGAACCAUGAAUAUUCGGCCCUUGUGUGGUAUGGGCAAAUUUUGUGUAUUUUGUGUUUUGUGCAAAAAGGACUAAAUUGCAAAAAGUGCAAAAUGUUAGGGGCAAAAUGGUAAUUUUCACAUUUAUGUAUUGAUGGACUCAAAUGAAUGUUUUGAUGAAUAAGAAGGUUAAAUUUGACUAUGUUUAGAUCAAGGAACGAAGAAAACGAAUUUGGAUCGGGGGAAGUCGAAAGUAAUCGAAUAGUCGAUCGUGUUUGCUGAUAUCCGAGGUAAGUCUAUUAGCAACUAAAAGUUAUUAAGUUAAUAUUUAUACAUGCAUACUAAUUUUAUCUUAUGAUUGAGCUAUAAUUUAAAGUAUAAAAGUUGAAUAAACUUUGGACUAUAGAUAUUGUAUAUAACAUGUUCGAAUAUACAAGUAUGAUCUUGUAUAAAUUAUUGGAUUAAUCAAAGAUAUGUAUAAGAUAUAUGUAUAUACAUAUAAGGUUUGAAUGAUUAUAUGAGUAUGUAUAUAUAUGUAUAAACUCUUGGAUUUGAUUUGUGAUAUGUAAUUUAUAAUUGUAUAUAUAUAUAUAUAAAGUCGAAUAAGCAUGCAAUUAUACAUGUAUGUGUUGUGUAUUGAAUUUAGAUAUGUCAUUAUAUAAGUAUAUGAGGAUUGAUUGUGAAUUUAUAUAUGUAUAAGUUUUUGUUUUGAAAUUAAGUAUGAAAUUAUACAUUCAUAUGGUAGAUUCGAAUAUGUAUAAAUGCACAUGUAUAAUUUCUUGAAUUGAAAUUAGGUAUGGAAUUAUAUAUGUAUGUGAAAGUUUCGAUUUGUAUGUAUAUUCACGUAAAAUUUUUUGAAUGGAAGUGAAGAUAUGAAAUUAUUAGUUUGGAUCAUUAUAAAGUGAUUGAAUGUAAUACAGACGUUACGUCUAGCAGGCUUGAUGCCGGUGAAGUAAUUCAGACUUUAAGUCUAGCAGGCUUAAUGCCGGUGAUACAUUUCAGACUAUAUGUCCAGCAGGCUAAGUGCCGGUGUACUGAAUCAGGCUUUAAGCCUAGCAGGCAAAAUGCUAGUGAAUCUUUUUAAAUUAUGUGAGAAUAUGCAAUUGAUAUAUCUAUGAUUUUGAUUAUACGAAAUAGAUGAAUACAUGAACAUUCGGUUUUUUUUUAUAUGCCUGGUGAGCUUACACCUACAUUCGGGUUUUAUAUUGGUUAAACAUAAUUGUAUGGAUUCGGUAUAUACAAUUAAUAAAGGCAUAUGUACAUUAGGUAUAUGCGAUUGCUGAAAUUAUAAAUGCAUAUGGUGAUAUGUGAUUGUUAAAUAUACACGUUGAGCCUAUGUGUUCGAUAAUUAAUUAUGUAUGCAAUUGAGAUAUGUAUAUAUAUACAUGUACUCAUUUAUAGGUAUAUAUAUUCGAAUGUAUAUACUAGCUAUGUAUUCAGGUAUAAAUCCAUAAUGAGUAUAUAUAUAUACAAACGAAUAUAAAAUGUGAUUGAUACAUAUGUGUUAGAUUCGAAUUGAUUUAAAGUUUACCAUGAGUAUACAUACACAUUCGGUUAAGAUAUGUGUAUAAUAUAUAUAUAUGCUCGAUUGUAUACAUUGGGUUGUAAUGUUGUUUUGUAUAAUAUAUAUUCAAUUGAUUUCAUUCGACAGGUAUACAUAUCUGACUAUAAAUAAAAUGGUCUGAGUACAAUAAUGUAUGAAUGUUAGUUGGUCGUGUUAGUUGAAAUUUCAGUAAAAUAGAUUAAAAGGUUAUAUUAAUUAUGUGUUUAUAUAUACAUUUAGUUAUGCUGUAGACUUACUAAGCUAUAAAAGCUUACUUCAUUUGUUUUCGUUCAUUUGUUUUUAUAGAUUUUGGAGACGCGUUACGAGCUCGGGGAUCAUCAGCAUAGUCCAUCACACUAUCGACUUCUUUUGGUAUUUUGUUAAAUAUUUGAACUCGAUCUUAUGGCAUGUAUAGGCUUGAUAAUGUUUUGGUUAGUUUUGGAUCCUAAUAUGUAAAUAGUCAUGCGAAAAGGGUUUAAUUUCCAUGCUUGAAUUUGACUACAUAUGAUCAUGAUUUGGGCUUGCAUUUGAAUGAGAUAUUCAAGUUACAUGUAUGUUAUAAAUUUUGGAUUAUGUUAGGUAUUAAAGUCAUGUUUAUGUGUGCUUUGUUUCGUAAUGCCUCGUAACCCUAAUUCGGCGACGGAGACGGGUUAGGGGUGUUACAGAUAAUAGCUAGGUUAAUAAAAAAAACAAAAUGGACUAAUUCAUGAUAAAAAUUAAAUUUAAAGGUUCAAUCUAUAAUAAAAUAAAUAAAGUGGGUCCAAAAUGAAAAGGCACGAAAGGGCGGAGGGCCAAAUGAGCAAUAAACCCAAAUUCCAGGCCACGCCCAGGGGUCCAACGAAUUGAGGAACGAAUUGAAAACCGCAACAAACCUACGGUCCAAAUUACAAAACGAGGGAAAAAAGAAAAGGAACUAAAUCAAAACAAAUCGAUAAUGCGGAGGGGCCAAAGGAGCAAAUAACCCAACACUUAACAAUGCACGGAUCCUCUGGUCGGGUCGAGUCGACGAGUGGAUCUGGGGGGCAAAACGACGCCGUUUUGGUACCUGGGAGGCCUGCCCAAAACGACGUCGUUUUAGGGCCUAUAUAAGUAAAAAAACAUAAACAAAAAAAUCAUUUUAAAUCCAUUUCAGAAAAAAAAAACUUUCCCUUUUUUAUUUUCUCUCUAGCCCCACUCCCUUCGAUCCAGACUCCGACCGAUGGCCGUCGCACCGCCCACCGACCACCGGCGACGGUGCCGCCCACUGACCACCGAUGACGGCGCCGUCGUGCACAGUUGUCGGAAAGUUCAAAACCCCUUUUUCUCUUCUCUUUUCGAGUAAAGUACCUAUUUGGGUUUAAGACAUCCCAAAAGUCCUUCAAAAUAAAAAAAGAAAGAGAGAAAAAUCUAGAGACCUUUCGGUUUCUCAUCACCGCCGAUGGAGUUUUUGGCGAACCCGUUGGUUUGACCACCCCAAGACCGGAGGUACCUCCGUCCGCGGCAAUAAAGGUAAUAGAUUUCUCUUUUUAUUUACUAUUAUAUUUAUUUUCGAAAUAAAUAAAUAAAUAAAAAUAUAAAAGAGGCACCUUUGUUUUUUCCAAAUCUGUUUCAAACUUUUUUAUUUUCGAAAAAAUCCCAAAAAUCCCCAUGAUUACAUUGAAUUUGUGGCUUUUAUAGCCCAAUGCAUAUUUUCUUUUUUCUUUUUGUUUAUCACUGCUUCUCUGCUAUUUGUGCUGUUGUUGCGUGUUUUUUUCAUGUUUUGCAGGUCUUGACGGAGCAGGUGGGCAGGUGGCAGAGCAAGUGGCGGUGGGUGGUGUCAGAGGUGGCAGAGGCAGAAGGUGACGCCAGAAGAUAGGAACCCCUAGGUGUGGCGCACCUAGGGUUUGACAUUGUUGUUUUUUAUUUGAUUUUUUGGGCUAGGUUUAGACAGUUGGGCCUGUGCAUUUUGCUUCGGGUUUGGGUUUAAUCUCGUUGGGCCGGGUGUAAUUGUGUUAGUUAGGCCGGGGCAUAAAUUGGUUAUUACACCUAAAAGGUUAAAAAUUAAGUCUUCUUAUUUUUUUUUAAAUCUUAGUCCUACCGUUAAUUUUUUUUUGUCAAAAUUUGUUAACUUGACAUAUUAAUUAGGUUUUCCUUAUAUGUCGUGGUAUAUGACCAACACAAAAUUAAACAAGUUGACAAGUUCUGACAAAAAAUAUCAAAGAUGAUAAUAAUUUAAUUAAAAUUUUUAAAUUGAAAAAGUAAGGGAUUAAAUUUAUAACUUUUGAAGUGUAAAGAAUGAACUUAUUGAAAUACAAGAACUAACAACACAUUUUAAAAUAUUACUAGUAAAUUAUAUAUCUACAACGUAAGCUCUUAUAUUAUAUUCUUGUAUCUAUUUUGUAUCUUUCAUUAUAAUAUGAUUUAUUAAUUUUAAUAUUUUUAUAGAAUAAUAUGCUUUAAACUAUUUUUUGUAUAAUUUAUAAAAAUUAUAAUAAACUUGCAAAAUGAUUUAAUGAUAUUUAAUUAUUAAUGGAAAAAAAAAUGAUAACAUAUAUAUUCUGUAUAUAUUAAGAUUUUGAGUCAUUAAUUAUAUAUCUACACAUUAUAAUAAAUUCAUCUUUCAAAAUGUUCCUUAUAAUUAAAGCAUAAAUUAUAUUUAUAAUAUUAUAAAUAUAUUAUAUCAUAAAUAUUCUUUCAAAUAUUUUUUAAUGUUUAAUAAUAAGUUAAUUUAUAAAAUAUUCUUUCAAUAAAUUAACGUGAUGCGAUCGUUAGGUGCUUGGAUUUGGUGAUGGGGGAUGAAGAGAAAAGGGAUGGAAGUGAAGAAAAAUGUUGAGAAAUGGAAAGGGUUAGCAAGGGAAGCUGCCAUGAAAGUUGGUUCUAUGGAUAUGAACCUUCAAGCUUUUGUGGAUGAUGUUACUCAAGGUUGUUGGAAGUAAAUUUUAAAAAAAUUGAGGUAAAAUUAAAAAAAUGUUAGAGCUAAAUUUGUCAUUAUGACUAAAAUGUAAAACCAAAAUUUUUUGAAAAUAAAAAAAAAUGGAAAAUAACAAAUUCUGUCACUCAUGUUUGCUUAAAAUAUAGUUUUGGUCACCAAUCUUUUGAAGUAAAUAUAUGGUCACCAAUAUUAUCCAUUUGUUACUCUGCAAUAACUCACCUCUAUGAAAUUUGGCAGGCCGUGUCAAUUUUGUAGAUUUGCGCUCUGAACUGUGAAAAAAAUGCAAAUUUUAGGUUAUUCAAGCAUUUUAAUACGUAUAUAUGAAAAAAAGAAGAAGAUAGGAGAGAACCUUCCUAGAAUAUUUAAGAAAAUAGCUCCAAAGACACUAUUGAAGUCAACUUUGAAGCAAAUUUUCAUCAAGAUUGAAGAUUCCCAGUUGAUUUCUAAAGAGAUUAUCAUGAGUUUCUUUAUUUCUUUCGGUUAUACUGCCCUUUGGAUGUUUUUAUUUUUAAGCAUGAACUAAUUUUCUAAAUACCUAAGAGAGAUGAAUCCUAUGGUAGAUUGUGGCACCCCAAACCCAAUCGGGAUAGACCGGCCCGAAUUCGAAGCAUUACACUAGCCACCUAAGUGACUCUCCAGCUAACGACCACCCAAGACACACCCUGACCUUAUAACACCUCAAUCUUGUUUAAUUAUUAGUUAUUUAUUAUUGCAUAAAUAAAUUAUGAGCCAAUUUUAAACUUUUCCUAUGUAAUUUAACCUAAGGGCAAUUUUGUCAUUUUACCACCUAUUGUAAAACUAACUCGAUUUUAGAAGUUUUUACCAACCUUAUUUUAGUCAAAUUAUACAAGCCUAAAUUUUUUAGCUUAAUUUGAGUUUGUUUACUAUGUCUAAUUCAAGUUUUAUUAUUAAGGACUAAAUUGUAACUUAAACAAAUUAGAAUAUCAAUUUAAAGAGAAAAAAUUCAAAACCCAAAAACCCACACGGGCAUGUGGGUAAGUGACACGGGCGUGUGGAGACUGGAGCUAUCACACACGGGUGAGUGGGAUUGAAAAAUAUGAAAUAAAUUAAUCCACUUAAUUUUCCAACAACCAUGCUAUACUACCAAACCAAAUAACGCUUGAAGCUUUGAAUAGGGGUGAAUCUUAAAAAAAUUAAAAGAAUUAGAAUUAAAUUAUAAAAUUUGAGAAGUUAUCAUGUAUUAAUUUAUAAUUUUCUAAAGGGUCUUAAUAGAAUUUUUUUUUUCCCAUUUUGGUUGGGCCAAUACCCCUACCUCUUUAAAUUUGCUUCAAUCCUAAACCCAAUAUUCGAUUUGUUGUGGAAGUUUGAUGCAUAAAAUUUCUUUUUUUAGAGGUUUAAAUUAUAUAUUAUUGAAAGUUUAAAAUAAAUUUGUAUUUUUUAUUAACAAAAUAUAAAACAAAAAAACAUUUUUAGACAAACCAAGGAACCUUUGGGAUCAUACGGAUGAUUUGGUGAUGUUAAUGGUUAUUUUGGUGGAGACAAGCCAAGAAAAGAAACAAAUGAUUCAUUAUAUACAAUAUAAUUAUCAAAAUUCAAGCCAUAUAUUGUCUGUUUCAUCCAUAAAAAUUUCAUGGGAGGUCCAAAGGUAAUUAAAUGACUUGUAGGCUUGCUGAAUUUCUUUGAAAGGCCCAAAGGCAAUUUAACACUCACAAAAUAAUCUCUAAAUACUGUAAAGACAAAUCAAAUCCACAGCAGCAUUAGAGUUGAUUAAGCUAAGCAUUGGCAAAUAUUACUUUGAUUUUGCAUGCAAUAUCGGCAAAACCCCCCUCUUACAUUAGAAAAAACAACAUAAUCCAUGUAACAUUGAUAGCCCAAUACAAAUUUCAUCAAGAAAAAAGUCUCUUUGUUUUGUAGAACAUGAUAGUAAAGAUGUGGAGUUUCAUUCUUCUUAUUGGCCUCCUUUAGUUUUCCUUGAUCAACAACCACUAGCCAAAAACACAAUUAGAUUAGAUUAUGAAUGAUACUUUCAACUAUGACAAUAUUAAAUACAAAACACUCCAAAUAACUCUAAAUAAAUGGAAAGCAGCAAAUUACCUGACGAGGCAAGCUAGCUUAAUUAAGACCAUUGUAUUAUACUUGUCUCUGAAUUGAAAAAUUUAGAAGAAAAUAGAGAAAAAGACUUAGAAAAUACUUGAAAACAGAUAAAACUUAUAUGUCAUUUAAAAUAAAAAAAAAUUAUUUAAGCUGUUUAAAAUUUUUAAGAUUUUUAAAAUUUUAAAAUGAUAAAGGUAAAUUGUACUUUGGCACCCCUAGAAAUGAUAAAACUUUGAUUUAAUCCUUUAAAAAUUAUAAAAAUAUAGGCUAUUAAAAUGAUGAAAUUAUAUUUUUACUAUAGUAAAAAUUACAAUUUAAUUUCACCCCCUAAAAAGAUUUUCUGGCUUCGCCCCUAAUAAAAUAUUUGGCAAAAGAUUAAAAUAAAAUUAUACCGUAAUUGAAAAAAGAAACUAAAAAAAUCCAAUCUAACAAAGAAAAUAACUUGAUGUCCAAAAGCUACCAUAAAUCGUAAUUCAUGGGAAGGCUUGUUGCUCAUUUUAUUGGUUUCCAUUUUGAUUUUGCAAAAGAAGUUUGAAUUUUGACGAAUACCGACAUAUUAUAUAUAUGACUAAAAUUCCAGAAUAGGUUAAAAAUGUUGAAUUAAAGAUGAAAUUAAGUGUGAAUUAAUAACCACAAGUGUACUCAUUACUCACCAUCUCUGUUAAAAAUGUUGGAUGUUGUUUAGCAACCUUUGUUUGAUUUUCUUCAGCUCAACCACAACAUCUUUCAUAUCUUUUCUUUCUUCUGGUAACUCAGCUGAACAAUUCAAAGCCAACUCCAUGAUAGAUGAAAUACAAUUUGCUUUAACAACAAUGUACUCAUCCUCUCUUCUUAGUAAAUCAACAUCUGCAAUUUCUAUCGCUCCUUUAGGCAAUGAACUUUCCAUCCAAUGCCUUAUAGUCUCUUCUUCAACAAAAACAUUAUCAGAUGGCUUUUUCUUUGUGAAAGUUUCUAUAAGGACGAUCCCAUAACUAUAGACGUCAGAUUUUAUAGAAACAAUUCCUGCUGAUCCAAAUUCUGCAUUUCAAGUAUAAUUAGAACAUCAUUCAUCCUCAAUUAUUUCUAAAAUGCUUAUUCUAAUAUCUAUCCAUAUACACAUGAAACAAAAAUAUAAAAUUCAAAUUAGGAAAAUAAUCAUACAAAAAUAAAAAAGAAUUCACCUGGUGCCAUAUACCCGAUAGUUGCAAGAGUCAUGGUUUGCUUCAUUACUUCACCUUCUCCCAACAAUUUGGCAACGCCAAAAUCUCCAACAUGUGCAACCAUGUCUUCAUCUAGUAAAAUAUUGCUUGGCUUUAUGUCACAAUGAAUUAUAGGUGUUGGAUGUCCAUUGUGGAGGUGUUCUAUAGCUAACGCAACAUCUAUCAUUAUGUCGACCCUUUGUAUGAUAUCAAGGAAACAAUUUUCAGAAUGUAACCAUUUCUCAAGGUUUCCAUUAGACAUGUAAUCAAGCACCAAGGCUUUGAAGUCAACACUUGAGCAGCAAGUAAUGACCUUCACAAUAUUACGAUGAACUAUAUUAAGCAUAGCAUCACAUUCAAUGUCAAAACUCCUAAAUGCUCCCUCUGUUUGCAAAUUGAAAACUUUUAUUGCAACUUCCAUUCCAUCUGAAAGCCUCCCUUUAUAUACAUAUCCAAAACUCCCUGAACCAAGCAUAUUGCUUUCCUCAAAUCCAUUAGUUGCUCGUGAAAGUUCAGCAUGUGAAAUUCUUCUCGGUGUUUUCAAAGACAACAAAUCAUCUUUAAUUGAUAGAGUUGUACUCCUUCUUUGGCAUCUUCUAUACAUAAUAGUUAAGACUAUUAGUACUACGACAAUGCCAAUUGUUGGUAAACCAUACCUAAAAGCAUGCAAUAUAAUCAUUUGGGAGUUUUUGUGGAUGUCGUUUUUGCAAGGUGGGACUUGCAAUCUAGGUGGACCACAAAGUGCAUAAUUCUUCAUGAAUGAUGUGCUAGAAAAGUUUGAAAAACAUCCUUUGCUGGGAAUUUCCCCUUCAAGUCUAUUGAAAGACACAUUAAAAUACCUUAGAUAUAUAAGUUUUUCCAAAGAUUUGGGAAUGACUCCAGAGAGAUUGUUAUUGCAUAAAUCCAAGAAUUCCAAACUAAUCAAUCCAGCAAAUGAUUCAGGGAUAUGACCAUGUAGUAUAUUAUUUGAUAAAUCUAAUGAAACCAAAGUUAUAAGACCCCCAAAUGUGGAUAAGAUAUCGCCCGUGAGAAGAUUCUUUGAUAAAUUUAGUUUCAGUAGACUCCUCAAAUUUCCAACAUCAAUAGCAUGUGAACUGUGAAGAUGGUUUGAUGAUAAAUCUAUUUCUAAGAUAUCUUUAAGAUUCCACAAAGUUGAGGGUAUUGUAGAACUCAAUCUGUUGGAAGCAAAGUAAAGAUAUCCCAAAGAAGUAAUAUUACCCAAACAAGAGGGUAUGGAUCCAUGCAGCUUAUUCAACCCUAAAAAAAAGUUGUAUAAUCUCUCCAAAUCACAAAGGCUUUCUGAGAUGGGCCCUCCUAAUUUAUUAGAGGAAAGACCUAGACUUUGGAGAUUCCGCAGUCCUCCUAUUGAUGUUGGAAUGAAUCCACUUAAUUUAUUAAAGCCAAGUUCUAAAACCACCAUGUUGCUUAAGUUACCUAUUUCCAUAGGAAUAAUGCCUUGAAGCUCACAAUUAGAGGCAUAAAAGUAUUGAAGGGAUUUUGAAAGGUUCCCAAUAUAAGUAGGAAGAACGUCACUCAAUGGAUUUCCUGAAACAUCUAUUGCGGUCAAAUUCCUACAAUUCGUCAAAGAAGAAAGAAAGCUCCACUCAUGAUCAGUAGCAGAUCCUGUGAUCAAAUUAUUGUCAUUGAUUUUGAGCACUUCAAGGUGUUUUAAGUUGCCAAGCAUUUUAGGGAUUGGGCCAGAGAAUAAGUUAUGUGACAAUUCUAGUUGCUUAAGCAUGGAAGCAUUGGAGAUAGAGUUGGGAAUGUUUCCGCUAAGUUUAUUUCUCCACAAUAAAAGAAUCUCAAGCUUUGGAGCAUUGGUGAUGGGUGGUAAAUUACCUGUAAAAUUGCAUCUUUUAGUAUACAUAUUCAUUGAAUACCAAAUUCACAAAAUAUAUAAGACAUUAAAAUAAAAACUGUAAAACUUUAAAUCAAUUAAGAAUAAAAUUUUGGCAUGGAAAAAUGUGAUGAAAUCAAUUAGAAAGUUGAGACAUAAUAAGAAGUUUUGAGUAGUAAUUAGUAAAACAUAUAAUACAUUAAUAAUUUUUAAAAUAUUGUAAAACUUGAAAUAAAAUAAAAAUAAAAGUUUGGCAUGAGAAUGUGGCAUCUAAUCAAUCUUAAAAAUGAGACUCACAUUGAAUAAUAAUUAGUUAUGAUUUGGGAAACAAAAAUGUUAAAGCCAUUGUUUUUAAUGUAAGCUGGUAUGACUUUUAUCUAUUGGGUUAAUUAUUUAUUUUUAUUAAAUUAUAGUGUAAAAUUUAAAUAUUAUUAUUUGCUUAAAUUUUUUGUAUUUUUCGUAUAUUUAAAAUUUAAUCUUUAUAUUUUUAUUUUCUGUGAUUUAGUCCCUCUACUUUUUGAAUUGAAAAUUUUAGGUUUAUUUAUUAACACCGUUAAAAAGUUUUUGUGUUAGUAUGGCAUUUUGAAAACUAAAAUAAACUUGAUAUCUAUGUUUUUAAUUAUUCCAAAUAUUGUUUUACUAUUUCAAGAUAAAUUAUUUGUGUCUAGACCAAUAUCUUAAGAACUAUUGUUGCAUAUUUAAUUAUUCUAAAGAAUUGUCGAUUGAAUCUUAGCUUGAUUGGCAUGUGCAUUGUUGCCAAUGUAGGAGAAUGUGGGUUCAAGCAUGCAUGCUGAAAUGCAUUAUCCUCCUAUUUAUGAAUUGGUAAAGUACUAAAUUUUGAUAUAUUUUAAAAUAUUAAAAAUUUAUUAAAAUAUUUUUUUAUAAAAAUUGAUUGUACCACAAUAUACAAUUUUAAUAUCAAAUUUUUAAUUUUUUUAAAAAAUAUUAGCGAAUAUGUACUUUAUUUCAAGUUACACAAUUUUUACUAGUUUUUAAAUUUUUUUAAUUUUUAUCGUCUUUUAUAAUUUCUAAUAAUUUUUUAUAAUUUUUUACAAUAUUUAACAAUUUCUAAAAUUUUUUAAUAAUUUUAUUAUUUAUUACAAAUUUAAAAAUUAACAAAUUUUUAAUCUUUAAAACAAUUAUAUAUUUAUAAUGUAGUUAUUUUUUUUAUAAUUUUAUUUGAAAUUUUAAAGAUUUUUUUGGUUUGUUUUCUAGAUUAUGAUGCCAUCAUAAUGUCAUCAUAUGCCACAUGGCAAUUUAUGAUUAGUUGGAUAUCUCAAUCUAUUUUUUUAACGUCCAAUGGACUAAGCCAAGAACACCUGACAAUGUUAGAGACUACACUACGAAUGUUUGAUAAUAUUACGUAUUAAAGUGGACAAAAAAAAUUAAGGACCAAAGUUAUAAAAAAAAAAAAAAAACAGCAAUCGGCUGCAGGGAAUAAACUGUGCAUUAAGCCAUUAAAAAUAUAUCUAUAAUAUAUAUAAAUGCAUGGAUUUUGAGAAACAUUUGAACUGAUAAUUACAUAGUCUUUGAUGUUUACUAUAUUAUUGAAUUUGUUAUUUUAAAUAUUUUUUUAUUACUUUUAAGAUUUAUCAUAUGUAUGGAUAAGAAUUUUGGUUUUACUAAAAUAUUUGGUUAAAUAAAUUCAUUUAAUAAGAAAAUUUAGCAUCCUUAUAAAUAACAAUUUUGAUUCUAUUAAAAAUUAUUUUCAAAAAUAUAUAAUAAAAAUUUAAAAUUUAUAUUGAAUUACUUUAUACUUAAAUUAUUAUUAGAAACUUUAUCAUACACAUACGUGUAUGAGAACCAUGUAUUUAGAACAUAAAUUUGUUUUUUAAAGUAACUUAUGAUAAAUAAUGAAAUGUAUAAUUUGAAACUAUUUAAUAAUAACACAUGUCAUAUCUACCAUAUUAAAAUAAAAAUAGAUUAAAUUGUAAGUAAAACAUAAUUUAAACAUAUGAAUACAUCAAAUUAAGAAUACUAAAUGAAUACAGUUAUUUAUGAUGAUGUUGUUGCCAAUUCUUAAGUUGGUGCCGAGUUAAUUUGUGACAUCAUAAAUUUAGGUGAUAAAUUUAAGGUUUUAUGUAUUGAUGUGGAUUCAAAUAUCACCAUAAUUUUUUUAAAUAAAAAACUAAAAUACCCUCAAAUAAUAUAACUUAUAUUAAAUACGAAAGGGUAUUUUUGUAAUUUCUCUAACCGAGUUGGUGCCCGGUUGACUCAUGACACCAACUCAAUCAAAAGCUUCAAUAAUAAUAUAGAUAUUCACGGUAAAAAAAAUUACUUUAGUUCCAAAUAAUUAUAUAACAAGUAAAUUUAUAAUUGACGAAUAAAUUUAUAAAUAAUAUAUUUAUAUGAUCUAAUAUAUUAUAUUUAUAUUAAUUAUAUAUCAUCUACAAACUUUGAAGAUUAAUUUAUUAAGUAUCAAGAAAAGAAAAAAUGAAAUUUAAUUAACACUAAAUCAAUUUUUAGAUUUUGUACAGAUGAUUUAAUGAUGAUAAAAAAAAUAUUAGCACUAUUUUCGAAUUAACAAAAAAUUAGUGAUAUAUUUUAAUUAUAUUUAUUAUUUAUUUUUUAAUAAUUUUUUUAAUUAUAUGAAGUAAAAUUAUAUUGUAUACUAAAAAUGGUACAUAUACUUUAAUUAUACUUGAAAAUUUAUUAUAUAAAUUAAUAUAUUUUAAUUAUAUUUAACCAUUUGAAUAACAAAAUAAAAAAAAACUAAUUAGAAUAAUUUAUUUUUUAAAGUCUAAUGGAAAUUAAAAAAUUAAAAAUAAAGCAGUUCAUAUAAAACUUAUUGUUUAUUAUCAGAUUAAAAUGAUAAAAGUAUAUGACCAAAAUAAAAGAAACAAAUUCAACUCAAUGUUUUUGGAGUUUGGAAAAAAUUAAAGUUAAAAACAUACCUUCUAAUUUGUUGUUAAAUAGAUCUAUUUCUUCGAGCGUAGUCGAAUUAAAAAUACUUGAUGGAAUCUGACCUGCACACAUAGUCGAAAAUUGAAGUAAAAAACAUACCUUCUAAACUGUUCAACUAAAAAUACUUUAAGCAUAUUUUUUAGUAAACUGUGCAACAGGUGAUAUGAGAAUCUAUGUAUAUAAAUGUAUAUGUAUAUAUAUCGUUGUUUCAUUUUGUAAAAUAAAUAUAUUUUCCACAUUGGUUUCUUUUCUUCUACAGACAAAGGAUUUCUAAUGAUUCUUUUUUAUUUUUACUUAUAAAAUAGGUUAGUUUCUGCAAUAAUAAAAACAAUUUCUAAUGAUUAUUGUUGUUACCAGAUAACUAAUUUUCAUUCAAGUAAAGCCCUUCAAGCUUGGGAAAAUGUUGACACAUAUCAUUAGGCAAACUACCUGAUAGGCUAUUGUUGGAGAGAUCAAUGGUCUUCAGAGAAGAAAUGUUCGAGAUCGAAGUUGGAAUCUGACCUGUAAGGCCUUUAAUUUCUUUAAUAUUAAGCAUUUCCAAACUAAGAAGAUUACCAAUUUCCUUAGGAAUUUGACCUGCAGACAGUCAAAAAAUCAAUGUUUUUCAGCAUAUGUUUUUCAUCAAAUGAAAUAAAAAGUUCUUCCUUUUGUUAUCUAUUACAAAUCAAACUCUUUUAUAAAAAAAAAACUUUAAAUUCAAGAAAUCAAGGAAAUUGAUUACCUUCUAGAUUAUUAAACCCUAAAUAUAACUUCUGGAGUCGUGUUAGAUUUCCAAUACUUCUUGGAAUGAUACCCAUAAAUUGAUUAUAGGACAACGACAAAAUUUGAAGGUUGUUGCAUUUGCCCAUGCCAAAUGGAAUGUUACCAGAUAAUUCAUUCAAACUCAAGUAAAGCCCUUCAAGCUUGGGAAGAUGUUGACACAUAUCAUUAGGCAAACUACCUAAUAGGCUAUUGCUGGAGAGAUCAAUAAUCUUCAGAGAAGAAAUCUUGAAGAUGGAAGAUGGAACCUGACCAGAUAAUUGAUUGAAUCCCAAGUUCAAGAUCUCUAGAUUAGACAUGUUAACAAGUGUUUCAGGGAUUGUGCCUGUAAAGUUAUUGUUUUUCAUUUUCAGCCUUCGAACUCUUUGUAAGUUCCCAAGCCAUGAUGGAAUUUCCCCAUUCAGACGGCUGUAGCUUAAUUGAAGGAUCCUCAAACGAUGCAAUUGGCCCAAUUCUUUAGGGAGAUGGCCAUAGAAAUGGUUGCUACUCAAGUCGAGAGAGAGUAGAAAUGAAAGAUUUCCAAGGUGUGGAGGGAUAGUACCCCUAAGAUUCAUGCUUGUAAGAUUCAAAGCUAUAACUCUUUUAAGAAGGAUGCCACAAGAAACACCAAUCCAAUUGCAAACAGAGGUUGAGACUGUCCAAUUGUUUGGCAAGACAUUUUGAGGACCGACGAUGCGAUCCUUAAACUCGAGAAGUGCAAACUGAUCGGAGUUUAGAUUCCUGACUGUCAUAGCCAAGCAAAGUACGAAACAUGGUAUGAAUAAAGCUAAAAGAAGAUGAAAGCAAGUGUUGUAGUUCAUGAUUGCAAGACGGAAUAAGCCAAGAAAAUAAAAAAAAGUAGGAAAAGGGAAGUUGAGUUGAUAAAAUAGUUUGGAUGAUGAAGAAAAGCCCUGAGAGCAUGCUUUAAUAUGUUUCAAUCAUCGCACACUUGAUAAACUUGAUAAAUUUAAGACUACCCUAAAAAUUAAAAAGGAAAGCAAAGUUUUGAAGAAAUUUCAAAAUAAAUGUCAAGUCUUCUUCUUUUAAAAAUACGUACAAAGAAGCGAAUUUUCAAAAUUUCUACUAAAUUUUCUUCACAUUACUCCACAUAAUCCAUUAAAAAAACUUCAAAAAAAAAUAUUUUAUUAAUUACUAUAUAUUCUUUUAUUUUCAGAAUAAUAAUUGUUUAAAAUAUGCUAUUAGUCCCUGUAAUUUUAAAGUUAAAAAAAAUCCAAUCCUCCUAUUUUUCUAAUUUAAAAAUUCUAGUCCAAUCAUUUUUAAUUCCAUUAAAAAAUUUCACCUUAAUAGGUUUUUUGAUUAUCAAUCGUAUGCAACAUUAUAUGAAGGCAGUCUAAUCAGCAUAUAUCCAAGUUUAUAGAUUUUAAUAGAAAAUACUUACAAUCCUAAUGGUAGGACUAAGUUUUUUAAACUAGAAAAGUAAGAAGACUUAAUUUUUAACUUUUUAAGUACAAGGAUUAAAUUUUAAAUGUUGUCAAAGUACAAGGAUUAAAUUUUAAAUGUUGUCAAAGUACAAGCACUAACAAAAUAUUUUGAUCUAAUAAAUGUAAAUGAACUUUUUAAACAAAAUAAGGUUGAAAUAAUCUAUUUGUCGUUGUAUUUUGAUAAAAUUUGAGAUUUAGUCUUUAUACCUAAAAGGUUAAAAAUUAAGUCUUCUUGUUUUUAUUUAAAAAUCUUAGUCCUAUCGUUAAAUUUUUUUGUCAAAAUUUGUCAACUUUACAUAUUAAUUAGGUUUCCCUUGUAGGUCGUGGUAUAUGACUAACACAAAAUAAGCAAUUAAGUUGACAAAUUUUGACAAAAAAUAUCAAAGAUGAUAAUAAUUGGAUUAAAAUUUUUAAAUUGAAUUUAUAACCUUUAAUGUAUAAGGAAUGGAUAUCAAAUUUUUAUAGGAAUAAAGGGACUAACAACAUAUUUUAACCACAAAAUAAUAUGGGUGAUUAGAAUGAAUCUAAAAUUUUAUAGAAAUAAAAGAGACUAACAACAUAUUGAUAACUUUGAAAUCUCCUUCGAUAAUCCUUUUUCUACGUAGAAAAAGAAAAUUAAUUAGCAUCUAAAGUGUCAAUUAAUGAAACCUUCAAGAGAAAAUGUGAAAUUGAUUUACCAAACAAUAAUAUUCUAACUUAUAAUAUAUUUAAUUACAUUUAGUAAUUUGUCAAUCAAAACUUAAUUAACAUCCAUCAAUACUUUAUAUAUAAAAAACGCAAGCAUAAAUUACAGUUUAAAGUAAUUGGGAUCUCGAGUGCAACAAAUUCCUCCUUUUAUUAUUAAAUGUUUUAUUUUAGUUACUCUAAUCAAAACUUAAUUAACAUCCAUCAAUACUUCAUACAUAAAAAACGCAAGCAUAAAUGACCAUUUAACUCAUAUUUAACUUUGCAAGUAAACUUCACUAAUUAUAGAGUUAUAGUGUAAACUUUGAAAAUAUAAGUAAAUUUACCAUUUAACUCAGACUUAACUUUGCAAGUAAACUUAAAAUUUUAUUUAAUUUUGUCACUAAAUUUGAUUUGUUCAAUAUAGAUUUUGGUGACUUAAAACAAAAUUAAUAAAAAAUUAUUCUUUCGGAUAUCUUUUUAAUGUUUAAUAAUAAGUUAAUUUAUAAAAUAUACUUUCAUUGGGCACAGGCCUCCAAGCCGGUGAACCACUGAUCAAAUUAAUUUGGAGAUAUCUUUUUUCUGAAUAAAGUGAAUUUACCAGUUUUGUUUUCUUUUAAAAAUAUUUUUAAUAUUUUUGUGGAUAUCAAGAGAUACCAAAAAUUAUUUCUCUAAAAAAUUUUAUUUGACUCGAAAAGUUAGUGUUUUAUUUCAAGGGGUCAUAAUUAAUCAUUAGAUUUCUCAAUUUUAAAUUUUGAAUUUUUUCACAAUUGCGUAAUUAAUAAGUUCCAAUUUUGAGUGUUGUGGGGCUAGUAAAAUCUUCCUUACACAUAACCGACUCUUGAACCUACUCUUUUCUUUAGAAUUCAAUGCAGACCUCAAAUUUAUCUUUUGAAAAGAAUUUUAAAAUCUCUGUAUAAAAGGUGUUUCUUUUUGUUACCGAUCACAUUUAACAAAAAUUUAAAAAUUAUUAAAAAAUAAUUUCUUUUUGAAAUUUAAAAUGAUCUAAAAACAUAUUUUUAAUUGCUUUGGACCAUCUAUUGCUGAUUUCCUUAUUAUAUUAAGUGUUUGCAAUCACUCUUAAUAUAUUGUGCUUGAGUUGUGACAAAGCCGAUCGUCAACGUGCCAUAAUGAUCAAUUGACGCUGAAACUGAAGUUUUUGUUAUAUUGAUAGAGCUUGUCCUUCAACGCAUACAACGUGUUUGUUAUUUUUCUCCCUUCAAAUUGUAUGAUCUUAUUCAUUAAAUGAAUUAAUGAAUAUCCCUUUUAAAAAGAUAUAUUUUUAAAAAUUAAAUACUUCAUAAAAUAUUUAAAACCAUUUAAAAAUUUGUUAGCCUUAAAACAAUCAACAAAAUAUAUUUUUCUCUAAAAAAUCAAUAAAAAUAUGUUUGAAAUUUUAUAUGAAAUUUAAAAUUUUUUAACAAUAAUAUAUUUUAAAAUUAUAGUAACGCUACAAAAUAUAUAUAUUUACUAAUUAUAUACACCUUUUUUAUAUUUUUUCCUAACAUAUCAUUAUUUUCAACAUUAUCGUAAUCCUGUUUUUAUAAUUCCCUUGUCAUACAUCCUUUUUCUACUUAGAAUUUCAAAAGAAAAUGUGAAUUAAUGUAGACGUGAGAAGACUUCAAGGUAAGUCACCCAAUGAAAGUGACCUAAACCGACUUAUGGAAGAAUCAAACAAUAAUUUUGUGUCUUGUAAUAUAUUUCUUGUAAUAUAUUUAAUUACAUUUAUUAGUUUAUCAAUCAAAACUUAAUUAGAAUCCAUCAAUAUUUCACACAUCAAAAACCCAAACAUAAAAUUCACUUCUAAAUUAUUUGGGAUAUAUUUGUAUUAUAGGAAAUGGAUUAAAUUAGUCUUUUUAUUAUAAAAUGUAUUAUUUUAAUCUUUGUAUUAGGUAUGAAUGAUAUCUCCUAGAUUGAACCCAAAGCUAUUCUUGAAAGACUGAAAUUAGGAUUUAGAUGUGUUGAGAUGGAAAGUGACAACACAAUGUUGAUUGAAACUAUUUGUAAUGGGUUGGCUACAAUAAGUAGUGCUGUCGAAAUAAGACAGAUUCACGAUUAGUCUUCCAAAAAUUGGGAAGUCAAAUUUCGACAUAUUUAGCGGAAUGCCAAUAAAAUUGUUGAUUGCUUAGCUAAGGCAAAUGGAGGGGUAAUUGAGCAGCUGGUUAUCUUGGAAGAUCCUCCGCAUUAUGUGAGAUGCUAGCUUGAAGAAGAUAUUAACAGUCACUGGUCUGAUGAUAAUUUUCAUUUGGACUGAUGAGCGCUUAAUUUUCUAAGCUUAUGGUCAACAAAAAAAAAUUAAAUACGUCUAAAUUGUAAUAGAGUUAACAUUUAGUGUUUAAAAAAUAUCUUAAAAUUUAUUUUUUCCAAUUGCAGUUCAAUUCCACAAAUAUCGACGAUGAACCCGAACAUAAAAAUUACAAAAAAAAACACAUCUAUUAUCAAACCAACAAUCCAUGUCUAAACUUAAAUUAACAAAAUUCACCACGCAACCUGGUACACUAUUUUAUAUAUAUAUAUAUACUAGAUUUAUUCUAGAUGCACAUGUUUUAUUAUAUUUAAAAAUUAAAAUAUAUGGUUGACUAAGUUUUAGUUGAAUUAGUAUUUGUUAAAAAUAUAAUGUUGGUAAUGACAAUAUAUAGCAAAGAAAAUAGAAAUAGAAAAAUAAAGAACACACAUAUUUUACGUGGAAACCCUUUCGGGAAAAAACCACAGGCAAAAGAGAAGAAAAUUCACUAUGUCGAAUUCAAAUCAAUUACAAGAGGAGUAGACUAUGCCUAUUUAUAGGCUUGGAAACCUUAUUCUAAUAGGAGUGAAACUCUUUAUUCUAAUAAUAUCAAAUAGAUGGAGUUUAAUAAGGUUUAAAAAACCUUAUUCUAAAAUAAAAUAAAAGAAGUAUAAUUCUAUAGGGAUUUUACUUUUAUUUUAUUUUACCAUAGUAUUUAAUUUAAAUAAGGAUUUGGGUCACUUAAUUCUAACAAUCUCAACCUUGACACGAAUUCUUAAUGAACAAGUUCUUCAUCGCGAACUCUCAACGAACAAGUUUCUCCACCUCUUCCAUAAAACCCCUUAAGGGUUUAUUUUCAACAAUGAACACCAACCAAGUCUAAGCAGUGCUCAAACUUGGUUAUAGGAAGUGACUUAGUCAUCAUAUCUACAGGAUUUUCAUGAGUACUAAUUUUGCUCACAACAAUAUCACCACGAGCAAUAAUAUCACGAACAAAAUGAUACCGAACAUCAAUGUGUUUUGUUCUCUCAUGAAACAUUUGAUCUUUUGUAAGGAAGAUGGCACUUUGACUGUCACAAAAUACUGUAUUAAUUUGAAGGUCUUCAUUGAGUUCACUAAAGAGUCCGUUCAACCAAAUAGCUUCUUUGCAAGCCUCAGUAAUCGCCAUGUGCUCAGCUUCAGUGGUAGACAAAGCGACUGUAGUUUGCAAAGUGGCUUUCCAACUGAUUGCACAACCUCCGAUUGUAAAGACAGAACCUGUGAGAGAUCUUCUUCUAUCCAGGUCUCCAGCAAAAUCAGCAUCAACAUACCCAAUGACUCCAUCUCUAGUUCUUCCAAACUGUAAGCAAACAUCGGUAGUACCUCGUAAGUAUCUUAAAACCCACUGAACUACUUUCCAAUGUCUUUUAUCGAGAUUCGCCAUGUAUCUACUAACUGCACUAACUACAUAUGAUAAAUCUAGAUGUGAACAAACCAUGGCAUACAUGAGAGAUCCUCCUGCACUAGAGUAUGGAACAUGUGACAUGUACUCAAUCUCAUCAUUUGAUUGUGGAGACAAAGCUGAUGAUAGUCUGAAAUGGGCUACUAAAAGAGUACUAACAGGCUUAGCAUUCUGCAUAUUGAAUCUAGAAAGAACUUUCUCAAUGUACCCUUUCUGACUUAGGUACAAUUUACUUGCUUUUCUAUCCCUGAGAAUCUCCAUACCAAGUAUCUUCUUUGCUGGUCCCAAGUCUUUCAUCUCAAAUUCUUCACUUAGUUGGGCUUUGACCUUUCUUAUCUCUCAUUUAUCUUUCGCUGCUAUCAAUAUGUCAUCAACAUAAAUGAGUAGAUACACAAAAGAACCAUCAUUGUUUUUCUUAAAGUAAACACAACUGUCAAAGCUACUUCUUUUAAAAUCAUGAGAAGUCAUAAAGGAAUCAAACCUCUUAUACCACUGUCUUGGUGACUGUUUCAAACCGUAAAGAGACUUUUUUAGCAAGCAAACAUAGUCCUCUUUUUCUGAGACUGUAAAACCCUCUGGUUGUUGCAUGUAAAUAUCCUCCUCAAGUUCUCCAUGCAAAAAUGUAGUUUUUACAUCUAACUACUCAAGCUCCAAAUCAUGCAUGGCCACAAUACCAAGCAAAGCUCGAAUCGAACUAUGCUUCACAACUGGAGAGAACACAUCUGUGAAGUCCACUCCUGGAAUUUGACUGUAACUAUUUGCAACAAGCCUUGCUUUAUAUUUGGGUUCUUCAACUCUUGGAGUCCCCUCUUUCUUUUUAAACACCCAUUUACAACGAACAAUCUUUUUAACUUUGGGAAGUUUCACAAGAUCCCAUGUUUUGUUUUUGUGGAGUGAUUCUAUCUCCUCUUGCAUAGCAAACAUCCACUUUUCUGAAUCUUCACAACUAAUCGCCUUAGAAUAAUUAGAUGGCUCUUGGUUUGCAUCUAUAUCUUCAGCCACAUUUAAAGCAUAAGCAACUAGAUCAGCCUCAACAUACUUCUUUGGAGGUUUAAUUUCUCUUCUAGUUCUAUUUUUGGCGAUAGAGUAUUAUGGUGAAGAAGCAACUCUAUUUUGAAUUUUCGUACUGGCUUUAGUAGUCGACUCUGUUGUAGAUUCUAGAUCAAUCUGAUGCUCCACCUGCUUUAGAUUUUCUUUAUUGGAAGUCUUUAAGAGAUAACUUAGGUAGCAUAGCAGUUUCAUCUAAAACAUCUCUGCUAAUCACAACUUUUCUAUUUUCAGGACACCAUAACUUAUACCCUUUUACACCAGCUUUAUAACCAAGAAAAACACAUUUAGUAGAACUCGGUUCCAAUUUUCCAUUAUCAACAUGAGCAUACGCAGGACAACCAAAGAUUUUUAAAUUAGAAUAGUCAGCAAGAUUACCAGACCAUACUCUUGUGGAGUCUUUUUCUCAAUGGCAACGGAUGGAGAUCGGUUGAUCAAAAAACAUACAGUAGAGGCUGCUUCUGCCCCAAAAUGACUUUGAUAAGUUGGCAUUUGACAACAUAUAUCAAACCUUCUCCAUGAUCAUUUUGUUUAAUUUUUCUGCAAUGCCGUUUUUCUAUGGAGUAUGACGAACUGUCAAGUGUCUCACGAUCCCUUCUGACUUGCACAGUUUAUUAAAUUCAUCAGAACAGAACUCUAAGUCAUUGUCUGUGCAGAGGCAUUUUAGUUGCUUUCCUAUCUAUUUUUCAAUCAUGGUUUUUCAAGACUUAAAUGAGGAAAACACAUCACUUUUCCGCUUUAGGAAGAAUGCCUACACUUUUCUAGAAAAAUCAUCAAUUAAAGUUAGCAUAAGUAGCUCCACCUCUCGAAGGCACUCUGGAUGGCCCCCACAGAUCAGAAUGAAUAUACUCUAACGUUCCCUUCAUGUUAUGGAUUCCUCUGGUGAAUCAGACUCUCUUUUGCUUCCCAAAAAUGCAGUGCUUACAGAACUUCAGUUUGCAAAUUUCUUGCCCAUUAAGAAGUCCUCUUUUGCUCAAUUCUGCCAUGCCAUUCUCACUCAUAUGCCCUAGGCGCAUAUGCCAAAGUUUAGUAAUAUCAUCAUCUGACAAGGAAGAGGAUGAGACAGUUGCAUCACCAGUAACAGUAGAACCCUGCAAAACAUAUAACUUGGCAGUCUUUCUCUGCCCUUUCAUCACAAUGAGGGAACCUUUGGAAAUCUUCAAAACCCCACUUUCAACUGUGUAUUUGUACCCUUUUGAAUCAAGAGUACUCAACGAAAUUUAAUUUAUUUUUAAUUUUAGAACAUGUCGUACGUCAGUGAGUGUUCUGACAACUCCAUCAAACAUCUUAACUCUGAUUGUUCCAACACCUGCAAUUCUACAUGAAGCAUUAUUUCCCAUCAACACAAUACCUUCAGACACUAUUUCGUAAGUUGUAAACCAAUCCCGAUUGGGACUCAUGUGGAAGGUGCAACCCGAAUCAAGGAUCCACUCCUCGUCACUUUGGAAUUGUCGAUUGAAGUGACUAGAAGUUCACCAUCGCUGUAAUCUUCUACAACAUCAGCUUUACCAGAAUUUUCUAGUUGUUUUCCAUUUUGAUUCGCAGCCUCCCUUUUGAUCUUGUUCUGUAGCUUAUAGCACUCAGUUUUAAUGUGCCAUUUCUUCUUGCAAAAGUUACAAGUUUUACCUCUGUUUGAAGACUACUUUUAGAUUUACUGCGAGGAUUCCGUUCCUGUGUCCUUCCAUGAUCAUCAUCAGCAUUCCGAUCUUGUCUCCCAUGAACAAUAAGACCCUCUCCCCGAGAGUCGAUUUUAAGCACAAGAUGCUUCAUCUUAUCAUACGAGGUUAAAGAAUCAUAAACCUCAUCAACUGUGAGAGACUCGCGGUUAUAUAAAAUCGUAUCUCUAAAGGAUGAAUAAGAUGAGGGCAACGAACAAAGUAGAGUCAACCCUAGAUUUUCCUUAUCAUACUGAACCUCCAUGGCCUCCAAGUUUGAGAGAAUUUCUUUGAACACUAUUAAGUGUUCGUGCACAGAUGCACCUUCCUCCAAACGAUAAGCAUAAAGACGCUGCUUCAUAUGUAGCUUGAUAGUUAGAGUUUUCGACAUACAUAUCUAUUCCAACCUCUUCCAUAAUCCAGCAGCAGUCUUUUCCUUCAUCACAUCCUGCAAAAUUUUGUUAGACAAAUGCAGAUGUAACUGUGUUAAUGCCUUUCAAUCCUUGCACUUCUUCUUUUCUUUCGUCAAUGUUGAAGGCAUCUUAUCUACCCCUAGUAGGGCUUCCUCUAAGUCCAUCUGUGCAAGAACUGCUUGCAUCUUUAUCUGCCACAAUGCAAAUCUAGUAUUGCGAUCCAACAGCAGAAUUUUGUACUUCAAAGACGUUAUUACCGUGAUUGAGAUGAACAACCCAGAAGCUCUGAUACCAAUUUGUUAAAAAUAUAAUGUCGGUAAUGACAAUAUAUAGCAAAGAAAAUAGAAAUAGAAAAAUAAAGAACACACAGAUUUUACGUGGAAACCCUUUCGGGAAAAACCCACGGGCGGAGGAGAAGAAAAUUUACUAUGUCGAAUUCAAAUCAAUUACAAGAGGCGUAGACUAUGCCUAUUUAUAGGCUUGUAAACCUUAUUCUAAUAGGAGUGAAACUCCUUAUUCUAAUAAUAUCAAAUAGAUGAAGUUUAAUAAGGUUUAAAAAACCUUAUUCUAAAAUAAAAUAAAAGAAGUAUAAUUCUAUAGGGAUUUUACUUUUAUUUUAUUUUAUCACAGUAUUUAAUUUAAAUAAGGAUUUGGGUCACUUAAUUCUAAUAGUAUUGAUAUUAUUGUCAGUGUAGGAAAAUAUGAGUUUAAUCAUGCUCAAAUGUGUUUUAUCCUCCAAUUCAAGAGUUAGGAAAAGGUUAUUGAUAAUUAAAUUAUACCAACUUUUAUGAUAUUAAAAAAGGGUUUAUAAAUAAUAUAAGGAAAAGAAAAAAAAGCGAGAAACAUAUUCAUAUUGAUAUUAGACUUUUUUUUUUCUAUCACAAGUAAAAAUAUCAAAGGUGAUAAUAAUUAAAUUAAAAAAUUUAAAUUGAAAAAAUAGGGGAUUGAAUUUAUAACUAACAACAUAUUUUAACCACAUAAUAAAAGUAGUUAUGAAGAGGAUCAUGUAAAAUAAUGACCUGAAUAAUUUUAAACGUCUCAUUCUUGCAAAAAUGAAAUAAUAGAAAAGAAAUAAGUGUUGGGUGUAGUGACAAUGUACAUUAUACUUCUAAGGGGAGAUCAGGGUUUUAGGCAAGGGAAGAAUUUAAUUUAAACCUACUUUUUUUUCUCUAGAACUCAACCCAAACCUCAAAUUUAUCUUUUUAAAAGAAUUUUAAAAGAUCUAUAUAAAAGGUGAUUUUUUUUUAUCGAUUACACUUAACAAAAUUUUAAAAUUUCUUUUUUUGAAAUUUAAAGUGACCUAAAAACAUAUUUUUAAGUCCUUCAGACCAUCCUGUGCUGAUUUCUUUAUUAAUUUGAUUUGUUCAAUAUAGAUUUUGGUGACUUAAAACAAAAAUAAUAAAAAAUUAUUUUUUCAGAUAUGUUUUUAAUGUUUAAUAAUAAGUUAAUUUAUAAAAUAUACUUUCAUUGGAUACAGGCCUCCAAGGCGGUGAACCACUGAUCAAAUUAAUUUAGAGAUACCUAAAUUUGCUUUCAUCAAUUAAGAAAUUAAAAAAAAAUUGCUGAGACCUCAUGAUUAUCUUUUAUAAUUUCAGGCUUAUCACCAAAAACUAAAAAAUAAAAACGUCGACAUUAAAUUUGUUGGUAUGCAAUCAAUUUUAAGAUGGUUUUUGGAGUUAUAUAUCACUUUAGCAUGGACUUACUUUUCUACAGUUAGUCUUCUCCAACAAGUUAAAUAUUUAAAUUUUAACAACAUUGACAGGUCUUUGGGGUAGGGUCGAGCAAAACUCAAUAGAAACAGAUGAUAUAGAUUGAGUUGGCUCGGCCAAGUCGAGUCGACUUGUUCAAAUUAGUUAAAUUAGUAAAUUUUAGGGUGCAGUUAGUAUUUUUUGUUUUGAGAUGCUAAGAUUAAAAAAUUUCAGUUGUUAAAACAAAAAAAUUGUAUUAAAAAAAGGCAUAAAUUAAAUUAUUAAGUUUUUCAAGUUUCCAUUUAAUCAAAGGUUAAAAGGACUAAAUUGAAGCUUUUUAUUUUUAAGAAAGGCUGAAUGACAAAUUGCCCAAAGCCCAUGCCCCUAGCUAUACGCCCCUGGUAAAAUCAAUUUUAAAAUUAGUUAUAAUAGUUGAAGCGAAUUGAUUAUUGAGUAAUGAAAUACAUAGUUCAACAAAAAAAAUAAGUUGACAAAUUUUGACAAAAAAAUAUCAAAAAUGAAAUAAUAGAAAAGAAAGAGUAGGCAUUUUAUGAAAUUUAUAAUUCCAUGAAUAAAAUAUAAAUUUUAUGAAUGUGGACGAGCCAUUUUUUUAUAAUUUUCAGUGUUUUUCUUCUUUUUCUUACUUUUUUUAAAGUAUUUUUCUUUGUUUCCUAACCACCAUGAAAUUACUUGUCACAAUUCAUCUUUUCAAAUGAGAAACAUUUUCCACAAUUUGCCAUCACUUCAACAUACACUAACUUUUCUAUGAUUAGUCCUUGGUUUGCUUCGGGUGCAAUCUUCCAACUAGCCUUAUCCUUGGUUUUACUUUCCAACAUUUAGUGUAUCACGAGUUUUGUUUUCUUUAAAAAAAUAUUUUCGUGGAUAUUAGGAGAUAAUGAAAAUUAUUUUACUAUGAAAUUUUAAUAAAACUGGAAAAUAAGUAAUUUAUUUUAAGCGAUCACAAUUAAACAUUAGAUUCCAAUUUUUUAAUUUUUUUUUUACAAUUGCAUAAUAUUUUGAGCAUUGUAGGAAUGCCAUAACCUUCCCUACGCAUAAUAUACUCUUGAGCAUGAUGGAUCCUAGACCUUCUUUAUUCUCGUACCACAAAUUGCUUCAAGUGUGGGUUCGAACAAUCACAAAUUAAACACAAAACCAGAAAUGAUUUAUUACUUUCAAUAGCAAAGUAAUUCUCUUUCAAUAGAAACCAAUAAAAUUGUAAUUCCUAGAAAAUUAAAAUUUAUUUUUUCAAAAUAUCUUCUCUCUACUUUCUAGCAGAAUAACAAUAUGCGAAACUUAUGUCUUGUGUUAAUAGCCCUACCGGUACUAUCUAUUUAUAGGGAGAGACACGAGAAUCCUAGUUGAAUUAGUAAAACACAAAUAAUAUUUAUUUCAUAGAAACCAACAUUCUACCCUAAGUAGAUCAAGUUUGGAUGACGCAUGGAUCGAAGCUCAAUCUAGGGGAAAAAAAUAAAGGAAUUUUCUUUGUAAAGAAAAUCUGAGAUUAUACUAUUUUCGAAGUUAUAAAUAAAAUUAUACGCCAAAUUUUGAAGUCAAUUUUCAACUCAAAUGUUGUAUGUACAAAUUUCUAAUACACUUGGUGGGACAUUCUUUAACUUUUAUCUAUUCUCUCAAAACGUUAAAGUUCAAAGUUGCAUUAAACUCAAAAAAGAUAAUCAUUAGUAAACCAGCACACAAGCCUACUCAAGCUAAUCCUACAACUCGUUCCACUUCAUCAUCAAACACCAAUGUUCUUGCUUAUCCUUAUGGAAUUAAACAAAAGACAAAAGCUCUUUAAAGUUAUUUGAACAGACUUCUUUAAUGGUAAAUGAUAAUCCACUCUAUGAUGCUUCUUCGCCCAACUCAUGAUUUAAAAGAAGUUUCUACUCAUAGAUCAAGUGUAGCUCGCCAGUUAUCAUUAAGGAGAAAAAGGAGUCAAUCAAGUGAAAAUUAUAUUCCAACAUCUCCCCAGAACCAAAUUUCAUAGUGAUGAAUGUCAUGACAACUGACACUACAUUCUUAGAAGAAUAAGUAGAUUUCUAGCAAAAACGAUGGAGAGUUUUACUACAAGCAUAAAAGAAAUGGAUGAUCAAAUUGAACAUCUUAGUGGAAGUAACCAAACCUUUUCCAACGAAACUCAACAUCCUCUUCACAAAGUUGUUGGAAUCUUAAUUGUUGAAGGACUUUAAAGUGUUUCUUUAGAUCAACUCAAGGAGUUUAUUAAAAAAACCAUCAAAGAUCAAGUCAAAAGUGUUACUUUGCCUUCAUAUACAUACUCAAAGUCAUACAUCUGAAGGAUUUAUCAUUUGAAUAUGCCUGAGCAUUAUCCACCUUUAAAAUUGUAAUAGUUUGAUGGUAAAGGAAAUCCAUGUAAACAUGUCGUUCACUUCAUGGAAACUUGUGAUCGCGUCGAUGUAACACCCCACUCGUGACCCAAUCGCUGGAUUCAAGAAGAGAGAUACCAAAAUCAUGUUGGAAAAAAUCUUCGAUAAGUGUAGCAUGAGUGCUCACACUCUCCAAACACUCCAUACUAUCUUUGGUAUUGAAGUUAAGCUUGACACUCCCUUAUCUCUCUAAUGUUAUCUUCAGGCCAUAAUGCCCUAUCACAUAGUAAAAAAGGUGAGUACUCACAAUCCUAUGGCAUGCCAAUGAUAUCUAAUGGUUUCAAGUGUUCACAAUGCCAACAUAUGUUUUGUAUCACAUUCACUUUACACAAUUUAAAAGGGCUCACAAUACAGCAGAUCUCACGUAUAAUAGUUUUUAAUAACACAAUUCACAUUUCUGUAGGGCUCGUAUUAUAUAUAAGUUCGUAAUAACAUGGAUUCGCAUAACACUUAUGGCUCGCAUAUAUUUAGGGCUCAUAUGUAACAGUUGGGAUCCUAUAUAUUUAAACUCGCAUAAUACAGGGGCUCGCACGACAUAUUUUGGCUUGCAUGCAAUAUAGGGCUUGAUCACAUAUAUAGGUUCACAUGAUCUUAGGGCUCGCAUCACAUAUAUAAGCACGCAUGAUACAUGGGUUCACUCAACAUGUAUAUAUCAACUCGUGCAUCAAAGUAUAGGCUCGCAAGCAUUAAGGUGAUAGAGUUUGCAAACAAUUUAGAGCUCGCACACAUCAUAGGCUUGCAUACAUACAUGUUAGCAAGGUCUGCAGGUUACAAAUCGAGGCUCACAUAACUAUAGAGGCUUGCAUGGAAAUAUAAAAUUGUUCAGAUAUCAUUUUAAUCGGCUUCACACAUUAAAUCAAAUGGUUUGCAUGCAUUCCUUGGCUUUCAUUAGCAUGCGAACUCGUGUUUUUAACACAGUGUGCAAGGACACUCACUAGUUGUUUGUUGAUACUGUCGAACCUAUACCACCUUUUGCUUGACUUUUUCCUUGCUCAUGGAUGCACCUUCACAUUGAAAGGAUUUGCAUAAAACAAGAAAUAAUACAGAUUACUACUUUCACAGACAUAAUAACCUUCUUAACAAACAUAGUAGCGAAUCUUCCAAUCUUCCUUAAUAAUUCCUUAAAUGAAGCUAAACCAAAAUGCAUUAUAAAUUCAAUCAAUUUACCAUUAAACCAGCCCCCAAACACCCACUUAUAAGUUCAAACUGAUCAUUGAAAUUAUAAUUAUUUUAUGAAUCCAAACUAGUUAGAUUCCUUAAACUGUAUUGAUGCGAAUUGUAUGUACAAUCGUUCUUCACCUUUACGGAUGAUUUGGGGUGUUUGGGUCAACACCUAAUUCAAUAAUAUACUGGAAAACUAGUAGUUAACCAAUUCAUAACCUUUACCCAACAACUAUGUCGAAAUAACAAACUAGUUUAUAAUUAAUCGUACUUAUACCAAAUUGCGAGAUCUGAAUGGCUAAUUGAUCAAGAAUGUGUUUUGUAACAUCCCAAAAAUUAGGUUAGAAGAAAUGGGGCUUUGAAACCAAGAGUGGUCAUCCCCCGAUUAUGAGUUUAGAUCUUGGAAAAUUUGACAAGUAAACUGAUCUGGUUAAUGGUUAAGUGUCUUGGUUAUAUGUGUCAGGUUUUGGGUUCAAAUCUUGUUUUUGGAAAUUUUGUUACUUUGCUUAAACUCUUACCUUGAAUGUUUGGUUUAUAAGUUAAAUUUAGUCAAUUGAUGUCAAGAAUGAGUCUAUUGGUUCAAUGGUUAAGUUUUUGUAUAAUCAUUGGUCUUGUGUUCGAAUCUCAACAAAAGUAAUAGGGAAUGUUUUGUUUUUAAAUUUUUUUUAUAGGGUAGUUAGUUUCGAUUGGUUAUUUAAAGCCUUCCAGAAACCUCUAUUGCUUUUAUUUUUAUUUUGUUCUUUCUUUUUCUGCGACAUUUUCUAUCAUUUUGUUUCUGUUCUUUAGUUUCGUCAUAUUGGUUUUUUAUUUUCAAGCAACUUUUUUUUUGUUAUGUUACAUUACGCCGAUUGUGUACGGAGUCUAACUUCACCCUCUAGUUAAUUCGCUGGCCGGUAAGUUCGAUUUAAAGUUUUGGUGUUGAAAGUUUUUUAACGUAAAUUUAAUUUUGAAAUGUUAGUUUUUAGUGGUUUAGCUGCAAAUUAAUCGUUUGUUGGAAAAUUGCUUGUCGUUCAGGGACAUGAAUUUAUCCUUGUUACUCUUGCAUCAAGUUCGUAUCAAGUGGGUAUCAGAAAACCCUUCUUCUUUAAAUUUUAGUUGUCAAAUAAUGGCACUAUCGAUGCCACAUAGCUGUGUGGCAGGCCGUGUAACUUACUGUUCAAAAAAAUUAGAGGCAUACGAGCGUGGGCCCAAAUUGUGUGUGGUUAUGAAUUGUGUAGGGUUCACACAGGCCAGUGACACUAGCAUGUGUCAGGUCGUGUGGGACACACGGGCAAGUACACGAGCGUUUACCAGACUGUGUGGAGUCACAUGGGCCAGUUCUCUAGGCCGUGUAAAACCAUAUAGGUAUGUGAAGCAAUAUUUGGAAUUUUUCCCUUGGGUUACAAGAGUUGUUUGAAACAAACGCAUAAAUACUGUAGGGUCCGUACGAUUUGGAUUAGGCUAUAUAACUUGAUAUUUGAUGAUAUGAUGAUGAACAACUUGUGAUCUAUACGUAUAUUUGUUAUGUUUGAACCUAUGUGAGUAGGAUCUGUUAGAAUGUAACAUGUUAUUUUUUGUUGUGUGUGAACUAUCCAGGUACAAUUUGUAUUCUAUUAAGUUUUUUGGUACGCCUAUGUGUUACUCUAUUGAUGAAGAAUAUGUGACAUUUGAUUAUGUUAGAUUGAUUGUUACUGAUUAUAAUUUAUAACCCUCUACGUUACUUCAUUGAUGAGGAAUACACGUAUAUGAAAAUGUUAGAUUGAUUGUUACUGAUUCUAAUUUAUAGUCGUGUAUGUGACUUCAUGGCAAAUAUGAUAUGAUUUGUUGAGGUUUGAUAAGUCUAUUUUACAAAACAUGGACCCUCAUGUCUCCUGAUUCUGUUAUUGAAAGAUAUCAUGACUUACAUGCUCAUCACUCUAAUUCUUCAUAUGUAUGUCAUGACACGUUGCAUGGGAUUUGGGUUGAUGUGAAAGGAGGAAGUUUUUGGCAGUUAAUGAUCUGUAUUAUCUGGUGGUUUAUCCAUGAUUCUGUUCCGGCAACUUAGUUGUACUAUAGUGGCUUGACCAAAUGUAACCGAUCUGGCAGUCUUAACUGCAAAAUUUUGGUGGCACCAUUCACAAUUAUCUAUUGGUGUAAUUUGGCCGGAUGAGUUAUGGGGGAACUCUAUUUUGGUUAGUAGCAAAGUUUGGGUAUGAUGUUUUCUGAUAAUUUUGCAUUCUAAUCUAUUUGAAAAAUACAAUAUUUGCAUAACACAUUUUCUACUCUGCUCUAUUCUGUUCUACUCAGUUCUAUUCUGCUUGAUUUAUUAUGUUCUGCUUCAUUCUGUUGUGUUCGGUUCUGUUGGACUGUUGUUGUGAAAAUUUUCGUGAUACUCUAGAUCUAUUCCAUACUGGUUAUAAAUUUGUUAUUAAGUUCUUUGCGUUACUUUGAUUUAUAUAAUAAAAUCUGUUUAUUUGUAUCUAAGUUUCAUUAUACACGACGCUUGGUGUUUCACCCUUUGUCUUAUCUUAAUCUGUUCAAGUGCACAUCUUACUUACGACUAGAUGUACAGGAGCUCAGAUUGUUUUGCAUUGAUAUAACUAUGAUUUGAUCUUUUAGGUUGUAAUUUGUUUUUGGACUUGUCUUGCUUUUCUUUUGAUAAUCUCGUCAAUAUCUGUCAUUUUCUAACACAAAAAUAAAAAACCACCUAAGUCGACUAAAAUGAAUUUCUGGUUUUCAAAGUUGAAAUUUUGAAAAGAAACUAGUUUUCUGCACGUUGGCGUAACUCGUCCAAAUUUGGCUUAAAUUUGUAGGUCGAGUUUGGGGUGUUACAUCUUUCCCUAAUUAACAUGUGAUUAAAUAUUUAUUAGAAGGAUUCAAAAACUCAACUUAAUGCUGGAAAAAUAUGGGCAAGAACCAAGAAACAAAACAACCCCCUUUCUUACACAUAGCCGUACGAACCACCACCCAUGAUGGCCAAAAUUGGGGUUGAAUUUUAAAAUGGUUUGAGAUCUCAUUAAAAAUAUAGAAAAACACAUUUGUGUCGAAACCACUAUUUAUUUUUGAAAAAUGGGAAUCAACUUUAAAAAAUGAAAAUGGGAGUCACCACUGAUCUUUUAUUGAGGUGUGAUCAGAUCACCUUAAAAAUGAUUUUAGGUCUACGAAUUUUAAGAAAAUAGGUUUCGGAGUUGGUUACACACGAGGAAGGGUUAGCACCCUCAUAACGCCCAAAAUUGGUAUCGAAUAGACUGUUUAAUGUCUUAGUGUCGAAAAUUUGAAAACAUUUUAAAAUACGAUCCUUUUUUAAAGAAAAUUUGAAUAAGUUGACUUAGAAGAUAAGACCCUUUUAUUUCGAAGAAGUAAAAUAUCACAUCCAGUGAGUUAGGGUGCAACAUUUCUAAUCCUUAAAAUUAAGUUUGUCUUUUGAUUUUUAAAACUCAUGCAUUUAAAUUUGAAAAGGAUAUUCAGUUAUUUGGGUCAAAUGAAAAAUCAAAACCCAAUAAGUUAGGGUUCAACUUCCAAAAAUUGCUAAAUACCGAAUAUUGCCUUUAUUUUUUUUAGAAAUCCAUAACUCAAGAUAACCAAAUGACAUAUCCAGUAAGUUAGGAUCCAACAUUUUGAAAUCCCAAUAGAGAACUUUUUAUUUAGGAUUUGUAUGGUUUUAUUGCAAAAGAGAUACUUGGCUAUCUAAAUUCAUCGAAGAGAAUUGAAGCCCACUAAGUUAGGGCAAAAUCUUCUCGAAAAUCGUGAAUACCGAGUAUUUUGAAAAUUUACGAAAUAAGAUGAUUUUAAUGCUUUAAGGAAACAUAAUUUUUAAAACAAAUGUAGUGUGAUUGAACGACAAUGUACAAUGCAAAAGGAUAAUUAAAAAAAAACAUGUAUACAUUAGUGAAUAACUAUCAAUCAAUAAAUAUAAAUAAGUAAAAUGAUACAUACGAGAACAAUAAUCUUACAUUCCAGAUUAUGCAAAUACUAAAUUUUAAAACUAAUGAAUUAUAAAUUAAUUUUGAAAGAAAUGCCAAGCAAACUAACACAAAUAAAAUAUAACAAGUUUUAAAAAUAAAAAGAAAUAAAAAAAGUACACAGAAAGAAAUUUAAAAUCAUCAGUACAAACAAUAAGUUAUAUGAAUAAUAUUUCAAAAUAAACAAUAUAUAUAUGAAUUUGAAAUAGUUCAAAAAUAAAGGUAAAAAAAUACUAUGUGAAAAGAAAUAAUAUCUAAAUGAAUUUUAAACAAAUAUUGUAUACAAAGAAAAUCAAAAUAAGUAAUACACAAAAUAAUACACGUAUAUCAAUCUAAAUGAAUAAUACAUAUUAAAAAAUCUUUAAAUCAUAGAAAUAUAAAUAAGUGAAUUUUUUAAAAAAUUUAAUUAUACUGCAAAAUAAAACCAUUAAAGAAUGUGUACAAUUCUAUUGAAUUUAUAUAAAAUAAUAUAUGACAAAUUAUAAUAAUAAUACAUAAUAAAUCUGAAAUAACAAUAUACAAUAAACUUAGAUAAUAUUAAUGAUAAAUUUAAGAUAAUAAUAAGUUUUAACAUUCAAAUAAUAUUAGAUUUAAAAUUAAAAAUAAAAAAUAGCAUAAUAAAAAAUACUUAAAUAAGUAAAAAGCAAGCAAAUUAAAAUAAAGUAAUGAGGAUUAAAUUGAAUUUAAAACAAAAUUUAAAAUAAAAAAAUGAGAAUAAAACAAAACUGAGAGCCAAAAAAAGACGCGCGGAUAACAUGGGGACCAAAUGGGAAAUAUUCCCUUCCUUCAAAACGCAGCGUUUUGACACGGACCAAAUUGGAAUGAAACAUAGAAUGCGUGGCCAAAUCUAAAUAAAAUAAAAGGAUAAAUUUGAAAGAGUUAUAAAAAGAACGGGGACCAUUUGCGCAAAUUUCUCCUACGCUAUAAAACGCGCGGAUACUUCUCCGGGUAGGGUCACCGGGCGCGUAUAGGCCAAUAUAGUGUCGUUUUGAAGCCACUGAAGCAGGCUGAAAAUGACAUCAUCACAAAAUUAGUAUAAGAUUAAAAUUAAAGCAAACAUUAAGCCAUUUAACCACAGAAACCCUAGCCCCUUUCGCCGUUCUGAACUUUGCUAAUUCUUUUAGCCUUGAAACCCUUGCCAAACUCUGAUCACGGCGAAGCAAACAAGGAUUUCGCGGCGGUUUUAUUAAGGUAACUUAUUCUUUUGUUAAUCGCCUCUUUUUUAUAUCUAGUAAUAAACAAAAUAAGGAUUCAAGAGCAGAGAAGAGAACUAUCAAGAGAAAAAGAAAAAAAUGAAAACUCAAAUCACCUUUCGAGAUUUCGUAUUUUUUGCCUAUUAGAUUUCUUUUUCUGAAUCAGUAUAUGUAAUCCUUUUACAAAUGAAUCAAUCGGCUUUAUAUAGCCGAAUAAAACCAAAAAAUUACAAAAUUAUUAUUUUUGUUAUUUAUCACUGCUGCUAUUCUCGUUUUUUCUUUUAUGUUAUUGCCUUCCUUCGUUUGCUUGUUUGUUGCGUCUAUUGUAGGUACCAAACCAGCUGGAGCACACGCAUGGAGGCACAAUGGAUGGGGGGCACACGCGUGUGGGGUUGGAGCUGCUGCGGCGUUGGGGCAACAGGCUAGGGUUUUUGGAAACUGCUUAGGUUUAUCUAGGUUUGGGCUUGUUGGGCCAAAUGGGGUUAGUUUUGGGUACUUUAAGUUAAAAUGAUUUGGGCUAUGUAUUUGGGUAUGGGUUUUAGGCUAAUACUGGACUACUAUUAUUUUUAUUUUAUUUUGGUUUAUUAUUGAUUGGGCCUAGGUUUUAUUAGAUUUGUAAUUGUAUUUGGUUUUUUAGUAUUUGGUUUGGGCUAGGCAAAAUUUGGUAUUACAAUUUGAAUUCAUUUAAAAUCCCCCAAAUUCCAGAUCUAAAAUUUUUUCUUUUUAAUUGACAAGAUUAAUUAAGAAAUUGAAGAGAAAAGAGAUCUUACCCAAGCCAGUUGAGAGAAAUGACGAUGACACUUUCUUUGCAAUGCUCAAGAUCGAUCUUAGGGUUCAAGAUUUUAGAUUUGGGGAUGAUUUAAAUGAGGAUAAAUGAUAGCAAUAGAGUAAAGGAGAUGGUGCACAAUCUUGAUGCAAAAAGAAGAAGAAAGAGAUGGUAAAUGGGAGGUGUAAGCAAUGACAACAAUGGGAGAAAGAAAGAAAAUAAGAGAAAAGUGGGGAGGAAGAUGCUGAACAGAUAGGGUAGGGAAAAAUUGAAUUUUAGGCUAAAAAUAUACUUAGGGUUCAAGGUUAUGGACAGCACACACAUUUAAAAAACAAAGGAUUUUGCAAAAUUUACUAUUUUGCAAGGGAAAGGAUUCGAAAUUGGGACCUCAUUUAAUUUUCAUGUUUUCUCAUAUUUCUUUUAACCAUUAGGAUUUUUCCUCAUUCUUAAAAUCAUUUUGAAAUAUUUAUUUUAAAAAUAAGGCAUGUCACACUAGGGUUUAAGGCAAAAUUAGCAAAAUAAUAAAAAAAAUGAGAGAGAAGGGGGUUUCAAGGAACGCUUCACUAAAACUUAUCCAACAAACCAACACCUCAUUAUUUUCCUAAAUAUGCAUAGGUAAUCAUCAAAAUUAAGGCAUCACCACUCUUUCUCGAUUCACAAACCCGAUUCUACUAACCCUUGAUUUUUGGGAUGUUAUAAGGUGAGUUCGUAGUGUAACAAUAUAUAUGUGUGUGUUUUGGGGAUACGAUUGGCAUGCCAAUAGGGUUAGUUACACUUCAAUGCCUCUCUUUACAAUUUGGUGCCACUGUAUUUGCACUACAGUGCCUCUGUUAGUAUUUCGAUGUUUAGGGGAAACCCGAGUAUCCAAGUCAUUUUAAUAUAGUUCAAAAGGCCAUGAAAUUUUAUGUUUAAAUGUUAAAUUACUCUUGAGUUUGAUUUAUGUAUAAAAUGAUAUAUUUGUGUAUAUACGUAUAUAAGCAUGGAUUGCUUUGGUUUGAGCCAUUGUUUAUAUUGAAUCAUAUGAGACAAAUGUUUUGAUUAGUAUAGUUUGAGAAUAAAUAUUAAUGCUUUGGUGUAAUUAUAUGAUUCAUAUGUCUAUAAACAUGAAUCUAAUUAUGUUUAUGGUGUGUUUAGAGAAUUAAAUGGUUAUAUGAUUAUUUUCCAGGUAUUCGAGGUUGUUUAAUUUGGUUUAAUGGGUAAAUAAAGCUUUAAAGGGUAUGUGAUUACAUGAAAUGAACUAUCAUAUUUGAGUAAUGAUAUGGAUUAUGAUGAAAUGUUUAAUUGAAAAGAAAAUAUGGUUUAGUAUAUAUGUAUGAGUGGUGAAUUAUGAAAGUGAAAUGUAGAUAUGUUUUAUACCAUGUUUUGAUUUGAAUUAUAUAUGAUAUGUUACACCAACUAACCUUGUGAGGUGGUGUGUAUAGGAAAGGAAAGUUGGCUUAAAACAUAAUGAAAUUAUGCUUGGUUUUUUAACUUAAAAUAUUCAAUAAGUUAAGUUUCAUUUAUAUGAACUUACUAAACAUUAAUUGCUUACAUAGUUAUUUUUCUUUAUUUUGUAGUUCAUCAGAAGCUCGGCCGGUUGGAAUCAUGUCAGAGCACGAUCACACUAUCCAUUCAACAUUUUGAUAGUUUUUGGUUAUUUUGGUAAAUGGUUAUAAAUGACAUGAAAUAGGGUUUAAAGGUCAUUCCAGUGAUUUGACUUGUUUUGAGUUGUGUCAAGCUUAUUGUGAUUAAUGUUGUUAGUUGCUGGCAUGUAAAUAAUGGUGUAAAUAUGUGUGGUCGGACCCUUAUGCAUGCUUUAUUGAUUAAAGAUAUCAUAUGUUAAAAUGGCAUGUUUUUGGAAUGGUUAUUUGGCAUGAUUGGUAUAGGUUUAAGUUAUGAUCUUGAGAUGUUGAAUUGAAUUAAGUUUGAUAUGUAUAUUGUGAUGCCUUCAUUGACAUAUUGGUUAGAUAUUAAGGGAUGGUUGAUUUGGUAUGUUUUUGAAAUGGUUGUUGGUAUGUUUGAUCUAAGUUGAUUAAAUGAACUUGUAAUGUUGAAUGGUAUAAUAUUUGUUGGUACAUUCAUUAGUCUUAUAGGUUGAUGGAAUUGGUAUGUUUUAAAUGUGUUUUAAAUGUGUUUUGAUUAUUUGGAUGUUUGUGGAAAUGGUGUCUCUUGGUGUACAAGAUUUGAAAUUGAAACGGCUUGAUUUAGAAUCAACUUAUGCUGCACACUGCCUGGGACAUGGAUUGUCACAUGGCUGUGUCAUAAUUGUUUUAGGUACGGGUUUCACACAAUCUAAGACUCGGCUCACGACACAGUUGUGUAUCACAAGUCAGUAUGUAACACAGUUUUGCACAUGGCCUGCGACACGAUCUUGUGUCUAGACUUCGAAUGUCCACAUGGUCUGGGCUAUGUCACAUGGCUUGGCCACAUGGUCGUGUGACUUUUGUUUUCAAGUUUUCCAAAAUUUUCUAUUUUAUUUCAAAUUGAUCCUAGAAUAUUCUCAAACUAUUUUUAAGGCCCCGUAGGUUCGGAUUAAGGCCCCGUAAGUGUAUGUUUGCUAUAAUUAAGUUGUGCUACUGAAUGUUACUAAUUCAAUCACAUGAAUAUUUUGUUGUAAGUUAAAUGUUUUAAUUUUUACUAUAAUGCUCUGUAACCUUAAUCUUGCGAUGAAAACAGGUUUGGCGUGUUACAAUUUUGGAUUGUAAAUUUGUUUUGGGGCUUUGUUCUUUGGUUCUUGCGAUGUUGGUUAGAUUUUGGUGUUUUAACAUUAAACUGCAAAAUUGUAUAACUUAAUAAACUAAAAAUUAGGUUUUCAAAAUUAAAACUCUGGAAAUUUUUCUUGCAAAGUUUAAGUAAUCACUUAAGUGUUUUUCCAUAAAUAAUUAAAUGGUUUUUAACAAAUGUUUUCCUUAGUUUUGGAAAUGAUCUGCCAAUAUUAGUACUUUUAAAACACAUGAUUUCAAAUUCAAAUUCUCAGUUUUAAAUAAGGGUUUUCACACUUCAGUUUUUUUUAAACAUUUGUGAGAGGUUUUUGCCAAAUUUUAUGUUUUCAGAAUGUGUAACUAAGUUGAUUUUUAAUUAGUUUUUCAAACGAGUCGAGUAAUUCCUCAAAAAUCCAGUCAUAGCGUCUAGGCCGGGUUUGGGAUGUUAUACUGACGUUACUAAAGUUAAUCUUCAUCUAUUUAGUCUAGAUCUAAACAUUAAUAUUCUCUUCCAAGAAAAAUCAAGACUAUCAAUUUGUUAAAACUUGGUAGGCAGACAAUCAUAUUAAAUAUGCAUAAAACUCAAUAAGUAAUUUGCGAAGAUUGAAACAAUCAAAGAAAAAAUUAAUUAAUUAACUAAGAAAUAGGAUACAUUGCUGUUUCAAGGAAACAGGGUUUAGUUCACAUUGAGUUGAGAAAACCAAAAGGGAGAUUCAAAAUGAACUUGUGAUAAGGGGAAUAAUGUCAAUGGAUCAUAUUCAAGUUGUUCAGCUCGAGAAAGAAAGAUUCAGAUUUAACUUGAAAAGAGUAAACCAAAAAGAUUUAGAAAAACAAAGAAAAUAACUAAAAUGAUAAAUUUAAGAAUAAAUAAUCAAUAUUAAAAAUAAUAAAGAAAUUAUAGAAUAAAUAGUGGAAGAUGGAAUGAAUAAACGAUGGAUAUGACAUAUAGAUGGAUAAGUGUCUUAUAAUUCAUGAAAAGAGUUAUAUUUCAUGCCUUUAGACCUAACUAAUUGCUUGUACUUACGUACAUUUUGUUGCAUUUUAAGACAUAUUAGUUAGCAUUUCUAAUAUUGCAUUAGGACUUAGAUUGUGCUGGAAUUAGCUGUUUUUAAUCGCUCGUGGUGGAGUUUUUUUUGUGUUUUGGUAUAGAAGGAACAUGUUUUAGAUCGAGGAAAUAAAUGAGUGAAGUUUUGUCAAGGCAAAACUGCAGAUAGUUUGCCAGCACGGAUGCCGUGACAAUGCCGGGAAGACCAAGUCAACAUUUUUUUGUGCAAUAGUCUCAGUUGAAAUUAAAACUUGUACCAGAUAAAUCUCCCUAAAAGAGGAAAAGAUAAUCACAAGACCCUAGCCUAAUCUAUCUAUAAAAGCCAAUAAAGGGGAUUCUCACAAAUGGCAGAAAAAAGUGGGAAGGAUCCUUAGGUGUGAAUAAGGGUUUAGCUGCGCAAAGGAAAGGAAGUCGAAGGCAGUCCUUUUUAGCCAUCACAGGACAUUGUGUUGCCGAAGUGUGGACUAGGCAAGUGAAAGUUGUUUACCAAAGUUCUUUUGUUAUUUCCAUCAGCGUUCCUUCAAAAUAUUGAAGUAGUUGAACACAAUGUUGGAUAAUAUUUUGCUUUGGAAUUUUAUUUCUCAUCCCACGAGCUAAAUCUCGUAGGGUUGGGAUUACUUUUGAUGAAACCUUAAACUAUUUUUAUGAAUGCAGUAUAUAUCUAAUUUACUUUACUGUUUCAUUUGAUUGUUCUUAUUUCUUAAUUAAAAUGCAAAUGAUCUCUAAACAUAGAAGACUGUUCACAUACUUAUAAAUUGAUUCUAAUUCUGAAAGGGUUGGAUUGGUUGGAUUAAAAUUAAAUGAAAUGAGCAAGUAUUCGAUGGACACUUGUAGUAGACUCUAGACAUAGAGUGGCGAUCAUACAGAAGGAACCCAUGCAAGGUAUCUAAAAAGUCUUUAGACACAAGCAAGGUAACUUGAGGGUUUGCUCUCACGAGAGGCAAGCCAUUUUAGUACUCUUCUGUGCUUUAAAGUAGAUACGAUUUUGCCAAGGCAUUAUUGACAGUAAGAGUCGAUUUUGGGUAAUCAACCUUCCAAAUCCACAUCGUAUAUCCUUUAUUCCUUACCAUAAUAUAUUUGCCACAUCAUUAUUAGUUAUUUAUUUGUUCAUUUACAUAAUAUUCCCGUAGUAAUUCUCAUAAUUGUCAUUACAUUUCUACUCUCGGUUUGCCACAACAUUACCAGUUAUUUAUUAAUUCCACGUAUUGCUUACAUCAUUACUCUACUAAUUGUGACUAUAUAUUUAUCAUUGAGUCUGCCAUAGCAUUAAUCAUAUUUUAUUAUAAUAACUUGAUCAAUUUUGUGCCUCAAUUCGAUCCCCAUGGGAAUGAUUCUCACUCAUCAGUUUAUUACUUGAUUCAACUGUAUACAUGCACAAAUCACAUAUCAUUUCACACACGACAGUGUUCAAUUGAACCCUUUGAGUUAUAAACUCGAACAAACUCAAUUAAUGGAUUUAAUCAACCCACCAAGAAAGAAUCAUUGGAAAAUUGAAGGAUGGAGAAUGAAUUCCCAUGACUCCUUAAAAAAAUUGAGAAGAAAACUACUUCUAAAAAUCACAAGAAACAAAUCUUGCACAAAGAAACUAACUCUCAGAGUUGGAAAUUUUAGUAAUAAACAAAAACAAUUGCGUCUCUAAUGAACAUGAAAGGGCCUUUACAUAGGCUAGAUAAGUACAUCCAAAUAAAAUUGUCAAGUAUCUAGAAACUUUAAUUAAUGUAAGCAAGAAGUAAUUUUAAACUAAAAUAGUCAUAAUUUUCGUAAUAAUCUCGUCCAAAAAUUUUGCUCACAUAGUCAUCAUUAAAAUAGUCAUAAUUUGAUCUUCUAAACUCAAAAUCGAGUGAAUAAAAGUGCGUUUCGAAGUUAAGUGAUAGAUCUUAGAACUCUAUGAGGACAUAUCAAUUGAAAAAUGCCUGGAUUCCAUCCAAAAAUUCACCGCAAGUUAACUAAUUUUUCAAACUUGAAAAUUGGUAGCUUCGGUGAAUGGAAUUUAAUAAAGUUCACCCCAUCUAUUCAUGUAUCAACUUGCAUUGUAAAAAGUAAAAAGAAAUAAUCUAUAGAGAAAAUAGUUGAAGAAUUUAUGACAAUUUAUUCAGAUCUCGUUUUCUUCUAGUCUUUACAAGCUUGAAGUUUCCCUUGGUGUGAGAGAGUUGUUCCUUACCCUCUAAGUGAUUUUUUUUCUUUUUCUUUCUCUUCGAUCUCGUCACCUAAGGGUGUUCAAACGAUUGAUUCAGUUAAUACCCGAACAAAACUAUCAUUAACUAAAAUUUUGAAACCCUUAAUCAUUAAUCAAACCAAAAUUUAUUUGAAACCUAUUAACCAGCCAGAUUGAUUUCGAUUAAUUUGAGCGGUUAACCAGAAUUUAUACACUGUUUGAUUUUGUUCAAACAAUUUUAAAACAAAGAAUAAUCCACAACAAUUUUUUCCGUAUUUUUUAUUCAAAAAAAUUAAAAGAAUUAAAAAAAAUAACAUAAUAACAACACUAAAUUAAAAACGUAAUAGCAUUCAUUACAUUACAAAGCAUAUAUAUAUAUUUACUUUUUCUUGAAUUUUUAGUUUAAUUUUAGUUUUUAUUCAAAUAUUUUUAGUUUUCAUAAUUUUGUUAAGCUUAUUAUAAGAGAACUUAUAAAUCCAUUAGUUUUUAUAUAUUGGGUUUGUAUAAUGUAUUUGACCUGUCUCUAAUAUAUUGGGCCUAUAAUAUAUUUUUAUUGAUUUCGGUUAAUCAAUUAAUUCGGUUAAUUAGUCGAUUUCAAACUAAACUAAUUGGUAAACAAAAUCUUCAAAAACCUUUAACCAACUCCCAACCAAAUUAGAUUCGUUGAUCAACUGCUUAAUCAAAUUAAUUAGGUUUGAUAAAUUAAUUCGUUAAAACCGAAAAAUUGACAUCCCUAUCACCACCUUUGUUUUUAGGGAUUUUAAUCAUGUUACUCCACUUGAUGCAGAAGUUGAGGUGGAACGAAUUGCUUGCUACCAAAAUUUAUGAAUUAUAGACCAUGCUCCACCCGGUGAAUCAAAUUCAGUGGAGUGGAAGACUUUUUCUUCACUACUUUGUGCUCUAUGCUCCAAGUCUUCUAUUCUUCUUCCGAGACCAACAAUGGGAAAAUUAAAAAUAAGAAACAAGUCUGAACUAACUUUGACAAUUAGAAAUUUUCAACAAAAUUGAAAUAAAAUAUAAUUAAUUAAUAAAAACUAUAAAAUUCAACAAAAACGAACCUAAAUACUAAAUUUACCUCCUAAAAUGCUAUGGAAACUAUAUUAAAAUAACUCUAAAUAUGAUAGUUAUCAAAAGCGACCUGAAGAAGCCAAUAUUCGAGUAGAUGAUUUCAACUAUUGCAAAUACCAUCAGUCGAUUAGCCAUCCUCUUGAGAAGAUUAUAGAGUUGAACGAAAAAAAUCAUACAACUCCAUGAAGAAGAAAAAAUCAUGUUUGAAAAAGAAGUGGCAUAAUCAAACUUGACAUCAAUGCUUUGGUUUCUCAAUACAAUAUUAUGGACAGAUUCAUCAAAUUUGGCUCUUUCAAUCCUAUUACACUAGCUCUAAGUAGAAGUAAGAUGGUGAAUUUCGAAAGGAUUGGGGGCAAUCAUCUAUUCUUGGAAUACCAGAAUGGUCAUUAUUGGACUCUAGCCACAUGUCAAAGAAGCCAAUGAAAAGCAUCUCUCCUAGGUAUAAGCUUAUAUUGUCACAUUACUCCUAAGCACGAGCAUAAAUUAGUCAUCCAAAAUGAUGAUGCUUCUAAGCAUGAGCUUAAAUUGUUCAUCUAAUGCUCCUAAGAAGGAGCCUAAACUAUUCAACCCAAAUGGUCAUGCUUUAAGAAAAAUCUUAAACUAUUUUUAAGGCCUUAUAGUUCGGAUUAAGGCCCGUAAGUGUAUGUUUGUUAUAAUUAAGUUGUGUUAUUGAAUGUUAUUAAUUCAAUCACAUGAAUAUUUUGUUGUAAGUUAAAUGUUUUAAUUUGUACUAUAAUGCUCCAUAACCCUAAUCUGGCAAUGGAAACAGGUUUGGCGUGUUACAAUUUUGGGUUCUUGCGAUGUUGGUUGGAUUUUCGUGUUUUAACAUUAAACUGCAAAAUUGUAUGAUUUAACAAACUAAAAUUAGGUUUUCAAAGUUAAAACUCUGGAAAUUUUUGUUGCAAAGUAUAAGUAAUCACUUAAGUGUUUUUCCAUAUAUAAUUAAAUGGUUUUUAACAAAUGUUUUCCUUAGUUUUGGAAAUGAUCUGCCACCAUUAGUACUUUUAAAACACAUGAUUUCAAAUUCAAAUUCUUUGUUUUAAAUAAGGGUUUUCACACUUCGUUUUUUUUUAACAUUUGUGAGAGGUUUUCGCCAAAUUUUAUGUUUUCAGAACGUGUAACUAAGUUGAUUUUUAAUUCGUUUUUCAAAUGAGUCGAUGUAAUUCCUCAAAAAUCCAGUCAUAGCAUCUAGGCCGGGUUUGGAUGUUAUACUGAUAUUACUAAAGUUAAUCUUCAUCUAUUUAGUCUAGAUCUAAACAUUAAUAUUCUCUUCCAAGAAAAAUCAAGAUGAUCAAAUUGUUAAAACUUGGUAGGCAGACAAUCAUAUUAAAUAUGCAUAAAACUUAAUAAAUAAUUAGCGAAGAUUGAAACAAUCAAAGAAAAAAUAAAUUAAUUAACUAAGAAAUAGGAUCCAUUAUUGUUUCAAGAAAAUAGAGUUUAGUUCACAUUGAGUUGAGAAAACCAAAAGGGAGAUUCAAAAAAAACUUGUGAUAAGGGGAAUAAUGUCAAUAGAUCAUAUUCAAGUUGUUCGGCUCGAGAAAGAAAGAUUCAGAUCUAACUUGAAAAGAAGAAACUAAAAAUAUUUAGAAAAACAAGAAAAAACAAAGAAAAUAACUAAAAUGAUAAAUUUAAGAAUAAAUAAUCAAUAUUAAAAAUAAUAAAGAAAUAAAGAAAUUAUAGAAUAAAUAGUGGAAGAUGGAAUGAAUAAAUGAUGGAUAUGACAUAUAGAUGGAUAAGUGUCUUAUAAUUCAUGAAAAGAGUUAUAUUUCAUGCCUUUAGAUCUAACUAACUGCUUGUACUUAAGUACAUUUUGUUGCAUUUUAAGACAUUUUAGUUAGUGUUUCUAAUAUUGCAUUAGGACUUAGAUUGUGUUGGAAUUAGGUGUUUUUAAUCGCUCGUGGUGGAGUUUUUCUGUGUGUUGGCAUGGCAAGAACAUAUUUUAGAAUGAGGAAAUAAAUGAGUGAAGUUUUGUUAGGGAAAAAGUGCAGACAAUUUGCCAACACGGAUGCCGUGACAAUGCUGGGAAGACCAAGUAACAUUUUUUUGCGCAAUAGUCUCAGUUGAAAUUAAAACUUGUACCAGAUAAAUCUCCCUAAAAGAGGAGAAGAUAAUCACAAGAUGUCAGCUGACCCUAGCCUAAUCUAUCUAUAAAAGCCAAUAAAGGGGAUCUCACAAUUGGCAGAAAAAAGUGGGAGAGAUCCUUAGGUGUGAAUAAGGUUUUAGCUGCGCAAAGGAAAGGAAGUCAAAGGCAGUCCUUUUUAGCCAUCAUAGGACGUUGUGCUGCCGAAGUGUGGACUAGCCAAGUGAAAGUUGUUUCCGAAAGUUCUUUUUUUAUUUCCAUCAGCGUUCCUUCAAAAUAUUGAAGUAGUUGAACACAAUGUCGGAUAAUAUUUUUCUUUGGAAUUUUAUUUCUCAGCCCAUGAGCUAAAUCUCGUAGGGUUAAGGUUACUUUUGAUGAAACCUUAAAUAUUUUUAUGGAUGCAGCAUAUAUCCAAUUUACUAAACUGUAUCAUUUGAUUGUUCUUAUUUCUUAAGUAAAAUGCAAAUGAUCUCUAAACAUAGAAGACUGUUCGCAUACUUAUAAACUGAUUCUAAUUCUAAAACGGUUAGAUUGGUUGGAUUAAAAUUAAAUGAAAUGAGCAAGUAUUCGAUGGACACUUGUAGUAGACUCUAUACAUAGAGUGACGAUCAUACAGAAGGAACCCAUGCAAGGUAUCUAAAAAGUCUUUAGACACAGGCAAGGUAACUUGAGGUUUUGCUCUCACGAGAGGCAGGCCAUUUUAGUACUCUUCUGUGCUUUAAAGUAGAUAAGAUUUUGCCAAGGAAUUAUUGAGAGUAAGGGUCGAUUUUGGAUAAUCAACCUUCCAAAUCCACAUCGUAUAUCCUUUAUUCCUUACCAUAGAAUAUUUGCCACAUCAUUAUUAGUUAUUUAUUUGUUCAUUUACAUAAUAUUCCCGUAGUAAUUCUCAUAAUUGUCAUUACAUUUCUACUCUUGGUUUGCCACAACAUUACUAGUUAUUUAUUAAUUCCACGUAUUGCUUACAUCAUUACUCUACUAAUUGCGACUGUAUAUUUAUCAUUGAGUUUGCCAUAGCAUUAAUCGUAUUUUAUUAUAAUAUCUUAACUAAUUUUGUGCCUCAAUCUGAUCCCCAUGGGAACGAUACUCACUCAUCACUUUAUUACUAGAUUCAACUGUAUACUUGCACAAAUCGUAUAUCAUUUCACACACGACAAUGUUCAAUUGAACCUUUUGAGUUAUAAACUCGAACAAACUCAAUUAUUAGCUUUAAUCAACCCACCAAGAAAGAAUCAUUGGCAAAUUGAAGGAUGAAGAAUGAAUUCCCAUGAAUCCUUAAAGAAAUUGAGAAGAAAACUACUUCUAAAAAUCACAAGAAACAAAUCUUGCACAAAGAAACUAACUCUCAGAGUUGGAAAUUUUAGUAAUAAACAAAAACAAUUGCGUCUCUGAUGAACAUGAAAGGGCCUUUACAUAGGCUAGAUAAGUCCAUCCAAAUAAAAUUGUCAAGUAUCUAGAAACUUUAAUUAAUGUAAGCAAGAAGUAAUUUUAAACUAAAAUAGUCAAAAUUUUUGUAAUGAUCUCGUCCAAAAAUUCUGCUCACAUAGUCAUCAUGAAAAUAGUCAUAAUUUGAUCUCUUGAACUCAAAAUCGAGUGAAUAAAAGUGCGUUUCAAAGUUAAGUGAUAGAUCUUAGAACUCUAUGAGACAUAUCAAUUGAAAAAUGUCUGGAUUCCAUCCAAAAAUUCACUGGAAGUUAACUAAUUUUUCAAACUUGAAAAUUGGUAGCUUCAGUGAAUGGAAUUUAAUAAAGUUCACCCCAUCUAUUCAUGUAUCAACUUGCAUUGUAAAAAGUAAAAAGAAAUAAUCUAUAGAGAAAAUAGUUGAAGAAUUUAUGACAAUUUAUUCAGAUCUCUUUUUCUUCUAGUAAUAUAUUGGGCCUAUAAUAUAUUUUUAUUGAUUUCGGUUAAUAAAUUAAUUCGGUUAAUUAGUCGAUUUCAAACUAAACUAAUUGUUAAACAAAAUCUUCAAAAACCUUUAACAAACUCCCAACCAAAUUAGAUUCGUUGAUCGACUGCUUAAUCAAAUUAAUUAGGUUUGAUAACUUAAUUCGUUAAAACCGAAAAAUGCACAUCCCUAUCAUCACCUUUGUUUUUAGGGAUUUUAAUCAUGUUGCUCCACCUGAUGCAGAAGUUGAGGUGGAACGAACUACUUGCUACCAAAAUUUAUGAAUUAUAGAGCUUGCUCCACCGCAGUGAAUCAAAUUCGGUGGAGUGGGAGACUUUUCUUCACUACUUUAUGCUCUAUGCUCCAAGUCUUCUAUUCUUCUUCCGAGACCUACAAUGGAAAAAUAAAAAAAUAAGAAACAAGUCUGAACUUACUUUGAAAAUUAGAAAUUUUCUACAAAAUUGAAAUAAAAUAUAAUUAAUCAAUAAAAACUAUAAAAUGCAAUAAAAACGAACCUAAAUACUAAAAUUACCUCCUAAAAUGCUAUGGAAACUAUACUAAAAUAACUCUAAAUAUGAUAGUUAUCAGAAGCGACCUGAAGAAGCCAAUCGAGUAGAUGAUUUCAACUAUUGCAAUAAUAUUGGUCGAUUAGCCAUCCUCUUGAGAAGAUCAUAGAGUUGAAAGAAAAAAAUCAUACAACUCCAUGAAGAAGAAAAAAUCAUGUUUGAAAAAGAAGUGGCAUUAUCAAACUUGACAUCAAUGCUUUGGUUUCUCAAUACAAUAUUAUGGACAGAUUCAUCAAAUUUGGCUCUUUCAAUCCUAUUACACUAGCUCUAAGUAGAAGUAAGAUGGUGAAUUUCAAAAGGAUUGGGGGCAAUCAUCUAUUUUUGGAAUAUCAGAAUGGUCAUGAUUGGACUCUAGCCACAUGUCUUCGGAACAUCAGAAUGGUCAUGAUUGGACUCUAGCCACAUGUCAAAGAAGCCAAUGAGAAGCAUCUCUCCUAGGUAUAAGCUUAUAUUGCCACAUUACUCCUAAGCACAAGCAUAAAUUGUUCAUCCAAAAUGAUGAUGCUUCUAAGCAUGAGCUUAAACUGUUCAUCUAAUGCUCCUAAGAAGGAGCCUAAACUAUUCAACCCAAAUGGUCAUGCUUUAAGCAAAUAUUAAACUAUUCUUAAAAAAUAAAUGAUGAUCCAAUGAAGCACAAGCUUAAUCUAUUCAUACGAAACAAAUGAUGACCUCCUAAGCAUGAAUUUAAAUUGUUCACACAUAAUAAAUGAUGAUACUCCUAAGCGCGAGCUUAAAUUGCAGUCCAAAAAAUAUUGAACUACGUUAUAACUUGAUCUUUUAAAAUUGAAGGUAAGUAGAUAGCCUGGUUUCAUUGCCAAGUUCAGUCUAUAUGAUAAAAAAAAUUUGAAGGUGAUCUUUGAAACAAAUUCAUCAAAGUAGGAAGCAAAUAAAAUUUCAAGACUUGUCCCCUUUCUACGCCCAACAAAAUUCAGAAUCCAUCAUUUGUUAUUACUGUAAUAAUAUCUCUAACUAAAUUAAUGAAAAGAUAAAUCAAGAAAUUAAAUCCUUUUAGAACUCUCUUAUAAAGAAACCAUAUUAAGGAUUACUUUAGAUCUAAUUAAUUAAAUUAAUAAGAUAUGAAUAAUAAUAAUAGAGUUUAAAUUCUUAUAGAACACUCAAAUGAAAAUGUUAAAUUCUACAAGAACUCUUAUAUGAAAGUGAUUGACACUAAAAAAAUGGGUCACCUCCAAGUUAUUCUACACAUUCACAAGUUCAAGAAGUUGAAAAAUUAUUUACAAAAAUAUUUGAAGAAACUAAAGAAGUAGAAGAAAUUCUAAUGAACAUCAUAUCAAUUGAGAGGAGGAUGUGAACAGAAGAGAAGAUUGAAAAGAGUUUUGUUUGUAAAGAAAUUCAAAACUUGUUAUAAAAUUUGACGCAAAAUUUUCAAGUCAAUUUUCAACUUGAAAUUUGUGUGUACUAUAUAUAUGGGAAAGAAUCCAUUUACAUUAUAUAAAACUAUUGUAUGUAUAAUACAAAAAUAUUUAAUACAUUAUCAAUAAAGUUUUUAAACUAUGCACCUGUGAUUAAAACCAAAAUAAUAAUAUUAAUAACAACCAAUCACUUUAUUUGACUAACUUUUCCUCACAAGUCUUUGGUAUGGAGACAAAUCAGUUUAAUCAGUCUUUGGAGCUAUUAACUGACAUUUCCACCAUUGAUUUGAAAAUCAUAACCCAUCAAUUCACUUUAAAUGAAACGAGAUCCUCAAGUGUUUGGUGUUAUAUUCUUAAAAUGUAUUUAGAUGAUUGUUUAUUAAUUUUAUUUCUUUAUAUUUAAAUCAAAUGUAAUAAAUUGUUGAAUUUAUAUACUUCUUAUUAUAACAAUAUAUGGACUAUCUUCCUACUUCUUUUUUUAAUUUAAUUUUUUGUAACUCUUCACAAUUUAUUUUGAAAAACAUUGAAAAAAAACUAAAUGAUUAAAUUAAGGCUCAACUUUUCACUAAUCUUAGUUUAUUUAGUCUAACUUUUCACAAUUUCAUAUACUCAUUUCAUGUUUCAUACCAACAAUUUUUCUUUUUGGUAAAAAGAAAAAAACAACUAUACUUUCUUUAAUCCCAAAAUUAAGGCUUUAUGAAUGAAAAUAAUAUUAUAUUAACUAUGAUAAUUAAGUUUUUAUUUUAAAUAUGAUUAAUUUUAUAUAUAAUAACUUUAAAUAUAAAUAUAUAUAUAUCUAUAAUUAAAUUUUAAAGAAAUUUAUUGUUAUUUUCUAAACAUAAAACAAAGAAAACUUUUUACCCAAAUUAUAAGUUUGUGGUUAGGCAGCCCACUUUGGGACAGGAUUCAGCUUACGUUUUUAAUCUUGGGCUUUAAAAAUAAUAAAAAUAUAAAAAUAAUGUUCGAUUAAUAUUUAUAAAUUUUAUAAAUUUAAAUUUAAUUAUAUUUUUUAUACAGUAAAAUCAACCAUUUAUAUGGGCUAAAUUGAGUUAAGUUCGGUUUGCAUCAAGCCUUAACUUUGACCAAAUCCAACGAAAAACACCUCUAACCAUAAUCUAGUAUUGUUUUUAUGAAUUGAAUUUUAACUUGUAAUUUUCAAUUUUAUACAAACUUUCUUUGCCUACGAUAAGGAAAUAACAUAUUUGUAACUUCUCCAAUCUGGCGUAAACAUUCAGUCUGAAUUCGGAAGAUUACAUCGGCCAUAAAGAUGGCCUAGCAGGGUUAUCAGAGUUUUUGAAAAUAGACAUCUUUAAAACGUUUGUUUAAUUCAGUAAAAAACUAAUUUAAUUUCCAAAUUAUUUAUUACUUGAAAUCUUAAUUACACUUUAAAAGAAGGAAGUGGUAACUAUUUAUUUUUAAUAAAAAUUAGGGUUCAUGUAUAAUUGAUUAAUAACCAUAAUUCGAAAACAUUAAAACUUAAAUUAAAUGUCAUGCAAAAUAAAACAAGCUUAAACCUAAAUCUCAUGCCACAGUUCAAAAUAAUUUAUUGUAGUCUUCAAAAAUAAAAUAAAUCAUAUAAUCAACCAAAAAUAAGUUUUGUAAUUUAGCAAUGUAUCGAGACCUUCUAGAUGUCAUGCCCGCGUCCUAACUUGGUUAUUUGUAAGUGUAACGACCCGAAUAAUUUAUCUCUAUUUCUGUAAAUAUUUGACGCAAAUACUUGUUUGCUUCAGUGGUUAAAUGUUUUGGGUGUGUUUGAGAGGUCUUGGGUUCAAGUCUCAUUUUUGUAAAAUUUUGUUAUUUUUAUGAUUCAAGCCUUAGCCUUGUUGAGUGGGCUUUUAUGAAAUUGUUUGCUACUUCAUAUUAGAAUGAGCUUGCUAGUUCAAGUGGUAAGGAGUUGGUGUGAAGGAGGUUCUGUGUGUGAAUCCCUGCACGAGCGUGGGUAUUAUUUUUUUGCUCAGUUAUAUGGUAGAGUUUCGGUGCUUUUGGGAUUAUAGGGUAGUUGGAUGUGAAUUAGUGGGGAGUUAGGAUAUUAGUGGGUUUUUAAUUAGAUUUUAUUUAAUUUUUAUUCUUUUUGUUUUUCCCAAUUUUUCUCUUAGCUUUUGACGUUCUGUUUCCCUUUUCUCCUCUGCUGAAUUUUUGCCGCUCCCUCUCAUUUUUGAUUUUUCCAAUUCGUCUCCUUUUUGUGCAAUGUUUGAUUGCAUUCGUUCGGUAAGUCUUGUAUUGUUACGAUCUUAUUGUUUGGUGGUUAAUGUUUUAAUGGGGGUUUUGUGUUUACUCUCGAUUAAGGGAAGGGCAAGAAGAGUUGGUACUCCUGCAAGAUUUGAGCGUUAAGGGUGUCUGUUCGUUGGCGGUAAGUUUUCAAAUUCUUUGUUGGUUAUUGUAAGGCUCCGUUUGUGGAAUGGUUUCGGAUUGAGUUUCGUAAGUGUGUAUCGAAUUUGGGCUUCUGGAUACUGUUUCUUAGGUUCGGUGGUCUCAGGGGUGCUUGUGCAUCAAAAUGAUAUCAGGUGUGUACCCGAAACGUAGAAAAUCGAGUUUCGAUGAAAGGUAAAAAACCUUAUUUUCGAUGCCACACGGGCGUGUGCAUGGCCGUGUGGUUGGCCGUGUGCAGGACACAGUCAUGUGUUCGACGAGGGUAGGGCCGUGCGCAAGACACGGCUGUGUGACGAUGUGGGUGUGGCCGUGUGGGCCACAUAGGCUAGGCCAAGUUGGGCUUGUGGGUUUUGGGCCACACGUGCAUGUGCCUUUUAAACAAGUCCGUGUGGACCACACGGGUAGGGCUAAUAUGGGCGUGUUGGCCACAUGGGCAUGUGGGCCGAAAAUUCUAAAAUUUUCCUUAAGGUCGCACAGGUCGUUCUAGUCGACUGUGGGCCUACCGUAGGGUCGGUAAGGGCUAACCAAACCCUAAAACUAUGUGAUCUGUUAGUUUGAUAUUUUGUUCUGAAUAUGAUACUGCUAUGCAUGUUUGAUUAGUUUGGUGUAUGUAUAUAUAUAUAUAUCUGAUAUCUAUGUAUGAGCAUGUGAGCAUGGUAACUCUAAUUAUCUAUAUCUGAUUGGGGUGGGAUUUGUAUAUGUGGAGGAAGUGUUCUGUAUGGCGGUCAUCGCUUAUAUUCUGGCAGCUUGGCUGCACAUUAUCUGACAUGUGUCGUAAUGGCACGAUAUGGUGUGUAGGGAUGGGUGGGUGUUUUUAACCCCACAUGAUGUGAUGGGAUAGUUGGAGUUGGUGUGUAGAGGAUGGAGUUAGGAUUUUGUAUUUCUGAUCUGAUCUGCAUAUCUGUUAUGUUAUCUGAAUCUGUAAAGGACUUAGGUCUGAAUCCGAAUCUAAAAUUGUAUCUGACUAUGUAUGAGUUUACUGCAUGUAUUGCAUGCAUUUUUUUAUUGGCUUACACACUAAGUUUACAAAAACUCACAUUUGUUUGUCUGUUAUGUUCAGGUAAUCCACAGAUUUAGGCGGGUCGGUGUGACGGAGGCUCAGUGGUGACCACCUGAUUGAGAACUAUUUUACUUAGUAAAUUAUGUUUUAUUUAUAAUUUCUAUUUCAUUUGAGAGUUUUUAAUUUUUGAGACUCUCAGUACUGCUGGUUUUUAUUUUGGUUUUGGAUGCGAUUUUAGACUAUUUUGUUGCGAUGCAUGAUGGAAAACACGAUUUUAUGAAAAAAAGUUAUUCUGAAAAUACGAACUGGAUUUCUAAAAUAUAACGGUUCAAAAACUUUCACUAAAAAUCACGUUUUGGUAAAUAAAUGAAUUAAAUAAUACUUUCAAAAAUGGUUAUAAAUAAUUAUGAACUAUGAAUCUUUAAUGAUUUGAUGAAACGACCUUAUUUUCAAAACCAUACCUUGUGACCACUCCGGAUUCAGCCAUAACGUCUGGGCUGGUUUGGGGUGUUACAGUAAGGAUGAAAAUUUAAGGGAAUGAGCUAUGACGCUUACUAUGAGUUCAUUCACAAUAAAUUCAACGCAAACGGUUGGUAGGACACAUUAAAUAAUAUCGCAUAAAAUAAUCACAAUUAGAUAAUAGUUCAGAAUGUCGGUUUUACAAUUUAACCACCAAUAUAAUCACAGUAUUCACAGUUGUAAUUUUAGAAUAUCAAAUUUCCACAUCAUUCACAAUAUUCAGAUAUAUAUAAAUAUAUCAUAACAGAAUUCUGGAUUUGUAUGCACAUGAUUUAGAAGAUGCCAUACAAUUUCAGGUUUUAACAGAAUAAAUCCUACCCCACGUUACAUACCAUAAUGGGAGUUCCCCUAAACUCCCUUCUGCAACACACUGGGUUAUGGAUAAACCACUACCGGUUUACAGAUAAUAACUAUCAUUUGGUUGUGGACACACAGCAAGUCUCCACAAUUGGAUUCUAGAUUUGGUUGUGGGUUCACAGCAAAAAAAAUCUACAAAUGAAGCCUGCUUUUGCCUGUAGAUUAUACAACAUAUACCCAUAGUUGGAAUCUGCCUUCGGCUAUGGAUGCACUGUAACACCUCAAACCUGACCUGGACGUUAUGACCGAAUCCUGAGGAAUUACUUUAACUCACUAGAAAACCCAAGAGUUUACUAUGAAAUCAUGUGGUUAAACUAGUGUUCACUUUGAUAAAUCGUUUUCCAGUUUUAGGGAAAAUUAUUGUUAAAACUGUUACUUUAUUACAAUAAAACAUUAAAGUGAUUAUAUCAUUUUGUAACGGAAUCUACUGAGCUAUAAGGUUAUGAAAAUCGUGGUUUAAUUUGCAACAAAUCAUUUUGUAAAUAGAAAUUUAAUACUACUUAAUUUGGAAAAGCAUGCUAAAACGAAAGCAAAGUCCAAACUAAUUUAUGAUUUAAAAUUCUAAAAAGUCCAAAUUAAACAUAAAGUCAAUUUAAACCAGUUUAUCGAACGUGUAACACCCCAAACCUAGCCUGGAUGUUAUGGCUAAAUCUGGAUGUGUUACGAAAAAAAAGUUUAUAAAACGACUUCCUUAUUAUUGGCAAAUCAUCGCAACCAUUAUUACUUAGUAUGCUCGAUUUGUUUGGAAAACUUAUUGAUAUACUUAUUUGAUUUAAAAUCAUUGCUCGCUUAUGCCUUUCUAUUAAACUGAAUGUUUUGUAGUGGAGUUUCUUUAAAACACCAUAUUUUGGCAAAUCAAUUUGUUUCUUGAAAAUCGUUAUUUCAAAAAAAUUGUCAUUUUUAGAAAAAACUAUUUUAUCAGUUGUUACGCUUAGAAACCAAAAUAAAAUCCAAAACCAAAAAUAGUCCCAAAAAGUCCAGAGAGUCCCGAAAUUACAAAACUCUCAAAACCAGAAAAGUUUGAACUAAUUUAAAAAGAAUGAAAUUUUACGGAAAUAUGGUUAACACUGAGCUUCCAUCACACCGACCCACCUAAAUCUGAGGGUUACUUGAAUAGAACAAACAAAUAGAGAGAGUUUUGAAACUCAGUGUGUAACGCGAAUAUAAACAAAAAUUCAGAAUCAAUCUCAUGCAGAACAUAUACAAAUGUAAACCAUUUAUAGAAUAAGAAUUAUACAGAUACAAAUAUGCAACAUCCUACCCUCAUCCUAUACACACCAAUUCUGACCAUCCCAUCACACCACGUGGGGUAUAAAACACCCACCCAGCCCUACACACCGUAUAGUGUUUAUACAACACUUUUCAAAAUAAUCGCAGCAGAGUUGCCAGUAUAUAGGUGAGAUAUCGCUUCACACAGAACACUUCCUCCUCAUAAUACAAAUCCCGCUCCAUAGCCAGAUACAGAUAGAAUAUCAGGUAAAACAAAUUAAUAGAUACCAGAGUUAACAUAUCACGCGUGAGCGUAUAACAGAUAUUACACAUGCUUAUACAUAACAGAACAAAUCAUACAUACCGUAUUCCAUAAUACUCAUAUAAAUGUUAUUUUUUAAAUUGUAACAAAUAUUAUUAUUAAGAUGUUUUUCUUUUUAUAUUUUUUUAUAAAAUAUAUUAAAAAACAAUUAGAAUAAUUUUAAGAGAAAAAACACUCAUAAACAGUAGAAUUUAAUCUAAAAAUAUCAAAGUUUUAAAGCCUCAACUUUAACAUUUCAACCAAAAUUCCAUUAGUAUAUAAAUAUUUUAUAAAUAUAGAUUUUAUAUAAAAAAAUUUUAUGUAAACUUUUUUUUAACCCACAUCACAAGUAUACCAUAUUUAGAGAUAUUCAUAGCUAGGCAGCCCACUUUGGGUCAAACUUGAGCUUAGGUUUCAUCUCAAGUUGGCCCAAUUUAACCUAUUUUACUAUUUAAAAAUAUAAAUAUAUGUUAUAUUGAUAUUUAUAUAUUUCUAUAAUUAAAUUUUAAAUAAAUUUAUUGUUAACUUUUAAACACAAAACAAAGAAAACUUUCACCCAAAUUAUAAGUUUGUGGUUAGACAGCCCACUUUCGGGGCAGGAUUCAGCUUACGUUUUUAAUCUUGGGAUUUAAGAAUAAUAAAAAAUAUAAAAAUAAUAUUGUAUUAAUAUUUAUAUAUUUUAUAAAUUUAAAUUUAAUUAUAUUUUUUAAACAGUCAAAUGAACCAUUUAUAUGGGCUAAUUAGAGUUAAGUUUGGUUUGAAUCAAGCCUUAACUUUGACCAAAUCCAACUAAAAACACGUCUAACAAUUAUCUAGUAUUGUUUUUAUGAAUUGAAUUUUAACUUGUAAUUUUCAAUUUUAUUACAAAAUUUCUUUGCGGACGAUAAGAAAAUAACAUAUUUGUAACUUCUUCAACCCGGCGUAAAGGUUAAGUCUGAAUUUGGAUUACAUCAGCCAUAAAGAUGGCCUAGCAGGAUUAUCGGAGUUUUUAAAAACAAACAUCUUUAAAACGUUUGUUUAAUUUAUAGAAAAGCUUAUUUAAUUUCCAAAUUAUUUAUUACUUGAAAUCUUAAUUACACUUUAAAAGUAGGAAGUGGUAACAAUUUAUUUUUAAUAAAAUUCGGGGUUCAUGUAUAAUUGAUUAAUAACCGUAAUUCGAAAACAUUAAAACUUAAAUUAAAUGUCAUGCAAAACAAAACAAGCUUAAAUCUAAAUCUCAUGCCGCAGUUCAAAAUUAUUUAUUGUAGUCUUAGAAAAUAAAAACAAUCAUAUAAUGAACCUAAAUUUUUUAUUUUACUUUAAUAAUGUGUCAAGGUCUUACAGAUGUCACGCCUGCGUUCAAUCUUGGUGGGUUAUCUGUAAGGAUGAAAAUUUAAGGGGGAGUGAGCUAUGACGCUUAGUGUGAGUUCAUUCACAAUAAAUUCAAUGCAAACGGUUGGUAAGACACAUUAAAUAACAUUGCAUAAAGUAAUCACAGUCAGAUAACAGUUUAGAAUGGCGAUUUUACAAUUUAACUACCAAUAUUAUCACAAUAUUCACAGCUGUAAUUUCAGAAUAUCAAAUUUCCACAUCAUUCACAAUACUAACAUAUAUAUAAAUAUAUCAUAACAGAAUUCCAGAUUUGUAUGCACAUGAUUUAGAAGAUGCCAUACAAUUUUGGGUUUUAACAGAAUAAAUCCUACCCCACAUUACAUAUCAUAAUGGGAGUUCCCCUAAACUCCCUUCUCCAACACACUAGGUUGUGGAUAAACCACUACUCGUCCACAGAUAAUAACUAUUAUUUGGCUGUGGACACACAACAAAUCCCCACAGUUGGAUUCUAGCUUUGGCUGUGGGUUCACAGCCAAAAGUCCUGCAAAUGAAGCCUGUUUUUGCAUGUAGAUUAUACAACCUAUACCCGCAGUUGGAAUCUGUCUUUGGCUAUGGAUGCACUAUAACACCCCAAACCCGACCUGGACGUUAUGGCUCAAUCUUGACGUAAUGCCCCAAAAUUUCUAAUUUCGUUAUUGUGAAAAUAUGACACAAAAUAUUUGUCUGCUUUAGUGGUUAUGUGUUCUGGGAGUGUUUAGGAGGUCCCAAGUUCACGCCUUCACAUGGGAAAAUUUUGGUAUUUUGAAUGAAUUAGGUAUUACUCUUAUUCAGUAGGCUUUUAUUUGAUUGUUGGGUAAAUUAUAUUAGAAUGGGCUUGCUGGUCUAGUGGUUAAAUGGUUUAUUAUUAUGGUGGAGGUCUUGUGUUCAAGUCCCUAUGUAGGCAAGGGUAUUAUUAUUAUUAUUAUUUGCUCAAAUUUCUGGAUAGAGUUGUGUAAUAGGGGGAUUCUGAGUAGUAGAUGUGUAGUGGGAAUUAGGGGAGAAGAUUAAGGAGUUUCAGGGGUUAUCGAGAUUUUAUUUUAUUUUUUCCCAUAACCGAAUUUUGACUUUCUUUUUCCAAAAAAAAUCUGCCAUCUAUUCUUCUCCCUCUCCUCUUGUCGAAAUUCUCUUAGUUUUUUCACCUUUCUCUUCUUUUUCUUCUUCUUGAUUUUUCCCUAAUCCAUUUAUUUUUCUUCAUUUUCGCACGCGGUUAGUUUUCGCUUAGUUUCGAUAAGUGUUUCUCUUCGUUUCUAUCAUGAAUCUCCUAGCGACUAAAGUGGUAACUUUUUUUCUCUGUGAUUUGGGUGUAGGGGAAGGCUCGAACUGUUGAAUUCAGUAUUCUCGUCUUAACAAUAGUUAAAUGGAGGGUUAUCGUUGGUGGUAAGUUGGGUUUCUGUUCAUUCUUAGUUGUCAAUUUGCUUGUAAAUCUGUUAAAUUGAUGUUGAGUAUCUUGAUUAUAGGCUUUGGAGUGCUUGGGGACUGUUUUAGCAUCAAACAAAACCAGAUGUGUACCCGAAACGCAAAAAAAAAGGGAUUCGAUCGAAAGCCGAAAUUGUUUGCUGUUUGGACAGUAGCAGUAGGCUAACUUUGAAAAAUCGCCAUAAAUUGUGGAAAUCGAAUUAGAGGAUGAAAAAAAUAUGAAAUUAAAUCUUAUUGAGUCUAGUUUCUCAUAGAAGAACGGUGUAAGUAAUGGAAUUUUAAAUCGUGAGAUAAUAAACUAUGUGAGACAAGGUUAGAAUAAAUUCGGGUUCCCUUGUUCUGACUUUGGAAAAUCAUCAAAAAUUGGAUAAAAAUAAUUAGGAAUUAAAAUUUACAUGUUUAAAUUAUUAAUUAGUCUUUUUUCAAUAGAAACAAAUGGGAACUUCAUCCAAAAUUUUUACUAAGAGAUAAUUAAUUUUUAGCAAUGAAGGGUCGAAGCUGUCAAACAGCAGAACAAGGGUAAGUUUGAAGAUUUUACCAUACUUAUUGGCUGAGCCAAAAAUUUAAAAAUUUUAUGGUAGAAAGGUAUUUGAGUCUAUUUUCAAAUACAUCAAGUGAAUUUUAAUUAGGAAUUCUUUAGCUCAAGAUAUAAAUAAUUUAGUUACAGUGAGUCAAGUAGAAAGCUUUGAAGGAACACAUAAGUAAAUUGUGAUAAGAUAUAUGAAUAUUUAGCUAGCACAGGUUACAUUGAAAAUGGAUCACGCAGCCAAGGCCAAUUUGGGCUGAGUGGGCCACAUGGGCAUGUGAGCCCAUUUUUCUGAAAAAUUCUGUAAGGUUGCACGGGUCGCCCAAGUCGACUAUGGACCUACUGUAGGGUCGGUAAGCUUUACUUAGACGCCUAUAUGUGUGAUCUAUCUGGCUGAUUUCUAUACCGAGCAUGACUUAUGAUAUUUGAAUGUAUGUACUUUUAAUUACAUAAUGGCAUGACAAAUUUUGUAUGUUGCAUUGCAUCGGAGUGGGUUGAUGAUAUUUGGAGGAAGUGUCUAAAAGGCUAUUAAGCCUGUUAUCUGGCAGCUCAGCUGUAACCUUCUGAUUAUGUGCGCAUUUCAGUACAACAUGGUGUGUAAGGAUGGGUGGGUUGAUUUAACCCCCACAUGGUGUGUAAGGUUGGACAAAGAUGUGCGUAGAGGCUGGUGGGUAGGAUUCUGAUUUCUGUAUCUACAUUAUGUAUCUGAUAUGGGCCAAGGCUCUAAUGUAUUUCUGAGACUGUAUCUAAACGGGCUAAGGCCCAAACUGAUUGUGUGAUGGGCCUAGGACCCAGACUGUAUCUAACUAAAUUCUGUUGAUUAUUUGUAUGCAUGAUUUCUAUGGGGAUUACACACUGAGUUUGCGAAAACUCACCCUUUCUCUAUUUAAUCUGUACAGGUAAUCCCCAGACUUGAUGGGUCAGUGCAACAAAGGAUUCGACAGUGGCCACACGUAAAUUAUGGAUUGUUUUCCGUUAAUACCUAGAAUUUAUUAAUUAUUUGGGGUUUUUGAUGUAUCUUCUGGACUAUGGACUGGUUGGCUAACAUACCUUUUUGCAUUGCAUCAUGUGCACGACAUAUUUGAAUAUUAUUGGUUUAUGCUACGUAGUGUAUUUUGUUGUAUUGAAUGGUAUCAAAAUUAAUGAUUGUCACUCGAAUGAAUUAUGACCUAUGCUCAUACACUGUUUGACAUCAAUUUGAUAAUGGCUAUGUAACGAUAUGAAAUUCCUAUAAUGGUUCUAUUUUCUUCUGUUAAAGCUAAUUAGUUUUACUGUAUUUGAUAUUUAUGUUUGUUUCAAUAAUUGUUCGACUCACGCUGAGCUUUUCAUAAGCGCACCCCUAAUAUGUUAAACUUUUCAGGUAAACCUCGAAAUUAAGACCAGACUUGGCAUUCGAAGAAUCACCUUAGACCUUGAAUUAUUUUUCUAAUAAGUAUUAAUCAAUCUCUAAUGGUUUUCGUUUGUAAUUUUUAAUUAUAUCUAGUCUGUGGCUUGAUAACUUUUCUUCUGGGAUUUUUGCAUGCAUGGAUUACUCAAGCAUAGUAACCGGAUAAUGCAUGAUAUUAGGCUUAAGUAAAAUUUGAUAUUGUUCCCUAGAUUCCGCUGCAUUGCAAAGGAUUUGUUUUUGAAAAACAAAUUGAUAAGGUAACUAAGUUUUCAAAAUGACUUGAAAAAUGGUUUUUCCCCUGCAUUAGUUUAACAUCGAAUUUUUUUUAAAGGAGAGCAACAAGCAAAUGAUUUUUCUAAAACAACACUAUCAACAAUAAAAUGAAUUCUAAGUAUACACAACCUAAUGAAUGAAUGCUUUUAAGCUAACUUAAAGUACAACUAUGGUUUUCUCUAAAAUGAGUUUAUUUAAAGUUUUCAUAAGUAAUGUAAGUUAGCUUAGCCAUUUCGGUGGCUAAUGUAGCCUUCUCAUUCUAGCCAUAACGUCUAGGCCAGGUUUGGGAGGUUACAGUAUUGAUAGGAACUGUGGUAUAAAUUUUAUUUUGGACAUUCUUAAAUUGUUAUUUGGACUAAACUUUAGAAACUAUGGAUUUUAUACUGAGCCUAAAUUUACGAAGUUCAUGCGUGGUUUUUACGAAAAUGAAACUCAUAUGAAAUUUCAAAACCGUGAUGUUUUUUUUAACGCUCCAAUUUGAAAUUGUACAAGAAAUGUCAAUUUGAAUUAUUUUUGAAUGUUUUUUAUGCCAAUUAAAUAUUGUUUCAAAACAUAGCUAAGUAUUAUUUAAUUUCGUAAAGAUGAAGCAAACUCCGAACAAUCUAAAACUUCAAGGACUAGUUUGCAAUUUUUUUUUCCUCAAUUGUCUCCGGUUUGAUUCAAUUCUUGAUCUAUACAAUUAUUCCAUUCAAUUCAUCAAUAUUAAACAUUUAUACAUUAUGUCAUGUCAUGAAUGAACCUAGAUAAAUUCAUUUUUUGAUACCCUUAAAGUUUUACAUUUAUUUCAAUUUAGUCUCUAAAAUCGAAAUAGUCAUAACUUUAAAUUCUGAACUUCGGUUUGAAAAUCGACCUCAAUUUCAUUAUAGACUCUCUACUAUCCAUUAUUAUCAAAAUUUCACAUCAAUUUCACAAUUUAUUUACUUUAGUUAUUAUGUACAAAAUUAACAACCAAACAUCACAAUUUAGUCAUUUUUCAUAAUUUAAGCUUAAAAUCUAUCAAUUUAAUACCAAUUUCUUCAAGAAAUCAACCAUGAUAACUAUAAAAAAAAAUUAACAGUUUUGCAAAUUGAUACAUAGGUCAUUUAAAUCAAACUUUCAUGACCUCAGAAACACAAAAAAAAAUUAUACGAAAAUGAUUUAGAAAUGCAUACCAAUUGAGGACCGAAAGCUUGAAGCUCAAAAUGGCUUUUUCCCUUGAGGUUUUAUGUUGAUUAAAUGAUGAAGAAGAAGAAAUAAAGAUGACAACUUGCACUAAGUCACCUUUAUAUACUUAGAUUAAAUCUUAAUUAAUCAAAUUUAAUUAAUUAAAUCUUAAUUAAUUAACCUUAAUCACAAUUAAAAAAAAUUAGUGGAUGUUAACAUCAUCCUACACUAUUUCAUAUAACCAAAUGAUCUAUUUACCAUUUUGAACCUUUAGCUAAUUAGAAAUCUAUAGCGAUAAGACUUUUAAAAUUUAGUUUCUGUAUCUUAAUUAUGCAAUUAAUAGACAAAGUUGAAGGUUUAAAAUUUAAUGUUCUAUUAUACCAACUCUGUAAAUAUUCAUAUUUAAUAUUUACAGACCCGAAUUACGAAAAUGAGAUUUUGAAAUUGUAUUUUCCAAUACCACUGAAAAUCGAACAAUUAUGUAACCUAUUUGCACCAAAGGGCCAAACAUGGCAAAUACUUGACAUGUAUGUCUUAAUAUCCUCAUCUAUUCUCUUCAAUAUAAUAACAUCCAAUAAUUGUUUCAUCCACUGUAACUAUCACGAAGAUUAGAUUUACCAAUACAGCCUACAAUUUGCAGAAGCGCGACAUUUUCAUUCUAGAGAAAGGUAUAAUUGAAACAAAAUUGAAAUAAAGAUUUCAAUACAGAAUCAACAGACAUUCCAGCUAAUACUUAUCAAUUAUUUGCAGCUUCAUUGCUCCAACUAAGAUGGUUUUUAGUCGAAUAUGGUAAAUGAAAUCAAUGAACACCAGCUACUUGAUGAACGAGUGAAUCAAAGUCCUGAUAUGUGCCGGCUUAUUGGUGAAAAAAUACAUGGGUUAGUUUUGCAGCAAUUCAUGAUCUUACAUUUUAUAACCUUUGCUUACAAUUAUUCACUGACUAAUCAUUCAAUGAAUGUAGGCCUCAAAUUUAGCCACUAAACUUUGUUCUUUAUUUUUAGAUACAUAUUAUUUGAUCACUUCAUACAGCCUAUUACUCAUAAUAACUUCCAAUUUCCCUUCUUUAGGUUAGUUGCAAAUGUACAGCUUUUUCUAGAAGAAGAAAAUUGUCAAGAGCCACCUGUUCAAGAGAGGCGCAAACAGAAUGUAACAAUACCUGACCUACUUACGGUACAGCCAAGUAAUCAUGUGUUUCUAUGCUAGAACAUUAAAUCAAUGACUACAAAUUUCAUGUCAUGGUUGUGUAUCAUUUAUGCCACUGAUGCUGCUAUUUUCUAUUCUAAUGCAUAAUAGGGAUUUAGUGUUUUUACCGUUAAAAUUGUGUCCUUUAAUUUUGGCUUUUUUCAAUUGUUGAUCAUGUCCACCUAUGCUUUAUUUUACUACUAUUGCUUUCUUCAAUGAUAGAUGAUUGAAUCGGUAGAAUUUUAUUAAUCCUCUACAUGUUUUAGCUUGAUAUGUGGAUCCUAAGCAUUCCUUGGAUUGUGCCCUCUUUGUUCAUUUAUUUUUUUUCCUGGAACCUUAUUACAUGUUGUAACACUCCAGUUUUUUGGAGACAUUGAAGACGACUAACUGCUGAAUUCUUUCUUCUGCAGAGGAACCAAUGGCAAGAGACUCUAAAACUCCUACUCUUUUUUAUACCUUCCUCACCUCUUUGUGACAUUAUAGCUGAAAAAUGAUGUAUGCUAAUACAUGAAAUGUUUCCUCUUGCCUUUCUUUUUGUAGUACUAAAACUACAAAUAGUGUCUGUAAAUCUCUUUUCCCGUAAUCUUAUCUUUUCCUCAUUGUAAUAGUUGGAAAACAGCUUUGUUGAAGACAAUGUCAACUACUGGGAUAAGUUACAAACACUGUUAUUGUUUAUUUUGUAGUCUAAAUUAUGAUAAUUUCUGCACAAAAUUCACAUAAAUGGUUACCCUCCCGAAGCGGAGCGAGGGUGAUGCUUACUAGUUAUUAAGAAAACAGGACCUUGUAGGGCUUAACUGUUGAAUCGAGAAAGAAAUUUCUUUUAAUGCCUUCAAUUUUUUUUAAAGCUGAUUUUUUUUUACAAAUUAAAGUUUUGAUUGUAUGUUAAUUGCUUGAGGGAAGGUCGGAUACUUUAUUAUCCCUAUUUUUAUUUGUUAUAUAUUUUAACCAUAAUGAUUUUUUUGGCCCUACAAUUUUACCAAAAAAAUCAUAUUAGCUUUCAUUUAAUUUUCGUCUCUUUUAACCCUUUAACUUGUAUUUUUUUUGUCAAAUCACCCCAAAAUGGAUCGAAAACUUUAACAUUUGUGAACUUUGAUUAUGUGACAUACACAUGAAUUGUCACAUGGAUGACAAGUCAACAUUUCUUUUAAAAAAAAACUUAAAAAAUAUUAAAUAAAAUAUUUUUGAUAUUUUUUAAUGAUUUUUAAAUUAAAAAAAGUUUUUAAAUAUUUUUUAAUUUUUAAAAAUUAAUUAGACGCAGGCAUGGAAAUUCACAUCUAUGUGUCACAGGCCGUGGAUUAAAGCCUGUGACCAUUGCGCAUAGAACACCCCAUAGAAUUUUGGCUUUUUAUUUGGUCAAUCAUGUCCACCUAUGCUUUAUUUUACUAUUAUUGCUUUCUUUAAUGAUAGAUGAUUGAAUCGGUAGAAUUUUAUUAAUCCUCUAUGUAAUAACCAAAUUUUGCCCGGGCCCAAUGCCAAACAAAUAAAACCCAAACCAAAUAAAUAAAAUAAGAGUCCAAAUUACAGUCCAUUAGAGCUCAAUUCAGACCAGCCCACUAUUCAAUCAGACUGGCCCAACACCCAAAUAACCUAACAACCCUAGCCCAACAAAAUCAGAAAAAUGAACAGCAAAAAAACCUUAGGUGCGCCGCACCUAGGUCUUUUGGCCUAACCGCCGCUGUUCGCCUAUCACCAGCCUCCUCGCUGCCACCGCCGCAUGCGCACCAGGCCUCCUCCAUGUGUGUCUGACACCUGCAAAGAGAGUCACACGCAACAGUAGAAACAAAAACAAAAAACAAAUAGCAAAACGACAAAAAAAAUAAUGAUUAAGGAGUUCGUAAUCCGACUAUAAAAGCCCUAAUCUGUGACUUGUAAUUUUUUGACACACAUUAGAAAAUAAAAACCAAAAAAAAAAAACUUUAAGGUGAUACUCAUUUCAUUUUAUUUUUGUUUUAUUUUAUUUUAUCAUUUUUAUCUUUUUAUUUCGAAAUAACAUAAAUAAAAAGGGGAGGCUGGGUUGCCGUUGCCAGAGCAUAUUUUGUGCUAAAGGGGGUUGCGCAGGAGGAAAAGAGGAAACUUUUCAGUUUCCCGCCGCCGUGAUGGCCGAACCUCUGACUGGCGCUUGGAGAAAGAAGGGGAGAGUUUGAGAGAAUUUUAGGUUUUUUGUUUAAGAAAAGUGAAAAAUGAAGAAUUCUGAAAAAAUUAAUAUUUAUAGCACCUAGAAAUGGCGUCGUUUUGGCCAGUUUCAUUUGGCCCCAAAAUGACACCGUUUAAUGGCCUAUACCGGCACAGUGACCCGACCCGGGGAAGGAUCGGAGUGUUUUGUGCUAUUGGGUAAUUUUCGCAUUUGGUCCCUCUUAUUUUGUAGUGUUUUCAAAUUAGAUUUUAUUUAUUUUAAAUUUCAACAUACAUUUUUGUUUUUGUUUCACUUAGAUCCUGAACAAUGCGCAGCGUUUUGGGGGCGAGGAAAUAUUUCCAAUAUGGCCCCAUGUAAUCUGCAUAUUACACUUUAACCCCUCGUCUUGUUUAUAAUUCUAUUCUUUUCUUGUUAAUUUAGAUUCAAUUGCGAUUUAAUCUUUUGUUAAAACAUUUGUUUUCUUUAUUAAUUUAUUAACUAUUUUAUUAUUAUUUUAGUGGUAUAUUCGGUCAUAUUUUCAUUAUCUUAUUAUAUAUUAUCAUUUUGAGUUUUACUUAUAUUAUUAUUAUAAUUUUAUAAUGUGUUAUUUUAUUAACUCAAUAUAACAUAUAUAUAUAUGUAUUUUUUUGUGGUUUUAUUUUUAUAAUAUAUUUUUUUAAAUCCAUUUUUAUGCACUUUAUAUUUAAGUAUUUAUACAAUAAUAUUCUUAUAAUAUUUUUAUACAUGUACAAUUUAUAUAUAAUUAUUUCUUAUACGUGUAUAUAUACAUAAUAAAUCAUCGAUUACAUGUUAUUAUAUUAUUUCCACUUAUUUCAUAUAUAAUUUAUUUCUUUUAAAAUACUCUAUUAUAUACUUCAUUUAUUUCAACCUUUUAUGUGUAUCAUUAUAGAUAUACUAUUAUAUGAAGUUUUUCAAUCCCUAUGCAUUACUUAUUUAAAUUAAUAUAUGUAUAUUAUUUUAUGUAUUUAGAUUUAUUUUGUAUAUAAUAUCUACUUUUAAAUUUAUUUGGAUACUAUUAUUUUAAGUGGAAUUUAUUUUUAACUAUAUUUUUUUAUUUAUUUCAAUUUUUCAUAUAUGUAUAUAUUAUUUAUUUUAAAUUUAUUUUAAUCAUAAUUUCCCUUCUUUCAUAUUUCUUAAGUUUAAAAAAAAAAACUUGUACAAUUUCAUGUGCGUCAAUUUGUUUGGUGCUUUGAUUGUUUUUUAAUUCAUUAGCCUUUGAAUGUUAGCAUAAUACAUUAUGUGAGAUUAUUGCUCUUAUACGUAUUAUAUUGCUUAUUUUUAUUUACUAAUUAUUCGUAGAUCAUUAGAAUACAUUUUGGUUUACAAAUUAUCGCUUUGUAUUGUACAUUAAUAUUCAAUUGUUUUUUUAUUCGUUCGAAAGAUUACGUUUAAUAUCAUUUAAGUAUCAAAAUCGAUUUAUUCAAAAACUUUCAAGAUAACGUAAUAUUCUGUAUUUGGGAUAUUCGAGAGAAUUGAGCCUUAAUGUAUUGGGUUCCAAUUUUCCUCGUUGAAUCUAGAUAAUCGAGAAUAAUCUUCAAUCAAAAUACAUACAUAAAAAGCUCAUUAUCGGGAAUUCGAUACAUUGUGUCCUAACGCAUUGGAUACGACAUGUUGUUUUCUCGAGAUGAGGAUUUUUCUAAAAAAAAUAAUAAAGGCAAUAUUCCGUAUUUGGGAAAUUUGAGAGAUCGUGCCCUAACUUACUGGGUUUCGAUUUUUCUCCUUUAACCCAAAUAAUCAAAUAUCCUUCUCAAAAUGCAUAGGUUUUAAAAGUCAAAAGAUAAACUUAAUUUUGAAGAUUAAGAAUGUUGCGCCCUAACUCACUGGGUGUGACAUUUUAUCUCUUUGAAAUAAGAGUGUCUUAUCAUUUAAUUCAAUUUAUUCAAGGUUAAAAGGAUCGUAUUUUAAAACCUUUUCAAAAUUUCAACACUAAGACAUUAAGUAAUCAACUAGGUACCAAUUUUUGGGCGUUACGAGGGUGCUAAUCCUUCCUUGUACGUAACCGACUCCCGAACCUAUUUUUUUGAAUUUCGUGGACCAAAAUCAUUAUUUUAAUAAAAUCAAACCAUUUAUUAAAAACAACCACUUUUCGAGGUGACCCGAUCACACUUCAUCGAAAAAGAUCGGUGGCGACUCCCAUAUUCAUUUUCAUUUUCAAAAUCCAAAUUGACCCUGUUUUAUCAAAAAAUGGUGUCAACACUGCACAUGUUUUAUCUUGACAUAUGGAUCCUAAGCAUUCCUUGGAUUUUGCCCUCUUUGUUCAUUUAUUUUUUCUUGGAACCUUAUUACAUGUUGUACCAUUCCAGUUUUUUGGAGACAUUGAAGACGACUAACUGCUGAAUUCUUUCUUCUGCAGAGGAACCAAUGGCAAGAGACUCUAAAAAUCCUACUCUUUUUUAUACCUUCCUCACCUCUUUGUGACAUUAUAGCUGAAAAAUGAUGUAUGCUAAUACAUGAAAUGUUUCCUUUUGCCUUUCUUUUUGUAGUACUAAGACUACAAAUAGUGUCUGCAAAACUCUUUAGAGAAAAACAAAUGUCUGUAAAUCUCUUUUCCCGUAAUCUUAUCUUUUCCUCAUUGUAAUAGUUGGAAAACAGUUUUGUUGAAGACAAUGUCAACUACUGGGAUAAGUUAUUGUAAGCAUCUUUUCUUUAAGUGUUUCAUAUUAAAAACAAACACUGUUAUUGUUUAUUUUGUAGUCUAAAUUAUGAUAAUUUCUGCACAAAAUUCACAUAAAUGGUUACCGUCCCGAAGCGGAGCGAGGGUGAUGCUUACUAGUUAUUAAGAAAACAGGACCUUGUAGGGCUUAACUGUUGAAUCAAGAAAGAAAUUUCUUUUAAUGCUUUCAGUUUUUUUAAAGCUGAUUUUUUUUACAAAUUAAAGUUUGGAUUGUAUGUUAAUUGCUUGAGGGAAGGUCGGAUGCUUUAUUAUCCCUAUUUUUAUUUGUUAUAUAUUUUAGCCAUAAUGAUUUUUUUGGCCCUACAACUUUACCAAAAAAAUCAUAUUAGCUUUCAUUUAAUUUUCGUCUCUUUUAACCCUUUAACUUAUAUUUUUUUGUCAAAUCACCCCAAAAUGGAUCGAAAACUUAACAUUUGUGAACUUUGAUUAUGUGGCAUACACAUGAAUUGUCACAUGGAUGACAAGUCAACAUUUAGUUUUUUUUUUAAAAAAAAAAACUUAAAAAAUAUUAAAUAAAAUAUUUUUGAUAUUUUUUAAUGAUUUUUAAAUUAAAAAAAGUUUUUUAAUAUUUUUUAAUUUUUAAAAAUUAAUUAAAUGCAAACAUGGAAAUUCACAUCUAUGUGUCACAGGCCGCGGAUUAAAGCCCGUGACCAUUGUGCAUAGAACACCCCAUAGAGGUCAACUUAUUAAACAAGGUUCAUUUGACCCGCAUGAACUGGCCCGACCCAUGGAACCCGUGGAGAAGCCCAUCUACUUGAAGCCUUGGUGGUCUAGUGAAAUAUAGUUUAAUUUUUUUUAAACAUAGGGUAAGGGAAGAAGAAUGCCUUAAAAUUAAUUUUUGUUAGAAAACUAAUAAGAAUGAGUUUGUUGGUUUAGUGUUAAGGCCUUAUCCUAUCCAUAGAUCCCAAGUUUGAAUCCCUUGGUGAGCAUUCAACCAAAAUAUUUUUAUUUCCUUGUUUUUACCACACUAAAAGUGACAAAUUUUAAAAUAACCCAGCCCAAAAACUAUUUUUUUUUAAUUUUAGUCCUUAAUUUAAAAUUUUCCCAAACCUACAUAAAUUUUUAAAACCUAUUCCAAUUAGGAAAAAUAAGUAUUAUAAAUAGACAAUUUCAAAACAAACUCUAGAAUUUCAUCUAGCAAAUUUUCAAGAAAACAUCCAUAAACACUUUCUUUUCCAAAUCAAACUUUCAAGCUAAAGAAAUCAGAAUCUUCAAAAUCAUCCCUCAAGUAGAUCUUCAAUCUUUUCUCCAGCACUAAGGUUUCUAAGUAUUCAAAAUAGGUGUGGGAACUAAACCUAAAUCUUUGUGUAUAAUUGAAUCUAAUAGCAAGUAGAGAACCAGUAUAGGCUAACCCUAGGAGAAACCCCCUGUAUGUGCAAUCAUGUAGGUGUGAGCCUAUAGAUGCAAAACCCAUUGUACAUGAAAACCCCAUGCAUGCAAACCCUUACGUGAAACCCCCCUUUCAUGCGAACCCUGUAUGAAUACCAUGUGAACCCUAGAUUAUAGUUGCGAACCCUAGGUUGUUAUGUGGAUACCCAUACUGUGAACCCAAGUGCACAAACAUAUAGGAAUAUUCAUGCGAGCCCCCUUGCAUGCGAACCCUAGUUAGUGUACAUACGGGUCUCAUAUUUACAUGCAAACCACUACUAGUGCGAGUCAAUUAUAUGAUAUCACAUACGAACCCUACUAUUACAUGCAAACCUUUAUACAUGUUAUAUUCGAACCUUUUUUUGUUAAAACUGGUGAGACUUGUCUAGUAUUACAUACGACCUAAUUUGCGAACUCAUAUGUUAAAAGUAUGUGAACCUAUCUAUGUUUGUUAUGCGAGCUCACAUGUUAGCAGUAUGUGAACCUAUAUAUAUCAGUUAUGCAAACUCACAUGUUAGCAGUAUACGAACCAUAAGUCUGUUAUGCAAACUCACACGUUGGCAGUAUGCGAACCCUAUAUACACCUUUAUGCAAACUCACACAUUAACAGUAUGCGAACCCUAUAUACGCCUUUAUGCAAGCUCACACGUUAGCAGUAUGCGAACCCUAUAUACGCCUUCAUGCAAACUCAUAUGAUUUGCAGCAUGCGAUCUCUAUAUUUAUGCGAACCCUUGUAAUAAAAAAUAUGCGAACCUUAACUUGCGAACCCUUGGCAGGAACCCUGCACUCGCAAAGCCUUCUUCCGGACCUGUACAUAUGCUAGAUAACCAAGCCUAUUAGUUUACAUUAAAUCACUGUACAUAUGAGACUGUUUGUUUACUUGCACAAGUUAUAUGUGUAUUUACUAUUCGAUACAAGAGUACCUAUCGACCUUUUGAUGAGAAUUCAGAGAUUAACGAUGAUAAUUCCAACAAUCGGUGUAAGAACGAGUUAAAUCGAGAGUUGAUGUAAUUUAAGGUAAUAAAGUUAAUUUUUCAGUAAUAAAUGUAAAAUUGUUAUGGAAAGAAACGAUGGGUAAAAAAAAAAAUGAGAGUUUUAAAGAAAAGAGAGGAAAACUUCAAUUUAGGGUUGAAGAGGAACUAAAAAUCUACGUGAAAUUAGGAAAAAAUAUAAAAUACCUAGGAUUAAGAAAUUUGAGGGGGUUGAAUGGUAAAAUACCCUUUUUUCUUAAAAAUGAAAAAAAUGGAAAUGGGUAUUAAGUUUGGCACGACUUGAAACUUGGAAGCAAAGGAAAAAAUUACAAAGGCCUUACCAUUUGGGUUGCUACCCACAUUUGGCAUAUUUUUACACUAUUUAAAAUAUAUCCUAGCUUAGUUUUGAUCAUAGGUUGUUGAAAAAAAAAAACAAGGGGUAAGAGUGUGGCUUCAACCUUAAUUCUCUAGUUAGUAUACUAAGCUCUGAACCAUUAAAAUUAAGGCUCAUGUCUUAGUCAAUUAAUUCAUCUAACUCUAUAUAUUUUGAGGUAUUACAUCUUGAAUUAGAAAAACCCAUAAAAUGCAUGUAGACUUGUAUUGCUCGGUACUUGGUACUAUAUAUGUAGACUUGUAUGUUGAUUAAGCUAGCUUAAUUAAGACCAAUGUGUUAGACUUGUCUAUGCAUUGAACAAUCUAGAAGAAAAUGAAGAAAAAGACUCUGAAAAUACUUGAAAACAGAUAAAACUCAUAUGUCAUCGACUAGUUAAACUAUGAUCACCCAUAAUAGACCUUGUAUUUGACUUUUUGUUGAGGGAGAAGUUUCGUGAGUGUUGUUUGUCAGGGAGUCAGUGUUGCCCUAAACAACUAAAGGUAUUGUCCCCAUGUCGAGAUUUUACCCCCAGCCUCUGCAAAAUAAUCAUGAAGAAUACGUGCGAAGGAAUUCAAACACCAACCAAUGCAUGUGUAGCCUUUACCUUCCCACUAUCUUUGGGAACUCAUAAGGAUAAAAUCCCAACAAGAGAAUUGUAUCAGAGGGGUCUGUCAACACAAUGAAUGAAAUUUCAUACUUUUUUUUUAAUGAAAGUAAAUAUCAUAUUUAGUUAGAGAAAAGCAACGAAAAAUCUAACAAUAAAAUCCUUAGCAAAAGAUUAAAACACAAUUGUACCAUAAAUUAAAUAAGAAAUUAAAAAAAUUCAAAUCUAACAAAGACAGUAACUUGAUUCCUCAAAGCUACCACAAACAGUAAUUCAUAGGAAGGCCUGCUGCUCAUUUAUAACACAAACUUCAUGGUGACGGAUACCAACAUACUAGAUACUAUGAUUAAAAUGCUAGAAUAGAUUAAAAAUGUUGAAUUAAUGAUAAAAUUAAGAGUGAAUUAACACAAAGUACUCAUCCUCUCUUUUUAAUGAAUCAACAUCUGCAAUUUCUAUCACUCCUUUAGACAGUGAACUUUCCAUCCAAUGCCUUAUAGUCACUUCUUCAGCAAAAUAAUUAUCAGUUGGCUUUUUCUUUGUGAAAGUUUCUAUAAGGACAAUCCCAUAACUAUAGACAUCACAUUUUCUAGAAACAAUUCCUGCUGAUCCAAAUUCUGCAUUUCAAGCAUAAUUAGAGCAUCAUUAAUCCUUAAUUAUUUCUAAAAUGUUUAUUCAAAUAUACACAUGAAACAAAAAUAUAAAAUGAAAAUCAAGAAAAUAAUCAUAAAAAGAAUUCACCUGGUGCCAUAUACCCGAUAGUUGCAAGAGUCAUGGUUUGCUUCACUACAUCACCUUCUCCCAAAAGGUUGGAAAAGCCAAAAUCUCCCACAUGUGCAACCAUGUCUUUAUCUAGUAAAAUAUUGCUUGGUUUGAAGUCAGAAUGAAUCAUAGGUGUUGGAUGUCCGUUGUGGAGAUGUUCUAUAGCUGUCGCAACAUCUAUCAUUAUGUCAACCCUUUGUAUGAUAUCAAGGAAACAGUUUUUACAAUGUAGCCAUUUCUCAAGAUUUCCAUUUGACAUGUAAUCAAGCACCAAGGCUUUUUUAAAAAUAAAAUAAAAUAAACUUGGUAUCCAAAAUGUUUUUGUGUUGACAUGGCAUUUUUAAAAAUAAAAUAAACUAGGUAUCCGUGUAACAAAAAUAAAAUUGUAAUAUAUAGGCCUAAUUUUAGUAAAGAAUGUUAAUGAUGUUAAGAAUUCUUUAAAUUUCACAUAAUCAUUUUUAUUAGAAUAAAGUAUUUAGACUAACUAAUUAUAUUAUAAAAAUUAAGAUACCAAAUUAUGUCAAAAUUAAAGUUAUAGAUUAAAUCUCAAUUUUAACAUUCUUAUAAUUUAAAAAAGUAGAAGAUUGGAAUUAAAUAAAUUUAUAAUCCUUAAUUGUAAAUUUGAUAAUUCCUAUUAAUCUAAAUUAUUACAAUAAUGUGCUUACUAUGCUUGGUUUUACUCAAUGAGUGAUAUUAAAUUAAUUAAAAAAUUAGAUAAAAAUCAAAUAUCUUAUUUCUAAUAAUAAUAUUAUUACUCCCUCACAAAACUAUAUUUCACUUGAAAGAAAUUCUAUUCCCUUCAAAAAAAAAUUACCAUCUUAAAACACUUCCAUCUUUUAAAAAAUCUUAAUGCACACUUUAAUCCUUGAAUUAUAUCACUUUUUCAACUUUAGUCUUAAAUUUUUUUUAUUGAUUUUAGUCCCUAAUAUUAUUAAACGUUUCCAAUUUAGUUCAUUGGACAAUAAAAAUUGAUUGUCGUUGGGAUAUCCAACCAAUCAUACACUACCAAAUAUUGUACGAUGAUAUCAUUAUGACAUCAUCAACAAAAAAACCUUAAAAAUCUUUAAAAAUGAAAAAAAUUAUUAUAAUUAUUUAAAAAUAGAAAAAAAAUAAAAUUGUAAAAAUAAAAAAUCUAUGUAAAAUAUAAAAAUUUACAUAAAAUUUAAAAAUAUAUUAGAUAUUUUAAUAUCUUUAAAAUUUUAUAAAUCACAUUUACUAGAGUUUGAACCUAUGAUUAUUGUCAACAAUUGUUUUAUGACUCAAUUAAUCAUAAUUUAUAAUUGGUAGAUCUUUUUAUGUGAUAAACUUGGAUAAUUUUUUUUUCAAAUUAUUUAAAUAAUGAAAAGUAAUAUUAUUUCAAAUAAAUAAUAAAUUAUAUAAUAUUUAUAAUUAUUCCAAAUAUUUUUUUUUACUAUCUUAAGAUAAAUUAUUUGUCUCUAGACCAAUAUCUUAAGAACUAUUGUCGUGUGUUUAACUAUUCUAAAGAACUUUGGUAUAAAAUAGAAAAAGCAUGUGCACAAUGGUAAAUAGGGAGUCGAGUCAAAUAAACUUGUUGCCAGUAACGCUGGUAAAGUACUAAAAAUUGAUGUAUUUUAAAAUAUUAAAAUUUUGAUAUAAAAAUUUAUUCAAAUUUUUAUUAUAAUAAUUUUAAAUAAUUUUUUAUAAAAAUUGAUUGUAUUACAAUAUACAAUUUCAAUAUCAAAUUUUUAAUAUUUUAAAUGUGAUUAGCGAAUGUAUACUUUAUUUCAAGUUACAUAAUUUUUACCAGUAUUUUAAAUUUUUUAUUUUUUUACAAUCUUUUAUUAUUUCUAAUAUUUUUUAUAUUUUUUACAAUAUUUAAAAAUUUAUAAUAACUUUUAAUAAUUUUAUUGUUUUUAGAAAUUAAAAGAAUUAACAAUUUUUUAUUUUUUAAAAAAAUUAUAAAUUUAUAAUGUAGUUAAUUUUAUUUAAGUUUAUUUGAAUUUUAUGAUAUUUUUAAAAAAUAUUUUUUUAUUUUUGCAAUCGUGACAUCAGCAUAUGACACGUGGUAAUUUAUGAUCAGAUGAAUUUUUAGUUUUUUUUUUAACGUCCAAAGGAUUAAGCUGAGAACACCUGGUAACGUUAGGGACUACACUAAGAGCAUUUGAUAAUAUUAGGUACUAAAGUGGGCCAAAAAAACAUUAAGGACCAAAGCAAAAAAAAUGCUAUACUUGAACUUUCAAAAUUAUCUUUCAUUUAGUUAGGAUUAAUAUUUAAUGAUUUACUUAAAAAAUAGAAAUUUAAAAAUUUGUAGUAUUGAGGUUAAAAAAUGAGUAAGAGGUGGUGGAUGGUUCAUACAAUGGUGAGGCACAAAGAACCAUUUUAAAAUAAGAGAAGGGAGGGGUGCUUAUUCUUGAGGUUAAGAAUGAGUAUUUAUAGGUGAGGUUAAUCAUCCUUGAUCAUUAGACCUUGACAAGUGUUUGAUGCCAGUCUUAUCGUGGUUGGCCACUAAGGGAAUGAUGGACCUCUAGGUAGUGAUGGAAUUGACAUGAAUUAGAUGAGAUUAGGAUGACAAUUUGGAUUUUGAAUUCGGAUAAUAUUGGAAUUAAAAUUUUGAAAUUACUAUCUGUUGCAUAUUUGAAGUGAAUGCGGAAAGAUAUUUCAGAAUUAUAUUAGUCGAAUCUACUUUACUUAUUCGAAUAGAUGUAGAUUGGAAUUUAGAUAUCUGAAUCAACUAGUCACGAAAUGUGUAUAGUUUUGAUUAUAUAUAAAAAAAAUUUGGUGGAUUCAAUUUUGAAUUUUCGUGGAUUUGGAUAUCCAAAACAUGAUUGAAAUUUUUAAAAUUACUCCUUUUCUGUUGAUUCAGAUAUUUGACGAAUAAUAGUACUUAACUUAAGCCAAAUUUAGACAGUAAUACUCGGAUAAUUUGUAUAUAAUAAAUAAAUUUUGAUUUUCAAGCAAAUAUGCAUAUUCUAAUUCAAAAAAUGUAGUUACUAACCUAUUGCCAUUCCUAGGCAAGAGUACCCUACGUGUGAUCCAUGCACAGAAGGAUCCAACAUCUUUCACUGACGAGGUAGAUUAGAAGCGUCACGUACCAGGCAUAUAUGUAUCAAUGAGGUCUAUAGCUGGCAAAGUGUAGCCCACAACUGAAAUCAUAGUUGACGAGGUAGUAGUUGGGCGACAUGAUGGUGACAAAAGCCACUCUGGUAAAAUAUUAAUAGCAAUCACCCUCCAAUUAAUGAGAAGUUAUAAAAUGACCUAAUUAAAUGGUAGCAUAGUUUACCAUAAGUGUCAUAUGUGUUGUAAGGCAUGAGCUCAAACCCUACCAAACUCAAAUGAUCAAAUUUCCUUGGUAGGUGGUCAUACGUCACGUACCGUUUGUCCCAACAAGGCGCUCCCACUCUGUUGAACCUGUCACCUCUUUAGGUAGCUUUAGGCACUUGAGAUCUUUACAAAGUCGAGAGGUAAAAUUAUUGGAAAAAAAAAACUCGGUUUGAAAAUAGUUUUCUUACACAGUAGAAAAAUAAAAUUUUGAAAAUCGACCUGGUUUGUGAUAUUUAUAACAAAAAAACCUUAACUGAAUUCAUACAUGUGUUUUUGGAUAAGUGGAUCCUUGAUGUUUUCAGGCUUUCAACCAAAUGAUCUUUUGCACUAUUCUCGUACCACGAACUGCUUCGAGUGUGGCCUCGAACCAAUUGAAUCAAAACACAAAACUAGAAAAGGUUUUCCUUUUUGGGUGAAAACCAAAAUUCUCUCUUCUUUAAUAGAAAUCAGUAAAAUUAUUAUUAUGAAAAAUAUGUUUAUAAGUUGAGAAUAAAUUCUCUCUAUUUUUCGACAGAAUAAAAAUCUCUCAAAAGUUGUGUAAAUAGCUCUACUGGUGCCAUUUAUUUAUAGGAAGAGAAAGUAGAACCCUUGUAGAGUUGUAAAAGUUUAUAUCCACUAGAAAAAUAAUAUCCUAGCCUAUCUAGGAUAUAGGGAGCAACAACCGUAGUUAAUGAUACUAGGGUUUUGUCAUCCCACCUCUUUAUAUGAGGGGUUUUAGGCCUCUCUCACAUCAGAUCCAAGUACAAGUACUUCUUAAAUAUAAAUUUGAAUUUGAUAUAUUGAUUACAUAUGAAUUUAUAUAUUGUGAGUAAAAUUUUUAUUUGAUAUAUUAAUAAUGUAUAAAUUUAUAUAUUGUUAAUACAUCAUAUGUUUAAAAAAUCUAAUAAUUAUAUAUUAUUUUCAAUAAUUUUUAAAUUUAUUAAUUGAUUUAUUGGUAUAUUAAUAUUAUUUAUUAGUAAUAUGUAAAUUUAUACCCUGUCAAUUUAUGAAAUAACAUUUAGUGAGUGGAAUAUAUAUAAAAGAAGAUAUUCUAAAUCUUUCUAAAUUCUUCCUUAAAAUAGAAAAAGAAAUAAAUUGUUGAUAUAGAUAUGUUGAUAAGAUUUUCAUGUAGGGCUUUUCUGUAAUUCAUGAUUUUGUUACAUGCAUAAAUUGUAAUUGUGAUAUUUUAUAUUUUAUUUAUAUAAAUCAUGUUAAAUUUGAUUUAAAUUCCUUUUUUAAUUAUUUAUUCUUUUAAGAAAUUUCAAGUAUUCAAUAAAUAUUAAUGUAUACUUUUUCUUAAAUUGAUAUAAUAGUGAUAUCAGAUUAGUUUAAAAUUUUGCGUGUAUGACAAGUACAAUUAUAUCGAUAGAUUCAAUAGUCGGAUUAUUCAAAUAUUACUCCUACAAAUAUAUAUAUGAAGAAGUAUAAACUGCUUUAAUUUUACAUUGGUAUAAGUAGAUCUCUCUCUUACAUCUGUUGUAUAUAUGAAAUUUUGAUUUUGAUUCAAACGUACUCAUUUAAAGAAAUAAAUACAUCAAUUUAUUUUUAUAUUGAAUAAGUAUAAUUAUUUGGAUAUGCUAUAUAUAGAUGUAAAAUGAUGGUAUAUAAAUAACGAUGUUAGAUGUUUGUAAAAAUUGAAUCAAAUCAAUAUUUCAUGUAUAAAAUUGCACAAUGGACCAAAGUUCAUGUACAAUUUUGAUCUUUAUAUCUGAAAUUUAUUAAUGCAAAUUAUUUUCCAAAAGAUCACAUUGAGUAAGAUUAAUUUAAAUUUCAAUAUUUAAAUUUUUUCUCAUAUAGAAAUAUAAUUUUUUUAAAAGAAGUGUAUACUAAUUGUUGAAAGAUUUCCGACUCUUUUGGAAAGUCUUCGAAGUGGCAUAUUUUGAAGAUGGUGGACCCUCAACACGUCCAAUAUUAUCAUUGGUUAAGGUUUUUUUUGGAUCUAGUGUCCUAAGUGUAGUACUUUUCAUCAAUAUACAGUUGUAAAUUUUUUUAACAAAUUGGUUAAUAAAACAAAUUUAUUGAUUAUAUUAAUAUACUUUAUAUAAUUGUCCUAACAUAGUUUUUGCACGCAAAGCAAAAUGGAAGUAAAUGUUGCUCAUUGGUUGCCUAAAUAUUUAAUUAAUACUAAGCGGUAUUAUGUGUAUAAAAAGACAGCUUGUAUUAGUAGACAAACCUAAACAUGUCCUUAGCAUAAUUGGAAAUUAGUAAAUUGAUUGAAAGACUAAUAUGUCGUCUAUCAAGUGUAUUUGGGGAGAUGCCUUGUCUUGGGCAUCGAAGCAGAUGACUCCCAAAAGGUAGAGACAUAGAUGUGACUGACUGGACUGGUAGUAAAUUGGAUAGCACACAAACAGAAUAGAUCCUGAAUUCGUUUAUGGACUUAUUCACUUGUGAUGUCCAUAGUGUGGCAUACAUAAAUCUUGAAUGGAUAGCGGAGUACGUAUGUGUGACUUUUACACUUUGAUGUAAGUAAAAACAUAAGUUCAAUUAGAUAAGGAACCAGAAUCUGGUACAUUUGGUUUACGACUUCUAUAGUAUGUAGCAUCAUUCAUAAUAGUGAAAUUCAUAGCGCAAAACAUGGGUAAAUGAUAUCCUCUCAUUGACAUUACAUGGUUAAUGAAAAGUAAACGUGGCCACGGGUUGUCCGUCUUUGUGAUGGAAACUUGAUCACUAAUUGAUAAUGAUUGAUUUUUCACGAAAGAAGAUGUAAUGGCUACCAUGAGAUAAAAUAUGAUAUAUUGGGAGAACAAAUAUUAUCCCAAAGAGAUCAAGGAUAUCCUAUGAGGGUAACACACUAAUGACAAGGUUAUUGGACGAGCAUUAAGUAGUUGCUUUCGUAAUGGUAUGUCGUUGGGGAUAUUUCAUUCACGACACUAUAGUGGAAUGACUUCAUCACUAAAUGAUUUUAUAAUUAAUAGGUGAAAAAAAUAGAAUUUAAAUAUAAAUCAUUUGAGCCUCAACUUUAUAUGUCUACUCGGUCCCCCAACUGUUAGUUCAUUGAAACCAAAAAUUAAUUGCACGUUUGAAUGGAAAUCAGCGAAAUGGAUAGAAAAAGAGAAAUGAGAAACAUUCAGGAAUGAUUAUGGUUUCCUCUAAAAUGGAGAAAUGGAAUAAUUUGAAAAUGAAUGUAGGUUUCCAAAAACGGAAAUAGAAAUGAAAAUGGAAACUUGCAAUUUUAUAUAUGAUUACUUAAAAAAUGAUGGAAGAAUGAGUUUAUAUUUUUGGACUAUUUUGAAGCUCGAAAAUGAAAAUAAAUCAUUCAGUCAUAGUGAACAUAUUGAGUUGUGUCAUAUUAAACGAAUUUUCUUGAAAUUUUAUUGGAGGUAAAAUUGCCAAAAUUUUACUGGGUAAAAUUGUCGUGAGAAAAUAAUUUAAUAUGUAAAUAUUAAAAUUUAUUUUGGAAAUAGAAAAAUUGAAUCGGGUUGGACCAUAUUACAAAGUACUAGAUCAAAAAGGCCCAGAAAGUACUCGUACUUGGACCCGAUGUGAGAGAGGCCCAAAACCCCUCAUGUAAGGUGGGACGGCAAAAACCUAUUAACUAGGGUUGUCGACCCUUAUAUCUUAGAUAGGCUAGGAUAUUAUUUUUCUAGCGGAAAUAAACUUUUACAACUCUACAUGGGUUCUACUUUCUUCUCCUAUAAAUAGAUGGCACCAAUAGAGCUAUUUAUACAACUUUUGAGAGAUUAUUAUUCUACCGAAAAGUAGAGAGAAUUUAUUCUCAACUUAUAAACAUAUUUUUUAGAAUAACAAUUUUACCGAUUUCUAUUAAAGAAGAGAGAAUUUUCGUUUUCACCCUAAAAGGAAAACCUUUUCUAGUUUUGUGUUUUGAUUCAAUUGGUUUGAGCCCACACUCGAAGCAGUUCGUGGUACGAGAAUAGCGCAGAAGAUCGUUUGGUUGAAAGCCUAAAAACAUCAAGGAUUCACCCAUCUAAAAACACAUGUAUGAAUUCGGUUAAGUUUUUUUUGCUACAAAUAUCACAAACUGAGUUGAUUUUCAAAAUUUUAACUUUUGAUGUGCAAGAAAACCAUUUUCAAACUGAGUUUUUUUUUUCAACAGUUUUAUCUCUCAACUUUGUAAAGAGCUCAAGUGCCUAAAUCUACCUAAAGAGGUGAUAGGUUCAAUAGAGUAGGAGUGCCUUGUUGGGACAAACGGUACGUGAUGCAUGACCACCUACCAAGGAAAUUUGAGCAUUUGAGUUUGGCAGGGUUUGAGCUCAUGCCUUACAACAGAUAUGACACUUAUGGACAACUGCUACCAUUUAAUUAGGUCACUUUAUAAAUUCUCAUUAAUUGGAGGGCGAUUGCUAUUAAUAUUUUUCCAGAGUGGCUUUUGUCACCAUCACCUCGGCCAACUACAACCUCGUCAACUAUGACUUCAGUUGAGGGCUACACUUUGCCAGCUAUAGACCUCAUCAAUACAUAUAUGCCUAGUACACGAUACUUCUAAUAUACCUCGUUAGUGAAAGAUGUUGGAUCCUUCUAUGCAUGGAUCAUACGUAGGGUACUCUUGCUUAGGAAUGGCAAUAGGUUAGUAUCUACAUUUCUUGAAUUAUUAGAAUUUGGAUAUGCAUAUUUGCUUAAAAAUCAAAAUUUGCUUAUUAUGUAUAAAUCAUCUGAGUAUUACUAUCUAAAUUUGGCUUAAUUUAAGUACUAUUAUCUGUCAAAUAUCUGAAUUCGCAAAAAAAGAGCAAUUUUAAAAUUUUCAAUCAUUUUUUGGAUAUCCAAAUUCACGAAAAUUCAAAAUUGAAUCCACCAAAUUUUUUUAUAUAUAAUCAAAAAUAUACACAUUUCGUGACUAGUUGAUUUAGAUAUUGAAAUUCCAAUCUACAUCUGCUAUUCGAAUAAGUAAUGUUGUAACACCUUAAAUAAUUUAAGUUUGUUUUUGUGAAAUUUAACACAAAAUGUGUACUUGCUUCAGUGGUUAAGUGUUCUAGGUGUGUGUGUGAGGUAUUGGGUUCAAUUCCCACUUUUGGCAAAACUUUGUUAUUUUAUAUCCAAGCCUAACUCUUAUUGAGUAGGCUUAUGUUAAAUUGUUUGUUAAUCCAUAUCAGAAUAAGCUUGUUGGUUUGAGUGGUAAGGAGUUGGUGUGUAGGAGGUCCUGUUUUUGAAUCCCUACGUGAGCGUAGGUAUUAAUUUUUUCUCGGUUGUCUGAUAGAGUUUGAGUGGUCUUGAAAGUCUGAGGUUGUUAAGGCUGGGUGUUAGUCUGAAGUUAGGAUAUUGUGGGGGGGAUUUUUAUGUUGAUUAUUAUUAUUUUAUUUUAUUCCUUUUUCAAAUUUUCCUCUCUCUUUCCAAAAUUUCCCUUUAAUGUUAUUCUUCAAGUUUUUUUUAUUGUCUCUGAUAUUUUUCCCCCUUUUCAUUAAAUCUUUGUUUUGUUCUUCUUUUUUGAUUAUGUUCGUCAACCUAUCAUUCGAUCGUGCCAUUGGAGUUGUCGGGUUAUCUAAUCGGUUGGUAAGUAAAACUUUGCUUCCCUUUAACUUUUGAUUUGGGAUUAUAGUGAUUUCAAUAUGUAGCAAUUGAUUAGUGGAACUUCGUGUUUAGGAGAAGAUUAUGGAGCAAUGAAUUGCACUCCAACAGUUUAGUGUGCAUUGAAGUGGUUUGUCAUCGACGGUAAGUCAGUUUCGUGUUGUUUCUUGUUGUCAAAUUCAUUAAUCAAACUACUAAAUCAAUGUUGGGUACUUUAAUUUUAGGAUUUGGAAGGCUCGGGAGUAUUUUUGCAUUAAAAUCGUAAUAGGUGUGUCCCCAAAACAUAGAAAGUCAGGUUUCGAUAAAAGUCAAAAAUGCAUUUUGUCGAUGCGACAAGGGCAUGUGCCUGGUCAUGUGGCUAGUCGUGUGUGAGACACGGCCGUGUAUUUGACGAGGGUGUGGCUGUGCGCAAGCCACGGUCAUGUGGUAGUGUAAGUGUCGCUAUGUAGGCCAUACGGGCUAGGCCAGUCUAGGUUUGUGGGCCUACAUAGGCAUGCCACACGGACGUGUAGGCCCAUACGGCCAUGUAGGCCCACAAUUUUGAGAUUUUCCCUUAGGUCGCACGGUUCGUUUCGAACGAUUGUGGACCUACCAUAGGGUCAGUAAGGGCUAAUCAAACCCUAAAUUAUGUGAAAUGAUAUUUUGAUAGUUCGCCUUGUGUAGGAUGUCGAUAUGUACAUCUGUUUUAUUUACGUAUAUAUAUGCUAUCUGUAUAUGAGCAUGUUAUGCAUGAUAUUACUGUAUCUGUUAUUUCUGUAUUAUGUAUUUGUAAAUGGGGUGGGUUUUGUAUAUGUAGAGAAAGUGAUCUGUACGAUAACACUUCCAUUAUAUUUUGACAGUUGACUGCAUAUUAUUUGUAAUGUGUCGUAUUGACACUAUAUGGUGUGUAGGGAUGGGUGGGUGCUUUUAACCCUAUAUGGUAUGAUGGGAUAGUCGAAGAUGUUGUGUAGAGGAUGGGGGUAGGAUUCUGUAUAUCUGUACUACUUAUCUGAUUUUGUUAUCUGUAUCUGGAAUGGAUAUAAGUCCGGAUCUUGAUCUGACUGUAUAUAAGACUUCUAUUUGUAUUGCAUUUCUAUUUUUGUUAGGUUACACAAUAAGUUUACGAAACCUCACAUCUGUUUGUCUGUUCUGUUCAGGUCUAUAGACUUAGGCGGAUCAGUGUGACGGAGCCUCACAGUAACCACGAGAUUGUAAACUAUUUAAUAUUACGGUUUUUAUUUAAUUUAAGGAUUCUUUCUGGAAGUUUGUAAUAAUUGGACUUUCUAGAAUAUUUGACUUUUAUUUCAGUUUUGGAGGUGUUUUAACUUUUAUGGCCACGUUUGACCAAAUUCACGGUUUUACUAAAAUAAAGGAUUUUCUGAAUACACGAAUUAGAUUUCCAAGAUUCAAUGCUUUUUGAAAACUUCCGCUAUAGAUUAUGUUUUGGAAAAUGAAUGAAUUAAAUAACGCUUCUAGUAACAGAUAGUACACUUGGGGUGAUUUAUUGAACGACUAAACAAAGCUUUAUUAAAAGAUCACUAUUUUAAAAACCCUUCCAUGUAACACUCUUAGAUUAGGCCACAACGUCUAGGCCAGGAUUAGGGUGUUACAUUUAAUGGUAUCAGAGUUAGGUUACAAAACUCGAGCUGUGAAUUUUGGGUUUCAAAAUUAUGUUUUGAAAAAGAACAGGUUUUCAAAUAAUUUGGAUCAUUUUGAAUAAGUAUGUGGUACACUGAGUCUCCGGCAUUGAUCCUAUAAGUACUUUUGAACUUAGAUAAAACUUUCUGAAAACACUAUAGUUAGUACUUUCUGAAACUGUACUGAGUUAGUUAAAAAAUAAAAACUUUUGAAAUAUGUUCGAACUUCUGAUAAUUUGAGCAUGAAAUAUAUGUUAAUAAACAUUGGAGCUGAUGCAUAAAAUUUUAUAAUGUAGAUAAAUUUGAAAAUAUACGAUGAGCGCUUAUGGAACUUGCGGUCAUGGUAUUCGUGGGCUCAGUGGGAGCCGUAAGGGGCUGGAGCUGAGUCUUUUUCUCUGGGCAGUAUGCCAAACUUAGAUAUGAGUAAGCCACCAGUGUCACUUGCUACUGAGACAAGGUCUCAAAGCCACUUUGGUGGGGACGACGCACUAUCCCAAGCCAUGUUGAGGGUGUUGGAGAGGGUCAUUGGACCCCAUUCUGGAUCUGUGGGCCGUAGGACGGUAACUGAACGACUCUGGUCCAAUAGAGCUGAGUUGUUUAGGGGUGUCAUUGAAGUCGCCCCUAUUGUGGUCGAGUAUUGGUUGGAGGGCACAAAGAGGAUUAUGAACGACAUCGAUUGUACUCUUAAGUAGAAAUUUAAUGGUGCAGCCUCUCUACUUCGCGAUGAGGCAUAUCAGUGAUGGUUGUCGGUUGAGGAGGGUACUCAACGGGACUGUCUGAACUGGGAUUAUUUUAAGACUACCUUUCAGGGGAAGUAUGUGGGUGCAAGCUAUCUUGAUACUUGUAGGCGUGGGUUCAUGAAUCUCACGCAAGGUGAUAAAUCUGUGGCUAAGUAUGAGGCCGAGUUUCUAAGGUUAAGCCGCUACGCUUAAGGCAUGGUGGUGACUAAAUAUGAGAAAUUCAUCUAUUUUAAGGAUAGCUUGAGGUAUAAUCUGAGGGUAUUGAUUGCUCCACAGAGGGAAUGAGAGUUUGAGUUCUUGUGGAUAAGGUGAAGAUCGCCGAGGAGAUUAAGUGCGUGGAGCGCUAAAAUAGGGAUCGUGAGUGAGGCAAGAAUAAGAGGGAUUCAGAGCCCUCUAGUUCUGUUUAGAGGGCUAUUAGAGUAGGGGUUCCUAUUACUUCUAAUAGGAUUCAGCCACGUGAUGAUUGUGGUAGGCACCAUCCGGGUGAGUGUUAGAGGAGGUUGGGGGCUUGUUUGAGGUGUUGGUCUUUGGAGCACCACAUUAGAGAAUGUUCACUCCAUGCGGAUUAGAUGCAAGCUGUAGGAUCAAGUUUUAUACAACCUUAGAGGGCAGUUCAGCAGCCAUCUAAGGGUCGUGGUCCUACUAGGGGUGGUAAUGGUAUGGGUCGAGGACAUAGAAUAUCGGGAAAAGGUGUUAGUUAGAUUGAAUCCUAAAUUAGAGUUAAGUUUGGUUUGAAUCAAGCCUUAACUUUGACCAAAUCCAACUAAAAACACGUCUAACAAUUAUCUAGUAUUGUUUUUAUGAAUUGAAUUUUAACUUGUAAUUUUCAAUUUUAUUACAAAAUUUCUUUGCGGACGAUAAGAAAAUAACAUAUUUGUAACUUCUUCAACCCGGCGUAAAGGUUAAGUCUGAAUUUGGAUUACAUCAGCCAUAAAGAUGGCCUAGCAGGAUUAUCGGAGUUUUUAAAAACAAACAUCUUUAAAACGUUUGUUUAAUUUAUAGAAAAGCUUAUUUAAUUUCCAAAUUAUUUAUUACUUGAAAUCUUAAUUACACUUUAAAAGUAGGAAGUGGUAACUAUUUAUUUUUAAUAAAAUUCGGGGUUCAUGUAUAAUUGAUUAAUAACCGUAAUUCGAAAACAUUAAAACUUAAAUUAAAUGUCAUGCAAAACAAAACAAGCUUAAAUCUAAAUCUCAUGCCGCAGUUCAAAAUUAUUUAUUGUAGUCUUAGAAAAUAAAAACAAUCAUAUAAUGAACCUAAAUUUUUUAUUUUACUUUAAUAAUGUGUCAAGGUCUUACAGAUGUCACGCCUGCGUUCAAUCUUGGUGGGUUAUCUGUAAGGAUGAAAAUUUAAGGGGGAGUGAGCUAUGACGCUUAGUGUGAGUUCAUUCACAAUAAAUUCAAUGCAAACGGUUGGUAAGGCACAUUAAAUAACAUCGCAUAAAGUAAUCACAGUCAGAUAACAGUUUAGAAUGGCGAUUUUACAAUUUAACUACCAAUAUUAUCACAAUAUUCACAGCUGUAAUUUCAGAAUAUCAAAUUUCCACAUCAUUCACAAUACUAACAUAUAUAUAAAUAUAUCAUAAUAGAAUUCCAGAUUUGUAUGCACAUGAUUUAGAAGAUGCCAUACAAUUUUGGGUUUUAACAGAAUAAAUCCUACCCCACGUUACAUAUCAUAAUGGGAGUUCCCCUAAACUCCCUUCUCCAACACACUAGGUUGUGGAUAAACCACUACUCGUCCACAGAUAAUAACUAUCAUUUGGCUGUGGACACACAACAAAUCCCCACAGUUGGAUUCUAGCUUUGGCUGUGGGUUCACAGCCAAGAGUCCUGCAAAUGAAGCCUGUUUUUGCAUGUAGAUUAUACAACCUAUACCCGCAGUUGGAAUCUGUCUUUGGCUAUGGAUGCACUGUAACACCCCAAACCCGACCUGGACGUUAUGGCUCAAUCUUGACGUAAUGCCCCAAAAUUUCUAAUUUCGUUAUUGUGAAAAUAUGACACAAAAUAUUUGUCUGCUUUAGUGGUUAUGUGUUCUGGGAGUGUUUAGGAGGUCCCAAGUUCACGCCUUCACAUGGGAAAAUUUUGGUAUUUUGAAUGAAUUAGGUAUUACUCUUAUUCAGUAGGCUUUUAUUUGAUUGUUGGGUAAAUUAUAUUAGAAUGGGCUUGCUGGUCUAGUGGUUAAAUGGUUUAUUAUUAUGGUGGAGGUCUUGUGUUCAAGUCCCUAUGUAGGCAAGGGUAUUAUUAUUAUUAUUUGCUCAAAUUUCUGGAUAGAGUUGUGUAAUAGGGGGAUUCUGAGUAGUAGAUGUGUAGUGGGAAUUAGGGGAGAAGAUUAAGGAGUUUCAGGGGUUAUCGAGAUUUUAUUUUAUUUUUUCCCAUAACCGAAUUUUGACUUUCUUUUUCCAAAAAAAAUCUGCCAUCUAUUCUUCUCCCUCUCCUCUUGUUGAAAUUCUCUUAGUUUUUUCACCUUUCUCUUCUUUUUCUUCUUCUUGAUUUUUCCCUAAUCCAUUUAUUUUUCUUCAUUUUCGCACGCGGUUAGUUUUCGCUUAGUUUCGGUAAGUGUUUCUCUUCGUUUCUAUCAUGAAUCUCCUAGCGACUAAAGUGGUAACUUUUUUCUCUGUGAUUUGGGCGUAGGGGAAGGCUCGAACUGUUGAAUUCAGUAUUCUCGUCUUAACAAUAGUUAAAUGGAGGGUUAUUGUUGGUGGUAAGUUGGGUUUCUGUUCAUUCUUAGUUGUCAAUUUGCUUGUAAAUCUGUUAAAUUGAUGUUGAGUAUCUUGAUUAUAGGCUUUGGAGUGCUUGGGGACUGUUUUAGCAUCAAACAAAACCAGGUGUGUACCCGGGACGCAAAAAAAAGGGAUUCGAUCGAAAGCCGAAAUUGUUUGCUGUUUGGACAGUAGCAGUAGGCUAACUUUGAAAAAUCGCCAUAAAUUGUGGAAAUCGAAAUAGAGGAUGAAAAAAAUAUGAAAUUAAAUCUUAUUGAGUCUAGUUUCUCAUAGAAGAACGGUGUAAGUAAUGGAAUUUUAAAUCAUGAGAUAUAAUAAACUAUGUGAGACAAGGUCAGAAUAAAUUCGGGUUCCCUUGUUCUGACUUUGGAAAAUCAUCAAAAAUUGGAUAAAAAUAAUUAGGAAUUAAAAUUUACAUGUUUAAAUUAUUAAUUAGUCUUUUUUCAAUAGAAACAAAUGGGAACUUCAUCCAAAAUUUUUACUAAGAGAUAAUUAAUUUUUAGCAAUGAAGGGUCGAAGCUGUCAAACAGCAGAACAAGGGUAAGUUUGAAGAUUUUACCAUACUUAUUGGCUGAGCCAAAAAUUCUAAAAAUUUUAUGGUAGAAAGGUAUUUGAGUCUAUUUUCAAAUACAUCAAGUGAAUUUUAAUUAGGAAUUCUUUAGCUCAAGAUAUAAAUAAUUUAGUUACAGUGAGUCAAGUAGAAAGCUUUGAAGGAACACAUAAGUAAAUUGUGAUAACAUAUAUGAAUAUUUAGCUAGCACAGGUUACAUUGAAAAUGGAUCACGUAGCCAAGGCCAAUUUGGGCUGAGUGGGCCACAUGGGCAUGUGAGCCCAUUUUUCUAAAAAAUUCUGUAAGGUUGCACGGGUCGCCCAAGUCGACUAUGGACCUACUGUAGGGUCGGUAAGCUUUACUUAGACGCCUAUAUGUGUGAUCUAUCUGGCUGAUUUCUAUACCGAGCAUGACUUAUGAUAUUUGAAUGUAUGUACUUUUAAUUACAUAAUGGCAUGACAAAUUUUGUAUGUUGCAUUGCAUCGGAGUGGGUUGAUGAUAUUUGGAGGAAGUGUCUAAAAGGCUAUUAAGCCUGUUAUCUGGCAGCUCAGCUGCAACCUUCUGAUUAUGUGCGCAUUUCAGUACAACAUGGUGUGUAAGGAUGGGUGGGUUGAUCUAACCCCCACAUGGUGUGUAAGGUUGGACAAAGAUGUGCGUAGAGGCUGGUGGGUAGGAUUCUGAUUUACUGUAUCUACAUUAUGUAUCUGAUAUGGGCCAAGGCUCUAAUGUAUUUCUGAGACUGUAUCUAAACGGGCUAAGGCCCAAACUGAUUGUGUGAUGGGCCUAGGACCCAGACUGUAUCUAACUAAAUUCUGUUGAUUAUUUGUAUGCAUGAUUUCUAUGGGAAUUACACACUGAGUUUACGAAAACUCACCCUUUCUCUAUUUAAUCUGUACAGGUAAUCCCCAGACUUGAUGGGUCAGUGCAACAAAGGAUUCGACAGUGGCCACACGUAAAUUAUGGAUUGUUUUCCGUUAAUACCUAGAAUUUAUUAAUUAUUUGGGGUUUUUGAUGUAUCUUCUGGACUAUGGACUGGUUGGCUAACAUACCUUUUUGCAUUGCAUCAUGUGCACGACAUAUUCGAAUAUUAUUGGUUUAUGCUACGUAGUGUAUUUUGUUGUAUUGAAUGGUAUCAAAAUUAAUGAUUGUCACUCGAAUGAAUUAUGACCUAUGCUCAUACACUGUUUGACAUCAAUUUGAUAAUGGCUAUGUAACGAUAUGAAAUUCCUAUAAUGGUUCUAUUUUCUUCUGUUAAAGCUAAUUAGUUUUACUGUAUUUGAUAUUUAUGUUUGUUUCAAUAAUUGUUCGACUCAUGCUGAGCUUUUCAUAAGCGCACCCCUAAUAUGUUAAACUUUUCAGGUAAACCUCGAAAUUAAGACCAGACUUGGCAUUCGAAGAAUCACCUUAGACCUUGAAUUAUUUUUCUAAUAAGUAUUAAUCAAUCUCUAAUGGUUUUCGUUUGUAAUUUUUAAUUAUAUCUAGUCUGUGGCUUGAUAACUUUUCUUCUGGGAUUUUUGCAUGCAUGGAUUACUCAAGCAUAAUAACCGGAUAAUGCAUGAUAUUAGGCUUAAGUAAAAUUUGAUAUUGUUCCCUAGAUUCCGCUGCAUUGCAAAGGAUUUGUUUUUGAAAAACAAAUUGAUAAGGUAACUAAGUUUUCAAAAUGACUUGAAAAAUGGUUUUUCCCCUGCAUUAGUUUAACAUCGAAUUUUUUUUAAAGGAGAGCAACAAGUAAAUGAUUUUUCUAAAACAACACUAUCAACAAUAAAAUGAAUUCUAAGUAUACACAACCUAAUGAAUGAAUGCUUUUAAGCUAACUUAAAGUACAACUAUGGUUUUCUCUAAAAUGAGUUUAUUUAAAGUUUUCAUAAGUAAUGUAAGUUAGCUUAGCCAUUUCGGUGGCUAAUGUAGCCUUCUCAUUCUAGCCAUAACGUCUAGGCCAGGUUUGGGAGGUUACAGUAUUGAUAGGAACUGUGGUAUAAAUUUUAUUUUGGACAUUCUUAAAUUGUUAUUUGGACUAAACUUUAGAAACUAUGGAUUUUAUACUGAGCCUAAAUUUACGAAGUUCAUGCGUGGUUUUUACGAAAAUGAAACUCAUAUGAAAUUUCAAAACCGUGAUGUUUUUAUUAACGCUCCAAUUUGAAAUUGUACAAGAAAUGUCAAUUUGAAUUAUUUUUGAAUGUUUUUUAUGCCAAUUAAAUAUUGUUUCAAAACAUAGCUAAGUAUUAUUUAAUUUCGUAAAGAUGAAGCAAACUCCGAACAAUCUAAAACUUCAAGGACUAGUUUGCAAUUUUUGUUUUUCCUCAAUUGUCUCCGGUUUGAUUCAAUUCUUGAUCUAUACAAUUAUUCCAUUCAAUUCAUCAAUAUUAAACAUUUAUACAUUAUGUCAUGUCAUGAAUGAACCUAGAUAAAUUCAUUUUUUGAUACCCUUAAAGUUUUACAUUUAUUUCAAUUUAGUCUCUAAAAUCGAAAUAGUCAUAACUUUAAAUUCUGAACUUCGGUUUGAAAAUCGACCUCAAUUUCAUUAUAGACUCUCUACUAUCCAUUAUUAUCAAAAUUUCACAUCAAUUUCACAAUUUAUUUACUUUAGUUAUUAUGUAAAAAAUUAACAACCAAACAUCACAAUUUAGUCAUUUUUCAUAAUUUAAGCUUAAAAUCUAUCAAUUUAAUACCAAUUUCUUCAAGAAAUCAACCAUGAUAACUAUAAAAAAAAUUAACAGUUUUGCAAAUUGAUACAUAGGUCAUUUAAAUCAAACUUUCAUGACCUCAGAAACACAAAAAAAAAUUAUACGAAAAUGAUUUAGAAAUGCAUACCAAUUGAGGACCGAAAGCUUGAAGCUCAAAAUGGCUUUUUCCCUUGAGGUUUUAUGUUGAUUAAAUGAUGAAGAAGAAGAAAUAAAGAUGACAACUUGCACUAAGUCACCUUUAUAUACUUAGAUUAAAUCUUAAUUAAUCAAAUUUAAUUAAUUAAAUCUUAAUUAAUUAACCUUAAUCACAAUUAAAAAAAAUUAGUAGAUGUUAACAUCAUCCUACACUAUUUGAUAUAACCAAAUGAUCUAUUUACCAUUUUGAACCUUUAGCUAAUUAGAAAUCUAUAGCGAUAAGACUUUUAAAAUUUAGUUUCUGUAUCUUAAUUAUGCAAUUAAUAGACAAAGUUGAAGGUUUAAAAUUUAAUGUUCUAUUAUACCAACUCUGUAAAUAUUCAUAUUUAAUAUUUACAGACCCGAAUUACGAAAAUGAGAUUUUGAAAUUGUAUUUUCCAAUACCACUGAAAAUCGAACAAUUACGUAACCUAUUUGCACCAAAGGGCCAAACAUGGCAAAUACUUGACAUGUAUGUCUUAAUAUCCUCAUCUAUUCUCUUCAAUAUAAUAACAUCCAAUAAUUGUUUCAUCCACUGUAACUAUCACGAAGAUUAGAUUUACCAAUACAGCCUACAAUUUGCAGAAGCGCGACAUUUUCAUUCUAGAGAAAGGUAUAAUUGAAACAAAAUUGAAAUAAAGAUUUCAAUACAGAAUCAACAGACAUUCCAGCUAAUACUUAUCAAUUAUUUGCAGCUUCAUUGCUCCAACUAAGAUGGUUUUUAGUCGAAUAUGGUAAAUGAAAUCAAUGAACACCAGCUACUUGAUGAACGAGUGAAUCAAAGUCCUGAUAUGUGCCGGCUUAUUGGUGAAAAAAUACAUGGGUUAGUUUUGCAGCAAUUCAUGAUCUUACAUUUUAUAACCUUUGCUUACAAUUAUUCACUGACUAAUCAUUCAAUGAAUGUAGGCCUCAAAUUUAGCCACUAAACUUUAUUCUUUAUUUUUAGAUACAUAUUAUUUGAUCACUUCAUACAGCCUAUUACUCAUAAUAACUUCCAAUUUCCCUUCUUUAGGUUAGUUGCAAAUGUACAGCUUUUUCUAGAAGAAGAAAAUUGUCAAGAGCCACCUGUUCAAGAGAGGCGCAAACAGAAUGUAACAAUACCUGACCUACUUACGGUACAGCCAAGUAAUCAUGUGUUUCUAUGCUAGAACAUUAAAUCAAUGACUACAAAUUUCAUGUCAUGGUUGUGUAUCAUUUAUGCCACUGAUGCUGCUAUUUUCUAUUCUAAUGCAUAAUAGGGAUUUAGUGUUUUUACCGUUAAAAUUGUGUCCUUUAAUUUUGGCUCUUUUCAAUUGUUGAUCAUGUCCACCUAUGCUUUAUUUUACUACUAUUGCUUUCUUCAAUGAUAGAUGAUUGAAUCGGUAGAAUUUUAUUAAUCCUCUACAUGUUUUAGCUUGAUAUGUGGAUCCUAAGCAUUCCUUGGAUUGUGCCCUCUUUGUUCAUUUAUUUUUUUUCCUGGAACCUUAUUACAUGUUGUAACACUCCAGUUUUUUGGAGACAUUGAAGACGACUAACUGCUGAAUUCUUUCUUCUGCAGAGGAACCAAUGGCAAGAGACUCUAAAACUCCUACUCUUUUUUAUACCUUCCUCACCUCUUUGUGACAUUAUAGCUGAAAAAUGAUGUAUGCUAAUACAUGAAAUGUUUCCUCUUGCCUUUCUUUUUGUAGUACUAAAACUACAAAUAGUGUCUGUAAAUCUCUUUUCCCGUAAUCUUAUCUUUUCCUCAUUGUAAUAGUUGGAAAACAGCUUUGUUGAAGACAAUGUCAACUACUGGGAUAAGUUACAAACACUGUUAUUGUUUAUUUUGUAGUCUAAAUUAUGAUAAUUUCUGCACAAAAUUCACAUAAAUGGUUACCCUCCCGAAGCGGAGCGAGGGUGAUGCUUACUAGUUAUUAAGAAAACAGGACCUUGUAGGGCUUAACUGUUGAAUCAAGAAAGAAAUUUCUUUUAAUGCCUUAAAAAAAAGAAAUUUCUUUUAAUGCCUUCAAUUUUUUUUAAAGCUGAUUUUUUUUUUACAAAUUAAAGUUUUGAUUGUAUGUUAAUUGCUUGAGGGAAGGUCGGAUACUUUAUUAUCCCUAUUUUUAUUUGUUAUAUAUUUUAACCAUACUGAUUUUUUUGGCCCUACAAUUUUACCAAAAAAAUCAUAUUAGCUUUCAUUUAAUUUUCGUCUCUUUUAACCCUUUAACUUGUAUUUUUUUUGUCAAAUCACCCCAAAAUGGAUCGAAAACUUUAACAUUUGUGAACUUUGAUUAUGUGACAUACACAUGAAUUGUCACAUGGAUGACAAGUCAACAUUUCUUUAAAAAAAAACUUAAAAAAUAUUAAAUAAAAUAUUUUUGAUAUUUUUUAAUGAUUUUUAAAUUAAAAAAAGUUUUUAAAUAUAUUUUAAUUUUUAAAAAUUAAUAAAACGCAGACAUGGAAAUUCACAUCUAUGUGUCACAGACCGUGGAUUAAAGCCUGUGACCAUUGCGCAUAGAACACCCCAUAGAAUUUUGGCUUUUUAUUUGGUCAAUCAUGUCCACCUAUGCUUUAUUUUUACUAUUAUUGCUUUCUUUAAUGAUAGAUGAUUGAAUCGGUAGAAUUUUAUUAAUCCUCUAUGUAAUAACCAAAUUUUUCCCGGGCCCAAUGCCAAACAAAUAAAACCCAAACCAAAUAAAUAAAAUAAGAGUCCAAAUUACAGUCCAUCAGAGCUCAAUUCAGACCAGCCCACUAUUCAAUCAGACUGGCCCAACACCCAAAUAACCUAACAACCCUAGCCCAACAAAAUCAGAAAAAUGAACAGCAAAAAAACCCUAGGUGCGCCGCACCUAGGUCUUCUGGCCUAACCGCCGUUGUUCGCCUAUCACCAGCCUCCACGCUGCCACCGCCGCAUGCGCACCAGGCCUCCUCCAUGUGUGUCUGACACCUGCAAAGAGAGUCACACGCAACAGUAGAAACAAAAACAAAAAACAAAUAGCAAAACGACAAAAAAAAUAAUGAUUAAGGAGUUCGUAAUCCGACUAUAAAAGCCCUAAUCUGUGACUUGUAAUUUUUUGACACACAUUAGAAAAUAAAAACCAAAAAAAAAAACUUUAAGGUGAUACUCAUUUCAUUUUAUUUUUGUUUUAUUUUAUUUUAUCAUUUUUAUCUUUUUAUUUCGAAAUAACAUAAAUAAAAAGGGGAGGCUGGGUUGCCGUUGCCAGAGCAUAUUUUGUGCUAAAGGGGGUUGCGCCGGAGGAAAAGAGGAAACUUUUCAGUUUCCCGCCGCCGUGAUGGCCAAACCUCUGACUGGCGCUUGGAGAAAGAAGGGGAGAGUUUGAGAGAAUUUUAGGUUUUUUGUUUAAUAAAAGUGAAAAAUGAAGAAUUCUGAAAAAAUUAAUAUUUAUAGCACCUAGAAAUGGCGUCGUUUUGGCCAGUUUCAUUUGGCCCCAAAAUGACACCAUUUAAUGGCCUAUACCGGCACAGUGACCCAACCCGGGGAAGGAUCCGAGCGUUUUGUGCUAUUGGGUAAUUUUCACAUUUGGUCCCUCUUAUUUUGUAGUGUUUUCAAAUUAGAUUUUAUUUAUUUUAAAUUUCAACUUACAUUUUUGUUUUUGUUUCACUUAGAUCCUGAACAAUGCGCAGCGUUUUGGGGGCGAGGAAAUAUUUCCAAUAUGGCCCCAUGUAAUCUGCAUAUUACACUUUAACCCCUCGUCUUGUUUAUAAUUCUAUUCUUUUCUUGUUAAUUUAGAUUCAAUUGCGAUUUAAUCUUUUGUUAAAACAUUUGUUUUCUUUAUUAAUUUAUUAACUAUUUUAUUAUUAUUUUAGUGGUAUAUUCGGUCAUAUUUUCAUUAUCUUAUUAUAUAUUAUCAUUUUGAGUUUUACUUAUAUUAUUAUUAUAAUUUAUAAUGUGUUAUUUUAUUAACUCAAUAUAACAUAUAUAUAUAUGUAUUUUUUUGUGGUUUUAUUUUUAUAAUAUAUUUUUUAAAUCCAUUUUUAUGCACUUUAUAUUUAAGUAUUUAUACAAUAAUAUUCUUAUAAUAUUUUUAUACAUGUACAAUUUAUAUAUAAUUAUUUCUUAUACGUGUAUAUAUACAUAAUAAAUCAUCGAUUACAUGUUAUUAUAUUAUUUCCACUUAUUUCAUAUAUAAUUUAUUUCUUUUAAAAUACUCUAUUAUAUACUUCAUUUAUUUCAACCUUUUAUGUGUAUCAUUAUAGAUAUACUAUUAUAUGAAGUUUUUCAAUCCCUAUGCAUUACUUAUUUAAAUUAAUAUAUGUAUAUUAUUUUAUGUAUUUAGAUUUAUUUUGUAUAUAAUAUCUACUUUUAAAUUUAUUUGGAUACUAUUAUUUUAAGUGGAAUUUAUUUUUAUCUAUAUUUUUUUUAUUUAUUUCAAUUUUUCAUAUAUGUAUAUAUUAUUUAUUUUAAAUUUAUUUUAAUCAUAAUUUCCCUUCUUUCAUAUUUCUUAAGUUUAAAAAAAAACUUGUACAAUUUCAUUUGGUGCUUUGAUUGUUUUUUAAUUCAUUAGCCUUUGAAUGUUAGCAUAAUACAUUAUGUGAGAUUAUUGCUCUUAUACGUAUUAUAUUGCUUAUUUUUAUUUACUAAUUAUUCGUAGAUCAUUAGAAUACAUUUUGGUUUACAAAUUAUCGCUUUGUAUUGUACAUUAAUAUUCAAUUGUUUUUUUAUUCGUUCGAAAGAUUACGUUUAAUAUCAUUUAAGUAUCAAAAUCGAUUUAUUCAAAAACUUUCAAGAUAACGUAAUAUUCUGUAUUUGGGAUAUUCGAGAGAAUUGAGCCUUAAUGUAUUGGGUUCCAAUUUUCCUCGUUGAAUCUAGAUAAUCGAGAAUAAUCUUCAAUCAAAAUACAUACAUAAAAAGCUCAUUAUCGGGAAUUCGAUACAUUGUGUCCUAACGCAUUGGAUACGACAUGUUGUUUUCUCGAGAUGAGGAUUUUUCUAAAAAAAAUAAUAAAGGCAAUAUUCCGUAUUUGGGAAAUUUGAGAGAUCGUGCCCUAACUUACUGGGUUUCGAUUUUUCUCCUUUAACCCAAAUAAUCAAAUAUCCUUCUCAAAAUGCAUAGGUUUUAAAAGUCAAAAGAUAAACUUAAUUUUGAAGAUUAAGAAUGUUGCGCCCUAACUCACUGGGUGUGACAUUUUAUCUCUUUGAAAUAAGAGUGUCUUAUCAUUUAAUUCAAUUUAUUCAAGGUUAAAAGGAUCGUAUUUUAAAACCUUUUCAAAAUUUCAACACUAAGACAUUAAGUAAUCAACUAGGUACCAAUUUUUGGGCGUUACGAGGGUGCUAAUCCUUCCUUGUACGUAACCGACUCCCGAACCUAUUUUUUUGAAUUUCGUGGACCAAAAUCAUUAUUUUAAUAAAAUCAAACCAUUUAUUAAAAACAACCACUUUUCGAGGUGACCCGAUCACACUUCAUCGAAAAAGAUCGGUGGCGACUCCCAUAUUCAUUUUCAUUUUCAAAAUCCAAAUUGACCCUGUUUUAUCAAAAAAUGGUGUCAACACUGCACAUGUUUUAUCUUGACAUAUGGAUCCUAAGCAUUCCUUGGAUUUUGCCCUCUUUGUUCAUUUAUUUUUUCUUGGAACCUUAUUACAUGUUGUACCAUUCCAGUUUUUUGGAGACAUUGAAGACGACUAACUGCUGAAUUCUUUCUUCUGCAGAGGAACCAAUGGCAAGAGACUCUAAAAAUCCUACUCUUUUUUAUACCUUCCUCACCUCUUUGUGACAUUAUAGCUGAAAAAUGAUGUAUGCUAAUACAUGAAAUGUUUCCUUUUGCCUUUCUUUUUGUAGUACUAAGACUACAAAUAGUGUCUGCAAAACUCUUUAGAGAAAAACAAAUGUCUGUAAAUCUCUUUUCCCGUAAUCUUAUCUUUUCCUCAUUGUAAUAGUUGGAAAACAGUUUUGUUGAAGACAAUGUCAACUACUGGGAUAAGUUAUUGUAAGCAUCUUUUCUUUAAGUGUUUCAUAUUAAAAACAAACACUGUUAUUGUUUAUUUUGUAGUCUAAAUUAUGAUAAUUUCUGCACAAAAUUCACAUAAAUGGUUACCGUCCCGAAGCGGAGCGAGGGUGAUGCUUACUAGUUAUUAAGAAAACAGGACCUUGUAGGGCUUAACUGUUGAAUCAAGAAAGAAAUUUCUUUUAAUGCUUUCAGUUUUUUUAAAGCUGAUUUUUUUUACAAAUUAAAGUUUGGAUUGUAUGUUAAUUGCUUGAGGGAAGGUCGGAUGCUUUAUUAUCCCUAUUUUUAUUUGUUAUAUAUUUUAGCCAUAAUGAUUUUUUUGGCCCUACAACUUUACCAAAAAAAUCAUAUUAGCUUUCAUUUAAUUUUCGUCUCUUUUAACCCUUUAACUUAUAUUUUUUUGUCAAAUCACCCCAAAAUGGAUCGAAAACUUAACAUUUGUGAACUUUGAUUAUGUGGCAUACACAUGAAUUGUCACAUGGAUGACAAGUCAACAUUUAGUUUUUUUUUUAAAAAAAAAAACUUAAAAAAUAUUAAAUAAAAUAUUUUUGAUAUUUUUUAAUGAUUUUUAAAUUAAAAAAAGUUUUUUAAUAUUUUUUAAUUUUUAAAAAUUAAUUAAAUGCAAACAUGGAAAUUCACAUCUAUGUGUCACAGGCCGCGGAUUAAAGCCCGUGACCAUUGUGCAUAGAACACCCCAUAGAGGUCAACUUAUUAAACAAGGUUCAUUUGACCCGCAUGAACUGGCCCGACCCAUGGAACCCGUGGAGAAGCCCAUCUACUUGAAGCCUUGGUGGUCUAGUGAAAUAUAGUUUAAUUUUUUUUAAACAUAGGGUAAGGGAAGAAGAAUGCCUUAAAAUUAAUUUUUGUUAGAAAACUAAUAAGAAUGAGUUUGUUGGUUUAGUGUUAAGGCCUUAUCCUAUCCAUAGAUCCCAAGUUUGAAUCCCUUGGUGAGCAUUCAACCAAAAUAUUUUUAUUUCCUUGUUUUUACCACACCAAAAGUGACAAAUUUUAAAAUAACCCAGCCCAAAAACUAUUUUUUUUUAAUUUUAGUCCUUAAUUUAAAAUUUUCCCAAACCUACAUAAAUUUUUAAAACCUAUUCCAAUUAGGAAAAAUAAGUAUUAUAAAUAGACAAUUUCAAAACAAACUCUAGAAUUUCAUCUAGCAAAUUUUCAAGAAAAAAUCCAUAAACACUUUCUUUUCCAAAUCAAACUUUCAAGCUAAAGAAAUCAGAAUCUUCAAAAUCAUCCCUCAAGUAGAUCUUCAAUCUUUUCUCCAGCACUAAGGUUUCUAAGUAUUCAAAAUAGGUGUGGGAACAAAACCUAAAUCUUUGUGUAUAAUUGAAUCUAAUAGCAAGUAGAGAACCAGUAUAGGCUAACCCUAGGAGAAACCCCCUGUAUGUGCAAUCAUGUAGGUGUGAGCCUAUAGAUGCAAAACCCCUUGUACAUGAAAACCCCAUGCAUGCAAACCCUUACGUGAAACCCCCCUUUCAUGCGAACCCUGUAUGAAUACCAUGUGAACCCUAGAUUAUAGUUGCGAACCCUAGGUUGUUAUGUGGAUACCCAUACUGUGAACCCAAGUGCACAAACAUAUAGGAAUAUUCAUGCGAGCCCCCUUGCAUGCGAACCCUAGUUAGUGUACAUACGGGUCUCAUAUUUACAUGCAAACCACUACUAGUGCGAGUCAAUUAUAUGAUAUCACAUACGAACCCUACUAUUACAUGCAAACCUUUAUACAUGUUAUAUUCGAACCUUUUUUUGUUAAAACAGGUGAGACUUGUCUAGUAUUACAUACGACCUAAUUUGCGAACUCAUAUGUUAAAAGUAUGUGAACCUAUCUAUGUUUGUUAUGCGAGCUCACAUGUUAGCAGUAUGUGAACCUAUAUAUAUCAGUUAUGCAAACUCACAUGUUAGCAGUAUACGAACCAUAAGUCUGUUAUGCAAACUCACACAUUGGCAGUAUGCGAACCCUAUAUACACCUUUAUGCAAACUCACACAUUAACAGUAUGCGAACCCUAUAUACGCCUCUAUGCAAACUCACACGUUAGCAGUAUGCGAACCCUAUAUACGCCUUCAUGCAAACUCAUAUGAUUUGCAGCAUGCGAUCUCUAUAUUUAUGCGAACCCUUGUAAUAAAAAAUAUGCGAACCUUAACUUGCGAACCCUUGGCAGGAACCCUGCACUCGCAAAGCCUUCUUCCGGACCUGUACAUAUGCUAGAUAACCAAGCCUAUUAGUUUACAUUAAAUCACUGUACAUAUGAGACUGUUUGUUUACUUGCACAAGUUAUAUGUGUAUUUACUAUUCGAUACAAGAGUACCUAUCGACCUUUUGAUGAGAAUUCAGAGAUUAACGAUGAUAAUUCCAACAAUCAGUGUAAGAACGAGUUAAAUCGAGAGUUGAUGUAAUUUAAGGUAAUAAAGUUAAUUUUUCAGUAAUAAAUGUAAAAUUGUUAUGGAAAGAAACGAUGGGUAAAAAAAAAUGAGAGUUUUAAAUAAAAGAGAGGAAAACUUCAAUUUAGGGUUGAAGAGGAACUAAAAAUUUACGUGAAAUUAGGAAAAAAUAUAAAAUACCUAGGAUUAAGAAAUUUGAGGGGGUUGAAUGGUAAAAUACCCUUUUUUCUUAAAAAUGAAAAAAAAUGGAAAUGGGUAUUAAGUUUGGCACGACUUGAACCUUGGAAGCAAAGGAAAAAAUUACAAAGGCCUUACCAUUUGGGUUGCUACCCACAUUUGGCAUUUUUUUACACUAUUUAAAAUAUAUCCUAGCUUAGUUUUGAUCAUAGGUUGUUGAAAAAAAAAAAAAGGGGUAAGAGUGUGGCUUCAACCUUAAUUCUCUAGUUAGUAUACUAAGCUCUGAACCAUUAAGAUUAAGGCCCAUGUCUUAGUCAAUUAAUUCAUCUAACUCUAUAUAUUUUGAGGUGUUACAUCUUGAAUUAGAAAAACCCAUAAAAUGCAUGUAGACUUGUAUUGCUCGGUACUUGGUAGUAUAUAUGUAGACUUGUAUGUUGAUUAAGCUAGCUUAAUUAAGACCAAUGUGUUAGACUUGUCUAUGCAUUGAACAAUCUAGAAGAAAAUGAAGAAAAAGACUCUGAAAACACUUGAAAACAGAUAAAACUCAUAUGUCAUCGACUAGUUAAACUAUGAUCACCCAUAAUAGACCUUGUAUUUGACUUUUUGUUGAGGGAGAAGUUUCGUGAGUGUUGUUUGUCAGGGAGUCAGUGUUGCCCUAAACAACUAAAGGUAUUGUCCCCAUGUCGAGAUUUUACCCCCAGCCUCUGCAAAAUAAUCAUGAAGAAUACGUGCGAAGGAAUUCAAACACCAACCAAUGCAUGUGUAGCCUUUACCUUCCCACUAUCUUUGGGAACUCAUAAGGAUAAAAUCCCAACAAGAGAAUUGUAUCAGAGGGGUCUGUCAACACAAUGAAUGAAAUUUCAUACUUUUUUUUUAAUGAAAGUAAAUAUCAUAUUUAGUUAGAGAAAAGCAACGAAAAAUCUAACAAUAAAAUCCUUAGCAAAAGAUUAAAACACAAUUGUACCAUAAAUUAAAUAAGAAAUUAAAAAAAUUCAAAUCUAACAAAGACAGUAACUUGAUUCCUCAAAGCUACCACAAACAGUAAUUCAUAGGAAGGCCUGCUGCUCAUUUAUAACACAAACUUCAUGGUGACGGAUACCAACAUACCAUCAACUGAAGUCAUAGUUGACGAGGUUGUAGUUGGCCGAGGUGAUGGUGACAAAAGCCACUCUGGAAAAAUAUUAAUAGCAAUCGCCCUCCAAUUAAUGAGAAUUUAUAAAGUGACCUAAUUAAAUGGUAGCAGUUGUCCAUAAGUGUCAUAUCUGUUGUAAGGCAUGAGCUCAAACCCUACCAAACUCAAAUGAUCAAAUUUCCUUGGUAGGUGGUCAUACGUCACGUACCGUUUGUCCCAACAAGGCGCUCCCACUCUGUUGAACCUCUCAUCUCUUUAGGUAGCUUUAGGCACUUGAGAUCUUUACAAAGUCGAGAGGUAAAAUUAUUGGAAAAAAAAACUCGGUUUGAAAAUGGUUUUCUUGCACAGUAGAAAAAUAAAAUUUUGAAAAUUGACUUGGUUUGUGAUAUUUAUAACAAAAAAAAACCUUAACUGAAUUCAUACAUGUGUUUUUGGAUAAGUGGAUCCUUGAUGUUUUCAGGCUUUCAACCAAACGAUCUUUUGCACUAUUCUCGUACCACGAUCUGCUUCGAGUGUGGCCUCGAACCAAUUGAAUCAAAACACAAAACUAGAAAAGGUUUUCCUUUUUGGGUGAAAACCAAAAUUCUCUCUUCUUUAAUAGAAAUCGGUAAAAUUAUUAUUAUGAAAAAUAUGUUUAUAAGUUGAGAAUAAAUUCUCUCUAUUUUUCGACAGAAUAAAAAUCUCUGAAAAGUUGUGUAAAUAGCUCUACUGGUGCCAUUUAUUUAUAAGAAGAGAAAGUAGAACCCUUGUAGAGUUGUAAAAGUUUAUAUCCACUAGAAAAAUAAUAUCCUAGCCUAUCUAGGAUAUAGGGAGCAACAACCCUAGUUAAUGAUACUAGGGUUUUGUCGUCCCACCUCCUUAUAUGAGGGGUUUUAGGCCUCUCUCACAUCAGGUCCAAGUACAAGUAAUUCUUAAAUAUAAAUUUGAAUUUGAUAUAUUGAUUACAUAUGAAUUUAUAUAUUGUGAGUAAAAUUUUUAUUUGAUAUAUUAAUAAUGUAUAAAUUUAUAUAUUGUUAAUACAUCAUAUGUUUAAAAAAUCUAAUAAUUAUAUAUUAUUUUCAAUAAUUUUUAAAUUUAUUAAUUGAUUUAUUGGUAUAUUAAUAUUAUUUAUUAGUAAUAUGUAAAUUUAUACCCUGUCAAUUUAUGAAAUAACAUUUAGUGAGUGGAAUAUAUAUAAAAGAAGAUAUUCUAAAUCUUUCUAAGAUUUCUAAUUCUUCCUUAAAAUAGAAAAAGAAAUAAAUUGUUGAUAUAGAUAUGUUGAUAAGAUUUUCAUGUAGGGCUUUUCUGUAAUUCAUGAUUUUGUUACAUGCAUAAAUUGUAAUUGUGAUAUUUUAUAUUUUAUUUAUAUAAAUCAUGUUAAAUUUGAUUUAAAUUCCUUUUUUAAUUAUUUAUUCUUUUAAGAAAUUUCAAGUAUUCAAUAAAUAUUAAUGUAUACUUUUUCUUAAAUUGAUAUAAUAGUGAUAUCAGAUUAGUUUAAAAUUUUGCGUGUAUGACAAGUACAAUUAUAUCGAUAGAUUCAAUAGUCGGAUUAUUCAAAUAUUACUCCUACAAAUAUAUAUUUGAAGAAGUAUAAACUGCUUUAAUUUUACACUGGUAUAAGUAGAUCUCUCUCUUACAUCUGUUGUAUAUAUGAAAUUUUGAUUUUGAUUCAAACGUACUCAUUUAAAGAAAUAAAUAUAUCAAUUUAUUUUUAUAUUGAAUAAGUAUAAUUAUUUGGAUAUGCAAUAUAUAGAUGUAAAAUGAUGGUAUAUAAAUAACGAUGUUAGAUGUUUGUGAAAAUUGAAUCAAAUCAAUAUUUCAUGUAUAAAAUUGCACAAUGGACCAAAGUUCAUGUACAAUUUUGAUCUUUAUAUCUGAAAUUUAUUAAUGCAAAUUAUUUUCCAAAAGAUCACAUUGAGUAAGUUUAAUUUAAAUUUCAAUAUUUAAAUUUUUUUCUCAUAUAGAAAUAUAAUUUUUUUAAAAGAAGUGUAUACUAAUUGUUGAAAGAUUUUCGACUCUUUUGGAAAGUCUUCGAAGUGGCAUAUUUUGAAGAUGGUGGACCCUCAACACGUCCAAUAUUAUCAUUGGUUAAGGUUUUUGUUGGAUCUAGUGUCCUAAGUGUAGUACUUUUCAUCAAUAUACAGUUGUAAAUUUUUUUAACAAAUUGGUUAAUAAAACAAAUUUAUUGAUUAUAUUAAUAUACUUUAUAUAAUUGUCCUAACAUAGUUUUUGCACGCAAAGCAAAAUGGAAGCAAAUGUUGCUCAUUGGUUGCCUAAAUAUUUAAUUAAUACUAAGCGGUAUUAUGUGUAUAAAAAGACAGCUUGUAUUAGUAGACAAACCUAAACAUGUCCUUAGCAUAAUUGGAAAUUAGUAAAUUGAUUGAAAGACUAAUAUGUCGUCUAUCAAGUGUAUUUGGGGAAAUGCCUUGUCUUGGGCAUCGAAACGGAUGACUCCCAAAAGGUAGAGACAUAGAUGUGACUGACUGGACUGGUAGUAAAUUGGAUAGGACACAAACAGAAUAGAUCCUGAAUUCGUUUAUGGACUUAUUCACUUGUGAUGUCCAUAGUGUGGCAUACAUAAAUCUUGAAUGGAUAGCGGAGUACGUAUGUGUGACUUUUACACUUUGAUGUAAGUAAAAACAUAAGUUCAAUUAGAUAAGGAACCAGAAUCUGGUACAUUUGGUUUACGACUUCUAUAGUAUGUAGCAUCAUUUAUAAUAGUGAAAUUCAUAGCGCAAAAAAUGGGUAAAUGAUAUCCUCUCAUUGACAUUACAUGGUUAAUGAAAAGUAAACGUGGCCACGGGUUGUCCGUCUUUGUGAUGGAAACUUGAUCACUAAUUGAUAAUGAUUGAUUUUUCACGAAAGAAGAUGUAAUGGCUACCAUGAGAUAAAAUAUGAUCAUAUUAGGAGAACAAAUAUUAUCCCAAAGAGAUCAAGGAUAUCCUAUGAGGGUAACACACUAAUGACAAGGUUAUUGGACGAGCAUUAAGUAGUUGCUUUCGUAAUGGUAUGUCGUUAGGGAUAUUUCAUUCACGACACUAUAGUGGAAUGACUUCGUGACUAAAUGAUUUUAUAAUUAAUAGGUGAAAAAAUAGAAUUUAAUUAUAAAUCAUUUGAGCCUCAAGUUUAUAUGUCUACUCGGUCCCCCAACUGUUAGUUCAUUGAAACCAAAAAUUAAUUGCACGUUUGAAUGGAAAUCAGCGAAAUGGAUAGAAAAAGAGAAAUGAGAAACAUUCAGGAAUGAUUAUGGUUUCCUCUAAAAUGGAGAAAUGGAAUAAUUUGAAAAUGAAUGUAGGUUUCCAAAAAUGGAAAUAGAAAUGAAAAUGGAAACUUGCAAUUUUAUAUAUGAUUACUUAAAAAAUGAUGGAAGAAUGAGUUUAUAUUUUUGGACUAUUUUGAAGCUCGAAAAUGAAAAUAAAUCAUUCAGUCAUAGUGAACAUAUUGAGUUGUGUCAUAUUAAACGAAUUUUCUUGAAAUUUUAUUGGAGGUAAAAUUGCCAAAAUUUUACUGGGUAAAAUUGUCGUGAGAAAAUAAUUUAAUAUGUAAAUAUUAAAAUUUAUUUUGGAAAUAGAAAAAUUGAAUUGGGUUGGACCAUAUUACAAAGUACUAGAUCAAAAAGGCCCAGAAAGUACUCGUACUUGGACCCGAUGUGAGAGAGGCCCAAAACCCCUCAUAUAAGGUGGGACGGCAAAACCCUAUUAACUAGGGUUGUCGACCCUUAUAUCCUAGAUAGGCUAGGAUAUUAUUUUUCUAGCAGAAAUAAACUUUUACAACUGUACAUGGGUUCUACUUUCUUCUCCUAUAAAUAGAUGGCACCAAUAGAGCUAUUUGUACAACUUUUGAGAGAUUAUUAUUCUACCGAAAAGUAGAGAGAAUUUAUUCUCAACUUAUAAACAUAUUUUUUAGAAUAACAAUUUUACCGAUUUCUAUUAAAAAAGAGAGAAUUUUCGUUUUCACCCUAAAAGGAAAACCUUUUCUAGUUUUGUGUUUUGAUUCAAUUGGUUUGAGCCCACACUCGAAGCAGUUCGUGGUACGAGAAUAGCGCAGAAGAUCGUUUGGUUGAAAGCCUAAAAACAUCAAGGAUUCACCCAUCUAAAAACACAUGUAUGAAUUCGGUUAAGUUUUUUUUGCUACAAAUAUCACAAACCGAGUUGAUUUUCAAAAUUUUAACUUUUGAUGUGCAAGAAAACCAUUUCCAAACUGAGUUUUUUUUCAACAGUUUUAUCUCUCAACUUUGUAAAGAGCUCAAGUGCCUAAAGCUACCUAAAGAGGUGACAGGUUCAAUAGAGUAGGAGUGCCUUGUUGGGACAAACGGUACGUGAUGCAUGACCACCUACCAAGGAAAUUUGAGUAUUUGAGUUUGGCAGGGUUUGAGCUCAUGCCUUACAACAGAUAUGACACUUAUGGACAACUGCUACCAUUUAAUUAGGUCACUUUAUAAAUUCUCAUUAAUUGGAGGGCGAUUGCUAUUAAUAUUUUUCCAGAGUGGCUUUUGUCACCAUCACCUCGGCCAACUACAACCUCGUCAACUAUGACUUCAGUUGAUGGCUACACUUUGCCAGCUAUAGACCUCAUCAAUACAUAUAUGCCUAGUACAUGAUACUUCUAAUAUACCUCGUUAGUGAAAGAUGUUGGAUCCUUCUAUGCAUGGAUCACACGUAGGGUACUCUUGCUUAGGAAUGGCAAUAGGUUAGUAUCUACAUUUCUUGAAUUAUUAGAAUUUGGAUAUGCAUAUUUGCUUAAAAAUCAAAAUUUUUUUAUUAUCUAUAAAUCAUCUGAGUAUUACUAUCUAAAUUUGGCUUAAUUUAAGUACUAUUAUCUGUCAAAUAUCUGAAUCCACAAAAAAAGGGCAAUUUUAAAAUUUUCAAUCAUUUUUUGGAUAUCCAAAUUCACGAAAAUUCAAAAUUGAAUCCACCAAAUUUUUUUAUAUAUAAUCAAAACUAUACAUAUUUCGUGACUAGUUUAUUUAGAUAUUGAAAUUCCAAUCUACAUCUGCUAUUCGAAUAAGUAAUGUUGUAACACCUUAAAUAAUUUAAGUUUGUUUUUGUGAAAUUUAACACAAAAUGUGUACCUGCUUCAGUGGUUAAGUGUUCUAGGUGUGUGUGUGAGGUAUUGGGUUCAAUUCCCACUUUUGGCAAAACUUUGUUAUUUUAUAUCCAAGCCUAACUCUUAUUGAGUGGGCUUAUGUUAAUUGUUUGUUAAUCCAUAUCAGAAUAAGCUUGUUGGUUUGAGUGGUAAGGAGUUGGUGUGUAGGAGGUCUUGUUUUUGAAUCCCUACGUGAGUGUAGGUAUUAAUUUUUGCUCGGUUGUCUGAUAGAGUUUGAGUGGUCUUGAAAGUCUGAGGUUGUUAAGGUUGAGUGUUAGUCUGAAGUUAGGAUAUUGUGAGGGGAUUUUUAUGUUGAUUAUUAUUAUUUUAUUUUAUUCCUUUUUCAAAUUUUCCUCUCUCUUUCCAAAAUUUCCCUUUAAUGUUAUUCUUCAAGUUUUUUUUGUUGUCUCUGAUAUUUUUCCCCCUUUUCAUUAAAUCUUUAUUUUGUUCUUCUUUUUUGAUUAUGUUCGUCAACCUAUCAUUCGAUCGUGCCAUUGGAGUUGUCGGGUUAUCUAAUCGGUUGGUAAGUAAAACCUUGCUUCCCUUUAACUUUUGAUUUGGGAUUAUAGUGAUUUCAAUAUGUAGCAAUUGAUUAGUGGAACUUCGUGUUUAGGAGAAGAUUAUGGAGCAAUGAAUUGCACUCCAACAGUUUAGUGUGUAUUGAAGUGGUUUGUCAUCGACGGUAAGUCAGUUUCGUGUUGUUUCUUGUUGUCAAAUUCAUUAAUCAAACUACUAAAUCAAUGUUGGGUACUUUAAUUUUAGGAUUCGGAAGGCUCGGGAGUAUUUUUGCAUUAAAAUCGUAAUAGGUGUGUCCCCAAAACACAGAAAGUCAGGUUUCGAUAAAAGUCAAAAAUGCAUUUUGUCGAUGCGACAAGGGCAUGUGCCUGGUCGUGUGGCUAGUCCUGUGUGAGACACGGCCAUGUAUUUGACGAGGGUGUGGCUGUGCGCAAGCCACGGUCAUGUGGUAGUGUAAGUGUGGCUGUGUAGGCCAUACGGGCUAGGCCAGUCUAGGUUUGUGGGCCUACACAGGCAUGCCACACGGACGUGUAGGCCCAUACGGCCAUGUAGGCCCACAAUUUUGAGAUUUUCCCUUAGGUCGCACGGUUCGUUUCGAACGAUUGUGGACCUACCAUAGGGUCGGUAAGGGCUAAUCAAACCCUAAAUUAUGUGAAAUGAUAUUUUGAUCGUUCGCCUUGUGUAGGAUGUCAAUAUGUACAUCUGUUUUAUUUACGUAUAUAUAUGCUAUCUGUAUAUGAGCAUGUUAUGCAUGAUAUUACUGUAUCUGUUAUUUCUAUAUUAUGUAUCUGUAAUUGGGGUGGGUUUUGUAUAUGUAGAGAAAGUGAUCUGUACGAUAACACUUCCAUUAUAUUUUGACAGUUGACUGCAUAUUAUUUGUAAUGUGUCGCAUUGACACUAUAUGGUGUGUAGGGAUGGGUGGGUGCUUUUAACCCCAUAUGGUGUGAUGGGAUAGUCGAAGAUGUUGUGUAGAGGAUGGGGGUAGGAUUCUGUAUAUCUGUACUACUUAUCUGAUUUUGUUAUCUGUAUCUGGAAUGGAUAUAAGUCCGGAUCUUGAUCUGACUGUAUAUAAGACUUCUAUUUGUAUUGCAUGUCUAUUUUUGUUAGGUUACACAAUAAGUUUACGAAAACUCACAUCUGUUUGUCUGUUCUGUUUAGGUCUAUAGACUUAGGCGGAUCAGUGUGACGGAGCCUCACAGUAACCACGAGAUUGUAAACUAUUUAAGAUUACGGUUUUUAUUUAAUUUAAGGAUUCUUUCUGGAAGUUUGUAAUAAUUGGACUUUCUAGAAUAUUUGACUUUUAUUUCAGUUUUGGAGGUGUUUUAACUUUUAUGGCCACGUUUGACCAAAUUCACGGUUUUACUAAAAUAAAGGAUUUUCUGAAUACACGAAUUAAAUUUCCAAGAUUCAAUGCUUUUUGAAAACUUCCGCUGUAGAUUAUGUUUUGGAAAAUGAAUGAAUUAAAUAACGCUUCUAGUAACAGAUAGUACACUUGGGGUGAUUUAUCGAACGACUAAACAAAGCUUUAUUAAAAUAUCACUAUUUUAAAAACCCUUCCAUGUAACACUCUUAGAUUAGGCCACAACGUCUAGGCCAGGAUUAGGGUGUUACAUUUAAUGGUAUCAGAGUCAGGUUACAAAACUCGAGCUGUGAAUUUUGGGUUUCAAAAUUAUGUUUUGAAAAGAACAGGUUUUCAAAUAAUUUGGAUCAUUUUGAAUAAGUAUGUGGUACACUGAGUCUCCGGCGUUGAUCCUAUAAGUACUUUUGAACUUAGAUAAAACUUUCUGAAAACACUAUAGUUAGUACUUUCUGAAAUUGUACUGAGUUAGUUAAAAAAUAAAAACUUUUGAAAUAUGUUCGAACUUUUGAUAAUUUGAGCAUGAAAUAUAUGUUAAUAAACAUUGGAGCUGAUGCAUAAAAUUUUCUAAUGUAGAUAAAUUUGAAAAUAUACGAUGAGCGCUUGUGGAACUUGCGGUCAUGGUAUUCGUAGGCUCAGUGGGGGCCGUAAGGGGCUGGAGCUGAGUCUUUUUCUCUGGGCAGUAUGCCAAACUUAGAUAUGAGUAAGCCACCAGUGUCACUUGCUACUGAGACAAGGUCUCAAAGCCACUUGGCUGGGGACGACACACUAUCCCAAGCCAUGUUGAGGGUGUUGGAGAGGGUCACUGGACCCCAUUCUGGAUCUGUGGGCCGUAGGACGGUAACUGAACGACUCUGGUCCAAUAGAGCUGAGUUGUUUAGGGGUGUCAUUGAAGUCGCCCCUAUUGUGGUCGAGUAUUGCUUGGAGGGCACAAAGAGGAUUAUGAACGACAUCAAUUGUACUCCUAAGUAGAAAUUUAAUGGUGCAGCCUCUGUACUUCGCGAUGAGGCAUAUCAGUGGUGGUUGUCGGUUGAGGAGGGUACUCAACGGGACUGUCUGAACUGGGAUUAUUUUAAGACUACCUUUCAGGGGAAGUUUGUGGGCGCAAGCUAUGUUGAUACUUGUAGGCGUGGGUUCAUGAAUCUCACGCAAGGUGAUAAAUCUGUGGCUAAGUAUGAGGCCGAGUUUCUAAGGUUAAGCCGCUACGCUUGAGGCAUGGUGGUGACUAAAUAUGAGAAAUUCAUCUAUUUUAAGGAUAGCUUGAGGUAUAAUCUGAGGGUAUUGAUUGCUCCACAAAGGGAACGACAGUUCGCAGUUCUUGUGGAUAAGGUGAAGAUCGCCGAGGAGAUUAAGUGCGUGGAGCGCUAAAAUAGGGAUCGUGAGUGAGGCAAGAAUAAGAGGGAUUCAGAGCCCUCUAGUUCUGUUUAGAGGGCUAUUAGAGUAGGGGUUCCUAUUACUUCUAAUAGGAUUCAGCCACGUGAUGAUUGUGGUAGGCACCAUCCGGGUGAGUGUUAGAGGAGGUUAGGGGCUUGUUUGAGGUGUUGGUCUUUGGAGCACCACAUUAGAGAAUGUUCACUCCAUGCGGAUUAGAUGCAAGCUGUAGGAUCAAGUUUUAUACAACCUUAGAGGGCAGUUCAGCAGCCAUCUAAGGGUCGUGGUCCUACUAGGGGUGGUAAUGGUAUGGGUCGAGGACAUAGAAUAUCGGGAAAAGGUGUUAGUUAGAUUGAGGCAAGGCAGCCUGCACUGGUUUAUGCUACUCGAUGCCGAGAGGAUAGAGACGCUCCUGAUGUUAUCACAGGUACUUCUUUAUUUUUGGUGUUCCAUAUACUGCUCUGAUAGACAUAGGUUCUACUCAUUCCUAUGUAGGUAGUACUAUUUCUAAAAAUUUAGGGAUUUUUGGUGAGGGUACUUCUAGUGAAAUUAUUGUACUGAGUUCGUUGGGGCAGUCUGUUCAAGUAAGUAGGCUUUAUAGGAAUGUAACUUUGGAAGUACAAGGGAUUGUGUUUUCGGCAGAUCUGAUGGAGUUACUGUUUAGGGAGUUUGACUUAAUUUUGGAUAUAGAUUGGUUGGUUGAGCUUCGAGUUAGCUUGGAUUGCACGACUAAGAGGGUCAGUCUAAGGGCUGUGGAUGAAAGAGAGAUAGUAGUGAUCGGUGAGCAUCGAGAUUAUCUACUUAAUGUGAUCUCUGCUAUUGUGGCUGAAAAAUUGGUUCAGAAAGGGUGUGAGGCGUAUUUAGCUUACGUCAGUGUUCCAGUUUUUGGGGACUCUUCUGUCCGGGAUAUCAGAACAAUAAGGUAAUUUUUGGAUGUAUUUCUUGAGGAAUUAUCGGGUUUACCUCCGAAUUGAGAAGUUGAGUUCGAUAUUGAGCUUCUACCAGGUAUAGCUUCAGUGUCCAUCGCUCCCUAUCGAAUGGCAUCGAAGGAGCUUACAGAGCUUAAGGCUCAACUUCAAGAGCUUUUGCAUUGUGGUUUCAUCUAUCCUAGUGUGUCUCUAUGGGGGGCACCGAUUCUGUUUGUAAAGAAAAAGGAUGGUACCACAAGGAUGUGUAUUGACUACCUGCAGUUGAAUAAACUAACAGUAAAGAAUAAGUAUCCACUUUCGAGGAUUUAGGACUUGUUUGAUCAGUUCCGAGGGGCUGCAGUGUUUUCAAAAAUAGACCUUCGUUCUGGGUAUCAUCAGCUUAACAUUAGAUUUUCAAAUUUAAAAAUUAUUUUUUUUACAGCUGCAUAAUUAAUAAGAUAUCAAUUUUGAGUGCUGUAGAAGUGUUAUAACCUUCUCAACGCAUAACCAACUCUUGAAUUCACUUUUUUCUCUAAAAUUCUACAUAGAACACAAAUUUAUUUUUUAAAAGAAUUUUAAAUCUCACAAUUUUUUUAGGUGAUUCACCAAAGAAUAAAAAGAUAGGAGGUGAUUCCUCCUUUUUCAUAAAACCUUGUGCUUUUGCAAACACCAAAUUAUUGCUAAGCUUUACAUUAAUAGACAUGAUUUAUUUGUUCGUUAUUACUAUUUCUAUGAUUAUAAUACUAAACUUAUCGGACUACAAUCAUAACCAUGUUUAUUAUAAUUCAAUAAAAAGAAAUAAGUGUUGGGUGUAAUGGCAAGGUUCAUUACACUCUUAAUAAGAGAUCAGGGUUUUGGACAAAGGAAGAAUAUGAUUCGAAUUUUGGAGAUGCCAUUCUUAAAAUGAGCAACCACGAAGCCCGAUUAUGAACCAUAAAAUGAACAAGAAAAGUACAAAAAAUACGUCUAUUAUCAAAUUAGUAAUCCAUCCCAAGGCUUAAAUUAACAAAAUUCACCAUGCAACCGUGUAGACUAUUUUACGUAUAUACUAUAUUCAUUCUUCAUGCAAAAUGUUUAUUAUAUUUAAAAAUUAAAAUAUAUGGUUGAUUGAGUUUUAGUUGAGUUAAUAUUGAUAUUGUUGUUAGUGCAGAAGAAUGUGAGUUCAAUCAUGUUUAAACGCGUUUUUCUUUCAAUUUAGGAGUUGGAAAGGGUUCUCAAUAGUUAAAUUAUAUAAGUUUUUUUGUCUAUUUAAAAUUGAUUUAUAAACAAUAUAAAUAAAAAGAUUUAAAAUAUAUAUAUUCAUAUUGAUGGGCUUUUUCAUUAUUAGACUUUUUUCCUUACAGGUAAAAGUAUAUAUGGACAUGAUGAUGUAAAAUUAUGACCUGAAUAAUUUUAAACCUUUCAUCACUGCAAAAAUGAAAAUAAUAGAAAUGAAAGACUAGCCAUUGUAUGAAAUUUAUAAUUGAACUGCCAACAAAAUUGGGAGAAAUUUUUAAAUUUUAUGAAAUUUUAAAAUUAAACUAUCAAUAAUAGAAAAUUGCCUGAGUGACUUGGGAUUAGAGGUUGAACAUUUCUGGACCACAAUACAUUUAAGAUGGGUCUUUAAAGUUAUACUUUAGUUAUUGAGAACAUUUUCCACAAAUUGUCAUUAUUGUUUACUGCAGCAAAACAGGCUUUUAGCAUCGUUUUUUUAGGCCUAUAGCGGCGUUUUCACAAGAGUCGCAAAAAAUGCCACUAUAAAAAACGCUGUUAAAUUUUGCGGCGUUUUAGAACAUGACCUUUAGCGGCACUUUACCCACAAAUGCCACUGAAGAACAUGAUCUUUAGCGGCGCUUUCCCAUAAACACCACUAAAGAACUUGAUCUUUAGCGACACUUUUAUCACAAACGCCGCUAAAGAACAUGACCUUUAGCGGCGCUUUUAUCACAAACGCCGCUGAAGAGCAUGGCCUUUUGUGGUGCUUUUAUCACAAACGCCGUUAAAAGUACCAUUCUUUAGCGGCGUUUAUGAAAAAACACCACUAACUUUGGCAGAUUUGUAACAUCCAAUUUUCAUCCAUAUACAACCCUUCCUGUAGCAUGAAAUCCAACCAAAAACAACAAAUCUAAAUGAUACUUCAAAUUCUACAAAAGAUAUAUGAUAUAAAUUGAUAACUGAAGUAUAAUUCAAAAUAUUCUUACAAUAAUGUUAAAAGUUACAACGUUAAAAAUAUUCUUACGAUAAGAAAGCAAUGUCUAAGAUGGCGGAUUUUGCGACUGCUGAAACAUCUUCAUCAUAUUCUGAAGCUGUAGCUGGAGUGCGUAGUACUUUUUGACUGAAUAAACACAAAUCUAUUUUUCGACAGCUAUAUCAAAUUAGCUAUAAACCUUCAACAGGACCAGUACUUGCAAAAACCUCUUGGAGUAGUGGUUCAGCCCACCAACCUGCAGUUUCUCAAAAAUUAAAAUAAAAAAUUAAAAGUUAAAGAAAAAAUAGAAAAAAGAAGAGAUAAAUAAAACUAUAUAAGUAACUUUCUAAGUUGUUAAAAAGAUGCAAGAACAUGCAAGCAUCUAUCAGAUUCCAAAAACCAUUUAACUAGCAAUUAAAAGAGCCAUUAGCUUAGAAUUUUGCACAGAGGGUCAUAGCCACAUAUCCAAUCAGCAACUCAUGAAGGAAAGUGUCUCUAAUUCAUGCAGUUAUAAGCACAAAAGUGACUAGGGUAUGUGCUUAAGCAAGAAGGGGAAAUAAGAGACUCACAAUAUACAAAUAAAACAAAAUGGAAAAAAGGGGAAAAAGAAGUAAAAAAAACCUAGGCAAACACUCACACACUGCGGCAAGUACUUGGAUCAAAACCAUGAGGCAAAUUUCCACUUGGUAUUGGCUCUGUUUGUAGAAUAGAAAAGUGAAAAAUAAAAAAGAGGAGAAAAGAAGAAACGAUGUACAAAAAAUUCAAAUCCCACUCAACUCAAUUCUAAAGCCUCCAUAUCCAAGAAAAAGGAUGAGUUUUUGAAGAAAUCCAAUAGUCAACCUAAAUGAACAAACAAGAUGCUAACUACGACCAUGACAAAUGUAAGCAUCACUUCUCCUACUUUGGAAACACUUUCCACUUGAAAAGACAACAGACUUCCUUGCUUUUACUAUUAUCACAUUUUCCCCCUUCAUUUUUUUAGUGCCGACCAGAAAAAAAAUAUUUUAGCCUCAUCUAAAUAAGACAAAUUUCAGCAGAACAAUAGACAGUAGAUCAGACCCAAUUCAAGGGUAAUGUAGUCCAAAGUUCCUUGAACUCCCUCCUUCAAAGUGAAAAACAAAUCUAUAUCUUUCUGCAUGAUUCAAACAAAAAUGACUGUUGGACAUGUAACUCAGAAAGAAUGCAAAUACAUUGAAAGCACCACAGACUUUAUAAAUUAGCUUCAUGCUGCUAAAUUUCAACACUAUAAACCUAACAAAGCCCAGAAUGAAAUGCGGGAAUCAUGUCUUAAACUCUAAUACUCAAACAAGAGACAGAUAAAUUGCACGUUUUUUUAUAUAAUAUUUACAAACUAGAGAUAAAGAUAUAGAAAAAUAUAAACAUGGACAUGGACAAAAAGACUAAUUGACUGUGCAUGUGUGCCAAAGAGAUGGCAACUAAACAUUAUCCAAACACAAUCAUUUCUCAACAUUUGCAAAACAAAAUGAAGAUUAAGAUUAGCGGUAAACUAAAUAAAACCAAAGAAAUGAGAACCACAAGUAAAUGAGAAAGAAAACAAAAUAGAGAACCUAAUAGCUUUCCCAUUGAACUUCGUAUAAAAGAAAUAACAACAUUCGAACUUCAAGCAAAUAAAAAUGUAAAAUAUUUAGAAUCAAAACAAUCUUUUAUCAAAAUUCAAACCAAAAACAAUGAGCUUCACUCUAUACAAGAAGCAUGUUAACCUCAUAGGCUUUCUGAUUUCUGGAAACCAAAUCCAGAAACGUCUCCCACCAAAAAUCAAGAAAAUAAAUUUUGUUUUUAAAAAUUACAUUCAAAUCGUGAAAUAGGAGCAAGGUCCUUCGAAUUCAAGCAAAGUUGAUGGUAAAAGCUUAGCUUUCAAAGGUCAAACAUCACAGCAUUAAAUAUAAAACUAACCCAAUCUCCACCAAUUCAAAAACAAGAAACCAAACACGAACCAGAAGAUCCAAACACGAUUUCGAAAAAAAGAAAAAUAGAUAUUCCUGAAAACUGGAUCAAAAACUAGCAUAUACUUAAUAAAAAGAGAAAUUGACGGAAAAUCAUAGGAGAUCUGCAUGCAAAUAGAGGCACACUUUUGCUUGAUUAUUCGCUUAAAAAAGUAACAAUGGAAAAUAAGAUGCAAGUUCUAGGUAAAACCAUCAUGUCUUCUUACUCACCACAAACAAAGGCCCUCUAGGACCUUCAUGAAUUUUUGUCUCAUAAGUGCUUCUAUUGUGAGCCCGAACAGCUUGAUAGCCCACAAGAUAAGGAUAUCGAUCUUCAUCCUACAGAUUAACAAGGUUAAAUCCACUUAAAUGAAACACCAUUAGUCCAUAACAAUUUACUUCAAUUUUCUGCUGUUAGUUCAAAUAUGUAUUUUUUUUAAUUUGACAAAACUUGUUAGGAUCGAAUAUUCGGAAUUCCUAAAUUUCAAUUCAAAUUUACACCAUACUUGCAGAAAAAUAUACUACUAUUAGAGACACCGGCAAUCAACCAGAGUUCUUUAGUUUUCAAUCAAGUUAUUCGGCAGGAAUCUAUAUUGAUUACACAAAAAAAAAAUCAUACACCGUGAGAAUGUCGAGUAAAUUGCAAAUAGAAAAGCAAACGAACCCUAGAGGAGCUCCAAUACUUCUUCUCCCAAGGGCCUUUGUAUAGAGAUCCAAUGGAAAUGAUCUCUAGAUCGUCUAAUUUCGCUGUUUGUUCUGCUUCUUUAGUUUUUGCCAUUCAAAGAAAUGAGAAGAAAGCAAGAUUUCCAAACAACUAACAAUAAGCGAGUAGACAGAAUUUUCAAGAUAGAUGAAGAGAUGGCAUUUUAAAAUAGCGGGAACUAAAAUCUUGAAAUGCGUCAUUUCCCUCAAAAUUCUAAAUAAAAACUUUAUUUAAUUAGGAAAAAUGUGAAUCGAUUUUGGGAAAAAUAAGAGGAAAAAAAAAGAAGAUAUUUCAUUUGAAAUUUUGGGAUAAAAAAUAUAAUUACAAAACGACGCUGUUUUGCAAAAUAUAUAUUCGUGGCAUUUGGACCAAAAACGCUACUAUUGUUCAACUUUUUUGCGACGAUUGCAACAAAAACGCCGCUAUUGCUUACCUUUUGUGGCAUUUUUUUUAUAAACGCAGCUAACGCUCGACUUUUUUACAAUUUUUAUAUUGAAUUAUUGUAUCUUUCAUAUAAAUUUUAAAUAAAUAAUUUUUUAAAUUUUACGUAAUAUUUAAAAGAAUUAGAUAAAAUUAUAAUUUUUUAUUUUUUGUAUUUCAUUUUUAUUUUUGUAUUUCAUUUUUAUUUGUUAUAAUUUGGUCCUAUCCAAAAUAGAUAGUUACCUAUCCAUAUCAAUCUGUUACUUUUUUUAUUUAUUUAUCAAUGUUUUUUUAAAUCUAAUAUUUAAAUAUAUCAAAUGGUUUAGAUUAAAUAUUUUUAAAUAUAAAAGCAUUAAUUGAUUGUAUAAAAUUUCAUCAUUUAACAAAUCUCAAGUAAACCUUAAAUCCUAAACCAUUUAAUAUUUAUAAAGUUUAUCUAUUAUCUCUUAUAUAAUUUAAACUAUAAUCAUAAUUUUAAUAUAUUAAAAUUAAUAUUAUCUCUUUUACAAUUAUAUAAGAAAUGAUUUAAUAUAUAAAUUAAAAAACACUAAUUAAUCUAAACUCUAAACCCCUAUCCCCUAUCCCCUAAACCUUAAAUCAUAAAACAUAACCCUUAACCCUUAACCCUUAACCCUUAAUCCUUAAUCCUUAACCCCUAAACCUUAAACCCCAACCCUUAAACCAAAAAUCAUAAACCAUAAACCAUAAUCCCUAAACCCAUAAUCCAUAAACCUUAAAAUAGUAACUCCUAAGCCAUAAACCAUAAACCAUAACCCUAAACCCUAAACUAUAAUGAUAAUUAAUUCAAUAUUUUAAAAUUAAUACUAUCUCUUUUACAAUUAUAUAAGAAAUUAUUUAAUAUAUAAAUUAAAAAACAAUAAGUCAUGAACCCAAAAAACUUUAAAAUUAUUUUAAAUAAUAGUAUUUUAAUUUUUUUCAUUUUUAACAAAUAUUUUCUAUGUUUUUACUUCCAAAAAUUGUCUACAUGUCAUUAUUUUUUUUUGAAGAAUUUAAAUAUUCAAUUAAAAAUAAAUUUUAUUUUAAUUAUAUAAAUAAACCAGUUAAAUAAUAAAUAGACAAAUAAAAUAUUUUUUGCGGCAUUUUUGAUAAAGUGCCGCUAAAGCUCGAUCUAUAGCAGCGUUUUACAAAAAAGCGUCGCUAAUGCCACUAAAGCUCAUUACUGAAUUUUUUGCGGCAUUUUUCAAAAAGCGCUGCUAAUGCUCGACCUAUAGUGGCGUUUUUCAAGAAGCGCCGCUAAUGCCACUAAAGCUCAACAUAAAGGUACUUGAGUCUAGUUUCAAAGACAUCAAGCGGAUAUUAAUUCGGAAUUCUGUAGCUCAAGAUAUAAAUUUAUGUUAAUCUUGUUAUCUUUCUUAUUUUAGAAUUGAUUACAUGAAAGUUAAUUGCUAAUACUAUUAGUUAAUUAUUAGUUUUCUUCAAAUCAAAUUAAAACCCGAAAGGUCCCUCUUUUUUUAUAUUAGUUUUAGUUUUCCAUUAAAUUUGUUUCUUUGUAAUAAAAUUAAAUUAUAGAAAUAACAUUAAAAUUUUAAAUAAAAAUAGUUCACAAUAAUUUAUUAUUUAAAAAACUCCCUGAAAUUUAAAAUUAUUGUUAUAAGUAUACCAUUAAAUUAUACAGAAUUUAAUUUUUCUUUCAAAUACUACAGUUAAUAAGGAAAGAGAAUAUAGUUCAUAUCAAUAAAACUUUAAAAAAGAAAUAUUGUUUAAUUAGUUAAUUUAAAAAUCAAUAGCGUCUAAAAACGGUCAGAAUGAAAUAUUAGAUUUUGUAAGAUUUCAUUAUUCUAAAAAAUAAAAUAUGACCAUGCUUAAAAAUUUUAUUAAAAAAGUUUUAAAUUUUAUAUAAAAAUAAAAAAAUAGUACUAAAAAUUUUUAUAAGCAAAUUUAAAUAUUAAUUAGUAAAUUUUUUUUGUAAUAUUUAUAUGUAUUUUCAUUCUUAUAAAUACUAUUAAAACUUUUUAAAAAAAUUUGAAUGCUAUUUAAAAACAUUAUUAAAAAUAAAAUAUUAUAUGAAAGUUAAAAUGAUCUAAAAACAUAUUUUAAAAAUUUAAAUACUUUAUAAAAUAUUUAAAACUGUUUAAAAAUUUCUAAACCCUAAAAAAAUAAUAAAAUAUAAUUCUUUCUAAGAAAUCAACAAAAAUAUAUUUAUAAUUGAACUCUCAACAAAAUUGUGAGAAAUAUUUAAAUUUUAUGAAAUUUUAUACUUAAACUGUCAAUAAUAGAAAAUUGCCUGAGUGACAUGGGAUAAGAGGUUCAACAUUUCUGGAUCACAUUGCAUUUAAGGCGGGUCUUUAGGGUUAUACUUUAGUUUUUUAGAACAUUUUCCACAAUUUGCCAUCAUUACUUGUGAGUGAUUUGUGGGGUAAGAGGUUGAACACUUCUGGAUCACAUUGCAUUUAAGACUGGUAUCAUUCAUAAAUUAUAUAUCUACAACAAGAAUGGUAGCCUCUUAUAUUAUAUUCAUGUAUCUAUUUUGCAUCUUUCAUUAUAAUAUGAUUUAGUAAUUUUAAUAUUUUUAUAGAAUAAUAUGAUUUAAAUUUUUUUGUAUUUUUCGUAAAAAUUAUAAUAAACUUACAAAAUGAUUUAAUGAUAUUUAAUUAUUAACGGAAAAAUUAUAUCAUAUAUAUUCUGUAUAUAUUAAGAUUCUGAAUUAUUAAUUAUAUAUCUACAUAUUAUAAUAAAUUCAUCUUUCAAAAUUUUCCUAAACUAUAUUCACAAUAUUAUAAAUAUAUUAUAUCAAAAAUAUUCUUUCAAAUGUUUUUUAAUGUUUAAUAAUAAAUUAAUUUAUAAAAUAUUCUUUCAAUAAAUUAACGUGAUGAGAUCGUUAAUUAGGUGCUUGGAUUUGGUGAUGGGGACGAAGAGAAAAGGGAUGGAAGUGAAGACAAAUGUUGGGAAAUUGAAAGGGUUAGCGAGGGAGGCCAGCGUGAAAGGUGGUUCUACGGAUAUGAACCUUCAAGCUUUUGUGGAUGAUGUUACUAAAGGUUAUUGCAAGUAAAUUUAAAAAUGUUUUUUAAUUAUUUUUUGUUAAAAAAUAUUUUUUUUUCUAUGUGGCUUUCCACAUUAGCAUGCUACCAUGUGGUAACUUCUAGUGAUUUCCGUCUGUAAUAUUAGACAGGUUAACAGUUAAACCAUUCAACUGACAAAUUUCGUUAAAGGAAGAGGUCAAUUAAUUUUUUUUGGACUCAUUGAGUACUCAAUUGGUGCAUUUUUUUAUAAAGACUAAAUUAAUUUUUUUAAUUUGUUAUUGCUGAGGGCUACAGUAAUAAAAAGUUUUGAGGUAAAAUUGGAAUAACGUCCCAAAAAUCUAAUACUUAAUUUUUAAAAUUUUAUCAUUAAUAAAUAUUUGUCUUAGUGAUUAAGUAUUUGAGUCGUGUUUAUAAGAUAUUGUAUUCAAGUUCCUACGUGAAUGGAUUGUUAUUAUUAUUAUUUUUUAAUUUUUGAGUUUGAGUCCAUUUCGAACUCUGGAAAAAGGUGGUUACUUAUCUGAGAUGGGGUUAGUGCUUAGUAGAUUUGGAUUUGGUUUAUUUUAAAAUUUAUUAAUUAAUUUGUUAAAAAAUUAAAUUAGUUUUUUCCUAAUUUUUGGCUCACCGUUCUUUCUCUUGUUUUUCUUUAUGCUUUCUUUUUCUUUUCUUUUUCUGUUACCUUUCAAAUCACGUCGAUUUGUUCCUAUUUCGCUUUUGAGUUUUUCUUUUCUUUCCUUUACGCUCCUCUACGAUCGUGUCUUAAUUCCUUCAUUAUUUUCUCUUUGUUGGCGUUGCUCGUUCGUAAGUGGGUUAGUUUCCGUUUUGAUGUAUUUUUACGUGGUUAGUAAAAGAAAUGUGUUAAUUUUUGGAUUAUGGAGUUGAUCGUUUUUAAUCAAUUCUCCAGUAAGUUGACUCGUUCGCUGUUAUUAUGUCCUAGGGUAAAGGAUUAACUCUGAUUUGGGCCCGUGUGGUUGUGUAGAUUUUUCAUGUGAAUUCGUUUGGUAUUUUUAGGAUAAAUCAUUCUUUAAGUCGUAUUGCUACCAUCGCUAAUGUGAUGUUUUAAUUUAUGCAUUUAGGAUUUGAUAGUCUUAUGGGUGUUUUCGUAUAAAAAUCAAACCAAGUGUGUAACGAAAAACCCGACAACAACGAGCGACGAAAGUCAAAAAAUUGCACUGUCGACACCACACGGCCGUGUGUCGGGCCGUGUGACAAGCCGUGUUUCAGACCGUGUGCGACAUAUUGUUUGGGCUAGUUGAGCCGUGUGGAACACACAGGUGUGUGUGAGGAUGUGUGCCACGCCAUGUGAGCCACACGGGCUGGCCAUUUAGGCCGUUUGAGACCAAAAUACUAAAUUUUUCCCUAGGGUUAUACACAUCGUUAUGAUCGAUCGUAGGCCUUUCGUGGGGUCGAUAUAUAAUCAAAUAGACUGUAAAGUAUGAAAUCCGGUCAACUAAUAGUAUAAAUUCUGAUAUCUGUUCAUAUAUUUGAGAUGUUAUUUGUUCAAUAAACCUUGUAAUAGGCUAUGAGAAACUUGAGAAAUAUUAUGUAUGCUUUGUAUCUGUUAUGUCAUACAUGUAUAACUGUAUUAUGUCUGAUUUUGUUCUAUUCUUUUCUGUAUUUGCAUUUGGGGUGGGUUAUAUUAUGUGGAGGAAGUGUUUCUUUGAAUGGCGAUAAUUCGCCUAUUACACUGGCAGCUCAGCUACAAAUAUUCUGAAAAGUGUUAUAUCGACACUAAAUGGUGUGUAAGGUUGGAUGAGUGUUUCAUACCCCAUAUGGUGUGUUGAGCUGGUCGGAGAUAGUGUGUAGCAGAUGGGGGUAGGAAUAUAUGUUUGUAUCUGUACUGCUCUGAUAUGAAUAUGUUCUGCUAAAUCUAUCUGAUAUAAAUUAACUGUUUAAAGUUAUUUGUUAUACAUUGAGUUUUGUAAACUCACUUUCUGUUUGUUUGAUAUUUUUAGGUAACCCUCAGACUUUGGCAAAUUGGUGCGAAGGAGCUCGGUUAAAUUGAUUUAGUUUCAUCAUCUAUUAUAAUCAAAUUUUGUGUUAUUGUGUUUCAUUAUUUUUGAACUUUUGGGACUUUUUGGACUGUUUUGGUUUUUGAGAUUUUAUUUUCAAUUUUUGCAUGAUAUUAUUAAAAAUGUUUUAUCGGAAAUGUCUGUUUUCUUGAAAAACAACUGAUUUCAAAAAAAUAAACUUAGUUUUCCAAACAUAAUGAUUUGAGAAUUUCCGCUGCUAAGUAUUCAUUUUAGAAAAUGUAAGCAAACAUCGUUUUCAACUACAAAGUUAAGUUAGAUGUAUUUUCUCUUAAAUCGAGGUUUAAGUAAUAAAAGAUUAUGUCAUUUUUCCAAAUUUUACGAAAAAUUGGAUUUACAAUUGUUUUAUGUAACAUCUCUAGAUUUGGCCAUAACGUCUAAGUCGGAUUUCGGGCGUUACAUUUUGUGAUAUCAGAGUCAGGUUGCAAAACUCGGGCUGUGAAAUUUUCGGUUCAAAAUUUUGUGAAAACUAUUUUUCGAGUAAAGUUCAUUUCUGCAUUAAUUUGAAAAAUUAAUUAUAUGAAGUAUCGAGUCUCUAACGUUGAUCCUGUAAGUACUUUUGACUUAGAUAAACUUUAGUUUAGAAAACUCUGAAAUGAUUAGAACUAUACUUGGAUAGUUAGAGACUGAAACAUCUUUAUAAAUUCUUUUGAUAACUUUUUGAGAACAAAAUAUCUGCUAAUAAAUACUAAAAUUGAUACAUAAAAUUCGUAAUGUAAGUAAUAUAUACGAUGAGUACUUGUGGAACAUGUGGAUGCGUUACCCGUAGGCGUGGCGGGCGCCGAAGAGGGGCUCGAGCUGAGUCAUCCUCGAUGGGUACCUGAUAGGCUAUUGCUGGAGAGAGCAAUAGUCUUGAGAGAAGAAAUGUUGAAGAUCGAAGUCAAAAUCUGACCUAUAAAGCCUUUAAUUGCUUGAAUGAUAAGCAUUUCUAAACUAAAAAGAUUACCGAUUUUUUCAGGAAUUUGACCUGCAGACAUAGUUGAAACAUCAAGGUGUUAAAUUACCUAUUUUGUUAGUGUAAAUCAAAGAGGCGUUUUAUUUUUUUCGUUUUGAAAUAAUAUGGAUAUGUUAGAUUCUAAUCAUAUUUAAGUAUAUAUUAGUUCUUGAAAGAAAGAGUUCUUAUUUUUGGUAUUUAUAUUGCAAAUAUAUUUUUUUAAAUUUAAAAAAGGGGGGGGGCAAAUGUGUUUAAAACUAAAGACAUCAAGGAAAAGGCAUACCUUCUAGGUUAUUUAACCCCAAGUAUAAUUGUUUAAGUUGUGUCAAAUUCCCAAUGCUUUUUGGAAUGAUCCCACUAAAUUGAUUAAUAGACAAUUCCAAAAUUUGAAGGUUGCAGCAUUUGUCUAUACUUGAUGGAAUAGAACUUGAUAAUUCAUUUCUACUCAAGUAAAGCUCUUUAAGCUUGGGAAGAUGGACACACUAAAUUGAUUAAUAGACAACUCCAAAAUUUAAAAGAUAUUCUGGCUUCGCCCUUAAUAAAAUUUUUGGAAAAAGAUUAAAAAAAAGUUAUACGGUAAAUGAAAAAAAGAAGAAAAUAACUUGAUGUCCAAAAGCUACCAUAAACAGUAAUUCGUGGGAAGGCUUGUUGCUCAUUUUAUUGGUUUCCAUUUUGAUUUUGCAAAAGAAGUUUGAAUUUUGAAGAGAGCAUACUACGUGAGAGCAAAAGAAAAAAUAUAGUUUAUUAAUUUUUACGAAUACCGACAUAUUAUAUAUACGAUUAAAAUUCAGAAUAGAUUAAAAAUGUUCAAUUAAAGAUAAAAUUAAAUGUGAAUUAAUAACCACAAGUCUACUCAUUACUCAUUACUCACCGUCUCUGUUAAAAAUGUUGGAUGUUGUUCAGCAACCUUUGUUUGAUUUUCUUCAGCUCAACCACAACAUCUUUCAUAUCUUUUCUUUCUUCUGGUAACUCAGCUGAACAAUUCAAAGCCAACUCCAUGAUAGAUGAAAUGCAAUUUGCUUUAACAACAAAGUACUCAUCGUCUCUUCUUAGUAAAUCAACAUCUGCAAUUUCUAUCGCUCCUUUAGGCAAUGAACUUUCCAUCCAAUGCCUUAUAGUCUCUUCUUCAACAAAAACAUUAUCAGUUGGCUUUUUCUUUGUAAAAGUUUCUAUAAGGACGAUCCCAAAACUAUAGACGUCAGAUUUUAUAGAAACAAUUCCUGCCGAUCCAAAUUCUGCAUUUCAAGUAUAAUUAGAACAUCAUUCAUCCUCAAUUAUUUCUAAAAUGCUUAUUCAAAUAUAUAUCCUCAUACACAUGAAACAAAAAUAUAAAAUGCAAAUUAGGAAAAUAAUCAUACAAAAAUAAAAAUGAAUUCACCUGGUGCCAUAUACCCGAUAGUUGCAAGAGUCAUGGUUUGCUUCAUUACUUCACCUUCCCCCAACAAUUUGACAAGGCCAAAAUCUCCAACAUGUGCAACCAUGUCUUCAUCUAGUAAAAUAUUGCUUGGUUUUAUGUCACAAUGAAUUGUAGGUGUUGGAUGUCCAUUGUGGAGGUGUUCUAUAGCUACCGCAACAUCUAUCAUUAUGUCGACCCUUUGUAUGAUAUCAAGGAAACAAUUUUCAGAAUGUAACCAUUUCUCAAGGUUUCCAUUAGACAUGUAAUCAAGCACCAAGGCUUUGAAGCCAACACUUGAGCAGCAAGUAACGACCUUCACAAUAUUACGAUGAACUACAUUACGCAUAGCAUCACAUUCAAUGUCAAAACUCCUAAAUGCUCCCUCUGUUUGCAAAUUGAAAACUUUUAUUGCAACUUCCAUUCCAUCCGAAAGCCUCCCUUUAUAUACAUAUCCAAAACUCCCUGAACAAAGCAUAUUGCUUUCCUUAAAUCCAUUAGUUGCUCGUGAAAGUUCAGCAUGUGAAAUUCUUCUCGGUGUUUUCAAAGACAACAAAUCAUCUUUAAUUGGUAGAGUUGUACUCCUUCUUUGGCAUCUUCUAUACAUAAUAGUUAAGACUAUUAGUACUACGACAACACCAAUUGUUGGUAAACCAUACCUAAAAGCAUGCAAUAUAAUCAUUUGGGAGUUUUUGUGGAUGUCGUUUUUGCAAGGUGGAACUAGAAAUCUAUGUGGACCACAAAGUGCAUAAUUCUUCAUGAAUGAUGUGCUAGAAAAGUUUGAAAAACAUCCUUUGCUGGGAAUUUCCCCUUCAAGUCUAUUGAAAGACACAUUAAAAUACUUUAGAUAUAAAAGCUUUUCCAAAGAUUUGGGAAUGACUCCAGAGAGAUUGUUAUUGCAUAAAUCCAAGAAUUCCAAACUAAUCAACCCAUCAAAUGAUUCAGGGAUAUGACCAUGUAGUAUAUUAUUUGAUAAAUCUAAUGAAACCAAAGUUUGAAGACCCCCAAAUGUGGAUAAGAUAUCACCCGUGAGAAGAUUCCUAGAUAAAUUUAGUUUCAGUAGACUCCUCAAAUUUCCAACAUCAAUAGCGUGUGAAUUGUGAAGAUGGUUUGAUGAUAAAUCUAUUUCUAAGAUAUCUUUAAGAUUCCACAAAGUUGAGGGAAUUGCGGAACUCAAUUUGUUGGAAUCUAAGCAAAGAUAUCCCAAAGAAGUAAUAUUACCUAAACAAGAGGGUAUGGAUCCAUGCAGCUUAUUCAACCCUAAACACAAGUUGUAUAGUCUCUCCAAACCACAGAGGCUUUCUGAGAUGGGCCCUCCUAAUUUAUUAGAGGAAAGAUCUAGACCUUGGAGAUUUCGCAGUCCUCCUAUUGAUGUUGGAAUGAAUCCACUUAAUUUAUUAGAGCCAAGUUCUAAACCGAACAUAUUGGUUAAGUUACCUAUUUCCAUAGGAAUAAUGCCUUGAAGCUCACACUCUUCGGCAUAAAAGUAUUGAAGGGAUUUUGAAAGGUUCCCAAUAUAAGUAGGAAGAACGCCACUCAAUGGAUUUCCUGAAACUUCUAUGUCUUUCAAAUUCUUACAAUUCGUCAAAGAAGAAAGAAAGCUCCACUCAUGAUCAGUAGCAGAUCCUGUGAUCAAAUUAUUGUCAAAGAUUUUGAGCACUUCAAGGUGUUUUAAGCUGCAAAGCAUUCUAGGGAUUGGGCCAGAGAAUAAGUUUUGUGACAAUUCUAGUUCCUUAAGCAUGGAAGCAUUGGAGAUAGAGUUGGGAAUGUUUCCGCUAAGUUUAUUUCUCCACAAUAAAAGAAUCUCAAGCUUUGGAGCAUUGGUGAUGGGUGGUAAAUUACCUGUAAAAUAGCAUCUUUUAGUAUACAUAUUCAUUGAAUACCAAAUUUACAAAAUAUAUAAUACAUUAAAAUAAAAACUGUACAACUUUAAAUCAAUUAAGAAUAGAAUUUUGGCAUGGAAAAAUGUGAUGAAAUCACUUAGAAAGUUGAGACAUAAUAAGAAGUUUUAAGUAGUAAUUAUUCCUUGUGAUUUGUAUAGAAAAAACAUAUAAUACACUAACAAUUUUUUAAAAAUAAAAAUAAAAGUUUGGCAUGAGAAUGUGGCAUCUAAUCCAUCUUAAAAAUGAGUCUGACACUGAAUAAUAAUUAGUUAUGAUUUGGGAAAAAAAUGUUAAAGCCAUUGUUUUUAAUGUAAACUGGUAUGAUUUUUAUCUAUUGGGUAUAUUAUUUAUUUUUAUUAAAUUAUAGUGUAAAAUUUAAAGAUUAUUAUUUGCUCAAAAUUUUUGUAUUUUUCGUAUAUUUGAAAUUUAAUCUUUAUAUUUUUUAUUUUCUGUGAUUUAGUCUCUCUACUUUUUGAAUUGUAAAUUUUAGGUUUAUUUAUUAAUGCUGUUAAAAAGUUUUUGUGUUAGUAUGGCAUUUUGAAAAAUAAAAUAAACUUGAUAUCUAUGUUUUUAAUUAUUCCAAAUAUUGUUUUACUAUUUCAAGAUAAAUUAUUUGUGUCUAGACCAAUAUCUUAAGAACUAUUAUUGCAUGUUUAAUUAUUCUAAAGAAUUGUCGAUUGAGUCUUAGCUUGAUUGGCAUGUGCAUUGUUGCCAAUGUAGGAGAAUGUGGGUUCAAGUAUGCUGAAGUGUAUUAUCCUUCUAUUUAUGAAUCAAGGAGUUGGCAAAGUAUUAUAUUUUGAUAUAUUUUAGAAUAUUAAAAAAUUAUUAAAAUAUUUUUUUAUAAAAAUUGGUUGUACCACAAUAUACAUCAAAUUUUUAAUUUUUUUAAAAAUAUUAGCGAAUUUAUAUUUUAUUUCAAGUUACACAAUUUUUACUAGUUUUUAACUUUUUUUUAAAAAUUUUUAUCGUCUUUCAUAAUUUCUAAUAAAUUUUUAUAUAUUUUUGACAAUAUUUAACAAUUUCUAACAAUUUUUAAUAAUUUUAUUAUUAAUUACAAAUUUAAAAAUUAACACAUUUUUAUUUUUUAAAACAAUUUUAUAUUUAUAAUGUAGUUGUUUUUUUUAUAAUUUUAUUUGAAAAUUUAAAGCUUUUUUGGUUUUUUUAAGAUAAUGAUGCCAUCAUGAUGUCAUCAUAUGCCACAUGGCAAUUUAUGAUUAGUUGGAUAUCUCAAUCUAUUUUUUUAACGUCCAAUUGACUAAACCAAGAACACCUGAUAAUGUUAGAGACUACACUAGAAAUGCUUGAUAAUAUUAGGUACUAAAGUGGGCAAAAACUCAUUAAGGACCAAAGUAAAAAAAAAAAAAGAGCAAUAUGCUGUAGGGAAUAAAUGCAUGAAUUUUGAGAAACUUUUGAACUAAUAAUUACAUAGUAAUUAUUAGUGAAUUUGUUAUUUUAAAUAUUUUUAUUACUUUUAGGAUUUAUCAUAUGUAUGGAUAAGAAUUUUGGUUUUACUAAAAUAUUUGGUUAAAUAAAUUCAUAAAAAAAUUUAGCAUCCUUAUAAAUAACAAUUUUGAUUCUAUUAAAAAAAUCAUUUUAAAAAAUAUAUAAUAAAAAUUUAAAAUUUAUAUUGAAUUACUUUAUACGUAAAUUAUUAUUAGAAACGUUAUCAUACACAUAUGUAUAUGAGAACUACGUAUUUAGAACAUAAAUUUAUGUUUGAAAAUAACUUAUGAUAAAUAAUGAAAUGUAUAAUUUGAAACUAUUUAAUAAUAACACAUGGCAUAUCUACCAUAUUAAAAAUAAAAAUAGAUUAAAUUGUAAGUAAAACAUAAUUUAAACAUAUGGAUACAUCAAAUUAAGAAUACUAAAUGAAUACAGUUAUUUAUGAUGAUGUUGUUGUCAAUUCUUAAGUUGGUGUCGAGUUAAUUUGUGACAUCAUAAUUUUAAGUGAUAAAUUUAAAGUUUUAUGUAUUGAUGUGGAUUCAAAUAUCACCAUAACUUUUUUAAAAUAAAAAAUUAAAUUCAACACAAUAAAAUGAAACAAAUUCAACACAAUGUUUUUGGAGUUUGCAAAAAAUUAAAGUGAAAAACAUACCUUCUAAUUUGUUGUCAUAUAGAACUAUUUCUUCGAGCGUAGUUGAAUUAAAAAUACUUGAUGGAAUCUGGCCUGCACACAUAGUCGAAAAUUGAAGUGAAAAAUACACCUUCUAAACUGUUCAACUAAAAAUACUUUAAGCAUAUUUUUUUUUCCAUCAAAUUAACUAUUUUGCCUUGAAUGAAAUAAAAUGCUCUUACUUUUGUUAUCUAUUACAAAUCAAACUCUUUUGUGAAUAAAAUAUUACCAGAUAAUUCAUUCCAACCCAGGUUAAGCCCUUCAAGCUUGGGAAGUUGUUGACACAUAUCAUUAGGCAAACUACCUGAUAGGCUAUUGCUGGAGAGGUCAAUGGUCUUCAGAGAAGAAAUGUUGAAGAUCGAAGUUGGAAUUUGACCUGUAAGGCCUUUAGUUGCUUCAAUAUCAAGCAGUUCCAAACCAAGAAGAUUACCGAUUUCCUUAGGAAUUUGACCUGCAGACAUAGUUGAAAAAUCAAUGUUUUUUAGCAUAUAUUUUUCAUCAAAUUAACUAUUUUUCUUCGAAUGAAAUAAAAAGUUCUUCCUUUUGUUAUCUAUUACAAAUUAAACUCUUUCAUAAAAAAAUACUUUAAAUUCAAGAAAUUAAGGAAAUUGAUUACCUUUUAGAUUAUUAAACCCUAAAUAUAAUUCCUGGAGUCGUGUUAGAUUUCCAAUACUUCUUGGAAUGAUCCCCAUAAAUUGAUUACCGAACAAUGACAAAUUUUUAAGGUUGUUGCAUUUGCCCAUGCCAAAUGGAAUGUAACCAGAUAAUUCAUUCCAACUCACGAAAAGCCCUUCAAGCUUGGGAAGAUGUUGACACAUAUCAUUAGGCAAAGUACCUGAUAGGCUAUUGCUGGAGAGAUCAAUAAUCUUCAGAGAAGAAAUCUUGAAGAUGGAAGAUGGAACCUGACCAGAUAAUUGAUUGAAUCCUAAGUUCAAGAUCCCUAGAUUAGACAUGUUAACAAGUGUUUCAGGGAUUGUGCCUGUAAAGUUAUUAUUUUUCAUUUGCAGCCUUCGAACUCUCUGUAAAUUCCCAAGCCAUGAUGGAAUUUCCCGAUUAAGACGGUUGUAGCUUAAUUGAAGGAUCCUCAAACGAUGCAAUUGGCCCAAUUCUUUAGAGAGAUGGCCAUAGAAAUGGUUGCUACUCAAGUCGAGAGAGACUAGAAAUGAAAGAUUUCCAAGGUGUGGAGGGAUAAUACCCCUAAGAUUCAUGCUUGUAAGAUUCAAUGCUAUAACUCUUUUAUGGAGGAUGCCACAAGAAACACCAAUCCAAUUGCAAACAGAGGUUGAGGCUGUCCAAUUGUCUGCCAAGACAUUUUGAGGACCGGCAAUGCGAUCCUUAAACUCGAGAAGUGCAAACUGAUCAGAGUUGAGAUUCCUGGCUGUCAUAGCCAAGCGAAGUACGGAACAUGGUAUGAAUAAAGCUAAGAGAAGAUGAAAGCAAGUGUUGUAGUUCAUGAUUGCAAGACGGAAUAAGGCAAGAAAAAAGGAAAAAAAAAGUAGGAAAAGGGAAGUUAAGUUGAUAAAAUAGUUUGGAUGAUGAAGAAAAGCCCAGAGAGCAUGCUUUAAUAUGUUUCAACCCUCGCACACUUGAUAAACUUGAUAAAUUUAAGACUACCCUAAAAAUUAAAAAGGAAAACAAAGUUUUGAUGAGAUUUCAAAAAAAAUGUCAAGUAUUCUUCUUUUAAAAAUACGUACAAAGAAGCGAAUUUUCAAAAUUUCUCCUAAAUUUUCUUCAAAUUACUCCACAUAAUCCAUUAAAAAAACUUAAAAAAUAUAUUUUAUUAAUUACUAUAUAUUCUUUUGUUUUCAUAAUAAUAAAUUGUUUAAAAUAUGCUAUUAGUGGCCGUAAUUUAAAGUUUAAAAAAAAAUCCAAUCCUCCUUUUUUUUAAUUUAAAAAUUCUAAUCCAAUCAUUUUUAAUUCCAUUAAAAAGUUUUCAACUUAAUAGAUUUUUUAUUAUCAAUCUUAUGCAACAUUAUAUGAAGGCAGUCUACUCAGCAUAUAUCCAAGUUUACAGAUUUUAAUAGAAAAUACUUACAAUCCUAAUGGUAGGACUAAGUUUUUUAAACUAGAAAAGUAAAAAAAAAAAAAACUUAAUUUUUAACUUUUUUAAGUACAAGGAUUAAAUUUUAAAUGUUGUCAAAGUACAAGCACUAACAAAAUAUUUUGAUCUAAUAAAUGUAAAAAAGCAUUUUAAACAAAAGAAGGUUGAAAUAAUCUAUUUGUCCUUAUACUUUGAUAAAAUUUGAGAUACCAUAAAAUUUGUAUCUUUUUUCGAAUUAUUUAAUGACAUUUCAACAUUUUCAUUCAAAAAAAAAUAUCAUUUUGAAUUUGAUCUUUUUCAAGAUGAAAUAUUGAAAUGAUGUUAAAUUAUUAGAAAGAGAUACAAGUUUCAUGGUGUCCCAAAUUCAUUUAAUCUUAUCUCUCUAAGAAAGCUGAAUUAAGAUAUUAAUGACAUCAUUUGAAACAAAGUUUUAGGUCAAAUUAUUCAUCUAUUCCUUGUAAUUGUUCUUUAAGGUGAAUUUCAUUAUUAUUCUUUUAUUUUCUUUGGCUUAAAUACACAAUUACUCCUAAUUUUAUCACAUUCUCCUUAAUUGGUAUUUAUAGUUUAUAAAAUUUUAUAAAUAUAUUAUUUUUUAAGAAAUUAUAAGAAGAUUACAAAAAUUCCAAAAUAAUAUAAAAAAGCUAAGAAAAACCUAGAAAUUCAAAAAAAAAAAUCAUGUUUUUACAAAUUGGAAAAUACCUAAAUUUACUUUUCAGCCCGUCCGAUGCUAUGAAAGAAGAAGAAAGAGAGUCUUUGCUAACAUUUUUUUUUCUUCGUCAUCUCUAUGUUUCUUGGCAAAUACAAUGAAAGAAGAACAAAGAAAACUGUUGGCUAUUUAUUUCCCAAUAAUCCUGAAAUUACUUGCCAUAGGCGUAGAAUUUGCUAACCAAUUUUCAAGCAAUCUGACAUGAAUUCUUGUUAAGUAUGACUCCUAUUUUCAGUCAAAUUUGAGAAAUAAUCUUCUAGUUAAUUCUGUUUAUUUGUUUCAAUCAAACACUGAUUAGUUUAGAUUAUUUUAUUAUUAUUUGACAUAUGAAUUUAGCCUAUAAAUAGGUUAUUUUACAACCUUAGAAAAUACACCCAAUAGAGUUUAGAACUCAUAACAUAUUUAGAGAAUUUUGUGUUUACGUUUUGAGAGUUCUUUGUUUUCGGAUUUUCGGGGUUUAGUUUUUAUCUCCAUCUCUUGUAUUCUUUGUUCUUUUGCCAUUAUAAUAAAAUUAUCUUUACCCGUGGUUUUUUAUCCUUUUUGGAGGAGUUUUUUCACGUUAAAUUUGUGUGUUCAAUUUCUCAAUUUAUUCCGCUAUUUUGUUACUUGUUGCUUAAUCGGGUCGAUCCCUAACAAUUCUCAAUCACAAUUAAUUGAAUUCAAGAUAUAUUUGGAUGAGAACACAAAUAUUUCAAUUUUACCACAAUCCAAUGUUUGGGAUGAUUUGGGAUAAGAACUCCAACAUUUUAAGAUCACAUUUUCUUUUAUAAUUUCAGGCUUAUCAACUAUUUUGAAAACAACAAAACGUCUUACACCAAAAACUAAAAAAUUAAAACGUCGACAUUAAAUUUGUUGGUAUGCAAUCAAUUUUAAGAUGGGUCUUGGAGUUAUAUAUCACUUUAGCAUUGACUUACUUUUCUACUCUUAGUCUUCUCCAAUAAGUUAAAUAUUUCAAUUUUAACAGCACUGACAGGUCUUUGGGGUAGGGUCCAGCAAAACUCAAUAGAAACAGAUGAUAUAGGCAGAGUUGGCUCGGCCAAGUCGAGUCGACUUGUUCAAAUUAGUUAAAUUAGUAAAUUUUAGGGUGCAGUUAGAACUUUUUUUUUUUUUUUGAGAUGCUAAUAUUAAAAAAUUUUAGUUGCUAAAACAAAAAAUUUAUAUUUAAAAAGGAAUAAAUUAAAUUAUUAAGUUUUUCAAGUUUCCAUUUAAUCAAAGGUUAAAAGGACUAAAUUGAAGCUUUUUAUUUUAAAGAAAGGCUGAAUGACAAAUUGCCCAAAGCCCAUGCCCCUAGCUAUAUGCCCCUGGUAAAAUCAAUUUUAAAAUUAGUUAUAAUAGUUGAAGCGAAUUGAUUAUUGAGUAUUGAAAUACAUAGUUCAACAAAAUAAACAAACUGACAAAUUUUGACCAAAAAAAAAAAUCAAAGGUGAUAAUAAUUAAAUUAUAAAAUUUAAAUUGAGAAAAUAGGGGAUUGAAUUUAUAAUUUUUAAAGUAUAAAGAAUGAAUUUAUAACUAACAUCAUAUUUUAACCACAUAAUAAAAGUAGUUAUGGAGAGGAUCAUGUAAAAUAAUGACCUGAAUAAUUUUAAACGUCUCAUCCUUGCAAAAAUGAAAUAAUAGAAAAGAAAGAGUAAAGAGUAGCCAUUUUAUGAAAUCUAUAAUUCCAACUGUGAAUAAAAUAUAAAUUUUAUGAAUGUGGACAAGCCAUUUUAUUUAUAAUUUUCUGUGUUUUUCUGACUUUUUUUUAAGUCAUUUUCUUUGUUUCCUAACCAAAAAGUUUGCCCAUCACUUUCAAUAUAAAUUUAAAUCUAAAUUUUCUUUUUAAAAUAUAAGUUACUCGUCACAAUUCAUCUUUCGAAAACAAUUUGCCAUCACUUUAACAUACACUAACUUUUCUAUGAUUAGUCCUUGGUUUGCUUUGGGUGCAAUCUUCCAACUAGCCACAUCCUUGGUUUUACUUUCCAACAAUUAGUGUAUCACGGGUUUUGUUUUCUUUAAAAAAAUAUUUUUGUGGAUAUUAGGAGAUAAUGAAAAUUAUUUUACUAUUAAAUUUUAAUAAAACUGGAAAAUAAGUAAUGUCUUUUAAGUGAUCACAAUUAAACAUUAGAUUUUUAAUUUUAAAAUUUUAAAAUUUUUUGAUAAUUGCAUAAUUAAUAAGGUACCAAUUUUUUGAUAAUGCUAUAAUCUUCUCCACACAUAAUCGACUCUUGAGCAUGAUGGAUCUAGACCUUAUCCUGUAUUCUCGUACCACAAAUUGCUUCGAGUGUGGGUUCAAACAAUCACAAAUUAAACACAAAAUCAGAAAUGAUUUAUUACUUUCAAUAGCAAAGUAAUUCUCUCUCAAUAGAAACCAACAGAAUUGUAAUUCCGAAAAAUAAAAUUUAUUUUUUGAAAAUAUAUUCUCACUACUUCCUAGCAUAAUAACAAUAUUUAAAACUUAUGUCUUGUGUUAAUAGCUCUACCAGUACUAUCCAUUUAUAGAGAGAGACACAAGAAUCCUGGUUGAAUUAGUAAAACACGAGUAAUAUUUAUUUCAUAGAAAACAAUAUUCUACCCUAAGUAGAUCAAGUUUGGAUGACGCAUGGGUCGAAGUUCAAUCUAAGAGAAAAAAAUAAAGGAAUUUUCUUUGUAAAGAAAAUUUGAGAUUGUACUAUUUUCGAAGUUAUAAAUAAAAUUAUAAGCCAAACUUUCAAGUCAAUUUUUGACUCGAAUUUUGUACGUACAAAUUUCUAAUACACUUGGUGGGACAUUCUUUGACUUUUAUCUAUUCUCUCAGAAAGUUAAAAGUUAAAAGUUGCAUUAAACUCAAAGAAGAUAAUCAUUAGUAAACCAGCUCACAAGCCUGCUCAAGCUAAUCCUACAACUCGUUCCACUUCAUCAUCAAACACCAAUGUUCUUGCUUAUCCUUAUGGAAUUAAACAAAAGACAAAAGCUCUUUAAGAGUUAUUUGAACAGACAAAAGAUUCAGACGUGUUGAGAUGGAAAGUGACAAUGCAAUGUUGAUUGAAGCUAUUCGUAACCGGUUGGCUACAAUAAGUAGUGUUGCUGAAGUAAGACAGAUUCACGAUUGGUGUUCUAAAAAUUGGGAAGUCAAAUUUUGAUAUAUUUAGUAGAAUGCCAAAAAAGUUGUUGAUUGCAUAGCUAAGGCAGAUGGAGGAGUAAUUGAGCAGCUAGUUUUUUGGAAGAUCCUCCGCAUUUUGUGAGAUGUUGGCUUGAAGAAAAUAUUAGACAAUCGCUGGUGACUUAUGAUAAUUUUCAUUUGGACUGAUGCUCGCUUAGUUUUCUAAGGUUAUGUUCAACCAAAAAAAAAUAAUUUAAAUAUGUCUAUAUUAUCAUAGAGUUAGCAUUUAGUGUAUAAAAAAAUAGUGUAUAAAAUUUUUUCAAUUGCAGUUUAGUUCCACAAAUACUGACGAUGAACCUUAAAACGAAAAUGAAAAUUACAAAAAGAAAAACAAACCACAUCUAUUAUCAAACCAGCAAUCCGUGUCUAAACUUAAAUUAACAAAAUUCAUCAUGCAACUCGGUACACUAUUUUAUAAUAUAUAUAUUAGAUUUAUUCUUGAUGCACAUGUUUUAUUAUAGUUAAAAAUUAAAAUAUAUGAUUAACUGAGUUUUAGUUGAGUUAGUAUUGGUAUUAUAUCAGUGUAGAAAAAUGUGAGUUCAAUCGUACUUAAAUAUGUAUCCUCCAACUCAACAGUUGGGAAAAGGUUAUUGAUAAUUAAAUUACACCAAUUUUUACAAUAUCUAAAAAGCAUUCAUAAACAUAUUCAUAUUGAUGGGCUCUUUCAUUAUUAAACUUUUUUUCUCUCACAAGUAAAAGUACUUGUGGUGAGGAUCAUGUAAAAUAAUAAACUGAAUAAUUUUAAACGUCUCAUCAUUGCUAAAAUGAAAUAAUAGAAAAGAAGACAUUUUAUGAAAUUUACAAUUCCAACUGUGAAUAAAAUAUAAAUUUAUGAAUGUGAACAAGCCAUUUUAUUUAUAAUUUUCUGUGUUUUUCUUCUUUUUCUGACUUUUUUUUAGUCAUUUUCUUUGUUUCCUAACCACCAUGAAAUUACUUGUCACAAUUCAUCUUUUUAAAUGAGAAGCAUUUUCCACAAUUUGCCAUCACUUUAACAUACACUAACUUUUCUAUGAUUAGUCCUUGGUUUGCUUGUCACCAUGAAAUUACUUGUCACAAUUUUCCACAAUCUUCCAACUAGCCUCAUCCUUGGUUUUACUUUCCAACAAUUAUUGUAUCCUUCUCAUUACUUGUACUUACCCGACUGAUAAAAAAUUCACUGAUCAAAUUAGUUCAAAGUUUUUUUUUUUUUUCUAAAUCAUGUGAAUUCACGAGUUUUUUUUCUUUAAAAAAUAUUUUUGUGGAUAUUAGGAGAUACUGAAAAUUAUUUUACUAUGAAAUUUUAAUAAAACUGGACAAUAAGUGAUUUAUUUAAAGGGAUCACAAUUAAACAUUAGAUUUUUAAUUUUUUAAUUUUAAAACUUUUUGACAAUUGCGUAAUUAAUAAGGUACUAAUUUUGAGCGUUGUAGGAGUGCUAUAAACUUCACUACGCAUAAUCGACUCUUAAAUCCACCUUUUUCUCUAGAAUUAUAACAAAUUUACAAAAUGAUUUAAUGAUAUUUAAUUAUUGACCGGUAAAAAAAUUAUAUCAUAUAAAUUCCGAAUUAUUAAUUAUAUAUCUACAUAUUAUAACCAAUUCAUCUUUCAAAAUUAUUUCCUUAUAAUUAAAGCAAAAAUUAUAUUUAUAAAAUUCUAAAUAUAUUAUAAUUCUUGUAAAUAUAUAUAUUUAUAUAUAUAAGUUCAAAUUGUAAUAGAGUUAACAUUUAAUGUAUAAAAAAUGUCUUGAAAAUUAUUAUUUUUUUCAAUUCCAAAAGAACUAUUCCAUUUAUAGAACCAUAAAACUUUAAAAAUAUAAACUCUAUUAAAUAAAAAUAAUAAUAUAUUUAAACAAUAAAUAUUGACUUUAUUUUAAAUUGACAUUAUCUAAUUCUUUUUAAUAAAUAUAGCUAAGCUUUACAUUAAUAUACAUGAUUUAUUUGUUCGUGGUUGUUAUUAUUAUUAUUAUUAUUAUUAUUAUUAUUUCUAUGAUUUUUAUAUCAUACUUAUCGGACUACAAUCAUAACCAUGUCUAUUAUCAUUUGAUAAAAAAAAUUAAGUGUUGAGUAUAAUGACAAGGCACGUUACACUCUUAAGGGGAGAUCAAGGUUUGGACAAGGGAAGAAUAUCAUUUAAAUUUUGGAGACAACAUUCUUUAAAUGAGCAACCACAAACCCCGAUUAUGAACCAUAAAACGAGCAUGAAAAGUACCCAAAAAAACAAGUUUAUUAUCAAAAUAGUAAUCCAUCCAAGGAUUAAAUUAACAAAAUUCACCAUCCAACCGUGUAGACUAUUAUAUAUAUAUAUACCAUAUUUAUUCUUCAUGCAAAUGUUUAUUAUAUUUAAAAAUUAAAAUAUAUGAUUGAUUGAGUUUUAGUUGAGUUAAUAUUGAUAUUAUUGUCAGUGCAAAAGAAUAUGAGUUCAAUCAUGUUUAAAUACAUUUUAUACUCCAAUUUAGGAGUUGGAGAGGAUUCUCAGUAGUUAAAUUAUAUCAGUUUUUGUCUAUUUAAAAUUGAUUUAUAAAUAAUAUAAGUAGAAAAUUUUAUAAAAAUAUACAUACUCAUAUUGAUUGGCUUUUUCAUUAUUAGACAUUUUUCCCCAUAGGUAAAAGUAUUUAUCGAAUUCAAAUUUUGGGUUUUAAAUAAGGGUUUUCGGAUUUUUUUUUAACAUUUGUGAGAGUUUUUGCCAAAUUUUAUGUUUUCAAAAACGCAUAACUAAGUUGAUUUUUAAUUAGUUUUUCAAAUGAGUCAAUGUAAUUCCUUAAAAAUCUAGUGAUAGCGUCUAGCCUGGGUUUGGGGGUGUUACACUGACGUUACUAAAGUUAAUCUUAAUCUAUUUAGUCUAGAUCUGAACAUUAAUAUUCUCUUCCAAUAAAAAUAAAGAUCAUCAAAUUAUUACAAUUGUGAAGCCAGACAAUCAUAUUAAAUAAGCAUAAAACUUAAUAAAUAAUUAGCGAAGAUUGAAACAAUCAAAGAAAAAAUAAAUUAAUUAACUAAGAAAUAAGGAUCCAUUAUUGUUUCAAGAAAACAGAGUUUAGUUCAUAUUGAGUUGAGAAAACCAAAAAUUAGAUUCAAAACAAACUUGUGAUAAGGGGAACAAUGUCAACAGAUCAUAUUCAAGUUGUUCGACUCGAGAAAGCAAGAUUCGGAUUUGACCUGAAAAGAAGAAACCAAACAGAUUAGGAAAACAAGAAAAAAACAAAGAAAAAAAAAUAAAAUGAGAAAUUUAAGAAUAAAGAAUAAAUAUUAAAAAAUAAUAAAGAAAUAAAUAAAUUAUAGAAUAAAAAGUGGCAGAUGGAAUGAAUAAAUGAUGGAUAUGACAUAUAGAUGGAUAAGUGUCUGAUAACCCUUGAAAAAAAGUUAUAUUUUGUUAGGGAUCGACCCGAUUAAGCAACAAGUAACAAAAAAAGGGAAUAAAUUGAGAAAUUGAACACACAAAUUUAACGUGAAAAAAACCUUCCGAAGAGGAUAAAAAAACCACGGGAAAAGAUAAAUUUACUAUAAUGGCAAAAGAACGAAGAGUACAAAAGAUGGAGAUAAAACUAAACUCCAAAAACCCGAAAAUAAAGAACCCUCAAAACGUAAACACAAAAUUCUCUAAAUGUGUUAUGAGUUCUAAUCUCUAAUGUGUGUCAACUAAGGUUGUAAAAGAGCCUAUUUAUAGGCUAAAUUCAUAUGUCAAAUAAUAAUAAAAUAAUCUAAACUAAUCAGUGUUUGACUGAAAUAAAUAAACAAAGUUUAACUAAAAGAUUAUUUUUUAAAUUUGACUGAAAAUAGGAGUCAUACUUAACAAAUCUCCACCUUGACUCAUAUUUCUACAAUGCCAUCUUUGCCAAAGCCCGCUACGAGCCUAUCUUGAACUAUACAGGGAAUUAACUGAGUCGAAUCUGUGCUUAGAAACUGGAAGACUUCUAGCUUUCGACUUGUACACUGCCAAAUCAAAACUAACCCGAGUUUGAUUUUCACGAACACAGUGUCCUAACUUUUCAAAACCUGCAUCCAAAAGAGAACCUCUCUUCAAUGAAACGGUCAUACAUUUUUCCCUCCUAUGACCAAGUUGCCUCUGCUCCAAACGAGUUGACUUCGACUCUGUAACAGACGAGGGAUGUCCGAUUUCACCGGUCAUUGUAGAACCUUCCAGAAUAUAAAGACUGCCAUUUCUUUUACCUUUGAACAAAAUGAGAGCUCCACGAGAUACUUUAAUGCUGCUCGACUCGAUGUUGAUUCUGCAUCAUUUCAAGUCUAAAAUACUCAAGGAGAUGAGAUUCUUUCGUAAAUUAGGUACAUACCUGACAUCUGAGAGUGUCCUAAUCGUCCCAUCGUGUGUCCUAAUUUUAACAGUACCAACACCAAUUACCUUACUAGAUGAAUUGUUUCCCAUGCGCACAACUCCACCUUCAACCGAACUGUAUGUGGAGAACCAUUCUCUAUUGGGACACAUGUGGAAAGAACAUCCCAAAUCUAGGAUUCACUCGAACGUGAGCUUGGAGUUAUCACUCGUUGACACUAACAAGAAAUCAUCACCACUUUCAUCGAUCAAAUUAGCACUAGCUACAUCUUCCUCGUUACUCUCAGCAGCUCCUUUAUUUCGCAGUUUAUAACAAUUUGCUUUGACAUGACCUAACUUUUUACAAUAGUGACACCUUUUGUCUCGUUUCUUUGAUGCCAUCAAAAUGGAAGAUUGCCUAUCUGCCUUGCUAUCUAAAUGAAACUCAUUUUCGAGUUUGUCUCUACUCAACAAAUGACCCUUCACAUCUUCGAACGAGAGUUUGUCUCUGCCAUAGGGUCUCCUUGAAAGAUUUGUAUGAAGGGGGUAAAGAGCAUAAUAAUAGCAUAGCUUGAUCUUCAUCAUCAAUAUGAACCUCAAAGUUCUUUAAAUCAUUUAAAAGAAUAAUGAAUUGACUGAUGUGAUCUCUAAGAAGCUCACAUUCGUUCCUGCGAAACGUAAAUAGACGUUGUUUCAACAGUAAACGGUUAGCCAGAGACUUAGUCGCAUAAAGAGUUUCUAACCUUUUCCAUAAGGUGGAUGAGGUCUUCUCCAUCAAUACCUCCUGCAAUACCGUAUUCGCGAGGCACAACUGGAUUGCAGACAAGGCAUUUUCAUCAAGCUCUUCCCAUUCUGUUUUAUUUAGAUUCUCAGGCUUUUUUUGGUAACAACCUUUUUCAAACCGGAUUGAACUAGAAUUGCCAUCAUCCAAACUUGCCAUAGAUUGAAAUUGGUCUCACCAUCGAACUUCUCAAUUUCAAACCUUGUUGUUGCCAUAUCUGAAUGGGCUGAUUUAUGAAAAUUGAACUAGCUCUGAUACCACUUGUUAGGGAUCGACCCGAUUAAGCAACAAGUAACAAAAAAGGAAAUAAAUUGAGAAAUUGAACACACAAAUUUAACGUGAAAAAAACCCUCCGAAGAGGAUAAAAAAACCACAGGAAAAGAUAAAUUUACUAUAAUGGCAAAAGAACGAAGAGUACAAAAGAUGGAGAUAAAACUAAACUCCAAAAACCCGAAAAUAAAGAACCCUCAAAACGUAAACACAAAAUUCUCUAAAUGUGUUAUGAGUUCUAAUCUCUAAUGUGUGUCAACUAAGGUUGUAAAAGAGCCUAUUUAUAGGCUAAAUUCAUAUGUCAAAUAAUAAUAAAAUAAUCUAAACUAAUCAGUGUUUGACUGAAAUAAAUAAACAAAGUUUAACUAAAAGAUUAUUUUUUAAAUUUGACUGAAAAUAGGAGUCAUACUUAACAAAUCUCCACCUUGACUCAUAUUUCUACAAUGCCAUCUUUGCCAAAGCCCGCCACGAGCCUAUCUUGAACUAUGCAGGGAAUUAACUGAGUCGAAUCUGUGCUUAGAAACUGGAAGACUUCUAGCUUUCGACUUGUACAUUGCCAAAUCAAAACUAACCCGAGUCUGAUUUUCACGAACACAGUGUCCUAACUUUUCAAAUCCUACAUUGAAAAGAGAACCUCUCUUCAAUGAAACCGUCAUACAUUUUUCCCUCCUAUGACCAAGUUGCCUCUGCUCCAAACGAGUUGACUUCGACUCUGUAACAGACGAGGGAUGUCCGAUUUCACCGAUCAUUGUAGAACCUUCCAGAAUAUAAAGACUGCCAGUUCUUUUACCUUUGAACAAAACGAGAGCUCCACGAGAUACUUUAAUGCUGCUCGACUCGAUGUUGAUUCUGCAUCAUUUCAAGUCUAAAAUACUCAAGGAGAUGAGAUUCUUUCAUAAAUUAGGUACAUACCUGACAUCUGAGAGUGUCCUAAUCGUCCCAUCGUAUGUCCUAAUUUUAACAGUACCAACACCAAUUACCUUACUAGAUGAAUCAUUUCCCAUGCGCACAACUCCACCUUCAACCGAACUGUAUGUGGAGAACCAUUCUCUAUUGGGACACAUGUGGAAAGAACAUCCCAAAUCUAGGAUCCACUCGAACGUGAGCUUGGAGUUAUCACUCGUUGACACUAACAAGAAAUCAUCACCACUUUUAUCGAUCAAAUUAGCACUAGCUACAUCUUCCUCAUUACUCUCAGCAGCUCUUUUAUUUCGCAGUUUAUAACAAUCUGCUUUGACGUGACCUAACUUUUUACAAUAGUGACACAUCUCGUUUCUUUGAUGCCAUCAAAAUGGAAGAUUGCCUAUUUGCCUUACUAUUUAAAUGAAACUCAUUUUCGAGUUUGUCUCUACUCAACAAAUGACCCUUCACAUCUUCGAACGAGAGUUUGUCUCUGCCAUAAGGUCUCCUUAAAAGACUUGUAUGAAGGGGGUAAAGAGCAUAAUAAUAGCAUAGCUUGAUCUUCAUCAUCAAUAUGAACCUCAAAGUUCUUUAAAUCAUUUAAAAGAAUAAUGAAUUGACUGAUGUGAUCUCUAAGAAGCUCACCUUCGUUCCUGCGAAACGUAAAUAGACGUUGUUUCAACACUAAACGGUUAGCUAGAGACUUAGUCGCAUAAAGAGUUUCUAACCUUUUCCAUAAGGUGGAUGAGGUCUUCUCCAUCAAUACCUCCUGCAAUACCGUAUUCGCGAGGCACAACUGGAUUACAGAUAAGGCCUUUUCAUCAAGCUCUUCCCAUUCUGUUUUAUUUAGAUUCUCAGGCUUUUUUUGGUAACAACCUUUUUCAAACCGGAUUGAACUAGAAUUGCCAUCAUCCAAACUUGCCAUAGAUUGAAAUUGGUCUCACCAUCGAACUUCUCAAUUUCAAACCUUGUUGUUGCCAUAUCUAAAUGGGCUGAUUUAUGAAAAUUGAACUAGCUCUGAUACCACUUGUUAGGGAUCGACCCGAUUAAGCAACAAGUAACAAAAAAGUGAAAUAAUUUGAGAAAUUGAACACACAAAUUUAACGUGGAAAAACCCCUCCAAAGAGGAUAAAAAACCACGGGCAAAGAUAAGUUUACUAUAAUGGCAAAAGAACGAAGAGUACAAAAGAUGGAGAUAAAACUAAACUCGAAAAACCCAAAAACAAAGAACCCUCAAAACGUAAACACAAAUGGGUGUCAACUAAGGUUGUAAAAGAGCCUAUUUAUAGGCUAAAUUCAUAUGUCAAAUAAUAAUAAAAUAAUCUAAACUAAUCAGUGUUUGACUGAAAUAAAUAAACAGAGUUUAACUAAAAGAUUAUGUUUUAAAUUUGACUGAAAAUAGGAGUCAUACUUAACAUAUUUCAUGCCUUUAAACCUAACUAAUUGUUUGUACUUAAGUAUAUUUUUUUCUUUUUAAGACAUUGUAGCGAACAUUUUUAAUAUUGUAUUAGGACAUAGACUAUGUUGGAAUUAGGUGCUUUUAAUCUCUUGUGGUGGAGUUUUUGUGUGUUGGUAUGGCAGGAACAUGUUUUAAAACGAGGAAAUAAAUGAGUGAAGUUUUGUUAGGGAAAAAGUGCAAACAGUUUGCCAACACAGAUGUCGUGGCAAUGCCGGGAAGACCAAGUUCAUAUUUUUUGUGCAGCAAUCCCGGUUCAAACUCAAACUUGUAUGAGAUAAAUCCCCCUAAAAGAGGAGAAGAUAAUCACAUUGCUGUUAGCUGACCCUAGCCUAAUCUAUCUAUUAAAGCCAAUGAAAAGGAUCUCACAAAGGGUAGAAAAAAGUGAGAGAGAUCCUUAGGGAUGAAUAAGGGUUUGGCUGCGCAAAAGAACAGAAGUCGAAGGGAAUCAUUCUUAGCCAUCACAGAACGUUGUGCUGCCAAAGUGUGGACUAGGCAAGUGAAAGAUGUUUCCAAAAGUUCUUCUGUUAUUUCCAUUAGUGUUCCUUCCAAAGAUUGAAUUGAAGUAGUUGAACACAAUGUCGGAUAAUAUUUUGGUUUGAAAUUUUAUUUCCCAGCUUAUGAGCUAAAUCUCAUAAGGUUAGGAUUACUUUCGAUGAAACCUUAAAUUUUUUUAUAGAUGAAGUAUAUAUCUAAUUUACAUUAUUGUUUCAUUUGAUUGUUCUAAUUUCUUAAUUAAAAUGCAAAUGAUCUCUAGACAUAGAAGACUGUUCGCAUACUUAUAAAUUGAUUGUAAUUAUAAAAGGGUUGGAUUAAAAUUAAAUGAAAUGAGCAGGUAUUUGAUAGACACUUGUAGUCGACUCUAGACAUAGAGUCACGAUCAUACAGAAGAAGCCCAUGCAAGAUAUCGAAAAAGCCUUUAGACACCAGGCAAGGCAACUUGAGGUUUUUCUCUCACGAGAGGCAGACCAUUUUAGAACUCUUCUGUGUUGUAAAGUAGAUACAAUUUUGCCAAGACAAUAUUGACAAUGAGGGUUGAUUCUGGGUAAUCCCGACCUUCCAAAUCCACUUCGUAUAUCCUUUAAUCUUUUUCAUAAUAUCUUUGCCACAUAAUUAUUAGUUAUUUAUUUGUUCAUUUACAUAAUAUUCCCAUAGUAAUUCUCAUAAUUGCCAUUAUGUUUCUACUCUCGGUUGGCCAUAGCAUUACUAAUUAUUCAUUAAUUCCACAUAUUGAUUACAUCAUUAAUCUACUCAUUGUCAUUGCAUAUUUAUCAUUGACUUUGUCAUAGCAUUAAUUGCAUUUUAUUAUAAUAACUUGACCAAUUUUGUGCCUCAAUCCGAUUUUCGUGGGAACAAUACUCACUCAUCACUUUAUUACUUGAUUCAACGUGUAUACUUGCACAAAUCGCAUAUCAUUUCACAUGCGACAGUGUCCAAUUUAACCUUUUGAGAUAUAAACUCAAACAAACUCAAUUAAUGGCUUUAAUCAACCCACCAAGAAAUAAUAAUUGGCAAAUUGAAGGAUGAAGAAUGAAUUCCCAUGACUCCUUAAAGAAAAUUGAGAAGAAAACUGCUUCUAAAAAUUACAAGAAAUAAUCUUGCACAAAGAAACUUACCCUCAGAGUUGGAAAUUUUAGUAAUGAGCAAAAACAAUUGUGUCUCUAAUGAACAUGAAGGGGCCUUUACAUAGGAUAGAUAAGUACAUCCAAAUAAAAUUUUGAAGUAUAUUAAAACUUUAAUUAAUGUAAGAAAAAAAGUAAUUUUCAACUAAAAUAGUCAUAAUUUCUAUAAUAAUCCCGUCUAGAAAUUCUGCUCACAUAGCCAUCACUAAAAUAGUCAUAAAUUGAGCUCUUGAACUCGAAAUUGAAUGAAUAAAAGUGUGUUUGAAAGUUAAGUAAUAGAUCUUAGAACUCCAUCAAGACAUAUCAAUCAAAAAAUGUCUGGAUCCCAUCCAAAAAGUCAUUGCAAGUUAACUAAUUUUCCAAACUUGAAAAUUGACAGCUUCGGGGAAUGGAAUUUAAUAAAGUUCACCCCAUCUACUCAAGUAUAAACUUGCAGUGGUAAAAAGUAAAAAUAAAUAAUCUAUAGAGAAACUAGUUGAAGAAUUUAUGACAAUUUAUUUAGAUCUUUUUUUCUUCUAGCCUUUGCAAACUUGAAGUUUCCCUUGGUGUGAGAGAGUUGUUCCUUACCCUCUAAGUUAUUUUUUUUCUUUUCCUUUUUUUUUCUUUCUCUUCGAUCUUGUCACCUAAGGGUGUUCAAAUGAUUGAUUCAGUUAAUACCCGAACAAUGCUAUCAUUAACUGAAAUUUUGAAACCUUAAUCGUUAAUGAAACCAAUUUUUUGUUGAAACCUAUUAACCGGCCGGAUUGAUUUCGGUUAAUUCAGGCGGCUAGCCGGAAUUUAUACAUUAUUUUUUUCAAACAAUUUUAAAACAAAGAACAAUCCAUGACAACUUUUUCCUUGUUUUUUAUUCAAAAAUUAUUAAAAGAAUUUUAAAAAAUAACAUAAUAACAACACUAAAUUAAAAACAUAAUAGCAUUCAUUACAUUACAAAGCAUAAUUUCUUUUUUUUUUUACUUUUUGUUGACUUUUUAGUUUAAUUUUAGUUUUUUUUUUCAAAUAUUUUUAGUUUUCAUAUUUUUGUUAAGCUUAUUAUAAGAAAACUUAUAAAUCCAUUAGUUUUUAUAUAUUAGGUUUGUAUAAUGUAUUGGACCUAUCUCUAACAUAUUGGGCCUAUAAUAUAUUUUUAUUGAUUUCGGUUAAUCAAUUAAUUUGGUUAAUUAGUCGAUUUCAAACUAAACUAAUCGAUAAACAAAAUUUUCUAAAACAUUUAACCAACUCCCAACCAAAUUAGAUUCGUUGAUCGACUGCUUAAUCAAAUUAAUCAUAUGGUAGAAUGGCAUGUUUUUGGAAUGGCUAUUUGGCAUUAUUGGUAUAGGUUUAAGUUAUGAUCUAAAGAUGUUGAAUUGAAUUAAGUUUGAUAUGUAUACUAUGAUGUCUUCAUUGGCAUAUUGGUUAGAUAUUAAAGGAUGGUUGAUUUGGUAUGUUUUGAAAAUGGUUCUUGGUAUGUUUGAUCUAAGUUGAUUAAAUGAACUUGUAAUGUUGAAUGGUAUAAUAUUUGUUGUUACAUUAGUUAGUCUUAUAGGUUGAUGGAAUUGGUAUGUUUUAAAUGUGUUUAAAAUGUGUUUUGAUUAUUUAAAUGUUUGUGGAAAUGGUGUGUCUUGGUGUACAAGAUUUGAAAUUGAAAUGGCUUGAUUUAGAAAGCAACUUAUGCUGCACACCGCCUAGGACAUGGGUUGUCACAUGGCUGUGUGUCAUUAUUGUUUUAGGUACAGGUUUCACACAAUCUAAGACUUGGCUCACGACAUGGCUACGUAUCAUAAGUCAAUAUGUAACACGGUUUGGUACAUGGCCUGUAACACGACCGUGUGUCCAAACUUCAAAUGUUUACACGUCCUGGGCUAUGUCACACGACUUGGCCACAUGGCCGUGUGACCCUUGUUUUAAAGUUUUCUGAAAUUUUCUAUUUUAUUUCAAAUUGAUCCUAGAAUAUUCUCAAACUAUUUUUAGGGCCUCGUAGGUUCAAAUUAAGGCCCACAAAUGUAUGCUUGCUAUAAUUAAGUUGUGCUAAUUAAUGUUAUUAAUUAAAUGGCAUGAAUAUUUUAUUGUAAGUUAAAUUUUUUAAUUUGUCCUAUAAUGCUCCGUAACCCAAAUCAAGUGACGGAGAUAGGUUUGGGUGUUACAAUUUUGGACUGUAAAUUUGUUUUGAGGCUUUGUUCUUUGGUUCUUGCAAUGUUUGUUGGAUUUUAGUGUUUUAACAUUAAACUGCAAAAUUGUAUGAUUUAACAAACUAAAAAUUAGGUUUUCAAAAUUAAAACUCUAGAAAUUUUCAUUACAAAGAUUAAGUAAUCACUUAAGUGUUUUCCCAUAAAUAAUUAAAUGGUUUUUAACAAAUGUUUUCCUUAGUUUUGGGAAUGAUAUGCCAACAUUAGUACUUUUAAAACACAUGGUUUUAAAUAAGGGUUUUCAAACUUUGGUUUUUUAACAUUUGUGAGAGGUUUUUGCCAAAUUUUAUGUUUUCAGAAUGUGUAACUAAGUUGAUUUUAAUUAGUUUUUCAACGAGUUUAUGUAAUUCCUCAAAAAUCCAGUCAUAGCAUCUAGGCCGGGUUUGGGGUGUUACACUAACAUUACUAAAGUUAAUCUUAAUCUAUUUAGUCUAGAUCUAAACAUUAAUAUUCUCUUCAAAGAAAAUCAAGAUUAUCAAAUUAUUACAACUUGGUAGGCAGACAAUCUUAUUAAAUAUGCAUAAAAGUUAAUAAAUAGUUAGCGAAGAUUGAAACAAUCAAAGAAAAAAUAAAUUAAUUAACUAAGAAAUAGGAUCCAUUAUUGUUCCAAGAAAAUAGAGUUUAGUUCAUAUUGAUUGAGAAAAUCAAAAGGGAGAUUCAAAAAACACUUGUGAUAAGGGGAACAAUGUCAAUAGAUCAUAUUCAAGUUGUUCGACUCAAGAAAGAAAUAUUUGGAUCUAGCCUGAAAAGAAGAAACCAAACAGAUUUAGGAAAAAAAGAAAAAAAAGAAAAAAACUUAAAUAAUAAAUUUAAGAAUAAAUAAUAAAUAUUAAAAAUAAUAAAGAAAUAAAGAAAUUAUAGAAUAAAUAGUGGAAGAUGGAAUGAAUAAACGAUGGAUAUGACAUAUAGAUGGAUAAGUGUCUGAUAAUUCUUGAAAAGAGUUAUAUUUCAUGCCUUUAGACCUAACUAAUUGCUUGUACUUAAGUACAUUUUGUUGCAUUUUAAGAUAUUUUAGUUAGUAUUUGUAAUAUUGCAUUAGGAUUUAGAUUGUGUUGGAAUUAGGUGUUUUUAAUCACUUGUGGUGGAGUUUUUGGUGUGCUGGUAUGGCAGGAACAUUAUUUAGAACGAGGAAAUAAAUGAGUGAAGUUUUGCCAAUGCAAAAGUGCAGAUAGUUUGCCAGCACAGAUGCCGUGGAAAUGCCGAGAAGACCAAGUCAACAUUUUUUUGUGCAACAGUCCCAGUUCAAAUUCAAACUUGUACCAAAUAAAUCUCCCUAAAAGAGGAGAAGAUAAUCACAACUUGUUAGCCAACCCUAGCCUAAUCUAUCUAUAAAAGCCAAUGAAGGGGAUCUCACAAAUGGCAGAAAAAAGUGGGAGAGAUCCUUAGGUGUGAAUAAUGAUUCAGCUGUGCAAAGGAAAGGAAGUCAAAGGCAGUCCCUUUUAGCCAUCACAGGACGUUGUGCUGCCGAUGUGUGGACUAGGCAAGUGAAAGUUGUAUCCCAAAGUUCUUUCGUUAUUUCCAUUAGUGUUCCUUCAAAAUAUUGAAGUAGUUGAACACAACGUUGGAUAAUAUUUUGGUUUGGAAUUUUAUAUCCCAGCUCAUGAGCUAAAUCUCGUAGGGUUGAGAUUACUUUUGAAGAAACCUUAAACUGCUUUUAUGAAUGCAAAUGAUCUCUGGACAUAGAAGACUGUUCGUAUACUUAUAAACUGAUUCUAAUUCUAAAACGGUUGGAUUGGUUGGAUUAAAAUUAAAUGAAAUGAGCAAGCAUUCGAUAGACACUUGUAGUAGACUCUAGACAUAGAGUCACGCUCAUACAAAAGGAACCCAUGCAAGAUAUCUAAAAAGCCUUUAGACACAGGCAAGGUAACUUGAGGUGUUGCUCUCACGAGAGGCAGGCCAUUUUAGUACUCUUCUGUGCUUUAAAGUAGAUAUGAUUUUGCCAAGGCAUUAUUGAAAAUAAGGGUCGAUUUUGGGUAAUCUCGACCUUCCAAAUCCACAUCGUAUAUCUUUUAUUCUUUCCCAUAGUAUAUUUGCCACAUCAUUAUUAGUUAUUUAUUUGCUCAUUUACAUAAUAUUCCUAUAGUAAUUCUCAUAAUUGUCAUUACAUUUCUACUCUCGAUUUGGCACAACAUUACCAGUUAUUUAUUAAUUCCACGCAUUGCUUACAUCAUUACUCUACUAAUUACCACUGUAUAUUUACCAUUGACUUUCCCAUAGUAUUAAUCGUAUUUUAUUAUAAUAACUUGACCAAUUUUGUGCCUCAAUUCGAUCCUCAUGGAACGAUACUCACUCAUCACUUUAUUUGUAACAUCCCAAACUUGGAUUAGAAGUUAUGACUGAAUCCGGCGAUAUCACAUGGAAAGGGAUUUGAAGACAAGAUUGUCGAGUUUAAAAACCAUUAUAGAAAGUUAGCUUUUAUUUAAUUCGGGAAAAAAACUAGUUGAUUUUCUUUAAAACUUGUCUCUUAGCAGAAGCUUUUGUAACCAAUUAAUUUACGAAAAAUCGUUUCUAUUUACAAAAAACUUUAGUAGGAAAAACUAUGUUUUGUGGAGUUGCAGUUUUUAAAAGAAACCCAUAAAAAAAGUAUAAAGUCCCAAAUUUAAAACCAACCAGUCCAUAGUCUAGAAGAUACAUCAAAAACUCCAAANNNNNNNNNNNNNNNNNNNNNNNNNNNNNNNNNNNNNNNNNNNNNNNNNNNNNNNNNNNNNNNNNNNNNNNNNNNNNNNNNNNNNNNNNNNNNNNNNNNNNNNNNNNNNNNNNNNNNNNNNNNNNNNNNNNNNNNNNNNNNNNNNNNNNNNNNNNNNNNNNNNNNNNNNNNNNNNNNNNNNNNNNNNNNNNNNNNNNNNNNNNNNNNNNNNNNNNNNNNNNNNNNNNNNNNNNNNNNNNNNNNNNNNNNNNNNNNNNNNNNNNNNNNNNNNNNNNNNNNNNNNNNNNNNNNNNNNNNNNNNNNNNNNNNNNNNNNNNNNNNNNNNNNNNNNNNNNNNNNNNNNNNNNNNNNNNNNNNNNNNNNNNNNNNNNNNNNNNNNNNNNNNNNNNNNNNNNNNNNNNNNNNNNNNNNNNNNNNNNNNNNNNNNNNNNNNNNNNNNNNNNNNNNNNNNNNNNNNNNNNNNNNNNNNNNNNNNNNNNNNNNNNNNNNNNNNNNNNNNNAGUUCUACACUUACGCCCAUAUAAUGCUUCAUACGGUGCCAUUCGUAUACUUGACUGAUAGCUAUUGUUAUAAGCAAAUUCAACCAAUGGUAGAUAUUUCUCCCAACUGCCUUUCAAUUCUAAAAUACAACACCGGAGCAUAUCUUCAAGAAUUUGAAUCACUCUUUCCGAUUGCCCGUCAGUUUGCGGAUGAAACGCAGUACUGAAAUUCAAUUUUGUACCCAAGGCUUCCUGCAACUUUAUCCAAAACCUCGAAGUAAAUCUCAGAUCUCUAUCCGAUAUAAUAGAUUUAGGCACCCCAUGUAAUCUCACUAUUUCAGCAACAUAUAAUUCUGCCAACCUGUCAAGUGAGUAAUCAAUGCGUAUCGGAAUAAAAUGAGCCGACUUUGUCAAUCUAUCAACAAUUACCCAAAUAGCAUCUUUCUUCUUUGGAGUUAAAGGCAAUCCUGUCACAAAAUCCAUCGUAAUACUAUCCCACUUCCACUCUGGAAUCGUUAUCGGUUGAAGUAAACCCGAUGGUACUUGAUGCUCAGCCUUCACUUGUUGACAGAUUAAACACUUUGAUACAAAUUCCGAGAUAUCCUUUUUCAUGCCUGGCCACCAAUACAACUUCUUCAAAUCAUUAUACAUUUUCACACUACCCGGAUGAACUGACAAGUCACCACUAUGUGCCUCACAUAAAAUGGUCUGAAUUAACUCAUCAUUUCUUGGUACACAUACUCUAUCCCGGAACAUCAAGCAAUCAUCUGAACCAAUUUGAAAAUCUGAGUCAACACCUGCUUCACACUGAGCUCUCUUGGCUUGCAAUUUACUGUCAUUCUUUUGAGAUUCCCGAAUUUACUGAAGAAAUAAUGGUCUAGCUCUCAAUUCAACCAACAUUGAGCCAUCAUCAGAUAAAGUUAACAUCGUACCCAUAGCUCUCAAAGCAAAUAAAGAUUUUCUGCUCAAGGCAUCAGCAACCACAUUAGCUUUCCCGGGGUGAUAAUCAAUCACUAGCUCAUAGUCUUUGAUUAGCUCGAGCCAUCUUCGUUGCCGCAAAUUCAAAUCUUUUUGGCUCAUCAAAUACUUCAAACUCUUAUGAUCAGUGAAGAUUCGGCACUUUUCACCAUACAAAUAAUGACGCCAAAUUUUUAAAGCAAAAACAAUGGCAGCCAAUUCUAAAUCAUGCGUCGGAUAAUUCUUCUCAUGCGGUUUCAAUUGUCUCGAAGCAUAAGCUAUUACUUUGCCCUCUUGCAUUAACACACACCCAAGACCAUUCAACGAUGCAUCACUGUAAAUUACAAACUCCUUCCCGGACUCAGGUUGCACCAACACUGGCGCCUCAGUCAAUAAUGCCUUCAACUUUUCAAAACUCUGUUGACAUUUAUUGGUCCAUUCAAACUUGACAUUCUUCUGCAGUAACUUAGUCAUAGGAGAAGCAAUCAUCGAAAAUCCCUUGACAAAGCGUCUGUAAUACCCAGCUAAGCCCAGAAAGCUUCUAACUUCUGUCACAUUCUUUGGUGGCUCCCAAUCAACAAUUGCUGAAAUUUUGCUUGGAUCAACCCGAAUACCUUCACUUGAAACUAUAUGUCCCAAGAAUCCAACCUCACGAAGCCAAAACUCACUUUUGCUGAAUUUAGCAUACAAUUUCUUUUCUCUCAGAAUCUGCAACACAGUUCUUAAAUGUUCUGCAUGCUCAGAUUCAUCCCGAGAAUAGAUUAAAAUAUCAUCUAUGAACACCACCACGAACUUAUCCAAGUACGGCCGAAAAAUUUGGUUCAUCAAGUCCAUAAAAAUAGCUGGAGCAUUUGUUAACCCAAAAGGCAUUACCAGAAAUUCAUAGUGUCCAUACCUUGUUCUAAAGGCGGUUUUCGGCACAUCAGACUCUUUAACUCUUAACUGAUAGUAACCAGACCUCAAAUCAAUCUUAGAAAACACUGUUGCCCCUUUUAAUUGAUCAAAUAAAUCAUCAAUUCUCGGCAAAGGAUACUUGUUCUUUAUAGUCACCUUGUUGAGCUGACGAUAGUCAAUACAAAGUCUCAUAGAGCCGUCCUUUUUUUUCACAAAUAACACAGGAGCACCCCAAGGAGAAAAACUCGGUCUCACAAAUCCUUUAUCUGUCAACUCUUGUAACUGAGCUUUUAAUUCCUUCAACUCAGUCGGAGCCAUUUGAUACAGUGCAAUAGAAAUCGGUGCAGUACCAGGUAACAGAUCAAUAGAAAACUCAACUUCUCUAAUCGGAGGUAACCCAGGCAAUUCCUCUGGAAAUACAUCUGGAAAUUCACAAACUACCGGCACUGAUUCAAGCUUCGACCCAGUAAUAUCCGUGUUUAGCACAUAAGCAAGAUAAACUUCACAUCCCUUUCUCAAGUAUUUCUGAGCAGACAUGUGCGAAAUCACCAUAGGCAACUUAUUCGGCUCCUUUGUUUCAACCCGGAGAAUUUCACCGUUUUCACAAUUUAAUUCAAGAAUUUUCUGUCUACAAUUUCCCUUGGCAUCAUGCAAUAUCAACCAAUCCAUCCCCAAAAUAACAUCAAACUCAUCAAAUGGUAACAACAUCAAAUUAGCCGGGAAACAGUGGCCUUGAAUCAUCAGGGGACAAUUCUUGCAAACCUUAUCGACUAAGACAUAUUUGCCUAAAGGAUUUGAUACUUUAACUACAAAUUCAGUUUUUUCAACAGGCAAUUUCUUACUAGACACCAAAUUCAUGCAUAUAUAUGAAUGAGUAGAGCCGGGAUCAAUCAAAGCAAUAACAUCAAUAUCAUGAAGAGAAAAUGUACCAGUAAUCACAUCGGGAGAUGAGGCAUCCUCUCGAGCGCGUAUAGCAUAAGUCCUAGCAGGCGCUCUAGUUUCUGAUCCUCCAGCUGUAUCUUUUAUCACACUCUUACCACUGGCUUUGCUUCCCACAUUUCUCGGUGGUCUGCCUCUACUGACAACAUCACCCGAUCCAGCUCUUUGUAAUCUUUCUUCUUCUAUUCUCUCAGGGCAGUCUUUUACAUAAUGCUCUUGGGAACCACAUCUGAAACAAGCUCGUUUAAAUCCCCAACACUCACCAGUAUGUCGCCUGCCACACUGUUGACAUUCAGGUCUGGUGUUUCCUACAUUACCCACACUUGCCACUGAGGUAGCUCGAGUUGUAGUUCCGGAAUAUGACCUCCCUCGGUCUCUGCGUGAAUACCCAACUGAACCGGUUGGUCGUGGAUCCAUCCCUUUAAACUUCUUCGGGUGAGAUUGAAAUGUUCUGCCCAUUGACCUCUUCCUUACAUCUCGAGCUUCCAUCUCUGCCCUUCUCUUUUCUCUACUCAGCUCUUCAGCUUUGCAAGCACGAUCAACUAAUACCACAAAUUCUUUUAACUCUAAAAUUCCAACAUGUAAUCUGAUGUCUUCAUUUAGCCCCUCUUCAAAUCUUUUACACAUAAUAGCCUCCGUAGGCACACAUUCCUGGGCAUAUUUACUAAGCCGGACAAACUCCCGUUCAUAUUCUGCUACUGACAUUCGGCCCUGUUUCAAUCCGAGAAACUCUUUGCGCUUCUGAUCAAUAAACCGUUGGCUUACAUAUUUCUUUCUGAAUUCUUCCUGAAAGAAGUCCCAAGUAACUCUUUCUUUUGGAACCACCGUUAUUAAUGUUUUCCACCAACGGUAUGCCGAAUCCUUCAAUAAAGACACAGCACAUUUCAAACAUUCCUCAGGAGUACAAGAUAAUUCAUCAAAUACCUGGAUAGUAUUUUCAAGCCAAAACUCGGCUUUUUCCGGAUCAUCAUCAACAUUGGCCCUGAAAUCUUCAACCCCAUGCUUUCGAAUUCUAUCAACGGGUGGUUUACUUGAUCUCACCAAUUCAGCACUUCGUGGAGCUACGGGGACCGGCGGAGGAAUAGGAGGGGGUGGAGGAGGUGGAACAUUCGGAUUUACACGGACAUAUUCUGUAUACCAAUCACUCAUCAUUCGGAGGAAGGCUUCUCGAGCCUCAUCCUGUCCAUGUGUCUCAUGUCUACUCUCUUCAUGCGCGGUCCCUUGUGUGGGAACCGGCGUGUUACUUUCAACAUCAUCUGCCAUACUUCGAUUAGGAUCCAUUUACUAUAUAAAACAAAAUUUUAAAUUGUCAGAAAUCAUCACACUAUCACAAUAUAUUGAUGGCAUGUAUAGACUGACUUUCACACAUAUUUUAUUGGUCCGAGAACUGACUAAACCGUAGCUCUGAUACCACUAAAAUGUAACACCCCUUACUCGUAUUCCGGCUCGGAACAGAGUAUGAGGUAUUACUAAGUUUUUUAAAAAAAAUUUCGACAGCAUUUCUUCUUAAUUUUGCUUAAACCUCCUGCAAAUUUAAAUCACAAUCCAAUAUAUAUAUAUCAACCAAACUCAUUUAUAAUAAUACUCACAAUUUAACUAUUAAUGAACACCACAUUUUAAAUCAAACCAUAACAUAUAUUUACAUGAUGAUUCCAUAUUUCAUAGGUCGUCUAUACAUGCCAUAAUUUUCCGGAACGAUAGUAGCAAAAUACCCCAAGUGUGAAGGAUAGUGUGGAUGAUUGUCUGACUUCGUUCCAAAUUUCCGAGUUGUCGGAAGUCACUAUAAUCAAGGGAAAAAUAAAAUCGAGUAAGCAUAUAGCUUAGUAAGUAAACACAUGAUAAAUAAGUAAUUACUCACAUAACUACACCAAAAUAUAAACUUAUUCAUGAAUAACUUCAUUGUUUAGGCAAUUUCCAGCAAACUGUUUUUCUGCGUCAUAUUCGCUAAUUUAUUUUUAUCCGGAGCUACAGGGCUCCAAAUUGAGUUUCGUAAAUUUUCCCUGAAACUAGACUCAUAUACCAUUUCACCAUAAAAAUUUCAGAAUUUUUUACCCAGCCAAUUAGUACAUUUUAUUCAUUAAAACUUCCCCUGUUUCACUGCCCAACGGUUCUGACCCUUCCUCAAAAAAAUUCACUUAACUCUCUGUACAAAAUUUUAAAAAUGGUUUCGCUUGUUUCUAUUAAAAAUAGAGUCAAUAAGGAAUCCAGGAAUAUAAAUUUCACACCAUAAUUAUUUUUGUACAAUUUUUGGUGAUUUUCCAAAGUUAGAACAGGGGAUCCCGAAAUCAAUCCAGCCCUGUUUCAGUAAAAUUCAGAUAUCUCCAAAAAUACAACUCUUUUGCUUAUUCUAUUUAUUUCAUAUGAAAAUAGACACAUUCAGCUUCAAUUUCAUAUAUUAUUCAGCUUCCCAUUCAUUUUCCACCAUUUAUGGUGAUUUUUCAAAGUUACCCAUCUGCUGUUGUUCAACACAGUUUAUAACUAAAUCGUUCCUUUUUUCGUUUUUGAUAUUUUCUCCCAUCUCAUACAUGGAUCGAUUUAGUAUCCAACUCAAUAUUUGCCCCAUAAAAAUUUCCACCAUAUGGCAAUAUUCACCUUCCACACUUUUUCGUUGAGCACUCGGAAUGUUAACCGUUAUUGGUGGAUCUCGCACUUAGCACCACCACUUAAUCGGGGAAUCAGCACUUAGCAACCCCUUGGGGGAAUCAGCACAUAGCAACCCCCUUUUUAUUUCAGAGAUACGGUGGAUAUCGCACUUAGCACCACCAAUGAACCGGGGAAUCAGCACUUAGCAACCCCUCGGGGGAAUCAGCACAUAGCAACCCCCUUUCACAUUUCAAAGAUACGGUGGAUAUCGCACAUAGCACCACCAAUGAAUCGGGGAAUCAGCACACAGCAACCCCUUUAUGUACAACAUACUUCGGCUUAUUCCGAGUGUUCAACCCAUAAAUCAUAUAUUGCAACCCUUUACCACAUUUCCCGAUUUAACAACAUUUUUAGGAUAUGGCCAAACAUUUAUUUUAAUUCCAAAUAAAUCUCAACAUAUAUCAAUUAAUGUCAAAAUAAUACAUCAAGUCACGUGUUUACUUACCUCGGUGCAAAAUAUCGUAAUUUUGCACUUCACUUCACUCCACUAUCUUUUCUUUUCCUCGUUUGAGAUAAUCUUCACGUCUUUCUUGAUCUAUAAUAGCAAAUUUAACUCAUUUAAUGUUCACAUUCAUUAAAAUAAUCCACCACCCAACUUUUUGAAAAAUUACAAUUUUGCCCCCAAACUUUUGCAUAAUUACACUUUUGUCCCCAAGCUCGGAAAUUAAACUUCAUCACUUAUUCUUAGGUUUUAUGACAUGCUGAACAUUUUUCCCUUCUAUGGCAACAUCAAAUUCUCACUCUAACAUACACUUAUGAACAAUAAUUAUUUUUACCGAUUAUGCCUAUUUACCCGUUUUCGCUUAAAAUCGCUUAGCAAAAGUUGUUUAACAUAAUUUAUAGCUUCAUAUUCCACCAUAAAACAGAAAAAUAAACACAUUUCACCUAUGGGUAUUUUUCCAAAUAUGAGCCCUAACACGAAUUAUUGCUAGAAUAAGCUAAAUCGAGUUACGAGGAUUCCAAAAAUGCGAAGAACAUUAAAAACAGGGCUAGGAUGCACUUACUAUGAGCUUGAGAAAGCAAAGAAAACUUAGCUAUGGCUUCCUUCAAAUUUCGGCAGCAACUAAUGAGGAAGAUGAUGAUUUUUGUCAUCUUUUUCCCAUUUUAUUUUAUUUUAUUACCAAAUGACUAAUAUGCCCCAUUUAAAAAAAUCUAUUUCUCUCAUUUCUUAUGUCUAUUUUUGUCCAUCAACUAACUAAUGGUCUAAUUACCACAUAAAGACCUCUAAUUUAAAAUUUCAUAUCAAUUAGAUACUUCUACAUAUAGAACUCAACUUUUACACUAUUUACAAUUUAGUCCUUUUGACUAAAUUGAGUGCCCAAACGUCGAAAUUUUCGAACGAAAUUUUUACGAAAAUUUUCCGUGAAAUUGUAGACCAUAAAAAUAUAAUAAUAAUCAUAUUUUCCCUCGUCGGAUUUGUGGUCCCGAAACCACUAUUCCGACUAGGCCCAAAAUCGGCCUGUUACAUAUAGGCUAUUAAAAUGGUGAAAUUAUAUUUUUACAAUAGUAAAAAUUACAAUUUAAUUUCACCCCUAAAAGGAUUUUUUGGCUUCGACCCUAAUAAAAUCUUUGGCAAAAGAUUAAAAUAAAAUUAUACCGUGAAUGGAAAAAGAAACUAAGAAAAUCCAAUCUAACAAAGAAAAUAACUUUGUUUAGCAACCUUUGUUUGAUUAAAAAUGUUGAAUUAAAAAUUCCAGAAUAGAUUAAAAAUUAUACCGUGAAUGGCAAAAGAUUACAAUUUUUUUGGUAAUAUUUUAAAAUUCCAGAAUAGAUUAAAAAUGUUGAAUUAAAGAUAAAAUUAAUAACCACAAGUGUACUCAUUACUCACCAUCUCUGUUAAAAAUGAUCGAUGUUGUUUAGCAACCUUUGUUUGAUUUUCUUCAGCUCAACCACAACAUCUUUCAUAUCUUUUCUUUCUUCCGGUAACUCAGCUGAACAAUUCAAAGCCAACUCCAUGAUAGAUGAAAUACAAUUUGCUUUAACAACAAUGUACUCAUCCUCUCUUCUUAAUAAAUCAACAUCUGCAAUUUCUAUCGCUCCUUUCGGCAAUGAACUUUCCAUCCAAUGCCUUAUACUCUCUUCUUCAACAAAAACAUUACCAGUUGGCUUUUUCUUUGUGAAAGUUUCUAUAAGGACGAUCCCAUAACUAUAGACGUCAGAUUUUAUAGAAACGAUUCCUGCUGAUCCAAAUUCUGCAUUUCAAGUAUAAUUACAACAUCAUUCAUCCUCAAUUAUUUCUAAAAUGCUUAUUCAAAUAUAUAUUCACAUCCACAUGAAACAAAAAUAUAAAAUGCAAAUUAGGAAAAUAAUCAUACAAAAAUAAAAAAUAAUUCACCUGGUGCCAUAUACCCGAUAGUUGCAAGAGUCAUGGUUUGCUUCAUUACUUCACCUUCUCCCAACAAUUUGGCAACGCCAAAAUCUCCAACAUGUGCAACCAUGUCUUCAUCUAGUAAAAUAUUGCUUGGUUUUAUGUCACAAUGAAUAUAGGUGUUGGAUGUCCAUUGUGGAGGUGUUCUAUGCCUACCGCAACAUUUAUCAUUAUGUCGACCCUUUGUAUGAUAUCAAGGAAACAAUUUUCAGAAUGUAACCAUUUCUCAAGGUUUCCAUUAGACAUGUAAUCAAGCACCAAGGCUUUGAAGUCAAGACUUGAGCAGCAAGUAAUGACCUUCACAAUAUUACGAUGAACUAUAUUACGCAUAGCAUCACAUUCAAUGUCAAAACUCCUAAAUGCUCCCUCUGUUUGCAAAUUGAAAACUUUUAUUGCAACUUCCAUUCCAUCUGAAAGCCUCCCUUUAUAUACAUAUCCAAAACUCCCUGAACCAAGCAUAUUGCUUUCCUCAAAUCCAUUAGUUGCUCGUGAAAGUUCAGCAUGUGAAAUUCUUCUCGGUGUCUUCAAAGACAACAAAUCAUCUUUAAUUGGUAGAGCUGUACUCCUUCUUUGGCAUCUUCUAUACAUAAUAGUUAAGACUAUUAAUACUACGACAAUACCAAUUGUUGGUAAACCAUACCUAAAAGCAUGCAAUAUAAUCAUUUGGGAGUUUUUGUGGAUGUCGUUUUUACAAGGUGGGACUAGCAGUCUAGGUGGACCACAAAGUGCAUAAUUCUUUAUGAAUGAUGUGCUAGAAAAGUUUGAAAAACAUCCUUCGCUGGGAAUUUCCCCUUCAAGUCUAUUGAAAGACACAUUAAAAUACUUUAGAUAUAAAAGCUUCUCCAAAGAUUUGGGAAUGACUCCAGAGAGAUUGUUAUUGCAUAAAUCCAAGAAUUCCAAACUAAUCAACCCAUCAAAUGAUUCAGGGAUAUGACCAUGUAGUAUAUUAUUUGAUAAAUCUAAUGAAACCAAAGUUAUAAGACCCCCAAAUGUGGAUAAGAUAUCCCCCGUGAGAAGAUUCCUUGAUAAAUUUAGUUUCAGUAGACUCCUCAAAUUUCCGACAUCAAUAGCAUGUGAAUUGUGAAGAUGGUUUGAUGAUAAAUCUAUUUUUAAGAUAUCUUGAAGAUUCCACAAAGUUGAGGGUAUUGCGGAACUCAGUUUGUUGGAAUCUAAGUAAAGAUAUCCCAAAGAAGUAAUAUUACCCAAACAAGAGGGUAUGGAUCCAUGUAGCUUAUUCAACCCUAAAUACAUCUCGUAUAGUCUCUCCAAAUCACAAAAACUUUCUGAGAUGGGCCCUCCUAAUUUAUUAGAGGAAAGAUCUAGACCUUGGAGAUUUCGCAGUCCUCCUAUUGAUGCUGGAAUGAAUCCACUUAAUUUAUUAUGGCGAAGUUGUAAAAGCAAUAGGUUGGUUAAGUUACCUAUUUCCAUAGGAAUAAUGCCUUGAAGCUCACAAUUAGAGGCAUAAAAGUAUUGAAGGGUUUUUGAAAGGUUCCCGAUAUAAGUAGGAAGAACACCACUCAAUGGAUUUCCUGAAACAUCUAUUGUGCUCAAAUUCCUACAAUUCGUCAAAGAAGAAAGAAAGCUCCACUCAUGAUCGGUAGAAGAUCCUGUGAUCAAAUUAUUGUUUUUGAUUCGGAACCAUUCAAGGUGUCUUAAGUUGCCAAGCGUUUUAGGGAUUGGGCCAGAGAAUAAGUUAUGCGCCAAGUCUAGUUCCUUAAGCAUGGAAGCAUUGGAGAUAGAGUUGGGAAUGUUUCCGCUAAGUUUAUUUCUCCACAAUAAAAGAAUCUCAGGCUUUGGAGCAUUGGUGAUGGGUGGUAAAUUACCUGUAAAAUAUCAUCUUUUAGUAUACAUAUUCAUUGAAUACCAAAUUCACAAAAUAUAUUAUACAUUAAAAUAAAAACUGUAAAACUUUAAAUCAAUUAAGAAUAAAAUUUUGGCAUGGAAAAAUGUGAUGAAAUCAAUUACAAAGUUGAGACAUACUAAGAAGUUUCAAGUAGUAAUUAGUCUUGUGAUUUGUAUAGACAAAACAUAUAGAUUUGGGAAUGUGGCAUCUAAUCAAUCUUAAAAAUGAGACUGGCACUGAAUAAUAAUUAGUUAUGAUUUGGGAAACAAAAAGGUUAAAGCCAUUGUUUUUAAUGUAAACUGAUAUGAUUUUUAUUUAUUGGGUUAAUUAUUUAUUGUUAUUAAAUUAUAGUGUAAAAUUUAACGAUUAUUAUUUGCUCAAAAUUUCUGUAUUUUUCGUAUAUUUGAAAUUUAAUCUUUAUAUUUUUUAUUUUUUGUGAUUUAGUCUCUCUACUUUUUGAAUUGAAAAUUUUAGGUUCAUUUACUAACACUAUUAAAAAGUUUUUGUGUCUAGUAUGGCAUUUUGAAAAAUAAAAUAAACUUGAUAUCUAUGUUUUUAAUUAUUCCAAAUAUUGCUUUACUAUUUCAAGAUAAAUUAUUUGUGUCUAGACUAAUAUCUUAAGAACUAUUGUUGCAUGUUUAAUUAUCUAAAAAAUUAUCGAUUGAGUCUUAGCUUGAUUGGCAUGUGCGUUGUUGCCAAUGUAGGAGAAUGUGGGUUCAAGUAUGUUGAAGUGUAUUAUCUUCUUAUUUAUGAAUUAGGGAGUUGGUAAAGUACUAAAAUUUGAUAUAUUUUAAAAUAUUAAAAUUUAUUAAAAUAUUUUUUAUAAAAAAUGAUUCUACCACAAUAUACAAUUUUAAUAUCAAAUUUUUAAUUUUUUUUAAAAAUGUUAGCGAAUAUAUACUUUAUUUCAAGUUAUGCAAUUUUUACUAGUUUUUAACUUUUUUUCAAAUUUUUAUCGUCUUUUAUAAUUUCUAAUAAUUUUUUAUAAUUUUUUUACAAUAUUUAACAAUUUCUAAAUUUUUUUUAAUAAUUUUAUUAUGUAUUACAAAUUUAAAAAUUAACAAAUUUUUAUAUUUUUAAAAAAAUUAUAUAUUUAUAAUGUAUUUAUUUUUUAUAAUUUUAUUUGAAAUUUUAAAGAUUUUUUUGGUUUGUUUUCUAGAUGAUGAUGCCAUCAUGAUGCUAACAUAUUAUGAUUAGAUAUCUCAAUCUAUUCUUUUAACGCCCAGUGAAUGAAACCAAGAACACCUAAUGUUAAAGUGGGUAAAAACACAUUAAGGACCAAAGUUAAAAAAAGAAAAAGAAAAAGAGCAAUAUGCUGUAGGGAAUAAACUGUGCAUUAAGCCAUUAAAAAUAUAUGUAUAAUAUAUAUAAAUGCAUGGAUUUUGAGAAACUUUUGAACUGAUAAUUAUAUAGUCUUUGUUGUUUACUAUAUUAUUGAAUUUGUUAUUUUAAAUUAAUUUUAUUACUUUUAAGAUUUAUAUAAGAAUUUUGGUUUUACUAAAAUAUUUGCUUAAAUAAGUUCACUUCAUAAGAAAAUUUAGCAUCCUUAUAAAUAACAAUUUUGAUUCUAUUAAAAAACUUAUUUUAAAAAAUUAUAUAAUCAAAAUUUAAAAUUUAUAUUGAAUUACUUUAUACUUAAAUUAUUAUUAGAAACUUUAUCAUACACAUACGUGUAUGAGAACCACGUAUUUAGAACAUAAAUUUGUGUUUUAAAAUAACUUAUGAUAAAUAAUGAAAUGUAUAAUUUGAAACUAUUUAAUAAUAACACAUAGCAUAUCUACCAUAUUAAAAUAAAAAUAGAUUAAAUUGUAAGUAAAACAUAAUUUAAACAUAUGAACACAUCAAAUUAAGAAUACUAAAUGAAUAAAGUUAUUUAUAAUGAUAUUGUUGUCAAUUCCUAAAUUGGUGUCGAGUUAAUCUGUGACAUCAUAAAUUUAAGUGAUAAAUUUAAGGAUUUAUGUAUUGAUGUGGAUUCAAAUAUCACCAUAAGUUUUUUAAAAAUAAAAAACUAAAAUACCUUAAAAUACUAUAACUUAUAUUAAAUACGAAAGAGUAUUUUUGUAAUUUUCCUAACCGAGUUGGUGCCCGGUUGACUCAUGACACCAACUCAAUUAAAAGAUUUAAUAAUAAUAUAGAUAUUCACGUUAAAAAAACAAAAAAAAAGUACUUUAGUUCCAAAUAAUUAUAUAACAAGUAAAUUUAUAAUUGAUGAAUAAAUUUAUAGAUAAUAUAUUUAUAUGAUCUAAUAUAUUAUAUUAAUAUUAAUUAUAUAUCAUCUACAAUCUUUGAAGAUCAAUUUAUUAAGUAUCAAGAAAAGAAAAAAAUGAAAUUGAGUUAACACUAAAUCAAUUUUUAGAUUUUGUACAGAUGAUUUAAUGAUGAUAAAAAAAUUAUUAGCACUAUUUUUGAAUUAACAAAAAAUUAGUGAUAUAUUUUAAUUAUAUUUAUUAUUUAUUAUUUUUAAUAAUAUUUUUUAAAAUUAUAUGAAGUAAAAUUAUACUGUAUACUAAAUAUGGUACAUAUACUUUAAUUGUAACUUGAAAAUUUAUUAUAUAAAUUAAUAUAUUUUAAUUAUAUUCAACCAUUUGAAUAACAAAAUAAAAAAAAACUAAUUAGAAUAAUUUUUAGAAAAAAGAAAAAACAUUAUUUAAAGGCUAGUUAAAAAUCACGUGCAACAGGUGAUAUGAGAAUCUAUGUAUAUAAAUGUGUAUAUAUAUAUCGUUGUUUCAUUUUUUUUUUAAAUAAAUAUAUUUUCCACAUUGGUUUCUUUUCUUGUACAGACAAAGGAUUUCUAAUGAUUUUAAAAAAAAAAAUUUACUUAUAUAAAAUAGAUCAGUUUAUUCAGUAAAAUAAAUCAAUUCAUAUAAAUGUUAUUGUUUAUUAUCAGAUUGAAAUGAUAAAAGUAUAUGACAUAAAUAGAAGAAACAAAUUCAACACAAUGUUUUCCGAGUUUGGAAAAAAUUAAAGUGAAAAACAUACCUUCUAAUUUGUUGCCAUAUAGAGCUAUUACUUCGACCAUAGUUGAAUUAAAAAUACUUGAUGGAAUCUGACCUGCAAACAUAGUUGAAAAUUGAAGUAAAAAACAUACCUUCUAAACUCUUCAACUAAAAAUACUUUAAGCAUAUUUUUUUUCCCAUCAAAUUAACUAUUUUGCCUUGAAUGAAAUAAAAUGCUCUUACUUUUGUUAUCUAUUACAAAUCAAAUUCUUCUAUGAAAAAAUAUUUUAAAUUAAAGAAACAAAGAAAAUUCAAUAUCUUCUAAGUAAAGCACUUCAAGCUUGGGAAGAUCAUUAGGCAAACUACCUGAUAUGCCAGUGUUGGAGAGAUCAAUGAUCUUCAGAGAAGAAAUGUUGAAGAUCGAAGUUGGAAUCUGACCUGUGAGGCCUUUAAUUUCUUUAAUACUAAGCAGCUCCAAACCAAGAAGAUUACCGAUUUCCUCAGGAAUUUGACCUGCACACAUAUUUAGUCGAAAAAUCAAGAUGUCAAACUGCCUAUAUUGUUAGCAUAAGUCAAAGAGGUUUUCGUUUCUGCUCUACAGUAAUUUGGAGAUGUUAGAUUUAAUAUAUUUCAGCAUAUGUUUUUCAUCAAAUGAAAUAAAAAAGUUUUUCCUUUUGUUAUCUAUUAAAAAUCAAACUCUUUUAUAAAAAAAUACUUUAAAUUUAAGAAAUCAAGGAAAUUGAUUACCUUCUAGAUUAUUAAACCCCAAAUAUAAUUUCUGGAGUUGUGUUAGAUUUCCAAUACUUCUUGGAAUGAUCCCCAUAAAUUGAUUAUAGGACAACGACAAACUUUUAAGGUUGCUGCAUUUGCCCAUGCCAAAUGGAAUGUUACCAGAUAAUUCAUUCCAACUCAGGUAAAGCUCUUCAAGCUUGGGAAGAUGUUGACACAUAUCAUUAGGCAAACUACCUGAUAGGCUAUUGCUGGUGAGACUAAUAGAUUUCAAAGAAGAAAUCUUGAAGAUGGAAGAUGGAACCUGGCCAGAUAAUUGAUUCAAUUCCAAGUUCAAGAUCUCUAGGUUAGACAUGUUAACAAGUGUUUCAGGGAUUGUGCCUGUAAAGUUAUUAUUUUUCAUUUUCAGCGUUCGAACUCUCUGUAAGUUCCCAAGCCAUGAUGGAAUUUCUCCAUUAAGACGGUUGUAGCUUAAUCGAAGGAUCCUCAAACGAUGCAAUUGGCCCAAUUCUUUAGGGAGAUAGCCAUAGAAAUGGUUGCUACUCAAGUCGAGUGAGAGUAGAAGUGAAAGAUUUCCAAGGUGUGGAGGGAUAGUACCCCUAAGAUUCAUGCUUGUAAGAUUCAAAGCUAUAACUCUUUUAUGGAGGAUGCCACAAGUAACACCAAUCCAAUUGCAAACAGAGGUUGAGGCCGUCCAAUUGUUUGCCAAGACAUUUUGAGGACCGGCAAUGUGAUCCUUAAACUCGAGAAGUGCAAACUGAUCGGAGUUGAGAUUCUUGACUGUCAUAGCCAAGCAAAGUACGGAACAUGGUAUGAAUAAAGCUAAGAGAAGAUGAAAGCCAGCGUUGUAGUUCAUGAUUGCAAGACGGAAUAAGGCAAGAAAAUAAAAAAAAGUAGGAAAAGGGAAGUUGAGCUGAUAAAAUAGUUUGGAUGAUGAAGAAAAGCCCAGAGAGCAUGCUUUAAUAUGUUUCAACCCUCGUACACUUGAUAAACUUGAUAAAUUUAAGACUACCCUAAAAAUUAAAAAGGAAAGCAAAGUUUUGAAGAAAUUUCAAAAUAAAUGUCAAGUCUUCUUCUUUAGAAAAUACGUACAAAGAAUCGAAUUUUCAAAAUUUCUCCUAAAUUUUCUUCACGUUACUCCACAUAAUCCAUUAAAAAUACUUAAAAAUAUAUUUUAAUAAUUACUAUAUAUUCUUUUAUUUAAUAAAUUGUUUAAAAAUGCUAUUAGUCCCUGUAAUUUAAAAGUUAAAAAAAAAAUCCAAUCCUCCUAUUUUUCUAAUUUGAAAAUUCUAGUCCAAUAAUUCUUAAUUCCAUUAAAAAAUUUCAGCUUAAUAGGUUUUUUAUUAUCAAUCAUAUGCAACAGUAUAUGAAUGCAGUCUACUCAGCAUAUAUCCAAGUUUACAGAUUUUAAUAGAAAAUACUUACAAUCCUAAUGGUAGGACUAAGUUUUUUAAACUAGAAAAGUGAGAAGACUUAAUUUUUAACUUUUUAAGCACAAGGAUUAAAUUUUAAAUGUUGUCAAAGUACAAGCACUAACAAAAUAUUUUGAUCUAAUAAAUGUAAAAAACUUUUUAAACAAAAUAAGGUUGAAAUAAUCUAUUUGUCCUUGUACUUUGAUAAAAUUUGAGAUUUAGUCCUUAUAUUUAAAAACUUAAAAAUUAAGUCUUAUUGUUUUUAUUUAAAAAUCUUAGUCCUAUCCUUAAUUUUAUUUUAUCAAAAUUGGUCAACUUUACAUAUUAAUUAGGUUUCCCUUAUAUGUCGCGGUAUCAAUCAAAACUUAAUUAAUAUCCAUCAAUAUCCAUCAAUACGUCAUACAUAAAAAAAGCAAGCAUAAAAUACAGUUAAAAGUCCUCCUUUUAUUAUUAAAUGUUUUAUUUUAGUUAUUUUAAUCAAAUAUAUCCAAAUUACAAUAGAGUUAACAUUUAUUGUGUAAAAAAUAUUUUAAAUUUUUUUUUCAAUUUUAGUUUAAUUCUAGAAGAAAUAUUUCAUUUAUAAAAUCAUAAAACUUUAAAAAUAUUAACUCUGUUAAAUAAAAAUUAUUUUUUUAAAUAGUAAAUGUUAACUUUAUUAACACAAAUGGGCCUCAGUAAUUGACAAGCUCUUCCACAAACUGUGGAAGAUUUGGGGAUAAAAGCUUCAAUAAUUAUGGAGUUAUAGUGUAAAUUUGCCACUAUAUUAUAAGUGUAUUGAAAUUUAUCACUAUAUUUUAUUUGAUGUUUAUCAUUACACUUUGAAAAUAUAAGUAAAUUUACCAUUUAACUCAGAUUUACCUUUGCAAGUAAACUUAAAAUUUUAUUUAAUUUUGUCACUAAAUUUGAUUUGUUCAAUAUAGAUUUUGGUGACUUAAAACUCACUAAAUUUGAUUUUUUCAAUAUACAUUUUGGUGACUUAAAACAAAAUUAAUAAAUAAUUAUUCUUUUGGAUAUCUUUUUAAUGUUUAAUAAUAAGUUAAUUUAUAAAAUAUACUGUCAUUGGACACAAGCCUCUAAGGCGGUGAACCACUAAUCAAAUUAAUUUGGAGAUAUCUUUUUUUCUAAAUAAAGUGAAUUUACGAGUUUUGUUUUCUUUUAAAAACAUUUUUAAUAUUUUUGUGGAUAUCAAAAAAUUUUUCAAUAAGAAAUUUUAAUUCACUCGAAAAGUUAGUGUUUUAUUUCAAGGGGUCAUAAUUAAUCAUUAGAUUUCCCAAUUUUAAAUUUUAAAUUUUUCGACAAUUGCGUAAUUAAUAAGUACCAAUUUUGAGUGUUGUAGGGCUAGUACAAUCUUCCUUACACAUAACCGACUCUUAAACCUACUCUUUUCUCUAGAAUUCAAUGCAAACAUCGAAUUUAUCUUUUGAAAAGAAUUUUAAAAUAAUAUAAAAGGUGUUUUUUUAUGACUGAUCACACUUAACAAAAAUUUAAAAAUUAUUAAAAAAAUUUCAUUUUGAAAUUUAAAGUGAUCUAAAAACAUAUUUUUAAGUGCUUUGGACCAUCUGUUGCUGAUUUCCUUAUUAUAUUAAAUGUUUGCAAUCACUCCUAAUAUAUUGUGCUUGAGUUGUGACAGAGCAAAUCGCCAACGUGCCAUAUUGAUCUAUUGAUGCUGAAACUGAAGUUUUUGUUAUAUUGAUAGAGCUUGUCCUUCAACGCAUACAACGUGUUUGUUAUUUUUCUCCCUUCAAAUUGUAUGAUCUUAUUUAUUUAAUGAAUUAAUGAAUUUCCCUUUUAAAAAGAUAUAUUUUUAAAAUUAAAUACUUUAUAAAAUAUUUAAAACUACUUAAAAAAUUGUAAGCCUUAAAACAAUCAACAAAAUAUAUUUUUCUCUAAAAAAAUCAAUAAAAAUAUGUUUAAAAUUUUAUAUGAAAUUAAAUUUUUUUUAACAAUAAUAUAUUUUAAAAUUAUAGUAACGCUAUAAAAUAUAUAUAUACAUAUAUAUAUAUAUUUACUAAUUAUAUACACCUUUCCAUACAUCCUUUUUCUACAUAGAAUUUCAAAAGUAAAUGUGAAUUAAUGUAGGCGUAAGAAGACUUACAGGUAAGUCACCCAACGAAAGUGUCCUAAACCGACUUAUGGAAGAAUCAAACAAUAAUUUUGUAUCGUAUAAUAUAUUUAAUUACAUUUAUUAGUUUAUCAAUCAAAACUUAAGUAGAAUCCAUCAAUAUUUCACACAUCAAAACCCAAACAUAAAAUUCACUUUUAAAUUAUUCGGGGAAUAUUUGUAUUAUAGGAAAUGGAUUAAAUUAGACUUUUAUUAUUAAAUGUAUUAUCUUAAUCUUUGUAUUAGGUAUGAAUGAUAUCUCUUAGAUUGAAGCUAGAGCUAUUCUUGAAUGAUUGAAAUUAAGAUUAAGAUGUGUUGAGAUGGAAAGUGGCAACACAAUGCUGAUUGAUGCUAUUUGUAAUGGGUUGGCUACAAUAAGUAGUGCUGCUGAAGUAAGACAAAUUUAUGAUUGGUGUUCCAAAAUUUUGGGAAGUCAAAUUUUGACAUUUUCAGCGGAAUGCCAAUAAAGUUGUUGAUUGCAUAGCUAUGGCAGAUGGAGGCAUAAUUGAGCAGCUGGUUAUCUUGAAAGAUCCUCUGCAUUAUGUGAGAUACUAGCUUGAAGAAGAUAUUAGACGGUCACUGGUGACUGAUGAUAAUUUUCAUUUGGACUGAUGAGCGCUUAAUUUUCUAAGCUUAUGGUCAACCAAAAAAAAUAAAUAAAUGCGUCUAAAUUGUAAUAGAGUUAACAUUUAGUGUUUAAAAAAAUCUUAAAAUUUUUUUUUCAAUUGCAGUUCAAUUCCAAAAAUAUCGAUGAUGAACCCGAACAUAAAAAUUACCAAAAAAAAAAACACAUCUAUUAUCAAACCAACAAUCCAUGUCUAAACUUAAAUUAACAAAAUUCGCCACCCAACCCAAUACACUAUUUUAUAUAUAUAUUAGAUUUAUUCUAGAUGCGCAUGUUUUAUUAUAUUUAAAAAUUAAAAUAUAUGGUUGACUGAGUUUUAGCUGAGUUGAUAUUGGUAUUAUUGUUAGUGUAAGAAAAUUUGAGUUUAAUCGUGUUCAAAUGUGUUUUAUCCUCCAAUUUAAAGGUUAGGAAAAUAUUAUUGAUAAUUAAAUUAUACCAACUUGAUGAUAUUAAAAAAAGGAUGUAUAAAAAAUAUAAGGGAGAAAAAAAAAAGGAGAAACAUAUUCAUAUUGAUGGGCUCUUUCAAUAUUAGACUUUUUUUCUCUCACAAGUAAAAGUAGUUAUGGAGAGGAUCAUGUAAAAUAAUAGCCUGAAUAAUUUUAAACGUCUCAUCAUUGCAAAAAUGAAAUAGUAGAAAAGAAAGAGUAGACAUUCUAUGAAAUUUAUAAUUCCAACCGUGAAUAAAAUAUAAAUUUUAUGAAUGUGGACAAGCAAUUUUAUUUAACUUUUUUUAAAGUCAUUUUGUUUGUUUCCUAAUCACCAUGAAAUUACUUGUCACAAUUCAUCUUUUUAAAUGAGAAACAUUUUCCACAAUUUGCCAUCACUUUAACAUACACUAACUUUUCUAUGAUUAGUCCUUUGUUUGCUUUGGGUGCAAUCUUCCAACUAGCCUCAUCCUUGGUUUUACUUUCCAACAUUUAGUGUAUUACGAGUUUUGUUUUCUUUAAAAAAUAUUUUUGUGGAUAUUAGGAGAUAAUGAAAUUAUUUUACUAUGAAAUUUUAAUAAAACUGGAAAAUAAGUCAUUUAUUUUAAGAGAUCACAAUUAAACAUUAGAUUUCCAAUUUUUUAAUUUUAAUUUUUUUUGACAAUUGCAUAAUAUUUUGAGCGUUGUAGGAAUGCCAUAACCUUCCCUACGCAUAAUCGACUCUUAAGUAUGAUGGAUCCUAGACCUUCUCCUCUAUUCUUGUACCACAAAUUGCUUCGAGUGUGGGUUCGGAAAAUCACAAAUUAAGCACAAAACCAAAAAUGAUUUUGUAACACCCCAAACCCAGCCUAGUCAUUAUGGAUUAAUGUAGACCUGAGAAGACUUAAUUACAUUUAUUAGUUUAUCAAUCAAAACUUAAUUAGAAUCCAUCAAUAUUUCACACAUAAAAAACCCAAACAUAAAAUUCACUUUUAAAUUAUUUGAAGAUAUAUUUGUAUUAUAGGAAAUGGAUUAAAUUAGUCUUUUUAUUAGUAAAUGUAUUAUUUUAAUCUUUUUAUUAGGUAUGAAUGAUAUCUCCUAGAUUGAAGGCAGAGCUAUUCUUAAAAGACUAAAGUUAGGAUUCAGAUGUGUUGAGAUGGAAAGUGACAACGCAAUGUUGAUUGAAACUAUUUGUAACGGGUUGACUACAAUAAGUAGUGCUACCGAAGUAAGACAGAUUCACGAUUGGUGUUCCAAAAAUUGGAAAGUCAAAUUUCGACAUAUUCAGCGGAAUGCCAAUAAAGUUGUUGAUUGCAUAGCUAAGGCAAAUGGAGGCAUAAUUGAGCAGCUGGUUAUCUUGGAAGAUCCUCCGCAUUAUGUGAGAUGCUAGCUUGAAGAAGAUAUUAGACAGUCACUGGUGGCUGAUGAUAAUUUUCAUUUGGACUGAUGAGCGCUUAAUUUUUUAAGCUUAUAUUCAACAAAAAAAAAAUUAAAUACGUCUCAAUUGUAAUAGAGUUAACAUUUAGUGUUUAAAAAAUAUCUUAAAAAUUAUUUUUUCCAAUUGCAAUUCAAUUCCACAAAUAUCAACGAUGAACCUGGACAUAAAAAUUACAAAAAAAAAAAAACACAUCUAUUAUCAAACCAGCAAUCCAUGUCUAAACUUAAAUUAACAAAAUUUGCCACGCAACCCGAUACACUAUUUUAUAUAUAUACUAGAUUUAUUCUAGAUGCACAUGUUUUAUUAUAUUUAAAAAUUAAAAUAUAUGGUUGACUAAGUUUUAGUUGAGUUAGUAUUGGUAUUAUUGUCAGUGUAGGAAAAUGUGAGUCUAAUUGUGCUCAAAUUUGUUUUAUACUCCAAUUCAAGGGUUAGGAAAAGGUUAUUGAUAAUUAAAUUAUACCAACUUUUAUGAUAUUAAAAAAAGGAUUUAUAAAUAAUAUAAGGAAAAGAAAAAAAGAGAGAAACAUAUUCAUAUUGAUGGGCUCUUUCAAUAUUAGACUUUUUUUCUAUCACAAGUAAAAAUAUCAAAGGUGAUAAUAAUUAAAUUAUAAAAUUUAAAUUGAGAAAAUAGGGGAUUGAAUUUAUAACUUUUAAAGUAUAAAGAAUGAAUUUAUAACUAACAACAUAUUUUAACCACACAAUAAAAGUAGUUAUGGAGAGGAUCAUGUAAAAUAAUGACCUGAAUAAUUUUAAACGUCUCAUCCUUGCAAAAAUGAAAUAAUAGAAAAGAAAUAAGUGUUGGGUGUAGUGGCAAUGUACAUUAUACUUCUAAGGGGAGAUCAGGGUUUUAUACAAGGGAAGAAUUUUAAACCUGCUUUUUUCUCUAGAACUCAACGCAAACCUCAAAUUUAUCUUUUUAUAAGAAUUUUAAUAUAUCUAUAUAAAAGGUGAUUUUUUUGCCGAUCACACUUAACAAAAUUUUAAAUUUUUUUUUUUGAAAUUUAAAGUGAUCUAAAAACAUAUUUUUAAGUGCUUUAGACCAUCCUGUGUUGAUUUCUUUAGUAAUUUGAUUUGUUCAAUAUAGAUUUUGGUGACUUAACACAAAAUUAAUAAAAAAUAUUUUUUCAGAUAUCUUUUUAAUGUUUAAUAAUAAGUUAAUUUAUAAAAUAUACUUUCAUAGGACACAGGCCUCCAAGGCGGUGAACCACUAAUGAAAUUAAUUUUGAGAUACUUAAAUUUGUUUUCAUCAAUUAAGAAAUUUGAAAAAUUGUUGAGACCUCAUGAUUAUCUUUUAUAAUUUCAGGCUUAUCACCAAAAAACUAAAAAACAAAAUCGUCGACAUUAAAUUUGUUGGCAUGCAAUCAAUUUUAAGAUGGUUUUUGGAGUUAUAUAUCACUUUAGCAUGGACUUACUUUUCUACAGUUAGUCUUCUCCAACAAGUUAAAUAUUUCAAUUUUAACAACAUUGACAGGUCUUUGGGGUAGGGUCGAGCAAAACUCAAUAGAAAUAGAUGAUAUAGAUUGAGUUAGCUCGGCCAAGUCGAGUCGACUUGUUCAAAUUAGUUAAAUUAGUAAAUUUUAGGGUGCAGUUAGAAUUUUUUUUUGUUUUGAGAUGCUAAGAUUAAAAAAUUUCAGUUGCUAAAACAAAAAAAUUGUAUUUAAAAAAAGGCAUAAAGAAAGGCUGAAUGACAAAUUGCCCAAAGCCCAUGCCCCUAGCUAUACGCCCCUGGUAAAAUCAAUUUUAAAAUUAGUUAUAAUAGUUGAAGCGAUUGAUUAUUGAGGAAUGAAAUACAUAGUUCAACAAAAUAAAUAAGUUGACAAAUUUUGACAAAAAAAAUCAAAAAUAAAAUAAUAGAAAAGAAAGAGUAGCCAUUUUAUGAAUUUAUAAUUCCAACCGUGAAUAAAAUAUAAAUUUUAUGAAUGUGGACAAGCCAUUUUAUUUAUAAUUUUCUGUGUUUUUCUUCUUUUCCUGACUUUUUUUUAAAGUCAUUUUCUUUGUUUCCUAAUCACCAUGAAAUUACUUGUCACAAUUCAUCUUUUUAAAUGAGAAACAUUUUCCACAAUUUGCCAUCACUUUAACAUACACUAACUUUUCUAUGAUUAGUCCUUGGUUUGCUUUGGGUGGAAUCUUCCAACAAUUAGUGUAUCACGAGUUUCGUUUUCUUUAAAAAAUAUUUUUGUGGAUAUUAGGAGAUAAUGAAAAUUAUUUUACUAUGAAAUUUUAAUAAAACUUUAAAAUAAGUAAUUUAUUUUAAGAGAUCACAAUUAAACAUUAGAUUUCCAAUUUUUUAAUUUUACAAUUUUUUGACAAUUACAUAAUUAAUAAGGUACCAAUGUUGAGCGUUGUAGGAAUGCUAUAACCUUCCCUAAACAUAAUCGACUCUUGAGCAUGAUGGAUCCUAGACCUUCUCCUCUAUUCUCGUACCACAAAUUGCUUUGAGUGUGGGUACGAACAAUCACAAAUUAAACACAAAACCAGAAAUGAUUUAUUACUUUUAAUAGCAAAGUAAUUCUCUCUCAAUAGAAACCAAUAGAAUUGUAAUUCCCAUAAAAUAAAAUUUAUUUUCUGAAAUAUAUUCUCACUACUUUCUAGCAGAGUAACAAUAUUUAAAACUUAUGUCUUGUGUUAAUAGCUUUACUAGCACUAUCUAUUUAUAGGGAGAGAGAUGAGAGUCCUGGUUGAAUUAGUAAAACACGAAUAAUAUUUAUUUCAUAGAAGACAAUUUCAUAGAAAACUUAUGUCUUGUGUUAAUAAUGUUGAAUUUGUAUGUACAAGUUUCUAAUACACUUGUUGGGACAUUCUUUGACUUUUAUCUAUUCUCUCAAAAAGUUAAAGUUCAAAGUUGCAUUAAACUCAAAUAAGAUAACCAUUAGCAAACCAGCUCACAAGCCUGCUCAAGCUAAUCCUACAAGUCAUUCCACUUCAUCAUCAAGCACCAAUGUUCUUGCUUAUCCUUAUGGAAUUAAACAAAAGAAAAAAGCUCUUUAAGAGUUAUUUCAAUAGACUUCUUUAAUGGUAAAUGACAAUCCACUCUAUUGAUGCUUCUUCGCCCAACUCAUGAUUUAAAAGAAGUUUAUACUCAUGGAUCAAGUGUAGCUCACCAGUUAUCAUUAAGGAGAAAAAAGAGUCAAUCAAGUGAAAAUUAUAUUCCAACAUCCCCCCUGAACCAAAUUUUAGAGUGAUGAAUGUCAUGACAACUGACACUACAUUCUUAGAAGAAUAAGUAGAUCUCUAGCAAAAACGAUGGAGAGUCUUACUACAAGCAUAAAAGGAAUGGAUGAUCAAAUUGAACAUCUUAGAGGAAGUAACCAAACCUUUUCCUACGAAACUCAACAUCCUCUUCACAAAGUUGUUGGAAUCAAAAUUGUUGAAGGACUUUAAAGUGUUUCUUUAGAUCAAGUUAAGGAGCUCAUUAAAGAAACCAUUAAAGAUCAAGUCAAAAGUGUUGCUCUACCUUCAUAUACAUACUUGAAGCCAUACAUUUGAAGGGCUUAUCAUUUGAAUAUGCCUGAACAUUAUCCACCUCCAAAAUUGCAAUAGUUUGAUGGUAAAGGAAAUCUAUGUAAACAUGUCGCUCACUUCGUGGAAACUUGUGAUUGCGUCGAUGUAACACCCCACUCGCGACCUAAUCGCUGGAUUCGAGAAGAGAGAUACCGAAAUCAUGUUGGAAAAAUCUAGUUUGAAAAUGGUUUUAUUUAUAGAGGAAAAUAAAAAUUUUGAAAACUGACUCGGUUUGUGAUAUUUAUGGCAAUAAAUGUUAAACUGAAAUCAUAAAUGUGCUUUUGAAUAAGCAAAUCCUUGAUGUUUUCUAGCUUUAAACCAAAUUAUCUUCUUCACUAUUCUCAUACCACAAAAUGCUUUGAAGUGUGGACUUGAACCAAUUGAAUCAAAACACAAAACUUGAAAAAGCUUUUUAUUCUUUUCGGGGUGAAACCUAAAAUUUUCUCUUAUUUAAUAGAAACCAGUAGAAAUGUUUAUUUUGGAAAAAUAUAUUUAAUAGUUAAGAAUAAAUUCUCCUUAUUUUUCAAUAGAGUAACAAUCUCUCAAAGUUGUAUAUAAAUCCCUACUGAUGCCAGAUAUUUUUAAGAAGAGAAGAUAGAACCCUUGUGGAAUUGUAGAAGCUUAUUUCAACUAGAAAAAUAACUUCCUACUUAGAGUAGGAGCAGGUUGGAUGGCAUCCCCUGUCGCCCCUUCGUUUUCCAUGAAGGGAUUUUGGAUCUCUCUCACAUUAGAUCCAACUAUGAGUGCUUUUCGAGCAUUUAGACUCAGUACUUUGUAAUUUGACCCAACUCAAUUCUAUUUUUUUAUUUCCCAAAAUAAACUUCAAUAUUUUAUAUUAAAUAAUUUUCUCAUCCAAAUUUUACCCUCAAUAGAAUUUUUGAGAAAAUAUAUUUAAUAUUUCACAAUUCAACUUGUUCAUUAUGAUCGAAUGAUUUAUUUUCAUUUUCUAGAUUUUAUAUAGCUGAAAAACAUAAACUCAUUCUCCUGAUCAUUUUUAAGUAUAUUCAUCUACAUUUGAAAAUGAAUCAUUUCUCAUUUUCGUUUCCAAAUGAUUUCAUUUCUCCAUUUCGAAGAAAUGUAUAAUCAUUCCUGAAUGUUUGUCAUUUCUUUAUUUCUAUUCAUUUCGAUUCAAACAUGCAAUUCAUUUAUGGUUUCAACGAGCUAGUGAAGGGACUAAUUGGACAUAUACAAUUAGGGCUCAAAUGAUUUAUAUUUGAAGUUUCAACUUUUCAUCUAUUAAUUAUAAACUCAUUUAGUCAUGAAGUCAUUCCACUAUAGUAUCAUGGCUGAGCUUGUGGUUCCCCAAACUUGGACGAGACAGUCUGACCCAAAAUUUGAAACUUACAUUAGCCACCAAAAUGAUUCUCUGUUAAAAUACUACAAAACAGACCAACCAACCAUGCAGGCCACACAUUUUCAACAUAAAUCAUAAUACAAUUAAUCCUAAUUGCAUGCCUUUCUAAACAUACCAUAAAAAAUGAAGAAAAAAAAUUCAUAUUUAGGUCACCUGUGAACCCACCCACUUAGAAACCUAGUAGCACGCAUCAACUUGGCGAGCACCAGCUGAAGACCUCCUCGCGACCCCCAGCUCAUUGCUAGCCCUACGAACCACUAGUUUGCUACUACCCUGUGAUCCCUAAAUAUUGGCAAACCUAGACACACAACUCCCCUUUUAUUUUAAUAGACUACUCAAGUCGUUGGCUCACUUGCGAACUCCUCUAUUUAGUGAACCUACCUAAUAAGGCAAACUCACUAUCCUGACGUACGCAUUAACUAUGGAGAACCUUCUAUUGCUUGGCGUACUCCCUCCUAAUGGCAAACACUAGGUUAUAUAGGGCUAGUCUAUACUAGCGGACUCCCUAUACUUUGGCGAACACUCUAUUAGGGAACUUAUGGUUUUUGGUGAACACACUUUUGUUUGGCGAAACCUACCUUUGGUGAACUCACCCCUAUUGUUGAACACUGUGUUAUGGUAAGGUCCUAUUCCCUUAUGACCCCUGUCUCACACUAUGCUAGGUUGGCUCGUAAGUAUUCUUUCAAUGCGUUAUUACUUCUAUAACAUGCAUUCUAUGUUAUCACUUUAUCUCAACCAAAAAAUUGGUUCAAGGGCGUACCUCAAAAUUCGGCGAACUCCUUGUUUUACAUAAGUAUGUUAGUUCAUCAAUUUACCUAGCAAAAUCAUGUAUUAUAAUCCAAACAAUCAAGCAUUCAAUCAAGCACUUAUAAAGUCUAAAAAUCCAAAAUUUAAAUAGUUCGUAAUAUCUGUUUACAACUUGUCAAAGUUUAUUUAAAAAUUCUAGGUCUACAUCUGAUUCCUUAGGAUAGUCCCACAUUGCCUUCAACUAUAGGGUUUGUAAAAACAAAUCACGUACUCGAAUGGAUUUGCCUUAUGUUGCAUCACUAGAUUGCCAUGCUUCACAACUAGUCACGUGAACUACUUAUCUGCAAGAUAUAUGCAAGGAGUGUGAGCUUAUUGAAGCUCAGAGAAUGCUUAAGCACACAACACAUAAAACACAUCAGUCAUGCUAAAAUUUAGACAUGUUGUAACAAUUCACAUAAAAUAUAAUAAUCAUGCUCGUCAUAGUAAAAUAAUGGCAAUUUGUGAAUAUGAAACAUAAUCAUAUUAUAUAUGCAUUGGAUAAGUAGAUCUUUAGAAUACUCCAAAUGACAUAGAGAGUCAUGCGCUAUCUUUGAUAAGUGUAGUAUGAAUGCUCACACUCUCCAAACACUCCAUACUAUCCUCAAAAUUGGAGCUAAGCUCGACAUUCCCUUAUCUCUCCAAUGCUAUCUUCAGGCCAUAAUGCCCCAUCAUAUAGUAAAAAUGGUGAGUACUCACAAUCCUAUGACAUGCCAAUGAUAUCUAACGGUUUCAAGUGUUCACAAUGCCAACAUAUGAUUUUUAUUUCAUUCACUUUACACAAUUUAAAAGGCCCACAAUAUAGUAGAUCUCACAUAUAAUAGUUCUUAAUAACACAACUCACAUUUUUGUAGGGCUCGCAUGAUACAUAAGUUCGUAAUAACAUAGAUUCGCAUAACACUUAUGGCUCACAUAUAUUUAGGGCUCGAAUGCAACAUUUGGGUUUCCAUAUAUUUAAACUAGCAUAAUACAGGGGCUCGCGUAACAUGUUUUGGCUUGCAUGUAAUAUAGGGCUUGAUCACAUAUAUAGGUUUGCAUGAUCUUAGGGUUCGCAUCACAUAUAUAAGUACGCAUGAUACAUGGGUUCACUCAACAUGUAUAUAUAAACUUGCACAUCAAAGUAUAGGCUCGCAUGCAUUAAGGUAAUAGAUUUUGCAAACAAUUUAGAGCUAGCACACAUCUUAGGCUUGCAUACAUACAUGUUAGCAAGGUCUGCAGGUCACAAAUCGGGGCUCGAAUAACUAUAGAGGCUUGCAUAGAAAUAUAACAGUGUUCGCAUAUCAUUUUAAUCAGCUUCACACAUUAAAUCAGAUAGUUUGUAUGCCUUACUUGGCUUUCAUUAGCAUGCGAACUCUUGUUUUUGACGUAGUGUGUAAGGACACUCACUAGUUGUUUGUUGAUACUGUCAAACCUAUACCACAUUUUGCUUGACUUUUUCCUUGCUUGUAGAUGCACCUUUAUAUUGAGAGGCUUUGCAUAAAACAAGAAAAUAUACAGAUUGCUACUUUCACAAACAUAUUAACCUUCUUAACUAACAUAGCAGCUCACCACUUCUAAAUUUACCGAACUCACCUCAUGUGACCUUAAACUUUUAGUUACUUUAUUUUAGUUCAAUUAAAUCCCCAAUUAUUACUUCCUAAUCUCAUAAGUAAGGUUUAAUUAUAGAUCUAGGCCAUUAAUUUUAGUCAAUUCUUAAAAUCAACAUUUUUCAAAAAAUCAUGCUCAUUUUCUAUCUCAAGAAGAAAAAUCACUUGAUUCAUGCAAUUCCUUUAAGGAUUUGUUAAAUCAAGUUUAUAAACCUCUUAAUUAUGCCAAAAUGAGUUAAAAAUUAUUUUAAAAUCAUGACUUAGCUCACUAUUAUGAGAUUCACCAUUUUUUUAUAUAAACCAAGCUUUAAAGCCAUAGAUCCAAUGAUUUCUCUUGAAACUUCAGGUGCAGUGCACUAACUAUGAAUAAUGUGGACUGAAUAUGUUUUUGGUACUCCAUGGAACUCCUCCUUCAACCACAAAAUCCCAACCCAAUUUAUAUGCAAUAUGUCACACAAUCUCAUACAUAAUCCUAUCUUAAUACUUUUCACAUUCAUUUGACAUGCUCAGCAUGUCCUCAAUAAUCACAUACUUUCAUACUUUUAGAAAAUGGAAACAGUGUUCCAAAGUUUCAAUUACCAUUGUGUUGGUAUCAAUCAAUAUCAUUCAAUUACACAUACUUUAUAGAUUUCCAUUGUGUUUAAAUAGCACCCUUUUCAAUACACAAUAUAAAAAAUAUCUCAUGCAUUUAAUCAUACAUAAGCUUUAUAUCUCAACACAUUAUAUCAUUCAGUCAAACAUUCUCAUAUCUUAUAAUUCAAAUAUGCAAUUACAAACUCAAUCAAACAUUCAUACUAUCAAACUAGCAAUUUUGCCAACAUGUUAAUCUUUUAAGGCUCAAAACAUAAUUGGUUCAGCCACUCACAAAAUCAAUAAUUUGGCUAUUAAGCCAAUCCAAUCAACAAGCUAAUUUAUCACAUAUAACAUGAUAUUUAACAUUUUCAAAAAAAAUUAUAAGUUUAGGACCCACGCAUUAUUUUUUGCUUCCUCGCAACAUACUAGCGAAUCUUCCAAUCUUCCUUAAUAAUUCCUUAAACGAACCUAAACCAAAAUGAAGCAUAAAUUCAAUCAAUUUACCAUUAAGCCAACCCCCAAACACCCACUUGUGAGUUCAAACUGAUCAUUGAAAUUAAAACUACUUUAUGAAUCCAAACUAGUUAGAUUCCUUAAACUGUAUCGAUGCAAAUCGUACGUACAAUCGUUCUUCACCUUUAUGGAUGAUUGGGGGUGUUUGGGUCAGCACCUAAUUCAAUAAUAUACUGGAAAAUCAGUAGUUAAUCAAUGAUUAACUUUCUUUAUUUAACCAAUUCAUAACCUUUACCCAACAACUAUGCCAAAAUAACAAACUAGUUUACAAUUAAUCGUACUUAUACUUCUCAAAUUAUAAGAUUCGAAUGGCUAAUUGAUCAAGAAUGUCUUUUGUAACAUCCCAAAAAUUAGGUUAGAAGAAAUGAGAUUUUGAAACCAAGAGUGGUCAUCCCUCGAUUAUGAGUUUAUAUCUUGGAAAAUUUGACAAGUAAAUUGAUCUGGCUUAAUGGUUAAUUGCUAUGGUUAUAUGUGUUAGGUUCUGGGUUCAAAUCUUGUUUUUGGAAAAUUUGUUACUUUUCUUAAACCCUUACCUUGAAUGUUUGGCUUUUAAGUUAAAUUUAGUCAAUUGAGGUCAAGAAUGAGCCUGUUGGUUUAAUGGUUAAGUUUCUGCAUAAUCCUUGGUCUUGUGUUCGAAUCUCAGCGAAAGCAACAGGGAAUGUUUUGUUUUUGAAUUUUUUAUAAGGUAGUUAGUUUCGAUUGGUUAUUUAAAGCCUUCUAGAAACCUCCGUUGCUUUUACUUUUAUUUUGUUCUUUCUUUUUCUACAAUGUUUUCUAUCAUUUUGUUUUCGAUCUUCAGUUUCCUCAUUUUGGUUUUUUAUUUUCAAGCAACCUUCUUUUUGUUAUGUUACGUUACACUAAUUGUGUAUAAGGUUUAACUUCUCCUUCUAGUUAAUUUGCUGGUUGGUAAGUUCAAUUUAAAGUUUUGGUGUCGAAAGUUCUUUAACAUAACUUCAAUUUUGGAAUGUUAGUUUCUAGUGGUUUGACUGCGAAUUAAUCGUUUGUUAGGGAAUUGCUUGUCGUUUAGGGACCUGAAUUUAUCCUUGUUACUCCUACAUCGAGUUCGUAUCAAGUGGGUAUCAAAAAUAUCUUCUUCUUCAAAUUUUAGUCGUCGAAGAAUAGGACUAUCAAUGCCACAUGGUCAUGCGCAAACUAUCUAGGUACAAUCUGUAUUCUAUUAAGUUUGUUGGUAUGCCUCUGCAUUACUCUAUUGAUAAAGAAUAUGUGACAUUUGAUUAUGUUAGAUUGGUUGUUACUGAUUCUAAUUUAUAACCCUCUGUUUUACUUUAUAGAUGUGGAAUACACAAUAUCUGAAAAUGUUAGACUAAUUGUUACUGAUUCUGAUUUAUUGUCGUGCAUGUGACUUCAUGGCAAAUAUGAUAUGAUCUGUUGAGGUUUGAUAGGUCUAUUUUCCAAAACAUGGACUCUCAUGUCUCCUAAUUCUGUUAUUGAAAGAUAUCAUAACUUACAUGCUCAUCACUCUGAUUCUGCAUAUGUAUGUCAUGACACGUUGCAUGGGAUUUGGGUUGAUGUGAAAGGUAAAAGUUACUGGCAGUUAAUGAUCCGCAUUAUCUGAGGUUUAUCCUCAAUUCUGUUUCGGCAGCUUAGUUGUACUAUAUUAACUUGACCACAUGUAACCGAUAUGGCAGUCUUAACUACAAAAUUCUAGUGGCACCAUCCACAGUUAUCUGUUGGUGUGAUUUGGCUAGACGAGUUCUGAGGGAACUCUAUUUUGGAUUGUAGUGGAGUUUUGGUAGGAUGUUUUCUGAUAAUUCUGCAUUCUGAUCUAUUUGAGAAAUACAACAUCUUCAUAACACAUUUUCUACUUUGCUCUAUUCUGUUCUAUUCUGUUCUGCUCUCUUCGGUUCUAUUCUAUUUGAUUUGUUAUGUUCUGCUUCAUUCUGUUGUGCUUGGUUCUAUUGUACUAUCGUUAUGGAAAUUUUCAUGAUAUUCUCGAUCUAUUCCAUACUAGCUAUAAAACUAUUAUUAAGUUCUUUGAGUUACUUUGAUUUAUAUAAUAAAAUCUAUUUAUUUGUAUCUAAGUUUGGUUAUACGCGACGCUUGGUAGUUCUCCCUUUGUCUUAUCUUAAUCUAUUUAGGUGGAUGUUUUACAUUGAUAUAACUAUGAUUUGAUCUUUUAGGUUGUAAUUUGUUUUUGGACUUGCAUUGCUUUUCUUUUGAUAAUCUCAUCAAUAUUUGUCAUUUUCUUACACAAAAAUAAAAAAACCACCUAAGUCGACUAAAAUGAAUUUCUGGUUUUCAAUGUUAAAAUUUUGAAAAGAAAUUAGUUUUCUACAUGUUGGUGUAGCUCGUCCAAAUUUGACUUAAACUUCUAGGUUGGGUUUGGGGUGUUGUAUCUUUCCAUAAUUAACAUGUGAUUAAUCUUUUAUUAGGAGGAUUCAAGAACUCAACUUAAUGAUGGAAAAAUAUAGGUAAGAACCAAGAAACAAAACAACCCCCUUUCUUGCACACAGGCGUACGCACCACCACCCAUGGUGGCCAAAAUUGGGGAAGAAUUUUAAAAUGGUUUGAAAUCUCAUUAAAAUCUAGAAAAAUACAAUUGAAUUCAUUUAAAAUCCCCCAAAUUCCAGAUCUAAAAAUUUUUCUUUUUAAUUGACAAAAUUAAUUAAGAAUUUGAAGAGAAAAGAGAUCUUCCCAAGCUAGUUAAAAGAAACGACAAUGACACUUUCUUGGCAAUGUUCAAGAUUGAUCUUGGGUUCAAGAUUUUAGAAUUGGGGAUGAUUUAGAUGAGAAAAAAUGGUAGGAAUAGAGUAAAGGAGAUGGUGUACAAUCUUGAUGCAAAAAGAAGAAGAAAGAGUUGGUAAAUGGGAGGUGUAGGCGACGACAACAAUAGGAGAAAGAAAGAAAAUUAAAGAGAAAAGUGGAGAGGAAGAUGGUGAACGGAUAGAGUAGGGAAAAUUUGAAUUAAAGGCUGAAAAAUACAAUAAAAAUUUCUAUUUAUACUUAGGGUUCAAGGGUAUGGAUCGCACAUACAUUUAAAAAAAUAAAGGAUUUUACGAAAUUUAAAAUUUCGUAAAGGAAAGGAUUCGAAAUUGGGACCUCAUUUAAUUUUCAUGUGUUCUCAUAUUUCUUUUAACCAUUAUGAUAUUUUCUCAUUCUUAAAAUCAUUUUACAAGAUUUAGUUUAAAAAUAAGGCAUGCCACAUUCUAGGGUUUAAGGCAAAAUUAGCAAAAUAAUAAAAAUAGUGAGAGAGAAGGGAUUUGAACUUGGGUUUCAUGGAAUGUUUGACUAACACUUAUCCAACAAACCAACACCUUAUUGAUUUCCUAAAAAUGCAUAGAUAAUCUCAAAAAUUAAGGCAUGACCACUCUUUCUCGAUUCACAAACCCGAUUAUGCUAAACCCUAAUUUUUGGAAUGUUACAAGGUAAGUUUGUAGUGUAACAAUAUAUAUGUGUGUGUUUUAGGGAUACGAUUGGCAUGCCAAUAGGGUUAGUAUGCAUGCUUGUACUGGAUCACACUUUGGUUCUUCUCUUUACACUUUGGUGCCUCUCUUUGCACUUCAGUGCCACUGUAUUUGCACUACAGUGCCUCUAUUAGCAUUUCGAUGUUUGGGGGAAACCCAAGUAUCGAAGUCAUUUUGCUGUAGUUCAACAUGCUGUGAAAUUUUAUGUUUAAAUGUUAAAUUACUCUUGAAUUUGAUUUAUAUACAAUGAUAUAUUUGUGUAUCUAUGUACAUAAGCAUUGAUUGCUUUGGUUUGAGCCAUUGUUUAUAUUGAAUCAUAUGAGAUGAAUGUUUUGAUUACUAUAGUUUGAGAAUAAAUAUUAAUUCCUUGGUGUAAUUAUAUGAUUCAUAUGUCUUUAAACAUGUUAUCUAAUUAUGUUUAUGGUGUGUUUAGAGAAUUAAAUUAUUAUAUGAGUAUUUUCCAGGUAUUCAAUGUUGUUUCAUUUGGUUUAAUGGGUAAAUAAAGCUUUAAAGGGUAUGUGAUUACACGAAAUGCACUACGAUAUUUGAGCAAUGAUAUGGAUCAUGAUGAAAUGUUUAAUUGAAAAGGAAAUAUGGUUUAGUAUAUAUAUAUGAGUGGUGAAUUAUGAAAGUGAAAUAUAGAUAUGUUAUAUACCAUGUUUUAUUCAAAUUAUAUAUGAUAUGUUACACCAACUAACCUUGUGAGGUGGUGGGUAUAGGAAAGGAAAGUUGGCUUAAAACAUAAUGAAAUUAUGCCUGCCUUUUUAACAUAAAAUAUUCAGUAAAUUAAGUUUCCUUUAUAUGAACUUACUCAACAUUAGUUGCUUGCAUAGUUAUUUUUCUUUAUUUUAUAGUUCAUCAGAAGCUCGACCGGUUGGAAUCAUGUCAAAGCACGAUCACACUAUCCAUUCAACAUUUUGAUAGCUUUUUUUAUUUUGGUAAAUGGUUAUAAAUGACAUGUAAUAGGGUUUAAAUGUCAUUCUAGUGAUUUGACUUGUUUUGAGUUGUGUCAAACUUCUUGUGAUUGAUGUUGUUAGUUGUUGGCAUGUAAAUAAUGGUGUAAAUAUGUGACAGCCCAAAAUUGACCCUAGUCGGGAAGUGGUUUCGGGACCGCUAAACCGAGUCACCGAAAGGUUUGAAUGUGAUGUUUAUUAUCUAGAAUAUGUAAUAAUGAAUGUGUGAAAAUUUCAAGCUUCGAUUUAGUCGAUUGCAUGCGAGUUUAGUCAAUAGGACUUAUAUGAGAAAAACUUUAAAAUGUGAUAGGUCAAUGCAUGAGGACCUAUUAGUGCAUGUGGAAGAAAAAGGGGACUUGCAUGUCAAAUUCCCCCUCCCUAAUAUGUAGUGGCCGGCCAUGCUAUGGGUGGAAACAUGUCACCAACAUGUUGUGUUAGUGAUGUAUGGUAAGGAAAAUAAAAUAUUAAGCAUGAUAAUUAAAAUAAAUUAAAGAAAGGAAUUAAACAAUGAAAAGGAAGGGUGAUGAAAAAAAUGGUCUCAUCCAUACCCCCCCCCCUUGUUGCCGUGAGUUGAGGAAAGAAAACAAAAAAAAAUGUGUGUUCAUUCUUGAACACCUUUGGCCGAAUAGAGGAAAGAAAGGAAGGGGAAGAGCUUGAGAAAAUCGGCUAUGGUGGUUUGCUAGACUAAGGUAUGUUUGAUGUUGUUCUUGAGAUGCAUGCAUGUUUUAGUAGUUGACUUGAGUUCUAAAAACCCAUGGUUCAAUUUUGUGGAUUGAUGAAGAUUUUGUGUUUUGCCAUUGAUGAGUGCUUGAGCUUUUUGAUAGUUGUUGAUGAAAAGUGAAAGAUAUGUUAAAGAUUAAUAUGUUUUGUGUUGAAGUUUUUGGUGAUUUUGAGUAGUUAGGGCUAUAUUACAAAAACAAAUUUUUGAAGGACUCAAAGGUGAAAUAAAUGAGAUGUAUGGACUUAUAUGGGCACUAGGAAGAUUCGGCCCUUAAGGAGUGUGACCAAACUUUGUGUAUUUUGUGUUUUGUGGAAUAAAGACUAAAUUGUGAAAGUGCGAAAUAUUAGGGGUAAAAAUGUAAUUUACCCAUUUAUGCGUUAUUAGACUAAAUUGAAUGAAAAUAUGUUAAAUUAAGGCUUGGCAAGCUAGCUAUUAAGGUGAAAUGCUAAUGUUAGUAUUUGAUUCGGUAAUAAUCUGUUUGGGGACAGCAGCAGUAAGGUGAUUUUGGAAAAUCGCCAUAAUUUGUAGGAGUUGAAUUAGAAGCUGAGUGAAUUAUGCCAUUAAAGCUUGAAGAGUCUAUUUUCUUACAAAAGAAACUAUGAAAACAAAAGAGUUACCGAUCUUGAGAUAUUUGAAGUAUUGUGGGGCUGAGUCAAAAUGACUACUAGAUUCCCUGUUCUGUUUUUAGAAAAUCAUUAUAAAUUGUACAAAAAUUAUUAUAAGAUAAAAUUUAUAUGCUUAGACUCCUUAAUGAGUCUAGUUUCAAAUGAGAUCAAAUACAACACAUUUUGAAUUCUGUAAAAUGAGAAAUUUGAUUCGUAGUGAAGAGUGGUCAGAAUAGUCAAACAGUGAAACAGGGGAAACUUUAAGAAAAAUCUGGUAUUGAUUGGCCAAGCCAAAAAUUCUGAAAAUUUUAUGGAUGGAAGAUAUAUGAGUCUAUAUUCAGGGAAAAUUAACAGCUAGUGAUUUGGAGUUUUGUAGCUCCAGUUAUAAACAAUUUAGCGACUACUGCUCAGGAAAACAGCUCGUAGUGAAUAUGUGAUUUUGUUGUAAACAUUAAUGAAAAUUUGCCAAUGAGUUAUUUAUUGACUAUUACAAAGCUUACUAUAAUCUAUGUGUGUGAAAGUCAAAUCAAUAUAUAUAUUAUUCUGAAAGUAAUACUUGAAUAGUCGAUUAAUGACUAUUUUAAGUUAUUGAUUUGGCUCAAGGAGUUAAAGGAGGUGAAUCGAGCAAAGGCAAAGAAAAGGUUAUCGAGUAGCCGAGUUGGAACCGUCUUACCCAACACGAGGUAAGUCAUUAAGCAUGUAGUUGGUAUUAUUUCAAUGGUCAUAAUGUUUAUGUAUUGAUGCUGAAUGGAAUGAAUAAAUAUACAUAUAUAUAUAUAUAUGUGCAUGUACGUAUGUGAUGAUGAGAUUGUUGAAUGAAAGAAAAGAGGUAAGAUGUACUGAGUUGUUGAUCUCGGCACUAAACGUGCGGGAUAACCAUUUAUGACCAUGAGAUUGGCGCUAAGUGCGCGGGAUUAAAUUGUACAGCACUAAGUGUGCGAUUUGACUAUGUUGCACUAAGUGUGCGAAAUGAAUAUGAUGCACUAAGUGUGCGAAUUGACCAUGCGGCACUAAGUGUGCGAGUUUGACUAUGUAGCACUAAGUGUGCGAUUUGAUUAUGUAGCACUAAGUGUGCGAGUUGAUUAUAUAGCACUGAGUGUGCGGACUCGAUAUACAUUCGUGAAUCAUUAUGGACACUAUGUGUGCGACACUAUUGAGUCGAUCGCGGACAGCGGAUCGGGUAAGUGUCUUGAGUACAUGGCUAAUAGGUGCUAUGCUUAUACUUGGUGUUGAGCUCGGUAAGUUUGAACCUAUGUGACAAAUAUACUUGAAGUCACGUACAUAAAAUUUAUCGUAGGAUUGGUGAAAGGCCGUUUAGUCGUUUGAUUGUAACGAAAAUAAAUUGAUUUAUGAAAAUGCUUCAAUGUCCUAUUGAUGAGUAUAUGGAAUGUGAAUGCAUGAAUUGAUAUGAAAUUGAAUUGAUAGGUUGGAGGAACUAUGGUAUGGUUCGGAAUGGAUGGAGUAAUUAGCCUCGUUCCAUUUUGUUUUCUCUUGUGAUAAUGUUAUUGAUGGAUGGUAGUGCAUAGCUUAUGACUUACUGAGUUAUAAACUCACUCGGUGUUUCCUUGUCACCCAUUAUAGGUUGCUUGGACUCAUCUAUUUUUUUGCGUGGUCGGGCCGUCAUCGAAGUCAUCACACCGGAUAGCAAGUUUUGGUACUUUCUUCUUAGUUGGCUUAGAAGAACAUUUUGGCAUGUAUAAGCUAUUACGUUGUGUUUGAACUUUGGCAUGUAAACUUUAAGCCAUGUGAAAAUGGCACGAAUGUUCGAUUGAGUUGGAUCAAGGGUAGGCAUGAAAUGGACCUAGUUACUUUCGUAACAGAUGCUGGCAGCAGCAGUGUCAUGAGAUUGAAAAAUCAUUAAAAAUAGUAGGAGUGGAAUUAAUUGAUGAAUAAAUUAUGUAAUCGAAGCUCGAUGAGUCUGUUUUCAUGAGGAAGUAACGAAAAGAUCAUAUGGGCAGUAUAUUAAGAGAUAAUCAGAUUUUUGUGGGACAGGGCCAGAACGGUUUCUGGAUUCCCUUCUCCGACUUUGGAAAUUCAUUACAAAUUAACCAGAGAUAAUUAGGGGUCGUACCAUAUAUGUACAGAUUCCUCUCUGAGUCUAGUUUUCAUAGAAAUAAACGGCAUCAGUAUUGGAGCCCCGUGCAGGGAGAUAUCCAAGUCGGAAUGGGAAAAGGUCAGUGUAGUCGACCCCUGCAACUGGGGAGACUUUGACUAAUAAACUGUACUAAUUGGCCCGACCAAAAAUUCUAGAAAAAAAUACAUAGAUGGGCACAUGAGUCUAGUUUCUGGGAAAAAUUACGAAACUGAUUUUCGAGUUAGGAAACUCAAGAUAUGAUUUUUAAAACGACUAGUACACGGAUUGGGCAGUGUCUGGAAAAUAAAUUUUGUAAGGGGUUAAAGCCAGUUAACACCUCGUGUUCGACUCCGGUGUCGGUUUCGGGUUCGGGGUGUUACAAAAUAUGUGUGGUUGGACCCUUAUGCAUGCUUUAUUGAUUAAAGAUAUCAUAUGGUAAAAUGGCAUGUUUUUGGAAUGGUUAUUUGGCAUGAUUAAAAUAGGUUUAAGUUUUGAUCUUGAGACGUUGAAUUGAAUUAAGUUUAAGAUGUAUAUUGUGAUACCUUCAUUGGCAUAUUUGUUAGAUAUUAAAGGAUGGUUGAUUUGGUAUGUUUUUGAAAUGGUUGUUGGUAUGUUUGAUCUAAGUUGAUUAAAUGAACUUGUAAUGUUCAACGGUAUAAUACUUGUUGGUACAUUAGUUAGUCUUAUAGGUUGAUGGAAUUGGUAUGUUUUAAAUGUGUUUAAAAUAUGUUUUGGUUAUUUCAAUGUUUGUGGAAAUGGUGUGUCUUGGUGUACAAGAUUUGUAAUUGAAAUGGCUCUAUUUAGAAGCAACUUCUGCUGCACACUACCUGGGACACGAGUUGUCACAUGGUUGUGCAUCAUUAAUGUUUUAGGUGCAGGUUUCACACAAUCUAAGACUCGGCUCACGACACGGUCUGGGCUAUGUCACACAGCUUGGCCGCAUGGCCAUGUGACCCUUGUUUUCAAGUUUUCAAAAUUUUCUAUUUUAUUUCAAAUUGAUCAUAGAAUAUUCUCAAACUAUUUUUAAGGCCCCGUAGGUUCGGAUUAUGGCCCGUAAGUGUAUGUUUGCUAUAAUUAAGUUGUGUUAUUGAAUGUUAUUAAUUAAAUCACAUGAAUAUUUUAUUGUAAGUUAAAUGUUUUAAUUUGUACCAUAAUGCUUUGUAACCCUAAUCUGGCGAUGAAGACUAGUUUGGGGUGUUAUAAUUUUGGACUGUAAAUUUGUUUUGGGGGCUUUGUUCUUUGGUUAUUGCGAUGUUGGUUAGAUUUUGGUGUUUUAACAUUAAACUGCAAAAUUGUAUGAUUUAACAAACUAAAAAUUAGUUUUUCAAAAUUAAAACUCUUGAAAUUUCAGUUGCAAAGAUUAAGUAAUCACUUCAGUGUUUUUCCAUAAAUAAUUAAAUUUUUUUUAACAAAUGUUUUCCUUAGUUUGGGAAAUGAUUUGCCAACAUAUGUACUUUUAAAACACAUGAUUUCAAAUUCAAAUUCUCAAUUUUAAAUAAGGGUUUUCAAACUUUAGUUUUUUUUAACAGUUGUGAGAGGUUUUUGCCAAAUUUUAUGUUUUCAGAACAUAUUAGUAAGUUGAUUUUUAAUUUGUUUUUUAAACGAGUCGAUGUAAUUCCUCAAAAAUCCAUUCAUAGCGUCUUAGUCUAGAUCUAAACAUUAAUAUUCUCUUCCAAGAAAAAUCAAGAUUAUCAAAUUGUUACAACUUGGUAGGUAGACAAUCAUAUUAAAUAAGCAUAAAACUUAAUAAAUAAUUAGCGAAGAUUGAAACAAUCAAAGAAAAAAUAAAUUAAUUAACUAAGAAAUAGGAUCCAUUAUUGUUUCAAGAAAACAGAGUUUAGUUCAUAUUGAGUUGAGAAAUCCAAAAGGGAGAUUCAAAACAAACUUGUGAAAAGGGGAACAAUGUCAAUAGAUCGUAUUCAAGUUGUUCAACUCGAGAAGGAAAGAUUCAGAUCUAACCUAAAAAGAAGAAACCAAACAGAUUUAGAAAAACAAGAAAAACAAAGAAAAUAACUAAAAUGAGAAAUUUAAGAGUAAUUAAUAAAUAUUAAAACUAAUAAAGAAAUAAAGAAAUUAUAGAAUAAAUAGUGGAAGAUGGAAUGAAUAAACGAUGGAUAUGACAUAUAGAUGGAUAAGUGUCUGAUAAUUCUUGAAAAGAGUUAUUUUUCAUGCCUUUAGACCUAACUUGUAAUGCCCCAAAAAUCCCUUAUAUAUUUAUUUUCGUAAGUUUGUAACAGAAAUAUCUGUUAGCUUUAGUGGUUAUAUGCUUUGGGAGUGUUUAGGAGGUCCCAAGUUGAAACCUUAGCUUGGGCAAUUUUUUUUUGUUUUAAAUGAAUAAAACUCUAUCUUUGAUUAGUAGGCUUAUAAAUAGAUGUUGGUAAAAAAUGUCAGAAUGGUUUUACUGGUUUAGUGGUUAAGUGGGGUGUAAAUAUGCAGGAGCUCUUAUGUUCGAAUCUUUGUGCGAUCAAGAGCAUUUAUUUUAUUACUUGUGUCGUGUAGGUAUUUUGGUCCAGCCAAAAUACUGAAGAGGUUGACUAAGGGUUGGUUUCGGUUGUUGAGAGGUUUAUGGUGGGUUAGUAGAGAGGAUUUUAAGGAGAAAUUUUAGAGAUAUGAAGAGAGAGUUAGUGCCGAAUUGAAUUUCUUUUGCUUUCUCAAAUUUCAGCUGGGGUUUGAUUUUUCUUUUCAAUUUGUUUCUAUUGACUGUUUUCCAUUCUAGAGGGUCAAAUAUUGCUGAGGGUUCCUACUAGUUUCUUUUUUUUCUUUUUCUCUCUUCUCUCUUUCGACUUUGUUCUUCCCAACUGCAAAAGUGCUCUUCCCUAAACUGUUACUACCGUCUACUUUCUCUUUUCCUCCCUUGCUUUUUUUAUUGUCGAAUUUUGGGUUCUUUAUGCAUUUAAUUCUAAUGUCAAUUUAUCACUUCUCUACCAAAAGAUUAUUAUUUUCUCUCAUUGAUUUUCGUUUGGUUCAUCCUUGCUACCAGAAGUGUGGUUGCCCUUCUUUCUUGGUUUCGUUUGUCAUCAUCUGCUACAUGUUCUUUAACACUCUUUUGGUAAGUGUUCGUUUCUUCACCGCUCAGUUACUUGAAGUUAGUUUUUAAAUGGUUGUGUAUUGUUUUGAAUAAGAAUCUGAUAAAUCGUGUGUUCCAACCCUAUUUAGAUCAGUUCAUGGUGGUGUUUAUUGAUGAUAUACUGGUGUAUUCGAGAACUAAGGAUGAGCACGAUGAACACCUCAGAGUGGUUCUACAGAUUCUACGAGAAAAAGAACUGUACGCCAAGUUUAGUAAAUGUGAGUUCUAGUUAAGUGAAGUAACGUUUCUGGGACAUGUGGUUUCUACUGAGGGGAUUAGAGUUGAUCAUCGAAAGAUUGAGGCUGUCUUGGAUUGGAAGCAGCCUAAGACUGUAUAUGAGAUCUACAGUUUUCUCAGAUUGGCAGGGUAUCGACAAUUUGUGUAAAGGGUUUUCUCUAAUUGCCGUACCCUUGACUAAGCUGCUACGUAAAGGCUUACCGUUUAACUGGACUGAUUCAUAAUAAGAGAGCUUUGAGAAGCUCAAGACUGUACUGACUGAGGCCCCUGUUCUAAUAUAGCCAGAGUCUGGAAAAGAGUUUACUAUUUACACUGAUGCAUCACAUGUCUGUUUAGGAUGUGUGUUGAUGUAAGAAGGUAAGGUGGUAGUGUACACGUCUCAUCAGCUUAAGAAUCAUGAGGUGAAUUAUCUUACGCAUGACUUGGAGUUGAAGUGAUUGAGUAUAAUAACAUUUAACAUAUUAGAGCCAAUUGGUUGUCCAUAAACAUAAAAAGGUGACCUUAAUGAGAUACGCCAUAGACUCAAAAGUGUAUCAUUUACACUGAUCACAAGAGCCUCAACUACCUCCUCACUCAUAAGGAGCUGAAUCUUAGGCAACAUAGAUGGAUUGAGAUGCUUAAGGACUACGACUGUACUAUUGAAUACCACCCUGGUGAGGCUAAUGUGGUGGCUGACGCACUAAGCCGUAAAACUAUGACUGAACUGAGGGUGAUGUUUUCUCGCCUUAUUUUAUUUGAUAAUGGUAGUCUGUUGGCCAAACUUCAGGUUAAACCGAUUUGGAUAGAGUAGAUUAAGUGUAUACAAGUAGAGAAUGAGUUGUUGGGUCUUCGUUUUUGACAGGUUGAGAGUGGGAAUACCAAGGAUUUUAGACUGAAUAGUGAAGGGGUGCUCUAUAUCUGUGGGAGAAUCUAUGUAAAGACCUUCGUGAGUUAUACUAGUGGCCAGGUCUUAAAUGAGAAUUUACUAAAUUUUUGGCUAAGUGUCUGACAUGCUAGCAGGUUAAGGCUGAACAGCAGUUACCUUCGGGAUUGUUGCAGCCAGUCAAGAUUUCAGUUUGGAAGUGGGAGCAUGUAACUAUGGAUUUCAUUAGUGGGUUACCCCUCACACCCACUAAAAAGGAUUCGAUGUAGGUCAUCGUGGAUUGAUUGACCAAAUCCGCCCACUUCAUACCAAUUUGUACUGAUUACUCUCUGUAGAAGCUGGCUAAAUUGUAUGUGUCUGAAAUAGUGAGAUUACAUGGGGUACCGAUUUUAAUAAUAUCUUAUAGGGAUCCUCAUUUCACAUCUCGGUUCUGGAAGAAGCUAUAUGAAGCUUUGGGUACAAGAUUGGAGUUUAGUACUGCGUUUUAUCCUCAGACUGACGGUCAGUCAGAGAGGGUGAUUCAGAUACUAGAGGAUAUGUUGAGAAGUUGUGUGAUUGACUUUCGAGGUAGUUAGGAGGAUUACUUACCGCUAGUAGAAUUUGCAUAUAACAACAACUAUCAGUCUAGCAUUCAAAUGACACCCUAUGAGGCAUUAUAUGGUCGUAGGUGUCGCACACCUUCAUGUUAGACUGAGUUAGGCGAGCAGCGUAUUUUGGGGCCUGAACCAGUUUCUGAUACAGAGGAUAAAGUUAGACUAAUUCAGGACCAACUGAAAGCGAUAUCUAAUAGGCAUAAGUCCUACACCGAUCUAAAGAGUCGAGGGAUUGAGUAUUCUGUGGGGGACUUCAUUUUUCUCAAGGUCUCACCAUGGAAGAAGGUAUUAAGGUUUGGUCGUAAGGGCAAGUUGAGCCCUAGUUUAUUGGGCCCUAUCGCAUACUAAAACGUGUGAGAUGAGUUGCCUACCAGUUGGAGUUACCUCUAGAGUUAGAUCGGAUUUAUGACGUGUUCCAUGUCUCUAUGUUGAGGUUACCGCUCUAAUCCUACGCAUAUUAUUCCUAUUAAGGAAAUCAAGGUUAGGCUAGAUCUAACCUUUGAGGAGGAGUCAAUUCAGAUAUUGGAGUGAGAUAUAAAGGUUCUAAGAAGAAAAUUCAUCCCACUAGUUAAGGUUAUUUGGCGUAACCAUAGCACUGAGGAGGCCAUAUGGGAGUCUAAGGAUGUAAUGCUUUAGCAGUAUCCUCACCUAUUCUGAUCAGGUAAAUUUUCAAGGCCAAAAUUUUCUUUUAGGGGGUAGAGUUGUAGCGCCCCAAAAAUCCCUUAUAUAUUUAUUUUCGUAUUUUUUAUACAAAUAUCUGUCAGCUUUAGAGGCUAUGUGCUCUGGUAGUGUUUGGGAGGUCCCAAGUUCAAGCCUUAGCUUGGGCAAUUUUUUAGUUUUAAAUGAAUAAAAUCAUAUCUUUGAUCAAUAGGCUUAUAAAUAGAUGUUGGUAAAAUAUGUCAGAAUGGGCAUGCUGGUCUAGUGGUUAAGUGGGGUGCAAAUAUGCUGCAGGUCUUGUGCUUGAAUCUCUAUGUAUAGAGCAUGUUGUUAAACUGUACUACAUGCAUAUAUGAUACCAUGAUAUGACAUGACAUGAUUGUGUGGUGCAUGGCAUGGGGAUAGGUUAUUAUUGAUCGAAGGAAGUGUACUGGAAGGCUUUGAGCCUAACUUACUGGCAGCUCAGCUGCAUAUUACUGUAUAGUGUCGCCAUUGGUACUACUUAGAGUGUAGGGAUGGGUGGGUUGAUUAUAUCCCCACAUGAAGUGUAGGGUUGGUCGGAGUUGGUGUGUAGAGGUUGGCUAGGUAGGACUUGUAUACUGCAUAAUCUGUUAAUGUACUGAUUGCUAAUAUUGUAAUGGGCCAAGGCCCAAAUGCAUGAUUACUUUUGUACUAAGAUGGGCUAAAGCCCAAACCAAUACUGUCACUGAUACUGGAAAGGGCUUAGGCCGGACUGAGUUUAUUCUGUUUUCUGUCUGAUUAUUUUGUGUACUGUCUAUUUGUUUGCACUAGGAAUAUCACACUGAGUUUUGAAAACUCACCCUUUCUGUUAAUCUGUGUAGGUAAUCCCCAGUCGUAGGUAGAUCGGUGUGGCGGAGGAUUCAGCGGUGGCCACACGACUCCUUUUUAUUGUUUCGUAUCUAAUGAUAUUUAUUUUUAAGUCUUUAUUUGGGGUUUUUAUCUGUAAUAAUUGCUGCUAUGGAUUUUUUAUUUAAAUUUGGAUUUAACACUACUUCAUGUUUACAUCUGCUAGAGGUAGAUAUAGCACGGAUUUUUGAAAAGAAAUGCAUGUGUUUUAGCAAAAUACCCCAAUGUCACAAACUGUUUUAAAAAGCUUCCGCAACGUAUAAUGAUUUGCAAACUAACAAUUGAAUAAAAAUCACUAUUUUGGGAUUAACAAAAGAUAACGACGACCUCUAAUCGAAAAAUGUUUUAAGCAAAGUUACCAUUUUUCAACAUGAGCUUCGGUUUUGAAAAAUACCACCAUGUGACAUCGCCAAAUUCGCCCGUAACAUCCAGGCUGGGUUUGGGGUGUUAGAUAACUAAUUGCUUGAACUUAAGUACAUUUUGUUGCAUUUUAAGACAUUUUAGUUAGCAUUUCUAAUAUUGCAUUAGGACUUAGAUUGUGUUGGACUUAUGUGUUUUUAAUAUGGUGGAGUUUUUUUGUGUGUUGGUAUGGCAAGAACAUAUUUUAGAACGAGGAAAUAAAUGAGUGAAGUUUUGUCAGGGAAAAAGUGCAGACAGUUUGCCAGCACGGAUGCCGUGACAAUGCCAGGAAGACCAAGUAAACAUUUUUUUGCGCAACAGUCUCAAUUGAAAUUAAAACUUGUACCAGAUAAAUCUUCAAAAAAGAGGAGAAGAUAAUCACAAGUUGUUACUUGACACUAGCCUAAUCUACCUAUAAAAGCCAAUAAAGGGGAUCUCACAAAUGGCAGAAAAAAGUGGGAGGGAUCCUUAGGUGUGAAUAAGGUUUUAGUUGCGCAAAGGAAAGGAAGUCGAAGGCAGUGCUUUUUAGCCAUCACAGGAUGUUGUGCUACCGAAGUGUAAACUAGGCAAGUGAAAGUUGUUUCCCAAAGUUCUUUCGUUAUUUCCAUCAGCGUUCCUUCAAAAUAUUGAAGUAGUUGAACACAAUGUCAGAUAAUAUUUUGCUUUUGAAUUUUAUUUCUCAGCCCAUGAGCUAAAUCUCGUAGGGUUGGGAUUACUUUUGAUGAAACCUUAAACUAUUUUUAUGGAUGCAGUAUAUAUCUAAUUUACUUUACUGUUUCAUUUGAUUGUUCUUAUUUCUUAAUUAAAAUGCAAAUGAUUUCUAAACAUAGAAGACUGUUCGCAUACUUAUAAACUCAUUCUAAUUCUGAAAGGGUUGGAUUGGUUGGAUUAAAAUUAAAUGAAAUGAGCAAGUAUUCGAUGGACACUUGUAGUAGACUCUAUACAUAGAGUGACGAUCAUACAGAAGGAACCCAUGCAAGGUAUCUAAAAAGUCUUUAGACAUAGGCAAGGUAACUUGAUGUUUUCCUCUCAUGAGAGGAGAGCCAUUUUAGUACUCUUCUGUGCUUUAUAGUAGAUACGAUUUUCCCAAGGCAUUAUUGACAAUAAGGGUCAAUAUUCGGUAAUCCUGACCUUCGAAAUCCACAUCGUAUAUCCUUUAUUCUUUUCCACAUCAUUAUUAGUUAUUUAUUUGUUCAUUUACAUAAUAUUCCCAUAGUAAUUCUCAUCAUUGUCAUUACAUUUCUACUCUUGGUUUGACACAACAUUACCACUUAUUUAUUAAUUCUAUGUAUUGCUUACAUCAUUACUCUACUAAUUGCCACUGUAUAUUCAUCAUUGACUCUCCCAUAGCAUUAAUCGUAUUUUAUUAUAAUAAUUUGACCAAUUGUGUGCCUCAAUCCGAUCUUUAUGGGAACGAUACACACUCAUCACUUUAUUACGUGAUUCAACUGUAUACUUGCACAAAUCGCAUAUCAUUUCACACACGAUAGUGUUCAAUUGAACCCUUUGAGAUAUAAACCUAGACAAACUCAAUUAAUGGCUUUAAUUAACCCACCAAGAAAUAAUGAUUGGCAAAUUGAACGAUGAAGAAUGAAUUCCCAUGACUCCUUAAAAAAUUGAGAAGAAAAAUACUUCUAAAAAUCACAAGAAACAAAUCUUGGACAAAGAAACUAACUUUCAGAGUUGGAAAUUUUAGUAAUAAACAAAAACAAUUGCAUCUCUAAUGAACAUGAAGGGCCUUUACAUAGGCUAGAUAAGUACAUCCAGAUAAAAUAUUCAAGUAUCUUGAAACUUUAAUUAAUAUAAGUAAUAAGUAAUUUUAAACUAAAAUAGUCAUAAUUUUCGUCAUAAUCCCGUCCAAAAAUUCUGCUCACAUAAUCAUCAUUAAAAUAGUCAUAAUUUAAGCUCUUGAACUCAAAAUUGAGUGAAUAAAAGUGUGUUUCGAAGUUAAGUGCUAGAUCUUAGAACUUUAUGAAGACAUAUCAAUCGAAAAUUGUCCGGAUCCCAUCCAAAGAGUCACAGCAAGUUAACUAAUUUUUCAAACUUGAAAAUUGGCAACUUCGGGGAAUGGAAUUUAAUACAGUUCACCCCAUCUAUUCAUGUAUCAACUCGCAUUGGUAAAAAGUAAAAAGAAAUAAUCUAUAGAGAAAAUAGUUGAAGAAUUUAUGAAAAUUUAUUCAAAUCUCUUUUUUUUCUAGUCUUUGCAAGCUUGAAUUUUCCCUUGGUGUGUGAGAGUUGUUCCUUACCCUCUAAGUGAUUUUUUUUCUUUUUCUUUCUCUUCGAUCUCGUCACCUAAGGGUGUUCAAACAAUUGAUUCAGUUAGUACCCGUGCAAAACUAUCAUUAACUGAAAUUUUGAAACCCUUAAUCAUUAAUCAAACCAUUUUCUUUUUUGAAACCUACUAACCAGCUUGAUUGAUUUGGGUUAAUUUGAGUGGUUAACCAAAAUUUAAACAUUGUUUGUUUUUGUUCAAACAAUUUUAAAACAAAGAACAAUCCAUGACAAUUUUUCCUUGUUUUUUAUUCAAAAAAAUUAAAAGAAUUAAAAAAAUAACAUAAUAACAACACUAAAUUAAAAACAUAAUAGCAUUCAUUACAUUACAAAGCAUAUAUAUAUAUUUACUUUUUCUUGACUUUUUAGUUUAAUUUUCGUUUUAUUUUCCUAAUAUUUUUAGUUUUCAUAUUUUUGUUAAGCUUAUUAUAAGAACACUUAUAAAUCCAUUAGUUCUUAUAUAUUGGGUUUGUAUAAUGUAUUCGACCUAUCUCUAAUAUAUUGGGCCUAUAAUAUAUUUUUAUUGAUUUCGGUUAAUCAAUUCAUUCGAUUAAUUAGUCGAUUUCAAACUAAAAUAAUUGGUAAACAAAAUCUUCAAAAACCUUUAACCAACUCCAACCAAAUUAGAUUCAUUGAUCAACUUCUUAAUCAAAUUAAUUAGGUUUGAUAAAUUAAUUCGUUAAAACUGAAAAAUGCACACCCCUAUCAUCACCGUUGUUUUUAGGGAUUUUAAUCAUGUUGCUCCACCUGAUGCAGAAGUUGAGGUGGAAUGAACUACUUGCUACCAAAAUUUUUGAAUUAUAGAGCAUGCUCUACCGCAGUGAAUCAAAUUCGGUGGAGUGGAAGACUUUUCUUUACUACUUUAUGCUCUAUGCUCCAAGUCUUCUAUUCUUCUUCUGAGACCUAAAAUGGGAAAAAAAAAGAAGAAACAAGUCUAAACUAACUUUGAAAAUUAGAAAUUCUCAACAAAAUUGAAAUAAAAUAUAAUUAAUCCAUAAAAACUAUAAAAAAUACAAUAAAAACGAACCUAAAUACUAAAAUUACCUCCUAAAAAGCUAUGGAAACUAUACUAAAAUAAUUCUAAAUAUGAUAGUUAUCAAAAAUGACAUGAGGAAGCCAAUCGAGUAGAUGCUUUCAACUAUUGCAAAUACCAUUAGUCGAUUAGCCAUCAUCUUGAGAACAUCAUAGAGUUGAAAGAAAAAAUCAUACAACUCCAUAAAGAAGAAAAAAUCAUUUUUGAAAAAGAAUUGGCAUUAUCAAACUUGACAUCAAUGCUUUGGUUUCUCAAUACAAUAUUAUGGACAAAUUCAUCAAAUUUGGCUCUUUCAAUCCUAUUACACUAGCUCUAAGUAGAAGUAAGAUGGUGAGUUUCGAAGGGAUUGAGGGCAAUCAUCUAUUUUUGGAAUAUCAGAAUGGUCAUGAUUGGACUCUAGCCACAUGUCAAAGAAGCCAAUGAAAAGCAUCUCUCCUAGGUAUAAGCUUAUAUUAUCACAUUGCUCCUAAGCAUGAGCAUAAAUCGUUCAUCCAGAAUGAUGAUGAUCCUAAGCAUAAGCUUAAACUAUUCAUCUAAUGCUCCUAAGAUGGAGCUUAAUCUAUUCAACCUAAACGAUCAUGCUUUAAGCACAAUCUUAAACUAUUCACAAAAAAUAAAUGAUGAUCCAAUGAAGCAUGAGCUUAAACUAUUCAUACAAAAUAAGCGAUGACCUUCUAAGCAUGAAUUUAAAUUGUUCAUACAUAAUAAAUGAUGAUAUUACUAAGAACAAGCUUAAACUGUAGUCUAAAAAAUAUUGAACUAUAUUAUAACUUGAUCUUUUAAAAAUGAAGGUACGUAGAUAGCUUGGUUUCAUUGCCAAGUUCAGUCUAAUUAAAUAUGUUUAUGGUGUGUUUAGAGAAUUAAAUGAUUAUAUGAUUAUUUUCCAGGUAUUCGAGGUUGUUUCAUUUGGUUUAAUGGGUAAAUAAAGCUUUAAGGGGUAUGUGAUUACAUGAAAUGAACUAUCAUAUUUGAGUAAUGAUAUGGAUGAUGAUGAAAUGUUUAAUUGAAAAGGAAAUAUGGUUUAGUAUAUAUGUAUGAGUGGUGAAUUAUGAAAGUGAAAUGUAGAUAUGUUUUAUACCAUGUUUUGAUUCGAAUUAUAUAUGAUAUUUAAACCAACUAACCUUGUGAGGUGGUGUGUAUAGGAAAGGAAAGUUGGCUUAAAACAUAAUGAAAUUAUGCUUGGUUUUUUAACUUAAAAUAUUCAAUAAGUUAAGUUUCCUUUAUAUGAACUUACUAAACAUUAGUUGCUUACAUAGUUAUUUUUCUUUAUUUUGUAGUUCAUCAGAAGCUCGACCGAUUGGAAUCAUGUUAGAGCAUGAUCACACUAUCCAUUCAACAUUUUAAUAGUUCUUCGUUAUUUUGGUAAAUAGUUGUAAAUGACAUGUAAUGGGGUUUAACGGUCAUUCCAGUAAUUUGACUUGUUUUGAGUUGUGUCAAGCUUAUUGUGAUUAAUGUUGUUAGUUGCUGGCAUGUAAAUAAUGGUGUAAAUAUGUGUGAUCGGACCCUUAUGCAUGCUUUAUUGAUUAAAGAUAUCAUAUGUUAAAAUGGCAUGUUUUUGGAAUGGUUAUUUGGCAUGAUUGGUAUUUAUGAUCUUGAGAUGUUGAAUUGAAUUAAGUUUGAUAUGUAUAUUGUGAUACCUUCAUUGACAUAUUGGUUAGAUAUUAAAGGAUGGUUGAUUUGGUAUGUUUUUGAAAUGGUUGUUGGUAUGUUUUCUCUAAGUUAAUUAAAUGAAUUUGUAAUGUUGAAUGGUAUAAUAUUUGUUGGUACAUUAGUUAGUCUUAUAGGUUGAUGGAAUUGGUAUGUUUUAAAUGUGUUUUGGUUAUUUCAAUGUUUGUGGAAAUGGUGUGUCUUGGUGUACAAGAUUUGAAAUUGAAACGGCUUGAUUUAGAAGCAACUUAUGCUACACACCGCCUGGGACAUGGAUUGUCACAUGGCUGUGUCAUUAUUAUUUUAGGUAUAGGUUUCACACAAUCUAAGACUCAGCUCACGACACAGCUGUGUAUCACAAGUCAGUAUGUAACACGGUUUUGUACAUGGCCUGCGACACGAUCGUGUGUCCAGACUUCGAAUGUCCACAUGGUCUAGGCUAUGUCACAUGGCUUGGCCACAUGGCCGUGUGACUUUUGUUUUCAAGUUUUCCAAAAUUUUCUAUUUUAUUUCAAAUUGAUCCUAGAAUAUUCUCAAACUAUUUUUAAGGCCCCGUAGGUUCGGAUUAAGGCCCGUAAGUGUAUGUUUGCUAUAAUUAAGUUGUGUUAUUGAAUGUUAUUAAUUCAAACACAUGAAUACUUUGUUGUAAGUUAAAUGUUUUAAUUUGUACUAUAAUGCUUCGUAACCCUAAUCUGGCGAUGGAAACAAGUUUGGCGUGUUACAAUUUUGUAUUGUAAAUUUGUUUUGGGGCUUUGUUCUUUGGUUCUUGUGAUGUUGGUUGGAUUUUGGUGUUUUAACAUUAAACUGCAAAAUUGUAGGAUUUAACAAACUAAAAUUAGGUUUUCAAAAUUAAAACUCUGGAAAUUUUUGUUGCAAAGUUUAAGUAAUCACUUAAGUGUUUUUCUAUAGAUAAUUAAAUGGUUUUUAACAAAUGUUUUCCUUACUUUUGGAAAUGAUCUGCCAACAUUAGUACUUCUAAAACACAUGAUUUCAAAUUCAAAUUCUCAGUUUUAAAUAAGGGUUUUCACACUUCGAUUUUUUUUAAACAUUUUUGAGAGGUUUUUGCCAAAUUUUAUGUUUUCAGAACGUGUAACCAAGUUGAUUUUUAAUUAGUUUUUCAAAGUAGUCGAUGUAAUUCCUCAAAAAUCCAGUCAUAGCGUCUAGGCCGGGUUUGGGAUAUUAUACUGACGUUACUAAAGUUAAUCUUCAUCUAUUUAGUCUUGAUCUAAACAUUAAUAUUCUCUUCAAAAAAAAUCAAGAUUAUCAAAUUGUUAAAACUUGGUAGGCAGACAAUCAUAUUAAAUAAGCAUAAAACUUAAUAAAUAAUUACCGAAGAUUGAAAUAAUCAAAGAAAAAAUAAAUUAAUUAACUAAGAAAUAGGAUCCAUUAUUGUUUCAAGAAAAUAGAGUUUAGUUCACAUUGAGUUGAGAAAACCAAAAGGGAGAUUCAAAACAAACUUGUGAUAAGGGGAAUAAUGUCAAUAGAUCAUAUUCAAGUUGUUCGGCUUGAGAAAGAAAGAUUCAGAUCUAACUUGAAAACAAGAAACCAAAAAGAUUUAGAAAAACAAGAAAAAACAAAGAAAAUAACUAAAAUGAUAAAUUUAAGAAUAAAUAAUCAAUAUUAAAAAUAAUAAAGAAAUAAAGAAAUUAUAGAAUAAAUAGUGGAAGAUGGAAUGAAUAAACGAUGGAUAUGACAUAUAGAUGGAUAAGUGUCUUAUAAUUCAUGAAAAGAGUUAUAUUUCAUGCCUUUAGACCUAACUAAUUGUUUGUACUUAAGUACAUUUUGUUGCAUUUUAAGACAUUUUAGUUAGCAUUUCUAAUAUUGCAUUAGGACUUAGAUUGUGUUGGAAUUAUGUGUUUUUAAUAUGGUGGAGUUCUUUUGUGUGUUGGUAUGGCAAGAACAUAUUUUAGAACGAGGAAAUAAAUGAGUGAAGUUUUUUCAAGGAAAAAGUGCAGACAGUUUGCCAGAACAGAUGCCGUGACAAUGCCAGGAAGACAAAGUUAACAUUUCUUUGCGCAACAGUCUCAGUUGAAAUUAAAACUUGUACCAGAUAAAUCUCCCUAAAAGAGGAGAAGAUAAUCACAAGUUGUUACUUGACACUAGCCUAAUCUAUCUAUAAAAGCCAAUAAAGGGGAUCUCGCAAAUGGCAGAAAAAAAUGGGAGGGAUCCUUAGGUGUGAAUAAGGUUUUAGCUGCGCAAAGGAAAGGAAGUCGAAGGAAGUGCUUUUUAGCCAUCACAGGAUGUUGUGCUACCGAAGUGUGGACUAGGCAAGUGAAAGUUGUUUCCCAAAGUUCUUUCGUUAUUUCCAUCAGCGUUCCUUCAAAAUAUUGAAGUAGUUGAACACAAUGUCGGAUAAUAUUUUGCUUUUGAAUUUUAUUUCUCAGCCCAUGAGCUAAAUCUCGUAGGGUUGGGAUUACUUUUGAUGAAACCUUAAACUAUUUUUGUGGAUGCAGUAUAUAUCUAAUUUACUUUACUGUUUCAUUUGGUUGUUCUUAUUUCUUAAUUAAAAUGCAAAUGAUUUCUAAACAUAGAAGACUGUUCGCAUACUUAUAAACUCAUUCUAAUUCUGAAAGGGUUGGAUUGGUUGGAUUAAAAUUAAAUGAAAUGAGCAAGUAUUCGAUGGACACUUGUAGUAGACUCUAUACAUAGAGUGACGAUCAUACAGAAGGAACCCAUGCAAGGUAUCUAAAAAGUCUUUAGACACAGGCAAGGUAACUUGAUGUUUUGCUCUCACGAGAGUCAGGCCAUUUUAGUACUCUUUUGUGCUUUAAAGUAGAUACGAUUUUGCCAAGGCAUUAUUGACAGUAAGGGUCGAUUUUGGGUAAUCAACUUUCCAAAUCCACAUCGUAUAUCCUUUAUACCUUACCAUAGUAUAUUUGCCACAUCAUUAUUAGUUAUUUAUUUGUUCAUUUACAUAAUAUUCCCAUAGUAAUUCUCAUAAUUAUCAUUAGAUUUCUACUCUCAGUUUGCCACAACAUUACCAAUUAUUUAUUACCUCCACGUAUUGCUUACACCAUUACUCUACUAAUUUCAACUAUAUAUUUAUCAUUGAGUUUGCCAUGGCAUUAAUCGUAUUUUAUUAUAAUAACUUGACCAAUUGUGUGCCUCAAUCUGAUCCCCAUGGGAACGAUACUCACUCAUCACUUUAUUACGUGAUUCAACUGUAUACUUGCACAAAUCGCAUAUCAUUUCACACACGACAGUGUUCAAUUGAAACCUUUAAGAUAUAAACUCGGACAAACUCAAUUAAUGGCUUUAAUCAACCCACCAAGAAAUAAUGAUUGGCAAAUUGAACGAUGAAGAAUGAAUUCCCAUGACUCCUUAAAAAAUUGAGAAGAAAAAUACUUCUAAAAAUCACAAGAAACAAAUCUUGCACAAAGAAACUAACUUUUAGAGUUGGAAAUUUUAGUAAUAAACAAAAACAAUUGCAUCUCUAAUGAACAUGAAGGGCCUUUACAUAGGCUAGAUAAGUACAUCCAGAUAAAAUAUUCAAGUAUCAAGUACAUCCAGAUAAAAUAUUCAAGUAUCUUGAAACUUUAAUUAGUAUAAGUAAGAAGUAAUUUUAAACUAAAAUAGUUAUAAUUUCCGUCAUAAUCCCAUCCAAAAAUUCUGCUCACAUAAUCAUCAUUAAAAUAGUCAUAAUUUGAGCUCUUGAACUCAAAAUUGAGUGAAUAAAAGUGUGUUUCGAAGUUAAGUGCUAGAUCUUAGAACUUUAUGAAGACAUAUCAAUCGAAAAAUGUCUGGAUCCCAUCCAAAAAGUCACCACAAGUUAACUAAUUUUUCAAACUUGAAAAUUGGCAGCUUUGGUGAAUGGAAUUUAAUAAAGUUCACCCCAUCUAUUCAUGUAUCAACUCGCAUUGGUAAAAAGUAAAAAGAAAUAAUCUAUAGAGAAAAUAGUUGAAGAAUUUAUGAAAAUUUAUUCAAAUCUCUUUUUUUUCUAGUCUUUGCAAGCUUGAAGUUUCCCUUGGUGUGUGAGAGUUGUUCCUUACCCUCUAAGUGAUUUUUUUUCUUCUUCUUUCUCUUCGAUCUCGUCACCUAAGGGUGUUCAAACAAUUGAUUCAGUUAAUACCCGUACAAAACUAUCAUUAACUGAAAUUUUGAAACCCUUAAUCAUUAAUCAAACCAAUUUUUUUGAAACCUACUAACUAGCUUCAUUGUUUUCGGUUAAUUUGAGCGGUUAACCAAAAUUUACACAUUGUUUGUUUUUUUUCAAACAAUUUUAAAACAAAGAACAAUCCACGACAAUUUUUCCUUGUUUUUUAUUCAAAAAAAUUAAAAGAAUUAAAAAAAACAUAAUAACAACACUAAAUUAAAAACAUAAUAGCAUUCAUUAUAUAUAUAUUUACUUUUUCUUGACUUUUUAGUUUAAUUUUAGUUUUUUUUUUCCAAAUAUUUUUAGUUUUCAUAUUUUUGUUAAGCUUAUUAUAAGAAAACUUAUAAAUCCAUUAGUUUUUAUAUAUUGGGUUUGUAUAAUGCAUUGGACCUAUCUCACAUAGUCAUCAUUAAAAUAGUCAUAAUUUGAUCUCUUGAACUCAAAAUCGAGUGAAUAAAAGUGAGUUUCUAAGUUAAGUGAUAGAUCUUAGAACUCUAUGAAGACAUAUCAAUUGAAAAAUGUCUGAACUCCAUCCAAAAAUUCACGCAAGUUAACUAAUUUUUCAAACUUGAAAAUUGGUAGCUUCGGUGAAUGGAAUUUAGUAAAGUUCACCCCAUAUAUUGAUGUAUCAACUUUCAUUGUAAAAAGUAAAAAGAAAUAAUCUAUAGUGGUUAGUGUUUUAAUGGGGGUUUUGUGUUUACUCUCGGUUAGGGGAAGGGCAAGAAGAGUUGGUACUCCUGCAGCAAUUUGAGCGUUAAGGGUGUCUGUUCGUCGGCGGUAAGGUUUCAAAUUCUUUGUUGGUUAUUGUAAGGCUCCGUUUGUGGAAUGGUUUUGGAUUGAGUUUCGUAAGUGUACUGAAUUUGGGCUUCUGGAUGCUAUUUCUUAGGUUCGAUGGUCUCGGGGGUGCUUGUGCAUCAAAACGAUAUCAGGUGUGUACCCGAAAUGCAGAAAAUCGAGCUUCGAUGAAAUCUAAAACACCUUACUAUCGACACCACAAGGGCAUGUGCCUGGCCGUGUGGUUGGCUGUGUGUAGGACACGGUCAUGUGUUUGACGAGGGUAGGGUCGUGAGGAAGACAUGGCCGUGUGACGAUGUGGGCCCGCAGGCUAGGCCAAGUUAGGCUUGUGGGUUUUGGGCCACAUGUGCAUGUGGGUUUUGGGCCAAGCCAUGUGAACCACAUGGACAGGGCUAAUCUGGGUGUGUUGACCACAUGGGCAUGUGGGCCCGAAAUUCUAAAAUUUUUCGUAGGGUCUCACAGGUCAUUUUGGUCGACUUUGUGCCUACCGUAGGGUCAGUAAGGGCUAACCAAACCCUAAAACUAUGUGAUCUGUUAGUUUGAUAUUUGUUCUAAAUAUGAUACUACUAUGCAUGUCUGAUUAGUCUGGUGUAUAUAUAUAUAUCUGAUAUAUAUGUAUGAGCAUGUGAGCAUGAUAACUCUGAUUAUAUAUAUCUGAUUGAGGUGGGAUUUCUAUAUGUGGAGGAAGUGUUCUAUAUGGCGGUCAUCGCCUAUGUUCUGGCAGCUUGGCUAUACAUUAUCUGACAUGUAUCGUAAUGGCACGAUAUGGUGUGUAGGGAUUGGUGGGUGUUUUUAACCCCACAUGAUGUGAUGGGAUGGUCAGAGUUGGUUUGUAGAGGAUGGAGUUAGGAUUCUGUAUUUCUAAUAUGCAUAUAUGUUCUAUUAUUUGAAUCUAUAAAGGACUUAGGUCUGAAUCUGAAUCUGAAAUUGUAUCUGAUCGUGUAUGAGUUUAUUGCACGUAUUGCAUGUAUUUUUCUGUUGGGUUACACACUGAGUUUACGAAAACUCACAUUUGUUUGUCGGUUUUGUUUAGGUAAUCCACAGACUUAGACGGGUCAGUGUUACGGAGGCUCAGUGGUGACCACUUGAUUGAGAACUAUUUUACUUAGUAAAUUAUGUUUUAUUUAUAAUUUCGAUUUCAUUUGAGAGUUUGUAAUUUUUGGGACUCUCCGGACUGCUGGUUUUUAUUUUGGUUUUGGAUGCGAUUUUAGACUCUUUUGUUGCGAUGCAUAAUGGAAAACACGGUUUUAUGAAAACAAAGGUUAUUCUGAAAAUACGAACUGGAUUUCUAAAAUAUAACGGUUCAAAAACUUCUGCUAAAAAUCAUGUUUUGGUAAAUAAAUGAAUUAAGUAACACUUUCAAAAAUGGUUAUAAAGAAAUAUGAACUAUGAAUCUUUAAUGAUUUGACAAAAAGACCUUAUUUUCAAAACCAUACAUUGUGACCACUCCAGAUUCAGCUAUAACGUCUAGACCGAUUUGGGGUGUUACAGUAAGGAUGAAAAUUUAAGGGGGAGUGAGCUAUGGCGCUUAGUAUGAGUUCAUUCACAAUAAAUUCAAUGCAAACGGUUGGUAGGACACAUUAAAUAAUAUCACAUAAAAUAAUCACAGUCAGAUAAUAGUUUAGAAUGUCGGUUUUACAAUUUAACCACCAAUAUUAUCACAGUAUUCACAGUUGUAAUUUCAGAAUAUCAAAUUUUCACACCAUUCACAAUAUUUAGAUAUAUAUAAAUAUAUCAUAACAGAAUUCCAGAUUUGUAUGCACAUGAUUUAGAAGAUGCCAUACAAUUUCGGGUUUUAACAGAAUAAAUCCUACCCCACGUUACAUACCAUAAUGGGAGUUCCCCUAAACUCCCUUCUCCAACACACUGGGUACCACUACUGGUUUACAAAUAAUAACUAUCAUUUGGCUGUGGACACACAGCAAUCCCCCACAAUUGGAUUCUAGAUUUGGUUGUGGGUUCACAGCAAAAAAAUCUACAAAUGAAGCAUGCUUUUGCCUGUAGAUUAUACAACAUAUACCCAUAGUUGGAAUCUGCCUUCGGCUGUGGACACACUGUAACACCUCAAACCUGACCUGGACGUUAUGGCCGAAUCUUGAGGAAUUACUUUAACUCGCUAGAAAACCCAAGAGUUUACUUUGAAAUCAUGUGGUUAAACUAGUGUUCACUUUGAUAAAUCGUUUUCCAGUUUUAGGGAAAAUUAUUAUUAAAACUACUACUUUAUUACAAUAAAAAAUUAAAGUGAUUGUAUCAUUUUGUAACGGAAUCUACUGAGCUAUAAGGUUUUGAAAAUCGUGGUUUAAUUUGCAACAAAUCAUUUUGCAAAUAGAAAUUUAAUACUACUUAAUUUGGAAAAGCAUGCUAAAACGAAAGCAAAGUCCAAACUAAUUUACGAUUUAAAUUCUUAAAAGUCCAAAUUAAACAUAAAGUCAAUUUAAACCAGUUUAUCGAAAGUGUAACACCCCAAACCCGGCCUAGACAUUAUGGCCAAAUCUGGAUGUGUUACAAAAAAAAAGUUUAUAAAACGACUUCCUUGUUAUUGGCAAAUCAUCGCAACCAUUAUUACAUAGUAUGUCUGAUUUGUUUGGAGAACUUUUUGAUAUACUUAUUUGAUUUAAGAUCGUUGCUUGCUUAUGCCUUUCUAUUAAACCGAAUGUUUUGCAGUGGAGUUUCUUUAAAAUGUCAUAUUUUGGCAAAUCAAAUUGUUUCUUGAAAAUCGUUAUUUCAGAAAAGUUGUCAUUUUCAGGAAAACUAUUUUAUCGGUUGUUACGCUUAGAAAACCAAAAUAAAAUCCAAAACCAAAAAUAGUCCCAAAAAGUCCAAAGAGUCCCGAAAUUACAAAACUCUCAAAACCAGAAAAGUUUGAACUAAUUUUAAAAGAAUGAAAAUUUAUAGAAAUAUGGUCAACAUUGAGCUUCCGUCACACCGACCCACAUAAAUGUAAGGGUUACUUGAACAGAACAAACAAAUAGAGAGUGAGUUUUGAAACUCAGUGCGUAACGCGAAUAUAAACAAAAAUUUAGAAUCAAUCUAAUGCAUAACAGAUACAAAUGUAAACCUUUUAUAGAAUAAGAAUUAUACAGAUACAAAUGUGCAAAAUCCUACCCUCGUCCUCUACACACCAAUUCUGACCAGCCCAUCACACCACGUGGGGUAUAAAACACCCACCUAGCCAUACACACGGUAUAGUGUUUAUACGACACUUUUCAGAAUAAUCGCAGUAGAGUUGCCAGUAUAUAGGUGAGAUAUUUCCUCACACAGAACACUUCCUCCUCAUAAUACAAAUCCCGCUCCAUAGCCAGAUACAGACAGAAUAUUAGGUAAAACAAAUUAACAGAUACCAGAGUUAACAUAUCAUGCAUGAGCGUAUAACAAAUAUUACACAUGCUUGUACAUAACAGAACAAACCAUACAUACCGUAUUCCAUAAUACUCAUAUAAAUGUUAUUUUUUAAAUUGUAACAAAUAUUAUUAUUAAGAUGUUUUUCUUUUUAUAUUUUUAUAAAAAUAUAUUAAAAAACAAUUAGAAUAAUUUUAAGAGAAAAAACACUCAUAAAUAGUAGAAUUUAAUCUAAAAAUAUCAAAGUUUUAAAGCCUCAACUUUAACAUUUCAACCAAAAUUCCAUUAGUAUAUAAAUAUUUCAUAAAUAUAGAUUUUAUAUAAAAAAUUUAUGUUAACUUUUUUUUAACCCGCAUCACAAGUAUACCAUAUUUAGAGAUAUUCAUAGCUAGGCAGCCCACUUUGGGUCAAGCUUGAGCUUAGGUUUUAUCUCAAGUUGGCCCAAUUUAACCUAUUUUACUAUUUAAAAAUAUAAAUAUAUGUUAUAUUGAUAUUUAUAUAUUUCUAUAAUUAAAUUUUAAAUAAAUUUAUUGUUAACUUCUAAACAUAAAACAAAGAGAACUUUCACCCAAGUUAUAAGUUUGUGGUUAGACAGCCGACUUUCGGGGCAGGAUUCAGCUUACGUUUUUAAUCUUGGGAUUUAACAAUAAUAAAAAAUUUAAAAAUAAUAUUCUAUUAAUAUUUAUAAAUUUUAUAAAUUUAAAUUUAAUUAUAUUUUUUAAACAGUAAAAUGAACCAUUUAUAUGGGCUAAUUAGAGUUAAGUUUGGUUUGAAUCAAGGCUUAACUUUGACCAAAUCCAACUAAAAACACCUCUAACAAUUAUCUAGUAUUGUUUUUAUGAAUUGAAUUUUAACUUCUAAUUUUCAAUUUUAUUACAAAAUUUCUUUGCGGACGAUAAGAAAAUAACAUAUUUGUAACUUCUUCACUCCGACGUAAAGGUUAAGUCUGAAUUUGGAUUACAUCGGCCAUAAAUAUGGCCUAGCAGGAUUAUCGGAGUUUUUAAAAAUAGACAUCUUUAAAACGUUUGUUUAAUUUAUAAAAAAGCUUAUUUAAUUUCCAAAUUAUUUAUUACUUGAAAUCUUAAUUACAUUUUAAAAGCAGGAAGUGGUAACUAUUUAUUUUUAAUAAAAAUCGGGGUUCAUGUAUAAUUCAUUAAUAACCGUAAUUCGAAAACAUUAAAACUUAAAUUAAAUGUCAUGCAAAACAAAACAAACUUAAAUCUAAAUCUCAUGCCACAGUGCAAAACAAUUUAUUGUAGUCUUAGAAAAUAAAAAAAAAUCAUAUAAUGAACCUAAAAUAAUUUUUUUUACUUUAAUAAUGUGUCAAGACCUUACAAAUGUCACGCCCACGUUCAAUCCUGGUGGGUUAUCUAUAAGGAUGAAAAUUUAAGGGGGGUGAGCUUUGACGCUUAGUGUGAGUUCAUUCACAAUAAAUUCAAUGCAAACGGUUGGUAAGACACAUUAAAUAAUAUUGCAUAAAAUAAUCACAGUCACAUAACAGUUCAGAAUGUCGAUAUUACAGUUUAACUACCAAUAUUAUCACAAUAUUCAUAGUUGUAAUUUCAGAAUAUCAAAUUUCCACAUCAUUCACAAUAUUAACAUAUAUAUAAAUAUAUCAUAAUAGAAUUCUAGAUUUGUAUGCACAUGAUUUAGAAGAUGCCAUACAAUUUUGGGUUUUAACAGAAUAAACCCUACCCCACGUUACAUAUCAUAAUGGGAGUUCGCCUAAAAUCCCUUCUCCAACACACUAGGUUGUGGAUAAACCAAUACUCAUCCGCAGAUAAUAACUAUCAUUUGGCUGUGGACACACAGCAAAUCCCCACAGUUGGAUUCUAGGUUUGGCUAUGGGUUCACAGCAAAAAGUCCUGCAAAUGAAGCCUAUUUUUGCAUGUAGAUUAUACAACCUAUACCUGCAGUUGGAAUCUGCCUUUGGCUAUGGAUGCACUAUAACGCCCCAAACCUGACCUGGACGUUAUGGCUGAAUCUUGAUGUAACGCCCUAAAAUUUCUAAUUCUAUUAUUGUAAAAAUAUGACACAAAAUAUUUGUCUGCUUUAGUGGUUAUGUGUUCUGGGAGUGUUUGGGAGGUCCCAAGUUCACGUCUUUGCUUGGGCAAAUUUUGGUAUUUUGAAUGAAUUAGGCUUUACUCUUGUUCAGUAGGAUUUUAUUUGAUUGUUGGGAAAAUUAUAUCAGAAUGGGCUUGCUGGUCUAGUGGUUAAAUUGUGUGUUAUUAUGGUGAAGGUCUUGUGUUCAAAUCCUUAUGUAGGCAAAGGUAUUAUUAUUAUUAUUUUUGCUCAGAUUUCGGGAUAUAGUUGUGUAAUAGGGGGAUUCUGAGUAGUGGAUGUGUAGUGGGAAUUAGGGGAGAAGAUUAAGGGGUUUCGGGAUUUUAUUUUAUUUUUUCCCAGAACGGAAUUUUGACUCUCUUUUCCAAAAAAAUUCUGUCGUCUAUUCUUCUCCCUCUCCUCUUGUCGAUAUUCUCUAAGUUUUUUCAUCUUUCUCUUCUUUUUCUUCUUCUUGAUUUUUCCCUAAUCCAUUUAUUUUUCCUUCAUUUUCGCACGCGAUUAGUGCUCGCUUAGUUUCGGUAAGCGUUUCUCUUUGUUUUUAUCAUGAAUCUCCUAGGGACUAAAGUGGUAAUUUUUUUCUCUGCGAUUUGGGCAUAAGGGAAGGCUCGGACUGGUGAAUUCAGUAUUCUCAUCUUAUCAAUAGUUAAAUGGGGGGUUAUCGUUGGUGGUAUGUUGGGUUUCUGUUCGUUCUUGGUUGUCAAUUCGCUUGUAAAUCCAUUAAAUUGAUGUUUAGUAUCUUGAUUAUAGGCUUUGGAGUGCUUGGGGACUGUUUUAGCAUCAAACAAAACCAGGUGUGUACCCGAAACGCAAAAAAAAAGGGAUUCGGUGAAAAGUUAAAAUUGCUUGCUAUUUGGACAGCAGCAGUAGACUAAUUUUGAAAAAUCACCAUAAAUUGUGGAAAUCGAAUUAGAGGAUGAAAAAAAUAUGAAAUUAAAUCUUAUUGAGUCUAGUUUCUCAUAGAAGAAACGGUGUAAGUAAUGGAAUUGUAAAUCGUGAGAUAUAAUAAACUUUGUGAGACAAGGUUAGAAUAAAUUCGGGUUCCCCUGUUCUGAUUUUGGAAAAUCAUCAAAAAUUGGAGAAAAGUAAUUAGGAAUUAAAAUUUACAUGUUUAAAUUAUUAAUGAGUCUUUUUUUUCAAUAGAAACAAAUGGGAACUUCAUCCAAAUUUUGUACUAAAAGAUAAUUAAUUUUUAGCAAAGAAGGGUCAAAGCUGUCAGACAGCAGAACAAGGGUAAGUUUGAAGAUUUUACUGUACUUAUUAGCUGAACCAAAAAUUCUAAAAAUUUUAUGGUAGAAAGGUAUUUGAGUCUAUUUUUAAAGACAUCAAGCGAAUUUUAAUUAGAAAUUCUGUAGCACAAGAUAUAAAUAAUUUAGUAACAGUGACUCAAGUAGAAAGCUUUGAAGGAACACAUAAGUAAAUUGUGAUAACAUAUAUGAAUAUUUAGCUAACACAGGUUACACUGAAAAUGGAUCACGUGGCCAAGGCCAAUUUGGGCCGAGUGGGCCACGUGGGCGUGUGAGCCCAUUUUUUUGAAAAAUUCUGUAAGGUUGCACGGGUCACCCAAGUCGACUAUGGACCUACUGUAGGGUCAGUAACCUUUACUUAGACGCCUAUAUGUGUGAUCUGUCUAGCUGAUUUCUAUAACGAGCAUGACUUAUAAUAUCUAAAUGUAUGUACUAUUAAUUGCAUAAUGGCAUGGCAUAUUUUGUAUGUUGCAUUGCAUCGGGGUGGGUUGAUGAUAUUUGGAGGAAGUGUCUAAAGGGAUAUUAAGCCAGUUAUCUGGCAGCUCAGCUGCAACCUUCUGAUUAUGUGUCGAUUUCAGUAUAGCAUGGUGUGUAAGGAUGGGUGGGUUAAUUUAAUCCCUACAUGGUGUGUAGGGUUGGACGGAGAUGGUGUAUAGAGGCUGGUGGGUAGGAUUCUAAUUUACUAUAUCUACAUUCUGAAUCUGAUAUGGGCCAAGGCCCUAAUGUAUUUCUGAGACUGUAUCUGAACGGGCUAAGGCCCAAACUGAUUGUGUGAUGGGCCUAGGACGCAGACUGUAUCUAACUGAAUUCUGUUGAUUAUUUGUAUGCAUGUUUUCUAUGGGGAUUACACACUGAGUUUGAGAAAACUCACCCUUUCUCUGUUUAAUCUAUACAGGUAAUCCCCAAACUUGAUGGGUAGGUGCAGCGGAGGAUUCGACGGUGGCCACACGUAAAUUUCAGACUGUUUUCUGUUAAUGCCUAGAAUUUAUUAAUUAUUUGGGGUUUUUGAUGUAUCUUCUGGACUAUGGACUAGUAGGCUUUAAAUUUUAGACUUUAUACUAUUUUUUAUGUUUUUUUUAAAACUGCAACUCCACAAAACACGGUUUUUUUCUAAAAAAUAAGGAUUUUCGUAAAUAGAAAUGAUUUUCCCUAAAUUAAUUGGUUACAAAAGUUUUCUCUAAGAGACAAGUUUUAAAGCAAAUCAACUAGUUUUUUUUCAUAAUUAAAUAAAAGUUAACUUACUAUAACGAUUUUUCUUAAACUCGACAAUCUUGUCUUCAAAUCCCUUUUCAUGUGACAUCACCAGAUUCGGCCAUAACGUCUAGGCCGGGUUUGGGGUGUUACACCUGAUGAGUUACUUUAAAUCGCUUGAAAACCUAGAAAUUUACUUUGAAAUCAUAUGGUUAAACUAGUGUUCACUUUGAUAAAUCGUGAAAGUAUGUGAUUAUUGAGGACAUGCUGAGCAUGUCAAAUGAAUGUGAAAAGUAUUGUGAUAUGACUAUGUAUGAGAUUGUGUAACAUAUUGCAUAUGCAUUGGGUUGGGAUUUUUUGGUUGACGGAGUAGUUCUGUGGAGUACCGUCGGCAUAUUAAGCCCGCAUUAUUCGUAGUUAGUGCACUGCACCUGGAGUACUGAGGGGAUUGGUAAUUUUAUCGCAUAUUAUAUGUUAUUGGUGAUUGUAUAGCACUAUUUGAUAUCCGACAGAUUUUUUGCAUUAUUGAUUAUUCGGUGGUUUUACCACAUUGAGCUAUGCUCAGAAUGUUUUAGAGUUUGGUAGACGGGUUCUAGGGAACACGUGGUGUGUAGCGGAUGGUAUGGGUAGGAACCUUUUUGCAUUGCAUCAUGUGCACGACAUAUUCGAAUGUUAUUGGUUUAUGCUACGUAUUGUAUUUUUUUGUAUUGAAUGGUAUCAAAAUUAAUGAUUGUCACUCGAAUGAAUUAUGAACUAUGCUCAUACACUGUUUGACAUCAAUUUAAUAAUGGCUAUGUAACGAUAUGAAAUUCCUAUAAUGGUUUUAUUUUCUUCUAUUAAAGCUAAUAUGUUUCACUGUAUUUGAUAUUUAUGUUUGUUUAAAUAAUUGUUCGACUCACACUGAGCUUUUCAUAAGCUCACCCCUAAUAGUGUUAAACUUUUCACGUAAACCUCGAAAUUAAGACCAGACUUGGCAUUCGAAGAAUCACCUUGGACCUUGAAUUAUUUUUCUAAUAAGUAUUAAUCAAUCUCUAAUGGUUUUGGUUUGUAAUUUUUAAUUAUAUCUAGUCUGUGGCUUGAUAACUUUUCUUUUGGGAUUUUUGCAUGCAUGGAUUACUCAAGCAUAAUAACCGGAUAAUGCAUGAUAUCAGGCUUAAGUAAAAUUUGAUAUUGUUCCCUAGAUUCUGCUACAUUGCAAAGGAUUUGUUUUUGAAAAACAAAUUGAUAAGGUAACUAAGUUUUUAAAAUGACUUGAAAAAUGGUUUUUCCCCUAGAUUAGUUUAACAUCAAAUUUUUUUUAAAGGAGAGCAACAAGCAAAUGGUUUUUCUAAAACAACACUAUCAACAAUAAAAUGAAUUCUAAGUAUACACAACCUAAUGAAUGAAUGCUUUUAAGCUAACUUAAAGUACAAUUAUGGUUUUCUCUAAAAUGAGUUUAUUUAAGGUUUUCAUAAGUAAUGUAAGUUAGCUUAGCCAUUUCGGUGGCUAAUGUAGCCUUCUCAUUCUAGCCAUAACGUCUAGGCCAGGUUUGGGAGGUUACAGUAUUGAUAGGAACUGUGGUAUAAAUUUUAUUUUGGACAUUCUUAAAGUGUUAUUUGGACUAAACUUUAGAAACUAUGGAUUUUAUACUGAGCCUAAAUUUACGAAGUUCAUGCGUGGUUUUUACGAAAAUGAAACUAAUAUGAAUUUUUAAAACCAUGAUUUUUUUUAAAGCUCCAAUUUGAAAUUGUACAAGAAAUGUCAAUUUGAAUUAUUUUUGAAUGUUUUUUUAUGCCAAUAAAAUAUUGUUUCAAAACAUAGCUAAGUAUUAUUUAAUUUCGUAAAGACGAAGCAAACUCCAAACAAUCUAAAACUUUAAGGACUAGUUUGUAAUUUUUGUUUUUCCUCAAUUGUCUCUGGUUUGAUUCAAUUCUUGAUCUAUACAAUUAUUCCAUUCAAUUCAUCAAUAUUAAACAUUUAUACAUUAUGUCAUGUCAUGAAUGAACCUAGAUAAAUUCAUUUUUUGAUACCCUUAAAGUUUUACAUUUAUUUCAAUUUAGUCUCUAAAAUCGAAAUAGUCAUAACUUUAAAUUCUGAACUUCAGUUUGAAAAUCGACCUCAAUUUCAUUUUAGACUGUCUGUUAAAAAUUAGUGCAUCUUACUGGAUUUUUUAAUUUACUUGUUUUCUUUAUCAAAUAAGUUGGUUCCUAUUAUAUAGGGAUAUGAUCAGAUUAUGUUUUGUUAGUUGAGGUUUUAGUGGGCUAUUAGUUGCAGGUUUUUUAACUUUAACGUUACAUGUAGUUAAGCUAUUUAUAUGUCAUUUUAUCUAAUGUAAUUUUGUGUGUUUUUUUUAGUAAUCAAAAACGUUCUUUAAUACUUUAAGCUUUUCUUGUUAUUAUUUCUUUCAUUACCUCGGUCAUUCUUUUUUGUUUUAUGGUGUCAGUGCCAGGUUAUUCAUUGGUUAAUUGUGUGAAAGGGUGUUUUGCUAGUUGCUGCAAUGGAGGUUUCAAAUGGAGGAAAUAAUCAGAUUGGUAUGGAGAAGCUUGUAGGCACUAACUACAAGUAUUGGAGGAUGUGUAUGGAGGCAUUUCUUCAAGGCUAGGACUUGUGGGGAUUGGUUGUUGACCUGAUGCAACAAUCCCUCCCAAUAUUCUCGAGAAUGCCAAGUCACGAAGGAGGUGGAAGGUCAAAUGCGGUAAAGCUUCAUUGAUCAUGUUCAUGAUGUUAACUCUCCAAAAGAAGUUUGGGAAACGCUUGAAAGGUUGUUUACCAAGAAGAAUACUGCAAGGUUGCAAUUGUUGGAGAACGAAUUGGCCGGGUUAAAACAAUGAGGUAUGUCAGUUUUAGAAUAUUUUUUACGAGUUAAAAAUAUUUGUGCUGAAAUUUCAGAGAUAGAUACGGAUGAGAAAGUUAGUGAAGCUCGUUUGCGUCGUUAUCUUAUCCGCAGUUUGAAGAAGGAGUAUGGGCCUUUUGUCACUUCUAUUCAAGGGUGGUCGACACAGCCUUCGGUGGAGGAGUUAGAGAAUUUUCUCUCUAAUUAAGAAGCUUUGGCAAAGAAGAUGGUGAAAAGUUUCGAAUCUGAUGCCAGUCUCUUCUCAAAAGGGAAGCCAAACAAGAAGAAUGAGUCUGGAAAUAAAGGCAGAUCUGAAGACUCUAGUUCGAAAAAAGAUGGCAACUCACAAAGCAAAAAGUCUUUCAAAUGCUUCAGAUGCAGAAAGACUGGACAUAUCAAGAGAAAUUGCCGUGUGUAGAUUUCCAAGGCCAAUAUCGUGUCCACGGAAGAAACCGAUGAUCGACUCAAAUGGGAGCAUUGCUUUACUGUUGAAGCUAUUGAACAAAAGUCAUCAAAAGCUUUUGUCAAUUAUGCUGAUAACAAGAAGGAGGAGUGGAUCAUUGAUUCUGGUUGUUCUCACCAUGUAACCGGAAAUGAUACUUUGUUCUUAGAGAUGCAUGAACACCAUGGAGAUCGAGUUAUUGUGACUGCAGAUAACUCCACUCAUCCGGUAGCAAAAGAGGGCAUUGUGGUGAUCGAUGUUGUCGACGAUACGAGAACCGAAAGUGUCAAAUUGACUGAUGUGUAUCAUGUUCUAGAUGAAGCUUAUGUGAAGAAAACAAGCCAAACCGAUAACGCUGCUAUUUGGCAUGCUCGAUUGGGUCAUGUGGGGUACCAAAUGCUGCAACAAAUUUAUUCGAAAAGGUUGUUAGAUGGGAUGCCGAUCUUGAAGAGUGUACGUGAAGAUGUGAUUUGUCAAAGCUGUCAAUAUGGUAAAUCUCAUCGUCUUCCUUUCAAAAGCUCAUCAAAUCGGAGAUCUUCUUUGCUCGAAUUGGUUCAUACAGACUUGACGGGACCAACGAGAACACUGAGUUGUAGCAGCCACUGUUAUGUUAUGGUUUUGGUGGAUGAUUACUCAAGGUUCUCUUGGGUGAAAUUUUUGAAAGAGAAGAGUGAAGCAUUAUCCAAGUUUGUGGAGUUCAAAGCUGCUGUUAAAAAAGAGUUUGGAAAGAAGAUUAAGUGUCUUCGAAGUGACAAUGGCGGAGAAUACAUGUCCAAUAAUUUUUUUCAGUAUUGUGUUGACAACGGCAUCUGUCGUCAAAUGACUUGUCCAGAUACUCCAUAGCAGAACAGAGUUGCAGAAAGAAAGCUUGGUUAUCUUGCUUCGAUUUGCCUUUCAUGGCUGCAUGACAAGAAUCUUCCUCGAGAGCUUUGGGCGGAAGCUGUUCUUUGUGCAUGUCAUGUGACAAAUAGGCUGCCUCCUUGGCCAGGUACACAGAAAUCUCCUUUUGAGAUUUUAUAUGGUGAAAAGCCAAAUGUGAAUUAUUUUCGAGUCUUCGAUUCUAUUUGUUAUGUACAUGUUCCGAAAUCGAAAAGAACUAAACUUGAUCCGAAAGCAAAAAAGUGUGUAUUUGUUGGCUAUGAUUCUUAUAGGAAGGGAUGGAGGUGUAUGGAUCCGGAUACAAAGAAGUUUACUACUUCGAGAGAUGUCGUGUUCGAUGAAGUAUCAUCUUUCUACUCCACUCAAAGAUUUGCUGCAGAAAAUAUUAUUCUUGAAGAUGAUGAUGAAAACUUGGAUGAGCUAUUUCCAAGAGUUAAUUUGCAACCAUUCAUUGAUGAUGAGUUGGAAAAUGAAUCUCCAACACCAACUCCAAGUCAAAAUGUUCAAUGACAUGAAGGUGGUUAGCAACAGAGUGAGGAGGUCUACUAGAGAAACGAGACAACCUGAGUAUCUCAGAGACUAUGAGGUGCAGCUUAAUCAUUGUAGUAUCACUUCUUGUUUCUUUGUUUGAGCGUUUGAUGAAGAACCAGUAAGUUAUGAGAAGCCAAAAGCCAUUCAAAAUGGGAGGCAGCCAUGAAAGAAGAAAUUGAAGCUUUAGACAAAAAUGAGACGUGGGAGUUGGUUCUUAAACCAGAAAAUUGUAAGCCGAUCACUUGUAAAUGGGUUUUUUGCGUGAAGAAAAAAUUAGAUGGCACCAUUGAUAGAUUUAAAGCUCGUCUGGUGGCUCGUGGUUUUUCUCAAAAUUAUGGAUUGGACUACGAGGAGACGUUUAGCCUAGUAGCAAAGAUGGUGACGGUGAGAUCGAUUAUUUUGCUUGCUGCGUUUAAAGGUUGGAGACUAUGGCAACUUGAUGUAAAGAAUGCUUUCUUUACGGAGAUUUAGAUCGUGAAGUAUUUAUGGAGCAACCUAUUGGCUUUGUCUCUAAGGAAUUUCAAAAUCGUGUUUGCCGUUUGAAGAAAGCGUUAUAUGGCCUUAAGCAAGCGCCACGAGCAUGGUAUGGUAAAGCUGCUCAAUAUCUCAUUUUUUGUGGCUUUAGAGUUUCUGAAUCAGAUUCUAGUUUAUUUAUAAAAUUGGAAUCAGGUGCACAUCUCUUGGUAUUAUUAUAUGUUGAUGAUAUGAUAAUAACUGGAGAUAAUGAAUCAGAAAUUUGUAAUUUGAGGAAUGACUUGUCUGUUCGUCUUGAGAUGAAAAUUUUGGGGGAGAUUGGAUGUUUUCUUGGUCUAGAAGUGGAAAAAUCAGAUCAAAGUUGUUAUAGCCCGAUUUUGGGUCUAGUCAGAACAGUGGUUUUGGGACCACAAAUUCAACAAAAAGAAAAUGGGUAAAAAAUAUUAUUAAUUUAGUAAGUAUAAGUUAAAUGUGAAGUUAGGAAAAUUUUUUAAAUACUGAAUAGUGCACUAGAAAUAAAUAUUAAAAUAAUUAGAAUCGAAAUGAGGUAUCAAGACCUCGGGGAUUUUAAACCGAGCCAUAAAUAUUUUUAUAAAUAUUUAUGGAGUGUUAAAAAGUUAGUAUUAAAGUUUCGUUAGGAAAUUUUAAAGUUCCGAUAAUUAAUUGAACAAAAAGGACUAAAUUGUAACAAAUGCAAAAUUUUGGGAAAUGAUUAAGUAGCUUAAAUGAUAAAAGGAAGAGGGCUUAAAAGGCAAAUAGACCCAAGGUUUAUUUGGGCUGGACGGCAAAGGCAUGAAAUCAGCAAGAAAGUAAGGAGAAUUAAGGGCAAAAUUGGAAUAUUGCAAAAUUUGCUUAAUAAAGUUAGGACCCAAGUGGAAUUAUCUAGAUUUCUCUUCAUUUUUCUGAAUUCUCAUCAGCAAAAACACCAUGGAAGGGCUUCUUCAAGCUGGUUCUUCAUAUUUUUACUACAAGUAAGUUCAAUUCUUGACUAUUUCUUGAAAUUUUUGUAUUUUUAUGACUUUUACAAUUAGGCUCACUUGUUAAAUUCAUUAGUUUUUGAUUUUAUGAAAGAAGUUGAAAGUUGAUAUGAAUAUGUGCUGGAAUUAUAUGAUGAUUUAGCAUGGAAUUAGAGCUUUAAAUUGUUCAUAUGCUGAUUUUAUUGAAAGAAUUGAAUAGAAAGUGAAUGUUUGGGACCUAAUAGUAAAAGAGUUUGAAGAUAGAAUUAUAUGUGGAAAUUCUGAAUUUCAAUAGUUGUGUAACAACUUAUAAUGUCUAGGUAAAGUAUUAAUUCAGAAAAUUGGAUUAAUUGAGGGGUUAAUUGAGAAAGGACCGAAUUGUAUAAACUGUAAAAUUUGGGGCAAAAUGGAAAUCAACAUUUUGCACUAAAGCAGUUUUGGACAGCAGCAGUAGUGUAACUUUGAAAAAUCACAAAAAAUUGUAGAGAUUGAAUUAGAGGAUGAAUAAAAUAUGAAAUUAAAUCUUAUUGAGUCUAGUUUCUUAUAAAAGAAACGGUGUGAGCAAUGAAAUUGUAAAUCAUGAGAUAUAAUAGAUUUUGUGAGACAAGGUCAGAAUGAAUUCGGGUUCCCCUGUUCUGACUUUGGAAAAUCAUUAAAAAUUUUACAAAAAUUAUUAUGAGUUAUAAUUUAUAUGGUUAGAAUCCUUAAUGAGUCUAUUUUUAUAAGAAACAAACAAAAACAGCAUCCGAAUUCUGUACAAUGAGAUAAUUAAUUUUUAGUGAAGAGUGGUCGGAACUGUCAGACAGCAAAACAGGGAAAAAUUUAAAGAAUAAACUGUACUAUUUGGCUAAACAAAAAAUUCUGAAAAUUUUAUGGAAAUAAUAUAUGUGAGUCUAGUUCCAGGUAAAAUUAACGGAUCUUAAUUUGGAGCUUUUUAGCUCCGGAUAAAAAUAAUUUAGUGACUCUAACUCAGACAGACAGCCUAAAUUUUUCAUACAAGAAAAUAGUGAAAGUAUGAAUAAUGUUGUUUAAAUGUGUUAUACACAUUAAGGAUGAGGAAUGGAGAGGAGGUGGAGGAAAAUUGGGAAAUAUAUGAAUGGUUUAUCAUGUUGUUAGUUCCAAAAAGAGUUAUGUUUCAAUACACUAGCUUGCAACUAUGGUUGAAUGAUAUGUUUAUAUCUUGUGUGAUGUGCAUAGGAAACAAGUGUGGAAAGAUAAUGAAAUAGUAAGUUCAUAUGGCUGAAAUUUAAUGGUUAAAUGUUAAUUCCAUGAAUUAUAUGAUGUAUGAUGAGAUAUUUUUAUUGUUGAAAUAAGAAUAAAAUAAAAGUGCGAAAGCUGAAUAAAUGAUCAAAUUGAGCGGAACGCCGGAUUUGAGUACUUCUGAUCAAGUGACAAAGUGAUAAGUGAUAGCUUUAGCUACACUUAUUUGAUCAAGAACAAGUGAUAAGCGGUGACAAAGUGAUAAGUGGUAGCAUUAGCUACACUUAUCUGAUCAAGUGAGAAAGUGAUAAGUGGUAGCAUUAGCUACACUUAUCUAAUCAAGUGAGAAAGUGAUAAGUGGUAGCCUUAGCUACACUUAUCUGAUCAAGUGACAAAGUGAUAAGUGGUAGCCUAGCUACACUUAUCUGAUCAGGGACAGGUGAUAAGUGAUCAUACGUAAGACCAUAGUUAUACUAUGGCAAAGUGAAAGUGAAGUACUCAAUUUUCCGUGACCGUUCCCUAAUUUGAUUAAGGAUGGUAAGUGACAAAUGAGCCCAAAAGAAUUAAAGUAAAUGGAUAAGUGGUAGUAUAUUUAUAUCAGGACGAUGUUGUUAUUCAAGCUAAAGUGAUAUUUUCAUUGCAAAAUUGAGAAUUUCAUAAAUGUGUUAUUGAAUGGUAUAAUCAAUAAACAUUGAGUUAAAUGGUAAAUACGUAAUAGUGUUGAACUUGAUGUCAUUGAAUUGUAUGUGAAUUAAAUGGAAAUUGCUAGUGAUAUGAUGUAAAUUGUGAGCAUGAGAAAUUGCGACUUGAAUGAAAUGGAAAUGAAGCAUUGAAUUGCAUGAGUAUGUAUCGGGUCUCAUAGGCCCUAAUUAUUAUGAUUAUAAUAUUUCGAGGAUAUAUUGUGAAAAGUUAUAGAAGCAUGUUAAUUAUUUUGAAAGUUUAAAUUUAUAUGAAAUUUUAUAACUCGGUUAAAUAUGCUUACAAGUGCAUAUGUUUUGGUGAUACCUCGUACCCUAUUUCGGCGUUGGAUACGGGUAAGGGGUGUUACAAGGUUACUUUGUUUCUCAAAAAGGCUAUGCAAGGAAUCUCUUGGAGCUUUUCGGUAUGGGGGAGUCGAAAGAAAAAGCUACUCCGAUGGAGCCGAAUUUGAAGUUGAAGAAAGAUGAUGGGAGGCCGUUGGAAGAUGCAAGGAAGUUUCGACAACUUGUUGGAAGCUUAAUCUAUUUGACCAUUACAAGGCCUGAAAUUUCAUACUCUGUUAGUGUUGUUUCUCAAUUUAUGCAAAAUCCAACAAUUAUUCAUAUGGAUGGAGCAAAGAGGAUUUUGCGUUAUGUUAAAGGAACUAUUGGUUAUGGUCUUCUAUACAAGAGAUGUGAUAGCUUUAUGUUGAGUGGAUUUACUGAUGCUGAUUGGGCUGGAGAUACAAACGAUCGUCACUCGACUUCGGGAUAUUGUUUCAGUAUCAAUUCAGCAAUGGUUUCUUGGUGUAGCAAAAAGCAAGGUGUUGUUGCUUUGUUGAGUAUCGAAGCCGAGUAUCUGGCAGCAACUAUGGCUGCACAAGAGUGCAUUUGGUUGAAGAGGUUGAUUGGAGACAUAUGCAAAGUUAAUUAUGCUGUAAAAAUCAAGUGUGAUAAUGAAAGUGCUAUUAAGCUUGCAUCGAACCCGGUUUUUCAUGCUCGAACGAAGCACAUCGAGGUUCGACAUCAUUUUGUUCGAGGAAAGGUUCUAAGUGAAGAGAUUGAGCUUGUAAACAUUCGCACCAACGAUCAAGUGGCUGAUAUUUUCACUAAGGCUUUGGUGAAGCCUAAGUUUCAUCAAUUUAGAGAUGCUCUUGGAGUUCUUGAUCGUAAGCAUGCACUAAGGGGGAGUGUUAAAAAUUAGUGCAUCUUACUAGAUUUUUUAAUUUACUUGUUUUCUUUAUCAAAUAAGUUGGUUCCUAUUUUAUAGGGAUAUGAUCAGAUUAUGUUUUGUUAGUUGAGAUUUUAGUGGGCUAUUAGUUGCAGGUUUUUUAGCUUUAACGUUACAUGUAGUUAAGCUAUUUAUAUGUCAUUUUAUCUAAUGUAAUUCUGUGUGUUUUUUUUUUAGUAAUCAAAAACAUUCUUCAAUACUUUGAGCUUUUCUUGUUAUUAUUUCUUUCAUUACCUCGGUCAUUCUUUUUUGUUUUACUCUCUACUAUCCAUUAUUAUCAAAAUUUCACAUCAAUUUCACAAUUUAUUUACUUUAGUUAUUAUGUACAAAAUUAACAACCAAACAUCACAAUUUAGUCAUUUUUCAUAAUUUAAGCUUAAAAUCUAUAAAUUUAACACCAAUUUCUUCAAGAAAUCAACCAUGAAAUCUAUAAAAAAAAUUUAACAGUUUUGCAAAUUGAUACAUAGGUUAUUUAAAUCAAACUCUCAUGACCUCAGAAACACAAAAAAAAUUAUACGAAAAUGAUUUAGAAAUGCAUACCAAUUGAGGACCGAAAGCUUGAAGCUCAAAAAUGGCUUUUCCCCUUGAGGUUUUAUGUUGAUUAGAUGAAGAAGAAGAAGAAAUAAAGAUGACAACUUGCACUAAGUCACCUUUAUAUACUUAGAUUAAAUCUUAAUUAAUCAAAUUUAAUUAAUUAAAUCUUAAUUAAUUAACCUUAAUCACAAUUAAUAAAAAUUGGUGGAUGUUAACAUCAUCCUACACUAUUUGAUAUAACCAAAUGAUCUAUUUACCAUUUUGAACCUUUAGCUAAUUAGAAAUCUAUAGCGAUAAGACUUUCAAAAUUUAGUCUCUGUAUCUUAAUUAAGCAAUUAAUAGACAAAGUUGAAGGUUUAAAUUUUAAUGUUCUAUUAUACCAACUCUGUAAAUAUUCAUAUUUAAUAUUUACAGACCUGAAUUACGAAAAUGAGAUUUUGAAAUUGUAUUUUCCAGUACCACUGAAAAUCGGACAAUUACGUAACCUAUUUGCACCAAUGGGCCAAACAUGGCAAAUACUUGACAUGUAUGUCUUAAUAUCCUCAUCUAUUCUCUUCAAUAUAAUAACAUCCAAUAAUUGUUCCAUCCACUGUAACUAUCACGAAGAUUAGAUUGACCAAUACAGCCUACAAUUUGAAGAAGCGCGAUAUUUUCAUUCUAGAGAAAGAUAUAAUUGAAACAAAAUUGAAAUAAAGAUUUCAAUACAGAAUCAACAGACAUUCCAGCUAAUACUUAUCAAUUAUUUGCAGCUUUAUUGCUCCAACUAAGAUGGUUUUUAGUCGAAUAUGGUAAAUGAAAUCAAUGAACACCAGCUACUUGAUGAACGAGUGAAUCAAAGUCCUGAUAUGUGCCGGCUUAUUGGUGAAAAAAUACAUGGGCUAGUUUUGCAGCAAUUCAUGAUCUUACAUUUUAUAACCUUUGCUUACAAUUAUUCACUGACUAAUCAUUCAAUGAAUGUAGGCCUCAAAUUUAGCCACUAAACUUUAUUCUUUAUUUUUAGAUACAUAUUAUUUGAUCACUUCAUACAGCCUAUUACUCAUAAUAACUUCCAAUUUCCCUUCUUUAGGUUAGUUGCAAAUGUACAGCUUUUUCUAGAAGAAGAAAAUUGUCAAGAGCCACCUGUUCAAGAGAGGCGCAAACAAAAUGUAAAAAUACCUGACCUACUUACGGUACAGCCAAGUAAUCAUGUCUUUCUAUGCUAGAUCAUUAAAUCAAUGACUACAAAUUUCAUGCCAUGGUCGUGUAUCAUUUAUGCCAUUGAUGCUGCUAUUUUCUAUUCUAAUGCAUAAUAGGGAUUUAGUGUUUUUACCGUUAAAAUUGUGUCCUUUAAUUUUGGCUCUUUUCAGUUGUUGAUCAUGUCCACCUAUGCUUUAUUUUACUACUAUUGCUUUCUGUAAUGAUAGAUGAUUGAAUCGGUAGAAUUUUAUUAAUCCUCAACAUGUUUUAUCUUGACAUAUGGAUCCUAAGCAUUCCUUGGAUUGUGCCCUUUUUGUUCAUUUAUUUUUUCUUGGAACCUUAUUACAUGUUGUACCACUCCAGCUUUUUGGAGACAAUGAAGACGACUAACUGCUGAAUUCUUUCUUCUGCAGAGGAACCAAUGGCACGAGACUCAAAAAAUCCUACUCUUUUUUAUACCUUCCUCACCUCUUUGUGACAUUAUAGCUGAAAAAUGAUGUAUGCUAAUACAUGAAAUGUUUCCUCUUGCCUUUCUUUUUGUAGUACUAAAACUACAAAUAGUGUUUGCAAAACUCUUUAGAGAAAAACAAAUGUCUGUAAAUCUCUUUACCCGUAAUCUUAUCUUUUCCUCAUUGUAAUAGUUGGAAAACUUUUUAUUUGAAAACGAUGUCAACUACUGGGAUAAGUUAUUGUAAGCAUCUUAAGUGUUUCAUAUUAAAAACAAACACUGUUAUUGUUUAUUUUGUAGUCUAAAUUAUGAUAAUUUCUGCACAAAAUUCACAUAAAUGGUUACCCUCCCGAAGCAGAGCGAGGGUGAUGCAUACUAGUUAUUAAGAAAACAGGACCUUGUAGGGCUUAACUGUUGAAUCAAGAAAGAAAUUUCUUUUAAUGCCUUCAAUUGUAACAUCCCGAUUUUGGGCCUAGUCGAAACAAUGGUUUCGGGACCACAAAUCCGAUGAGGAAAAUUUUAUUUUUACUAUAUUAUUAUGGCCUAUAAUUUCACGGAAAGAUUUCUUGAAAAUUUCGUUCAAAAAUUUUGACGUUAGGGCACUCAAUUUAGCCAAAAGGACUAAAUUGUAAAAAGUGCAAAAGUUGAGUUUUAUUGGUUAAAGGUACUUAAUUGCUAUGGAAUUAUAACUUAGGGGUCCUUAUAUGGUAAUUAGACCAUUAGUUAGUGAUGGACAAAAAUGAACAUAAGUGAAAUAGGAUUUUUUUUAUGUAAGGGUAUUUUAGUCAUUUAGUAAAUAAAUAGAAUUAAAAGGGAAAAAUAUGUAAAAAAAAUUGUGUUCAUCAUCUUUGCUAGGUGCCAAAAUUUGAAGGAAGCCAUAGCUAGGGUUUCUUCACUUUCUCAAGCUCAUAAUCGAGAAGAACGAAAUUUGGAGGUAGAUCGGGGAAAGAAAAAAAUUGAGGACUAAAGUGUUAGAUUUGAUCACAUUUUUGUACCGAGGUAAGUUUACAGUAAAUAAAUGCAAUAUUUCAAUAAUUAUUAUUAAUGCUGUAUUUUUUAGCAAUUAUGUAUUUAUUUCAUGAAUAUAUUUAAUGUUGACUCAAGUAUGAGAUGACAGAGAAUUAGUGACACAAGCCUCAUUGAAACACUAGGAAUGUAUUGGAUACAAAUGCCAUGACAUUUGGGUAAAGAGGUCCCAUGUAAGACCAUGUCUGGGACAUGGCAUUGGCACCGAGAUGAGAGGUCCCCCGUAAGACCAUGUCUGGGACAUGGCAUGGGCACCGAUAUGAGAACUCCCAUGUAAGACCAUAUUUGGGAUAUGGCAUUGGCAGUACAGGAAACAUCCCAUGUGAGACCAUGUCUGGGACAUGGCAUGGGCACCGAUAUGAGAACUCCCAUGUAAGACCAUAUCUAGGAUAUGGCAUUGGCAGUAUGGGAAACAUCCCAUGUGAGACCAUGUCUGGGACAUGGCUUUGGCAUGUUAUUAUCAGAUAUGAGACCCAAGUAUCCUUAUUAUUCCAAUGUGACUCAACGGGCUAGAAAACAGAUUAUGUUCUACGAAAGUUCAAGUAAAAGUAUAAUUAGCAACUUCAGGUGAGUUAUAAGAGUUAAGAACAUAUUAUGUUAUUAGUGAGAACCAAUAUUUUAGCAAGAGAAGAGUAAGUUGUAAUCUUAAGCUAUCUAAGUAGAUAAGUAAGUAAACAAGUAAAUGAGAGUCAGUAAAGAGAAAACUUAAGAACAUGAUACUUGUAUAUCAUUAUUUAUGUUAAAUGAUGUCAUUUAUUUAUUUGUAAACUUACUAAGCUUUAUGCUUACUUCUUUUAUUUCUUUUUCUUUCAUAUAGUAUUAUCAAGCAUAGUCGGGAUCUUGAAGACGUCGGAGAGUGUUCACACUAUCAACCACCACAACUCGGUAUUUUAAGACGAUAAAUAUUUUGGGCUAUGGCAUGUAUAGGGACUUGGUCAUUUCAAUUGUAUAUUCUUAAAAUAUGACCAAAAGAUGAUAUGUAAAUGCUUGAUGAUGAAUAGUUAUUAAAAUGGCUAAGUAUGAAGGUGUUUGUGGUUAUAAAUGUCUAGGUUAUAAAUUAUGCAUAGAAAUCAUGAAAGAGUAAAAAUUUGUAGUGAAUCAGUUUUGAGACAGCAGUAGUGACGUGAAUUUGAAAAAUCACCAAGGAUAGUAGAAAAUGAAUUAGAGAGUGGAUGAGAUAUAGAAUUAAAUCUUAUUGAGUCUAUUUUUAUAGAAAAAUAACAGUGUAGACAAAGAAAUGAUAUAUUCCGAGAUAUUUGCAUUUUAGUUAGACAAGGUCAAAGUUGUUUUCGGAAUCCCCUGUUCUGAAUUUGGAAAAUCAUUAAAAAUUGUAAAAAAAUAUUUAUGAGUUUUAAUUUAUAUGUAGAGAUUCCUUAUUGAGUCUAUUUUCUUUAGAAAGAAUUUAGAACACUAUAUGAAGUAUGUACAAUGAGAUAAUUUAAUUUUAGUGACAAGAGGUUAGGACAGUUGAUUAGUGAAACAGGGGAGACUUUAACUAAUAAACUGUACUAAUUGGCUAAACCAAAAAUUCUGAAAAGUUUACAGUAAAAAUUUAUAUGAGUCUAGUUUCAGGGAAAAUUUAUGGAUCUCAAUUUCAAGUUUCAUAGCUCGAGUUAUAAUUAAUUUAGUAACUAUUGUGCAAGUGAAUAGACUUACUAUGAACAGUGAAUUAACUUUUAAAACUAAAUUUUUAUGCCCCGAACUUUUAAGUUAGUCAAGUAACGCCUCAUGCUCGACUCCGGAAAUGGACUCGGUUAAGGGGUGUUACAUCAAUUUUUUUUAAAGCUGAUUUUUUUUUUUACGAAUUAAAGUUUUGAUUGUAUGUUAAUUGCUUGAGGGAAGGUCGGAUACUUUAUUAUCCCUAUUUUUAUUUGUUAUAUAUUUUAGCCAUAAUGAUUUUUUUGGCUCUACAACUUUACCAAAAAAAUCAUAUUAUCUUUCAUUUAAUUUUCAUCUCUUUUAACCCUUUAACUUGUAUUUUUUUAUCAAAUCACCCCAAAAUGGAUCGAAAACUUAACAUUUGUAAACUUUGAUGAUGUGGCAUACACAUUAAUUGUCACAUGGAUGACAAGUCAACAUUUUUUAAAAAAAACUUAAAAAUAUUAAAGAAAAUAUUUUUGAUAUUUUUAAUGAUUUUUUUAAUUAAAAAAGUUUUUAUAUAUUUUUAAUUUUUAAAAAUUAAUUAAACACAAACAUAGAAAUUCGCAUCUAUGUGUCACAGGCCACAAAUUAAAGCCUGCGACCAUUUCGCAUAGAACACCCCAUAGAGGUCAAUUUAUUAAACGUGGUUCAUUUGACCCGCAUGAACUGGCUCGAAUCGUGGAACCCGUAGAGAAACCCAUCUACUUUAAGCCUUGGUGGUCUAGUGAAAUACUCCAAUAAAACUAGAGUUACUAGGGUAAAUAAUGUAAAUCUUAAAUGGAUAAGAUUGUAUAGAGUUUAAAUUCCUUAUAACUCUCAAUUGUAGAUAAGCGGUAACAUUAAUCAUCGAUGUAACUCAAUCUGUAUCGUUGCUUCUAGGAAGCUCAACUAUAACUAGAGGUCUCCCUCUUCAUUUGUAAUCAUUCCAUUCAUAGUUGUGAAUAUAUUUGAGAGCAUUUACUCAAACACCUUGUGUGCAUUGCUUUUCUUUGGCUAUUCUGCUCUUUCGAGCUUCUGUCUUUGAGUGUCACAUCCCAAAAUUGGGCCUAGAAGAAAUAGGGGGAAAAUUGAGUUUUAAUUUUUUUUUAACAUAGGGUAAGGGAAGUAGAAUGCCUUAAAAUUAAUUUUUUGCUAUAAAUCUAAUAAGAAUGAGUUUGUUGGUUUAGUGCUAAGGUCAUAGCCUACCUAUAGGUUCCAAGUUUGAACCCCUUGGUGAGCAUUCAACCAAAAUAUUUUUAUUUUCUUGUUUUUACCGCACCAAAAGUGACGAAUUUUAAAAUAACCCAGCCCAAAAACUAUAUUUUUUUAAAAUUUAGUCCUUAAUUUAAAAUUUUUCCCAAACCUACAUAAAUUUUUAAAACCUAUUCCAAUUAGGAAAGAUAAGUAUUAUAAAUAAACAAUUUCAAAACAAACCCUAGAAUUUCAUCUAGCAAUUUUUCGAGAAAACAUCCAUAAACACUUUAUUUUCCAAAUCAAACUUUCAAGCGAAAGGAAUCGAAAUCUUCAAAAUCAUCCCUCAAGUAGAUCUUCAAUCUCUUCUCCAACACUAAGGUUUUAAGUCUUCAAAAUAGGUGUGGGAACUAAACCUAAAUCUUUGUGUAUAAUUGAAUCUAAUAGCAUGUAGAGAACCAGUAUUGGCGAACCCUAGGAAAACCCCCCUGUAUGUGCGAUCAUGUAGGUGCGAGCCUGUAGAUGCGAAACCCCUUACACAUGAAAACCCCAUGCAUGCGAACCCUUACGUGAAACCCCCCCUUUCAUGCGAACCCUGUAUGAAUACCAUGCAAACCCUAGGUUGUUAUGUGGAUACUCAUACUGUGAACACAUGUGCACAAACAUAUAGGAAUAUUCAUGUGAACCCUACUAUUAGAUGCGAACCCCCUUAUACGUGAAAACCCCCUUGCAUGCGAACCCUAGUUAGUAUACAUACGAGUCUCAUAUUUACAUGCGAACCACUACUAGUGCGAGUCAAUUAUAUGAUACCACAUGCGAACCCUACUAUUACAUGCAAACCUUUAUACAUGUUAUAUUCUAACUUUUUUUGUUAAAAUAGGUGAGACUUGUCUAGUAUUACAGACGACCCUACAUAUACCUAAUUUGCGAACUCAUAUGUUAAAAGUAUGCAAAACUAUCUAUGUUUGUUAUGUGAACUCACAUGUUAGCAGUAUGUGAACCUAUAUAUAUCAGUUAUGCCAACUCACAUGUUAGCAGUAUAUGAACCCAUAUGUCUGUUAUGCAAACUCACACGUUGGCAAUAUGUGAACCCUAUAUACACCUUUAUGCAAACUCACACAUUAACAGUAUGCGAACCCUAUAUACGCCUUUGUUGAUGUUAGUUCCCAUGCAUCUUGUGGUGCAGCAAUCGUGGCCAUGCAGGUCACAUGGAGAAAAGAAGCAGCACAUGAAGGCAGUAACUGGAGCUUGUGGAUGCUGUCCAAAUUCAACUUAUUUUGUUGGUUUGAUUUUAUAGUUUGUAACUUAGUUCUUUUGGAACUUUCUUGGUAAAACUUUCGAUGUAUUUUUUAUGUUGAUUGACUGAAAAUUCAGCAAAGCAACUUAUGCAAGCUAGUUUAGCAAUUUUCAAUGUAUUAAGUGGUGUUAGGUAAGUGUUUAGGUAGUAUUUUGACUUGUAAGCUUAACUCAUGUUUGAUAUAUGUAAUGGCAACUUGCCAAUGCCUUGUUAAUGAAAAAAUUCAGCUUGUUUUCAAUUUCUGUUCUUAAAAACAAAAAGGUUUCUACUUUGUUUCUUCUCCAAGUCACGAGGCUUGCUGACAAAGCAAAGCUAAAUCAGCUUGCUCACUGCCUUUGACUCCAACAGCCUUUAUACAAACUCACACGUUAGCAGUAUGCGAUCCUUAUAUACGCCUUCAUGCAAACUCAUACGAUUAGCAGCAUGUGAUCCCUAUAUUUAUGCGAACCCUUCUAAUAACAAAUAUGCGAACCUUAACUUGCGAACCCUAGGCAGGAACCCUACACUCGCAAAGCCUUCUUCUGAACCUGUACAUAUGCUAGAUAACCAAGCCUAUUAGUUUACGUUAAAUCACUGUACAUAUGAGAUUGUUUGUUUACUUGCACAAAUUAUAUGUGUAUUUACUAUUCGAUACAAGAGUACCUAUCGACCUUUUGAUGAGAAUUCAGAGAUUAAUGAUGAUAAUUCCAACAAUCGGUGGAAGAACAAGUUAAAUCGAGAAUUGGUGUAAUUUAAGGUAAUAAAGAUUAAAUUUUCAGUAAUAAAUAUAAAAUUGUUAUGGAAAGAAAUGAUGGGUAAAAAAAUGAGAGUUUUAAACAGAAGAGAGGAAAACUUCAAUUUAGGGUUGAAGAGGAACUAAAAAUCCAUGUGAAAUUAGGAAAAAAAUAUUAAAUACCUAGGAUUAAAAAAUUUGAGGGGGCUGAAUGGUAAAAUACCCUUUUUGCUUAAAAAUGAAAAGAAAUGGAAAUGGGGAUUGAGUUUGGCAUGACUUGAACCUUGGAAGCAAAGGAAAAAAUUGCAAAGGCCAUACCAUUUGGGUUGCUACCUACAUUUGGCAUAUUUUUACACUAUUUAAUAUAUAUCCUAGCUUAGUUUUGAUCAUAGGUUGUUGAAAAAAAAACAAGGGGUAAGAGUGUGGCUUCAACCUUAGUUCUCUAGUUAGUAUACUAAGCUCUUAACCAUUAAGAUUAAGGCUCAUCUCUUAGUCAAUUAAUUCAUCUAACUCUAUAUAUUUUGGUGUGUUACAUCUUGAAUUAAAAAAACCCAUAAAAUGCAUGUAGACUUGUAUUGCUUGGUACUUGGUAGUAUAUAUGUAGACUUGUAUGUUGAUUAAGCCACCUUAAUUAAGACCAAUGUGUUAGACUUGUCUAUGCAUUGAACAAUUUAGAAGAAAAUGAAGAAAAAGACUCUAAAAGCACUUGAAAACAGAUAAAACUCAUAUGUCAUUGACUAGUUAAAUGUGGUCACCCAUAAUAGACCCUGUAUUUGACUUUUUGUUGAGGGAGAUUGACUCCUUUGGGAGAAGUCUCCUGAGUGUUGUUUGUCAAGCAGUCAGGGUUGUCCUAAACAACUAAAGGUAUUGUCCCCAUGUCGAGAUUUUAUCCCUAGCCUCUGCAAAAUAAUCAUGGAGAAUAUGUGCGAGAGAAUUCAAACACCAACCAAUGCAUGUGUAGCCUUUACCUUGCCACCAUCUUUGGGAACCCAUAAGGAUAAAAUCCCAACGAGAGAAUAGUAUCAUCUAUUGAGGGGUCUGUCAACCCAAUAAAUGAAAUUUAAAUGCAUACUUUUUUUUUAAUGAAAGUAAAUAUCAUAUUUAAUUAGAGAAAAGCAAUGAAAAAUCCAACAAUAAAAUCCUUAGCAAAAGAUUAAAACACAAUUGUACCAUAAAUUAAAUAAGAAACUAAAAAAAUUCAAAUCUAACGAAGACAAUAACUUGAUUCCUCAAAGCCACCAUAAACAGUAAUUCAUACGAAGGCCUGUUGCUCAUUUUAUAGGUUUCCAUUUUGAUUUUGCAAAAGAAGUUUGAAUUCCGAAGCGAGCCUAGUACAUGAGAGAAAAUUGUCGAAACCGUCUUUUUGAAAACAAAAAUUUAGUUGUCGACUUUAAAAAUAAAACUGGAGUCGCCACCGAUCCUUUAUUAGGGUGUGAUCGGCUCACCUUAAAAAUUAUUUUGGUCUACGAGCUUUAAGAAAACGAGUCCGGGAGUAAGUUACGCAUGAGGAAGGGUUAGCACCCUCGUAACGCCCAAAAUCGGUACCAAAUCGAUUAUUUAAUGUCUUAGUGUCGUGGACUAAAAAGAAGUUAAAAAAACCAAAUGAUGAAAUCAGAAAAGGAUAAUCAAUUGUUCAAGACAUGUAAAGAAAUCGAGUCCCAAUACGUUAGGGUACAAUUUCUCAAAAUUCCCGAACUUUGAAUAUCGCUUUUAUUUUAUGCGAAAACAUUCAUUGUGAGAAAGUAACAUGCCACACCCAAUACGUUAGGACACGACAAGUUAAGUUCCAAAAAAUGAUUUUUAUACUCAUGCAUUUUGAAUAAAAAAUAUUCUCGAUUAUUUAAAAUUAACAAAGAAAAUCGGAACCCAAUACGUUAGGGCUCAAUUUUCUCAGAAUUCCAAAUACCGAAUUGUGCCUUUUAUUCGAAAAUUCUUAUUUCGAGAAGUCAAAAUAUCAUGACCAGUAAGUUAGGACUUGACAUUUUUUGAUUCCCGAGAACAAGCUUCUAUUUGAAAUUUGCAUGAAUUUAUUUCAAAAUAAAUACCUGGUUUUCUAAAUUCACCAAGAAAUAAUCGCAAUCCAGUAAGUUAGGAUACUGUUUUUCUCGAGAAUCAUGAAUGCCAAAUAUUUUGGAAUUUUAUAAAAUAUGAUGAUUUUAAUGCUUUGACAGAACCAAAAUAUAUUUUCUUUAAAAAGUGUAGAAAAAUACUAAUGUAUCACAUAAAAUCAAUAUUUUAAUUUUAAAUUAUAUGCAUAUAUGUAUUUUCAAAAUAUAAGUAUGAUACAUAAAUAAAUUUUGAAAAUAUAAGUAUGAUACAUAAAUAAAUUUUGAAAACAUGUAUAUGCACAUAUUAAAACAAGUAUAUAUAAGUAUACACAUAUAAAAUAAAAUAAUGAAUGAGAUAUGUAUAUCAAAAUAAAAAUUAUCAAAAUUUCUACAAAAAAAAAUCAUGUAUGUAUAUACGUAAUGAAAAUUGUAAAAAUAAAAAUAAAAAAUAUGCAGAUGUGUAUAUAUUUACAAAAAAAAAUUUAAGUAUACAUGCUUUAGUAAAACAGAAAUAAUAAUAGUAUAUGAAGAAAUUAGGAAAAUGUGUAUAUAGAUGUACAUAUAUAAAAAAAAUGCAAAAAUAUAUUUACAAUAAUUUUGAAGGGCGUACGUGUAUAUCAAUAUCUAUUUAUGCAUAUAUAUUAUAAAAUAUGAAAGAAUAUAUAACUAUAAUAGAAAUAUAAAUGUAUAUACGUAUAUAUGUAUAUAAAAGCUAAAAAAGAAAUAAUAACAAUAUAUAUAUAUAUAAAUAUGUAUAUGUAUUAGAGAAAUAUUUAAUAUAUAUAUCUAUUAGCAUACAUAUGCGUAUGUAUGUAAGUAUAAUUAUAAUACUAUAUAAUAUAAUAAUAAUAAUAAUAGUAAUAAUAAUAAUAAUAAUAAUAACAAAAACUACAAAAAAAACCUUAAAAAGCACCAUUAAGGAUUAAACUGAGAGCUAAACGAAGUUAAAAGGCCAAAUUUAAAAAUAGAAAACACCAGGAAGGACAAAGUGAUACGCGCGCCAUGAGAGGAGGACUUAAAAAACAAUUUUCCCAAGUCGCUGAAGCACUGUGCAGUGACAUGGAUUAAAUCGUCACGCGAGCAAAAUAUUUGGGCCGAAUUUAAAAAGGAAAAAAAACUUGAUUGAAACACGUAGCAAAAGGGGAAGGGCUAAAAUAUAUAACAAAAAAACACAAAAAGUCAAUCUGGUAAAUCGAUGUUGGGUACUCUAAUUUUAGGAUUCAGAAGGCUUAAGAGUGUUUUCGCAUCAAAAUCGUACUAGGUGUGUCCCCAAAACACAAAAAGUCAGGUUUCGAUAAAAGCCGAAAAUGCAUCCAGUCGAUGCCACACGGACGUGUGCCUGGUCGUGUGGCUAGCCGUGUGUGAGACACGACCUUGUGGUGGUGUGAGUGUAGCGGUAUGGGCCACACGGGCUAGGCCAGUCUGGGCAUAUAGGCCCACAAUUUUAAAAUUUUCCUUAAGGCCACAUGGUUCGUUUCGAAUGAUUGUGGACCUACCAUAGGGUCGGUAAUGGCUAAUCAAACACUAAAUUAUGUGAUAUGAUAUUUUGAUAGUCUGCAUUGUGUAGGAUAUCGAUAUGUACAUCUGUUCUAUUUAAGUAUAUAUAUGCUAUCUGUAUAUGAGCAUGUUAUGCAUAAUAUUACUGUAUCUAUUAUUUCUAUAUUCUGUAUCUGUGAUUGUGGUGGGUUUUGUAUAUGUAGAGGAAGUGAUCUGUAUGGUGACACUUCCCUUAUAUUCUGGCAGUUGAUUGUAUAUUAUCUGUAAUGUGUUGUAUUGACACUAUAUGGUGUGUAGGGAUGGGUAGGUGUUUUAAACCUCAUAUGGUGUGAUGGGAUGGCCGAAGAUGUUGUGUAGAGGAUGGGGGUAAGAUUCUACAUAUCUGUACUACUUAUCUCAUUCUGUUAUCUAGAUUUGGAAUGGAUAUAAGUCCGAAUCUGGAUCUGACUGUAUAUAAGACUUCUGUUUGUAUUGCAUGUCUAUUUUUGUUGGGUUACACACUGAGUUUAUGAAAGCUCACAUAUGUUUGUCUGUUCUAUUCAGGUCUAUAGACUUAGGCGAAUCAGUGUGACGGAGCCUCACAGUGACCACGAGAUCGUAAACUGUUUAAGAUUAUGGUUUUUAUUUAAUUUAAGGAUUAUUUCUAGAAGUUUGUAAUAAUUGGACUUUCUAGACUAUUUGACUUUUAUUUCAAUUUUGGAGGCAUUUUAACUUUUAUGGCCACGUUUGACCAAAAUCACGGUUUUACUAAAAUAAAGGAUUUUCUAAAUACAUGAAUUAGAUUUCCAAGAUUCAAUGCUUUUUGAAAACUUCGACCUUAGAUUAUGUAUUGGAAAAUUAAUUAAUUAAAUAACGCUUCUAGUAACAAAUAGUACACUUGGGGUAUUUAUCAAAUGACUAAAUAAAGCUUUAUCAAAAUAUCACUGUUUUCAAAACCAUUCCAUGUAACACUCUUGGAUUCAGCCACAAUGUCUAGGCCGAGAUUAGGGUGUUACAUUUAAUGCUAUCAGAGCCAGGUUGCAAAACUCAAGCUAUGAAUUUUGGGUUUCAAAAAUUAUAUUUUGAAAAAGAACAGGUUUUCAAAUAAUUUGGAUCAUUCUGAGUAAGUAUGUGGUACACUGAGUCUAUGGUAUUGAUCCUGUAAGUACUUUUGAAAUUAGAUAGAACUUUCUGAAAACAUUGUAGUUAGUACUUUCUAAAACUAUACUGAAUUAGUUAAAAAUAGAAACCUCUGAAAUAUGUUCAAACUUCUGCUAAUUUGAGCAUAAAAUAUCUGUUAAUAAAGAUUGGAACUGAUGCAUAAAAUUUUGUAAUGUAGAUAAAUUUGAAAAUAUACGAUGAGCAAUUGUGGAACUCACGGUCAUGGUAUUCGUGGGCGCGUAGGGUCGUAGGGGGCUGGAGCUGAGUCUUUUUCUCUGGGCAGUAUGCCAAACUUAGAUAUGAGUGAGACACCGGUUUCACCUGCCAUUGAGACAAGGUCUCAAAGUCGCUUGGCUAGGGACGACGCACUGUCUCAAGCCAUGUUGAGGGUUUUGGAGAGGGUCACUAGACCUCAUUCUGGAUCUGUGGGUCGAUAACUGAACGACUCCGAUCCAAUAGAGCUGAGCUGUUUAGGUGUGUCAUUGGAGUCACCCCUACUGUGGCCGAGUAUUGGUUGGAGGCCACUGAGAGGAUUAUGAACGACAUUGACUGUACUCCUAAGUAGAAACUUAAGGGUGCAGUCACUUUACUUUGUGAUGAGGCAUAUCAAUGGUGGUUGUCGAUUGAGGAGGGUACUCAACGGGACUGUCUGAACUGGGAUUAUUUUAAGACUACCUUCUAGGGGAAGUAUGUGGGUGCGAGCUAUGUUGAUGCUUGUAGGCGUGAGUUCAUGAAUCUCACGUAAUGUGAUAAAUCUGUGGCUGAGUACGAGGUUGAGUUUCUGAGGUUGAGCCGCUACGCUUGAGGCAUAGUGGCGACUGAAUAUGAGAAAUGCAUAUGUUUUAAGGAUGGCUUGAGGUAUAAUCUGAGGGUAUUGAUUGCUCCACAGAGGGAGCGAGAGUUUUCAGUUCUUGUGGAUAUGGUGAAGAUCGCCAAGGAGAUUAAAUGCAUAGAGCGCUAAAAUAGGGAUCAUGAGUGAGGCAAGAAUAAGAGGGAUUCAGAGCCCUCUAGUUCUGUUUAGAGGCCUAAGAAACAGGUCAGACCUGAUUGGCUUGUUAGAGUAGGGGUUCCUAUUGCUUCUACUAGGAUUUAGCCAUGUGGUGAUUGUUUUAGGCGCCAUUCAGGUGAGUGUUGGAGGAGGUUAGAGGCUUGCCUGAGGUGUUGGUAUUUGGAGCACCACAUUAGAGAAUGUCCACUCCAUACGGAUUAGAUGCAAGCUUCAGGACUGAGUUUUAUAUAACCUCAGAGGGCAGUUCAACAGCCACCUAGGGGCCGUGGUCCGACUAGGGGUGGUAAUGGUAUGGGCCGAGGACAAAGAGCACUGGGAAAAGGUGUUAGUCAAACUGAGGCAAGGCAGCCUGCACUGGUUUAUGUUGCUUGAUGCCAAGAGGAUAGAGACGCUCUUGAUGUGAUCACAGGUACGUUCUUUAUUUUUGGUGUUCCAUAUACUACUCUGAUAGACAUAGGUUCUACUCAUUCCUAUGUAGGUAGUACUAUUUCCAAAAAUUUAUUGAUUUCUGGUGAGGGUACUUCUAGUGAAAUUAUUGUACUGAGUCCGUUGGGGCAGUCUGUUCGAGUAAGUAGACUUUAUAGGAAUGUACAUUUGGAAGUACAAGGGAUUGUGUUUUUGGCAGAUCUGGUAAGGGUAGUUCUAGUGAAAUUAUUAUACUGAGUCCUUUGGGGCAUUCUGUUCGAGUAAGUAGACUUUAUAGGAAUGUACCUUUGGAAGUACAAGGGAUUGUGUUUUCAGCGUUUUAUUCACAUAAAAGCAGCAAAAUUUAGCGGCGUUGUCUACAGCGGCAUUUUUUACGGUGCUUGUGAAAGCGCCGCUAUAGGCCUAAAAACACCGCUAAAAGCUUGUUUUGCUGCAGUGAAUUAAUAUUAUUAUAAGUGUAUUUUCACCUUUUCAUACUUUUAUAUAAUCUUUAAGUAAAACGAUUGAAAAUUAUUAUUUGAGAAUCAAACACAAGAGUAACAAUAUUCAUAUAGAAAACGCUUACCACUCCACUAAUAAUCAUUUGUUGAUGUAUUUUUGGUAAAAAGACCCCUCCAAUCCCUCUUAAUUUCACAAUUGCUCAAAUUAGUCCCUCUCAUAAAAAUUGGAGCAAUUUAAUCCCUAUCAAUUUUGAAAGUGAGUAACUAAGGACAAUUAAUUAUGGUGUUAAAUUCUUCCAUCAAUUGUACAUAAUUUUGAUUGGUAUAAGAAUAAAUUUAGCCUUCAAUGUUUAUAUAUUUUGUCAUUUUGGCCAUAAUUUAAAAAAAAUUCAAGAAAUUGAACCUCAACAUUUACAUAUUUACACAAACGUUGCGGGAAAAUUUUGUUAAAUUAAGACCAAAUUGCAAGUGUAAGUUUUGAGGGCUAAAUUUAUUAUUAUACCAACCAAAAUCAUGUACAUUUUAUGGGAAAUUAACAUCCUAAUUAAUUAUUCUUAGUUACUCACUUUCAAAAUUAAUAGGGACUAAAUUACUCUGAUUUUUUUAGGGUGACCAAUUUCCUCAAUUUGGAAUUUGAGAGAGACUAUUGAGAUCUUUUACAUAUUUUUUUAUAAAUAUAUAUAUUUAAUAUAAAAUAUAUUUGUUCACACACAUCGUGAGUAUGAUAAAAUAUUUUUAUUGUUAAUUAGUUGGUGUCAAAAAUUAACUCGACGCCAACUCAAUAUUAAUGAUAACAAUAUGAUAAAUAAUUGAUUUAUUUAAUAUUCUUAAUUUAACAUAUUGAUAUAAAUUUUAAGACAUGCUUGUCUUGAAGAAUUGUGAUUAUACUUUUCGAGUAUUGACUCAGUUUUCCACAAUUGUGGGUCUCUAUUUAAGACAAACAAUUUCAACAUUUCUUCAUAUUGUUUAAUCCAAAUGCAUUAAGGAUUUUCUUAUAUCAUUGUUUCAAAAAUGAUAAAAAAAAACAACGUCGACAUUGAAUUUGCUGUUUCACAUUCAAUUUUUGGAGAAGUAGAAUCUUCUAACUUAUUUUCCAUCAACUUCACUUCAAUUUUCAAUCACAAUCAAUUGCAUUCAAGAGCACCACAUAUUUUUUGGAUGAAACAAACCUAUCAAUUUUAAGAUAAACGGGUCUUUAGGGUUAUUAAUUGAGGGCCUUUUCCACAAUUGUCAUCGUUAAGCAUUUUUCAAUCUUGUCUACUGUGAAUAUCGUUUUUAAGCAUUUUUCAUUGAAAUAACGAUUAAUAGACAAAUAAUAUUCAAGUAAAACAAUUUUUGUAUAUUGGUUUGAAAGGUUUUCUAAAUAGUACAAGGACCUGAAACAGAACCACUGGACAAAGCUAACCAAAUCUAAGAGUUGGAAAUAUUUGGGAAUGAAUAGUUUAAAUUGUGAUUAUUUCUUCGGGUUCCUGUCAAAGAUAUCAGCUGAGCAAGAAGGCAGGGUAAUGUGCCAAUGAUAGAACCUUGAUGAACAACGAGCAAAUGUCAACCUAAGCAUUAAAAGGGGAUCAUUCUCAAAAAAUGACAUUCUACAUGUAACGCCCCAAAAUUUUAAUUUUGGGUAUUGUGAAUGUAUGACACAAAUAUCUGUCUGCUUUAGUGGUUAUGUGUUUUGGGUGUGUUUGGGAGGUCUCAAGUUCAAGUCAAUACUUGGGCAAAUUUUGGUAAUUUUAUGAAUAAGCCCUAUCUCUGGUUAUAGGCUUUUAAGUAAAAGUUGGCAAAUAAUUAAUAGAAUGGGUCUGUUGGUCUAGUGGUUAAGUGGAGUGUUGGUGUGAAGAAGGUCAUGGGUUCAAAUCUUUGGGACGGCAAGGUAAGUCGUUUUACUCUCCAUCUUUCUGACGUUUUCUCUCCCCCAUGUCUGCCGAAUUUUUUUUCUUUCUUCUUUACUUGUUACUCGGUUAUCUUUUCUUUUCUUUCCUCUACUACUGUCGAAAUUCCCUUGUUUCCCCUAAACCAUUCUUUCCUCUUGAUUUCGUAGCUUUAAGCAGCACUUGUUCAAAUUUAGUAAGUUGUUGGGUAUCAUUUUAAGAUAUUAUUUUGUAUUCAAUAGUCUAAUUUUGGGGUGUUGACAGUAGCAUUUCACGAGGAUUAAGGCUCUCCUCGUGAUUUUUGCAACGUACCGAUUUUAAGUUUUGCGGUAAGUGUUCAUCAUUUUAUGGGUAAGUAUUUUGGUUUCGGGAUUUUAAUUACUCACAAGGUAAGACUGAUUAUGGUGUUAUUUGCUCAAUUAUACGCUUAGGAGUGCUCGGGGACUAUUUUAGCAUCAAACAAAACCAAGUGUGCACCCGAAUCGCAAAAAUAAGGGAUUCGGCGAAAAGCCGAAAUUGCUUGCUGUUUGGACAGCAGCAGUAGGCUAACUUUGAAAAAUCAGCAUAAAUUGUGGAAAUCGAAUUAGAGGAUGAAAAAAAUAUGAGAUUAAAGCUUAUUGAGCCUAGUUUCUCAUAGAAGAAACGGUGUAAGUAAUGAAAUUGUAAAUCGUGAGUUAUAAUAGACUUAGUGAGACAAGGUCAGAAUGAAUUUGGGUUCCCCUGUUUUGACUUUGGAAAAUUAUCAAAAAUUGGAGAAAAAUAAUUAGGGGUUAAAUUUUACAUGCUUAAACUAUUAAUGAGUCUAUUUUCAAUAGAAACAAAUGAAAAUGUCAUCCAAAUUUUGUACUAAGAGAUAACUCAUUUUUAGCAAAGAAGAGUCAAAGUUGUCAGACAACAGAAAAGGGAUAAGUUUAAAUAUUUUACUGUACUUAUUAGCUGAACCAAAAAUUUUGGAAAUUUAUGGUAGAAAGUUAAUUGAGUCUAGUUUCAAAGACAUCAAACGGAUCUUAAUUCGGAAUUCUGUAGCUCAAGAUAUAAAUUUAUGUUUAUCUUAUUAUCUUUCUUAUUUUAGAAUUGAUUACAUGAAAGUUAAUUGCUAAUAUUAUUAGUUAAUUAUUAGUUUUCUUCAAAUCAAAUUAAACCCCGAAAGGUAUCUCUUUUUUUAUAUUAGUUUUAGUUAUCCAUUAAAUUUGUUUCUUUGUAGUAAAAUUAAAUUAUAGAAAUAACAUUAAAAUUUUAAAUAAAAAUAAUUCACAAUAAUUUAUUAUUUAAAAAACGCCCUGAAAUUUAAAAUUAUUGCUAUAAAUAUAUCAUUAAAUUAUACAGAAUUUAAUUUUUCUUUCAAAUACUAAAGUUAAUAAGGAAAGAGAAUAUAGUACAUAUCAAUAAAACUAUUAAAAAAGAAAUAUUGUUUAAAAUCAAUAGCGUCUAAAAAUUGUCAGAAUGAAAUAUUUGAUUUUAUAAGAUUUCAUUACUCUAAAAAAAUAAAAUAUGACAAUGCUUAAAAAUUUUAUUAAAAAAAGUUUUAAAUUUUAUAUAAAAUUUUAAAAAAUAAAAAAUAGUACUAAAAAUUUUUAUAAGCAAAUUUAAAUAUUAAUUAGUAAAUUUUUUUGUAAUAUUUAUAUGUAUUUUCAUUUUUAUAAAUACUAUUAAAACUUUUUAAAAAAAAAUUGAAUGCUAUUUAAAAACAUUAUUAAAAAAUAAAAUAUUAUAUGAAAGUUAAAAUGACCUAAAAACAUAUUUUAAAAAUUUAAAUACUUUAUACAAUAUUUAAAACUGCUUAAAAUUUCUAAACCCUAAAAAAUAAAUAAAAUAUAAUUUUUUUCUAAGAAAUCAAUAAAAAUAUAUUUAUAAUUGAACUGUCAACAAAAUUGUGGGAAAUAUUUAAAUUUUAUGAAAUUUUAAACUUAAACUGUCAAUAAUAGAAAAUUGCCUGAGUGACUUGGGAUAAGAGGUUCAACAUUUCUGGAUCGCAUUGCAUUUAAGGCGGGUCUUUAGGGUUAUGCUUUAGUUUUUUAGAACAUUUUCCACAAUUUGCCAUCAUUACUUGUGAGUGAUUUGUGGGGUAAGAGGUUGAACACUUCUGGAUCACAUUGCAUUUAAGACUGGUAUCAUUCAUAAAUUAUAUAUCUACAACAAGAAUGGUAGCCUCUUAUAUUAUAUUCAUGUAUCUAUUUUGCAUCUUUCAUUAUAAUAUGAUUUAGUAAUUUUAAUAUUUUUAUAGAAUAAUAUGCUUUAAUUUUUUUUGUAUCAUUCAUAAAAAUUAUAAUAAACUUACAAAAUGAUUUAAUGAUAUUUAAUUAUUAACGGAAAAAAUUUAUAUCAUAUAUAUUCUGUAUAUAUUAAGAUUUUGAAUGAUUAAUUAUAUAUCUACAUAUUAUAAUAAAUUCAUCUUUCAAAAUUUUCCUAAACUAUAUUCAUAAUAUUAUAAAUAUAUUAUAUCAUAAAUAUUCUUUCAAAUGUUUUUUAAUGUUUAAUAAUAAGUUAAUUUAUAAAAUAUUCUUUCAAUAAAUUAACGUGAUGAGAUCGUUAGGUGCUUGGAUUUGGUGACGGGGACGAGGAGAAAAGGGAUGGAAGUGAAGAGAAAUGUUGGGAAAUUGAAAGGGUUAGCAAGGGAGGCCUCCGUGAAAGGUGGUUCUAUAGAUGUGAACCUUCAAGCUUUUGUGGAUGAUGUUGCUCAAGGUUGUUGCAAGUAAAUUUAAAAAUAUUUUUUUAAUUAUUUUUUGUUAAAAAAUAUUUUUUUCUAUGUAGCAUGCCACAUUAGCAUACUACCAUGUGGUAACUUCUAGUGAUUUUCGUAUGUAACAUUAGACAAAUUAAUCGUUAAAUCGUUCAACUGACAGAUUUCGUUAAAGGAAGAGGUCAAUUGAUUUUUUUGGAAUCAUUGAGUACUCAAUUGGUGCACUAUUUUCAUAAAGACUAAAUUAAUUUUUUUAAUUUGUUAUCGCUGAGGGCUACAGUAAUAAAAAAUUUUGAGGUAAAAUUAGAAUAACGUCCCAAAAAUCUUAUAUUUAAUUUGUAAAAUUUUACCAUUAAUAAGUAUUUGUUUUAGUGGUUAAGUAUUUGAGUCGUGUUUAUAAUAUCUUGGAUUCAAGUCCCUACGUGAAUGGAUUGUUUUUUUUGUUUUUAAUUUUUGCAUGGGUCGGGUAGGUGGUUGAGUUUGAGUCCAUUUCGAACUUUGGAAAAAGGUGGUUAGUUAUCUGAGAUGGGUUAGUGUUAGUAGAUUUGGAUUUGGUUUAUUUUAAAAUUUAUUAAUUAAUUUGUUAAAAAAUUAAAUUAGUUUUUUCCUAAUUUUUGGCUCACCAUUCUUUCUCUUGUUCUUCUUUAUUCUUUCUUUUUCUGCUACCUUUCAAAUCACGUCGAUUUGUUCCUAUUUUGCUUUUGAGUUUUUCUUUUCUUUCCUUUACGCUCCUCUACGAUCGUGUCUUAAUUCCUUCAUUAUUUUCUCGUUGUUGGCGUUGCUCGUUCGAGAGUGGGUUAGUUUCCGUUUUGAUGUGUUUUUACGAGGUUAGUAAAAGAAAUGCGUUAAUUUUUGGAUUAUGGAGUUGAUCGUUUUUAAUCAAUUCUCCAGUAAGUUGACUCCUUUGCUGUUGUUAUGUGCUAGGUUAAGAGAUUAAUUCUGAUUUGGGCCUGCGUGGUUGUGUAGAUUUUCCAUGUGAAUUCGUUUGGUAUUUUUAGGAUAAAUCAUUCUUUAAGUCGUAUUGCUACCAUCGCUAAUGUGAUGUUUUAAUUUAUGCAUUUAGGAUUUGGUAGUUUUAUGGGUGUUUUCGUAUAAAAAUCAAACCAAGUGUGUAACGAAAAACCCGACAACAACGAGCGACGAAAGUCAAAAAAUUGCACUGUCGACACCACACGGCCGUGUGUCGGGCCGUGUGACAAGCCGUGUUUCAGACCGUGUGCGACACACUGUUUGGGCUAGUUAAGCCGUGUGGAACACACAGGUGUGUGUGAGGACGUGUGCCACGCCAUGUGAGCCACACGGGCUGGCCAUUUAGGCCGUUUGAGACCAAAAUACUAAGGGCACGUUUGGUUUGCUGUAUUGGAUUAGAGGUGUAUUGGAUUAGAGGUGUAAUGGAAUAGAUGUGUAAUAGCAAAUCAACUGUUUGGUUGAAUGUAAUGGAAUAGAGGCGUAAUAGUAAAACUGUGUUUGGUUGAAUGUAAUAGAGGUGUAAUAGCAUAAUGGAGAAAACUAAAAUGACCAGAAUACCCUUAGCAUAAAUUUGUUUUGGUAAAUGAUUAUUGUUAUUGUUAUUUAAAUUUUAAUAAGAUUAUUUAUUAUCAAAAAUAAAUAAUUUAAUCAUAUUUAAACAUAAUUAUUAUUUAAUAUAUUUUAAUUAAAAUAUAUAAUUUAAUAAAAUUCUUAAUAAUUAGCAGAAAUUUGUUUUGGUAAAUUAUUUUAUUUAAAUUUUAAUAAGAUUAUUAAUAUCAAUAAUAAAUAAUUUACUCAUAUUUAAACAUAAUUAUUAUUAAAUAUAUUUUAAUUAAAAUAUAUAAUUUAAUAAAAUUCUUAAUAAUUAAUAUUCUUAUAUGAAUUUACUCAAAUCAUAAUAUAUGAUACUGUAAAAUAUAAAUUAAAAUAAUAAUUAUUAAAUAUAUUUUAAUUAAAAUAUAUAAUUUAAUAAAAUUCUAAUAAUCAAUAUUCUUAUAUGAAUUUACUAAAAUCAUAAUAUAUGAUACUAUAAAAUAUAAUUUGAAAUAAUUAAUAUUAAAUAUAUUUUUAUUAAAAUAUAUGAUUUAAUAAAAUUUAAAAUAAUUAUCUAGAUUCAAAUUUAAGAAUUAUUUACAUGAACAAAAAUAUAAUAUUUGUUUCUAAGUUAAUUAUUUUAAUAAAAUAAUUAAAUAUUUAUAUAACGGUGUUCUCAUCUUUUGGUAUUUUUAUAUGCAAUUUUAAAGAUUGAAUCCAAACUUAAAAGAAUAUUUAUUUGUAAGCAUUUCACCGGUUUACUUCAACUCAAUUAUUGAUUAAUUUUUAAUAAACAUAAAUUCAAUCACUAAUUCUCUUGGCUCCUCUGUUUCAAUAUAUGAAACAUGACUCAAUCACUAAUCCUCAUAACUCAAAGGUGAGCCAGAUGGUCCAUCAGGGGGUGCAGAAGCAGCAUGAGUCAAAGCAACUAUGGCAUUUUUCCAGAAAGAGGAGCCAAGAGAAUUAGUGAUUGAUCUUAACAAUGGCAGAUCAUUAAGAUCCCGGGUCUGGCUGUCCAACCGAUCAACAUAGACUACAACAUCGGGGGGACACUUCUUUAUGUAUUGCUUUAUAGAAGCUAGGACUUUGUGAUUGGCACCUUGCUCCAUGGCAGAAGAUUUCAAACCUGGGGUAUCAAUGAUUCUCAGUUUAACACCAUCUACCAUUCCAGUAAUCUCUUUCACUACUGUAGUGGCAGGUUCAAAUGCAUGAAUUGAGGUCUUUGACUCACCAAAGAUUGAAUUUAUUGUGGCACUCUUGCCCACCCCAAUCUUCCCAAGCACAAGCAUGUUUAUGGAGAAGCUUAAAUCAUCUUUACCCUCUGUUUCAAGUUCCAAAGCUUUCCUCUUCGCAGAAUCAACACUAAACAGUUCACUGGUUUGUCUCCUUGCAACAUGUGCCAGUCUAUAAAGAACCUGUGCUGCUAAAGAAUCUUCAGUAGAAAGUCCGAGCCUUUGAAGAAUCCUCAAAAAUUUGACUCUUAUAAGCUGUAACUUUUCCAAUUUUAUUUUAUCUUCUUCUGUCAAGUUGUUGUCAGAAUCUCCCCUACUUGUUACAGCAGGACUAAAUAUGUUAGGCCUGUUUGAUCGAGGUGCGGAUGUUGCAUUUUGCAGUGAGGAUCCUAAGCCUGCAGGACGUUCAACAGUGAAAAGCCUAGAUCCAUCUUGAGAGGUUAUAGUAAUGUUGCCGCCAUCAGAGCCAGCACCAGUUGCUGCUUUCAAGAGGGCUGCCAAAGCAGCAGAAUCAAAUAACUCCUUCCCCUCUCCUUCUUCAUCCGUAUCCCCUUCUUCAUCUGAAUCAACAGCAUUUGUCUGUAUAUGAUUAUGAGAAGUAUCAGCACCCGAGUGAGAACCAAUGGCAGAUCCUCGUUCUAGCUCCUCCAAGAAUUGCUUAGCAGCUUCAGCAUUCUUAAAGAACAUACUUUCAGCCUCUCCAUCAGUCUCUGAGCCUUCAUUCUAAUGCUGCUUCUCUUCCAUUUCACCUUCAAAACUAACUUUUCCAGCCACUGUAGUUUGCUCUACUGACUCAGGCCAAUGAGAUUCUUCUCCUGGCAGGGUUACUGACCUUUUGCUUUGAGAAUCACUAUCUAAAUUCUCUGUUUCAUGAGCUGCCAUUAUUUCUGUAGGUUGAGCAGAACUAUCCUUUGCCUGAAUUCCAUCUCCACCCCCUCCAUCUACUUUCUCAGCAAAUGCUUGUUCCAAAAUAUCUAUGAUCUCCUCAUCUUUGAGAUCAUUUAGCUCAGUCCCAGAAUUGUCUUUACCAAGCAUAACCCCACUGGCAAUAUCAGCUUUAUUCUCAGCAUCAACAGCCAACUCGUCUCCGCCGGAAAACUUCGAACCAUCAGCAUGAUUCAAGCCGUUAUCCAAGCUCGCAUUAUCGUCAACUGGAACCACCUCUGUCUCCUUCAUCACCAAUGUCUCAAUGCCUAAAGCAGCUCCAGUCAAAGGUUUCGCAUCGACAGCCAACUCCUCUUCGCCAGAAAAUUUCGAACCAUCGACUUCAACUACCUGAUGAUCUACUGUUUCUACAAUCAUAGGAUUGAAACCCUUAGCUCCACCAUCUAACACCAAAUUAUUCUCAAAAAUCCCAAUUCUACCUUCCUCUCCACUUUCCAUUGAUAAAACAGAUUGGUCGACUUCUCCAAUGGAACCCAUUUCCACCUUAUCGUCCUUUUCACCAUUACCAACACUAUCAACAUCAACCUUCCCCAUCGAACCCUCACCUCUAUAUUCCUCUAAACCAUUAUCGCCAUCCCCAAACGAGUCCUCAUUCAAAAUCACAUUCGAACCAUCAGAACCAACAAAAGGGGCAUCACUAACAUCCCUCACGGUCGGAAUUACUUCAUCAGGGUCAGCCAUAAAUGGCCUCUCGGGUACUGUUUCAAACUUCCCCUCACCAUUCUCGUUACUAUCAUUAGUUUUACCAUUCCCAUUAUCUUCCAAAGUACGUUCACUUACUGAACUAGUUACAAACUCAGAAUCAUCAUUCGAAGUUAAAGAAGAAGAAGAGGAAGAAGAACCUGGAGAGGUAGAGAGCGACUGAGAAGUGAUUUCCGGGGCAGAAAGCAAGGCGUCCAUGGUUGAAAGAGAGGAAAGGGAGAUAGAGAGAAUUGGGUUUUAGGAUAUGGAAUGAAUUUUGAGUGGCACACAGAGGGAGCAAAUCGGCAGAAAGGGUAAAACAGGGAGGGGAAACCGAAGGGGCAACUAAUCUGCAGAAAAGAGGGGGAUUAGAAAUCGGUGGUUUUCACCGAUUAGGAAGGUAAAGGAUUACACCCGUAUUAGAAAUACAUCAAACCAAACGAUGGAAUACAGUCGCAUUAGGUGGGGCCCACCGAUUAGGGGUGUAUUGGCUAUGCCAAUACACCCAACCAAACAUGGUGUAAAUUUUUCCCUAGGGUUAUACACAUCGUUAUGAUCGAUCGUAGGCCUUUCGUGGGGUCGAUAUAUAAUCAAAUAGACUGUAAAGUAUGAAAUCCGGUCAACUAAUAGUAUAAAUUCUGAUAUCUGUUCAUAUAUUUGAGAUGUUAUUUGUUCAAUAAACCUUGUAAUAGGCUAUGAGAAACUUGAGAAAUAUUAUGUAUGCUUUGUAUCUGUUAUGUCAUACAUGUAUAAUGUAUUAUGUCUGAUUUUGUUCUAUUCUUUUCUGUAUUUGCAUCUGGGGUGGGUUAUAUUAUGUGGAGGAAGCGUUUCUUUGAAUGGCGAUAAUUCGCCUAUUACACUGGCAGCUCAGCUACAAAUAUUCUGAAAAGUGUCAUAUCAACACUAAGUGGUGUGCAGGGCUGGAUGAGUGUUUCAUACCCCAUAUAGUGUGUUGGAAAGGUCGGAGAUAGUGUUAGCGGAUGGGGGUAGGAAUAUAUGUCUGUAUCUGUACUGCUCUAAUAUGAAUAUGUUCUGCUAAAUCUAUCUUAUACAAAAUAAAUAUUUAAAGUUAUUCGUUAUACAUUGAGUUUUGUAAACUCACUUUCUAUUUGUUUGAUAAUUUUAGGUAUUCCUCAGACUUUGGCAAAUCGGUGUGAAAGAACUUGGUUAAAUUGAUUUAGUUUCAUUAUCUAUUAUAAUUAAAUUUUGGGUUAUUGUGUUUCAUUAUUUUUGGACUGUUGGGAAUUUUUGGAUUGUUUUGGUUUUUGAGAUUUUAUUUUCAAUUUUUGCAUGAUACUAUUAAAAAUGUUUUAUUGGAAAUGUUUGUUUUCCUGCAAAACAACUAAUUUCAGACAAAUAAACUUAGUUUUCCAAACAUAAUGAUAUGAGAAUUUUCGCUUUUAAGUAUUCAUUUUAGAAAAUGUAAGCAAACAUCGUUUCAACUAUAAAGUUAAGUUAGAUGUAUUUUUCUCUUAAAUCGAGGUUUAAGUAAUAAAAGUUUACGACAUUUUUCCAAAUUUUACAAAAAAUUGGAUUUACAAUUGUUUUAUGUAACAUCUCCAGAUUUGGUCAUAACAUCUAGUCGGAUUUCGGGUGUUACAUUUAGUGAUAUCAGGUCAGGUUGCAAAACUCAGGCUGUGAACUUUUUGGUUCAAAAUUUUGUGAAAACUAUUUUUCGAGUAAAGUUUGUCGAAACCACUUUUUCGAAACAAAAAAUAGCGUCGACUUAAAAAAUGAAAAUUGGAGUCGCCACCAGUCUUUUUUAUUUAGGUGUGAUCGGAUCACCUCCUAAUUUAAUCAUUUAAAUAAAAGUUAAAAUUUACUAAAACGAUUAAUGGGUUUAAAAAACCUUUUUCUUUACAAACAUUAACAAUAAUAAACGAACAUCGAAGAAAUAGAAAAGAAAAAAGAAAUCGAAAAGAAAAAAAAUUAGAUUUCAAAUCACCUCUCAAAAAUUUAAUUGCUUUCUGAUUUCUUUGGUAUCUUUUUUUACUGAUUUCUUAUUGUUCGCGUAAAAAACUUACAAAGGUCUUUUCUUCCGUUUUAUAGGCAAAAUAUGAAAUAAAUAAAAAAAUACAAUAUAUGUUUUUUCUGUGUUGCUUUUCGUCCUAUUUGUAGGUACGAAGACCAGCUAGCGCUGUACAGAGGCGGUGCAGCACGUGCUUGGCUGAGGUGACUAGAGGCGUGCGGUGGCUGGGUCUGCUGUGUAGUUUAGGGUUUCUGUUGAUUUUUGGUUAUUGGGCUGGGGUUUAAUUUGGGCUUGGGAUUGUGUUUGAUUUUUAAUCUGUAAAUGGACUUUUUAAUAUUGGACUUUUAUUUUUUAUUUGGAUUAUUAUUAUUUUUUGUGUAUGCGGGUCCGGGCUCUACAAAGUUCAUUUCUGGAUUAAUCUGAAAAUUAAUUAUGUGAAGUACCGAGUCUCUGACGUUGAUCCUGUAAGUACUUCUGACUUAGAAAAAUUUUAGUUUAGAAAACUCUAAAAUGAUUAGAACUGUAGUUGGAUAGUUAGAGACAGAAACAUUUCUAUAAAUUCUUUUGAUAACUUUUUGAGUAUAAAAUAUCUACUAAUAAAUACUAAAAUUGAUACAUAAAAUUCAUAAUAUAGGUAAUAUAUACGAUGAGUACUCGUGGAACACAUGGACGUGGUAACCGUAGGCGUGGCAGGCGCCGAAGAGGGGCUCGAGCUGAGUCAUCCUCGAUAGGUACCUGAUAGGCUAUCGCUGGAGAGAGCAAUAGUCUUGAGAGAAGAAAUUUGAAGAUCGAAGUCGGAAUCUGACCUUUAAGGCCUUUAAUUGCUUGAAUAAUAAGCAUUUCCAAACUAAAAGGAUUACAAUUUCUUCAAGAAUUUGACCUGCAGACAUAGUUGAAACAUGAAGGUGUUAAAUUACCUAUUUUGUUAGUGUAAAUCAAAGAGGCUUUUUAUUUUUAUUUUUCGUUGUGAAAUAAUAUGGAUAUGUUAGAUUCUAAUCAUAUUUAAGUAUAUAUUAGUUCUUGAAGAGUUCUUAUUUUUGGUAUUUAUAUUGCAAAUAAUUUUUUUAAAUUAAGAAAAAAGGGGGGAGGGGCAAAUGUGUUUAAACUAAAGACAUCAAGGAGAGUUGUGUCAAAUUCCCAAUGCUUUUUGGAAUGAUCCCACUAAAUUGAUUAACAGACAAUUCCAAAAUUUGAAAAUUGCAGCAUUUGUCUAUACUUGAUGGAAUAGAACUUGAUAAUUCAUUUCUACUGAUCAAGUAAAGCUCUUUAAGCUUGGGAAGAUGGACACACAAAUCAUCAGGCAAGCCACCAGAAAGACUAUUAUCACGUAAAUGAAUCCUUUUCAAAGAAGAAAUGUUAAACAUGGUGCAACCUGGCCAGGUAAUUGAUAAAAUUUUGAUUUAAUCCCUUAAAAAAUAUAAAAAUAUAGACUAUUAAAAUGGUAAAAUUACAUUUUUACUAUUGUAAAAAUUACAAUUUAAUUUCACUCCUAAAAAGAUUUUCUGGCUUCGACCCUAAUAAAUUCUUUGGCAAAAGAUUAAAAUAAAAUUAUACCGUAAAUGAAAAAAGGAAACUAUAAGAAAAUCCAAUCUAACAAAGAAAAUAACUUGAUGUCCAAAAGCUACCAUAAACCGUAAUUCAUGGGAAGGCUUGUUGCUCAUUUUAUUGGUUUCCAUUUUGAUUUUGCAAAAGAAGCUUGAAUUUUGAAGAGAGCCUACUACGUGAGAGCAAAAGAAAAAAAAAUUGUUUAUUAAUUUUUAGGAAUACCGAAAUAUUAUAUAUAUGAUUAAAAAUGUUGAAUUAAAGAUAAAAUUAAGUGUGAAUUAAUAACCACAAGUGUACUUAUUACUCACCAUCUCUGUUAAAAAUGUUGGAUGUUGUUUAGCAACCUUUGUUUGAUUUUCUUCAGCUCAACCACAACAUCUUUCAUAUCUUUUCUUUCUUCUGGCAACUCAGCUGAACAAUUCAAAGCCAACUCCAUGAUAGAUGUAAUACAAUUUGCUUUAACGACAAUGUACUCAUCCUCUCUUCUUAAUAAAUCAACAUCUGCAAUUUCUAUCGCUCCUUUAGGCAAUGAACUUUCCAUCCAAUGCCUUAUACUCUCUUCUUCAACAAAAACAUUAUCAGUAGGCUUUUUCUUCGUGAAAGUUUCUAUAAGGACGACCCCAUAACUAUAGACGUCAGAUUUUAUAGAAACAAUUCCUGCUGAUCCAAAUUCUGCAUUCAAGUAUAAUUAGAACGUCAUUCAUCCUCAAUUAUUUCUAAAAUGCUUAUUCAAAUAUAUAUUCACAUCCACAUGAAACAAAAAUAUAAAAUGCAUAUUAGGAAAAUAAUCAUACAAAAAUAAAAAAGAAUUCACCUGGUGCCAUAUACCCGAUAGUUGCAAGAGUCAUGGUUUGCUUCAUUACUUCACCUUCCCCCAACAAUUUGGCAACGCCAAAAUCUCCAACAUGUGCAACCAUGUCUUCAUCUAGUAAAAUAUUGCUUGGUUUUAUGUCACAGUGAAUUAUAGGUGUUGGAUGUCCAUUGUGGAGGUGUUCUAUAGCUACCGCAACAUCUAUCAUUAUAUCGACCCUUUGUAUGAUAUCAAGGAAACAAUUUUCAGAAUGUAACCAUUUCUCAAGGUUUCCAUUAGACAUGUAAUCAAGCACCAAGGCUUUGAAGUCAACACUUGAGCAGCAAGUAAUGACCUUCACAAUAUUACGAUGAACUAUAUUACGCAUAGCAUCACAUUCAAUGUCAAAACUCCUAAAUGCUCCCUCUGUUUGCAAAUUGAAAACUUUUAUUGCAACUUCCAUUCCAUCUGAAAGCCUCCCUUUAUAUACAUAUCCAAAACUCCCUGAACCAAGCAUAUUGCUUUCCUCAAAUCCAUUAGUUGCUCGUGAAAGUUCAGCAUGUGAAAUUCUUCUCGGUGUCUUCAAAGACAACAAAUCAUCUUUAACUGGUAGAGUUGUACUCCUUUGGCAUCUUCUAUACAUAAUAGUUAAGACUAUUAGUACUAGGACAAUACCAAUUGUUGGUAAACCAUACCUAAAAGCAUGCAAUAUAAUCAUUUGGGAGUUUUUGUGGAUGUCAUUUUUGCAAGGUGGGACUAGCAAUCUAGGUGGACCACAAAGUGCACAAUUCUUCAUGAAUGAUGUGCUAGAAAAGUUUGAAAAACAUCCUUUGCUGGGAAUUUCCCCUUCAAGUCUAUUGAAAGACACAUUAAAAUACUUUAGAUAUAAAAGUUGUUCCAAAGAUUUGGGAAUGACUCCAGAGAAAUUGUUAUUGCAUAAAUCCAAGAAUUCCAAACUAAUCAACCCAUCAAAUGAUUCAGGGAUACGACCAUGUAGUAUAUUAUUUGAUAAAUCUAAUGAAACCAAAGUUUGAAGACCCCCAAAUGUGGAUAAGAUAUCGCCCAUGAGAAGAUUCCUUGAUAAAUUUAGUCUCAGUAGACUCCUAAAAUUUCCAACAUCAAUAGCAUGUGAAUUGUGAAGACGGUUUGAUGAUAAAUCUAUUUCUAAGAUAUCUUUAAGACUCCACAAAGUUGAGGGUAUUGUAGAACUCAAUUUGUUGGAAUCUAACCAAAGAUAUCUCAAAGCAGAAAUAUUACCUAAACAAGAGGGUAUGGAUCCAUGCAGCUUAUUCAACCCUAAAUGCAUCUCGUAUAGUCUCUCCAAACCACAGAGGCUUUCUGGGAUAGGCCCUCCUAAUUUAUUAGAGGAAAGAUCUAGACCUUGCAGAUUCCGCAGUCCUCCUAUUGAUGCUGGAAUGAAUCCACUUAAUUUAUUAUGGCCAAGUUCUAAAACCAAUAAGUUGGUUAAGUUACCUAUUUCCAUAGGAAUAAUGCCUUGAAGCUCACAAUUAUAGGCAAGAAAGAAUUGAAGGGAUUUUGAAAGGUUCCCGAUAUAAGUAGGAAGAACACCACUCAAUGGAUUUCCCGAAACUCCUAUGGCUUUCAAAUUCCUACAAUUCGUCAAAGAAGAAAGAAAGCUCCACUCAUGAUCAGUAGCAGAUCCUGUGAUCAAAUUAUUGUCAAAGAUUUUGAGCACUUCAAGGUGUUUUAAGCUGCCUAGCGUUUUAGGGAUUGGGCCAGAGAAUAAGUUAUGUGACAAGGAUAGAAUCUUUAGCAUGGAAGCAUUGGAGAUAGAGUUGGGAAUGUUUCCGCUAAGUUUAUUUCCCCACAAUAAAAGAAUCUCAAGCUUUGGAGCAUUGGUGAUGGGUGGUAAAUUACCUGUAAAAUAGCAUCUUUUAGUAUACAUAUUCACAAAAUAUAUAAUACAUUAAAAUAAAAACUGUAAAACUUUAAAUCAAUUAAGAAUAAAAUUUUGGCAUGGAAAAAUGUGAUGAAAUCAAUUAGAAAGUUGAGACAUAAUAAGAAGUUUUGAGUACUAAUUAGUCUUUGUGAUUUGUAUAGACAAAACAUAUAAUACACUAAUAAUUUUUUAAAAUAUUGUAAAACUUGAAAUAAAAUAAAAAUAAAAGUUUGGCAUGAGAAUGUGGCAUCUAAUCAAUCUUAAAAAUGAGACUCACACUGAAUAAUAAUUAGUUAUGAUUUGGGAAACAAAAAUGUUAAAGCCAUUGUUUUUAAUGUAAACUGGUAUGAUUCUUAUCUAUUGGGUUAAUUAUUUAUUUUUAUUAAAUUAUAGUGUAAAAUUUAAAUAUUAUUAUUUGCUCAAAAUUUUUGUAUUUUUCGUAUAUUUGAAAUUCAAUCUUUAUAUUUUUUAUUUUCUGUGAUUUAGUCUCUCUACUUUUUUUAUUAAAAAUUUUAGGUUCAUUUAUUAACACUGUUAAAAAGUUUUUGUAUUAGUAUGACAUUUUGAAAAAUAAAAUAAACUUGAUAUCUAUGUUUUUAAUUAUUCCAAAUAUUGUUUUACUAUUUCAAGAUAAAUUAUUUGUGUCUAGACCAAUAUCUUAAGAACUAUUGUUGCAUGUUUAAUUAUUCUAAAAAAUUAUUGAUUGAGUCUUAGCUUGAUUGGCAUGUGCAUUGUUGCCAAUAUAAGAGAAUGUGGGAUCAAAUAUGCUGAAGUUCAUUAUCCUCCUGUUAUGAAUUGGGGAGUUGGUAAAGUAUUAAAUUUUGAUAUAUUUUAAAAUAUUAAAAAUUUAUUAAAAUAUUUUUUAUAAAAAUCGGUUGUACCACAAUAUACAAUUUUAAUAUCAAAUUUUUAAUAUUUUUAAAAUAUUAGCGAAUAUAUACUUUAUUUCAAGUUACACAAUUUUUACUAGUUUUUAACUUUUUUUAAAAUUUUUAUCGUCUUUUAUAAUUUCUAAUAAUUUUUUACAAUAUUUAACAAUUUCUAACCAUUUUUAAUAAUUUUAUUACUUAUUAAAAAUUAACAAAUUAACUAUUUUUUAUUUUUUUAAAACAAUUAUAUAUUUAUAAUGUAGUUAUUUUUUUAUAAUUUUAUUUGAAAUUUUAAAGUUUUUUUGGUUUGUUUUCUAGAUGAUGAUGCCAUCAUGAUGUCAUCAUAUGCCACAUGGCAAUUUAUGAUUAGUUGAAUAUCUCAAUUUAUUUUUUUAAUGUCCAAUGGACUAAACCAAGAACACUUGAUUAUGUUAGAGACUACACUAGGAAUGUUUGAUAACAUUAGGUACUAAAGUAGGAAAAAAAAAAAAAGGAGCAAUACGAUGUAGGGAGUAAACUGUGCAUUAAGCCAUUAAAAAUAUAUCUAUAAUAUAUAUAAAUGCAUGGAUUUUGAGAAACUUUUGAAAUGAUAAUUAUAUAGUCUUUGUUUUUUUACUAUAUUAUUGAAUUUGUUAUUUUAAAUAUUUUUUUAUUACUUUUAAGAUUUAUCAUAUGUAUGGAUAAGAAUUUUGGUUUUACUAAAAUAUUUGGUUAAAUAAAUUCACUUCAUAAGAAGAUUUAGCAUCCUUGUAAAUAACAAUUUUGAUUCUAUUAAAAAAUUAUUUUAAAAUAUAUAUAAUAAAAUUUUAAAAUUUAUAUUGAAUUACUUUAUACUUAAAUUAUUAUUAGAAACUUUAUCAUACACAUACGUGUAUGAGAACUAUGUAUUUAGAACAUAAAUUUGUGUUUUAAAAUAACUUAUGAUAAAUAAUGAAAUGUAUAAUUUGAAACUAUUUAAUAAAAACACAUGGCUUAUCUACAAUAUUAAAAUAAAAAUAGCUUAAAUUGUAAGCAAAACAUAAUUUAAACAUAUGAAUACAUUAAAUUAAGAAUACUAAAUGAAUACAGUUAUUUAUGAUGGUGUUGUCUUCAAUUCCUAAGUUGGUGUCAAGUUAAUUUGUGACAUCAUAAAUUUAAGGUUUUAUGUAUUGAUGUGGAUUCAAAUAUCACCAUUUUUUUUAAAAUAAAAUUUAAAAUAAAUACAUUUUCCACAUUGGUUUCUUUUCUUCUACAGACAAAGGAUUUCUAAUGAUUUUUUUUUUAAAAAAAAUUACUUAUAUAAAAUAGAUUAGUUUAUGCAAUAAAAAUAAUUUCUUUUUUAAAGUUUAAUAGAAAUUAAAAAACAAAAAAAAAAUCAAUUCAUAUAAAGCUUAUUGUUUAUUAUCAGAUUAAAAUGAUAAAAGUAUACGAUAAACCCAUACUUGACGGAAUGUUACCAGAUAAUUCAUUUUUAUUCUAGUAAAGCCCUUCAAGCUUGAGAAUAUGUUGACACAUAUCAUUAGGCAAACUACCUGAUAGGUUAUUGUUGGAGAGAUCAAUGGCCUUCAGAGAAGAAAUGUUGAAGAUCGAAGUUGGAAUCUGACCUGUAAGGCCUUUAAUUUCUCUAAUAUUAAGCAGUUCCAAACCAAGAAGAUUACCGAUUUCCUCAGGAAUUUGAUCUGCACACAUAGUCGAAAAAUCAAGAUGUGAAACUACCUAUUUUGUUAGCAUAAGUCAAAGAGGUUUUCUUUUCUGUUCUACAUAAUUUGCAGAUGUUAGAUUUUAAUAUUUUUAAGCAUAUUUGUUUUCAUCAAAUUAACUAUUUUGAACUAUUUUGCCUUGAAUGAAAUAAAAUGCUCAUAUUUUUGUUAUCUAUUACUAAUCAAACUCUUUUAUAAAAAAAAAUACUUUAAACUAAAGAAACCAAGAAAAUUCAAUACCUUCUAAGUUAUUCAACUCCAAAUAUAAUUCUUUGAGUCGUGUCAGAUUUCCAAUACUUCUUGGAAUGAUCCCCCUCAAUUUAUUAUCGGAAAAUGCCAAUAUUUUAAGGUUGCUGCAUUUGCCCAUACUUGAUGGAAUGUUACCAGAUAAUUCAUUUUUAUUCAAGUAAAGCCCUUCAAGCUUGGGAAGAUGUUGACACAUAUCAUUAGGCAAACUACCUGAUAGGCUAUUGCUGGAGAGAGCAAUAGUCUUGAGAGAAUAAAUGUUGAAGAUCGAAGUUGGAAUUUGACCUGUAAAGCCUUUAAUUGCUUGAAUACUAAGCAUUUCCAAAUUAAAAAGAUUACCGAUUUCUUCAGGAAUUUGACCUGCUGACAUAGUCGAAACAUCAAGGUGUUAAAUUACCUAUUUUGUUAGUGUAAAUCAAAGAGGAUUUUUAUUUUUCUCGUUAUGAAAUAAUAUGGAUAUGUUAGAUUCUAAUCAUAUUUAAGUAUAUAUUAGUUCUUGAAAGAAAGAGUUCUUAGUAUUUAUAUUGCAAAUAUUUUUUUUAAAAUUUAAAAAAAGGGGGGGGGGCAAAUGUGUUUAAACUAAAGAGAUCAAGGAAAAGGCAUACCAUCUAGGUUAUUUAACCCCAAGUAUACUUGUUUAAGUUGUGUCAAAUUCCCAAUGCUUUUUGGAAUGAUCCCACUAAAUUGAUUAAUAGACAAUUCCAAAAUUUGAAGGUUGCAGCAUUUGUCUAUACUUGAUGGAAUAGAACUUGAUAAUUCAUUUCUACUCAAGUAAAGCUCUUUAAGCUUGGGAAGAUGGACACACAGAUCAUCGGGUAAGCCACCAGAAAGACUAUUAUCACGAAAAUGAAUCCUUUUCAAAGAAGAAAUGUUAAAGAUGGAAGAUGGAACCAGGCCAGAUAAUUGAUUGAAUCCCAAGUUCAAGAUCUCUAGAUUGGAUAAGUUGACAAGUGUUUGAGGGAUUGUGCCUGUGAAGUUAUUAUUUCUCAUUUCCAACCUUUGAACUCUGUGCAAGUUCCCAAGCCAUGAUGGAAUUUCCCCAUUAAGACGGUUGUAGCUUAAUCGAAUGAUCCUCAAACGAUGCAAUUGGCCCAAUUCUUUAGGCAGAUGGCCAUAGAAAUUGUUGUUGCUCAGGUCGAGAGAAAAUAGAAAUGAAAGAUUUCCAAGGUGUGGAGGGAUAGUACCCCUAAGAUUCAUGUUUGUAAGAUUCAAAGCUACAACUCUUUCAUGGAUGAUGUCACAAGAAACACCAGCCCACUUACAAACAGAGGUAGAGUUCGUCCAAUUGUUUGCCAACACAUUUUGAGGAUCGACAAUGCGAUCUUUAAACUCAAAGAGUGCAAACUGAUAGGAGUUGAGAUUCCGGACUGUCAUAGCCAAGGAAACAAUGGAACAUUGUAUGAAUAAAAGUGAAAGAAGAUGAAAGCAAGUGUUGUAGUUCAUGAUGGCAAGACGAAAUAAGCCAGGAAAAGGGAAGUUGAAUUGAUGAAGAAAUACCCAGCCAACAUGCUUAAAUAGGCUUCAACCCUUGCACACUUCUCAUACAUAAAGUUCACUGCCAUUACAACAAGAAAACUCGUAUCUCCAUUCAUACCUAUCCAUACUUUAUUUGACUAACUUUUCCCUAACAGGUGUUCAGUAAGGAGACAAAUCACUUUGGAGCUAUUCACCGACUUCUCCAACCUUGGUUUCAAACUCCUAGCCCAUCAAUUCACUUUAAUUGAAACGAUAUACACGAGUCUUUCGGCUUAUAUUUUUAACUUACUACUUCUCUUUUUAAUUUAUUUUUUGUUACUUCUCAUAAUAUUUUUUGAGAAAUCCAAUAUUCCAGUCUGAAAUUUCUUCAUUGCCACGUCUAUCUCCUCGGUAAGUUCGUGGCUAGGCGGCCCACUUUGGGGGCAGGAUUGUAAUUUUAGUUCUAUCCGACUCAUUUUACUAUUUAGAAAUAUAAAAGUAAUAUUAUAUUAAUUUUUAUAUUUUUAUAAAUUUAAAUUUAAAUUUAAUUUUUAAACAAUAAAACGAGUCAUUUUUAUUUGCCUAGGCUAAAUUGAAUCAGGAGUGAAAAAUUUUUUAAUCAUAAUUUACUAUUAUUUUAAUUAAUUAAAUUUUAAUUUACUAUAACUAGUAGUUGCAAAAAAAAUGACAUUCCUUUAGAAAAAUGAGAACUUAUGAAGCAUUCAAUAAGAGUUGUUGGAAUACAUGGUAACGAAACCAUAAUUCGAUAUAAAACUAUAUAAAUAAUGUAAGAUUUGUGAUACCUAAAUUGUUAUGUUUUCUAUAAAUAUAUGGAGAUUUUUUAUUAGGAAAUAAUUUUAUAUAUCAACAUUUGUUAUUUUCUUUUGAUAGAAAUUUAAUUAUGUUAUCUGUAGAAAAAAAUAUUUAUAGAAAUAUCAUUAGUAGAAAAUCAUAAAUUUGUGUGUGGCAAAAAAUUUUCACCACCAAGAAAGGGACAAAUUAAACAACUUGAAAGUCAUUGGUUGUUUAAAAUAUUAGAUAAUAAUUUUAGUGAAGAAUCAUUAAAAUUAUGACAAAAUAACCCUAGAUAUUGUAGUAUUAAAUUAGAAAAUCUCAAUAAUAUUAUUAGAGUAAAACCUAUGAUGUAUCUAAACAAGAUAUAGAAGAAUUUGAUAUACAAAUUAAGGGUAGAAAUCAUACGGAAAUAAUAAAAAACAAGAAAAAGCUAGUAUGGUCAUUAAUUAUAAAAGAUUAAAUCAAAAUAUUAUUUUUUGUAGUUACUUGAAUUAAUCAGGAUAAACAAAAAAAAAUAUUUUAGUAAAUUUGACUGUAAAUCAGGAUUCUAGUAAAUCAUGCUAACAGAAAAAUCUAAACCUUUAACAGCUUUUAGUGCACCCAAUGGACAUUAUUAAUGGAAAGUGAUGUCAUUUGAAUUAUGCGAUGCACCACAAAUCUUCCAAAGACAAAUGGAUUUUAUAUUUAAUAAAUAUAAAAAAUUAUGGGUAGUUUAUAUAGAUGAUAUUUUGAUAUUUUCAGAUACACUAGAAUUACAUAAGAAAUAUUUAAAUAUUAUUUCUUAAGAAUUCAUAAAAUAUAGAAUCAUAUUAAACCCUAAAAGUAUGGAGUUAGAAAAAAGAGAGGGAAUUUUUAUAAUAGUGGAAAUAAAAAAUUGUCCUCAAAAGAUUGAAGAAAAAAAGAAGUUACAACAAUUUGUAAUAUAUUCCUCCCAAAUUUUCAGUUGCAAAUUUAUUACAGAAUUUCUUUGCCGACAAUAAGAAAAGAGCAUAUUCACAUUUUCGUCGCAAUUUCAACUAACAACCAAUCUGUUUCCCACUUUCCUUUUUCGGCCAAUUUCAAACGUAACUGUUUUUCGAAUUUUCCUCUUUAUUUCAUUAAUAAAAUGAUCAAUCUAUUUGUUUUUUAAAUAUAUAAUUUUAUUAAUAUUUUUUAAUUAUAAUAUAAGAGUUGUUGUUUAUUUAUAGUUUUAUUACAUUAUUUAAUCUCUUUUUUAUAUCAAGUUUUUAAAAUUAUAAUAUAAGAUUUAUUUUAUCAAAUUGUGGCUUAUCAAAUGUUCAUCUAUUUUAAUAAUAACUUGAGUUCGAAUCAUUAUCAUACCAGAAAGAGUUCCCUUUAUUCUUUAUCGUAAAUUUUAUAAGAAAUUAUAUUUUAUUAUAAUACUAUAUGUGUUAGAAUAAUAUUUUAUUGUGGAUGCCCAUAAUUCUCAAAGUUGUAACCUUGAAUGUAGUAACCUCAAUGAAAUUAUGAGGCUUUUAUAUUGUAAUCAAGCCUCUAUCUAUUCUUUGUAUUCUUUGUAGAAAAUAUGAAGUUGAUUUUACUUUAUUAAAAAAUUUAAAAUAAAUUAUCUUGUUUUUUUUUAAAUGAGUUAACCAAAUUAGCAUAUUUAUUUUGAUCUAAAAUUAUCCAAAAUAAUAUAAAAUAUUAUAUUAAUAAAAUUAAAACUAUGAAAUAAUUUUUUUUAAAGAUUAUUAUUUACUUUUAUCAAACAAUACAAUUAUAUUCAGUACUUAUAUUUACUAGUUUACCAAACAGUUUUCCAAUAUGAAUUCAACACUUAUCAAAUUCAGUAUUAAAAAUUCAGUGCUUAAUUUUUUAGCACUUAACUUUUCAAUUCAUCAAGCACGUCUAAUUCAAUUUAUACAAUUCCCUAUUUGUAUCUCUAUGAAUUUAUAAAAUCCUUCUCGCAUUUAGUUGUUGGGAUCUUUAUAUGAAGAUAGAUGCUUUUAUUUUUUAUUGGUUCAUUUUUAAUUGUAUUGAUUUAUUUAAUUUUAAUUUUGAUUAAUAUAUAUGAUUAUUGUGGAAUGGGAGUAAAAGUAUUUACUUCUCAUAAACUUUGAAAUAUUCACCCUGUCUACAUAUUAAUUAUUGUAAAAUUUGAAUUGAAAUUAUGCCAUAAAAGGUGGAGGUUAGAAAACCUCUUAUUGAGACCUUAUAAUAUUUUGUAAUUUUUUGUGUUAUGGUAUAUAAAAAAAUAUCUAACCAUAGUGAUUGAUUAGUAAUAUAAAUUUGUUAUUUGUUAUGUUUAAUAUAUAUUUUAUUUAUACUUAUUCAUUUUAUUUUUAUAUGAGUAAAUGAAGUGUUUGAAGAUUCGAAAUUUUUAUCAUCCAUGUUGAAAAUAAGUGCAAAAGUGUAUAUUAUUUAAAAUAAAUUACGCAUUCAUUAAUGUUAUGUGAUAAAAUCAUUACAUUUUCUGAAGAACUAAUAUUGCAUCAAACUGUAAAAAGCUCUUGAAGAGCUAAUAUUUAUCUCCCUGUGAUGCAAAAUCUUGUAAAACAUGAUAUUAUUUUUCAAAUCAAGAAGAUUUAUGUUGAAGGAAAUAUUUAUGUGUUUUACAUUAAAACCAUGGAUAGAAAUGACAUGAGACACUCAUGUAUUUGCAUUAUAAAUAUUCCUUGAAGGAAUACACUUCACUUGUAUGAUUGACAUAUGAGAUAAUAGCAAGAAGUUUAUAGUGUUGGUAUGGCCGGCUAGACCAUCUCAAGUCAAUAAUGAUGCAAAAUAAUUUGAAGAGAAUUUAUAUGAUUUUAUUGAAGAAUGAGAAGUUAUUUUCAUUUUGAUAAUUGUCAUCAACAAUAGUUCUUUGGAAAAAAAAAUAUUGAACUAACAUCAACUAAAGUUAGAGGUUGGUUCAUGGUUGCAUUUUUUGAUGAUAUCCAAAUAAUAUAUGAGCUCAUGUAUCACAUGUAUGCAACCCAAAGUUUACAGUAUUAUUUCUUGAAAUAAUUUGAUUCUACACAAUCUCUAUAGCAUGCAAUUUGUGCUAACAACACUGGUGCAUUAUAUCCUAAGCUUGAUUUUCGUAGUUUUAGCUGAGAUAAUAUUAAGUUGUCUAUGCCUAUAUAUAUUAUACUUAAUGGUUAGCAAAAUUAUGCCUCCAUUUAAUUGCUUAACCAUUAAUAUAAGAAUAGCUUUAAAAUAAGCAUGUAAUUUUAUUUGCAUCGAGCCAACAUGUAAGAAAUAUUUGUCCCAUGAGAAUUAGCUUUUAUUUAUAAGCCAAUAGGUUUCAUUUAUGACUAUUUGGAUGUAAAAUAUCUAUUUUAUAUUCCACCAUAAUGCACUAAGAUGGACCAUCAAGUAUGAAGUUGAGAAAAAUUAGAAUUUUUAUUUGAUGGUAAAAGUUGAAAAGAGAUAUAUAUUUAUAAUUUUGAAAAAAAUAGUCAUGUUGCAAAUUUUCUCAGUAUUAGAGGGAGACAAGUUGGACAAAUACGUAUAAUUAUGUCAUCACUUUUUGUGAUCCCUCACUAAUCUUAUGUGCACAAAGUUUGAAGGAAAAAAAUAAUUUGCUAGACAUGUUUAGUGAUGACAUUUAGAGAUUGUAUAUAUUGGAUGAUACAUAUACCAGCUAAAAUGUUCCAAAUAAUUAUGCGUCCUAGAAGGACAAAGUGAUAAAAAUAAUUUUUGGGCACGCUAGAAGGAUGAAAAACUAGUUGGUUCUAUAAAUAAAAAAAUUCUUGACAGAAAAGAGUAAGAAAUGAAUAUGGCCACACGUUAAAGGAGACGAGUACUCAUGAAGAGACCCAAGGUAUAACUUUUAAUAAAACCCCAAAAGAGGUUCAAUACAUGAAAUUAUGAAUAUAAUAAGUGUAAUAACCAAAUUUUUCCCGGGCCCAAUGCCAAACAAAUAAAACCCAAACCAAAUAAAUAAAAUAAGAGUCCAAAUUAUAGUCCGUUAGGGCCCAAUUCAGACCAGCCCACUAUUCAAUCAGACCAGCCGAACAACAAAAAAAAACCUAGUAGCCCACAGCCCAACUAAGCCUAAAAAAUUUUCAGCAAAAGAAAAAACCCUAGCUGCCAUGCUAGCCGCUGCUCCUGCCCUAGCCUCUGCCCACUAUCGUACGCCACCUCUGCCAUCACCAUUAGCCUCUGACACCUGCAAAACAGCAAACAACAUGCAACAACAGAGAAGAAGACGACAAGCAAAAAACAAAUCACUAAAGGACAAAAAUAAUGAUAACAAAUAGCCUUAGUUUGGCUAUAAAAGCAAAAAAAAUGAAAACUUUGUACUUCUUUGGCAAGAUUAAUACAAAAAAGAAAAGAUUUGAACUUUUUAGGGUGAUAUUUCAUUUUUUUUUACGCUUUAGAUCUAUUUUUUUAUUUCAUCUUCAUCUACGAAAAUAAUAGAAAAAAGACUUUGAUUUCAAGGUGAUAUUUUGUUGUUUUUUUAGAUCUAGUGUUUUUUUAUUUAUUUUUAUCUACAAAAAUAAAAAAAGGAAAAGAGAAACGUACCUAAUUCACCCCGUGGCUCCGUCGACGGAAGUCCCAUCGCCAUCGUCGGAAUCGGGCUUAAAAGGGGAAGGUUUUUAUUUUUCUUUACUUUUUUUUGGAUUUUUCGUCUCAAGAAAUGGACUAAGGGAGGGGAAAUGGCCAAAAUGGUCUUUUUCCGAUGAACUCUGGCAACCACAUGUGGCAGUUAACAGUGCCGGUGCUCGGUGGCUGCGGUGGAGCCAUGGUGGUGUCCCAUGGCCGGAUCUAGAGAGGAAGCCUUUAAGAGGGAGAGAGUUUCUAACAUUUUUUUUAUUUUCUAAGGCAGAAAUGAAUUUUUGAAAAAAAAAAGUUGGGUUUUAUAAGUGCGUGAAAUGGCGCCAUUUUGCGCAAGUGCACAUCGACGUCGAAACGACAUCGUUUACCCCUUUACCCGCUUGCCCGAGUCUGGCUCGAUGAAGGUCCGCAUAUUUUCAUGCCUGAUGGGUUAUUUCCCUGCCCGAUCCUUCCGAUUUUGGGCUUCUUCUCAAUCUGGUCCUGAUCCUACUUUUUCCCGCCUUUUAAAUUGUACCAUUUAAUUUCAUUUCAUUUUCAACUCGGUCCCUCGGCUGACCAAAGGAAAUGAUGCGCAUAAAGUUAAGGGAUAUUUUCCCUUUCAAUCCCCAAUAUUUUUAGAGCGAUGCAUUUUAAUCCCUAACCUUUCAUUCCAAUCUUUUACACAUAUUAUUUCAUUUUAUUCGUUUAUUUAUUGACUUAUCAUUUUUACCCUCUUUUUAUACUUAAAAAUAUAUAUUAUUUACACUAUUACUUGCAUUUUUUUACUAUUAAAUUAUUAUUUUUAAUGUAUUAUAUUCCCAUUAUUUUACCAUUUUAUUUAUUUUGAUACUUUCAUGUCACAUUUAUUUAUUUUAAUAUUGCCAUUAUUUAUUUUAUUUUAUUCUUAUGUUUUUUAGUAUUUUAUUAUUUCUUUUAUUGUUCACGGUUUUUUUUUCAUGUUAUACAUUUUUAUCUUUCUAAUCAUGCAUUUUUCCUUUUUUUAUUUUGUUUUAGGUUACGUUAUUUAUUAUUAUUAUUAUGAUAAUAUUAUUAUAAUUAUAUUACCAUUAUUAUAGAAUUCCUUUAUUUGUAUAUUCCAUUAUAACUAUUAUUAUUAUUAGUAGUCUUUAACUCACUUCUAUUUUUAUUAUUAUUUUUUAGAAUAGUAGUCAACAUGCUUAUCCUUAUUGUUAUUUGGUGUUGUUCUUAUGAUUUUAUCAUCAUUAUUGUUGUAUUUCAUUUUUUGUUCACUCUUUAAAUAUUUUGUUCAUAUAGUUAUUUUACACUAUUGCAAUAUUGUUGCAUUACGCAUUAUGUUUCUUAUAUAAUAAUUAUUUCGCUUUCACGCGAUGUUCGAAUCAAUUAAACAUGAAUCUUCUCAAUUAUUACAUUAAUUGUUACUUAAGUUCAAAAAGAAAAUUUUCAAAAUAAGGCAAUAUUUUGCGUUUUGGAAAUUCGAGAAAUCAUACCCUAACUUACGAGGUUUCGAUUUUCUCGUUAAACUUAAAUAGCAAAAUAUUCUUUUAAAUUUCAAAAUGCAUGCAAUUUCAAUAAAAAUCAAAGGCAAGCUUAUUCUCUAAGGUUCCAAAUAUCGCGUCCUAACUUACGGGAUGUGACAUUUCGUUACCUCGAGACGAGUAGGUCUUCAACUCUCUUUUCGAUUUAUUCGAGCGUUUUUAAUAACAUUAAUAAAAAGGGAUCGUAUUUUAAAUUUCUAUUCAAGUUUUCAACCUUGGACAUUAAGACAUUACUUAAUCAACUAGGUACCACCUUUGGGUGUAUUGAGGGUGUGUUUUCUAGAUUUUGUAGACCAAAUAUUAUCGUUUUUAGUAAAUUUAAAUUUUUAUUAAAAUGAUUAAAUUACAAGUGUUGACACCAUUUUUUUGAUGAAAAACGGGGUCGACUUGGGUUUUAAAAAAAAUGAAAAACGGGAGUCGCCACCAAUCCUUUUUGAUAAGGUGUGAUUGGGUCACCUUGAAAAAUGGUUGUUUUUAAUAAAUGAUUUGAUUUUAUUAAAACAACGGUUUUGGUCCAUGAAAUUUAGAAAACGGGUUCGGGAGUCGAUUACGUACGAGGAAGGAUUAGCACCCUCGUAACGCCCAAAAAUUGGUACCUAGUUGGUUAGCUAAUGUCUUGAUGUCGAAAAUUGAGAACUUGGAAAAAAUUAAAAAUACGAUCCUUGUAUUAAAAUGAAAAUUUUAGGAAAAGGGGGGCAUACUUCACGCUAAUCGAGAAAGAGAAUCAUAUCCAGUAAGUUAGGACACAAUGUCUCGAAUUCCCGAUACGCGAAUGAAUGCCAAAAUUUUACUUAUUUAAAAGACAUUUUAGCCGUCUCGAAUUUAAAAAUGAAAUCACGACCAGUAAGUUAGGACGUGAUUUUUUAAAACUUGAGUUUGAAAAGAUUCGUGCAUCUAGAUUUAUCGUGAAAAUCAAUACCCAGUAAGUUAGGGUACGAUUUUCUUGAAUUUAAACACGAAAUGCCAUUUUUUAAAACAAAUUUUGUUAUAUCGAGUGAAAUAAAAACACAAAGUCGUAGUAAAAAAAUGUGUAAGCAAAUUACAUUGUUAUGCAUGGCAAAAUCAUAAUGAAUACAAAAGUAUAAAAAUGAUACGAGCAAUAACAACAAUAUAAAAUAAAUAAAAGUCAAACCUACAAUAAUAUUAAAUAACAAUGUAUAUAAACAAAUAAAAUUAAAACAUUCAUUCAAAAUAAUAAUGAAAAUGAAAUAAAUAAAUAGUAAAUACAAAAUAAAACAAUAGUAAUGAAUAAAAAUAAUAUAAUAUAUAUAUGUAUGUUAGAAUUAUAAAGUAUAAAAAUAUACGUAUGUGUAUAUAAGAAUAUGUAAGCAUGUAUAUACAUAGAUUAUAAAAUAUAGAUAUUUAUAUAAAAAUGAGUAUUUGUAUUAAAUAAGUUGAAAAAAAAUAUAUAUAUACCUACAUAUAUAUAAAAAAUUAUAUAAUAAUAACAAUAUAAUAAAACACAUAUAUCUAAAAUUUACAUAAGUAAAUAUAAAUAAAAACAUACUAAUAACAAUAAUAUUAAUAGUAAAAUGAUAAUACAUAAAAAUGAUGAAGAAAAUAAUAAAAAUGCUUAAAAGGGGACUAAAUCGAAGUAAGAACCAAAAAAAAGGGGCAAAAUCGAAAUAAAGACAAGAGGGACUAAAUUGUAACGCGCGCUGAAAGAGGGGGACCAACAGGGUAACUAAACCAAAGCCUCAAAACGCUGCUCUGUAAAGGACUGAAAUGAGACAAAAAUAAAAUUUUGUGGCCAAAUUGCAAAUAUGCGAAAAACUUCCAUGAAAUCGCUACAAAAUCAAAGGGACUAAUUGCGCAAAUAGACCCUUAAACAAAAACGCGCGGAUCCUUGGGUGCGGGUCGGGUCGACGUGCGGAUCCCCUCACCAAAACGGCGUCGUUUUGUGUUUAAUAUAAAUAUAAAAAAAGGGCUAAAAAAACAGUUUCAUCAUUUUUGUUGAAAAACUGAGAGAAACCUCUCUCUUUUUUCCCUUUCUCAGGCUCAGAUUCCGGAGAUGGCCCGGCCUAGGCUUCUGGCGAAUCUCCGCCGUAGAGCCACCGUGUGUGGCGGCCGGAGGUCCAAAAUCGGACCUUUUCGGUCCCUUUUUGAAACUAAGAAUCCCUAGGGUACGGAUCUGGGACCAAACCCCCGAAAAAAAGAAUCGGAGACCUAAAGAACGAGGGGAAACCGCUCGUCUUCUCUCCUCCGGCGCGGCGCAGGUAAGGUUUCUUUUUCCUUUAUUUAUAUUACGUAAAAAACAUACAAAAAGAAAAAAAAGAAAAUAGAGUUUAAAAAAAAUCUAAAACAGAAAUGAGAGAAAAUCACCUCUCAAGUUUUCUUGUUUUUUAUUUCUUUUUGCUAAUAUCUGUUUCUUCUUUUUACAAAAGUUGAUGGAAGAAGAAAAAAUUACAUUUUGUUGGCUUUUUAUAGCCGACUUCUACUACUGCCUGUGUUAUUUGCUCUCUGUUUCUUUGUUUUGUUUCUUCUUUGCAGGUGACGGUGCAAGUGGUGGUGGUGACGUGACCGUGGCAGUGGCGGUGUGAUGUUGGCGGCGGCGGCAGGCCAAAGGUCAAUAGGUGUGGAGCCUAGGGUUUUAGUUUUUGAAACCCUAGGCAGAUUUUUUUAGGGGAAUUGGGCCUUAGCUAUUGGGUCGUUCGGGUUUGGGCGUUGGGUUAGGCUAGUUGGGCUUUGAGGUUGGGUUGUUUUGUAAUGUGCUUUGGUGUUUGGGUUGGUAGGUGGUGGGUAAGGUUUAUUGUUUUGGGUUCUUGGGCCUGGUUCUGUUUGGUUAGGGUAAUGGGCCAUUUGGGUCUGGGCAUAAAAUUGGGCUAUACAACAAGGUGACCCGAUUACACCUCAUCAAAAAGGAUUGGUGGCGACUCCCAUUUUCAUUUUCAUUUCUUUUUAAAUCAAAGUCAACCCGUUUUUAAAAAAAUGGUUUCGACAAUAAGAUAUAUUGAUUAGUUAUGUCAUAACUAAAGAUGAUGGAGUUGACAAAAGGAAAUUGUAGUUAACAACGAAUAAUCUACGUAGAACAUUUCAAUAUUAUGGAAAAAUGAGUAUUUACCAACCUUCUUUUAGUCAAAUUAUGCAAGCCUAAAAUUUUUAGCUUAAUUUGAGUUUGUUGACUAUGUCUAAUUCAAGUUUUAUUAUUAAGGACUAAAUUGUAACUUAAAAAAAUUAGAAUACCAAUUUAAAGAGACAAAAAUUCAAAACCCCAAAACCCACAUGGGCAUGUGGGUAAGUGACACAGGCGUGUGGAGACUGGAGCUAUCACACACGGGCGAGUGGGACAGAAAAAUAUGAAAUAAAUUAAUCCACUUAAAUUUCAAACAACCAUGCUAUACUACCAAACCAAAUAAUGCUAGAAGCUUUGAAUAGGGGUGAAUCGAAAAAAAAAUAAAAGAAUUAGAAUUAAAUUAUAAAAUUUUCAGAAGUUAUCAUGUAUUAAUUUAUUAUUUUUUAAAGGGUCUUAAUAGAAUUUUUUUUCCAUUUUGGUUUGGCCAAUACCCCUGUCUACCUCUUUCAAUUUGCUUCAACCCUAAACCUAAUAUUCGAUUUGUUGUGGAAGUUUGACGCAUAAAAAUUUCUUUUUUAGAGGUUUAAAUUAUAAAUUUUUGAAAGUUUAAAAUAAAUUUUCAUUUUUAUUAACAAAAUAUAAAAGAAAAAAAACAUGUGUAGACAAACCAAGAAACCUUUGGGAUCAUACGGGUGAUUUUGAUGAUGUUAAUGGUUAUUUUGAUGGAGAGGGUGAAAAAGAAACAAAUGAUUCAUAUAUAUAAUAUAAUUAUGAAAUUCAAGCCAUAUAUUGUAUGUUUCAUCCAUAAAAAUUUCAUGGGAGGUCCGAAGGUAAUUAAAUGACUUGUAGGCUUGCUGAAUUUCUUUGAAAGGCCCAAUGGCAAUUUAACAUUCACAAAAUAAUCUCUAAAUACUGUAAAGACAAAAUCAAAUCCACAGCAGCAUUAGAGUUGAUUAAGCUAAGCAUUGGCAAAUAUUACUUUGAUUUUGCAUGCAAUAUUAGCAAAACCCCCUCUUACAUUAGAUAAACAACAUACUCCAUGAAACAUUGAUAGCCCAAAUACAAAUUUCAUCGACAAAAAAGUCUCUUUGUUUUGUAGAACAUGAUAGUAAAAAUGUGGAGUUUCGUUCUUCUUAUUGGCCUCCUUUAGUUUUCCUUGAUCAACAACCACUAGCCAAAAACACAAUUAGAUUAGAUUAUGAAUGAUACUGACAUUAUUAAAUAUAAAACACUCUAAAUAACUCUAAAUAAAUGGAAAGCAGCAAAUUACCUGACGAGGCAAGCUAGCUCAAUUAAGACCAUUGUGUUAUACUUGUCUCUGAAUUGAAAAAUUUAGAAGGAAAUAAAGAGAAAGACUUAGAAAAUAUUUGAAAACAGAUAAAACUUAUAUGUCAUUUAAAAUAAAAAUUUUGUAUUUAAGCCGUUUAAAAUUUUUAAGAUUUUUGAAAUUUUAAAAUGAUAAAGGUAAAAUUGUACUUUGGCACACCAAAAAUGAUAAAACUUUGAUUUAAUCCUUUAGAAAUUAUAAAAAUAUAGGCUAUUAAAAUGGUGAAAUUACCUUUUUACUAUAGUAAAAAUUACAAUUUAAUUUCACUUUAAGAUUUUCUGACUUCGCCCCUAAUAAAAUCUUUGGCAAAAGAUUAAAAUAAAAUUAUACCGUAAAUGGAAAAAGAAACAAAGAAAAUCCAAUCUAACAAAGAAAAUAACUUAUGUCCAAAAGCUACCAUAAACCGUAAUUCAUGGGAAGAGAGCAAAAGUAAAAACAAAUAGUUUAUAUGAUUAAAAUUCCAGAAUAGGUUAAAAAUGUUGAAUUAAAGAUAAAAUUAAGCGUGAAUUAAUAACCACAAGUGUACUCUUUACUCACCAUCUCUGUUAAAAAUGUUGGAUGUUGUUUAGCAACCUUUGUUUGAUUUUCUUCAGCUCAACCACAACAUCUUUCAUUUCUUUUCUUUCUUCUGGUAACUCAGCUGAACAAUUCAAAGCCAACUCCAUGAUAGAUGAAAUACAAUUUGCUUUAACAACAAAGUACUCAUCCUCUCUUCUUAGUAAAUCAACAUCUGCAAUUUCUAUCGCUCCUUUAGGCAAUGAACUUUCCAUCCAAUGCCUUAUAGUCUCUUCUUCAACAAAAACAUUAUCAGUUGGCUUUCUCUUUGUGAAAGUUUCUAUAAGGACGAUCCCAUAACUAUAAACGUCAGAUUUUAUAGAAACAAGUCCUGCAGAUCCAAAUUCUGCAUUUCAAGUAUAAUUAGAACAUCAUCAGUCCUCAAUUAUUUGAUAAAUCUAUGUAUAUCCACAUACACGAGAAACAAAAAUAUAAAACGCAAAUUAGGAAAAUAAUCGUACAAAGAUAAAAAAAGAAUUCACCUGGUGCCAUAUACCCGAUUGUUGCAAGAGUCAUGGUUUGCUUCAUUACUUCACCUUCUCCCAACAAUUUGGCAACGCCAAAAUCUCCAACAUGUGCAACCAUGUCUUCAUCUAGUAAAAUAUUGCUUGGUUUUAUGUCACAAUGAAUUAUAGGGGUUGGAUGUCCAUUGUGGAGGUGUUCUAUAGCCACCGCAACAUCUAUCAUUAUGUCGACCCUUUGUAUGAUAUCAAGGAAACAAUUUUUAGAAUGUAACCAUUUCUCAAGGUUUCCAUUAGACAUGUAAUCAAGCACCAAGGCUUUGAAGUCAACACUUGAGCAGCAAGUAAUGACCUUCACAAUAUUACGAUGAACUAUAUGAAGCAUAGCAUCACAUUCAAUGUCAAAACUCCUAAAUGCUCCCUCUGUUUGCAAAUUGAAAACUUUUAUUGCAACUUCCAUUCCAUCUGAAAGCCUCCCUUUAUAUACAUAUCCAAAACUCCCUGAACCAAGCAUAUUGCUUUCCUCAAGUCCAUUAGUUGCUCGUGAAAGUUCAGCAUGUGAAAUUCUUCUCGGUGUCUUCAAAGACAACAAAUCAUCUUUAAUUGGUAGAGCUGUACUCCUUCUUUGGCAUCUUCUAUACAUAAUAGUUAAGACUAUUAGUACUACGACAAUACCAAUUGUUGGUAAACCAUACCUAAAAGCAUGCAAUAUAAUCGUUUGGGAGUUUUUGUGGAUGUCGUUUUUACAAGGUGGGACUAGCAAUCUAGGUGGACCACAAAGUGCAUAAUUCUUCAUGAAUGAUGUGCUAGAAAAGUUUGAAAAACAUCCUUCGCUGGGAAUUUCCCCUUCAAGUCUAUUGAAAGACACAUUAAAAUACUUUAGAUAUAAAAGCUUUUCCAAAGAUUUGGGAAUGACUCCAGAGAGAUUGUUAUUGCAUAAAUCCAAGAAUUCCAAACUAAUCAACCCAUCAAAUGAUUCAGGGAUAUGACCAUGUAGUAUAUUAUUUGAUAAAUCUAAUGAAACCAAAGUUAUAAGACCCCCAAAUGUGGAUAAGAUAUCGCCCGUGAGAAGAUUCCUUGAUAAAUUUAGUUUCAGUAGACUCCUCAAAUUUCCAACAUCAAUAGCAUGUGAAUUGUGAAGAUGGUUUGAUGAUAAGUCUAUUUCUAAGAUAUCUUUAAGAUUCCACAAAGUUGAGGGUAUUGUAGAACUCAAUUUGUUGGAAUCUAAGUAAAGAUAUCCCAAAGAAGUAAUAUUACCCAAACAAGAGGGUAUGGAUCCAUGCAGCUUAUUCAACCCUAAAUACAUCUUGUAUAGUCUCUCCAAAUCACAAAGGCUUUAUGAGAUGGGCCCUCCUAAUUUAUUAGAGGAAAGAUAUAGACCUUGGAGAUUUCUCAUUCCUCCUAUUGAUGCUGGAAUCAAUCCACUUAAUUUAUUAUAGUCAAGUUGUAAAAGCAAUAGGUUGGUUAAGUUACCUAUUUCCAUAGGAAUAAUGCCUUGAAGCUCACACUCAUCGGCAUAAAAGUAUUGAAGGGAUUUUGAAAGGUUCCCAAUAUAAGUAGGAAGAACGCCACUCAAUGGAUUUCCUGAAACACCUAUUUUUCUCAAAUUCCUACAAUUCGUCAAAGAAGAAAGAAAGCUCCACUCAUGAUCAGUAGCAGAUCCUGUGAUCAAAUUAUUGUCAAAGAUUUUGAGCACUUCAAGGUGUUUUAAGCUGCCAAGCAUUUUAGGGAUUGGGCCAGAGAAUAAGUUUCGUGACAACUCUAGUUUCUUAAGCAUGGAAGCAUUGGAGAUAGAGUUGGGAAUGUUUCCGCUAAGUUUAUUUCUCCACAAUAAAAGAAUCUCAAGCUUUGGAGCAUUGGUGAUUGGUGGUAAAUCACCUGUGAAAUAGCAUCUUUUAGUAUACACAUUCAUUGAAUACCAAAUUCACAAAAUAUAUAAUACAUUAAAAUAAAAACUGUAAAACUUUAAAUCAAUUAAGAAUAAAAUUUUGGCAUGGAAAAAUGUGAUGAAAUCAAUUAGAAAGUUGAGACAUAAUAAGAAGUUUUGAGUAGUAAUUACUCAUGAUUUCUAUAGACAAAACAUAUAAUACACUGAUAAUUUUUUAAAAAAUAUUGUAAAACCUGAAAUAAAAUAAAAAAUAAAAGUUUGGCAUGAGAAUGUGGCAUCUAAUCAUUCUUAAAAAUAAGACUAACAUUGAAUAAUAAUUAGUUAUGAUUUGAGAAACAAAAAUGUUAAAGAUGUAAACUGGUAUGAUUUUUAUCUAUUGGGUUAAUUAUUUAUUUUUAUUAAAUUAUAUAUAGUGUAAAAUUUAAAGAUUAUUAUUUGCUCAAAAUUUUUGUAUUUUUCGUAUAUUUGAAAUUUAAUCUUUAUAUUUUUUAUUUUCUGUGAUUUAGUCUCUCUACUUUUUGAAUUGAAAAUUUUAAGUUUAUUUAUUAACACUGUUAAAAAGUUUUUGUGUUAGUAUGGCAUUUUGAAAAAUAAAAUAAAAUUGAUAUCUAUGUUUUUAAUUAUUCCAAAUAUUGUUUUACUAUUUCAAGAUAAACUUUUUGUGUCUAUACCAAUAUCUUAAGAACUAUUGUUGCAUGUUUAAUUAUUCUAAAGAUUUGUUGAUUGAGUCUUGGUUGAAGUGCAUUAUUCUCCUAUUUAUGAAUUGGGGAGUUGAUAAAGUACUUUAUUUUAAUAUAUUUUAAAAUAUUAAAAAUUUAUUAAAAUAUUUUUUAUAAAACUUGAUUGUACCACAAUAUACAAUUUUAAUAUCAAAUUUUUAAUUGUUUUUUAAAAAUAUUAGCGAAUAUAUACUUUAUUUCAAGUUACACAAUUUUUACUAGCUUUUAACUUUUUUUAAAAUUUUUAUCGUCUUUUAUAAUUUCUAAUAAUUUUUUAUAAUUUUUUACAAUAUUUACAAUUUCUAACAAUUUUUAAUAAUUUUAUUAUUUAUUUCAAAUUUAAAAAUUAACAAAUUUUUAUUUUUUUAAAACAAUUAUAUAUUUAUAAUGUAGUUAUUUUUUUAUAAUUUUUUUUUGAAAUUUAAAGAUUUUUUUGGUUUUUUUUUUCUAGAUGAUGAUGCCAUCAUGAUGCCAUCAUAUGCCACAUGCCUUCUAAUUUGUUGUCAUAUAGACAUAUUUCUUCGAGCGUAGUUGAAUUAAAAAUACUUGAUGGAAUCUGACCUGCACACAUAGUCGAAAAUUGAAGUGAAAAGCAUACCUUCUAAGCUGUUAAACUAAAAAUACUUUAAGCAUAUUUUAUUUUCCAUCAAAUUAACUAUUUUGCCUUGAAUGAAAUAAAAUGUUCUUAUUUUUGUUAUCUAUUACAAAUCAAACUCUUUUAUGAAAAAACUAUUUUAAAUUAAAGAAACAAAGAAAAUUCAAUAUCUUCUAAGUUAUUCCACUCCAAAUAUAAUCUUCAGUGAAGAAAUCUUGAAGAUGGAAGAUGGAACCUUACCAGAUAAUUGAUUGAAUCCCAAGCUCAAGGACUCUAGAUUAGACAUGUUAACAAGUGUUUCAGGGAUUGUGCCUAUAAAGUUAUUAUUUUUCAUUUUCAGCCUUCGAACUCCCUGUAAGUUCCCAAGCCAUGAUGGAAUUUCCCCAUUAAGACUGUUGUAUUUUAAUCGAAGGAUCCUCAAACGAUGCAAUUGGCCCAAUUCUUUAGGGAGAUGGCCAUAGAAAUGGUUUCUACUCAAGUCGAGAGAGAGUAGAAAUGAAAGAUUUCCAAGGUGUGGAGGGAUACUACCCCUAAGAUUCAUGCUUUUAAGUUUCAAAGCUAUAACUCUUUUAUGGAGGAUGCCACAAGAAACACCAAUCCAAUUGCAAACAGAGGUUGAGGCCGUCCAAUUGUUUGCCAAGACAUUUUGAGGACCGGCAAUGCGAUCCUUAAACUCGAGAAGUGCAAACUGAUCGGAGUUGAGAUUCCUGACUGUCAUACCCCAGCAAAGUCCGGAACAUGGUACGAAUAAAGCUAAAAGAAGAUGAAAGCAAGUGUUGUAGUUCAUGAUAGCAAGACGGAAUAAGCCAAGAAAAUAAAAAAAAGUAGGACAAGGGAAGUUGAGUUGAUAAAAUAGUUUGGAUGAUGAAGAAAAGCCCAGAGAGCAUGCUUUAAUAUGUUUUGAAGAAAUUUCAAAAUAAAUUUCAAAAUAAAUUUCAAAAUAAAAAUUUAAAAAGGAAAGCAAAGUUUUGAAGAAAUUUCAAAAUAAAUUUCAAGUCUUCUUCUUUAAAAAAUACGUACAAAGAGCGAAUUUUCAAAAUUUCUCCUAAAUUUUCUUCACAUUACUCCACAUAAUCCAUUAAAAAAACUUAAAAAAUAUAUUUUAUUAAUUACUAUACAUUCUUUUACUUUCAGAAUAAUAAAUUGUUUAAAAUUUGCUAUUAGUCCCUGUAAUUUAAAAGUUAAAAAAAAAAUUCAAUCCUCCUACUUUUCUAAUUUAAAAAUUCUAGUUCAAUCAAUUUUAAUUUUAAAAUCUUUGUAUAAAAGGUGUUUUUUUUUUGUGACCGAUCACACUUAACCAAUAUUUAAAAAUUAUUAAAAAAUAUUUUUUUUUGAAAUUUAAAGUGAUCUAAAAACAUAUUUUUAAGUACUUUGGACAGUCUAUUGUUGAUUUCCUUAUUAUAUUAAGUGUUUGCAAUCACUCCUAAUAUAUUGUGCUUGAGUUGUGACAAAGUCGAUCAUCAAAUUGCCAUAAUGAUCUAUUGAUGCUGAAAUUAAAGUUUUUGUUAUAUUGAUAGAGCUUGUCCUUCAACGCGUACAACGUGUUUGUUAUUUUUCUCCCUUCAAAUUGUAUGAUCUUAUUCAUUAAAUGAAUUAAUGAAUUUCCCUUUUAAAAAGAUAUAUUUUUAAAAAUUAAAUACUUUAUAAAAUAUUUAAAAAUUUGUAAGCCUUAAAACAAUCAACAAAAUAUUUUUGAAAUUUUAUAAAUAUAUUUUAAAAUUAUAGUAACGCUACAAAAUAUAUAUAUUUACUAAUUAUAUGCACCUUUUUUAUUUUUUUUCCUAACAUAUCAUUAUUUUCAACACUAUCGUAAUCCUGUUUUGAUAAUUCCCUUUCCAUACAUCCUUUUUCUACAUAGAAUUUCAAAAGAAAAUGUGAAUUAAUGUAAACGUGAGAAGACUUAAUUACAUUUAUUAGUUUAUCAAUCAAAACUUAAUUAGAAUCCAUCAAUAUUUCACACAUCAAAAACCCAAACAUAAAAUUCACUUUUAAAUUAUUUGAAGAUACAUUUGUAUUAUAGGAAAUGGAUUAAAUUAGUCUUUUAUUAUUAAAUGUAUUAUUUUAAUCUUUGUAUUAGGUAUGAAUUGUAUCUCCUAGAUUGAAGCCAAAGCUAUUCUUGAAAGACUGAAAUUAAGAUUCAGAUGUGUUGAGAUGGAAAGUGGCAACACAAUGUUGAUUGAAACUAUUUAUAACGGGUUGGCUACAAUAAGUAGUGCUGCCGAAGUAAGACAGAUUCACGAUUGGUGUUCCAAAAAUUGGGAAGUCAAAUUUCGACAUAUUCAACGAAAUGCCAAUAAAGUUGUUGAUUGCAUAGCUAAGGCAAAUGGAGGCGUAAUUGAGCAGCUGGUUAUCUUGGAAGAUCCUCUGCAUUAUGUGAGAUGCUAGCUUGAAGAAGAUAUUAGACAGUCACUAGUGACUGAUGAUAAUUUUCAUUUGGACUGAUGAGCGCUUAAUUUUCUAAGCUUAUGUUCAACAAAAAAAAAUUUAAAUACGUCUAAAUUGUAAUAGAGUUAACAUUUAGUGUUUAAAAAAUAUCUUAAAAAUUAUUUUUUUCCAAUUGCAGUUCAAUUCCACAAAUAUCGACGAUGAACCCGGACAUAAAAAUUACAGAAAAAAAAACACAUCUAUUAUCAAACCAGCAAUCCAUGUCUAAACUUAAAUUAACAAAAUUUGCCACACAACGCCCGGUACACUAUUAUAUAUCUAUACUAGAUUUAUUCUAGAUGCACAUGUUUUAUUAUAUUUAAAAAUUAAAAUGUAUGGUUGACUAAGUUUUAGUUGAGUUAGUAUUGAUAUUAUUGUCAGUGUAGGAAAAUGUGAGUUUAAUCACGCUCAAAUGUGUUUUAUCCUCCAAUUCAAGGGUUAGGAAAAGGUUAUUGAUAAUUAAAUUAUACCAACUUUUAUAAUAUUAAAAAAAAGGAUUUAUAAAUAAUAUAAGGAAAAGAAAAAAAGAGAAACAUAUUCAUAUUGAUGGGCUCUUUCAAUAUUAGACUUUUUUUUCUAUCACAAGUAAAAAUAUCAAAGGUGAUAAUAAUUAAAUUAUAAAAUUUAAAUUGAGAAAAUAGGGGAUAAAAUUUAUAAGUUUUAAAGUAUAAAGAAUGAAUUUAUAACUAACAACAUAUUUUAACCACAUAAUAAAAGUAGUUAUGGAGAGGAUCAUAUAAAAUGCAAAAAUGAAAUAAUAGAAAAGAAAUAAGUGUUGGGUAUAGUGGCAAUGUAUAUUAUACUUCUAAGGGGAGAUCAAGAUUUUAGACAAGGGAAGAAUUUUAAACCUGCUUUUUUCUCUAGAACUCAACGCAAACCUCAAAUUUAUCUUUUUAAAAGAAUUUAAAAAUAUCUAUAUAAAAGGUGAUUUUUUACCGAUCACACUUAACAAAAUUAAAAAAAAAUUGAAAUUUAAAGUGAUCUAAAAACAUAUUUUAAAGUGCUUUUGACCAUCUUGUGCUGAUUUCUUUAGUAAUUUGAUUUGUUCAAUAUAGAUUUUGGUGACUUAAAACAAAAUUAAUAAAAAAAUAUUUUAUCAGAUAUCUUUUUAAUGUUUAAUAAUAAGUUAAUUUAUAAAAUAUACUUUCAUUGGACACAGGGCCUCCAAGGCGGUGAACCACUAAUCAAAUUAAUUUUGAGAUACUUAAAUUUGUUUUCAUCAAUUAAGAAAUUAAAAAAAUUUGUUGAGACCUCAUGAUUAUGUUUUAUAAUUUCAGGCUUAUCAACUAUUUUGAAAAACAACAAAACGUCUUACACCAAAAACUAAAAAAAUAAAAACGUCGACAUUAAAUUUGUUGCCAUGCAAUCAAUUUUAAGAUGGUUUUUGGAGUUAUAUAUCACCUUAGCAUUGACUUACUUUUCUACACUUAGUCUUCUCCAACAAGUUAAAUAUUUCAAUUUUAACAACAUUGACAGGUCUUUGGGGUAGGGUCGAGCAAAACUCAAUAUAGGCUGAGUUGGCUCGGCCAAGUCGAGUCGACUUGUUCAAAUUAUUUAAAUUCGUAAUUUUUAAGGUGCAGUUAGAAUUUUUUGUUUUGAGAUGCUAAGAUUAAAAUAUUUCAGUUGCUAAAACAAAAUAUUUGUAUUUAAAAAGGCAUAAAUUAAAUAAUUAAGUUUUUCGAGUUUCCAUUUAAUCAAAGGUUAAAAGGACUAAAUUGAAGCUUUUUAUUUUUAAGAAAGGCUGAAUGACAAAUUGCCCAAAGCCAUGCCCCUAGCUAUACAACUAACUUCUCUAUGAUUAGUCCUUCGUUUGCUUUGGGUGAAAUCUUCCAACUAGCCUCAUCCUUGGUUUUACUUUCCAACAAUUAGUGUAUCACGAGUUUUGUUUUCUUUAAAAAAUAUUUGUGGAUAUUAGGAGAUAAUGAAAAUUAUUUUACUAUGAAAUUUUAAUAAAACUGGAAAAUAAGUAAUUUAUUUUAAGAGGUCGCAAUUAAACGUUAGAUUUCCAAUUUUUAAAUUUUAAUUUUUUUUUGACAAUUGCAUAAUAUUUUGAGUGUUGUAGGAAUGCCAUAAUAUAACCUUCCCUAAACAUAAUCGACUCUUGAGCAUGAUGGAUCCUAGAACUUCUCCUCUAUUCUCGUACCGCAAAUUGCUUCAAGUGUGGGUUCGAACAAUCACAAAUUAAACACAAAACCAGAAAUGAUUUAUUACUUUCAAUAGCAAGGUAAUUCUCUCUCAAUAGAAACCAAUAGAAGUGUAAUUCUUAGAAAAUAAAAUUUAUUUUUUGAAAAUAUAUUCUCACUACUUUCUAGCAGAAUAACAAUAUGUGAAACUUAUGUCUUGUGUUAAUAGCUCUACCAGUACUCUCUAUUUAUAGGGAGAGAUACGAGAAUCCUGGUUGAAUUAGUAAAACACGAAUAAUAUUUAUUUCAUAGAAAACAAUAUUCCACCCUAAGUAGAUCAAGUUUGUAUGACGCAUGGAUCAAAGCUCAAUCUAGGAGGAAAAAAAUAAAGGAAUUUUCUUUGUAAAGAAAAUUUGAGAUUGUACUAUUUUCAAAGUUAUAAAUAAAAUUAUACGCCAAAUUUUUAAGUCAAUUUCAACUCCAAUUUUGUAUGCACAAAUUUCUAGUACACUUGGUGGGACAUUCUUUGACUUUUAUCUAUUCUCUCAAAAAGUUAAAGUUCAAAGUUACAUUAAACUCAAAGAAGAUAAUCAUUAGUAAACCACCUCACAAGCCUGCUCAAACUAAUCCUACAACUCAUUCCACUUCAUCAUCAAACACCAAUGUUCUUGCUUAUCCUUAUGGAAUUAAACAGUCUCAUUUUCUGCAUUUUGGGUACACACCUGGUUUUAUUUGAUGCUAAAACAGUCCCCGAGCACUCCAAAGCCUAUAAUUGAACAAAUAAUACUAAUUUAAUCUUACAUAACAUGAUCCCAAAUUGAACUUGUAUCGAGGUUUUAACCCAUAAGUGACUAAACCUUACCUUCAACCGAGUGAACAGUAAUUCCCACACAAACUAAGACUCCGAUUGAAGAUUACGAGCCAUUGAAUCCUCCCCUAAUUGGCAUAAACAAAACACUUCAAAAGAAAGUCAACAAAUGGAGACAAAUCACUUAUCUAAAACUUACCGAACGAUCACAGACAAACGUGAAGCGACACGAGGCAGAGUGGGAAAAGAAAAAUCAAGAGGAUGAAGGGUGAAAGAGAGCAGAAAUUCGGUAGCAAUGAAGAGAAAAACGGCAAGAAAGUGGAGGGAUUUUGGGGAAAGUAAAAAAAAAGAUGAAUAGAAUAUUUGAUAACUACCCCAAUCCCUUAUUUCUCUCUAUCAAACUCCCCACUAAAUCCACUACUCAAAUUUUUAGUCCAUCUCAAACUCUCCUGGACGCACGAGCAAAAAAUAAUGCCCAUGCCAAAAUUUAAACAAAAGACCUCCUUCACACCAACACUCCACUUAUCCACCAGACCAAUAGGCUCAUUCUUUUAAUUAUUUUCCAACUUUUACUUAAAAGCCUACUGACCAAAGAUAGGGCUUAUUCAUAAAAAUACCAAAUUUUGCCCAAGACCUGGCUUGAACUUGGGACCUCCCAAACACACCCAGAACACAUAACCACUAAAGCAGACAUAAAUUUUGUGUCACACAUUCACAAUACCCAAAAUUAAAAUUUUAGGGCGUUACAAAAACACAUUAAAUAAUAUCGCAUAAAAUAAUCACAGUUAGAUAACAGUUCAGAAUGUCGAUUUUACAAUUUAACCACCAAUAGUAUCACAGUAUUCACAGUUGUAAUUUCAGAAUAUCAAAUUUCCACAUGAUUCACAAUAUUCACACAUAUAUAAAUAUAUCAUAAUAGAAUUCCAGAUUUGUAUGCACAUGAUUUAGAAGAUGCCAUACAAUUUUGGUUUUUAACAGAAUAAAUCCUACCCCACGUUACAUACCAUAAUGGGAGUUCCCCUAAACUCCCUUCUCCAACACACUAGGUUAUGGAUAAACCACUAUUGGUUCACAAAUAAUAACUGUCAUUUGGCUGUGGACACACAGCAAGUCCCCACAAUUGGAUUCUAGAUUUGGUUGUGGAUUCACAGCAAAAAAAUCCUACAAAUGAAGCCUGCUUUUGCCUGUAGAUUAUACAACAUAUACCCGCAGUUGGAAUCUGUCUUUGGCUGUGGAUGCAGUGUAACACCGCAAACUCGACCUGGACAUUAUGGCUGAAUCUUGAUGAUUUACUUUAACUCGCUAGAAAACCCACGAAUUUACUUUAAAAUCAUGUGGUUAAACUAGUGUUCACUUUGAUAAAUUGUUUUCCAGUUUUAGAGAAAUUUCUUGUUAAAACUGUUACUUUAUUACAAUAAAACAUUAAAGUAAUUGUAUCAUUUUGUAGUGGAAUCUACUAAGCUAUAAGGUUUUGAAAAUCGUGAUUUAGUUUGCAACAAAUCAUUUUGCAAAUAGAAAUUUAAUACUACUUAAUUUGGAAAAUCACGCUAAAACGAAAGCAAAGUCCAAAAUAAUUUACGGUUUGAAAUUCUAAAAAGCCCAAAUUAGACAUAAAGUCUAUUUAAACCAAUUUAUUGAAAGUGUAACACCCUAAACCCGGCCUAUAUGUUAUGGCCAAAUCUAGAUGUGUUACGAAAAAAAGUUUAUAAAAUGACUUCCUUGUUAUUGGCAAACCAUCGUAACCAUUAUUACUUAGUAUAUCUGAUUUGUUUGGAAAACUUAUUGAUAUACUUAUUUGAUUUAAAAUCGUUGCUCGCUUAUGCCUUUUUAUUAAACCAAAUAUUUUGCAGCGGAGUUUCUUUACAACAUCAUAUUUUGGAAAAUCAAAUUGUUUCUUGAAAAUCGUUAUUUUAGAAAAGUUUUCAUUUUCAGAAAAAUUAUUUUAUCAGUUGUUAUGCUGAGAAAACAAAAUAAAAUCCAAAACCAAAAAUAAUCGCAAAAAGUCUAGAGAGUCCCAAAAUGACAAUACUCUUAAAACUAGACAAGCUUAAACUAAUUUUAAAAGAAUGAAAUUUUACAGAAAUGUGGACACCACUGAGCUUCCGUCGCACCGACCCACCUAAAUCUGAGGGUUACUUGAACAGAACAAACAAACAGAGAGUGAGUUUUGAAACUUAGUGUCUAACGCAUAUAUAAACAAAAAUUCAGAAUCAAUCUCAUGCAGAACAGAUACAAGUGUAAACCUUUUAUAAAAUUAGAAUUGUACAGAUACAAAUAUGCAACAUCCUACCCUCAUCCUCUACACACCAACUCCGACCAUCCUAUCACACCACGUGGGGUAUAAAAUACCCAUCCAGCCCUACACACCGUAUAGUGUUUAUAUGACACUUUUUGGAAUAAUCGCAGCAGAGUUGCCAGUAUAUAUGCGAGAUAUCACCUCACAUAGAACACUUCCUCCUCAUAAUACAAAUCCCGCCUCAUAGCUAGAUACAGACAAAAUAUGAUGUAAAAUAAAUUAACAGAUACUAGAGUUAACAUAUCACGCGUGAGCGUAUAAUAGAUAUUACACAUGCUUAUGCAUAACAAAAUAGAUCAUACAUAUUGUAUUCCAUAAUACUCAUAUAAAUGUUAUUUACGUCAAUCUCAAUCUAACAGAGUAGCAGAUUUCAUGCUUUAACGCUUAUACCACACAUAUAGACCCUAUAGAAGGCCCACAGUCGAUCGAGACAACAUGUAUGUCGCUAGGGAAAAAAUUUGUAAUUUGGGCCCAUAUACAUGUAUGAGCCCACACACCCAAAAUGGCCUUGCCCAUGUGGCUCACCAACCUAGCACUCAGCCCAUACGGUCCAAAAUGGCCUAGGUCGUGUGUCACACACAGCCGCAUGUUGCACACAGCCUACCACAUAGCCAGUCACAAAACUGUUUGGAGUUGAAAAGCCCAAUUUUUGGCUUUCGUCAAUCAUCAUUUUCUUACGUUUUCAUUACACACCUGGUUUGAUUCUGACGCAAAAGCAACCCUAUGUCCACCGAAACCUAAAAAUAGCAUUCCAACGCCCAAUUUCAGUGAACAUUUACAAAACUCAAACAAAAACUAUCCAAAAACAUAGCCUCACAAUAGCAUCCAACGCACUCGCACACUUAUCGUCAACAAAUAGGAAACACCCAACACUCAAUUCGUUGGCGGAGCACCAAUUAUGAUAAUGCAAAAAUUUUAUGGAUUCUCAACACUAUCGAUCCGAAUGUAAGAUUGAUGCUUUCCAAUUAUGAUAAUGCGAAAAUUUUGUGGGAUGGUUUACAUGAAUUUUUUUUGUUGUCAACGAUCAACGUAUUCAAUAAUUAAAAUAAAAUAUUAGUCGUUUUUAGAAAACCAAGACUAUGAGUGUUGUAGUUUAUUUCAGUAAAUUAAAGGUUUUGUGGGAUGAACUAGAUAAUCAUGAACCAUUGAUUUGUUGCAAGUGUGGACAAUGUUUAUGUAACUUAGGGAAGGCGCAUGAACAAUGUCGUGAGCAUGAUUGACUUCAUCAAUUACUUCUUGCUCUCUAUUGUAAUUGUUAUGCUCAAACUAGGUUUACACUGUUUUACCAAGAUCCUUUGCCUUCCUUAAAUCAGGCAUUCCAACAAAUUACUUAGGAGGAACAUGUACGUGGAAUUACACUGAUUAAGGAAGAGAAGUCUGAUAUUUUAGGCUUUGCUAUGCGUACAGAGGGUCAUAACAAAGGCCGAGCUAAUUGUAUUGAUAAGUCAACCUUGUUGUGCACUCAUUGCCAUCGCAAAAGGCAUGAGAUGGCUACCCAUUUUGAAUUACAUAGCCACUUGGAUUGGCGGCUUAAGAAGUAUGGGAAGCCAGAGAAGAAAAGUGAUGAUCGUGGUGGUAAGACAAGUGCCACAUCUUCCACGUAAGUGUUUUAUUUCAAAGGAUCACAAUUAAACAUUAGAUUUCUCAUUUUUAAUUUUUUUAUUUUUUUAACAGCUACGUAAUUAACGAGUACCAAUUUUGGGUGUUGUAGGGGUUCUAUAACUUUCCCUAUAUGUAAUCGACUCUUGCACCCACUUUUUUUUCUCUAGAAUUCAAUGCAAACCUUAGAUUUAUCUUUUUAAAAGAAUUUUAAAAUCUCUUUAUAAAAGACGAUUUUUUUAGGUGACCAAUCACACUUAAGAAAAACAAAUCGGUGGCAACUCCUUUCUAAUAAAUGUAAAAAACUUUUUAAACAAAAUAAGGUUGAAAUAAUCUAGUUGUCGUUAUACUUUGAUAAAAUUUUAGAUUUAGUCCUUAUACUUAAAAGGUUAAAAAUUAAGUCUUGUUUUUAUUUAAAAAUCUUAGUCCUAUCGUUAAUAUUGUUUUUUUUUGUCAAAAUUUGUCAAGUUGACAUAUUAAUUAGGUUUCUCUUAUAUAUCGUGGUAUAUGACUAACACAAAAUAAACAAGUUGACAAAAUCUACAAAAAAUAUCAAAGAUGAUAAUAGUUUAAUUAAAAUUUUUAAAUUAAAAAAGUAAGGGAUUAAAUUUAUAACUUUUAAAGUACAAUGAAUGAAAUUAUUGAAAUACAAGAACUAACAACAUAUUUUAAAAUAUUACUAGUAAAUUAUAUAUCUACAACAAGAAUUGUAACCUCUUAUAUUAUAUUCUUGUAUCUAUUUUUGCAUCUUUCAUUAUAAUAUGAUUUAUUAAUUUUAAUAUUUUUAUAGAAUAAUAUGCUUUAAAUAGUUUUUUGUAUAAUUUAUAAAAAUUAUAAUAAACUUACAAAAUAAUUUAAUGAUAUUUAAUUAUUAACCAAAAAAAAUGAUAUCAUAUAUAUUAUGUAUAUAUUAAGAUUCCGAAUCAUUAAUUAUAUAUCUACGCAUUAUAAUAAAUUCAUCUUUCAAAAUUUUCCUUAUAAUUAAAGCAUAAAUUAUAUUUAUAAUAUUAUAAAUAUAUUUUAUCAUAAAUAUUCUUUCAAAUAUUUUUUAAUGUUUAAUAAUAAGUUAAUUUAUAAAAUAUUUUUUCAAUAAAUUAAUGUGAUGAGAUCGUUAGGUGCUUGGAUUUGGUGAAGGGGGAUGAAGAGAAAAGGGAUGGAAGUGAAUAAAAAUGUUGAGAAAUCGAAAGGGUUAGCGAGGGAAGCCGCCAUGAAAGGUGGUUCAAUGGAUAUGAACCAUCAAGCUUUUGUGGAUGAUGUUACUCAAGGUUGUUGCAAGUAAAUUAAAAAAUAUUUUUUUAAAUUAUUUUUUUGUUAAAAAACAUUUUUUAUUUUUUAUGUGGCAUGCCACAUUAUCAUAGUAUCAUGUGACAACUUCUGGUGAUUUCUGUCUGUAACAUUAGUCAAAUCAACAGUUAAAUCGUUCAACUCACAGUUUUUGUUAAAUGAAGAGGUCAAUUGGUUUUUUUGGAAUCAUUGAGUACUCAAUUGGUGCACUUUUAUCAUAAAGGCUAAAUUAAUUUUUUUAAUUUGUUAUUGUUGAGGGCUAUAACAAUAAAAAAAUUAAUGUAAAAUGAAAAAAAUGUUAGAGCUAAAUUUGUCAUUAUAACUAAAAUGUAAAACCAAAAUUUUUUGAAAAAUGAAAAAAAUGGAAAAUCACAAAUUCUAUCACUUAUGUUUGCUUAAAAUUAUAGUUUUGGUCACCAAUCUUUUGAAGUAAAUAUAUGGUCACCAAUAACUCACCUUAAAGUUAUACCCCUACGCAAGAAAGGAUUAAAUGACAUUGGAAUACCAUAAAACUUGUAUCUUUUUUUAUUCAUCUAAUACCAUUUUAACAUUUUCAUUUUAAAAAAUUGACAUAUCAUUUUGAAUUUGAUCUUUUUCAUGGUAUCUCAAAUUCAUUUAAUCUUUCCCUCUCUAAAAAAGCUAAUGUAACACAUUAAUGACAUCAUUUCAAACAAAGUUUUAGGUCAAAUUAUUCAUCUAGUCCUUGUAAUUGUUUUUAUAGGUGAAUUUCAUUAUUAUUCUUUUAUUUUCUUAGGCUUAAAUACACAUUUACCCCUAAUUUUAUCCCAUUCUCCUUAAUUGGUAUUUAUGGUUUAGAAAAUUUUAUAAAUAUAUUAUUUUUUAAGAAAUUAUAAGAAGAUUACAAAAAUUCCAAAAUAAUAUAAAAAAGCCAAGGAAAACCUAGAAAUUCAAAAAAAAAAAAAAAACGUCGACAUUGAAUUUGCUGUUUCACAUUCAAUUUUUGGAGAAGUAGAAUUUUCUAACUUAUUUUCCAUCAACUUGACUUCAAUUUUCAAUCACAAUCAAUUGCAUUCAAGAGCACCACAUCUGUUUGGAUGAAACAAACCUCUCAAUUUUAAGAUAAACGGGUCUUUAGGGUUAUAAAUUGAGGGCCUUUUCCACAAUUGCGGGUGAUUCGUUGAUAAUAACCUCAACAUUUCUGUAUCACAUUUCAAUUUUUAAUUUUUAGAGAGAUGAUUGGGUUACAAGACUGGUUUGAAGUGAAGAUAUUUCAAAAGAAGAUCGAAUACUCUACCAAUAGUCAUAAUUUAAAAUUCAGGUUAUGUUUCAUUUCAGCUAAGUUAAAUGUUAAGAUUGAGGUUAAACCUUUUAGAGGUUGCUCACAAAAGGAUCAAACCUUUAUAAAAUUGCCUAAAUGAAGGUUAAACCUUUUAAAAUAGACAAAUAAGGGCCUAACCUUUUAAAAGGUGUUCAAAUAAGGGUUUCUCAAACGUUGUAUAUCAGGUUAUGUGUUUUACUCUAAACACAUCGACAUUUACCUAUUUUUUCUAUAAAUUUGGUUGAAGUGCAUGAAAAAUCCUUAUUUGAGCACUUUUGUAAAGGUUAAUCUCUUAUUUGACCAUUUUGAAAGGUUUGAUCCUUAUAUAAGUAACCUCUAAAAGAUUGAGCACUAAUUUGACAAGUUUGAGAAAUAUCUAAAUUUGUUUUCAUGAAUCAAGAAAUUAAAAAAGAAAUGUUGAGAAAUAUUUUAGAGAUUCUUAGCUUUGACAAGUUCCCUCCACCAUCUCCCUGCCUCCAGUCCCACCUCUUCUCUUAUGCUCCUUCCAGCUUCUUGCCUUUUGUGUGUUGAAAAUUCAAAGGAACAAAAUAUCAACCUACAUCAUAAGGCACGAUCGCCAGAACUUUACUUUCUAGCCUGUCGAUCCGAUCCAAUCCAAUGAAAGAAGAACAAGGAGUCUUAAGAUCUGUCAACUUUAUUUCAUUUUCAUUUUCUUUGUCAUUUUCUAUGUUUCAUGUCGAAUACAAUGAAAGAAGAACAUAGAAAAAUGUGGCCUAUUUAUUUCCCAAUCAUCAUGAAAUUACUUGCCAUUGACUUAGAAUUUUCUCACCAAUUUUCAAGCAAUCUGACAUGAUUUCUCAAUCACAAUUAAUUGAAUUCAAGAUCUUUUUAGAUGACACAAACAUUUCAAUUUUAACACAAACCAAUAUUUCGGUUAUACUUCAGUGCUUGACAAGCACUUUCACAUUUGUGGGAUAAGAACUCUUAACAUUUUAGGAUCACAUUUAAUUCAAUUGCAUUUAAGACCUCAUGGUUUUAUUCUAUAAUUUCAGUCUUAUCAGCCUUUUCGGAAACAAUAAAACGUCGACAUUAAAUUUGUUGUUGAUGCAUUCAAUUUUUUGAGGGGUCUUUGGAGUUAUAUGUGACUUUAGCAUUGACUGACUUUUUUAUAAUUUAUCUUUUAUAAUAAGGUAAAUAUAUUAAUUUUAAUAACAUCGACAUGUUUUUUAGUAGGGUCGAGCAAAACCCAAUUAAAAUCGAUGAUAUUGGCUUAGUUGACUCGGUCAAGUCCAUUAGAUUGAUAAAAUCAUUUUUAAAAUCAGUUAUAAUGGAUAAAGGUAAUUAAUUAUCGAGUAAUGAAAUACAUAAUCAAAUCAAUUGAUUUUGUUAGAAACUAAAAGAAAAAGGGCUAAGCUGAAAAUUGAUUGCCCUUUAUUAAAAUUAACGAAUCUGUCUUUUACGUAUUAGAUAAUAUGAACAUCGCAUAUAUAAUAAGAAAAAUUACGUAUGAUUAUUUAUUAUCAUAAAAGGUUAGUUUAAAUUUAAAGUAAUCUAAUAUGUUUAUUGAACUUCAACUAUUAAAUAAAGUAUAAGCUAAAUAAGUAUAAAUAUUCUAGAAACCAUUUCUAACUGAUGAUAGGCUAAUUCGAUUAAUUUAUAAAAACUAGAUAGUAGGGUUAUAGUCCUCAAACUACACCUAAUUUAAUAACAUUUAUAUUUUUUUUAGCCUUAAACAUUUAUAGUUUUUGUUAAUUUGGUCCUUACUCUUUAAAAUUACAUAAAAAUUGCAAAAAAAUUAAAAAUUAAUUUUUAUCAUGAUUUUAAUAACAUUUAUAUUUUUUUUGUGGUUUGGUAACUUAUCAACUUGACUCUUACUUGUAACCAACUUUUCUAACCUUUUUCGUACCCUUAACCUAAGUCCCGUUACAAUUUCUAAAGACCUCUUGAUUGGUGUAUCAUCUCGAUUUGUUUUUAUAGUGGUGGAGAUUUGUUUUUUGUAGUGGCAUGAUUGCCAGAACUUUACUUUCUAUCCUGUCGAUCCGAUCCAAUGAAAGAAUAACAAAGAGUCUUAAGAUCUGUCAACUUUAUUUCAUUUUCAUUUUCUUUGUCAUUUUCUAUGUUUCUUGUCACAUACAAUGAAAGAAGAACAUAGAAAAAUGUUGCCUAUUUAUUUCCCAAUCAUCAUUCUAACAGGCCGAAUUAGCCCAGGCCCAAACAUUAAUAAAAUGUCCAGAUUACAAAAUAACCAACCAAAAAUUAAAAGCCCAAAAUAAUAAAAUAAAACCCAUUACAUUAACCCAAAACUCCAGCCCAAUUACAUUGAAGCCCAAAAAAAUAGUUUUUAGAAACCCCUAGGGUUUCUGGAACAAUCCGCGCCGCUCCUCCAUCCGCUUCUCCACGCACGCUGCACCUUUCCACGUGCGCCUCCAGCUGGCAGUGUACCUCCAAUGCAACAAACAAAGCAACAAGCAGCAAAAGAAAUGGAAAAACAACAAAAAAAAAAAGAAAGGAGCAACAAUGUAUAACAGAUUGAUAACAAAUAAUAGAAAAAAUAGCAGUAAAUAGGAAAAAAAAUUAAAAAAUAAUGAGGGUAAUUUCAUUUUUUUCUCUGUUUUGGCUAUAAAGAGAGCCGGUCAAAAUCUCUAAAGGGGGAUUUAGAAAUCAAUCAGAAAACAAGUAUUUUGUACCAACAAUUAGAGAAAAAAAAUACAAAAAUAGGGAUUGAAGGUUUUUUUUUCUUUCGUUUCGAUUUAUUUUAAAAUAGCAUAGAAAAUAAAAAGAAGGCUUACCUUGCGACGCCUUCAGAUCCUCUCGAAAAGGGGCUAAAAGGCCCUAUGUGGCACAGAUUUGACCACUGUUCACGGUGGAACCGCAGCGGAGGCGCAGAGGAUUGGCAUCAAUUUAGGCAGGGUUUGAAACCCUAGCAGAGAAAAAAUUAGGGUUGAUAGAUUUUUUUUAAAAAAAUGGCAAAAUGUUGUUUUAAAAAAUUUUGUUUUAAAAAAAAUUGUUGCUUUUAUAAAGGGUGUAAAACGGCGUCGUUUAGGGCAUGUUUCGAUGGCCCCAAAACGGCGCCUUAUAAGGCAACCCCCGACGACCCGACCUGCUCCAUGGGGGAUCCGCGUGGUUUUUGUUAAAUGGGUUAUGUCUAACCCUGGCCCUUCUACUUUUUAUACUUGUUUUAAUUUGAUCCUCUUUUUAUUUAUUUUUAUUUCUUUAAAUUAAGCCUGAUAAUUUUUUUCCAUUACAUUUUAAUCCUUAAUGAAACGGCGCGUUUUAGAGGAGAAGGGAAAAUUACCCUUCUAGUCCCUUCUUGUUAUUCGAGUGUUCAGAAGGGUCCUUUUUUGUUUAUUUUUUAUUUGCCCCAAAAUUUUGUUUUAAAGCUUAAUUUAGUCCUAUUUUGUUAUUUUAGCUAUUUUAUUAUUAGAUUAAUUAAUUUAAUAUUAUUAUUACUGCUAUUAUUUUACCCCUAUUAUUUAUAUAUUUAUUAUUAUAACUAUAUCAUUAAAUCAAUUAGUUUUUACAUUAUUAUUUCCAUUCUGUUUUUUAUUUACUUACUUAAAUACUUUAAAUGCAUUUAUUUUAUUUCUUAUUUUUUUAUGAAAUUUCAAAACUUUAGACUAUUUUUUUGUUACUAUAACCCUAAUUUCAUUCAUUUUAUAAUAGUUUUUUUUUAAAAUAUUUCUUAGAUUAAUUCCCUCGAUGUUAUUUUGUAUAUUUAUUUAUCUUUUUAAAUUUUCGAUAUUGUCUUAUUGUAUUAUUGUUGUUACUAUCAUUAUUCAUUAUUAUUGUUGAUUUUAUUCUUCUUUGAUUAAUGUUUAUGUUAGAGUAAUAGGUGUUAUGUGAUCAUUGUUAUUAUAUGUUAUAAUUUGUUGACACUCGUAUUGUAGUCAUUCGUCAGCUUAAUAUUUUGAGUAACAUUUUAAAUAUUACAUUAAUUUUGACCCAAAUGCAUAAUUUUUUAAUAAGUAAUAUUUCGUAUUGUGGAAUUUGAGAGAUCAUUCCCUAACUUACGGGGUCUCGAUUUUUUUGAUAAAUCUGAAUAUAAGAACUAUUUUAAAAAAAUACGUUUUAAAAUUAUCUCGGGAAUUUAAAAAGAAGCGUGUUCUAACUUACGGAAUAUGAUCUUUUUUUAAAAAUCGAGAUAAUCAAAUAUCUUUCAAAUAAAUAAACUUUUCGUGUUUAUUCUCGUUUUAGGAUUUAAGAUAUUGUGUCCUAACUCACGGGACACAAUUCUUUUUCUCGAUUAACGUGAAAUACGCCCUUUUUAAUUUUAUCUUUUUAAGUGAUUUUAACAAAAGGAUUGUAUUUUAAAUCUCUUCAAAAUUUUCAAUUUUUCGACAUUGAGACAUUAACUAAUCAAUUAGGUACCAAUUUUGGGCGUUACAAGGGUGUUAACCCUUCCUUGUACAUAACCGACUCCCGAACCUAUUUUUCUGAAUAUUAUAGGCCAAAAUUGUUUUAAUAAAUUAAACCCUUAAGAGGUGACUCGAUCACAGCUCAUAAAAAUUAUCGGUGGCGACCCUUGUUUUAAAAAAGGUGGUUUCAACAGCUUGGCGACUCCGCUGGGGACAAAAAUAAGAGUCAAGCCGCGAGUUGAUUAUUUCUUAUCUUUUUGUCAGAAAUUGUGAAUUCGAUUUAAAUUUAUGAUCUUUUCAUUGCAUUUUAUGGUCUGCAUCAUUUUUAUAUGCUUGCUUUACUACUUCGAGUCUUUUAAUCUUCGCAUAUUGUAUUGCAUAACCGUUCGGUUAUACCCUUUUAAGCGGGAGUGAGAAAUUAUUCUUUCGUGAGGUUUUCACCUUCGUAUAGGAUAGUGGAUUACUUUCAGGAUACAUCCAUACCUAUGUCUUCGUGAGAUUCUCAUCUCCGUAUAGUCAUAGGGAAAUGUAUUCCCCUGAACUGAACUCAGUCCGUAUGAGCCUAUAAUGGGUGAGGAUUGAGGAAUCUGCUGGUUCAGGUACCCUUUCUUUAGAACUAAACCGCAUGUAGUGAGCCCUAAGAGCAUACCCUAGGUAGAACCACUCCAAACCCCUAGUGGUCACCCAAAUAGGUGCUCUAUUUAUUUUUGCUUGCUUGUUUUUGCCUUGUACUAACCUAUUUGUUAUGGUUAUGAGUGCAUUGCAUUUUUAUCAUAAAAAAGAUGUGUUGAUUCACGUUCAGUUGCUAAAUAGAGAGCUUGUCAUGGAAAACGAAUUUCUUGAUAAAGUGGAAGACAAUGCGGUUGUCCGGAUAUGGUCCAAGAAAAUGUGAAGAAAGAAGGGUGAUAGUCUAAUGGAGGACUACACGACCUUGCUUUGUUGCCUGAUGAUUCAAGUUGACAAAGAUUAUUCGAGAGUCUUCAAUGUCCCGACCUUUUUAAAGAAGCUAACGAGCGUCACGAGGAUGAGCGAGUAAUGAGUUGCGGCCCGGAUCAAGCAAAAAAAAGAUAGAGGAGACACCCUUUUUGAAGAGUUCACGAGAUUUAUCUUAACAUCUAGACGAAGAAAAAGAUCAAUCUCUUUGCCUAGAGUAUGAGGGCAAAGCCGUAUAUAUCCGCUUUAUGUAAAUAAAUUUGUUUUCUAGUAAAGUUUUUCUAAUAGGAUUGAAUCAGAAUCAACGUCUCUUUUUGCAUUCAUUCCAUUCAUCUGCAUUGCAUUUCAUUGCAUCUAGAAUUUCACAAAAGGACCCUAAUUAAUCGAAAUUGUUAUAGCUACCUUGAAAAACUAACGAAAAUUUACCAAUUAAAUAUUCCUAUGGUACCCAUUGCAAAACUAAAGUAAUGGAUCAAAUAUUAGAAAGAUUAGAACAAAUGCUGAAGGAUAAACAUAACUGCUUUGGCUUAGGGUACAAGCCAGAUACAAGACAAAGAAGAAAUAGGAAAGGAGAACACGUUUGAGCGGGGAUGAGGUCAAAUGGGAGGGAUUAUUCAUCCCAGGCGAAGAAUGCCAAGAGAAGAAAAUAUUGAAAACAUGUUGGGAAACGUUCACAUCAAUGCCAUAUACGAAGAAGCAAUUGAAGGAGUGACCUUGUUAGAUAUCCGCCCUUAUGAACCUAAGAGUGUGCUAAACAAUUGGACUGCAGAAGAAAUUCUUGUAGUGUUUAGAGCUUACUCAUAGUAAUGUUCAGAACACACUUGUUGCUUUUAGCCUAGAAGUGAUAAGAAUCCCUCUGUGAAAUAGGCUCAUGUAUAAACAUCAUUAUUUUAAUGAAGUACAUCUUUGCAUUCAUUUUGAGCAAAUAUUCUUUUAUUCUUUUCAUACGAGUAAUUAUUUUGGAUUCUUUAAUUCUUUUGGGAUUUUCUUCCAAAAUCAUUCUUUUAUUACAUCCAUAAUCAUACUGUACAAAUAAUGUAAUAGCCUGAAUUUUCAGUGGUGUCGGAAUGGUGAUUCAAGAUCACUAAGUCUGACAAAUGAGUAGAAAAUAUUAUUAAUUUAGUAAGAAUAAGUAAAUGUGAAGUUAGGAAAAUUUUUGAAAUAGUGAAUAGUGUACUAGGAAUAAAUAUUAAAAUAAUUAAAAUAAAAAAUGAGGUAUCGAGACCUCGAAGAUUUUAAACCAAGCCAUAAGUACUUUUAGAAGUAUUUUUAGAGUGUCAUUGAGUUGGUAUUAAAGUUUCGUUAGAAAAUUUUAACGCUCGGAUAGUUAAUUAACCAAAAAGGACUAAAUUGAAAAUAGUGUAAAAUUUGUUAAAUUGUGAUUAAAUAGCUUAAGUGAUUAAAAAGGAGGGAUUUAAAAGGCAAUUAGGCCCAAAUUAUAUGGGCUGGACGGUUGGGUAAGAAAAAUCAGCAGAAUGUAAGGAGAAACAGGGGCAAAAUUGGAAACUUAACAAAUUAAACAUAUAAAACAAAGACAAAAGUGAAAAAUCUAGAGAUCUGCUCACAAUUUAUCAGCAAAAAUGCCAUAGGAGGUCUGAAAGAAGCUGGUUUUUCAUAUAUUUGAAUCAUGUAAGUUUAAUUCUUGAUUAUUUCUUCUAAUUUUUGUGAUUUUGAUACUUUUACAAUUAGGUCCAACUAAUUAUUUCAUUAGUUUUUGAUUUCAUGGCUGAUUUUGAAAGUUACCAUUGAUGAGUGUUGGAUUUUUAUGAUGAAUAAACAUGGAAUUAAAGCUUUAAUUUUGUUAUAUGAUGAUUUUAUUAAGUAAUUUUGAUAGAAAUUGAUUUUUGGGACCUAAUUGUGAAAAAGUUUGGAAUUAGGGUUUGGUGUUGCGGUUUUGAAUAUGAAAGUCUAUGUAGUAGUCUAAAAUAGUUGGAAAAGGUGUUAAUUGAGAAAAAUUAGAUCAAUUGAGGGGUUAAUUGAGUAGGACCAAAUUGUAAAAACUGUAAAGUUUGAGGUAAAAGUGUAAUUUCGAAAAUUUAAGGGCAUAAAUUGUGAAGUGAAUUAGAAUAGAAUUAUAUGCUGAUGAAUGAAUAAAUUUGUAUUUUAGAUCGAGAACCCGAAGCAAGCCGAGGAAAAGAAAAAGUAGUUGAUUAGUCCCUGAACUUUUACAAAUUCUGCAAAUCGACCCAGGUAAGUUCAUAUGGCUGAAAUUUAAUGAUUAAAUGUUAAUUUCAUGAAUUAUGUAAUGUAUGAUGAAAUGUAUUUAGUGUUGAAAUGAGAGUAAAAUAAAAAUGCGAAAAUCGAAUAAAUGAUCAAAUUAAGCGGAACGCCGGAUUUGAGUACUUCUGAUCAAGAGACAAAGUGAUAAGUGGUAGCUUUAGCUACACUUAUCUGAUCAAGUGAAAAAGUGAUAAGUGCUACACUUAUCUGAUCAAGAGACAAAGUGAUAAGUGGUAGCUUUAGCUCACUUAUCUGAUCAAGUGAAAAAGUGAUAAGUGCUAUACUUAUCUGAUCAAGUGACAAAGUGAUAAGUGGUAGCUUAGCUACACUUAUCUGAUCAGGGCCAAAUGAUAAGUGAUCAUACGUAAGACCAUAGUUAUACUAUGGCCAAGUGAAAGUGAAGUACUCAAUUUUCCGUAACCGUUCCUUAAUUUUGAUCAAGGAUGGUAAGUGACAAAUAGGCCCAAAGAAAUUAUGGUAAAAGAAUAAGUAGUAGUGAGUUUAUACCAAGGAACUCUCCAAAGAUUGUGGUUGACAAGUAAACUUAGUAAUGGUGUAUAUUGUAUAAGUGUACAAAUGUUUGGUAAGAUUUAUGUUUGUGCCUAUGAACUUACUAAGCUUUUCUAUAAGCUUACAUGUGUGUGUUUAUUGUUUUUCUAGAUUAACGUAUUUAUACAUUCGGAGGAUCGGAUCUACUUCGAGAAUCACACUAUCCAGAUAUACUCCGGUAGAUUUUGUUAAACAACUUUUUGGAUUUAUAUGGCAUGUACAUAGAAUUGAAGUAAAAAGUAAUAGAAUGAAUGACUGAGUAUGCAAAGUAAAUUUGAAUGUGAUGGUUGUGUUAGAUAUUGAAAAAUACAUGUUUUUAGUUUGAAAUGGUUGAUUGGCUGAACUUCGUUAGUAUUCAAGUGAAGUAGUUGAAAUACUGGAAUUGGUUGUGAUUUGAAAUUUGCAGGGAAGGUUAGAUAAAUAUAAAGGGGUUAUAUUGAUUUUUUUUAAAAAUUUCAAUGGAAUAAUUUUUGGACAGCAGCAUUGAUGUAACUUUUAAAAAUCACCAAAAAUAGUGGAAAUAGAAUUAGAAGUUGAAUGAGAUAUGAAAUUAAAUCUGAAUGAGUCUAAUUUCACAUGAAAGAAGUAGAAUAAGAAAAAGAGUUAUAUAUUUUUAGAUAUUUGAAUUUUAGUGAAACAGGGCAAGAAUGUUUUUGAAGUCCCCUGUUCUGACUUUAGAAAUUUAGUAAAAAUUGUACAAAAGGAAUUAUGAAUUAUAAUUUAUAUGUUUAAAUUCCGUAAUGAGUAUAUUUUAAGUAGAAAUAAUUGGAACCACCAUAUGAAGUCUUUGCAAUGAGAUAAUUGAAUUUUAGCGACAAGAGGUCAGGAUAGUCAAUUAGUGAAAUAGGGGAGACUUCAACUAAUAAACUGUAUUAAUUUGCUAAACCAAAAAUUCUGAAAAAUUUAUGGUGAAUAUACAUAUGAGUCUAGUUUGAGGGAAAAUUUACGGAUCUAAAUUUUUAGUUUCGUAUCUUGAGUUAUAAUUAUUUUAGUGACUACUGCGCAUGUGGACAGCUUUGUUGUGAAUGGUGAAAUUAAUUUUUAAAGUAAAUUUUUAUGCCCCGAACUUUUAAGUUCAGUCAAGUAACGCCUUAUGCUCGACUCCGGCAACCGUCUUGGGUAAGGGGUGUUAUAAAUAAUUAUUCUUAAAUUCAUACAUUCUUUGUAUAUUAUUUUGUACCUACAAUAGGUCCCUAGAUAUUAACAACAUGAGUGACGUUGCUACAGACUCAGAAUUUCCUUUUAAACAAGACAUGUGUUUAGAGGGAUCCCAUGGCUUUGAAGAUGACGUAGACUGUGGCUUAUCUCUGAAUUUGUUAAGGAUGGUAAAACAAGAGGAGAAGCAAAUCCUACCUCACAAGGAAUCAAUGGAAAUUGUGAGCUCAGAAGGGGGAAAAGAGGUGAAGAUUGAGACUAACAUUGCCACAAAGACAAAGCAUGACCUCGUUGAGUUACUCCAAGAAUUUAAAGAUGUCUUCGCAUGGUCAUACCAGGAUACUCCCGGGUUAAGUACUGGCAUUGUAGUACACUACCUUCUUAUAAAAGAAGAUUGCAAGCCAGUUUAGCAGAAACUCUGAAGGAUGAUGCCUGAUAUUGUGCUAAAAAUAAAAGAAGAAGUUAAAAAGCAAUUUGAUGUUGGGUUCUUACAAGUGGUUAAAUAUUCAGAAUGAGUAGCCAACAUCGUCUCAGUCUCUAAAAAAGAUGGGAAAGUACGAAUGUGCAUAGAUUACAGAGACAUGAACAAGGCCAGCCAAAAAGAAAAUUUCCCAUUGCCUCACAUUGACACUUUGGUGGAUAAUACAGUAGGCUACUCACUGUUUUCCUUCAUGGACGACUUCUCUGGAUACAACCAGAUAAAGAUGCAUCCCAAAAACAUGGGAAAGACUACAUUCGUGACCCUAUGGGGAAUGUUUUGCUAUAAAAUGAUGUCAUUCGGAUUAAAGAAUGUGGGAGCGACGUAUCAAAGGGAAUGGUAACCUUGUUUCAUGACAUGAUGUACAAGGAAAUCGAGGUUUAUGUUGGCGAUAUGAUUGCAAAAUCCAGAACAGAAGAGGAACAUGUGUAGGCCCUAAGAAAAUUAUUCUUAAGACUGAGAAAGUUCCAGCUCAAGCUUUCCAACGAAAUGCACAUUCAGAGCUAGGUUAGGAAAGCUGUUAGGCUUCACAGUUAGUGAAAAAGGAAUCGAGAUCAACCCAGAUAAAGUCAAGGCGAUACGAGAUUUACCUCUACCAUGCACUCAGAAGGAAGCUCGAGGUUUCCUAGGAAGACUGAAUUACAUUGCUCGAUACAUUUCACAACUAACCGAAAAAUGUGACACCAUAUUAAAAUAAAAAUAGAUUAAAUUGUAAGUAAAACAUAAUUUAAACAUAUGAAUACAUCAAAUUAAUAAUACUAAAUGAAUACAGUUAUUUAUGAUGAUGUUGUUGCCAAUUCCUAAUUUGGUGUCUAGUUAAUUUGUGACAUCAUAAAUUUAAGUGAUAAAUUUAAGGUUUUAUGUAUUGAUGUGGAUUCAAAUAUCACCAUAAUUUUUGUAAAUAAAAAACUAAUAAGAUAACUUAUAUUAAGUACGAAAGGGUAUUUUUAUAAUUUCUCUAAUCGAGUUGGUGCCCGGUUGACUCAUGACACUAACUCAAUCAGAAGCUUUAAUAAUAAUAUAGAUAUUCAUGUUAAAAAAACAAAAAAAAAGUACUUUAGUUCCAAAUAAUUAUAUAACAAGUAAAUUUAUAAUUGAUGAAUAAAUUUAUAAAUAAUAUAUUUAUAUGAUCUAAUAUAUUAUAUUUAUAUUAAUUAUAUAUCAUCUACAAACUUUGAAGAUCAAUUUAUUAAGUAAAAAUGAAAUUGUUAACACUAAAUCAAUUUUUAGAUUUUGUAUAGAUGAUUUAGUGAUGAUAAAAACAUUAUUAACACUAUUUUUUAAUUAACAAAAAAUUAGUGAUAUAUUUAAAUUAUAUUUAUCAUUUAUUAUUUUUAAUAAUAUUUUUUAAUUAUAUGAAGUAAAAUUAUAUUGUAUACUAAAUAUGGUACAUAUACUCUAAUUAUAACUUGAAAUUUUAUUAUAUAAAUUAAUAUAAAUUUGAAUAACAAAAUAAAAAAAAACUAAUUAGAAUAAUUUUAAAAAACAUUAUUUAAAAGUAGUUAAAAAUCACGUGCAACAGGUGAGAUCAAUGGUCUUUAGAGAAGAAAUGUUGAAGAUCAAAGUUGGAAUCUGGCCUAUAAGGCCUUUAAUUGCUUUAAUAUUAAGCAGUUCCAAACCAAGAAGAUUACCGAUUUCCUCAGGAAUUUGACCUGCACACAUGGUCGAAAAAUCAAUGUGUCAAACUACCUAUUUUGUUAGCAUAAGUCAAAGAGGUUUUCUUUUCUAUUCUACAUAAUUUGCAGAUGUUAGAUUUUAAUAUUUUUAAGCAUAUUUGUUUUCAUCAAAUUAACUAUUUUGAACUAUUUUGCCUUGAAUGAAAUAAAAUGCUCUUACUUUUGUUAUCUAUUACUAAUCAAACUCUUUUAUAAAAAAAAUACUUUAAACUAAAGAAACCAAGAAAAUUCAAUACCUUCUAGGUUAUUCAACCCCAAAUAUAAUUCUUUGAGUCGUGUCGGAUUUCCAAUACUUCUUGGAAUGAUCCCCAUCAAUUGAUUAUAGGAAAAUGACAAAAUUUUAAGGUUGUUGCAUUUGCUUAUACUUGACGGAAUGUUACCAUAUAAUUCAUUCCGACUCAAGUAAAGCCCUUCAAGCUUGGAAAGAUGUGACACAUAUCAUUAGGCAAGCUACCUGAUAGGCUAUUGUUGGAGAGAUCAAUGGCCUUCAGAGAAGAAAUGUUGAAGAUCGAAGUUGGAAUCUGACCUGUAAGGCCUUUAAUUGCUUUAAUAUUAAGCAGUUCCAAACCAAGAAGAUUACCGAUUUCCUCAAGAAUUUGACCUGCACACAUGGUCGAAAAAUCAAUGUGUCAAACUACCUAUUUUGUUAGCAUAAGUCAAAGAGGUUUUCUUUUCUGUUCUAUAGUAAUUUGGUGAUGUUAGAUUUUAAUAUAAUUCAGCACAUGUUUUUCAUCAAAUGAAAUAAAAAGUUUUUCCUUUUGUUAUCUAUUACAAAUCAAGCUCUUUUAUUAAAAAAAUACUUUAAAUUCAAGAAAUCAAGGAAAUUAAUUACCUUCUAAAUUAUUAAACCCCAAAUAUAAUUCCUGGAGUCGUGUUAGAUUUCCAAUACUUCUUGGAAUGAUCCCCAUAAAUUGAUUAUGGGGCAACAACAAAUUUUUAAGGAUGUUUCAUUUGCCUAUGCUUGACGGAAUGUUACCAGAUAACUCAUUGCUAUGCAAGUGAAGCCCUUCAAGCUCGGGAAGAUGUUGACACAUAUCAUUAGGCAAACUACCUAAUAGGCUAUUCCUGGAGAGAGCAAUAGUCUUGAGAGAAAAAUGUUGAAGAUCGAAGUCGGAAUCUGAUCUGUAAGGCCUUUAAUUGCUUGAAUAUUAAGCAUUUCCAAACUAAAAAGAUUACCGAUUUCUUCAGGAAUUUGACCUGCAGACAUAGUCGAAACAUCAAGGUGUUAAAUUUCCUAUUUUGUUAGUGUAAAUCAAAGAGGCUUUUUAUUUUUUUUCGUUAUGAAAUAAUAUGGAUAUGUUCGAUUCUAAUCAUAUUUAAGUAUAUAUUAGUUCUUGAAAGAAUGAGUUCUUAUUUUUGGUAUUUAUAUUGCAAAUAUAUAUUUUUUUAAAUUUAAAAGAAGGGAGGGGGCAAAUGUGUUUAAACUAAAGACAUCAAGGAAAAGGCAUACCAAGUAUAAUUGUUUAAGUUGUGUCAAAUUCCCAAUGCUUUUUGGAAUGAUCCCACUAAAUUGAUUAAUAGACAAUUCCAAAAUUUGAAGGUUGCAGCAUUUGUCUAUACUUGAUGGAAUAGAACUUGAUAAUUCAUUUCUACUCAAGUAAAGCUCUUUCAGCUUGGGAAGAUGGACACACAAAUCAUCGGGCAAGCCACCAGAAAGACUAUUAUCACAAAAAUGAAUCCUUUUCAAAGAAGAAAUGUUAAAGAUGGAAGAUGGAACCUGGCCAGAUAAUUGAUUGAAUCCCAAGUUCAAGAUCUCUAGAUUGGACAAGUUGACAAGUGUUUGAGGGAUCGUGCCUGUGAAGUUAUUAUUUCUCAUUUCCAACCUUUGAACUCUGUGCAAGUUCCCAAGCCAUGGUGGAAUUUCCCCAUUAAGACGGUUGUAGCUUAAUCGAAUGAUCCUCAAACGAUGCAAUUGGCCUAAUUCUUUAGCCAGAUGGCCGUAGAAAUUGUUGUUGCUCAAGUCGAUAGAAAAUAGAAAUGAAAGAUUUCCAAGGUGUGGAGGGAUAGUACCCCUAAGAUUCAUGUUUGUAAGAUUAAUCAAAGCUACAACUCUUUCAUGGAUGAUGCCACAAGAAACACCAACCCACUUACAGACAGAGGUAGAGUUCGUCCAAUUGUUUGCCAACACAUUUUGAGGAUCGACAAUGCGAUCUUUAAACUCAAAGAGUGCAAACUGAUCGGAGUUGAGAUUCCGGACUGUCAUAGCCAAGGAAACAAUAGAACAUUGUAUGAAUAAAAGUGAAAGAAGAUGAAAGCAAGUGUUGUAGUUCAUGAUGGCAAGACGAAAUAAGCCAGGAAAAGGGAAGUUGAAUUGAUGAAGAAAUAGCCAGCCAACAUGCUUAAAUAGGCUUCAACCCUUGCACACUUCUCAUACAUAAAGUUCGCUGCCAUUACAACAAGAAAACUCAUAUCUCCAUUCGUACCUAUCCAUACUUUAUUUGACUAACUUUUCCCUAACAAGUGUUCAGUAAGGAGAUAAAUCAGUUUGGAGCUAUUCACCGGCUUCUCCAAUCUUGGUUUCAAACUCCUAACCCAUCAAUUCACUUUAAUUGAAACGAUAUACACGAGUCUUUCGGCUUAUAUUUUUAAUUUAAUUUUUGUUACUUUUCAUAAUAUUUUUUGAGAAAUCCAAAUAUUCCAGUCUGAAAUUUCUUCAUUGCCACGUCUAUCUCCUGGGUAAGUCCGUGGUUAGGCAGCCCACUUUGGGAGCAGGAUUGUAAUUGUAAUUCUAUCCGACUCAUUUUACUAUUUAGAAAUAUAAAAGUAAUAUUAUAUUAUUUUUUAUAUUUUUAUAAAUUUAAUUUUAAUUAUAAUUUUUAAACAAUAAAACGAGUCAUUUGUAUUUGCCUAGUCUAAAUUGAAUCAGGAGUCAAAAAAAUUUUAAUCAUAAUUUACUAUUAUUUUAAUUAAUUAAAAUUUAACCUACUACAACUAGUAGUUGCAGAAAAAAUGUCAUUCCUUUAGAAAAACGAAAAUCCUUUAGAAAAAUGAGAACUUAUGAAGCAUUCAAUAAGAGUCAUUGGAAUAAAUGGUAACGAAAUCAUAAUUCAAUAUAAAGCUAAAAAAUGUACCAAUCUAUAUAAAUAAUGUAAGAUUUGUGAUACCUAAAUUAUUAUAUUUUCCAUAAAUAUAUGAAGAUAUUUUAUUAGGAAAUAAUUUUAUAUAUAAAAUUUUUUAUUUUCUUUUGAUAGAAAUUUAAUUAUGUUAUCUGUAGAAAAAAAUAUUUAUAGAAAUAUUAUUAGUAGAAAAUCAUAAAUUUGUGUGUGGCAAAAAAAAUUCACCACCAAGAAAGGGGCAAAUUAAACAACUUGAAACAAGUCAUUGGUUGUUUAAAAUAUUAGAUAAUAAUUUCAGUGAAGAAUCAUUAAAAUUAUGACAAAAUAACCCUAGAUAUUGUAGUAUUAAAUUGGAAAAUCUCAAUAAUAUUAUUAGAGUAAAACCUAUGAUCUAUCUAAACAAGAUAUAGAAGAUUUUGAUAUACAAAUUAAGGUUAGAAAUCAUGCGGAAAUAAAAAAGAAAAAAAAGCUAGUAUGGUCAUUAAUUAUAAAAGAUUAAAUCAAAAUAUUAUUUUUUUAUAGUUACUUGAAUUAAUCAGGCUAAACAAACAAAAUAUUUUAGUAAAUUUGACUGCAAAUCAGGAUUCUAGCAAAUCAUGAUAACAGAAAAGUCCAAACCUUUAACGGCUUUUAGUGCACCCAAUGGACAUUACCAAUGGAAAGUGAUGUCAUUUCAAUUAUGUGAUGCACCACAAAUCUUCCAAAGACGAAUGGAUUUUAUAUUUAAUAAAUAUAAAAAAAUUCUAUGUAGUCUACAUAGAUGAUAUUUUUUAUAUUUUUAGAUACACUAGAAUUACAUAAGAAACAUUUAAAUAUUAUUUCUUAAGAAUUCAUAAAAUAUAGAAUCAUAUUAAACCCUAAAAAUAUAGAGUUAGAAAAAAGAGAGAGAAUUUUUAUAAUAGUGGAAAUAAAAAAUUGUCCUCAAAAGAUUGAAGAAAAAAAGAACUUCCAACAAUUUCUAAUAUAUUCCUCCCAAAUUUUCAGUUUCAAUUUUAUUACAGAAUUUCUUUGCCGACAAUAAGAAAUUAAGAGCGCUCUUUAAGUUGAAUAUAGUCCGUCAGAUAUGGCUAUCUAUAACAUGGAACCUUUGGUUUUCAAGCUGAAUAGGAGAAUUGAUUCACUUGAUAAGUAUGAAAAAUUGAAACUGCUAAAUUUAAGUGCACUAACUCUGGAUAUCAUCAUUAUUUUUCUGUACAUUAAAGUACCUGUUUGAUAUGCGAUUUCUGCCUCAAACUAUCAACAUCUUUAACAUCCUUUUGCUAUAGUUAGCAUGGGUACUUCCUUUUAGAUUAACAGUUAGGUUUGAACUGUGAAUUAGAUUUCUGUGGCUGCUGGGAUUGAAGAAGUUAGUAUGCGAAUGACAUUGGACAAAUUUGGCAAAGUCUUCUCCAUCAGUGAAGAAAACCCCUUGGCGUAUGAAAAAUGUUCACCAUCUUAGACAUUUGUUUUCUUAUUGUAAGAAUAUUUUUAACAUUGUAACUUUUAACAUUAUUGUAAGAAUAUUUUGAAUUAUACUUCAGUUAUCAAUUUAUAUCAUAUAUCUUUUGUUGAAUUUGAAGUAUAAUUUAUAUUUGCUGUUUUUGGUUAGAUUUCAUGCUAUAGGAAGGGUUGUAUAUGGAUAGAAAUUGAAUGUUACAAAUCUGCCAAAGUUAGUGGCGUUUUUUCAUAAGAGCUGCUAAAGAAUGCUAUUUUUGGCGGUGUUUGUAAUAAAAGAGCCGCUAAAGGUCAUGUUCUUUAGCGAUGUUUGUGGGUAAAGCGCCGCUAAAGAUCAUGUUCUGUAGCGGUGUUUGUGGAUAAAGCGCCGCUAAAGAACAUGACCUUUAGCAGCGUAUUUUCACAUAAACGCCGCAAAAUUUAGCGGCUUUGUCUAUAGCGACUUUUUUUGCAGCGCUUUAAGUUUUAGCGGCGCUUUUAGGCCUAAAAAAGGGCCGCUAAAAGCCUGUUUUGCUGUAGUGAGCAUAUUUACAUUUUCGUCCCAAUUUCAACUAACACCCCAUCUAUUUCCCACUUCCCUUUUUCGGGCAAUUUCAACUAACACCUUCAUAUCAAACAUAACUAUUUUUCAAUUUUUCUUCUUUAUUUCAUUAAUAAAAUUAUCAAUCUAUUUGUUUUUAAAUAUAUAAUUUCAUUAAUAUUUUUUAAAUUAUAAUAUAAGAGUUGUUGUUUAUUUAUAGUUUUAUUACAUUAUUUACUCUCUCUUUUCUAUCAAGUUUUUUAAAUUAUAAUAUAAGAUUUAUUUUAUCAAUUUGUGGCUUAUCCAGUAUUCAUCUAUUUUAAUAAUAACUUGAGUUCCAGUCAUUAUCAUACCAGAAAGAGUUCCAUUUAUUCUUUAUCGUAAAUUUUAUAAAAAAAUAUACAUUUUAUUAUAAUACUAUAUGUGUUACGAAUAAUAUUUUAUUGUGGAUGCCCAUAAUUUUCAAAGUUGUAACCUCUAAUGUAGUAACCUUAAUGAAAUUAUGAGGCUUUUAUAUUGUAAUCAAGCCUCUAUUUAUUCUUUGUAACUUAAACAGAAGCAUAUUUUCUAUUAUAUUGAUAUUUUUUAUAGAUAUAUAUAUAUAUAUAAGGAAUCAAAUAAAAAGUUAUUUACCUUUCUAUUAUAUUGAUAUUUUCUAUUUGAUUUGUUCUUUUCUUUCACUAUUCCAUAAUAUAUUAUCAGUACGAUUUUAACCAAGAGUAACAUGUUAUUAGAUUGUGUCAAAAUUUUGUUGAGAAUCAUUAGAUUGUUUCCUUUUUCUUCUAUUUAGCCCCAAAUUGCACCCCUACACAAAAUUCAACAAAAACAUGGAAAAAUUAGUGGUGCACUCUCAUAAAUUAACCAAUUUAAUUACAUAAAAUAUGUAACUUUAGCAUUUUAUCAAUCAUGUUCUUUAGCGGCAUUUGUGGGUAAAGCGCCGCUAAAGGUCAUAUUCUUUAGCAGCGUUUGUGAUAAAAGUGCCACUAAAUAUCAUGUUCUUUAGCGGCGUUUGUGGAUAAAGCGCCGCUAAAGAACAUGACGUUUAGCAGCAUUUUUUUACAUAAACGUUGUAAAAUUUAGCGGCGUUGUCUAUAGCGACGUUUUUUGCGGUGCUUUCAAAUAGUUUUAGCGGCGCUUGUAGGCCUAAAAAAAUGCCGCUAAAAGUCUGUUUUGCUGUAUGAGCAUAUUUACAUUUUCGUCCCAAUUUCAACUAACACCCCAUCUAUUUCCCACUUCCCUUUUUCGGCCAAUUUCAACUAACACCUUCAUUUCAAACGUAAUUGUUUUUCGAUUUUUCCUCUUUAUUUCAUUAAUAAAAUUAUCAAUCUAUUUGUAUUUUAAAUAUAUAAUUUUAUUAAUAUUUUUUAAUUAUAAUAUAAGAGUUUUUGUUUAUUUAUAGUUUUAUUAUAUUAUUUACUCUCUUUUUUCUAUCAAGCUUUUUAAAUUAUAAUAUAAGAUUUAUUUUAUCAAAUGGUGGCUUAUCGAGUAUUCAUCUAUUUUAAUAAUAACUUGAGUUCCAAUCAUUAUCAUACCAGAAAGAGUUCCAUUUAUUCUUUAUCGUAAAUUUUAUAAAAAAAUAUAUAUUUUAUUAUAAUACUAUAUGUGUUAGGAAUAAUAUUUUAUUGUGGAUGCCCAUAAUUUUCAAAGUUGUAACCUCUAAUGUAGUAACCUCAAUGAAAUUAUGAGGCUUUUAUAUUGUAAUCAAGCCUCUAUUUAUUCUUUGUAACUUAAACAGAAGCAUAUUUUCUAUUAUAUUGAUAUUUUUUUAUAGAGAUAUAUACAUAAGGAAUCAAAUAAAAAGUUAUUUACCUUUCUAUUAUAUUGAUAUUUUCUAUUUGAUUUGUUCUUUUCUUUCACUAUUCCAUAAUAUAUUAUCAGUACGAUUUUAAUCAAGAGUAACAUUUUAUUAGAUUGUGUCAAAAUUUUGUUGGACUUCAAGUAUUGGAAUUUAAUUGUUUAAGUUAAGAAUCAUUAGAAUCAAUGGCUAUUUGAGAUAUGCUUGAGGAUGAUCUCAUUCUCUUCAUCACAAAGGUGGAGGUUAGAAAAUCUUUAUGUUUAAACAUUUAUAGCUUUAAAGUUAUUUUAACCUCUUAUUGUGACCUUAUAAUAUUUUGUAAUUUUUUGUAUUAUGGUAUAUAAAAAAAAUCUAACCAUAGUGAUUGAUUAGUAAUAUGAAUUUGUUAUUUGUUAUGUUUAAUAUAUAUUUUAUUUAUACUUAUUCAUUUUAUUUUUAUAUGAGUAAAUGAAGUGUUUGAAGAUUCGAAAUUUUUAUCAUCCAAGUUGAAAAUAAGUGCAAAAGUGUACAUUAUUUAAAAUAAAUUACGCAUUCAUUAAUGUUAUAUGAUAAAAUCAUUACAUGUUCUAAAGAACUAAUAUUGCAUCAAACUGUAAAAAGCUCUUGAAGAGUUAAUAUUUUACCUCCUUGUGAUACAAAAUCAUAUACAAUAUGAUAUUAUUUUUCAAAUCGAGUAGAUAUAUGUUGAGGGAAAUCUUUAUGUGGUUUACAUUAAAACCAUGGAUAGAAAUGACAUGAGAUACUCGUGUAUUUUUAUUAUAAAUAUUCCUUGAAGGAAGACACUUCACUUGUAUGAUUGACAUAUGAGAUAGUGGCAAGAAGUUCAUAGUGUUGGUAUGGUCGUCUAGAUCAUCUCAAAUCAAUAAUGAUGCAAAAUAAUUUGAAGAGAAUUUAUAUGAUUUUAUUGAAGAAUGAGAAGAUAUUUUCAUUUUGAUAAUUGUCAUCAAUACUAGUUCUUUGGAAAAAAAAUAUUGAACUAACAUAAAGUUAGAGGUUGGUUGCAUUUUUUGAUGAUAUCCAAAUAAUAUAUGAGCUCAUGUAUCACAUGUAUGCAACCCAAAGUUUACAGUAUUAUUUCUUGAAAUAAUUUGAUUCUACACAAUCUCUAUAGUAUGCAAUUUGUGCUAACAACGUUGGUGCAUUAUAUCCUAAGCUUGAUUUUCGUAGUUUUAGCUGAGAUAAUAUUAAGUUGUCUAUGCCUAUAUAUGUUAUACUUAAUGGUUAGCAAAAUUGUGCCUCCAUUUAAUUGCUUAACCAUUAAUAUAAGAAUAACUUUAAAAUAAGCAUGUAAUUUUAUUUGCAUAGAGUCAACAUGUAAGAAACAUUUGCCCCAUGAGAAUUGGCUUUCAUUUAUAAGCCAAUAGGUUUCAUAUGACUAUUUGGAUGUAAAAUAUCUAUUUUAUAUUCCACCAUAAUGCACUAAGAUGGUCCAUCAAGUAUGAAGUUGAGAAAAUUUAGAAUUUUUAUUUGAUGGUAAAAGUUGAAAAGAGAUAUAUACUUAUAAUUUUGAAAAAAAUAGUCAUGUUGCAAAUUUUUCUCAAUAUUAGGGGGAGACAAGUUGGACAAAUAAGGAUAAUUAUGUCAUCACUUUUUGUGAUCCCUCACUAAUAUUAUGUGCACAAAGUUUGAAGGAAAAAAGUAUUUGCUAGACAUGUUUAGUGAUGACACUUAGAGAUUGUAUAUACUAGAUGAUACAUAUACCAGCUAAAAUGUUCCAAAUAAUUAUGAGUCCUAGAAGGACAUAGUGAUAAAAAUAAUUUUUGGGCACGCUAGAAGGAUAAAAAACUAGUUCAUUCUAUAAAUCAAAAAAUUCUUGAAAGAAAAGAGUAAGAAAUGAAGCUGGCCACACAUUAAAGGAAACGAGUACUCAUGAAGAGACCUAAGGCAUAACUUUUAAUAAAACCCCAAAAGAGGUUCAAUACAUGGAAUUAUGAAUAUAAUAAGAUAUCUCGAUUAGUUAUAUCAUAACUAAAGAUGAUGGGGUUGAUAAAAGGAAAUUGUUGUUAACAACGAUAAUCUAAGUAGAACAUUUCAAUAUUAUGGUAAAAUGAGUAUUUUGAAUGAAAAUAUACUUGAAAGUAUUUAGAUGGGAACAACUCAUCAAAAUAAAUAGACGUUUCUAUUAUAACUUAUGAAAUGUGUCUCGGACAUGAAGUCCAAACAUUCGACAGGUGUAAAGCCAAGUGGAGUAUAUGUUAGCAUAAUAGUGAAAAAAUACAAAUCAUAAUAUAUAAAAUUGACUUGUAAGACAAACUUUCCCAAGACACUUGAUUUUGAUUAUGAAAAAUGAUUAAUUUGUGAUCUUAUCAAUUGAACAUACUUUGUAUAAUCAACAAAUUAUUAAUUAACCUCAUUUAACCAAUUUCCUUCAACACAUUUCAAAUCAAAUUAAUGUGUUGAGCACGCCCUUAACCCUUUUUCUUGAUUCAUUGCAUAGUCUAUUUCCAAGUACCAUAAUCAUCAACAUUUCAAUAUAUAAAGUCAUAACAUAAUGAAUCAUAGUUAGAAUUUUUUUUACCCUAUUAACCAAGUAUGGAACAAAAAUAAAAACCUAAUUUGUCAAGCUCAUUCAAUCAGCUUAUAUAUUAUAAGAAGAGCCUAAGUAUAAAUCCUAUACAUGAUUUCAAAUUCAACUAUUUAUAUUUGAGAUUCAAUUUAAAAUUCAUACUGAAAUUAUCAAAUUAACUCGUAAGCUACUCACGCUAAACAUUAAGGUACUCGAAUUCAAGUGGCUAGAUAUCAUAAACACUUUUAGCUUGUAAAACUAUUUCUAAGGGUCAGCCCAGAAUCAUGGUUGAACCCAAAAUCUGGUAACAAAAAUUUAAUUGAGCCAUCAGCCUAAAACAAAUAAGGCUUAAAAGGUUGGCACCCGAACAAUCAAAGAUAAACACCACCAUAUGCCACUCCCUGAAUCCGAUACAUACAAUAACACCCUUCACCACUUUUAUUCUUCUCCUUUUUUUUAACCUCAAUUUGGAUGGUCGCAUUUCUCUUUUUAGUGCUUUAUAGGGUUUGGGCUUUCAGAAUCCUCAGAGAUGCAAUUCAUGGAUCCCUCUAAGAAAUGCAAGCUUGAUGAAAAUGGUAUUAUUUCAACGGCAUCAGAACCUGACCCAAUCACCAAACUAACCCCACAAGAUGGCCGCAAGCUAAUCGAGCAAUUUAUCGUCGAUCAACUCCUUGACGUCCUCCAAGAUGCUGUUUGUUGUCACCUUGAUGUUCUUUCCGCCGUACACUCUAUUGCCGAUCAAGAUCCAUCUCAAAGGAAGCUUUUCAUCCGUGGUUGGGUUGGGAUACUACAACCCAACCCAACCCACAUUAGCAUACUACCAUGCGGUAACUUCUAGUGAUUUCUGUCUGUAACAUUAGACAGGUUAACAGUUAAAUCGUUCAACUGAAAGAUUUCUUUGAAGGAAGAGGUCAAUUGAUUUUUUUUGGAAUCAUUGUGUACUCAGUUGCAUUUAAGACGGGUAUCAUUCAUAAAGUAUAUAUCUACAUCAAGAAUGGUAGCCUCUUAUAUUAUAUUCAUGUAUUUAUUUUGCAUCUUUAAUUAUAAUAGGAUUUUUUUUGUUUAUUUAUAGUUUUAAUUAUAAUAUUUUUUAAAUAUGCCAAAGUAAAUUAUGUACCAAUUUUAAACUUCUCCUAGGUAAUUUAACGUAAGGGCAUUUAUGUUAUUUUACCACUUAUGAUAAAACUAACCUAAUUUUAGAUCUAAGUGUUUACCAACCUUCUUUUAGUCAAAUUAUGCAAGCCUAAAAUUUUUAGCUUAAUUUGAGUUUGUUUACUAUGUCUAAUUCAAGUUUUAUUAUUAAGAACUAAAUUGUAACUUAAACAAAUUAGAAUACCAAUUUAAAGAGACAAAAAUUCAAAGCCCCAAAACCCACACGGGCAUGUGGGUAAGUGACACAGGCGUGUGGAAACUGGAGCUAUCACACACGGGUGAGUGGGACUGAAAAAUAUGAAAUAAAUUAAUCCAUUUAAAUUUCCAACAACCAUGCUAUACUACCAAACCAAAUAAUGUUAGAAGCUUUGAAUAGGGGCGAAUCUUAAAAAAAAAUAGAAGAAUUAGAAUUAAAUUAUAAAAUUUUGAGAAGUUGUCAUGUAUUAAUUUAUUAUUUUUUAAAGGGUCUUAAUAGAUUUUUUUUCCCCAUUUUGGUUUGGCCAAUACCCCUGUCUGCCUCUUUCAAUUUGCUUCAACCCUUAGCCCAAUAUUCGAUUUGUUGUGGAAGUUUGACGCAUAAAAAUUCCUUUUUUAGAGGUUUAAAUUAUAAAUUUUUAUUAACAAAAUAUAAAAGAAAAAAACAUGUGUAGACAAGCCAAGAAACCUUUGGGAUCAUACAGGUGAUUUUGAGAUGUUCAUGGUUAUUUUGGUGGAGAGGGUAAAAAAGAAACAAAUGAUUCAUUAUAUAUGAUAUAAUUAUGAAAUUCAAGCCAUAUAUUGUAUGUUUCAUCCAUACAAAUUUCUUGUAGCAUUAAAUGACUCGUAGGCUUGCUGAAUUUCUUUGAAAGGCCCAAAGGCAAUUUAACAUUCACAAAAUAAUCUCUAAAUAGUGUAAAGACAAAUCAAAUCCACAGUAGCAUUAGAGUUGAUUAAGCUAAGCAUUGGCAAAUAUUACUUUGAUUUUGCAUGCAAUAUUGGCAAAACCCCCUCUUACAUUAGAAAAACAACAUAAUCCAUGAAACAUUGAUAGCCCAAUACAAAUUUCAUCGAGAAAAAAGUCUCUUUGUUUUGUAGAACAUGAUAGUAAAGAUGUGGAGUUUCGUUCUUCUUAUUGGCCUCCUUUAGUUUUCCUUGAUCAACAACCACUAGCCAAAAACACAAUUAGAUUAGAUUAUGAAUGAUACUUUCAACUAUGACAAUAUUAAAUACAAACCACUCUAAAUAACUCUAAAUAAAUGGAAAGCAGCAAAUUACCAGACGAGGCAAGCUAGCUCAAUUAAGACCAUUGUGUUAUACUUGUCUCUGAAUUGAAAAAUUUAGAAGGAAAUAAAGAGAAAGACUUAGAAAAUACUUGAAAACAGAAAAAAAAAUUAUGUCAUUUAAAAUAAAAAAUUUCUAUUCAAGCCAUUUAAAAUUUGUAAGAUUUUUAAAAUUUUAAAAUGAUAAAGGUAAAAUUGUACUUUGGCACCCCAAAAAUGAUAAAACUUUGAUUUAAUUAUUUAAAAAUUAUAAAAAUAUAGGCUAUUAAAAUGGUGAAAUUAUAUUUUUACUAUAGUAAAAAUUACAAUUUAAUUUCACCCCUAAAAGGAUUUUCUGGCUUCGCACCUAAUAAAAUCUUUGGCAAAAGACUAAAAUAAAAUUAUACCAUGAAUGGAAAAAGAAACUAAUAAAAUCCAAUCUAACAAAGAAAAUAACUUGAUGUCCAAAAGCUACCAUAAACCGUAAUUCAUGGGAAGGCUUGUUGCUUAUUUUAUUGGUUUCCAUUUUGAAAGAAGUUUGAAUUUUGAAGAGAGCCUACUACGUGAAAGCAAAAGAAAAAAAAAUAGUUUAUAUGAUUAAAAUUCCAGAAUAGAUUAAAAAUGUUGAAUUAAAGAUAAAAUUAAGUGUGAAUUAAUAACCACAAGUGUACUCUUUACUCACCAUCUCUGUUAAAAAUGUUGGAUGUUGUUUAGCAACCUUUGUUUGAUUUUCUUCAGCUCAACCACAACAUCUUUCAUAUCUUUUCUUUCUUCUGGUAACUCAGCUGAACAAUUCAAAGCCAACUCCAUGAUAGAUGAAAUACAAUUUGCUUUAACAACAAUGUACUCAUCCUCUCUUCUUAAUAAAUCAACAUCUGCAAUUUCUAUCGCUCCUUUAGGCAAUGAUCUUUCCAUCCAAUGCCUUAUACUCUCUUCUUCAACAAAAACCUUAUCAGUUGGCUUUUUCUUUGUGAAAGUUUCUAUAAGGACGAUCCCAUAACUAUAGACGUCAGAUUUUAUAGAAACAAUUCCUGCUGAUCCAAAUUCUGCAUUUCAAGUAUAAUUAGAACAUCAUUCAUCCUCAAUUAUUUCUAAAACGCUUAUUCAAAUAUCUAUCCACAUACACGUGAAACAAAAAUAUAAAAUACAAAUUAGGAAAAUAAUCAUACAAAAAUAAAAAAAAGAAUUCACCUGGUGCCAUAUACCCAAUAGUUGCAAGAGUCAUGGUUUGCUUCAUUACUUCACCUUCUCCCAACAAUUUGGCAACGCCAAAAUCUCCAACAUGUGCAACCAUGUCUUCAUCUAGUAAAAUAUUGCUUGGUUUUAUGUCACAAUGAAUUAUAGGUGUUGGAUGUCCAUUGUGGAGGUGUUCUAUAGCUACCGCAACAUCUAUCAUUAUGUCGACCCUUUGUAUGAUACCAAGGAAACAAUUUUCAGAAUGUAACCAUUUCUCAAGGUUUCCAUUAGACAUGUAAUCAAGCACCAAGGCUUUGAAGUCAACACUUGAGCAGUAAGUAAUGACCUUCACAAUAUUACGAUGAACUAUAUUAAGCAUAGCAUCACAUUCAAUGUCAAAACUCCUAAAUGCUCCCUCUGUUUGCAAAUUGAAAACUUUUAUUGCAACUUCCAUUCCAUCUGAAAGCCUCCCUUUAUAUACAUAUCCAAAACUCCCUGAACCAAGCGUAUUGCUUUCCUCAAAUCCAUUAGUUGCUCGUGAAAGUUCAGCAUGUGAAAUUCUUCUCAGUGUCUUCAAAGACAACAAAUCAUCUUUAACUGGUAGAGCUGUACUCCUUUGGCAUCUUCUAUACAUAAUAGUUAAGACUAUUAGUACUAGGACAAUACCAAUUGUUGGUAAACCAUACCUAAAAGCAUGCAAUAUAAUCAUUUGGGAGUUUUUGUGGAUGUCAUUUUUGCAAGGUGGGACUAGCAAUCUAGGUGGACCACAAAGUGCACAAUUAUUCAUGAAUGAUGUGCUAGAAAAGUUUGAAAAACAUCCUUUGCUGGGAAUUUCCCCUUCAAGUCUAUUGAAAGACACAUUAAAAUACUUUAGAUAUAAAAGCUUUUCCAAAGAUUUGGGAAUGACUCCAGAGAGAUUGUUAUUGCAUAAAUCCAAGAAUUCCAAACUAAUCAACCCUUCAAAUGAUUCAGGGAUAUGACCAUAUAGUAUGUUAUUUGAUAAAUCUAAUGAAACCAAAGUUAUAAGACCCCCAAAUGUGGAUAAGAUAUCGCUCGUGAGAAGAUUCCUUGAUAAAUUUAGUCUCAGUAGACUCCUAAAAUUUCCAACAUCAAUAGCAUGUGAAUUGUGAAGACGGUUUGAUGAUAAAUCUAUUUCUAAGAUAUCUUUAAGACUCCACAAAGUUGAGGGUAUUGUAGAACUCAAUUUGUUGGAACCUAACCAAAGAUAUCUCAAAGCAGAAAUAUUACCUAAACAAGAGGGUAUGGAUCCAUGCAGCUUAUUCAACCCUAAAUACAUCUCGUAUAGUCUCUCCAAACCACAAAGGCUUUCUGGGAUAGGCCCUCCUAAUUUAUUAGAGGAAAGACCUAGAAUUUGGAGAUUUCUCAUUCCUCCUAUUGAUGCUGGAAUCAAUCCACUUAAUUUAUUAUACCCAAGAUCUAAAAGCAAUAGGUUGGUUAAGUUACCUAUUUCCAUAGGAAUAAUGCCUUGAAGCUCACACUCUGUGGCAUGAAAGUAUUGAAGGGAUUUUGAAAGGUUCCCGAAAUAAGUAGGAAGAACGCCACUCAAUGGAUUUCCUGAAACAUCUAUUAUGCUCAAAUUCCUACAAUUCGUCAAAGAAGAAAGAAAGCUCCACUCAUGAUCAGUAGCAGAUCCUGUGAUCAAAUUAUUGUCAUAGAUUUGGAGCCAUACAAGUUGUCUUAAGCUGCCAAGCGUUUUAGGGAUUGGGCCAGAGAAUGAGUUAUCUCCCAAGUCUAGUUCCUUAAGCAUGGAAGCAUUGGAGAUAGAGUUGGGAAUGUUUCCGCUAAGUUUAUUUCCCCACAGUAAAAGAAUCUGAAGCUUUGGAGCAUUGGUAAUGGGUGGUAAAUUACCUGUAAAAUAGCAUCUUUUAGAAAACAUUCACAAAAUAUAUAAUACAUUAAAAUAAAAACUUUAAAUCAAUUAAGAAUAAAAUUUUGGCAUGGAAAAAUGUGAUGAAAUCAAUUAGAAAGUUGAGACAUAAUAAGAAGUUUUGAGUAGUAAUUAGUCCUUGUGAUUUGUAUAGACAAAACAUAUAAUACACUGAUAAUUUUUUUAAAAUAUUGUAAAACCUGAAAUAAAAUAAAAAAUAAAAGUUUGGCACGAGAAUGUGGCAUCUAAUCAUUCUUAAAAAUAAGACUAACAUUAAAUAAUAAUUAGUUAUGAUUUGAGAAACAAAAAUGUUAAAGAUGUAAACUGGUAUGAUUUUUAUCUAUUGGGUUAAUUAUUUAUUUUUAUUAAAUUAUAUAUAGUGUAAAAUUUAAAGAUUAUUAUUUGCUCAAAAUUUUUGUAUUUUAGGAUUUUAGGAUCGCAUUUAAUUCAAUUGUAUUUAAGACCUCAUGAAUUUAUUCUAUAAUUUGAGUCUUUUCAACCUUUUGGGAAAUAAUAAAACAUCGACAUUAAACUUGUUGUUGAUGCAUUCAAUUUGAUUUUUUGAGGGGUCAUUGGAGUUAUAUGUGAAUUUAGCAUUGAUUGACUUUUUUAGAAUUAAUCUUUUAUACCAAUUUAAUAACAUCGACAUGUUUUUGGGUAGGGUCGAGCAAAACCCAAUUAAAACCGAUGAAAUUGGUUUAGUUAACUCGGUCAAGUCCAUUAGAUGGAUAAAAUCAAUUUUAAAAUCAGUUAUUAUGGAUUAAGGUAAUUAAUUAUCGAGUAAUGAAAUACAUAAUCAAAUCAAUUGAUUUUGUUAGAAACUAAAAGAAAGUGGGAUAAGCUGAAAACUGAUUGCCCUUUUUUAGAAUUAAGGAAUCAGCCUUUUACAUGUUAGAUAAUAUGAACACCCCAUAUAUAAUAAGAAAAAUUAUGUACGAUUAUUUAUUAUCAUAAAUGGUUAGUUUAAAUUUAAAGUAAUCUAAUAUGUGUGUUGAACUUCAACUAUUACAUAAAGUAUAAGCUAAAUAUGUAUAAAUAUUCUAGAAACCAUUUCUAACUGAUGAUAGGCUAAUUUGAAAUUAAGAUUAAUAUAUAAAAACUAGAUAGUAGGGUUAUAGUCCUCAAACUACACCUAAUUUAAUAAAAUCUAUAGUUUUUAUAGCCUUAAACAUUUAUAGAUUUUGUUAAUUUGGUCCUUACUCUUUAAAAUUACAUAAAAAUUGCAAAAAUAUUUUAGAAAUACAAUUUUUUCGUAUUUUUAAUAACAUUUAUAGUUUUUUUUUUGGUUUGGUAACUUAUCAACUCGACUCUUAAUUGUAACCAACUUUUCUGAUUUUUUCGUACCCUUAACCUAAGUCCCGUUACAACUUUCUAAAGACCUCUUGAUUGGUGUAUCAUCUCGAUUUGUUCUUAUAGUGGUGGGGAUUUGGUUUUCAAGCAAGCCUAUGCUAAUCACAUUUUUCGUUCAACUAUUGAGCACACAGUACUUGAACCUUAAACACUUUGAGUGCUUUGAGUGAAUCUUAGUUAGGGUAUUGAUUAUUGUUGAGUUUGAAUUUUAGGUAAUUAUUGAGAUGGAGGAGAUGCCUAUUUUUUUGUGCUUUACAAAUUUCUGCUUAGAUUGCUUUUAUUCUUUAGUUUCAUGCUAGUUUCAAUUUCCAGUGCAUGAUUAUCUAUAGAUUAUUCAUAAGGCAUUGUCGGUGAAAACAAUAAAUUGAGGGAGAUUAACUUGAAAUAAAUUGAGGGAUAUUAACUUGAAUAAAGGUUGAGAAUUUUGCUUAAGGACAAACAAAUGCUUAAGUGUGGGGAUAUUUGAUAAGUGCUAAAAUUGAUAUGUUUUAACAUCAUUCUUAAUGUGUUUUUGGUUGAUUAUUCGAUGUUAAUGAUGCUCCUAAUCCUUACAAUUCGUGUUUUUAUGCUUAAUAGAACAUUUGGGAGGAAAAUGAGCUAAAAAUGAACGAAAACCUGAAAAUGGGGGCAAACUAUAGGACAUGGGCUGACCUAUUCCUCAUGACCGUAUGACUCACACGAUCAUGUGGUAGGUUGUGUCGAUUUCGUAGAUUUGCACUCUGAACUGUAAAAAAAGAAAAUUUUAGAUUUUUUGAGCAUUUUAAUACGUAUAUAUGAAAAAAAUAAGAAGAUAGGAGAGAACCUUCCUAGAAUAUUUAAGAAAACAACUCCAAAGACACUAUUGAAGUCGACUCUGAAGCAAAUUUUCCUCAAGAUUGAAGAUUCCCAGUUGGUUUCUUAAGAGAUUAUCAUGAGUUUCUUUAUUUCUUCUGGUUAUACUGCCCUUUGGAUGUUUUUAUUUUUAAGCAUGAACUAAUUUUCUAAAUACCGAAUUAGAGAGAUGAACCCUAUGAUAGAUUGUGACACCCCAAACCCAACCGGAUAGACCCGCCCGAAUUCAAAGCAUUUCAUUAGCCACCUAAGUGACUCUCCAGCUAACGACCACCCAAGACACACCUCGACCUUAUAACACCUCAAUCUUAUCUAAUUACUAGUUAUUUAUUAAUGUAGAAGUAAAUUAAUAUGAGCCAAUUUUAAACUUUUUCUAGGUAAUUUAACCUAAAGGCAAUUUUGUCAUUUUACCACCUAAUGUAAAACUAACCCGAUUUUAGAUCUAAGUGUUUACUAACCUUCUUUUAGUCAAAUUAUACAAGCCUAAAAUUUUCAGCUUAAUUUGAGUCCGUUUACUAUGUCUAAUUCAAGUUUUAUUAAUAAGGACUCAAUUGUAACUUAAACAAAUUAAAAUACCAAUUUAAAGAGACAAAAAUUCAAAACUCCAAAACCCACACGGGCAUGUGGGUAAGUGACAAGGGCUUGUGGGAUUGAAAAAUAUGAAAUAAAUUAAUCCACUCAAUUUUCCAACAACCAUGCUAUACUACCAAACCAAAAAAACACUUGAAGUUUUGAAUAGGGGCGAAUCUAAAAAAAAUUAGAAGAAUUAGAAUUAAAUUAUAAAAUUUUGAGAAGUUAAAAUAUAAUUUUAUCAUGUAUUAAUUUAUUGUUUUUUAAAGGGUCCUAAUAUAAUUUUUUUCCCAUUUUGGUUGGGCCAAUACCCCUGCCUGCCUCUUUAAAUUUGCUCCAACACUAAACCCAAUAUUCGAUUUGGAUUAACAACAACAUAUAGGUUAGUAUUUGUGGGAGUUUGACGAAUAAAAAUUCCUUUUUUAGAUGUUUAAAUUAUAAAUUUUUGAAAGAUUAAAAUAAAUUUGUAUUUUUUUAUUAACAAAAUAUAAAAGAAAAAAAAAUAUGUUUAGACAAGCCAAGAGAACUUUGGGAUCAUACAGGUGAUUUUGAGAUGUUAAUGGUUAUUUUGGUGGACAGCGUAAAAAAGAAACAAAUGAUUCAUUAUAUAUAAUAUAAUUAUGAAUUUCAAGCCAUAUAUUGUAUGUUUCAUCCAUAAAAAUUUCAUGGGAGGUCCAAAGGUAAUUAAAUGACUUGUAGGCUUGCUGAAUUUCUUUGAAAGGCCCAAAGGCAAUUUAACAUUCACAAAAUAAUCUCUAAAUACUGUAAAGACAAAUCAAAUCCACAGUAGCAUUAGAGUUGAUUAAGCUAAGCAUUGGCAAAUAUUACUUUGAUUUUGCAUGCAAAAUUGGCAAAACCCCCUCUUACAUUAGAAAAACAACAUAAUCCAUGAAACAUUGAUGGCUCAAUACAAAUUUCAUCGAGAAAAAAGUCUCUUUGUUUUGGAGAACAUGAUAGUAAAGAUGUGGAGUUUCGUUCUUCUAAUUGGCCUCCUUUAGUUUUCCUUGAUCAACAACAAUUAGCCAAAAACACAGUUAGAUUAGAUUAUGAAUGAUACUUUCAACUAUGACAAUAUUAAAUACAAAACACUCUAAAUAAAUGGAAAGUAGCAAAUUAAGACCAUUGUGUUAUACUUGUCUCUGAAUUGAAAGAUUUAGAAGAAAAUAAAGAGAAAGAGUUAGAAAAUACUUGAAAACAGAUAAAACUUAUAUGUCAUUUAAAAUAAAAAAAAUUUCUAUUUAAGCCAUUUAAAAUUUUUAAGAUUUUUUAAAUUUUAAAAUGAUAAAGGUAAAACUAUAUUUUGGUACCCAAAAAUGAUAAAACUUUGAUUUAAUUCUUUAGAAAUUAUAAAAAUAUAGGCUAUUAAAAUGGUGAAAUUAUAUUUUUACUAUAUUAAAAAUUACAAUUUAAUUUCACUUGCUAAAAGGAUUUACUGGCUUCGCCCCUAAUAAAAUCUUUGGCAAAAGAUUAAAAUAAAAUUAUACCGUGAAUGGAAAAAGAAACUUAAGAAAACCCAAUCUCACAAAGAAAAUAACUUGUCCAAAAGCUACCAUAAACCGUAAUUCAUGCGAAGGCUUGUUGCUCAUUUUAUUGGUUUCCAUUUUGAUUUUGCAAAAGAAGUUUGAAUUUUGAAGAGAGCAAAAGAAAAAAAUAGUUUAUUAAUUUUUUACGAAUACCGACAUAUUAUAUACAUGAUUAAAAUUCCAGAAUAGAUUAAAAAUGUUGAAUUAAAGAUAAAAUUAAGUAUGAAUUAAGAACCACAAGUGUACUCAUUACUCACCAUCUCUGUUAAAAAUGUUGUUUAGCAACCUGUGUUUGAUUUUCUUCAGCUCAACCACAACAUCUUUCAUAUCUUUUCUUUCUUCUGGUAACUCAGCUGAACAAUUCAAAGCCAAUUCCAUGAUAGAUGAAAUACAAUUUGCUUUAACAACAAUGUACUCAUCCUCUCUUCUUAGUAAAUCAACAUCUGCAAUUUCUAUUGCUCCUUUAGGCAAUGAACUUUCCAUCCAAUGCCUUACAGUCUCUUCUUCAACAAAAACAUUAUCAGUUGGCUUUUUCUUUGUGAAAGUUUCUAUAAGGACGAUCCCAUAACUAUAGACGUCAGAUUUUAUAGAAACAAUUCCUGCUGAUCCAAAUUCUGCAUUUCAAGUAUCAUUAGAACAUCAUUCACCCUCAAUUAUUUCUAAAAUGCUUAUUCAAAUAUAUAUCCGCAUACACAAGAAACAAAAAUAUAAAAUGCAAAUUAGGAAAAUAAUCGUACAAAAACAAAAAAGAAUUCACCUGGUGCCAUAUACCCGAUAGUUGCAAGAGUCAUGGUUUGCUUCAUUACUUCACCUUCUCCCAACAAUUUGGCAACGCCAAAAUCUCCAACAUGUGCAACCAUGUCUUCAUCUAGUAAAAUAUUGCUUGGUUUUAUGUCACAAUGAAUUAUAGGUGUUGGAUGUCCAUUGUGGAGGUGUUCUAUAGCUACCGCAACAUCUAUCAUUAUGUCGACCCUUUGUAUGAUAUCAAGGAAACAAUUUUCAGAAUGUAACCAUUUCUCAAGGUUUCCAUUAGACAUGUAAUCAAGCACCAAGGCUUUGAAGUCAACACUUGAGCAGCAAGUAAUGACCUUCACAAUAUUACGAUGAACUAUAUUAAGCAUAACAUCACAUUCAAUGUCAAAACUCCUAAAUGCUCCCUCUGUUUGCAAAUUGAAAACUUUUAUUGCAACUUCCAUUCCAUCUGAAAGCCUCCCUUUAUAUACAUAUCCAAAACUCCCUGAACCAAGCAUAUUGCUUUCCUCAAAUCCAUUAGUUGCUCGUGAAAGUUCAGCAUGUGAAAUUCUUCUCGGUGUCUUCAAAGACAACAAAUCAUCUUUAACUGGUAGAGCUGUACUCCUUUGGCAUCUUCUAUACAUAAUAGUUAAGACUAUUAGUACUAGGACAAUACCAAUUGUUGGUAAACCAUACCUAAAAGCAUGUAAUAUAAUCAUUUGGGAGUUUUUGUGGAUGUCAUUUUUGCAAGGUGGGACUAGCAAUCUAGGUGGACCACAAAAUGCACAAUUAUUCAUGAAUGAUGUGCUAGAAAAGUUUGAAAAACAUCUUUUGCUGGGAAUUUCCCCUUCAAGUCUAUUGAAAGACACAUUAAAAUACUUUAGAUAUAAAAGCUUUUCCAAAGAUUUGGGAAUGACUCCAGAGAGAUUGUUAUUGCAUAAAUCCAAGAAUUCCAAACUAAUCAACCCAUCAAAUGAUUCAGGGAUAUGACCAUGUAGUAUAUUAUUUGAUAAAUCUAAUGAAACCAAAGUUUGAAGACCCCCAAAUGUGGAUAAGAUAUCGCCCAUGAGAAGAUUCCUUGAUAAAUUUAGUCUCAGUAGACUCCUAAAGUUUCCAACAUCAAUAGCAUGUGAAUUGUGAAGAUGGUUUGAUGAUAAAUCUAUUUCUAAGAUAUCUUUAAGAUUCCACAAAGUUGAGGGUAUUGUAGAACUCAAUUUGUUGGAAUCUAACCAAAGAUAUCUCAAAGCAGAAAUAUUACCCAAACAAGAGGGUAUGGGUCCAUGCAGCUUAUUCAACCCUAAAUACAUCUUGUAUAGUCUCUCCAAACCACAGAGGCUUUCUGGGAUAGGCCCUUCUAAUUUAUUAGAGGAAAGAUCUAGACCUUGCAGAUUCCGCAGUCCUCCUAUUGAUGCUGGAAUGAAUCCACUUAAUUUAUUAUGGUCAAGUUCUAAAACCAAUAAGUUGGUUAAGUUACCUAUUUCCAUAGGAAUAAUGCCUUGAAGCUCACAAUUAUAGGCAUGAAAGGAUUGAAGGGAUUUUGAAAGGUUCCCAAUAUAAGUAGGAAGAACGCCACUCAAUGGAUUUCCUGAAACACCUAUUUUUCUCAAAUUCCUACAAUUCGUCAAAGAAGAAAGAAAGCUCCACUCAUGAUCAGUAGCAGAUCCUGUGAUCAAAUUAUUGUCAGUGAUUUUGAGCACUUCAAGGUGUUUUAAGCUGCCAAGCAUUUUAGGGAUUGGGCCAGAGAAUGAGUUAUCUUCCAAGUCUAGUUUCUUAAGCAUGGAAGCAUUGGAGAUAGAGUAAGGAAUGUUUCCGCUAAGUUUAUUUCCCCACAGUAAAAGAAUCUGAAGCUUUGGAGCAUUGGUAAUGGGUGGUAAAUUACCUGUAAAAUAGCAUCUUUUAGAAAACAUAUUCAUUGAAUACCAAAUUCACAAAAUAUAUAAUACAUUAAAAUUAAAACUUUAAAACUUUAAAUCAAUUAAGAAUAAAAUUUUGGCAUGGAAAAUUGUGAUGAAAUCAAUUAGAAAGUUGAGACAUAAUAAGAAGUUUUGAGUAGUAAUUACUCAUGAUUUCCAUAGACAAAACAUAUAAUACACUGAUAAUUUUUUUAAAAAUAUUGUAAAACCUGAAAUAAAAUAAAAAAUAAAAGUUUGGCAUGAGAAUGUGGCAUCUAAUCAUUCUUAAAAAUAAGACUAACAUUGAAUAAUAAUUAGUUAUGAUUUGAGAAACAAAAAUGUUAAAGAUGUAAACUGGUAUGAUUUUUAUCUAUUGGGUUAAUUAUUUAUUUUUAUUAAAUUAUAUAUAGUGUAAAAUUUAAAGAUUAUUAUUUGCUCAAAAUUUUUGUAUUUUUCGUAUAUUUGAAAUUUAAUCUUUAUAUUUUUUAUUUUCUGUGAUUUAGUCUCUCUACUUUUUGAAUUGAAAAUUUUAAGUUUAUUUAUUAACACUGUUAAAAAGUUUUUGUGUUAGUAUGGCAUUUUGAAAAAUAAAAUAAACUUGAUAUCUAUGUUUUUAAUUAUUCCAAAUACUGUUUUACUAUUCCAAGAUAAAUUAUUUGUGUCUAGACCAAUAUCUUAAGAACUAUUGUUGCAUGUUUAAUUAUUCUAAAGAAUUGUUGAUUGAGUCUUAGUUGAAGUGCACUAUUCUCCUAUUUAUGAAUUGGGGAGUUGAUAAAGUACUAAAUUUUGAUAUAUUUUAAAAAAUUAAAAAUUUAUUAAAAUAUUUUUAUAAAAAUUAAUUGUACCAAAAUAUACAAUUUUAAUAUCAAAUUUUUAAUUUUUUUAAAAAUAUUAGCGAAUAUAUACUUUAUUUCAAGUUACACAAUUUUUACUAGUUUUUAACUUUUUUUUUAAAUUUUUAUCGUCUUUUAUAAUUUCAUAUAUUUUUUUAUAAUUUUUUACAAUAUUUACAAUUUCUAACAAUUUUUAAUAAUUUUAUUAUUUAUUAUAAAUUUAAAAAUUAACAAAUUUUUAUUUUUUUAAAACAAUUAUAUAUUUAUAAUGUAGUUAUUUUUUUAUAAUUUUUUUUGAAAUUUAAAGAUUUUUUUGGUUUUUUCUAGAUGAUGAUGCCAUCAUGAUGUCAUCAUAUGCCACAUGGCAAUUUAUAAUUAGUUGACUAUCUCAAUCUAUUUUUUUAACGUCCAAUGGACUAAAACAAGAACACCUGAUAAUGUUAGAGACUACACUAGGAAUGUUUGAUAAUAUUAGGUACUAAAGUGGGCAAAAAAAAUUAAGGACUAUAUUAAAAAUAUAUCUAUAAUAUAUAUAAAUGCAUGGAUUUUGAGAAACUUUUGAAAUGACAAAUAUAUAGUCUUUGUUUUUUUUUACUAUAUUAUUGAAUUUUUUAUUUUAAAUAUUUUUUUAUUACUUUUAAGAUUUAUCAUAUGUAUGGAUAAAAAUUUUGGUUUUACUAAAAUAUUUGGUUAAAUAAAUUCACUUUAUAAAAAAAUUUAGCAUCCUUAUAAAUAACAAUUUUGAUUCCAUUAAAAAAAUUAUUUAAAAAUAUAUAAUAAAAAUUUAAAAUUUAUAUUGAAUCACUUUAUACUUAAAUUAUUAUUAGAAACUUUAUCAUACACAUAUGUGUAUGAGAACCACGUUUUCAGAACUUAAAUUUGUGUUCUAAAAUAACUUAUGAUAAAUAAUUAAAUGUAUAAUUUGAAAUUAUAUUGAAAUAAAAAUAGAUUAAAUUGUAAGUAAAACAUAUAUAAUUUAAACAUAUGAAUACAUCAAAUUAAAAAUACUAAAUGAAUACAUUUAUUUAUGAUGAUGUUGUUGUCAAUUCAUAAGUUGGUGUCGAGUUAAUUUGUGACAUCAUAAUUUUAAGUGAUAAAUUUAAGGUUUUAUGUAUUGAUGUCGAUUCAAAUAUCACCAUAAUUUUUUUAAAUAAAAAACUAAAGCACCCUCAAAUAAUAUAACUUAUAUUAAAUAUGAAAGGGUAUUUUUGUAAUUUCUCUAACGAGUUGGUGCCCGGUUGACUCAUGACACCAACUCAAUCAAAAGCUUCAAUAAUAAUAUAGAUAUUCACGUUUAAAAAAAGUACUUUAGUUCGAAAUAAUUAUGUAACAAGUAAUUUUAUAAUUGAUGAAUAAUUUUAUAAAAAUAUAUUUAUAUGAUCUAAUAUAUUAUAUUUAUAUUAAUUAUAUAUCAUCUACAAACUUUGAAGAUCAAUUUAUUAAGUAUCAGGAAAAGAAAAAAUGAAAUUGAAUUAACACUAAAUCAAUUUUUAGAUUUUGUACAGAUGAUUUAAUGAUGAUAAAAACAUUAUUAGCACUAUUUUUGAAUUAACAAAAAAUUAGUGAUAUAUUUUAAUUAUAUUUUUUAUUUUUUAUUUUUAAUAAUAUUUUUUUAAUUAUAUGAAGUAAAAUUAUAUUGUAUACUAAAUAUGGUACAUAUACUUUAAUUAAAACUUGAAAAAGUAUUAUAUAAAUUAAUAUAUUUUAAUUAUAUUCAACCAUUUGAAUAACAAAAUUAAAAAAAAACUAAUUAGAAUUAUUUACUUUUUAAAGUUUAAUGGAAAAUAAAAAAUAAAAAAUAAAUCAAUUCAUAUAAAUCUUAUUGUUUAUUAUCAGAUUAAAAUGAUAAAAGUAUAUGACAUACAUAGAAGAAACAAAUUCAACACCAUGUUUUUGGAGUUUGGAAAAAAUUAAAGUGAAAAACCUACCUUCUAAACUGUUGUUAAAUAGAUCUAUUUCUUCGAGCGUAGUUGAAUUAAAAAUACUUGAUGGAAUCUGACCUGCACACAUAGUCGAAAAUUGAAGUGAAAUCAAACUCUUUUGUGAAAAAAAUAUUACCAGAUAAUUCAUUCCAACCCAGGUAAAGCCCUUCAAGCUUGGGAAGAUGUUGACACAUAUCAUUAGGCAAACUACCUGAUAGGCUAUUGUUGGAGAGAUUAAUGGUCUUCAAAGAAGAAAUGUUGAAGAUCGAAGUUGGAAUCUGACCUAUAAGGCCUUUAAUUGCUCUAAUACUAAGCCUUUCCAAACUAAGAAGAUUACCAAUUUCCUUAGGAAUUAGACCUGCAGACAGUCGAAAAUUCAAUGUUUUUCAGCAUAUGUUUUUCAUCAAAUGAAAUAAAAAGUUCUUCCUUUUGUUAUCUAUUACAAAUCAAACUCUUUUAUAAAAAAAAUACUUUAAAUUCAAGAAAUCAAGGAAAUUGAUUACCUUCUAGAUUAUUAAACCCCAAAUAUAAUUCUUGGAGUCGUGUUAGAUUUCCAAUACUUCUUGGAAUGAUCCCCAUAAAUUGAUUAUAGGACAACGACAAAAUAUUAAGGUUGUUGCAUUUGCCCAUGCCAAAUGGAAUGUUACUAGAAAACUCAUUGCUAUCCAAGUAAAGCCCUUCAAGCUUGGGAAGAUGUUGACACAUAUCAUUAGGCAAACUACCUGAUAGGUUAUUGUUGGAGAGAUCAAUGGUCUUCAAAGAAGAAAUGUUGAAGAUCGAAGUUGGAAUCUGACCUGUAAAGCCUUUAAUUGCUUUAAUAUUAAGCAUUUCCAAACUAAGAAGUUUAAAUCAAUUAAGAAUAAAAUUUUGGCAUGGAAAAAUGUGAUGAAAUCAAUUAAAAAGUUGAGACAUAAUAAGAAGUUUUGAGUCGUAAUUAGUCCUUCUGAUUUGUAUAGACAAAACAUAUAAUACACUAAUAAUAAUUAGUUUGGCAUGAGAAUGUGGCAUCUAAUCAAUCUUAAAAAUGAGAUGACACUGAAUAAUAAUUAGUUAUGAUUUGGGAAACAAAAAUGUUAAAGCCAUUGCUUUUAAUGUAAACUAGUAUGAUUUUUAUCUAUUGGGUUAAUUAUUUAUUUUUAUGAAAUUAUAGUGUAAAAUUUAAAGAUUAUUUUUAUCUAUUACAAAUCAAACUCUUUUAUGAAAAAAAUAUUUUAAAUUAAAGAAACAAAGAAAAUUCAAUAUCUUCUAAGUUAUUCCACUCCAAAUAUAAUCUUCAGUGAAGAAAUCUUGAAGAUGGAAGAUGGAACCUUACCAGAUAAUUGAUUGAAUCCCAAGCUCAAGGACUCUAGAUUAGACAUGUUAACAAGUGUUUCAGGGAUUGUGCCUAUAAAGUUAUUAUUUUUCAUUUUCAGCCUUCGAACUCCCUGUAAGUUCCCAAGCCAUGAUGGAAUUUCCCCAUUAAGACUGUUGUAUUUUAAUCGAAGGAUCCUCAAACGAUGCAAUUGGCCCAAUUCUUUAGGGAGAUGGCCAUAGAAAUGGUUUCUACUCAAGUCGAGAGAGAGUAGAAAUGAAAGAUUUCCAAGGUGUGGAGGGAUACUACCCCUAAGAUUCAUGCUUUUAAGUUUGGAAACAAAUUCAACACAAUGUUUUUGGAGUUUGGAAAAAAUUAAAGUGAAAAACAUACCUUCUAAUUUGUUGUCAGAUAGUCCUAUUAUUUCGAGCAUAGUUGAAUUAAAAAUACUUGAUGGAAUCUGACCUGCACAUAUAGUUGAAAAUUGAAGUGAAAAACAUACCUUCUAAACUGUUCAACUAAAAAAACUUUAAGCAUAUUUGUUUUUCCAUCAAAUUAACUAUUUUGCCUUGAAUGAAAUAAAAUGCUCUUACUUUUGUUAUUUAUUACUAAUCAAACUCUUUUCUAAAAAAAAACUUUAAAUUAAGAAACUAAGAAAAUUCGGUACCUUCUAGGUUAUUAAACCCUAAAUAUAACUUCUGGAGUCGUGUUAGAUUUCCAAUACUUCUUGGAAUGAUACCCAUAAAUUGAUUAUAGGACAACGACAAAUUUUUAAGGUUGUUGCAUUUGCCCAUGCCAAAUGGAAUGUUACCAGAUAAUUCAUUCCAACUCAGGUAAAGCCCUUCAAGCUUGGGAAGAUGUUGACACAUAUCAUUAGGCAAACUACCUAGGUUAUUGUUGGAGAGAUCAAUGGUCUUCAAAGAAGAAAUGUUGAAGAUCGAAGUUGGAAUCUGACCUGUAAGGCCUUUAAUUGCUUUAAUAUUAAGCAAUACCAAAUCAAGAAUAUUACCGAUUUCCAAACCAAGAAUUUAUAGAAGAAACAAAUUUAACACAAUGUUUUUUGAGUUUGGAAAAUGUUAAAGUGAAAAACAUACCUUCUAAUUUGUUGUCAGAUAGUCCUAUUAUUUCGAGCAUAGUUGAAUUAAAAAUACUUGAUGGAAUCUGACCUGCACAUAUAGUUGAAAAUUGAAGUGAAAAACAUACCUUCUAAACUGUUCAACUAAAAAAACUUUAAGCAUAUUUGUUUUUCCAUCAAAUUAACUAUUUUGCCUUGAAUGAAAUAAAAUGCUCUUACUUUUGUUAUUUAUUACUAAUCAAACUCUUUUCUAAAAAAAAACUUUAAAUUAAGAAACUAAGAAAAUUCGGUACCUUCUAGGUUAUUCAACCCCAAAUAUAAUUCUUUGAGUUGUGUCAGAUUUCCAAUACUUUUUGGAAUGAUCCCCAUCAAUUGAUUAUAGGACAAUGACAAAAUUUUAAGGUUGCUGCAUUUGCCCAUGCCAAAUGGAAUGUUACCAGAUAAUUCAUUCCGACUCAAGUAAAGCCCUUCAAGCUUGGGAAGAUGUUGACACAUAUCAUUAGGCAAACUACCUGGUAGGCUAUUGCUGGAGAGUUUAAUAAUCUUCAGAGAAGAAAUAUUGAAGAUGGAAGAUGGAACCUGACCAAAUAAUUGAUUGAAUCCCAAGUUCAAGAUCUCUAGAUUAGACAUGUUAACAAGUGUUUCAGGGAUUGUGCCUGUAAAGUUAUUAUUCUUCAUUUCCAGCCUUCGAACUCUCUGUAAGUUCCCAAGCCAUGAUGGAAUUUCCCCAUUCAGACGGUUGUAGCUUAAUUGAAGGAUCCUCAAACGAUGCAAUUGGCCAAAUUCUUUAGGGAGAUGGCCAUAGAAAUGGUUGCUACUCAAGUCGAGAGAGAGUAGAAAUGAAAGAUUUCCAAGGUGUGGAGGGAUAGUACCCCUAAGAUUCAUGCUUGUAAGAUUCAAAGCUAUAACUCUUUUAUGGAGGAUGCCACAAGAAACACCAAUCCAAUUGCAAACAGAGGUUGAGGCCGUCCAAUUGUUUGCCAAGACAUUUUGAGGACCGGCAAUGCGAUCCUUAAACUCGAGAAGUGCAAACUGAUCGGAGUUGAGAUUCCUGACUGUCAUACCCCAGCAAAGUCCGGAACAUGGUAUGAAUAAAGCUAAAAGAAGAUGAAAGCAAGUGUUGUAGUUCAUGAUAGCAAGACGGAAUAAGCCAAGAAAAUAAAAAAAAGUAGGACAAGGGAAGUUGAGUUGAUAAAAUAGUUUGGAUGAUGAAGAAAAGCCCAGAGAGCAUGCUUUAAUAUGUUUUGAAGAAAUUUCAAAAUAAAUUUCAAAAUAAAUUUCAAAAUAAAAAUUUAAAAAGGAAAGCAAAGUUUUGAAGAAAUUUCAAAAUAAAUUUCAAGUCUUCUUCUUUAAAAAAUACGUACAAAGAGCGAAUUUUCAAAAUUUUUCCUAAAUUUUCUUCACAUUACUCCACAUAAUCCAUUAAAAAAACUUAAAAAAUAUAUUUUAUUAAUUACUAUACAUUCUUUUAUUUUCAGAAUAAUAAAUUGUUUAAAAUUUGCUAUUAGUCCCUAUAAUUUAAAAGUUAAAAAAAAUUCAAUCCUCCUACUUUUCUAAUUUAAAAAUUUUAGUUCAAUCAAUUUUAAUUUUAAAAUCUCUGUAUAAAAGGUGUUUUUUUUGUGACCGAUCACACUUAACCAAUAUUUAAAAAUUAAUAAAAAAUAUUUUUUUUUGAAAUUUAAAGUGAUCUAAAAACAUAUUUUUAAGUGCUUUGGACCGUCUAUUGUUGAUUUCCUUAUUAUAUUAAGUGUUUGCAAUCACUCCUAAUAUAUUGUGCUUGAGUUGUGACAAAGCCGAUCAUCAAAUUGCCAUAAUGAUCUAUUGAUGCUGAAAUUGAAGUUUUUGUUAUAUUGAUAGAGCUUGUCCUUCAACGCGUACAACGUGUUUGUUAUUUUUCUCCCUUCAAAUUGUAUGAUCUUAUUCAUUAAAUGAAUUAAUGAAUUUCCCUUUUAAAAAGAUAUAUUUUUAAAAAUUAAAUACUUUAUAAAAUAUUUAAAAAUUUGUAAGCCUUAAAACAAUCAACAAAAUAUUUUUGAAAUUUUAUAAAUAUAUUUUAAAACUAUAGUAACGCUACAAAAUAUAUAUAUUUACUAAUUAUAUGCACCUUUUUUAUUUUUAUUUCCUAACAUAUCAUUAUUUUCAACACUAUCGUAAUCCUGUUUUGAUAAUUCCCUUUCCAUACAUCCUUUUUCUACAUAGAAUUUCAAAAGAAAAUGUGAAUUAAUGUAAACGUGAGAAGACUUAAUUACAUUUAUUAGUUUAUCAAUCAAAACUUAAUUAGAAUCCAUCAAUAUUUCACACAUCAAAAACCCAAACAUAAAAUUCACUUUUAAAUUAUUUGAAGAUACAUUUGUAUUAUAGGAAAUCGAUUAAAUUAGUCUUUUAUUAUUAAAUGUAUUAUUUUAAUCUUUGUAUUAGGUAUGAAUGAUAUCUCCUAAAUUGAAGCCAGAGCUAUUCUUGAAAGACUGAAAUUAGGAUUCAGAUGUGUUGAGAUGGAAAGUGACAACACAAUGUUGAUUGAAACUAUUUGUAACAGGUUGACUACAAUAAGUAGUGCUGCCGAAGUAAGACAGAUUCACGAUUGGUGUUCCAAAAAUUGGGAAGUCAAAUUUAGACAUAUUCAGCGGAAUGCCAAUAAAGUUGUUGAUUGCAUAGCUAAGGCAAAUGGAGGCGUAAUUGAGCAGCUGGUUAUCUUGGAAGAUCCUCUGCAUUAUGUGAGAUGGUAGCUUGAAGAAGAUAUUAGACAGUCACUAGUGACUGAUGAUAAUUUUCAUUUGGACUGAUGAGCGCUUAAUUUUCUAAGCUUAUGUUCAACAAAAAAAAUUUUAACUACGUUUAAAUUGUAAUAGAGUUAACAUUUAGUGUUUAAAAAAUAUCUUAAAAAUUAUUAUUUUUUCCAAUUGCAGUUCAAUUCCACAAAUAUCGACGAUGAAUCCGGACAUAAAAAUUAUAGAAAAAAAACACAUCUAUUAUCAAACCAACAAUCCAUGUCUAAACUUAAAUUAACAAAAUUUGCCACGCAACGCCCAGUACACUAUUAUAUAUAUACUAGAUUUAUUCUAGAUGCACAUGUUUUAUUAUAUUUAAAAUUUAAAAUAUAUGGUUGACUAAGUGUUAGUUGAGUUAGUAUUGCUAUUAUUGUCAGUGUAAGGAAAUGUGAGUUUAAUUGCGCUCAAAUGUGUUUUAUCCUCCAAUUCAAGGGUUAGGAAAAGGUUAUUGAUAAUUAAGUUAUACCAACUUUUAUGAUAUUAAAAAAAGGAUUUAUAAAUAAUAUAAGGAAAAGAAAGAAAGAGAAACAUAUUCAUAUUGAUGGGCUCUUUCAAUAUUAGACUUUUUUUUCUAUCACAAGUAAAAAUAUCAAAGGUGAUAAUAAUUAAAUUAUAAAAUUUAAAUUGAGAAAAUAGGGGAUUGAGUUUAUAAGUUUUAAAGUAUAAAGAAUGAAUAUAUAACUAACAACAUAUUUUAACCACAUAAUAAAAGUAGUUAUGGUAAAAUAAUGACCUGAAUAAUUUUAAACGUCUCAUCCUUGCAAAAAUGAAAUAAUAGAAAAGAAAUAAGUGUUGGGUGUAGUGGCAAUGUACAUCAUACUUCUAAGGGGAGAUUAGGGUUUUAGACAAGGGAAGAAUUUUAAACUUGCUCUUUUCUCUAGAACUCAACGCAAACCUCAAAUUUAUCUUUUUAAAAGAAUUUAAAAAUAUGUAUAUAAAAGGUGAUUUUUUUACCGAUCACACUUAACAAAAUUUUAAAAAAAAAUGAAAUUUAAAGUGAUCUAAAAACAUAUUUUUAAGUGCUUUAGACCAUCCUGUGCUGAUUUCUUUAGUAAUUUGAUUUGUUCAAUAUAGAUUUUGGUAACUUAAAACAAAAUUAAUAAAAAAUUAUUUUUUUAGAUAUCUUUUUAAUGUUUAAUAAUAAGUUAAUUUAUAAAAUAUACUUUCAUUGGACACAGGGCCUCCAAGGCGGUGAACCACUAAUCAAAUUAAUUUUGAGAUACUUAAAUUUGUUUUCAUCAAUUAAGAAAUUAAAAAAAUUGUUGAGACCUCAUGAUUAUGUUUUAUAAUUUCAGGCUUAUCAACUAUUUUGAAAAACAACAAAACGUCUUACACCAAAAACUAAAAAAUAAAAACGUCGACAUUAAAUUUGUUGGCAUGCAAUCAAUUUUAAGAUGGUUUUUGGAGUUAUAUAUCACCUUAGCAUUGACUUACUUUUCUACAGUUUGUCUUCUCCAACAAGUUAAAUAUUUCAAUUUUAACAACAUUGACAGGUCUUUGGGGUAGGGUCGAGCAAAAUUCAAUAAAAACAGAUGAUAUAAGUUGAGUUGGCUCGGCCAAGUCGAGUCGAUUUGUUCAAAUUAUUUAAAUUAGUAAAUUUUAGGGUGCAAUUAGAAUUUUUUGUUUUGAGAUGCUAAUUAGAUUAAAAAAUUUCAGUUGCUAAAACAAAAAAAUUGUAUUUAAAAAGGCAUAAAUUAAAUAAUUAAGUUUUUCGAGUUUCCAUUUAAUCAAAGGUUAAAAGGACUAAAUUGAAGCUUUUUAUUUUUAAGAAAGGCUGAAUGACAAAUUGCCCAAAGCCCAUGGCCCUAGCUAUACAACUAACUUUUCUAUGAUUAGUCCUUGGUUUGCUUUGGGUGAAAUCUUCCAACUAGCCUCAUCCUUGGUUUUACUUUCCAACAAUUAGUGUAUCGCGGGUUUUGUUUUCUUUAAAAAAUAUUUGUGGAUAUUAGGAGAUAAUGAAAAUUAUUUUACUAUGAAAUUUUAAUAAAACUGGAAAAUAAGUAAUUUAUUUUAAGAGAUCACAAUUAAACGUUAGAUUUCCCCUUUUUAAAUUAUAAAUUUUUUUUUGACAAUUGCAUAAUAUUUUGAGCGUUGUAGGAAUGCCAUAAUAUAACCUUCCCUACGCAUAAUCGACUCUUGAGCAUGAUGGAUCCUAGACCUUCUCCUCUAUUCUCGUACCACAAAUUGCUUCAAGUGUGGGUUCGAACAAUCACAAAUUAAACGCAAAACCAAAAAUGAUUUAUUACUUUCAAUAGCAAAGUAAUUCUCUCUCAAUAGAAACCAAUAGAAUUGUAAUUCCUAGAAAAUAAAAUUUAUUUUUUGAAAAUAUAUUCUCACUACUUUCUAGCAGAAUAACAAUAUGUGAAACUUAUGUCUUGUGUUAAUAGCUCUACCAGUACUAUCUAUUUAUAGGGAGAGACACGAGAAUCCUGGUUGAAUUAGUAAAACACGAAUAAUAUUUAUUUCAUAGAAAACAAUAUUCCACCCUAAGUAGAUCAAGUUUGUAUGACGCAUGGAUCAAAGCUCAAUCUAGGAGAAAAAAAACAAAGGAAUUUUCUUUGUAAAGAAAAUUUGAGAUUGUACUAUUUUCAAAGUUAUAAAUAAAAUUAUACGCCAAAUUUUCAAGUCAAUUUUCAACUCCAAUUUUGUAUGCACAAAUUUCUAAUACACUUGGUGGGACAUUCUUUGACUUUUAUCUAUUCUCUCAAAAAGUUAAAGUUCAAAGUUACAUUAAACUCAAAGAAGAUAUUCAUUAGUAAACCACCUCACAAGCCUGCUCAAGCUAAUCCUACAACUCGUUCCACUUCAUCAUCAAACACCAAUAUUCUUGCUUAUCCUUAUGGAAUUAAACAGUCUCAUUUUCUGCAUUUUGGGUACACACUUAGUUUUGUUUGAUGCUAAAACAGUCCCCGAGCACUCCAAAACCUAUAAUUGAACAAAUAAUACUAAUUUAAUCUUACAUAACAUGAUCCCAAAUUGAAAUUGUAUCGAGGUUUUAACCCAUAAGUGACUAAACCUUACCUUCAACCGAUGAACAGUAAUUCCCACACAAACUAAGACUCCAAUUGGAGAUUACGAGCCAUUGAAUCCUCCCCUAAUUGGCAUAAACAAAACACUUCAAAAGAAAGUUAACAAAUGGAGACAAAUCACUUAUCUAAAACUUACCGAACGAUCACAGAAAAACGUGGAGUGACACGAGGCAGAGUGGGAAAAGAAAAAUCAAGAGGAUGAAGGGUGAAAGAGAGCAAAAAUUCGGUAGCAAUGAAGAGAAAAACAGCAAGAAAGUGGAGGGAUUUUAGGGAAAGUAAAAAAAAAGAUGAAUAGAAUAUUUGAUAACUACCCAAUCCCUUAUUUCUCUCUAUCAAACUCCCCACUAAAUCCACUACUCGAAUUUUUAGUCCAUCUCAAACUCUCCUGGACGCACGAGCAAAAAAUAAUGACCAUGCCAAAAUUUAAACAAAAGACCUCCUUCACACCAACACUCCACUUAUCCACCAGACCAAUAGGCUCAUUCUUUUAAUUAUUUUCCAACUUUUACUUAAAAGCCUACUGACCAAAGAUAGGGCUUAUUCAUAAAAAUACCAAAUUUUGCCCAAGACCUGGCUUGAACUUGGGACCUCUCAAACACACCCAGAACACAUAACCACUAAAGCAGACAGAAAUUUUGUGUCACACAUUCACAAUACCCAAAAUUAAAAUUUUAGGGCGUUACAAAAACACAUUAAACAAUAUCGCAUAAAACAAUCACAGUCAGAUAACAAUUCAGAAUGUCGAUUUUACAAUUUAACCACCAAUAGUAUCAUAGUAUUCACAGUUGUAAUUUCAGAAUAUCAAAUUUCCACAUCAUUCACAAUAUUCACACAUAUAUAAAUAUAUCAUAAUAGAAUUCUAGAUUUGUAUGCACAUGAUUUAGAAGAUGCCAUACAAUUUUGGGUUUUAACAGAAUAAAUCCUACCCCACAUUACAUACCAUAAUGGGAGUUCCCCUAAACUCCCUUCUCCAACACACUAGGUUGUGGAUAAACCACUAUUGGUUCACAAAUAAUAACUGUCAUUUGGCUGUGGACACAUAGCAAGUCCCCGCAAUUGGAUUCUAGAUUUGGUUGUGGAUUCACAGCAAAAAAAUCCUACAAAUGAAGCCUGCUUUUGCCUGUAGAUUAUACAACAUAUACCCGCAGUUGGAAUCUGUCUUUGGCUGUGGAUGCAGUGUAACACCUCAAACUCGACCUAGACGUUAUGGCUAAAUCUUAAUGAUUUACUUUAACUCGCUAGAAAGCCCACGAAUUUACUUUAAAAUCAUGUGGUUAAACUAGUGUUCACUUUGAUAAAUCGUUUUCCAGUUUUAGAGAAAAUUCUUGUUAAAACUGUUACUUUAUUACAAUAAAACAUUGAAGUAAUUGUAUCAUUUUGUAGUGGAAUCUACUAAGCUAUAAGGUUUUGAAAAUCGUGAUUUAGUUUGAAACAAAUCAUUUUGCAAAUAGAAAUUUAAUACUACUUAAUUUGGAAAAGCACGCUAAAACGAAAGCAAAGUCCAAAAUAAUUUACGGUUUGAAAUUCUAAAAAGCCCAAAUUAGUCAUAAAGUCUAUUUAAACCAAUUUAUCGAAAGUGUAACACCCUAAACCCGGCCUGUAUGUUAUGGCCAAAUCUAGAUGUGUUACGAAAAAAAGUUUAUAAAACGACUUCCUUGUUAUUGGCAAAUCAUCGUAGCCAUUAUUACUUAGUAUAUCUGAUUUGUUUGGAAAACUUAUUGAUAUACUUAUUUGAUUUAAAAUCGUUGCUCACUUACGCCUUUUUAUUAAACCAAAUAUUUUGCAGCGGAGUUUCUUUAAAACAUCAUAUUUUGGAAAAUCAAAUUGUUUCUUGAAAAUCGUUAUUUUAGAAAAGUUGUCAUUUUCAGAAAAAUUAUUUUAUCAGUUGUUAUGCUGAGAAAACAAAAUAAAAUCCAAAACCAAAAAUAGUCCCAAAAAGUCUAGAGAGUCCCAAAAUGACAAUACUCUUAAAACUAGACAAGUUUAAACUAAUUUUAAAAGAAUGAAAUUUUACAGAAAUGUGGACACCACUGAGCUUCCGUCGCACCGACCCACCUAAAUCUGAGGGUUACUUGAACAGAAUAAACAAACAGAGAGUGAGUUUUGAAACUUAGUGUCUAACGCGUAUAUAAACAAAAAUUCAGAAUCAAUCUCAUGCAGAACAGAUACAAGUGUAAACCUUUUAUAAAAUUAGAAUUAUACAGAUACAAAUAUGCAACAUCCUACCCUCAUCCUCUACACACCAACUCCGACCAUUCUAUCACACCACGUGGGGUAUAAAAUACCCACCCAGCCCUACACACCGUAUAGUAUUUAUAUGACACUUUUUGGAAUAAUCGCAGCAGAGUUGCCAGUAUAUAGGCGAGAUAUCACCUCACACAGAACACUUCCUCCUCAUAAUACAAAUCCCGCCCCAUAGCCAGAUACAGACAAAAUAUCAUGUAAAAUAAAUUAACAGAUACUAGAGUUAACAUAUCACGCAUGAGCGUAUAAUAGAUAUUACACAUGCUUAUGCAUAACAAAAUAGAUCAUACAUAUUGUAUUCCAUAAUACUCAUAUAAAUGUUAUUUACGUCAAUCUCAAUCUAAUAGAGUAGCUGAUUUCAUGCUUUAACUCUUAUACCACACAUACAGACCCUAUAGAAGGCCCACAGUUGAUCGAGACAACAUGUAUGUCCCUAGGGAAAAAAUUUGUAAUUUGGGCCCAUAUGCAUGUAUGAGCCCACACACCCAAAAUGGCCUUGCCCAUGUGGCUCACCUACCUAGCACUCAGCCCAUACGGUCCAAAAUGGCCUAGGUCGUGUGUCACACACAGCCGCAUGUUGCACACAGCCUACCACAUAGCGAGUCACAAAACCGUUUGGAGUUGACAAGCCUAAUUUUUGGCUUUCGUCAAUCGUCAUUUUCUUACGUUUUCAUUACACACUUGGUUUGAUUCUGACCCAAAAGCAACCCUAAGUCCACCGAAACCUAAAAAUAGCAUUCCAAUGCCCAAUUUCAGUGAACAUUUACAAAACUUAAACAAAAACUAUCCAAAAACAUAGCCUCACAAUAGCAUCCAAUGCACUCGCACACUUACCGUCAACGAAUAGGAAACACCCAACACUCAAUUCGUUGGCGGAGCACCAAUUAUGAUAAUGCAAAAAUUUUAUGGAUUCUCAACACUAUCGAUCCAAAUGUAAGAUUGAUGCUUUCCAAUUAUGAUAAUGCAAAAAUUUUAUGGGAUGGUUUACAUGAAUUUUUGUUGUUGUCAACGAUCAAUGUAUUCAAUAAUUAAAAGAAAAUAUUAGUCGUUGUUAGAAAACCAAUACUAUGAGUGUUGUAGUUUAUUUCAGUAAAUUAAAGGUUUUGUGGGAUGAACUAGACAAUCAUGAACAAUUGAUUUAUUGCAAGUGUGGACAAUGUUUAUGUAACUUAGGGAAGACGGAUGAACAAUGUCGUGAGCAUGAUCGACUUCAUCAAUUACUUCUUGCUCUCUAUUCUAAUUGUUAUGCUCAAACUAGGUUUACAUUGUUUUACCAAGAUCCUUUGCCUUCCUUAAAUCAGGCAUUCCAACAAAUUACUUAGGAGGAACAUGUACGUGGAAUUACACUGAUUAAGGAAGAGAAGUCUGAUAUUUUAGGCUUUGCUUUGCAUACAGAAGGUCAUAACAAAGGCCGAGCUAAUUGUAUUGAUAAGUCAACCUUGUUGUGCACUCAUUGCUAUCGCAAAAGGCAUGAGAUGGCUACCUAUUUUGAAUUACAUAGCCACUUGGAUUGGCGGCUUAAGAAGUAUGGGAAGCCAGAGAAGAAAAGUGAUGAUCGUGGUGGUAAGACAAGUGCACAUCUUCCACGUAAGUAUUUUAUUUCAAAGGAUCACAAUUAAACAUUAGAUUUCUCAUUUUUAAAUUUUUUUUAUUUUUUUAACAACUACGUAAUUAACGAGUACCAAUUUUGGGUGUUGUAGGGGUUCUAUAACUUUCCCUAUAUGUAAUCGACUCUUGCACCCUCUUUUUUUCUCUAGAAUUCAAUGCAAACCUUAAAUUUAUCUUUUUAAAAGAAUUUUAAAAUCUCUUUAUAAAAGACGAUUUUUUUAGGUGACCAAUCACAGUUAAGAAAAACAAAUCGGUGGCAACUCCUUUCUAAUAAAUGUAAAAAACUUUUUAAACAAAAUAAGGUUGAAAUAAUCUAGUUGUCGUUAUACUUUGAUAAAAUUUUAGAUUUAGUCCUUAUACUUAAAAGGUUAAAAAUUAAGUCUUGUUUUUAUUUAAAAAUCUUAGUCCUAUCGUUAAUAUUGUUUUUUUUUUGUCAAAAUUUGUCAAGUUGACAUAUUAAUUAGGUUUCUCUUAUAUAUCGUGGUAUAUGACUAACACAAAAUAAACAAGUUGACAAAUUCUACAAAAAAUAUCAAAGAUGAUAAUAGUUUAAUUAAAAUUUUUAAAUUAAAAAAGUAAGGGAUUAAAUUUAUAACUUUUAAAGUAUAAUGAAUGAAAUUAUUGAAAUACAAGAACUAACAACAUAUUUUAAAAAUAUUACUAGUAAAUUAUAUAUCUACAACAAGAAUUGUAACCUCUUAUAUUAUAUUCUUGUAUUUAUUUUUGCAUCUUUCAUAAUAUGAUUUAUUAAUUUUAAUAUUUUUAUAGAAUAAUAUGCUUUAAAUAGUUUUUUGUAUCAUUUAUAAAAAUUAUAAUAAACUUACAAAAUAAUUUAAUGAUAUUUAAUUAUUAAUCGAAAAAAAUGAUAUCAUAUAUAUUAUGUAUAUAUUAAGAUUCCAAAUCAUUAAUUAUAUAUCUACGCAUUAUAAUAAAUUCAUCUUUCAAAAUUUUCCUUAUAAUUAAAGCAUAAAUUAUAUUUAUAAUAAUAUAAAUAUAUUCUAUCAUAAAUAUUCUUUCAAAUAUUUUUUAAUGUUUAAUAAUAAGUUAAUUUAUAAAAUAUUCUUUCAGUAAAUUAACGUGAUGAGAUCGUUAGGUGCUUGGAUUUGGUGAAGGGGGAUGAAGAGAAAAGGGAUGGAAGUGAAUAAAAAUGUUGAGAAAUGGAAAGGGUUAGCGAGGGAAGCCGCCAUGAAAGGUGGUUCAAUGGAUAUGAACCUUCAAGCUUUUGUGGAUGAUGUUACUCAAGGUUGUUGCAAGUAAAUUUAAAAAUGUUUUUAAAUUAUUUUUUUGUUAAAAAAACAUUUUUUACUUUUUUAUGUGGCAUGCCACAUUAUCAUACUAUCAUGUGACAAUUUCUGGUGAUUUCUGUCCGCAACAUUAGUCAAAUCAACUGUUAAAUCGUUCAACUCACAGUUUUUGUUAAAUGAAGAGGUUAAUUGAUUUUUUUUUGGAAUCAUUGAGUACUCAAUUGGUGCACUUUUUUCAUAAAGGCUAAAUUAAUUUUUUAAUUUGUUAUUGUUGAAGGCUAUAGCAAUAAAAAAAAUUGAGGUAAAAAAAUAUUAGAGCUAAAUUUGUCAUUAUGCCUAAAAUGUAAAACCAAAUUUUUUUGAAAAUGAAAAAAAAUGGAAAAUCGCAAAUUCCGUCGCAUAUUUUUGCUUAAAAUUAUAGUUUUGGUCACCAAUCUUUUGAAGUAAAUAUAGGUCACCAAUAUUAUCAAUUUGUUACUUUGUAAUAACUCACCUUAAGUUAUACCCCGACGCACGAAAGGAUUAAAUGACAUUGGGAUACCAUCAAACUUGUAUCUUAAAUACACAUUUACCCCUAAUUUUAUCACAUUCUUCUUAAUUGGUAUUUAUGGUUUAGAAAAUUUUACAAAUAUAUUAUUUUUUAAGAAAUUAUAAGAAGAUUACAAAAAUUCCAAAAUAAUAUAAAAAAGCUAAGGAAAACCUAGAAAUUCAAAAAAAAAAACGUGGACAUUGAAUUUGCUGUUUCACAUUAAAUUUUUGGAGAAGUAGAAUUUUCUAACUUAUUUUCCAUCAACUUCACUUCAAUUUUCAAUCACAAUCUAUUGCAUUCAAGAGCACCACAUCUUUUGGGAUGAAACAAACCUCUCAAUUUUAAGAUAAACGGAAUCUAUUGCAUUCAAGAGCACCACGUCUUUUUGGAUGAAACAAAGCUCUCAAUUUUAGGAUAAACGGGUCUUUAGGGUUAUAAAUUGAGGUCCUUUUCCACAAUUGCGGGUGAUUCGUUGAUAAUAACCUCAACAUUUCUGUAUCACAUUUAAUUCAAUUCCACAUUCAAUUUUUAGUUUUUAGAGAGAUGAUUGGGUUACAACAAUGGUUUGAAGUGAAGAUAUUUCAAAACAAGAUGAAUACUCUACCAAUAGUCAUAAUUUAAAAUGCAGGUUAUGUUUCAUUUCAGCUAAGUUAAAUGUUAAGAUUGAGGUUAAACCUUUUAGAGGUUGCUCGCAAAAGGAUCAAACCUUUAUAAAAUUGUUUAAAUGAAGGUCAAACCUCUUAAAAUAGACAAAUAAGGGCCUAACCUUUUAAAAGGUGUUCAAAUAAGGGUUUCUCAAAUUUUGUAUAUCAGGUUAUGUAUUUUACUCUAAACACAUCGACAUUUACCUAUUUUUUCUAUAAAUUGGGUUGAAGUGCAUGAAAAAACCUUAUUUAAGCACUUCUGUAAAGGUUAAACUCUUAUUUGACUAUUUUGAAAGGUUUGAUCCUUAUAUAAGCAACCUCUAAAAGAUUGAGUACUAAUUUGACAAGAUUGAGAAAUACCUAAAUUUGUUUUCAUGAAUCAAGAAAAUAAAAAAGAAAUGUUGAGAAAUAUUUUAGAGAUUCUUAGCUUUGACAAGUUCCCUCCAUCAUCUUCCUGCCUCCAGUCCCACCUCUUCUCUUAUGCUCCUCCCAGCUUCUUGCUUUUUGUGUGUUGAAAUUUCAAAGGAACAAAAUAUCAACCUACAUCAUAAGGCACGAUUGCCAGAACUUUACUUUCUAGCCUGUCGAUCCGAUCCAAUGAAAGAAGAACAAAGAGUCUCAAGAUCUGUCAACUUUAUUUCAUUUUCAUUUUCUUUGUCAUUUUCUAUGUUUCAUGUCGAAUACAAUGAAAGAACAUAGAAAAAUGUUGCCUAUUUAUUUCCCAAUCAUCAUGAAAUUACUUGCCAUAGACUUAGAAUUUUCUCACCAAUUUUCAAGCAAUCUGACAUGAUUUCUCAAUCACAAUUAAUUGAAUUCAAGAUCUUUUUAGAUGACACAAACAUUUCAAUUUUAACACAAACCAAUAUUUAGGUUGUACUUCAGUGCUUGACAAGCACUUUCACAUUUGUGGGAUAAGAACUCUUAACAUUUUAGGAUCACAUUUAAUUCAAUUGCAUUUAAGACCUCACGAUUUUAUUCUAUAAUUUCAGUCUUAUCAGCCUUUUCGGAAACAAUAAAACGUCGACAUUAAAUUUGUUGUUGAUGCAUUCAAUUUUUUGAGGGGUCUUUGGAGUUAUAUGUGACUUUAGCAUUGACUGACUUUUUUAUAAUUAAUCUUUUAUAAUAUAUCAAUUUUAAUAACAUCGACAUGUUUUUUAGUAGGGUCUAGCAAAACCCAAUUAAAACCGAUGAUAUUGGCUUAGUUGACUCGGUCAAGUCCAUUAGAUUGAUAAAAUCAAUUUUAAAAUCAGUUAUAAUGGAUUAAGGUAAUUAAUUAUCGAGUAAUGAAAUACAUAAUCAAAUCAAUUGAUUUUGUUAGAAACUAAAAGAAAAUGAGAUAAGCUGAAAACUGAUUGCCCUUUAUUAAAAUUAACGAAUCCGCCCUUUACGUAUUAGAUAAUACGAACAUCACAUAUAUAAUAAGAAAAAUUACGUAUGAUUAUUUAUUAUCAUAAAAGGUUAGUUUAAAUUUAAAGUAAUCUAAUAUGUUUAUUGAACUUCAACUAUUAAAUAAAGUAUAAGCUAAAUAAGUAUAAAUAUUCUAGAAACCAUUUCUAACUGAUGAUAGGCUAAUUCGAUUAAUUUAUAAAAACUACAUAGUAGGGUUAUAGUCCUCAAACUACACCUAAUUUAAUAAUAUUUAUAGUUUUUUUUUUAGCCUUAAACAUUUAUAGUUUUUUGUUAAUUUGGUCCUUACUCUUUAAAAUUACAUAAAAAUUGCAAAAAAAAUUAAAAUUAAUUUUUUUUCAUAAUUUUAAUAACAUUUAUAGUUUUUUUUUUGUGUGUGGUUUGGUAACUUAUCAACUCGACUCUCACUUGUAACCAACUUUUCUAACCUUUUUCGUACCCUUAACCUAAGUCCCGUUACAACUUUCUAAAGACCUCUUUAUCAGUGUAUCAUGUCGGUUUGUUUUAUAAUGGUGGAGAUUUGUUUUUUGUAGUGGCACGAUUGCCAGAACUUUACUUUCUAGCCUAUCGAUCCGAUCCAAUGAAAGAAGAACAAAGAGUCUUAAGAUCUGUCAACUUUAUUUCAUUUUCAUUUUCUUUGUCAUUUUCUAUGUUUCUUGUCAAAUACAAUGAAAAAAGAACAUAGAAAAAUGUUGCAUAUUUAUUUCCCAUUCAUCACUCUAACAGGCCCAAUUAGCCCAGGCCCAAACAUUAAUAAAAUGUCUAGAUUACAAAAUAAUCAACUAAAAAUUAAAAGCUCAAAAAAUAAAAUAAAACCCAUUAUAUUAACCCAAAACCCCAGCCCAAUUACAUUGAAACCCAAAAAAAAAAUAGUUUUCAGAAACCCCUAGGGUUUCAGAAGCCCCUCAAUGUUAUUUUGUAUAUCUAUUUAUCUUUUUAAAUUUUCGAUAUUGUCUUGUUUUGUUUUUGUAUUAUUGUUGUUACCAUCAUUAUUCAUUAUUAUUAUUGUUGAUUUUAUUGUUCUUUGAUUAAUGUUAAUGUUAGAGUAAUAGAUGUUAUGUGAUCAUUGUUAUUAUAUGUUAUAAUUUGUUUACACUCGUAUUGUAGUCAUUUGUCAGCUUAAUAUUUUGAGUAAUAUUUUAAAUAUUACAUUAAUUUCGACCCAAAUGCAUAAUUUUUUAAUAAGUAAUAUUUUAUAUUUUGAAAUUUGAGAGAUCAUUCCCUAACUUACGGGGUCUCAAUUUUUUCGAUAAAUCUGAAUAUACUAACUAUUUUCAAAAAAUAUGUUUUAAAAUUAUCUCGGGAAUUUAAAAAGGAGCGUGUUCUAACUUACUGAAUAUGAUCUUUUUUUUAAAAUCGAGAUAAUCAAAUAACUUUCAAAUAAAUAAAUUUUCAAUGUUUAUUCUCAUAUCAGGAUUUAAAAUAUUAUAUCCUAACUCACGGGAUACAAUUCUUUUUCUCGAUUAACAUGAAAUAUGCCCGUUUUAAUUUUAUUUUUUAAGUGAUUUUAACAAAAGGAUUGUAUUUUAAAUCUCUUCAAAAUUUUCAAUUUUUCGACAUUGAGACAUUAACUAAUCAAUUAGGUACCAAUUUUGGGCGUUACGAGGGUGCUAACCCUUCCUCAUACGUAACCGACUCCCGAACCUAUUUUUCUGAAUAUUGAAGGCCAAAAUUGUUUUAAUAAAUUAAACCCUUAAGACGUGACCCCAUCACACCUCAUAAAAAUUAUCGGUGGCGACUCUCGUUUGCGUUUUUGUUUUCGUUUUCAAAAUAAAAGUCGACCCCUUGUUUUAAAAAAGGUGGUUCGAUAGCUUGGCGACUCCGUUGGGGAAAAAAAUAAGAGAGUCAAGCCACGAGUUGAUUAUUUCUUAUUUUUUGUCAGAAAUUGUGAAUUCGAUUUAAAUUUACGAUCUUUUCAUUGCAUUUUAUGGUCUGCAUCAUUUUGAUAUGCUUGCUUUACUGGUUCGAGUCUUUUAAUCUCCGCAUAUUGCAUUGCAUAACCGUUCGGUUAUACCCUUUUAAGUGGGAGUGAGAAACUAUUCAUUUGUGAGAUUUUUACCUCCGUAUAGGAUAGUGGAUUACUUUCGGGAUACAUCCGUACCUAUGUCUUCGUGAGAUUUUCAUCUCCGUAUAGUUAUAGGGAAAUGUAUUCCCCUGAACUGAACUCAGUCCGUAUGAGCCUAUAAUAGGUAAGGAUUGAGGAAUCUGCUGGUUCAGGUACCCUUUCUUUAGAACUAAACUGCAUGUAGUGAGCCCUAAGAGCAUACCGUAGGUAGAACCACUCCAAACCCCUAGUGGUCACCCAAAUAGGUGCUCUAUUUAUUUUUGCUUGCUUAUUUUUGCAUUGUACUAACCUAUUUUUUUGUUAUGAUUGCAUUGCAUUUUCAUCAUAAAAAAGAUGUGUUGAUUCACGUUCAAUUGCUAAAUAGAGAGCUUGUCAUGGAAAACGGAUUUCUUGAUAAAGUGGAAGACAAUGUGGUUAUCCGGAUAUGGUCCAAGAAAAUUUGACGAAAGAAGGGUGAUAGUCUAAUGGAGGACUACACGACCUUGCUUUAUUGCCCGAGGAUUCAAGUUGACAAAGAUUAUUUGAGAGUCCUCAAUGUCCCGACCUUUUUCAAGAAGCUAACGAGUGUCACGAGGAUGAGUGAGUAAUGAGUUGCGGCCCGGAUCAAGCAAAAAAGAGAUAGAGGAGACACCCUUUUUGAAGAGUUCGCGAGAUUUAUAUUAAUAUCAAAAUGAAGAAAAAGAUCAAUGUCUUCGCCUGGAGUAUGAAAGCAAAGCUGUAUAUAUAUCCGCUUUAUGUAAAUAAAUUUGUUUUCUAGUAAAGUUUUUCUAAUAGAAUUGAAUCAGAAUCAAUGUCUUUUUUUGCAUUCAUUCCAUUCAUCUGCAUUGCAUUUCAUUGCAUCCAAAAUUUCACAAAAGGACCCUAAUUAAUUGAAAUUGUUAUAGUUACUCUGAAAACUAAUAAAAAUCUACCAAUUAAAUAUUCCUACGGUACCCGUCGCAAAACCAAAGUAAUGGAUCAAAUAUUAGAAAGAUUAGAACAAAUUCUGAAAGACAAGCAUAAUCGUUUUUGCUUAGGGUACAAGCCAGAUACAAGACAAAGAAGGAAGGAGUUAGAGAAGAAAUAGGAAAGAAUGACAGCAUAUUUGAGCGAGGAUGAGGUCAAAUGGGAGCCUAUGAACUUUCCCUACAUAUCCAAAACUUUUGUAUCGGGAGGGAUUAUUCAUCCCGAGCGAAGAAUGCCAAGAGAAGAAAAUAUUGAAGAAAUGUUGGGAAACGUUCACAUCAAUGCCAUAUACGAAGAAGUAGUUGAAGGAUGGACCUUGUUAGAUAUCCGACCUUAUGAACCUGGGAGUGUGCUAAACAAUUGGACUACAGAAGAAAUUCCUGUAGUGUUUAGACCUUACUCAGAGUAAUAUUCAAAACACACUUGUUGCUUUUAGCCUAGAAGUGAUAAGAAUCCCUCUGUGAAAUAGGCUCAUGUAUAAACAUCAUUAUUUUAAUAAAGUAAAUCUUUGCAUUCAUUUUGAGCAAAUAUUCUUUUAUUCUUUCCAUACGAGUAAUUAUUUUAGAUUUUUCAUUAUUUUAGGAUUUUCUUCCAAAAAUCAUUCUUUUAUUACAUUCAUAAUCAUACUGUACAAAUAAUUAUUCUUAAAUUCAUUCAUUCUUUGUAUAUUCUUUUGUACCUAUAAUAGGUCCCUAGAUAUCAACGACAUGAGUGACGCUGCUACAGACUUAGAAUUUCCUUUUAAACAAGACAUGUGUUUAGAGGGAUCCCAUGACUUUGAAGAUGACGUAGACUGUGGCUUAUCUCCGGACUUGUUAAGGAUGGUAAAACAAGAGGAGAAGCAAAUCCUACUUCACAAUGAAUCAAUGGAAAUUGUGAGCUUAGAAGGGGAAAAUAGGUGAAGAUUGGGACUGACAUUGCCACAAAUACGAAGUAAGACCUCAUUGAGUUACUCUAAGAAUUCAAAGAUAUUUUUGCAUGGUCAUACUAGGAUACGCUCGGGUUAAGUACUGACAUUGUAGUACACUGCCUUCCUAUAAAAGAAGAUUGCUAGCCAGUUCAGCAGAAACUCCAGAGGAUGAGGCCUGAUAUUGUGCUAAAAAUAAAAGAAGUCAAAAAGUAAUUUGAUGUUGGGUUCUUACAAGUGGUCAAAUAUUCAGAAUGGGUAGCCAACAUCGUCUCAGUUCCUAAAAAAAAUGGGAAAGUACGAAUGUGCAUGGAUUACAGAGACUUGAACAAGGCCAGUCGAAAAGACAAUUCCCUAUUGCCUCACGUUGACACUUUGGUGGAUAAUACAGUAGGCUACUCACUUUUUUCCUUCAUGGAUGGCUUCUCUGGAUACAAUCAGAUAAAGAUGCAUCCAAAAACAUGGGAAAGAUUACAUUCGUGACCCUGUAGGAAACGUUUUACUAUAAAGUGAUGACAUUCAGAUUAAAGAAUAUGGGAGCGACGUAUCAAAGGGUGAUGGUAACCUUGUUUCAUGACAUGAUUUACAAGGAAAUCGAGGUUUAUAUUGACGAUAUGAUUGCAAAAUCUAGAACAGAAGAGGAACAUGUGCAGGUCCUGAGAAAAUUAUUCUUAAGACUGAGAAAGUUCUAGCUCAAGCUUUCCAACGAAAUGCACUUUCGGAGCUAGGUCAGGAAAGCUAUUAGGCUUCAUAGUCAGUGAAAAAGGAAUCGAGAUCAACCCAGACAAAGUCAAGGUAAUAAGAGAUUUACCUCCACUAUGCACUCAGAAGAAAGUUCGAGGUUUCCUAGGAAGACUAAAUUACAUUGCUCGGUUUAUUUCACAACUAACCGAAAAAUGUGACCCCAUAUUUCAUCUUUUAAAGAAACAUAAUCCAGAUGUAUAGGAUGAAGAAUGUCAGGAAGUUUUUGAUAGGAUAAAGCAGUACCUAUCAAAUACUCUAGUGCUGUUACCACCUAGCCCAGAUAGGCCACUGAUAUUGUAUUUAACAGUGUUUGAUAAUUUUAUGGGAUGCAUGCUAGGCCAACAUGAUGAGACAGGAAGGAAAGAAAGGGUUAUAUACUAUCUCAGUAAGAAAUUCACUGAUUAUGAAAUAAGAUACUCGUCUAUUGAGAAAUUAUGUUGUGCCUUGAUCUGGAUAACUCGGAGGCUAAGGCGGUACAUGUUGUACCAUACGACUUGACUAAUUUCAAAGUUAGACCCUUUAAAGUAUAUGAUGGAGUCAACUACUUUGAAUGGGAGGAUGGCCAGAUGGCAGAUUUUACUUUUUGAAUUUGACAUACUUUAUGUGAGCCAGAAGGCUAUAAAAUGGAGUGCAAUAGCGGAUUUUCUAGCUAGCAGAGCCUUGGAGGAUUAUGAGCCUUUAAAUUUUGAUUUUUUGAACGAGGACUUAAUGUAUGUGGCAACCACUAAAGAAAAUGCUCAAGUGGAUCGCAUUUGGAAGCUAAAAUUUGACGGAGCCUCAAAUGCUAUGGGUAAUAAAAUUGAGGCAGUCUUAGUAUCCCCGAGCAGAGAUCAUUAUCCUAUUGCUGGCAAAUUGGAUUUUGAUUGUACAAACAAUAUAGCAGAAAAUGAAGCGUGUAUUAUGGGCAUCCGUAUAGCCAAAGAAUGUAAAAUCAAAGUGCUAAAGGUAUAUGGGGAUUCUGCAUUGGUGAUAUAUCAGCUCAAAGGAGGAUGAGAGAUAAGAGACCUCAAAUUGAUUAAUUAUCGAAAGUUUAUUCUCGAAUUGAUUGAUGAGUUUGAUGAUAUUACUUUCUCCUAUCUCCCACUAGAUGAAAACCAGAUGGCUGACACGUUGGCUACUCUAGCUUUCAUGAUCAAAGUAAACAAACUAGAAGACAUGAAGCCUAUCCAGAUGAGCAUUUAUGAGACUUUGGCUCAUUGCUACAGUAUCGAGGAAGAGGAAAAGGAUGAUCAUCCUUGGUACCAAGAUAUACUGCAAUAUGUAAAGAAUCACGAGUACCCUGAUCAGGCAACGAAGAAUGAUAAGAGGACAUUGAGAAGACUAGCCACUAACUAUGUCUUACAUGGAGAGAUUUUAUACAAAAAGGGAAAGGAUCGGGUACUACUAAGAUGCUGGAUGCUAUAAAAGCUUAGAAAAUCUUGGAGGAAGUCCAUGAAGGUAUCUGCAAAAUGCAUGCCAACGGUUUCACAAUAGUAAGACAGAUUAUGAGAUUCGGGUACUACUGGUCGACCAUGGAAGGAGAUUGCAUCAAUUAUGCCAAGAAGUGCCAUAAAUGUCAAAUUUAUAGAGACAAAAUACACGCACGUUCUUCACCUCUCAACGUUAUGACUUCUCUAUGGCCUUUCUCUAUGUGGGAUAUGGAUGUCAUCGGGCCAAUAUUGCCAAAGGCUUCUAAUAGGUAUCGUUUCAUCUUCAUGGUCAUUGGUUACUUCACUAAAUAGAUGGAAGCUGAUUCAUAUGCUAAUGUCACGAAGUCAGGAGUCAGCAAGUUCUUGAAAAGGGAGAUCAUAUGUUGAUAUAUAAUGCCUGAAAGAAUCAUAUCUGACAAUACAUUGAAUUCGAAAAAUAGCAAAAUAGCGGAGGUCUGCAAUCAAUUCAAGAUCAAACACCAUAAUUCGUCACCAUAUCGCCCAAAAAUGAACGGAGCAGUGGAGGCGGCCAACUAAAAUACCAAGAAAAUUGUGGGGAAAAUGUCUGAGACUUACAAAGAUUGGCAUGAAAAAUUACCAUUUGCCCUCUUUGUUUAUCGAACAUCAAUCAGGACUUUCGUCGGGGCAACGCCUUUCUCUCUAGUUUAUAAGAUGGAGGCAGUUUUACCCAUUAAAGUUGAAAUCCCUUCUCUCUGGGUAUUGGCUGAGCUAAAGUUGGAUGAAGCUGAAUAGAUCCAACCUCGAUAUGAUCAGUUGAACCUAAUAGAAAGAAAAAGGCUAAAAGUUAUUCACCACGGUCAGAUGUACCAAAAACGAAUGAUGCGAGCCUACAACAAAAAAGUUCAUCCCAAAGAAUUCUAUGAGGGGGACCUAGUGUUGAAAAAGAUUUUUCCUCUACAAAAGAAUUUUAGAGGAAAAUGGAUGCCAAAUUAGGAAAGACCUUAUGUUGUAAUAAAGGCCUUUUCUGGAGGAGCAUUGAUUUUGAGUGAGAUGGAUGGUAAAAAUUUUCCUAAUCUUGUAAACUCAGAUUCAUUCAAGAAAUACUUCACCUAAAGAAGGAGAAGGGACCAAUGUGAAAACCUGCAAAGGGCACUUUGAGUCUUAAAAAAAAGAGACCAAGGUGAAAACCGCAAAUGGUGUCUUAAGUCCUAAAAAAAAGAGGCCAAGGUGAAAACUAGCAAAGGGCGCCUUGAGACCAAAGGGGAUUUGAGUUGAAAACCCGAAAAGAGCGACUCAAAUAUUGAUUAAAAUGGGGCAUGCAGUGAUCUUGCUAUACUUGAAUUAAUAGGAAAGGGGUAUACGACAUCUUGGGGCAUCGACAAAGUACUAUAGAUCUCCUAAACACAUUUCAAACUCAAAAUGGUCUUUAGGAAGUUUGUACAGAGAAAUUCAAGCUGCGAUGUCUAGGGCACCUAGUCUUCAUACUAUUUAUAUUAAAUUUGCUAUUCUUGGAAUACUUUAUUCUUUUCAAGAUACGUGUUCCCAAUCAAUUCCCUUUUUAUUCUUCUUUAUCCUUGAUAAUUUAUUCAUUUCGAGCUAUGCUCCAAAUCAAUUCUAUUCUUAUCCAUUGUUAUUAUCUUUUGCAAGCAUGUUGUAUUGGAAUAAUGAUUAAUAGACUAAUAAUACUUUUACAAAUAAAGUGCUGUAUAUUACUCUAAAAGUUUCUAAAUAAUACAAGAACCUAAAACAGGACUAUUGUUUAGAACGCACCGGGUUUAAAGGUUAGAAAUAUCUGAGAAGGAAGAGUCCAAAUUAAGACUAUCCCUUCGAAUUUUGUUGUCAAAAUAUUGAUUGAACAAAACGACAAGAUAUCGUAUUGGUGAACAAACGAGCAAUGAUCACCAGGUAAUAAAAAGAGGUUAUUUUGGAAAAAAAAUUACAUUGGUACGACACCUUAGGAAUGGUGUAAGAGACCAAAGAGGUUCACAUCUUGUAUUCUUGAAUUGCAAUAGGAGAGGAUUGAGAAAGAGCUAGAUAUUAUACUCCUGAAUUAUAAUGGAAGGGAAAUGGUACAAAUUUUAUGUACCAAAAGUACAGUGGAUUGAACCUUGAAGAUUACAGUAGGGGAAAUCUGAUUAAGUAAAAUAUGAAGUGUUUCUUUGGAGAUACCAGUCGAACAAGAUGGCAUUAUGACGUGUCGGUGAUAGAGCCUUAAUGAAUAAUGAGCAAUAACAACUCAAGCAUUAAGGGAUCAUUUUCAUAACAUUCUGUAUUCAUUCAUACACAUCUAGUUAGGAGAUUUUGAUUCAUUCCGAUCAUAACAUCCAAAUCACUAGACAUAAAUAGGCCCAUGAAAUGGAUUCUACAGGUCAUGUUCCCCAUAGAACAGAUGGGUGAAACCACAAAUCCUAUACCGCUGAAGUUGCAGUGGGAUGGAUUGAAGUCAUUAUGGCGAGUCUUAUCUCCCUGAAGUUGCAAUGGAGCAUAUUAAAGCUAGUAAUCUUAUCUCCCUGAAGUUGCAGUAGAGCGGAUUGAAGUUACAAGUCUUAUCCCCCUAAAGUUACAGUGGAGCAGACUGAAGAUAGUGAAUCUUAUUUCCCUGAAGCUGCAGUGGAACAAAUUGAAGCUAUAAAUUGUAGAUUUUAUCUCUCUAAAGUUGCAAUAGAGAAGAUCAUAUCAAACUUUAUCUCCCUGAAGUUGUAGUGGAACAGGUUGAAAAUACCAAUCUUAUCUCCCUGAAGUUACAGUGGAGUAGACUGAAGAUAGCGAAUCUUAUUUCUCUGAAGUUGCAGUGGAACGGAUUGAAGCUAUAAAUUACAGAUCUUAUCUCUCAGAAGUUGCAGUAAAGCAGAUCAUAGAAAACCUUAUCUCCCUGAACUUGCAGUGGAGUAGGUUGAAGUUAUAAGUCUUAUCUCCCUAAAGUUGCAGUGGAGCAGACUGAAGAUAGCGAAUCUUAUUNNNNNNNNNNNNNNNNNNNNNNNNNNNNNNNNNNNNNNNNNNNNNNNNNNNNNNNNNNNNNNNNNNNNNNNNNNNNNNNNNNNNNNNNNNNNNNNNNNNNNNNNNNNNNNNNNNNNNNNNNNNNNNNNNNNNNNNNNNNNNNNNNNNNNNNNNNNNNNNNNNNNNNNNNNNNNNNNNNNNNNNNNNNNNNNNNNNNNNNNNNNNNNNNNNNNNNNNNNNNNNNNNNNNNNNNNNNNNNNNNNNNNNNNNNNNNNNNNNNNNNNNNNNNNNNNNNNNNNNNNNNNNNNNNNNNNNNNNNNNNNNNNNNNNNNNNNNNNNNNNNNNNNNNNNNNNNNNNNNNNNNNNNNNNNNNNNNNNNNNNNNNNNNNNNNNNNNNNNNNNNNNNNNNNNNNNNNNNNNNNNNNNNNNNNNNNNNNNNNNNNNNNNNNNNNNNNNNNNNNNNNNNNNNNNNNNNNNNNNNNNNNNNNNNNNNNNNNNNNNNNNNNNNNNNNNNNNNNNNNUCAAAGGAACAAAAUAUCACCUACAUCAUAAGGCACGAUCGCCAGAACUUUACUUUCUAGCCUGUCGAUCCGAUCCAAUCCAAUGAAAGAACACAAGGAGUCUUAAGAUCUGUCAACUUUAUUUCAUUUUCAUUUCUUUGUCAUUUUCUAUGUUUCAUGUCGAAUACAAUAAAGAGAACAUAGAAAAAUGUGGCCUAUUUAUUUCCCAAUCAUCAUGAAAUUACUUGCCAUUGACUUAGAUUUUCUCACCAAUUUCAAGCAAUCUGACAUGAUUUCUCAUCACAAUUAAUUGAAUUCAAGAUCUUUUUAGAUGACACAAACAUUUCAUUUUAACACAAACCAAUAUUUCGGUUAUACUUCAGUGCUUGACAAGCACUUUCACAUUUGUGGAUAAGAACUCUUAACAUUUUAGGAUCACAUUUAAUUCAAUUGCAUUUAAGACCUCAUGGUUUUAUUCUAUAAUUUCAGUCUUAUCAGCCUUUUCGGAAACAAUAAAACGUCGACAUUAAAUUUGUUGUUGAUGCAUUCAAUUUUUUGGGUCUUUGGAGUUAUGUGACUUUAGCAUUGACUGACUUUUUUAUAAUUUAAUAAUAAGGUAAAUAUAUUAAUUUUAAUAACAUCGACAUGUUUUUUAGUAGGGUCGAGCAAAACCCAAUUAAAAUCGAUGAUAUUGGCUUAGUUGACUCGGUCAAGUCCAUUAGAUUGAUAAAAUCAUUUUUAAAAUCAGUUAUAAUGGAUAAAGGUAAUUAAUUAUCGAGUAAUGAAAUACAUAAUCAAAUCAAUUGAUUUUGUUAGAAACUAAAAGAAAAAGGGCUAAGCUGAAAAUUGAUUGCCCUUUAUUAAAAUUAACGAAUCUGUCUUUUACGUAUUAGAUAAUAUGAACAUCGCAUAUAUAAUAAGAAAAUUACGUAUGAUUAUUUAUUAUCAUAAAAGGUUAGUUUAAAUUUAAAGUAAUCUAAUAUGUUUAUUGAACUUCAACUAUUAAAUAAAGUAUAAGCUAAAUAAGUAUAAAUAUUCUAGAAACCAUUUCUAACUGAUGAUAGGCUAAUUCGAUUAAUUUAUAAAAACUAGAUAGUAGGGUUAUAGUCCUCAAACUACACCUAAUUUAAUAACAUUUAUAUUUUUUUUAGCCUUAAACAUUUAUAGUUUUGUUAAUUUGGUCCUUACUCUUUAAAAUUACAUAAAAAAUUGCAAAAAAAUUAAAAAUUAAUUUUUAUCAUGAUUUAAUAACAUUUAUAUUUUUUUUUGUGGUUUGGUAACUUAUCAACUUGACUCUUACUUGUAACCAACUUUUCUAACCUUUUUCGUACCCUUAACCUAAGUCCCGUUACAAUUUCUAAAGACCUCUUGAUUGGUGUAUCAUCUCGAUUUGUUUUUAUAGUGGUGGAGAUUUGUUUUUUGUAGUGGGCAUGAUUGCCAGAACUUUACUUUCUAUCCUGUCGAUCCGAUCCAAUGAAAGAAUAACAAAGAGGUCUUAAGAUCUGUCAACUUUAUUUCAUUUUCAUUUUCUUUGUCAUUUUCUAUGUUUCUUGUCACAUACAAUGAAAGAAGAACAUAGAAAAAUGUUGCCUAUUUAUUUCCCAAUCAUCAUUCUAACAGGCCGAAUUAGCCCAGGCCCAAACAUUAAUAAAUGUCCAGAUUACAAAAUAACCAACCAAAAAUUAAAAGCCCAAAUAAUAAAAUAAAACCCAUUACAUUAACCCAAAACUCCAGCCCAAUUACAUUGAAGCCAAAAAAAUAGUUUUUAGAAACCCCUAGGGUUUCUGGAACAAUCCGCGCCGCUCCUCCAUCCGCUUCUCCACGCACGCUGCACCUUUCCACGUGCGCCUCCAGCUGGCAGUGUACCUCCAAUGCAACAAACAAAGCAACAAGCAGCAAAAGAAAUGGAAAAACAACAAAAAAAAAAGAAGGAGCAACAAUGUAUAACAGAUUGAUAACAAAUAAUAGAAAAAAUAGCAGUAAAUAGGAAAAAAAAUUAAAAAAUAAUGAGGGUAAUUUCAUUUUUUUCUCUGUUUUGGCUAUAAAGAGAGCCGGUCAAAAUCUCUAAAGGGGGAUUUAGAAUCAAUCAGAAAACAAGUAUUUUGUACCAACAAUUAGAGAAAAAAAAUACAAAAAUAGGGAUUGAAGGUUUUUUUUUUCUUUCGUUUCGAUUUAUUUAAAAUAGCAUAGAAAAUAAAAAGAAGGCUUACCUUGCGACGCCUUCAGAUCCUCUCGAAAAGGGGCUAAAAGGCCCUAUGUGGCACAGAUUUGACCACUGUUCACGGUGGAACCGCAGCGGAGGCGCAGAGGAUUGGCAUCAAUUUAGGCAGGGUUUGAAACCCUAGCAGAGAAAAAAUUAGGGUUGAUAGAUUUUUUUUAAAAAAAUGGCAAAAUGUUGUUUUUAAAAAAUUUUGUUUUAAAAAAAUUGUUGCUUUUAUAAAGGGUGUAAAACGGCGUCGUUUAGGGCAUGUUUCGAUGGCCCCAAAACGGCGCCUUAUAAGGCAACCCCCGACGACCCGACCUGCUCCAUGGGGGAUCCGCGUGGUUUUUGUUAAAUGGGUUAUGUCUAACCCUGGCCCUUCUACUUUUUAUACUUGUUUUAAUUUGAUCCUCUUUUUAUUUAUUUUUAUUUCUUUAAAUUAAGCCUGAUAAUUUUUUUCCAUUACAUUUUAAUCCUUAAUGAAACGGCGCGUUUUAGAGGAGAAGGGAAAAUUACCCUUCUAGUCCCUUCUUGUUAUUCGAGUGUUCAGAAGGGUCCUUUUUUGUUUAUUUUUUAUUUGCCCCAAAAUUUUGUUUUAAAGCUUAAUUUAGUCCUAUUUUGUUAUUUUAGCUAUUUUAUUAUUAGAUUAAUUAAUUUAAUAUUAUUAUUACUGCUAUUAUUUUACCCCUAUUAGUUAUAUAUUUAUUAUUAUAACUAUAUCAUUAAAUCAAUUAGUUUUUACAUUAUUAUUUCCAUUCUGUUUUUUAUUUACUUACUUAAAUACUUUAAAUGCAUUUAUUUUAUUUCUUAUUUUUUUAUGAAAUUUCAAAACUUUAGACUAUUUUUUUGUUACUAUAACCCUAAUUUCAUUCAUUUUAUAAUAGUUUUUUUUUAAAAUAUUUCUUAGAUUAAUUCCCUCGAUGUUAUUUUGUAUAUUUAUUUAUCUUUUUAAAUUUUCGAUAUUGUCUUAUUGUAUUAUUGUUGUUACUAUCAUUAUUCAUUAUUAUUGUUGAUUUUAUUCUUCUUUGAUUAAUGUUUAUGUUAGAGUAAUAGGUGUUAUGUGAUCAUUGUUAUUAUAUGUUAUAAUUUGUUGACACUCGUAUUGUAGUCAUUCGUCAGCUUAAUAUUUGAGUAACAUUUUAAAUAUUACAUUAAUUUUGACCCAAAUGCAUAAUUUUUUAAUAAGUAAUAUUUCGUAUUGUGGAAUUUGAGAGAUCAUUCCCUAACUUACGGGGUCUCGAUUUUUUUGAUAAAUCUGAAUAUAAGAACUAUUUUAAAAAAAUACGUUUUAAAAUUAUCUCGGGAAUUUAAAAAGAAGCGUGUUCUAACUUACGGAAUAUGAUCUUUUUUAAAAAUCGAGAUAAUCAAAUAUCUUUCAAAUAAAUAAACUUUUCGUGUUUAUUCUCGUUUUAGGAUUUAAGAUAUUGUGUCCUAACUCACGGGACACAAUUCUUUUUCUCGAUUAACGUGAAAUACGCCCUUUUUAAUUUUAUCUUUUUAAGUGAUUUUAACAAAAGGAUUGUAUUUUAAAUCUCUUCAAAAUUUUCAAUUUUUCGACAUUGAGACAUUAACUAAUCAAUUAGGUACCAAUUUUGGGCGUUACAAGGGUGUUAACCCUUCCUUGUACAUAACCGACUCCCGAACCUAUUUUUCUGAAUAUUAUAGGCCAAAAUUGUUUUAAUAAAUUAAACCCUUAAGAGGUGACUCGAUCACAGCUCAUAAAAAUUAUCGGUGGCGACCCUUGUUUUAAAAAAGGUGGUUUCAACAGCUUGGCGACUCCGCUGGGGACAAAAAUAAGAGUCAAGCCGCGAGUUGAUUAUUUCUUAUCUUUUUGUCAGAAAUUGUGAAUUCGAUUUAAAUUUAUGAUCUUUUCAUUGCAUUUUAUGGUCUGCAUCAUUUUUAUAUGCUUGCUUUACUACUUCGAGUCUUUUAAUCUUCGCAUAUUGUAUUGCAUAACCGUUCGGUUAUACCCUUUUAAGCGGGAGUGAGAAAUUAUUCUUUCGUGAGGUUUUCACCUUCGUAUAGGAUAGUGGAUUACUUUCAGGAUACAUCCAUACCUAUGUCUUCGUGAGAUUCUCAUCUCCGUAUAGUCAUAGGGAAAUGUAUUCCCCUGAACUGAACUCAGUCCGUAUGAGCCUAUAAUGGGUGAGGAUUGAGGAAUCUGCUGGUUCAGGUACCCUUUCUUUAGAACUAAACCGCAUGUAGUGAGCCCUAAGAGCAUACCCUAGGUAGAACCACUCCAAACCCCUAGUGGUCACCCAAAUAGGUGCUCUAUUUAUUUUUGCUUGCUUGUUUUUGCCUUGUACUAACCUAUUUGUUAUGGUUAUGAGUGCAUUGCAUUUUUAUCAUAAAAAAGAUGUGUUGAUUCACGUUCAGUUGCUAAAUAGAGAGCUUGUCAUGGAAAACGAAUUUCUUGAUAAAGUGGAAGACAAUGCGGUUGUCCGGAUAUGGUCCAAGAAAAUGUGAAGAAAGAAGGGUGAUAGUCUAAUGGAGGACUACACGACCUUGCUUCGUUGCCUGAUGAUUCAAGUUGACAAAGAUUAUUCGAGAGUCUUCAAUGUCCCGACCUUUUUAAAGAAGCUAACGAGCGUCACGAGGAUGAGCGAGUAAUGAGUUGCGGCCCGGAUCAAGCAAAAAAAAGAUAGAGGAGACACCCUUUUUGAAGAGUUCACGAGAUUUAUCUUAACAUCUAGACGAAGAAAAAGAUCAAUCUCUUUGCCUAGAGUAUGAGGGCAAAGCCGUAUAUAUAUCCGCUUUAUGUAAAUAAAUUUGUUUUCUAGUAAAGUUUUUCUAAUAGAAUUGAAUCAGAAUCAACGUCUCUUUUUGCAUUCAUUCCAUUCAUCUGCAUUGCAUUUCAUUGCAUCUAGAAUUUCACAAAAGGACCCUAAUUAAUCGAAAUUGUUAUAGCUACCUUGAAAAACUAACGAAAAUUUACCAAUUAAAUAUUCCUAUGGUACCCAUUGCAAAACUAAAGUAAUGGAUCAAAUAUUAGAAAGAUUAGAACAAAUGCUGAAGGAUAAACAUAACUGCUUUGGCUUAGGGUACAAGCCAGAUACAAGACAAAGAAGAAAUAGGAAAGGAGAACACGUUUGAGCGGGGAUGAGGUCAAAUGGGAGGGAUUAUUCAUCCCAGGCGAAGAAUGCCAAGAGAAGAAAAUAUUGAAAACAUGUUGGGAAACGUUCACAUCAAUGCCAUAUACGAAGAAGCAAUUGAAGGAGUGACCUUGUUAGAUAUCCGCCCUUAUGAACCUAAGAGUGUGCUAAACAAUUGGACUGCAGAAGAAAUUCUUGUAGUGUUUAGAGCUUACUCAUAGUAAUGUUCAGAACACACUUGUUGCUUUUAGCCUAGAAGUGAUAAGAAUCCCUCUGUGAAAUAGGCUCAUGUAUAAAAAUCAUUAUUUUAAUGAAGUACAUCUUUGCAUUCAUUUUGAGCAAAUAUUCUUUUAUUCUUUUCAUACGAGUAAUUAUUUUGGAUUCUUUAAUUCUUUUGGGAUUUUCUUCCAAAAUCAUUCUUUUAUUACAUCCAUAAUCAUACUGUACAAAUAAUGUAAUAGCCUGAAUUUUCAGUGGUGUCGGAAUGGUGAUUCAAGAUCACUAAGUCUGACAAAUGAGUAGAAAAUAUUAUUAAUUUAGUAAGAAUAAGUAAAUGUGAAGUUAGGAAAAUUUUUGAAAUAGUGAAUAGUGUACUAGGAAUAAAUAUUAAAAUAAUUAAAAUAAAAAAUGAGGUAUCGAGACCUCGAAGAUUUUAAACCAAGCCAUAAGUACUUUUAGAAGUAUUUUUAGAGUGUCAUUGAGUUGGUAUUAAAGUUUCGUUAGAAAAUUUUAACGCUCGGAUAGUUAAUUAACCAAAAAGGACUAAAUUGAAAAUAGUGUAAAAUUUGUUAAAUUGUGAUUAAAUAGCUUAAGUGAUUAAAAAGGAGGGAUUUAAAAGGCAAUUAGGCCCAAAUUAUAUGGGCUGGACGGUUGGGUAAGAAAAAUCAGCAGAAUGUAAGGAGAAAACAGGGGCAAAAUUGGAAACUUAACAAAUUAAACAUAUAAAACAAAGACAAAAGUGAAAAAUCUAGAGAUCUGUUCACAAUUUAUCAGCAAAAAUGCCAUAGGAGGUCUGAAAGAAGCUGGUUUUUCAUAUAUUUGAAUCAUGUAAGUUUAAUUCUUGAUUAUUUCUUCUAAUUUUUGUGAUUUUGAUACUUUUACAAUUAGGUCCAACUAAUUAUUUCAUUAGUUUUUGAUUUCAUGGCUGAUUUUGAAAGUUACCAUUGAUGAGUGUUGGAUUUUUAUGAUGAAUAAACAUGGAAUUAAAGCUUUAAUUUUGUUAUAUGAUGAUUUUAUUAAGUAAUUUUGAUAGAAAUUGAUUUUUGGGACCUAAUUGUGAAAAAGUUUGGAAUUAGGGUUUGGUGUUGCGGUUUUGAAUAUGAAAGGCUAUGUAGUAGUCUAAAAUAGUUGGAAAAGGUGUUAAUUGAGAAAAAUUAGAUCAAUUGAGGGGUUAAUUGAGUAGGACCAAAUUGUAAAAACUGUAAAGUUUGAGGUAAAAGUGUAAUUUCGAAAAUUUAAGGGCAUAAAUUGUGAAGUGAAUUAGAAUAGAAUUAUAUGCUGAUGAAUGAAUAAAUUUGUAUUUUAGAUCGAGAACCCGAAGCAAGCCGAGGAAAAGAAAAAGUAGUUGAUUAGUCCCUGAACUUUUACAAAUUCUGCAAAUCGACCCAGGUAAGUUCAUAUGGCUGAAAUUUAAUGAUUAAAUGUUAAUUUCAUGAAUUAUGUAAUGUAUGAUGAAAUGUAUUUAGUGUUGAAAUGAGAGUAAAAUAAAAAUGCGAAAAUCGAAUAAAUGAUCAAAUUAAGCGGAACGCCGGAUUUGAGUACUUCUGAUCAAGAGACAAAGUGAUAAGUGGUAGCUUUAGCUACACUUAUCUGAUCAAGUGAAAAAGUGAUAAGUGCUACACUUAUCUGAUCAAGAGACAAAGUGAUAAGUGGUAGCUUUAGCUCACUUAUCUGAUCAAGUGAAAAAGUGAUAAGUGCUAUACUUAUCUGAUCAAGUGACAAAGUGAUAAGUGGUAGCUUAGCUACACUUAUCUGAUCAGGGCCAAAUGAUAAGUGAUCAUACGUAAGACCAUAGUUAUACUAUGGCCAAGUGAAAGUGAAGUACUCAAUUUUCCGUAACCGUUCCUUAAUUUUGAUCAAGGAUGGUAAGUGACAAAUAGGCCCAAAGAAAUUAUGGUAAAAGAAUAAGUAGUAGUGAGUUUAUACCAAGGAACUCUCCAAAGAUUGUGGUUGACAAGUAAACUUAGUAAUGGUGUAUAUUGUAUAAGUGUACAAAUGUUUGGUAAGAUUUAUGUUUGUGCCUAUGAACUUACUAAGCUUUUCUAUAAGCUUACAUGUGUGUGUUUAUUGUUUUUCUAGAUUAACGUAUUUAUACAUUCGGAGGAUCGGAUCUACUUCGAGAAUCACACUAUCCAGAUAUACUCCGGUAGAUUUUGUUAAACAACUUUUUGGAUUUAUAUGGCAUGUACAGAGAAUUGAAGUAAAAAGUAAUAGAAUGAAUGACUGAGUAUGCAAAGUAAAUUUGAAUGUGAUGGUUGUGUUAGAUAUUGAAAAAUACAUGUUUUUAGUUUGAAAUGGUUGAUUGGCUGAACUUCGUUAGUAUUCAAGUGAAGUAGUUGAAAUACUGGAAUUGGUUGUGAUUUGAAAUUUGCAGGGAAGGUUAGAUAAAUAUAAAGGGGUUAUAUUGAUUUUUUUUUUAAAUUUCAAUGGAAUAAUUUUUGGACAGCAGCAUUGAUGUAACUUUUAAAAAUCACCAAAAAUAGUGGAAAUAGAAUUAGAAGUUGAAUGAGAUAUGAAAUUAAAUCUGAAUGAGUCUAAUUUCACAUGAAAGAAGUAGAAUAAGAAAAAGAGUUAUAUAUUUUUAGAUAUUUGAAUUUUAGUGAAACAGGGCAAGAAUGUUUUUGAAGUCCCCUGUUCUGACUUUAGAAAUUUAGUAAAAAUUGUACAAAAGGAAUUAUGAAUUAUAAUUUAUAUGUUUAAAUUCCGUAAUGAGUAUAUUUUAAGUAGAAAUAAUUGGAACCACCAUAUGAAGUCUUUGCAAUGAGAUAAUUGAAUUUUAGUGACAAGAGGUCAGGAUAGUCAAUUAGUGAAAUAGGGGAGACUUCAACUAAUAAACUGUAUUAAUUUGCUAAACCAAAAAUUCUGAAAAAUUUAUGGUGAAUAUACAUAUGAGUCUAGUUUGAGGGAAAAUUUACGGAUCUAAAUUUUUAGUUUCGUAUCUUGAGUUAUAAUUAUUUUAGUGACUACUGCGCAUGUGGACAGCUUUGUUGUGAAUGGUGAAAUUAAUUUUUAAAGUAAAUUUUUAUGCCCCGAACUUUUAAGUUCAGUCAAGUAACGCCUUAUGCUCGACUCCGGCAACCGUCUUGGGUAAGGGGUGUUAUAAAUAAUUAUUCUUAAAUUCAUACAUUCUUUGUAUAUUAUUUUGUACCUACAAUAGGUCCCUAGAUAUUAACAACAUGAGUGACGUUGCUACAGACUCAGAAUUUCCUUUUAAACAAGACAUGUGUUUAGAGGGAUCCCAUGGCUUUGAAGAUGACGUAGACUGUGGCUUAUCUCUGAAUUUGUUAAGGAUGGUAAAACAAGAGGAGAAGCAAAUCCUACCUCACAAGGAAUCAAUGGAAAUUGUGAGCUUAGAAGGGGGAAAAGAGGUGAAGAUUGAGACUAACAUUGCCACAAAGACAAAGCAUGACCUCGUUGAGUUACUCCAAGAAUUUAAAGAUGUCUUCGCAUGGUCAUACCAGGAUACUCCCGGGUUAAGUACUGGCAUUGUAGUACACUACCUUCUUAUAAAAGAAGAUUGCAAGCCAGUUUAGCAGAAACUCUGAAGGAUGAGGCCUGAUAUUGUGCUAAAAAUAAAAGAAGAAGUUAAAAAGCAAUUUGAUGUUGGGUUCUUACAAGUGGUUAAAUAUUCAGAAUGAGUAGCCAACAUCGUCUCAGUCUCUAAAAAAGAUGGGAAAGUACGAAUGUGCAUAGAUUACAGAGACAUGAACAAGGCCAGCCAAAAAGAAAAUUUCCCAUUGCCUCACAUUGACACUUUGGUGGAUAAUACAGUAGGCUACUCACUGUUUUCCUUCAUGGACGACUUCUCUGGAUACAACCAGAUAAAGAUGCAUCCCAAAAACAUGGGAAAGACUACAUUCGUGACCCUAUGGGGAAUGUUUUGCUAUAAAAUGAUGUCAUUCGGAUUAAAGAAUGUGGGAGCGACGUAUCAAAGGGAAUGGUAACCUUGUUUCAUGACAUGAUGUACAAGUAAAUCGAGGUUUAUGUUGACGAUAUGAUUGCAAAAUCCAGAACAGAAGAGGAACAUGUGUAGGCCCUAAGAAAAUUAUUCUUAAGACUGAGAAAGUUCCAGCUCAAGCUUUCCAACGAAAUGCACAUUCAGAGCUAGGUUAGGAAAGCUGUUAGGCUUCACAGUUAGUGAAAAAGGAAUCGAGAUCAACCCAGAUAAAGUCAAUGCGAUACGAGAUUUACCUCUACCAUGCACUCAGAAGGAAGCUCGAGGUUUCCUAGGAAGACUGAAUUACAUUGCUCGAUACAUUUCACAACUAACCGAAAAAUGUGACACCAUAUUAAAAUAAAAAUAGAUUAAAUUGUAAGUAAAACAUAAUUUAAACAUAUGAAUACAUCAAAUUAAUAAUACUAAAUGAAUACAGUUAUUUAUGAUGAUGUUGUUGCCAAUUCCUAAUUUGGUGUCUAGUUAAUUUGUGACAUCAUAAAUUUAAGUGAUAAAUUUAAGGUUUUAUGUAUUGAUGUGGAUUCAAAUAUCACCAUAAUUUUUGUAAAUAAAAAACUAAUAAGAUAACUUAUAUUAAGUACGAAAGGGUAUUUUUAUAAUUUCUCUAAUCGAGUUGGUGCCCGGUUGACUCAUGACACUAACUCAAUCAGAAGCUUUAAUAAUAAUAUAGAUAUUCAUGUUAAAAAAACAAAAAAAAAGUACUUUAGUUCCAAAUAAUUAUAUAACAAGUAAAUUUAUAAUUGAUGAAUAAAUUUAUAAAUAAUAUAUUUAUAUGAUCUAAUAUAUUAUAUUUAUAUUAAUUAUAUAUCAUCUACAAACUUUGAAGAUCAAUUUAUUAAGUAAAAAUGAAAUUGUUAACACUAAAUCAAUUUUUAGAUUUUGUAUAGAUGAUUUAGUGAUGAUAAAAACAUUAUUAACACUAUUUUUUAAUUAACAAAAAAUUAGUGAUAUAUUUAAAUUAUAUUUAUCAUUUAUUAUUUUUAAUAAUAUUUUUUAAUUAUAUGAAGUAAAAUUAUAUUGUAUACUAAAUAUGGUACAUAUACUCUAAUUAUAACUUGAAAUUUUAUUAUAUAAAUUAAUAUAAAUUUGAAUAACAAAAUAAAAAAAAACUAAUUAGAAUAAUUUUAAAAAACAUUAUUUAAAAGUAGUUAAAAAUCACGUGCAACAGGUGAGAUCAAUGGUCUUUAGAGAAGAAAUGUUGAAGAUCAAAGUUGGAAUCUGGCCUAUAAGGCCUUUAAUUGCUUUAAUAUUAAGCAGUUCCAAACCAAGAAGAUUACCGAUUUCCUCAGGAAUUUGACCUGCACACAUGGUCGAAAAAUCAAUGUGUCAAACUACCUAUUUUGUUAGCAUAAGUCAAAGAGGUUUUCUUUUCUAUUCUACAUAAUUUGCAGAUGUUAGAUUUUAAUAUUUUUAAGCAUAUUUGUUUUCAUCAAAUUAACUAUUUUGAACUAUUUUGCCUUGAAUGAAAUAAAAUGCUCUUACUUUUGUUAUCUAUUACUAAUCAAACUCUUUUAUAAAAAAAAUACUUUAAACUAAAGAAACCAAGAAAAUUCAAUACCUUCUAGGUUAUUCAACCCCAAAUAUAAUUCUUUGAGUCGUGUCGGAUUUCCAAUACUUCUUGGAAUGAUCCCCAUCAAUUGAUUAUAGGAAAAUGACAAAAUUUUAAGGUUGUUGCAUUUGCUUAUACUUGACGGAAUGUUACCAUAUAAUUCAUUCCGACUCAAGUAAAGCCCUUCAAGCUUGGAAAGAUGUGACACAUAUCAUUAGGCAAGCUACCUGAUAGGCUAUUGUUGGAGAGAUCAAUGGCCUUCAGAGAAGAAAUGUUGAAGAUCGAAGUUGGAAUCUGACCUGUAAGGCCUUUAAUUGCUUUAAUAUUAAGCAGUUCCAAACCAAGAAGAUUACCGAUUUCCUCAAGAAUUUGACCUGCACACAUGGUCGAAAAAUCAAUGUGUCAAACUACCUAUUUUGUUAGCAUAAGUCAAAGAGGUUUUCUUUUCUGUUCUAUAGUAAUUUGGUGAUGUUAGAUUUUAAUAUAAUUCAGCACAUGUUUUUCAUCAAAUGAAAUAAAAAGUUUUUCCUUUUGUUAUCUAUUACAAAUCAAGCUCUUUUAUUAAAAAAAUACUUUAAAUUCAAGAAAUCAAGGAAAUUAAUUACCUUCUAAAUUAUUAAACCCCAAAUAUAAUUCCUGGAGUCGUGUUAGAUUUCCAAUACUUCUUGGAAUGAUCCCCAUAAAUUGAUUAUGGGGCAACAACAAAUUUUUAAGGAUGUUUCAUUUGCCUAUGCUUGACGGAAUGUUACCAGAUAACUCAUUGCUAUGCAAGUGAAGCCCUUCAAGCUCGGGAAGAUGUUGACACAUAUCAUUAGGCAAACUACCUAAUAGGCUAUUCCUGGAGAGAGCAAUAGUCUUGAGAGAAAAAUGUUGAAGAUCGAAGUCGGAAUCUGAUCUGUAAGGCCUUUAAUUGCUUGAAUAUUAAGCAUUUCCAAACUAAAAAGAUUACCGAUUUCUUCAGGAAUUUGACCUGCAGACAUAGUCGAAACAUCAAGGUGUUAAAUUUCCUAUUUUGUUAGUGUAAAUCAAAGAGGCUUUUUAUUUUUUUUCGUUAUGAAAUAAUAUGGAUAUGUUCGAUUCUAAUCAUAUUUAAGUAUAUAUUAGUUCUUGAAAGAAUGAGUUCUUAUUUUUGGUAUUUAUAUUGCAAAUAUAUAUUUUUUUAAAUUUAAAAGAAGGGAGGGGGCAAAUGUGUUUAAACUAAAGACAUCAAGGAAAAGGCAUACCAAGUAUAAUUGUUUAAGUUGUGUCAAAUUCCCAAUGCUUUUUGGAAUGAUCCCACUAAAUUGAUUAAUAGACAAUUCCAAAAUUUGAAGGUUGCAGCAUUUGUCUAUACUUGAUGGAAUAGAACUUGAUAAUUCAUUUCUACUCAAGUAAAGCUCUUUCAGCUUGGGAAGAUGGACACACAAAUCAUCGGGCAAGCCACCAGAAAGACUAUUAUCACAAAAAUGAAUCCUUUUCAAAGAAGAAAUGUUAAAGAUGGAAGAUGGAACCUGGCCAGAUAAUUGAUUGAAUCCCAAGUUCAAGAUCUCUAGAUUGGACAAGUUGACAAGUGUUUGAGGGAUCGUGCCUGUGAAGUUAUUAUUUCUCAUUUCCAACCUUUGAACUCUGUGCAAGUUCCCAAGCCAUGGUGGAAUUUCCCCAUUAAGACGGUUGUAGCUUAAUCGAAUGAUCCUCAAACGAUGCAAUUGGCCUAAUUCUUUAGCCAGAUGGCCGUAGAAAUUGUUGUUGCUCAAGUCGAUAGAAAAUAGAAAUGAAAGAUUUCCAAGGUGUGGAGGGAUAGUACCCCUAAGAUUCAUGUUUGUAAGAUUAAUCAAAGCUACAACUCUUUCAUGGAUGAUGCCACAAGAAACACCAACCCACUUACAGACAGAGGUAGAGUUCGUCCAAUUGUUUGCCAACACAUUUUGAGGAUCGACAAUGCGAUCUUUAAACUCAAAGAGUGCAAACUGAUCGGAGUUGAGAUUCCGGACUGUCAUAGCCAAGGAAACAAUAGAACAUUGUAUGAAUAAAAGUGAAAGAAGAUGAAAGCAAGUGUUGUAGUUCAUGAUGGCAAGACGAAAUAAGCCAGGAAAAGGGAAGUUGAAUUGAUGAAGAAAUAGCCAGCCAACAUGCUUAAAUAGGCUUCAACCCUUGCACACUUCUCAUACAUAAAGUUCGCUGCCAUUACAACAAGAAAACUCAUAUCUCCAUUCGUACCUAUCCAUACUUUAUUUGACUAACUUUUCCCUAACAAGUGUUCAGUAAGGAGAUAAAUCAGUUUGGAGCUAUUCACCGGCUUCUCCAAUCUUGGUUUCAAACUCCUAACCCAUCAAUUCACUUUAAUUGAAACGAUAUACACGAGUCUUUCGGCUUAUAUUUUUAAUUUAAUUUUUGUUACUUUUCAUAAUAUUUUUUGAGAAAUCCAAAUAUUCCAGUCUGAAAUUUCUUCAUUGCCACGUCUAUCUCCUGGGUAAGUCCGUGGUUAGGCAGCCCACUUUGGGAGCAGGAUUGUAAUUGUAAUUCUAUCCGACUCAUUUUACUAUUUAGAAAUAUAAAAGUAAUAUUAUAUUAUUUUUUAUAUUUUUAUAAAUUUAAUUUUAAUUAUAAUUUUUAAACAAUAAAACGAGUCAUUUGUAUUUGCCUAGUCUAAAUUGAAUCAGGAGUCAAAAAAAUUUUAAUCAUAAUUUACUAUUAUUUUAAUUAAUUAAAAUUUAACCUACUACAACUAGUAGUUGCAGAAAAAAUGUCAUUCCUUUAGAAAAACGAAAAUCCUUUAGAAAAAUGAGAACUUAUGAAGCAUUCAAUAAGAGUCAUUGGAAUAAAUGGUAACGAAAUCAUAAUUCAAUAUAAAGCUAAAAAAUGUACCAAUCUAUAUAAAUAAUGUAAGAUUUGUGAUACCUAAAUUAUUAUAUUUUCCAUAAAUAUAUGAAGAUAUUUUAUUAGGAAAUAAUUUUAUAUAUAAAAUUUUUUAUUUUCUUUUGAUAGAAAUUUAAUUAUGUUAUCUGUAGAAAAAAAUAUUUAUAGAAAUAUUAUUAGUAGAAAAUCAUAAAUUUGUGUGUGGCAAAAAAAAUUCACCACCAAGAAAGGGGCAAAUUAAACAACUUGAAACAAGUCAUUGGUUGUUUAAAAUAUUAGAUAAUAAUUUCAGUGAAGAAUCAUUAAAAUUAUGACAAAAUAACCCUAGAUAUUGUAGUAUUAAAUUGGAAAAUCUCAAUAAUAUUAUUAGAGUAAAACCUAUGAUCUAUCUAAACAAGAUAUAGAAGAUUUUGAUAUACAAAUUAAGGUUAGAAAUCAUGCGGAAAUAAAAAAGAAAAAAAAGCUAGUAUGGUCAUUAAUUAUAAAAGAUUAAAUCAAAAUAUUAUUUUUUUAUAGUUACUUGAAUUAAUCAGGCUAAACAAACAAAAUAUUUUAGUAAAUUUGACUGCAAAUCAGGAUUCUAGCAAAUCAUGAUAACAGAAAAGUCCAAACCUUUAACGGCUUUUAGUGCACCCAAUGGACAUUACCAAUGGAAAGUGAUGUCAUUUCAAUUAUGUGAUGCACCACAAAUCUUCCAAAGACGAAUGGAUUUUAUAUUUAAUAAAUAUAAAAAAAUUCUAUGUAGUCUACAUAGAUGAUAUUUUUUAUAUUUUUAGAUACACUAGAAUUACAUAAGAAACAUUUAAAUAUUAUUUCUUAAGAAUUCAUAAAAUAUAGAAUCAUAUUAAACCCUAAAAAUAUAGAGUUAGAAAAAAGAGAGAGAAUUUUUAUAAUAGUGGAAAUAAAAAAUUGUCCUCAAAAGAUUGAAGAAAAAAAGAACUUCCAACAAUUUCUAAUAUAUUCCUCCCAAAUUUUCAGUUUCAAUUUUAUUACAGAAUUUCUUUGCCGACAAUAAGAAAUUAAGAGCGCUCUUUAAGUUGAAUAUAGUCCGUCAGAUAUGGCUAUCUAUAACAUGGAACCUUUGGUUUUCAAGCUGAAUAGGAGAAUUGAUUCACUUGAUAAGUAUGAAAAAUUGAAACUGCUAAAUUUAAGUGCACUAACUCUGGAUAUCAUCAUUAUUUUUCUGUACAUUAAAGUACCUGUUUGAUAUGCGAUUUCUGCCUCAAACUAUCAACAUCUUUAACAUCCUUUUGCUAUAGUUAGCAUGGGUACUUCCUUUUAGAUUAACAGUUAGGUUUGAACUGUGAAUUAGAUUUCUGUGGCUGCUGGGAUUGAAGAAGUUAGUAUGCGAAUGACAUUGGACAAAUUUGGCAAAGUCUUCUCCAUCAGUGAAGAAAACCCCUUGGCGUAUGAAAAAUGUUCACCAUCUUAGACAUUUGUUUUCUUAUUGUAAGAAUAUUUUUAACAUUGUAACUUUUAACAUUAUUGUAAGAAUAUUUUGAAUUAUACUUCAGUUAUCAAUUUAUAUCAUAUAUCUUUUGUUGAAUUUGAAGUAUAAUUUAUAUUUGCUGUUUUUGGUUAGAUUUCAUGCUAUAGGAAGGGUUGUAUAUGGAUAGAAAUUGAAUGUUACAAAUCUGCCAAAGUUAGUGGCGUUUUUUCAUAAGAGCUGCUAAAGAAUGCUAUUUUUGGCGGUGUUUGUAAUAAAAGAGCCGCUAAAGGUCAUGUUCUUUAGCGAUGUUUGUGGGUAAAGCGCCGCUAAAGAUCAUGUUCUGUAGCUGUGUUUGUGGAUAAAGCGCCGCUAAAGAACAUGACCUUUAGCAGCGUAUUUUCACAUAAACGCCGCAAAAUUUAGCGGCUUUGUCUAUAGCGACUUUUUUUGCAGCGCUUUAAGUUUUAGCGGCGCUUUUAGGCCUAAAAAAGGGCCGCUAAAAGCCUGUUUUGCUGUAGUGAGCAUAUUUACAUUUUCGUCCCAAUUUCAACUAACACCCCAUCUAUUUCCCACUUCCCUUUUUCGGGCAAUUUCAACUAACACCUUCAUAUCAAACAUAACUAUUUUUCAAUUUUUCUUCUUUAUUUCAUUAAUAAAAUUAUCAAUCUAUUUGUUUUUAAAUAUAUAAUUUCAUUAAUAUUUUUUAAAUUAUAAUAUAAGAGUUGUUGUUUAUUUAUAGUUUUAUUACAUUAUUUACUCUCUCUUUUCUAUCAAGUUUUUUAAAUUAUAAUAUAAGAUUUAUUUUAUCAAUUUGUGGCUUAUCCAGUAUUCAUCUAUUUUAAUAAUAACUUGAGUUCCAGUCAUUAUCAUACCAGAAAGAGUUCCAUUUAUUCUUUAUCGUAAAUUUUAUAAAAAAAUAUACAUUUUAUUAUAAUACUAUAUGUGUUACGAAUAAUAUUUUAUUGUGGAUGCCCAUAAUUUUCAAAGUUGUAACCUCUAAUGUAGUAACCUUAAUGAAAUUAUGAGGCUUUUAUAUUGUAAUCAAGCCUCUAUUUAUUCUUUGUAACUUAAACAGAAGCAUAUUUUCUAUUAUAUUGAUAUUUUUUAUAGAUAUAUAUAUAUAUAUAAGGAAUCAAAUAAAAAGUUAUUUACCUUUCUAUUAUAUUGAUAUUUUCUAUUUGAUUUGUUCUUUUCUUUCACUAUUCCAUAAUAUAUUAUCAGUACGAUUUUAACCAAGAGUAACAUGUUAUUAGAUUGUGUCAAAAUUUUGUUGAGAAUCAUUAGAUUGUUUCCUUUUUCUUCUAUUUAGCCCCAAAUUGCACCCCUACACAAAAUUCAACAAAAACAUGGAAAAAUUAGUGGUGCACUCUCAUAAAUUAACCAAUUUAAUUACAUAAAAUAUGUAACUUUAGCAUUUUAUCAAUCAUGUUCUUUAGCGGCAUUUGUGGGUAAAGCGCCGCUAAAGGUCAUAUUCUUUAGCAGCGUUUGUGAUAAAAGUGCCACUAAAUAUCAUGUUCUUUAGCGGCGUUUGUGGAUAAAGCGCCGCUAAAGAACAUGACGUUUAGCAGCAUUUUUUUACAUAAACGUUGUAAAAUUUAGCGGCGUUGUCUAUAGCGACGUUUUUUGCGGUGCUUUCAAAUAGUUUUAGCGGCGCUUGUAGGCCUAAAAAAAUGCCGCUAAAAGUCUGUUUUGCUGUAUGAGCAUAUUUACAUUUUCGUCCCAAUUUCAACUAACACCCCAUCUAUUUCCCACUUCCCUUUUUCAGCCAAUUUCAACUAACACCUUCAUUUCAAACGUAAUUGUUUUUCGAUUUUUCCUCUUUAUUUCAUUAAUAAAAUUAUCAAUCUAUUUGUAUUUUAAAUAUAUAAUUUUAUUAAUAUUUUUUAAUUAUAAUAUAAGAGUUUUUGUUUAUUUAUAGUUUUAUUAUAUUAUUUACUCUCUUUUUUCUAUCAAGCUUUUUAAAUUAUAAUAUAAGAUUUAUUUUAUCAAAUGGUGGCUUAUCGAGUAUUCAUCUAUUUUAAUAAUAACUUGAGUUCCAAUCAUUAUCAUACCAGAAAGAGUUCCAUUUAUUCUUUAUCGUAAAUUUUAUAAAAAAAUAUAUAUUUUAUUAUAAUACUAUAUGUGUUAGGAAUAAUAUUUUAUUGUGGAUGCCCAUAAUUUUCAAAGUUGUAACCUCUAAUGUAGUAACCUCAAUGAAAUUAUGAGGCUUUUAUAUUGUAAUCAAGCCUCUAUUUAUUCUUUGUAACUUAAACAGAAGCAUAUUUUCUAUUAUAUUGAUAUUUUUUUAUAGAGAUAUAUACAUAAGGAAUCAAAUAAAAAGUUAUUUACCUUUCUAUUAUAUUGAUAUUUUCUAUUUGAUUUGUUCUUUUCUUUCACUAUUCCAUAAUAUAUUAUCAGUACGAUUUUAAUCAAGAGUAACAUUGUAUUAGAUUGUGUCAAAAUUUUGUUGGACUUCAAGUAUUGGAAUUUAAUUGUUUAAGUUAAGAAUCAUUAGAAUCAAUGGCUAUUUGAGAUAUGCUUGAGGAUGAUCUCAUUCUAUUCAUCACAAAGGUGGAGGUUAGAAAAUCUUUAUGUUUAAACAUUUAUAGCUUUAAAGUUAUUUUAACCUCUUAUUGUGACCUUAUAAUAUUUUGUAAUUUUUUGUAUUAUGGUAUAUAAAAAAAAUCUAACCAUAGUGAUUGAUUAGUAAUAUGAAUUUGUUAUUUGUUAUGUUUAAUAUAUAUUUUAUUUAUACUUAUUCAUUUUAUUUUUAUAUGAGUAAAUGAAGUGUUUGAAGAUUCGAAAUUUUUAUCAUCCAAGUUGAAAAUAAGUGCAAAAGUGUACAUUAUUUAAAAUAAAUUACGCAUUCAUUAAUGUUAUAUGAUAAAAUCAUUACAUGUUCUAAAGAACUAAUAUUGCAUCAAACUGUAAAAAGCUCUUGAAGAGUUAAUAUUUUACCUCCUUGUGAUACAAAAUCAUAUACAAUAUGAUAUUAUUUUUCAAAUCGAGUAGAUAUAUGUUGAGGGAAAUCUUUAUGUGGUUUACAUUAAAACCAUGGAUAGAAAUGACAUGAGAUACUCGUGUAUUUUUAUUAUAAAUAUUCCUUGAAGGAAGACACUUCACUUGUAUGAUUGACAUAUGAGAUAGUGGCAAGAAGUUCAUAGUGUUGGUAUGGUCGUCUAGAUCAUCUCAAAUCAAUAAUGAUGCAAAAUAAUUUGAAGAGAAUUUAUAUGAUUUUAUUGAAGAAUGAGAAGAUAUUUUCAUUUUGAUAAUUGUCAUCAAUACUAGUUCUUUGGAAAAAAAAUAUUGAACUAACAUAAAGUUAGAGGUUGGUUGCAUUUUUUGAUGAUAUCCAAAUAAUAUAUGAGCUCAUGUAUCACAUGUAUGCAACCCAAAGUUUACAGUAUUAUUUCUUGAAAUAAUUUGAUUCUACACAAUCUCUAUAGUAUGCAAUUUGUGCUAACAACGUUGGUGCAUUAUAUCCUAAGCUUGAUUUUCGUAGUUUUAGCUGAGAUAAUAUUAAGUUGUCUAUGCCUAUAUAUGUUAUACUUAAUGGUUAGCAAAAUUGUGCCUCCAUUUAAUUGCUUAACCAUUAAUAUAAGAAUAACUUUAAAAUAAGCAUGUAAUUUUAUUUGCAUAGAGUCAACAUGUAAGAAACAUUUGCCCCAUGAGAAUUGGCUUUCAUUUAUAAGCCAAUAGGUUUCAUAUGACUAUUUGGAUGUAAAAUAUCUAUUUUAUAUUCCACCAUAAUGCACUAAGAUGGUCCAUCAAGUAUGAAGUUGAGAAAAUUUAGAAUUUUUAUUUGAUGGUAAAAGUUGAAAAGAGAUAUAUACUUAUAAUUUUGAAAAAAAUAGUCAUGUUGCAAAUUUUUCUCAAUAUUAGGGGGAGACAAGUUGGACAAAUAAGGAUAAUUAUGUCAUCACUUUUUGUGAUCCCUCACUAAUAUUAUGUGCACAAAGUUUGAAGGAAAAAAGUAUUUGCUAGACAUGUUUAGUGAUGACACUUAGAGAUUGUAUAUACUAGAUGAUACAUAUACCAGCUAAAAUGUUCCAAAUAAUUAUGAGUCCUAGAAGGACAUAGUGAUAAAAAUAAUUUUUGGGCACGCUAGAAGGAUAAAAAACUAGUUCAUUCUAUAAAUCAAAAAAUUCUUGAAAGAAAAGAGUAAGAAAUGAAGCUGGCCACACAUUAAAGGAAACGAGUACUCAUGAAGAGACCUAAGGCAUAACUUUUAAUAAAACCCCAAAAGAGGUUCAAUACAUGGAAUUAUGAAUAUAAUAAGAUAUCUCGAUUAGUUAUAUCAUAACUAAAGAUGAUGGGGUUGAUAAAAGGAAAUUGUUGUUAACAACGAUAAUCUAAGUAGAACAUUUCAAUAUUAUGGUAAAAUGAGUAUUUUGAAUGAAAAUAUACUUGAAAGUAUUUAGAUGGGAACAACUCAUCAAAAUAAAUAGACGUUUCUAUUAUAACUUAUGAAAUGUGUCUCGGACAUGAAGUCCAAACAUUCGACAGGUGUAAAGCCAAGUGGAGUAUAUGUUAGCAUAAUAGUGAAAAAAUACAAAUCAUAAUAUAUAAAAUUGACUUGUAAGACAAACUUUCCCAAGACACUUGAUUUUGAUUAUGAAAAAUGAUUAAUUUGUGAUCUUAUCAAUUGAACAUACUUUGUAUAAUCAACAAAUUAUUAAUUAACCUCAUUUAACCAAUUUCCUUCAACACAUUUCAAAUCAAAUUAAUGUGUUGAGCACGCCCUUAACCCUUUUUCUUGAUUCAUUGCAUAGUCUAUUUCCAAGUACCAUAAUCAUCAACAUUUCAAUAUAUAAAGUCAUAACAUAAUGAAUCAUAGUUAGAAUUUUUUUUACCCUAUUAACCAAGUAUGGAACAAAAAUAAAAACCUAAUUUGUCAAGCUCAUUCAAUCAGCUUAUAUAUUAUAAGAAGAGCCUAAGUAUAAAUCCUAUACAUGAUUUCAAAUUCAACUAUUUAUAUUUGAGAUUCAAUUUAAAAUUCAUACUGAAAUUAUCAAAUUAACUCGUAAGCUACUCACGCUAAACAUUAAGGUACUCGAAUUCAAGUGGCUAGAUAUCAUAAACACUUUUAGCUUGUAAAACUAUUUCUAAGGGUCAGCCCAGAAUCAUGGUUGAACCCAAAAUCUGGUAACAAAAAUUUAAUUGAGCCAUCAGCCUAAAACAAAAAAGGCUUAAAAGGUUGGCACCCGAACAAUCAAAGAUAAACACCACCAUAUGCCACUCCCUGAAUCCGAUACAUACAAUAACACCCUUCACCACUUUUAUUCUUCUCCUUUUUUUUAACCUCAAUUUGGAUGGUCGCAUUUCUCUUUUUAGUGCUUUAUAGGGUUUGGGCUUUCAGAAUCCUCAGAGAUGCAAUUCAUGGAUCCCUCUAAGAAAUGCAAGCUUGAUGAAAAUGGUAUUAUUUCAACGGCAUCAGAACCUGACCCAAUCACCAAACUAACCCCACAAGAUGGCCGCAAGCUAAUCGAGCAAUUUAUCGUCGAUCAACUCCUUGACGUCCUCCAAGAUGCUGUUUGUUGUCACCUUGAUGUUCUUUCCGCCGUACACUCUAUUGCCGAUCAAGAUCCAUCUCAAAGGAAGCUUUUCAUCCGUGGUUGGGUUGGGAUACUACAACCCAACCCAACCCACAUUAGCAUACUACCAUGCGGUAACUUCUAGUGAUUUCUGUCUGUAACAUUAGACAGGUUAACAGUUAAAUCGUUCAACUGAAAGAUUUCUUUGAAGGAAGAGGUCAAUUGAUUUUUUUUGGAAUCAUUGUGUACUCAGUUGCAUUUAAGACGGGUAUCAUUCAUAAAGUAUAUAUCUACAUCAAGAAUGGUAGCCUCUUAUAUUAUAUUCAUGUAUUUAUUUUGCAUCUUUAAUUAUAAUAGGAUUUUUUUUGUUUAUUUAUAGUUUUAAUUAUAAUAUUUUUUAAAUAUGCCAAAGUAAAUUAUGUACCAAUUUUAAACUUCUCCUAGGUAAUUUAACGUAAGGGCAUUUAUGUUAUUUUACCACUUAUGAUAAAACUAACCUAAUUUUAGAUCUAAGUGUUUACCAACCUUCUUUUAGUCAAAUUAUGCAAGCCUAAAAUUUUUAGCUUAAUUUGAGUUUGUUUACUAUGUCUAAUUCAAGUUUUAUUAUUAAGAACUAAAUUGUAACUUAAACAAAUUAGAAUACCAAUUUAAAGAGACAAAAAUUCAAAGCCCCAAAACCCACACGGGCAUGUGGGUAAGUGACACAGGCGUGUGGAAACUGGAGCUAUCACACACGGGUGAGUGGGACUGAAAAAUAUGAAAUAAAUUAAUCCAUUUAAAUUUCCAACAACCAUGCUAUACUACCAAACCAAAUAAUGUUAGAAGCUUUGAAUAGGGGCGAAUCUUAAAAAAAAUAGAAGAAUUAGAAUUAAAUUAUAAAAUUUUGAGAAGUUGUCAUGUAUUAAUUUAUUAUUUUUUAAAGGGUCUUAAUAGAUUUUUUUUCCCCAUUUUGGUUUGGCCAAUACCCCUGUCUGCCUCUUUCAAUUUGCUUCAACCCUUAGCCCAAUAUUCGAUUUGUUGUGGAAGUUUGACGCAUAAAAAUUCCUUUUUUAGAGGUUUAAAUUAUAAAUUUUUAUUAACAAAAUAUAAAAGAAAAAAACAUGUGUAGACAAGCCAAGAAACCUUUGGGAUCAUACAGGUGAUUUUGAGAUGUUCAUGGUUAUUUUGGUGGAGAGGGUAAAAAAGAAACAAAUGAUUCAUUAUAUAUGAUAUAAUUAUGAAAUUCAAGCCAUAUAUUGUAUGUUUCAUCCAUACAAAUUUCUUGUAGCAUUAAAUGACUCGUAGGCUUGCUGAAUUUCUUUGAAAGGCCCAAAGGCAAUUUAACAUUCACAAAAUAAUCUCUAAAUAGUGUAAAGACAAAUCAAAUCCACAGUAGCAUUAGAGUUGAUUAAGCUAAGCAUUGGCAAAUAUUACUUUGAUUUUGCAUGCAAUAUUGGCAAAACCCCCUCUUACAUUAGAAAAACAACAUAAUCCAUGAAACAUUGAUAGCCCAAUACAAAUUUCAUCGAGAAAAAAGUCUCUUUGUUUUGUAGAACAUGAUAGUAAAGAUGUGGAGUUUCGUUCUUCUUAUUGGCCUCCUUUAGUUUUCCUUGAUCAACAACCACUAGCCAAAAACACAAUUAGAUUAGAUUAUGAAUGAUACUUUCAACUAUGACAAUAUUAAAUACAAACCACUCUAAAUAACUCUAAAUAAAUGGAAAGCAGCAAAUUACCAGACGAGGCAAGCUAGCUCAAUUAAGACCAUUGUGUUAUACUUGUCUCUGAAUUGAAAAAUUUAGAAGGAAAUAAAGAGAAAGACUUAGAAAAUACUUGAAAACAGAAAAAAAAAUUAUGUCAUUUAAAAUAAAAAAUUUCUAUUCAAGCCAUUUAAAAUUUGUAAGAUUUUUAAAAUUUUAAAAUGAUAAAGGUAAAAUUGUACUUUGGCACCCCAAAAAUGAUAAAACUUUGAUUUAAUUAUUUAAAAAUUAUAAAAAUAUAGGCUAUUAAAAUGGUGAAAUUAUAUUUUUACUAUAGUAAAAAUUACAAUUUAAUUUCACCCCUAAAAGGAUUUUCUGGCUUCGCACCUAAUAAAAUCUUUGGCAAAAGACUAAAAUAAAAUUAUACCAUGAAUGGAAAAAGAAACUAAUAAAAUCCAAUCUAACAAAGAAAAUAACUUGAUGUCCAAAAGCUACCAUAAACCGUAAUUCAUGGGAAGGCUUGUUGCUUAUUUUAUUGGUUUCCAUUUUGAAAGAAGUUUGAAUUUUGAAGAGAGCCUACUACGUGAAAGCAAAAGAAAAAAAAAUAGUUUAUAUGAUUAAAAUUCCAGAAUAGAUUAAAAAUGUUGAAUUAAAGAUAAAAUUAAGUGUGAAUUAAUAACCACAAGUGUACUCUUUACUCACCAUCUCUGUUAAAAAUGUUGGAUGUUGUUUAGCAACCUUUGUUUGAUUUUCUUCAGCUCAACCACAACAUCUUUCAUAUCUUUUCUUUCUUCUGGUAACUCAGCUGAACAAUUCAAAGCCAACUCCAUGAUAGAUGAAAUACAAUUUGCUUUAACAACAAUGUACUCAUCCUCUCUUCUUAAUAAAUCAACAUCUGCAAUUUCUAUCGCUCCUUUAGGCAAUGAUCUUUCCAUCCAAUGCCUUAUACUCUCUUCUUCAACAAAAACCUUAUCAGUUGGCUUUUUCUUUGUGAAAGUUUCUAUAAGGACGAUCCCAUAACUAUAGACGUCAGAUUUUAUAGAAACAAUUCCUGCUGAUCCAAAUUCUGCAUUUCAAGUAUAAUUAGAACAUCAUUCAUCCUCAAUUAUUUCUAAAACGCUUAUUCAAAUAUCUAUCCACAUACACGUGAAACAAGAAUAUAAAAUACAAAUUAGGAAAAUAAUCAUACAAAAAUAAAAAAAAGAAUUCACCUGGUGCCAUAUACCCAAUAGUUGCAAGAGUCAUGGUUUGCUUCAUUACUUCACCUUCUCCCAACAAUUUGGCAACGCCAAAAUCUCCAACAUGUGCAACCAUGUCUUCAUCUAGUAAAAUAUUGCUUGGUUUUAUGUCACAAUGAAUUAUAGGUGUUGGAUGUCCAUUGUGGAGGUGUUCUAUAGCUACCGCAACAUCUAUCAUUAUGUCGACCCUUUGUAUGAUACCAAGGAAACAAUUUUCAGAAUGUAACCAUUUCUCAAGGUUUCCAUUAGACAUGUAAUCAAGCACCAAGGCUUUGAAGUCAACACUUGAGCAGUAAGUAAUGACCUUCACAAUAUUACGAUGAACUAUAUUAAGCAUAGCAUCACAUUCAAUGUCAAAACUCCUAAAUGCUCCCUCUGUUUGCAAAUUGAAAACUUUUAUUGCAACUUCCAUUCCAUCUGAAAGCCUCCCUUUAUAUACAUAUCCAAAACUCCCUGAACCAAGCGUAUUGCUUUCCUCAAAUCCAUUAGUUGCUCGUGAAAGUUCAGCAUGUGAAAUUCUUCUCAGUGUCUUCAAAGACAACAAAUCAUCUUUAACUGGUAGAGCUGUACUCCUUUGGCAUCUUCUAUACAUAAUAGUUAAGACUAUUAGUACUAGGACAAUACCAAUUGUUGGUAAACCAUACCUAAAAGCAUGCAAUAUAAUCAUUUGGGAGUUUUUGUGGAUGUCAUUUUUGCAAGGUGGGACUAGCAAUCUAGGUGGACCACAAAGUGCACAAUUAUUCAUGAAUGAUGUGCUAGAAAAGUUUGAAAAACAUCCUUUGCUGGGAAUUUCCCCUUCAAGUCUAUUGAAAGACACAUUAAAAUACUUUAGAUAUAAAAGCUUUUCCAAAGAUUUGGGAAUGACUCCAGAGAGAUUGUUAUUGCAUAAAUCCAAGAAUUCCAAACUAAUCAACCCAUCAAAUGAUUCAGGGAUAUGACCAUGUAGUAUAUUAUUUGAUAAAUCUAAUGAAACCAAAGUUUGAAGACCCCCAAAUGUGGAUAAGAUAUCGCCCAUGAGAAGAUUCCUUGAUAAAUUUAGUCUCAGUAGACUCCUAAAGUUUCCAACAUCAAUAGCAUGCGAAUUGUGAAGAUGGUUUGAUGAUAAAUCUAUUUCUAAGAUAUCUUUAAGAUUCCAUAAAGUUGAGGGUAUUGCGGAACUCAAUUUGUUGGAAUCUAACCAAAGAUAUCUCAAAGCAGAAAUAUUACCUAAACAAGAGGGUAUGGAUCCAUGCAGCUUAUUCAACCCUAAAUACAUCUUGAAUAGUCUCUCCAAACCACAGAGGCUUUCUGGGAUAGGCCCUUCUAAUUUAUUAGAGGAAAGAAAUAGACCUUGGAGAUUUAUCAUUCCUCCUAUUGAUGCUGGAAUCAAUCCACUUAAUUUAUUAUAGCCAAGUUGUAAAACCAACAUGUUGCUUAAGUUACCUAUUUCCAUAGGAAUAAUGCCUUGAAGCUCACACUCUGUGGCACGAAAGUAUUGAAGGGAUUUUGAAAGGUUCCCGAAAUAAGUAGGAAGAACGCCACUCAAUGGAUUUCCUGAAACAAUUAUUCUUUUCAAAUGCUUGCAAUUCGUCAAAGAAGAAAGAAAGCUCCACUCAUGAUCAGUAGCAGAUCCUGUGAUCAAAUUAUUGUUUACGAUUCCGAACCAUUCAAGGUGUCUUAAGCUGCCAAGCAUUUUAGGGAUUGGGCCAGAGAAUAAGUUUUCUGACAAGGAUAGAAUCUUAAGCAUGGAAGCAUUGGAGAUAGAGUUGGGAAUGUUUCCGCUAAGUUUAUUUCCCCACAGUAAAAGAAUCUGAAGCUUUGGAGCAUUGGUAAUGGGUGGUAAAUUACCUGUAAAAUAGCAUCUUUUAGAAAACAUAUUCAUUGAAUACCAAAUUCACAAAAUAUAUAAUACAUUAAAAUAAAAACUGUAAAACUUUAAAUCAAUUAAGAAUAAAAUUUUGGCAUGGAAAAAUGUGAUGAAAUCAAUUAGAAAGUUGAGACAUAAUAAGAAGUUUUGAGUAGUAAUUAGUCCUUGUGAUUUGUAUAGACAAAACAUAUAAUACACUGAUAAUUUUUUUAAAAUAUUGUAAAACCUGAAAUAAAAUAAAAAAUAAAAGUUUGGCACAAGAAUGUGGCAUCUAAUCAUUCUUAAAAAUAAGACUAACAUUAAAUAAUAAUUAGUUAUGAUUUGAGAAACAAAAAUGUUAAAGAUGUAAACUGGUAUGAUUUUUAUCUAUUGGGUUAAUUAUUUAUUUUUAUUAAAUUAUAUAUAGUGUAAAAUUUAAAGAUUAUUAUUUGCUCAAAAUUUUUGUAUUUUUCGUAUAUUUGAAAUUUAAUCUUUAUAUUUUUUUAUUUUCUGUGAUUUAGUCUCUCUACUUUUUAAAUUGAAAAUUUUAAGUUUAUUUAUUAACACUGUUAAAAAGUUUUUGUGUUAGUAUGGCAUUUUGAAAAAUAAAAUAAACUUGAUAUCUAUGUUUUUAAUUAUUCCAAAUACUGUUUUACUAUUCCAAGAUAAAUUAUUUGUGUCUAGACCAAUAUCUGAAGAACUAUUGUUGCAUGUUUAAUUAUUCUAAAGAAUUGUUGAUUGAGUCUUAGUUGAAGUGCACUAUUCUCCUAUUUAUGAAUUGGGGAGUUGAUAAAGUACUAAAUUUUGAUAUAUUUUAAAAAAUUAAAAAUUUAUUAAAAUAUUUUUAUAAAAAUUGAUUGUACCAAAAUAUACAAUUUUAAUAUCAAAUUUUUAAUUUUUUAAAAAUAUUAGCGAAUAUAUACUUUAUUUCAAGUUACACAAUUUUUACUAGUUUUUAACUUUUUUUUUAAAUUUUUAUCGUCUUUUAUAAUUUCAUAUAAUUUUUUAUAAUUUUUUACAAUAUUUACAAUUUCUAACAAUUUUUAAUAAUUUUAUUAUUUAUUAUAAAUUUAAAAAUUAACAAAUUUUUAUUUUUUUAAAACAAUUAUAUAUUUAUAAUGUAGUUAUUUUUUUAUAAUUUUUUUUGAAAUUUAAAGAUUUUUUUGGUUUUUUCUAGAUGAUGAUGCCAUCAUGAUGUCAUCAUAUGCCACAUGGCAAUUUAUAAUUAGUUGACUAUCUCAAUCUAUUUUUUUAACGUCCAAUGGACUAAAACAAGAACACCUGAUAAUGUUAGAGACUACACUAGGAAUGUUUGAUAAUAUUAGGUACUAAAGUGGGCAAAAAAAAUUAAGGACUAUAUUAAAAAUAUAUCUAUAAUAUAUAUAAAUGCAUGGAUUUUGAGAAACUUUUGAAAUGACAAAUAUAUAGUCUUUGUUUUUUUUUACUAUAUUAUUGAAUUUUUUAUUUUAAAUAUUUUUUUAUUACUUUUAAGAUUUAUCAUAUGUAUGGAUAAAAAUUUUGGUUUUACUAAAAUAUUUGGUUAAAUAAAUUCACUUUAUAAAAAAAUUUAGCAUCCUUAUAAAUAACAAUUUUGAUUCCAUUAAAAAAAUUAUUUAAUAAUAUAUAAUAAAAAUUUAAAAUUUAUAUUGAAUCACUUUAUACUUAAAUUAUUAUUAGAAACUUUAUCAUACACAUAUGUGUAUGAGAACCACGUUUUCAGAACUUAAAUUUGUGUUCUAAAAUAACUUAUGAUAAAUAAUUAAAUGUAUAAUUUGAAAUUAUAUUGAAAUAAAAAUAGAUUAAAUUGUAAGUAAAACAUAUAUAAUUUAAACAUAUGAAUACAUCAAAUUAAAAAUACUAAAUGAAUACAUUUAUUUAUGAUGAUGUUGUUGUCAAUUCAUAAGUUGGUGUCGAGUUAAUUUGUGACAUCAUAAUUUUAAGUGAUAAAUUUAAGGUUUUAUGUAUUGAUGUCGAUUCAAAUAUCACCAUAAUUUUUUUAAAUAAAAAACUAAAGCACCCUCAAAUAAUAUAACUUAUAUUAAAUAUGAAAGGGUAUUUUUGUAAUUUCUCUAACGAGUUGGUGCCCGGUUGACUCAUGACACCAACUCAAUCAAAAGCUUCAAUAAUAAUAUAGAUAUUCACGUUUAAAAAAAGUACUUUAGUUCGAAAUAAUUAUAUAACAAGUAAUUUUAUAAUUGAUGAAUAAUUUUAUAAAAAUAUAUUUAUAUAAUCUAAUAUAUUAUAUUUAUAUUAAUUAUAUAUCAUCUACAAACUUUGAAGAUCAAUUUAUUAAGUAUCAGGAAAAGAAAAAAUGAAAUUGAAUUAACACUAAAUCAAUUUUUAGAUUUUGUACAGAUGAUUUAAUGAUGAUAAAAACAUUAUUAGCACUAUUUUUGAAUUAACAAAAAAUUAGUGAUAUAUUUUAAUUAUAUUUUUUAUUUUUUAUUUUUAAUAAUAUUUUUUUAAUUAUAUGAAGUAAAAUUAUAUUGUAUACUAAAUAUGGUACAUAUACUUUAAUUAAAACUUGAAAAAUUAUUAUAUAAAUUAAUAUAUUUUAAUUAUAUUCAACCAUUUGAAUAACAAAAUUAAAAAAAACUAAUUAGAAUUAUUUACUUUUUAAAGUUUAAUGGAAAAUAAAAAAUUAAAAAUAAAUCAAUUCAUAUAAAUCUUAUUGUUUAUUAUCAGAUUAAAAUGAUAAAAGUAUAUGACAUACAUAGAAGAAACAAAUUCAACACAAUGUUUUUGGAGUUUGGAAAAAAUUAAAGUGAAAAACAUACCUUCUAAUUUGUUGUUAAAUAGAUCUAUUUCUUCGAGCGUAGUUGAAUUAAAAAUACUUGAUGGAAUCUGACCUGCACACAUAGUCGAAAAUUGAAGUGAAAUCAAACUCUUUUGUGAAAAAAAUAUUACCAGAUAAUUCAUUCCAACCCAGGUAAAGCCCUUCAAGCUUGGGAAGAUGUUGACACAUAUCAUUAAGCAAACUACCUGAUAGGCUAUUGUUGGAGAGAUCAAUGGUCUUCAGAGAAGAAAUGUUGAAGAUCGAAGUUGGAAUCUGACCUGUAAGGCCUUUAAUUGCUUUAAUACUAAGCAUCUCCAAACCAAGAAGAUUACCGAUUUCCUCGGGAAUUUGACCUGCACACAUAGUCAAAAAAUCAAGGUGUCAAACUAUCUAUUUUGUUAGCAUAAGUCAAAGAGGUUUUCUUUUCUGUUCUACAGUAAUUUGAAGAUGUUAGAUUUUAAUAUAUUUCAGCAUAUGUUUUUCAUCAAAUGAAAUAAAAAGUUUUUCCUUUUUAUUAUCUAUUACAAGUCAAACUCUUUUAUAAAAAAAAAUACUUUAAAUUCAAGAAAUCAAGGAAAUUGAUUACCUUCUAGAUUAUUAAACCGCAAAUAUAAUUCCAGGAGUCGUGUUAGAUUUCCAAUACUUCUUGGAAUGAUCCCCGUCAAUUGAUUCAAGGACAAGGACAAAUUUUUAAGGUUGCUGCAUUUUCCCAUACUUGACGGAAUGUUACCAGAUAACUCGUUGCUAUGCAAGUAAAGCACUUCAAGCUUGGGAAGAUGUUGACACAUAUCAUUAGGCAAACUACCUGAUAGGCUAUUGUUGGAGAGAACAAUGGUCUUCAGAGCAGAAAUGUUGAAGAUCGAAGUUGGAAUCUGACCUGUAAGGCCUUUAAUUGCUUGAAUAUUAAGCAUUUCCAAACCAAGAAGAUUACCGAUUUCCUCAGGAAUUUGACCUGCACACAUGGUCGAAAAAUCAAGGUGUCAAACUACCUAUUUUGUUAGCAUAAGUCAAAGAGGUUUUCUUUUCUGUUCUACAGUAAUUUGAAGAUGUUAGAUUUUAAUAUAUUUCAGCAUAUGUUUUUCAUCAAAUGAAAUAAAAAGUUUUUCCUUUUUAUUAUCUAUUACAAGUCAAACUCUUUUAUAAAAAAAAUACUUUAAAUUCAAGAAAUCAAGGAAAUUGAUUACCUUCUAGAUUAUUAAACCCCAAAUAUAAUUCCAGGAGUCGUGUUAGAUUUCCAAUACUUCUUGGAAUGAUCCCCGUCAAUUGAUUCAAGGACAAGGACAAAUUUUUAAGGUUGCUGCAUUUUCCCAUACUUGACGGAAUGUUACUAGAUAACUCGUUGCUAUGCAAGUAAAGCACUUCAAGCUUGGGAAGAUGUUGACACAUAUCAUUAGGCAAACUAUCUGAUAGGCUAUUGUUGGAGAGAACAAUGGUCUUCAGAGCAGAAAUGUUGAAGAUCGAAGUUGGAAUCUGACCUGUAAGGCCUUUAAUUGCUUGAAUAUUAAGCAUUUCCAAACCAAGAAGAUUACCGAUUUCCUCAGGAAUUUGACCUGCACACAUGGUCGAAAAAUCAAGGUGUCAAACUACCUAUUUUGUUAGCAUAAGUCAAAGAGGUUUUCUUUUCUGUUCUACAGUAAUUUGAAGAUGUUAGAUUUUAAUAUAUUUCAGCAUAUGUUUUUCAUCAAAUGAAAUAAAAAGUUUUUCCUUUUUAUUAUCUAUUACAAGUCAAACUCUUUUAUAAAAAAAAUACUUUAAAUUCAAGAAAUCAAGGAAAUUGAUUACCUUCUAGAUUAUUAAACCCCAAAUAUAAUUCCAGGAGUCGUGUUAGAUUUCCAAUACUUCUUGGAAUGAUCCCCAUAAAUUGAUUAUAGGAGAAGGACAAUUUUUUUAAGUUGCUGCAUUUGCCCAUACUUGACGGAAUGUUACUAGAUAAAUCAUUCCGACUCAGGUGAAGCCCUUCAAGCUUGGGAAGAUAUUGACACAUAUCAUUAGGCAAACUACCUGAUAGGCUAUUGCUGGAGAUAUCAAUAAUCUUCAGAGAAGAAAUCUUUAAGAUGGAAGAUGGAACCUGACCAGAUAAUUGAUUGAAUCCCAAGUUUAAGAUCACUAGAUUAGACAUGUUAACAAGUGUUUCAGGGAUUGUGCCUGUAAAGUUAUUAUUUUUCAUUUUUAGCCUUCGAACUCUCUGUAAGUUCCCAAGCCAUGAUGGAAUUUCCCCAUUCAGACGGUUGUAGCUUAAUUGAAGGAUCCUCAAACGAUGCAAUUGGCCCAAUUCUUUAGGGAGAUGGCCAUAGAAAUGGUUGCUACUCAAGUCGAGAGAGAGUAGAAAUGAAAGAUUUCCAAGGUGUGGAGGGAUAGUACCCCUAAGAUUCAUGCUUGUAAGAUUCAAAGCUAUAACUCUUUUAUGGAGGAUGCCACAAGAAACACCAGUCCAAUUGCAAACAGAGGUUGAGGCCAUCCAAUUGUCUGCCAAGACAUUUUGAGGAUCGGCAAUGCGAUCCUUAAACUCGAGAAGUGCAAAUUGAUCGGAGUUGAGAUUCUUGGCUGUCAUAGCCAAGCAAAGUACGGAACAUGAUAUGAAUAAAGCUAAGAGAAGAUGAAAGCAAGUUUUGUAGUUCAUGAUUGCAAGACGGAAUAAGGCAAGAAAAUAAAAAAAGUAGGAAAAGGGAAGUUGAGUUGAUAAAAUAGUUUGGAUGAUGAAGAAAAGCCCAGAGAGCAUACUUUAAUAUGUUUCAACCCUCGCACACUUGAUAAACUUGAUAAAUAUAUUUUGAUCUAAUAAAUGUAAAAAACUUUUUAAACAAAAUAAGGUUGAAAUAAUCUAUUUGUCCUUAUACUUUGAUAAAAUUUGAGAUUUAGUCCUUAUACUUAAAAGGAUAAAAGUGUUGUAGUUCUUGUUGUUUUUAUUUAAAAAUCUUAGUCCUAUCGUUAAUUUUUUGGGUCAAAAUUUGUCAACUGUACAUAUUAAUUAGGUUUCCCUUAUAUGUUGUUGUAUAUGACUAACACAAAAUAAGCAAGUUGACAAAUUAUGACAAAAAUAAUCAAAGAUGAUAAUAAUUUAAUUAAAAUUUUCAAAUUGAAUUAAUAACCUUUAACAUAUAAGGAAUGGAUAUCAAAUAUUUAUAGGAAAAAAGGGACUAACAACAUAUUUUAACCACAAAAUAAUAUGAGUGAUUAGAAUGAAUCUAAAAGAGACUAACAACAUAUUGAUAACUUUGAAAUCUCCUUCGAUCAUCCUUUUUCUACGUAGAAAAUGAAAAUUAAUUAGCAUCUAAAGUGUCAAUUAAUGAAACCUUCAAAAGAAAAUGUGAAAGUGAUUUAUCAAAAAAUAAUAUUUUAACUUAUAAAAUAUUUAAUUACAUUUAGUAAUUUAUCAAUCAAAAUUUAAUUAACAUCCAUCAAUACUUCAUACAUAAGUAAAUUUACCAUUUAACUCAGAUUUAACUUUGCAAGUAAACUUAAAAUUUUAUUUAAUUUUGUCACUAAAUUUAAUUUGUUCAAUAUAGAUUUUGGUGACUUAAAACAAAAUUAAUAAAAAAUUAUAUUCUUUCAGACAUCUUUUUAAUGUUUAAUAAUAAAAUAAUUUAUAAAAUAUACUUUCAUUGGACACAAGCAAGGCGAUGAACCACUGACCAAAUUAAUUUGGAUAUAUCUUUUUUCCAAAUAAAGUGAAUUUACGAGUUUUGUUUUUUUUUUAAUAUUUUUGUGGAUAUCAAGUGAUACCAAAAAUUAUUUCACUAAGAAAUUUUAAUUCACUUGAAAAGUUAGUGUUUUAUUUCAAGGGGUCAUAAUUAUAAAUUUUAAAUUUUUUGACAAUUGUGUAAUUAAUAAAUACCAAUUUUGACUGUUGUAGGGCUAGUACAAUCUCCCUUACGCAUAACCGACUCUUGAACCUACUAUUUUCUCUAGAAUUUAACGCAGACCUUAAAUUUAUCUUUUAAAAAGAAUUUUAAAAUCUCUAUAUAAAAGGUGUAAAAAUAUAUAUUUUAUUAAUUACUAUAUAUUAUUUUAUUUUCAGAAUAAUAAAUAGUUUAAAAUAUGCUGCUAGUCCCUAUAGUUUAAAAGUUAAAAAGUUUUUGGCAUCUUGAGUGCAUCAAAUUUCUCCUUUUAUUAUUAAAUGUUUUAUUUUAGUUACUCUAAUUAAAUAUAUCCAAAUUGUAAUAGAGUUAAUAUUUAUUAUAUAAAAAAAUAUUUUAAUUUUUUUUCAAUUGUAGUUUAAUUCUAGUAGAAAUAUUUCAUUUAUAAAAUCAUAAAACUUUAAAAUAUUAACUUUGUUAAAUAAAAAAUGAUUUUUUUAAACUGUAAAUUUUGACUUUAUUAACCCAAAUGGGUCUUUAGGGUUAAACUUCAGUAAUUGACGAGCUCUUCCACAAACUGUGGAUGAUUUGGGGAUAAAAACUUCAAUAAUUCUAGAGUUAAAGUGUAAAUUUACUACUAUAUUAUAAGUAAAUAUUGAAAUUUAUCACUAAAUUUUAAUUGAUACUUGUCAUUACACUUUGAAAAUAUAAGUAAAUUUAUCAUUUAACUCAUAUGUGAUUGAAGUUUGCAAGUAAACUUAAAAUUUUAUUUAAUUUUGUCACUAAAUUUGAUUUAUUUAAUUAUAUUUACAACUCAAUAUAGAUUUGGUGACUUAAAACAAAAUUAAUAAAAAAACUAUUCUUUCAGAUAACUUUUAAUGUUAACUAAUAAGUUGAUUUAUAAAAUAUACUUUCAUUGGACACAAGCAUCCAAGGCGGUGAACAAACCACUGGUCAAAUUAAUUUGGAGAUAUCCUUUUUGCGUUUUUCUUUUUUUUUAAAAAUAUUUUUAAUAUUUUUGUGGAUAUCUCCAAAUACCAAAAAUUAUUUCACUAAGGAAUUAAUUAGUAUUUUAAGGGUUCACAAUUAAACUUUAGACUUUUUAUUUUUAAAUUUGGAAUUUUUUGACAAUUGCAUAAUUAACAAGUACUAAUUUAGAGUGUUGCAGGAUUAUUACAACCUUCCCUACACGUAACAGACUCUUGAACCUACUUUUUUCUCUAGAACUCAAUGCAAACCUCAAAUUUAUCUUUUUAAAAGAAUUUUAAAAUAUCUAUAUAAAAGGUGAUUUUUUUACCGAUCACACUUAACAAAAUUUUAAAAAUUAUUAAUUUCUUUUUGAAAUUUAAAGUGAUCUAAAACUAUAUUUUUAAGUGCUUUAGACCAUGCGGUGCUGAUUUCUUUAUUGUAUUAAAUGCUUGCAAUCACUCCUUGUAUCUUAUACUUGAGUUGUAACAAAACCAAUUGUCACGUGUCAUAAUGUUCUACUGAUGCUGAAACUGAAGUUUUUGUUAUAUUAAUAGAGCUUGUCCUUCAACGCGUAUAACAAGUGUUUGUUAUUUUUUCCUUCAAAUUGUAUGAUCUCAUUCAUUAAAUAAAUUAAUGAAUUUCCCUUUAAAAAAUAUAAUUUUAAAAAUUAAAUACUUUAUAAGAUAUUUAAAACUAUUUAAAAAAUUGUAAGCGUUAAAACAAUCAACAAGAUAUAUUUUUCUUUAAAAAAUCAAUAAAAAUAUGUUUAAAAUUUUAUAUGAAAUUAAAAAUUUUUUAACAAUAAUAUAUUUUAAAAUUAUUUACACCUUUUUUUAUAUAUUUUUCCUAACAUAUCGUUAUUUUCAACACUAUCGUAAUCCUAUUUUGAUAAUUCCCUUUCCAUACAUCCUUUUUCUACAUAGAAUUUCAAAAGAAAAUGUGAAUUAAUGCAGACUUGAGAAGACCUAGAGGUAAGUCACCCAAUGAAACUGACCUAAACCGACUUAUGGACCAAUCAAACAAUAAUUUUGUAUCUCAUAAUAUAUUUAAUUACAUUAAUUAGCUUAUCAAUCAAAACUUAAUUAAAAUCCAUCAAUAAAGUUGCUGAUUGUAUGGCUAAGGCAUAUGGAGGCAUAAUUGAGCAGCUGGUUAUCUUGGAAGAUCCUUCGCGUUAUGUAAGAUAUUGGCUUGAAGGAGAUAUUAGACAGUCGUUGGUCACUGAUGAUAAAUUUCAUUUGGAUUGAAGCAGGCUUAAUUUUCUAAGUUUAUGUUCAACCAGAAAAAAAAUCUAAAUUGUAAUAGAAUUAACAUUUAGUGUAUAAAAAAUAUCUUAAAAAUUAUUUUUUCAAUUGCAAUUCAAUUCCACAAAUACUGACGAUGAACCCUGAAACGGACAUGAAAAUUACAAAAAGAAAAAAAGCACAUCUAUUAUCAAACCAGCAAUCCAUGCCUAAACUGAGAGAGAUGAACCCUAUGAUAGAUUGUGACACCCCAAAGUCGACCGGGAUAGAUCGGCCCGAAUUCGAAGCAUUACAUUAGCCACCUAAAUGACUCUCUAGCUAACGACCACCCAAGACACACCCCGACCUUAUAACACCUCAAUCUUAUCUAAUUAUUAGUUAUUUAUUAAUACCAAAGUAAAUUAUGAGCCAAUUUUAAACUUUUCCUAGGUAAUUUAACCUACGGGCAUUUACGUUAUUUUACCACCUAUGGUAAAACUAACCCGAUUUUAGAUCUAAGUGUUUACUGGCCUUCUUUUAGUCAAAUUAUGCAAGGUUAAAAUUUUUAGGUGAUUUUGAGUUCAUUUACUAUGUCUAAUUCAAGUUUUAUUAUUUAGGACUAAAUUGUAACUUAAACAAAUUUGAAUACCAAUUUAAAGAGACAAAAAUUUAAAACCCCCAAAACCACACGAGCAUGUAGGUAAAUGACACGGGAGUGUGGAAACUGGAGCAAUCACACACAGGCGUGUGGGAUUGAAAAAUAUGAAAUAAAUUAAUUAUGGUGUUAAAUUCUUCCAUCAAUUGUACAUAAUUUUGAUUGGUAUAGUAAUAAAUUUAGCCUUCAAUGUUUAAAUAUUUUGUCAUUUUGGCCUUAAUUUUAAAAAAAAAUUCAAGAAAUUCAACCUCAACAUUCACAUAUUUACACAAACGUUGCGGGAAAUUUUUGUUAAAUUAAGACCAAAUUGCAAGUAUAAAUUUUGAGGGCUAAAUUUAUUAUUAUACCAACAAAAACCAUGUACAUUUUAUGGAAAAUUAACAUCCUGAUUAAUUAUUCUUAGUAGCUCACUUUCAAAAUUAAUAGGGACUAAAUUGCUCUGAUUUUUUAAGGGUGACCAAUUUCUUCAAUUUGGAAAUUGAGAGAGACUAUUCAGAUAUUUUACAUAUUUUUUAUAAAUAUAUUUUUUUAAUAUAAAAUAUAGUUGUUCACACACAUCGUGAGUAUGAUAAAAUAUUUUUAUUGUUGAUUGAAUUGGUGUCAAAAAUUAACUCGAGACCAACUCAAGAUUAAGAAUAACAAUAUGAUAAAUAAUUUAUUUAUUUAAUAUUCUGAAUUUAAAAUAUUGAUGUAAAUUUUAAGACAUGCAUGUCUUGUAGAAUUGAGAUUAUACUUUUUGAGUAUUGAGUCAGUUUUCCACAAUUGUGGGUCUCUAUUUGAGCAACACAAUUUCAACAUUUCUUCAUCUCGCUUAAUCCAAAUGCAUUUAGGAUUUUUUUUUUUAUAUCAUUGUUUCAAAAACGAUAAAAAAAAAAGUGGACAUUGAAUUUUCUGUUUCACAUUCAAUUUUUGGAGAAGUAGAAUUUUCUAACUUAUUUUCCAUCAACUUCACUUCAAUUUUCAAUCACAAUCUAUUGCAUUCAAGAGCACCACAUCAUUUUGGAUGAAACAAACCUCUCAAUUUUAAGAUAAACGGAAUCUAUUGCAUUCAAGAGCACCACAUCUUUUUGGAUGAAACAAAGCUCUCAAUUUUAAGAUAAACGGGUCUUUAGGGUUAUUAAUUAAGGGCAUUUUCCACAAUUGGCAUCGUUAUUUGCGGGUGAUUCGGGGAUAAUAACAUCAACAUUUCUGUAUCACAUUUAAUUCAAUUCCACAUUUAAGUUUUAAUUUUUAGAGAGAUGAUUGGGUUACAACAAUGGUUUGAAGUGAAGAUAUUUCAAAAGAAGGCAAAUAUAUCAAUUUUUUAAGGGGUCUUUGGAGUUAUAUGUGACUUUAGCAUUAUUGACCGACUUUUUUAUAGUUAAUCUUUUAUAAUAAGUUAAUUAUAUCAAUUUUAAUAACAUCGACAUGUUUUUUAGUAGGGUCGAUCAAAACCCAAUUAAAACCUUUCAUCACUGCAAAAAUGAAAAUAAUAGAAAUGAAAGACUAGCCAUUGUAUGAGAUUUAUAAUUGUAACUGUCAACGAAAUUGGGAGAAAUUUUUAAAUUUUAUGAAAUUUUAAAAUUAAACUGUCAAUAAUAGAAAAUUGCCUGAGUGACUUGGGAUAAGAGCUUGAACAUUUCUGGAUCACAUUACAUUUAAGAUGGGUCUUUAAGGUUAUACUUUAGUUUUUGAGAACAUUUUCCACAAUUUGCCAUCGUUAUUUGUGGGGUAAGUGGUUGAACACUUCUGGAUCACAUUGCAUUUAGGACGGGUAUCAUUCAUAGACUGACUUUUCUAUAAUUAGUCCUUGCUUUACUUUAGGUGGAUUCUUCCAACUAGUCCAAGAAUUAUUGUACAGUUACAUUUAAUCUUUUUAAAUGAGACAAACAUUUCAAAUUUGUCGUUACUAUUUGUGAGUAAUUUGGGGGUAAGAAGUUUAACACUUCUGGAUGUCUUAUAGAAUUGUGAUUAUACUUUUUGAGUAUUGACUCAGUUGUCCACAAUUGUGGGUCUCUAUUUGAGCAAAACAAUUUCAACAUUUCUCCAUCUCGUUUAAUCCAAAUGCAUUUAUGCAUUUCUUAUAUCAUUGAAUUUGCUGUUUCACAUUCAAAAAUUGGACAAGUAGAAUUUUCUAACCUAUUUUCCGUUAACUUCACUUGAAUUUUCAAUCACAAUCAAUUGCAUUCAAGAGCACCACAUCUUUUUGGAUAAAACAAAACUUUCAAUUUUAAGGUAAACGGGUCUUUAGGGUUAUACGGGGGCCUUUUCCACAAUUGCCAUCAUUAUUUGCGGGUGAUUUUGGGAUAAUAACUCGAAUAUUUCUGGAUCACAUUUAAUUCAAUUUUUAAAUUUUAGAGAGAUGUUUGGGUUACAACAAUUUUCAUCAUUAAGUUUAAUAGAACAUUUGGGAGGAAAAAGAGCAAAAAAAUGAGCGAAAACCGAAAAAUGGGGGCAAAGUAUAGGACCCACACUAGCUGACCUAUUCCACUUGACUGUGCAUCAAUUUCGUAGAUUUGCACUUUGACCUACAAAAAAAUACGAAUUUUAGGCUUUUCGGGCAUUCUAAGAUGUACAUAUGACAAAAAUAAAAAGAUAUAAGAGAACCUUUUAGAAUAUUCAAGAAAACAACUCCAAAGACACCACUAAAGCCGACUCUGAAGCAAAUUUUCAUUAAGAUGGAAGAUUCCUAAUUGACCACUAAAGCCGACUCUAAAGCAGACUUUCAUUAAAAUGGAAGAUUCCUAAUUGAUUUCUUAGGAGAUUAUCAUGAGUUUCUUUAUUCCUUUCAAUUAUACUACCCUUUGGAUGUUUUUAUUUUUAAUCAUGAACUAAUUUUCUAAAUACCUAAGAGAGAUAAACCCUAUGAUAGAUUGUGACACCCCAAAGCUGACCUGGACAACCGACCCAAAUUCGAAACAUUACAUUAGCCAUCUAAGUGACUUUCUAGCUAACGACCAGCCAAGACACACCCUAACCUUAUUGUACAAGCCCAAUUUUGACCAAGACCAAACCAAAUAAAUUAACAGUCCAUAAGAGUCCAAAUUACAACUAGCCUGAUAUGGCCCAAAUAAAAAACAACAACCCAAGCCCAAACCCAACCCUCGUAGCCCAAAGCCCACAAACUAAAAAAUUUCAGCAGAAAAAAGAAAGUUGCUAACCCUACGCGCCAUGCCUGGGUCCUCUGCCACUGACCGCAUGCCUCUGCCACCGUAUCUCACAGCCUCUGCCACGCCUCUGCUGCCUACAAGAAACCAACAAAGCACAAAAUGACAACAGCAAUAGAGGUCAAAUCGAAAAACAACAAAAAAUAGAUUACGAAUCAUUUAGAUUGGCUAUAAAGGCCGAAAUAUUAACCUUGUAAUGCUUCUUCUUUUUUUUUGACGAACAUUAGAAAAAUAAAAAACAGAAAACAAGUUUAGAAGGUAGAUUUUUUUCAUUUUCAAAUUUGCAUUUCUUUUCCCUGUGUAUUUUCUUUUCUUCUAUUUUUUUUUACAUGCAACUAGUAAGAACAAAGAAAGAGAAAGAAAAACCUCGCCUGGAAUAGCCCCUCAAGUCCGGUCGUCGAAGGCCCUUUUCCUGUUGUCAAAAUCGAACCUAAAAAGGGGGCUAGGGUGCCCUCUCCUGGUCUUUUAGGGCAACAUCGGCCACCAGUCAGGUGGCACUACGGCGGCGCUCACGGCCAAAACCGUAGGCCGAGCGGGGUGGGGGUUUGAGAGAGGGAGCUCUCUGAAAUUUUUUUAAACAAAUGGGAUGAAACUGAUUUUCUUUGGGUUUUUUUUUAUUUCAUACUAAGUAUGAAACGGCGACGUUUUGGGCUUAAGCAGCCAUGGCCAAAACGACGCCAUUUUACGUCGUUUCCCCUAUACCCACGCGCGCGACCCGACCCACCAGGGGAUCCGCAUGUUUUUGCUCUGAGGGGAUAUUUGCGCAAUCUGCCCCUACGCCUUUUUGACGUAUUCAAUUCGGUUUUUUAUUAUUUUUUAUUUUAGCCAUGUAUUUUUGCUUCCGAUUCAAGUUGGUCCUUAGACCAUGUGUUGUUCCACAGUUAAAACGCCGCACUUUAGGAUUGGGGAAUAUUUCCCUGAAAGUCCCUCGCGCUUUGAGUGCGUUUCAUUUCGGUCCCGAGCCACCCCUUUUAUUUAUUUGCAAUUUAGACCGCGAGUUCUAAUCCGAUUUCAAUUUAAUCCUUAUUCCAUGUAAUUAUUUUAUUUUCUUUUUCUUUAAAAAUUAAUUUUUUUAUUUAUAAAAAGGACCUCUUUUAUUAUUAUUAUUUAUUUUAAGUUUUACAUAUAUUAUUUAUUUUAAAUGUUUUGCCUAAUAUUUACUUAAUUUUUUUAUUAUAUUAUUUUUUUAAACUACUAUAUAUAUUGCCUCUUAGAAUUUAUAUAUAUAUAUAUUAUUUUAAUAAAAAAUAAAGAAUACUGUUUUUAAUUAUUUUAAACUAUCUUAGUAUUUUUUUUUUCAUUUUAAAGUUUUAUAUUGUUUGUUUGAGACAUUUUGCCAUACAUUUCGAGUUCAUCUCAUAAGUUAUUUGUCUUAUACUAUUACCUACAUAAAAUUGUUCUUUAUUAUUUCAUUUCGUUUGCUUGGACUAUUAAUAUUGAUAUGUUAAAAUGUUGCACGUGGUGUGAUUAUUAUCAUUAUGUACGUUGUAAUUAGUUUAUUUUUUUCGCAUUAUUGCCAUUAUGUGUAUUAUUCCGUUUACUCGUAUUUCCAUGCUAUGGUAAUUCAUUCGUAUAUCAUGUUGUUCGAAAAUUAUUUCACCAUAUUAUAAAUUGUCACCCCAUCAACGCAACCCUUUUGUUCACGCAUUAUUUCAAACAUUACAUUUUUUACCCAAACAUGCAAAAAUGAAAUUUUCAAAUAAGGCAAUAUUUUGUGUAUUGGCGAUUCGAGAAAAUUGUAUCCUAACUUACGGGGUUUCAGUCUUUCUCAUUAAAACUAAUAGCAAAAUACCAUUUUUAAAAUAUCAAAAAAAUGAUGAAAGGAACCUAAAUAAGGCAAUAUUUUGCGUUUGGAAAUUCGAGAAAAUGUACCCUAACGUGCUAGGUUUCGAUUCUUUCGUUUAACCAAAUAGCCAAAUAUUCUCUUAAAAUUUCAAAGUAUGGGUUUUGGAACUGUCGAAACCACUUUUUUUGAAAAACAAAAAAAUUAGUUGUCGACUUUAACAACGAGAAUUGGAGUCAGAGUCGCCACUGAUCUUUUAAUGAGGUGUGAUCGGAUCACCUUGAAAACAAUUUUAGGUCUGCGAAUUUUGAGAAAAUUGAUUCGGGAGUCGGUUACACACGAGGAAGGGUUAGCACCCAUGUAACGCCCAAAAUUGGUACCGAAUUGAUUGUUUAAUGUCUUAGUGUCGAGAAUUUGAAAAGAUUUUAAAAUACAAUCCUUUGAAAAGAAAAUUUGAAUAAGAUGAAUUGGAUGAUGAGACUCACUUAUUUCAAAGAAAUAAAUUGUCACACUCAGUAAGUUAGAAUGCAACAUUUUAAAUCCUCAAAAUUAAGUUUAUCUUUUGACUUUUAAAACCUAUGCAUUUUGAGAAGGAUAUCCGAUUAUUUGGGUCAAAUGAAAAAAUCAAAACCCAAUAAGUUAGGGUUCGAUUUCACAAAAUUCCUAAAUAUCGAAUAUUGCCUUAAUUUUCAUAUAUUAGAAAAAUCCUCGCCUUGAGAAAACAACAUGUCAUAUCCAAUGCGUUAGGACACAACGCAUCGAAUUCCCGAGAAUGAGCUUUUUGUUUAUGUGUUUUAAUUAAAGAAUAAUCUCGAUUAUUUAGAUUCGAUGAGGAAAAUUGGAACCCAAUACGUUAGGGCUCAAUUCUUUCAAAAAUCUCAAAUUCCGAGUGUCGCGUUAUUUUAACAAAACUUUUUGAAUAAAAAUGCUCUCAAUAUUUGAAUGAUAUUAAACGUAAUAUUUUGACAAAUAAAAACCAUGAAAUAAUAACGUACAACGCGAAAUGGUGAUUCAUAAAUUAAUGUACGCUAAUGAACGACAAAGAAUCGAUAGAUACGAGCAAGCAAUACAAUACACGUAAGAGCAAUUAUCUCACAUCAUAUACAAAUAAUAACUUUAAUAUUCAAAAGCUAAUGAACUAAAAACUAAUCUUAAACGAAGCUCCAAGCGAAUUAAUACAAAAAUAUGCAACAAGAUUUGAAGAAUAAAAUAACAUGAAGGAAGGGAAAAUAUAUUUAAAAUAAAUCAUAUAUAUAUAUAUAGAAAUUUGAAGUAAAUUAAAAAUAAGGUUAAAAAUAAAUACUACAUAAAAUAAUAGUAUCCAAAUAAAUUUUAAAACAAAUAUCAUAUAAGAAGAAAAUCAAAUACAUAAAAUAAUAUACAUAUAUUAAUUUAAGAUAAGUAAUAUAUAGGGAGUGAAAAGCUUCAUGUAAGUAAUAAUAUAUGCUAAUAUGCAAAAAGUGAAAUAAACUAAAUAUAUGCGGAUAUUUAAAAGAAGUAAAGUAUCUAUAUAUAGCAAUAGGUAUAAAAAAUAUAUAUAGUUUAAAAUUAAAUAAUAUAUACAUUACGUACAUACAUAUAUGUAUAAUAAAAAUAGUUUAAAAAUAGUAACAAAUAAUAAUGAUAAGUAAUAUAUAUAAAUAGGUAAAUAGAAAUGUAAUCAAAUAUAAUAAUGAUAACAAUAAUAAAUAGUAAUAAAAAUAAUAAUAGUAAAUUAAUUAAUAGCAAAAAAUAUCAAUUAGGACUAAAUUGGAAUGAAAAUAGAAAUUUUGGGGCCAAUCCGCAAUAAAUAAAAACAAAAAGGGGCCGAAUUGGGUGCGCGAGGAACAAUGAGGGAGUAAAGCGGAAACUCCAAAACGCUGCAUUGCGGCAUGGACUAAAAUAAAACGAAAAUCAAAUUAAAGGGCGAAAAUUAAAAAGAAAAGAAUCGAUUCGAACAUGCCACAAAAGAGAGAGGACCAUUUGCGCAAAUCUCCCAACAGAGGCCAAAACGCGCGGAUCCUUCCCCGGGUCGGGUCACCGCACGGGUCAUGAGCUACCAAACGGUGUCAUUUUUGACGUAUGGAUAACGUAAAACGGUGUCGUAUUACACUAUUAUUUAAACAAGGUUUUAAAUAAAAAAACAAAAAAAGACAAAUGCUGCCUACGUUUUAAAAAAAAACUGCUUGUUCUUUGCUAGGGUUUUGCCCUAGCUUCUGCGCCGCUCGAACGUACUGCCGUUCAGAAACUUACAAUCCUCGUCCAAACUCCAAUCGCAAUGAAGCGAACAAGGGUGCGACGGCCACCCUAAAGGUAAAUCUUCACUUCUCUUUUCUCUUUUAUUAUUUUCGCAUAAAAACGAAGCGAAUAAGUAAAAUAAAAUAAAAUAAAUAUGAGAAUCACCUUAAAAAACAAUGAUAUUCGAUUUCUUUUUUCUCUUUUUUGUAUUUAGUAUUCGUAACCGUUUACAGAUUUGGUUGGCUCUUUUUAUAGAUGAAAUUAGUGAGAAAGAGAAAAAAAAUCGAAGAAUAUUUUUUUUACAUUUUUCCUUAUUUACUGCUAUCUUCUCUUAUUUGCUAUCGAUUUCUGCUCUUUUUGUUUGCUUGUCCUUCUUGCAGUUAUGGCAUACGGAGGGUGGACGUGGUGGCCACAAAGGCGCGCGUGAGGCGUGGCUCGACUGCUCGGCUGAAGUUGUAUCAGAAACCGCUAGGGUUUUCUGAUUCCUUCUUUGUUUUGGGCUCAUUGGACUAAAAGUUUUUAGGCUAGUGGGCUAGGUUAAAUUUAGGUUUUGGGUUAUACUUCAUUUAUUGAGGGCCUUUUUAACAAUUGCCAUCAUUAUUCGCGGGUGAUUUGGGGAUAAUAACUUGAACAUUUCAGGAUCACAUUCAAUUCAAUUUUUAAAUUUUAGAGAGAUGUUUGGGUUACAACAAUUGCCAUCAUUAUGUUUAAUAGAACACUUGGGAGGAAAAGGAACAAAAAAAUGAGCGAAAACCGAAAAAUGGGGGCAAACUAUAGGACCCACACGGGCUGACCUAUUCCACUUGACUUUGUGACCCUCACGGUCGCGUGGCAAACCACGUCAAUUUCAUAGAUUUGCACUUUGAACUGCGAAAAAAUACGAAUUUUAGGCUUUUCGAGCAUUCUAAGAUGCAUAUAUGACACAAAUAAGGAGAUAGGAGAGAACCUUCCUAGAAUAUUCAAGAAAACAACUCCAAAGACACCACUAAAGCCGACUCUGAAGCAAAUUUUCAUUAAGAUGGAAGAUUUCUAAUUGAUUUCUUAGGAGAUUAUCAUGAGUUUCUUUAUUCAUUUCAGUUAUACUGCCCUUUGAAUGUUUUUAUUUUUAAUCAUGAACUAAAUUUCUAAAUACCUAAGAGAGAUGAACCCUAUGAUAGAUUGUAACACCCCAAAGCCGACUGGCACAGACCGGCCCAAAUUCGAAACAUUACAUUAGCCACCUAAGUAACUUUCUAGCUAACGACCACCCAAGACACACCCUAACCUUGUAACACCUCAAUCUUAUCUAAUUAUUAGUUAUUUAUUAAUGGCAAAGUAAAUUAUAAGCCAAUUUUGAACUUUUUCUAGGUAAUUUAACCUAAGAGCAUUUAAGUCAUUUUACCACCUAUGGUAAAACUAACCCUGUAAUAGCCAAUUUUGGAUGGCCCGAUAAUAAAAAGUCCAAAAAUCAAAGUCCACAUAGUUGAAUUACAUAAAUUGACCCAAUACACAAACCAAAACUAAACAUCUAGCCCGAAUAGCCCAAUAACCAAAAAAAUAAUAAGCCCAAAACCCCAGGCCCAAUAAACUCUGACCUGAUUUGAAGAACACUCCAGAAACCCUAAGGGUUCCUGGAACCUUUCAGCCACCACAGCAACCAGGGCCCUUCCUCGCAUGUGUAGCGCCUCCGCGCACGUGCGCCUCCUCUAGCUGGCUCCUGCAACAGAACACACGAGCAGCAACAACAAGUAAAGCAAGGGAAAAAUAGAAUAACAGCAAAAAAGAAUAAAAUAAUAGAAAAAAAGAUGUAAAAUAAUUUCUGUAAUUUUUAUUAUUCGGCUAUAUAAAGUCAUUGGUGAUACUGUAAAAAAGGAUUACGGAUUCAAAAGAAAAGAAAAAAAAUCAAAUAGCAUUAUAUUUUUAAUGUUGUUUCUGAUUUCUACUUCUUUUUUCUUUUUCCUUUGAUUUGUUUAUAUUUGCUGAUUAAAAGAUAAAAAAAGGGGAAGUUCUUACUUACAUAUUGCCCUGCCGGAGCCUUCAUCCCUUCUGUUUCAAAUCGGAAUUGGGUGGGCAAUGGUCUAAUUGAAAACGGCACACAGAGGGUAGAUUUUAGGGAAAUAGUCAUUUUCACUUAAUUAACCAUGCAAACAUCAAAAUUUCUCAAUGAAAUUUUACUACGACCUUAAUAAAAUCCUGUAGACAGUAAAUAAAUAAUAAAAUAUUAAUUUACUUGUCAAAAUUGUGGUCUCAAAACCAUUGUUCUGAUAUAACUGAAAACGUGCUGUUACCACUCUCCCCCUAAAGGAAUUUUUGUCCCCGAAAAUCUAACUAGAAAAUAAGUUCUGGUAUUGUACUUUCAUAGCUUCUUCUGGUUCCCAGGUAGCCUCUUCUAUUUUGUGACGUUUCCAAAAAAAUUUAACUAAAUCUGUACUUUUAUUUCUCAAUUCUUUAACUUCCUAAGCUAAAAUUCUAAUUGGUUCUUCACUGUACGUCAUACCUAGCUGGUUAUCAACAUCUGCUGGUGAAAUCACGUGUGAAGGAUCUGAUUGAUAUCAUCGUAAUAUUGAUACAUGAAAUAAAUUAUGAAUAUUCUCUAACUUUGACAUCAAAGCCAAUUGAUAAGCUACUGGUCCAAUCCUCUUAAUGAUCUUAUAUGGACCGAUAAAUCGCAGACUAAGCUUUUCUUUUCGACAAAAAUGGAGAACUUUUCUCCAAGGCGGUACUUUUAGAAAUACUUAGUCCUCGACUUGAAACUCUAUAUCUUUUUUUGUUCAAAUCUGCAUAAGAUUUCUGACGAUCAGAAGUAGCUUCAAAUUGUCACGUAUCACUUAACCUUUACUUUGGUUUCUCAAAUCAAAUCAACACUGAAUAACUUUUUCUUGAUCAGCUCCAAUAUAACAGAGUUCGACAUUUCUGACUAUAUAAAGGUUCAUAUGGUGCCAUUUUAAUGCUCACCUAAUAACUGUUAUUGUAUGGAAAUUCAACCAAUAGUAGAAAUCUCUUCUAGUUACCUUCAAACUCUAAAAUACAACAUCGGAGCAUGUCUUCAAGUAUCUAAAUUACUGGCCAAGACUGGCCAUUAGUUUGUGGAUGAAAUGCUGUAUUGAAAUGCAGUCGAGUAUCCAGAGCUUCAUGUAACUUACCCUAGAAUCUAGAAGUAAAUUGUGGAUUUCUAUCAGAGAUAAUGGAUACCGGCACACCUUGUAAUUUGACAAUCUCAAAAACAUACAAUUCUACCAACUUCUGAAAUGAAAAAUCCAUACGCACUGGAAUGAAAUGUGUGAAUUUCAUCAAAUGAUCUACAAUAACCCAAACAACAUCUUUUUUUCUCAAAGAUAGAGGCAAUCCUGAUACAAAAUCCAUUGUAACAUGUUAGACUUUUGUUAGGUAACUAAUGGAAGAGUGAUAAAAAUAUUUAAAUUUGAAAAUUUGAGUUGCUAAAAAGAAAAGUUCAUAAUUAGGUGAUCAAAAUAGAAUGAAUUGAAUAGUUGUGAGACUAUUCUUGUACUUUACCCUUUAAUUACUUUUUUUUAUGGAUAUGUAUUAUUAAUUUUAAAUUUAUAAUAAUGCAUUGCUAAAUAAUUGCAAAAAAAAAUUAUAGACAUUAAUUUUUUGGAGAGGAUAGGCAUCUCUAAAUAAUGAUUAUUUAGAGUUGAAAAUUGUCCAUAAAUAUUUUUGGCAAUUUGUUUUUGAGGUGUAUGGUUGAUAAAGUAUGAUCGAUAGAUUAUGAAGUGAAGCUAAAUGUGUGUUUGACUGGGUGAAAUGUAACACCUUAAACUCAGCCUAGACGUUACGACCAGAUCAGGAAGUGUUACGUAAUUGUUUGAAAAUUCAGUUCUCAUAUAAUUUUGGAAUCCGUUUUGAAUUCUUAAAAUUUCAAAUUAUUUGAAAACAUUCUUUGUCUAGCUAUUUUGUUGAAAACACUAUUUGCUUAUAUUAUAAAACUCAUAAUUUUGCAGCGGAAAAUUCUUUAGCAUUUUUUUUAAAAUGCUAUCCUUAUUUCUUGAAAUUCAUUACUUUUGUAGGAAAUAAAAGUGAUUUUUAUUGAUAAAAUAUUUUAACGACAUUUUAUGUAAAUCGAAAAUAAAAACCUCAAAAACAAAUCAGAACAGUCAAAAAGUCCAAAAUUUACAAAACACCAAAAUUCCCAAAUUUUAAAUAAUUAAAAUAAAUGCAAUAUCUUUUAUAACCGAGCUACCCUCGCACCGACCCGCCUAAGUUUGAGGAUUACUUGAAAGUAUCAUUUAAACAGAAAGUGAGUUUAUGAAACUCAGUGUAAAACAAUUAACUUAAAACAGUUAAAGCAUAUCAAACAAAUUUAACAGUAUCAAAGUCUUAACAAAACAAUACAGAUACAUAUUUAUUUUUCCUACCCCCAUCUGCUACACACCAUCUCCGACCAUCCCAACACACCAUAUGGGGUAUAAAACACCCAUCUAACCCUACACAUCACUUAGUGUCGUUUAAGAAACUUACAGAAGAAUCGUAGUUGCACUACCAGAUAAAUAGGUGAAUUAUCACCUUUUCAAAUAUACUUCCUCCACAUAGUAAAACCCAUCAUAAUAACAGAUACAGUACAUAUCAAUAAUCAGUAAUAAGCAUAACACAUACAUAUAGCAUCGAUGCAUAACAUAUAUAUAGUACUUUUACCAGUUUUCCUAUAGCCCAUUACAUAAUUUACUCGUCAUAUGCAGCUUCAGAUACAGAACAAAUAUCAAAAUUCAUGCGAACAGAUGACUAACUUUUUAUAUUUUUUAGUCCAUUUAAGCACAUAUUGACCCCAUGGAAGACCCAUAGUCGAUCUAAGUGACGUGAACGGUCCUGAGGAAAGUUUUAGAAUGUUGGGCCCAUACGCCCUGUGUAGCCUACAUGGCCCAAAUUGCUCAAACCGUGUGUCACACACGGUCCAACACAUGGCCUGUCACACAACCAUGUGUUGCACAUGGCCUACCAUAGGACCUAACACAUGACCGUGUGGCUCUGUUCGCUGAUUUUCAAGUUUCUCGUUACACUUCUGAUUCUAUUUUAACACGAAAGCAGCCACAAGAUAACCAUUACCUAAUACGAAAACCAAAUCACCAAAUGAGACAAUUUUUCUCAAACCCGAUUUACAAAAUCAAUUUUACCAAUAACAAAGUUAAUGAUGAAAUUCAGUCCAAAUCUCCAACCUUGAUUCUUACCCUCAAGAAAAAGUAGUCCAAAUAACGAUUCUAAGUCGUCGAGUAACUAAUCGCCUUGUGAACUACACCUAAAACCAAAACAAUUGAUUAACAUCGAUAAAUCACACCAACCAGAACUCAACAUAAUCGAAGCUAACGAAGGCAAGAUUCCAUAACAGAAGAGAAGUAGGCAAUACUUAUGCACGAAUCAAAUUACACUUAACAUAGCAGAGUAUCCACCACCGAUUUGGAAAGGCAUAAAGAACAACAUUCAAGAAUGAACAAAAGAUUGAGAAAAGAACAAGAGCAGGAAAAAGAAACGAAAAUUGAGGGCCUUCUCUACUAAAAUCCACGUGAAAGAAAAGAAAGUAAUAAAGAAAAAAAAAUAGAACCAGAAAGCAAAAAAAUCGAGAACAUGUAAACAAAUGGGAGCAAAAAUUGGGGAUUGAAAUUAUUUUAAUCAAUUAAUUCCCUGCCAUUUAAAAAAACAAUAAAAUAAAAUAAAUAUCUUAAUAACCACCCACUAAACUUAGAUAAGUACCCAGAUUCUUUUCAAGAAUUUGAAUUUAAUCUAAACUUAUCCACUUGAAUAACACAAAGCAUAAAAUAUUUCGCUUGCUUGCAUGGAAGCUUGAAUACAUGACCAAUGAGUACUCAAGAAUUUAACCACUAAACCAGUAAAUUUAUUCUUGUCAUAGAUUUAAUGAUAAUAAUAUUUAAGCUGGAUAAACAGAGAUAGACUUAGAAACAAAAAUAAUUGAAAUUUUCUAAAGAAGUGCAACUUAAACCCAAGACCUCAAACUCACAAGACACUUCACCACUAAAACAAACACUUUCUAAUGACAAAUUUUAUCAAAUUAUGUAUACGAAAUUUGGGGUGUUACACGGAAAGUGGAGGGAUGGGAGGAAGGAGUGAACAAGUGGAAAAAAAAUAAAUUUUGAGUAUGCUUAAUUGAAAAGAAAGUGAGAGGAAAGAAGAUAAGAGAAAUGAUCAUUUUCCAUUCCAAUGAAUAAAAAUGAAUCAUUCCAAAUUGGAAAGAUGAGAUGAAAGAAAAUGAGAAAUAUGUGUAUGAUAGUUUAAAAGAAUGUAUUUUUGAAAUGAUUUAUUUUCUUUCAUUUCAUUUUUUCAACUCUACCAAACAAUGAAUGGAACUGGAGUAAAAAUUAAAAGUAGAAAACUAGAAGAAUGAAAAAAUAAUUUUUAUUUUUAUUUUUCUAUUUUUCCUACCAAACACAUCUAUGAAAUUUUCCACCCGUUAAAUCUUCCAUUCUUUCAAUUUUUGUUACAGUCUAGAAAGCAAAACUUUAAUGUUGAAAAUUUAAUUCCAUAGCAGAUAGAUUACGAAGUGAAACUAAACGCUAAAAUGAUUAUAUUAUGAAUAUGAAAUCUCCAUUAAUUCUGAAACUGUAUUACCAAUGGAGAAGUAUUGAUUUCUAAUUGUAAAAAUGUGAAGAGAACAGGUUUACUUUUACAAGUAAGAAUUUUUUGAGCAUCCUUCAUAUUUUUACAAUUAAAAGCCAACUCCAUAGUCAAUUUGCUUUGAGAAUGAACUGUGUAUCUUCAAGACUUCCAGCUUCAGUACAGAUUAAGUUGAGCAUUGGAUGAACUUGCCAAGGCUUCUCAGACCAUUGCACUUCUUCCACUAUAUUCAGCAUUUCUUGAAAAUAUUCAUGCAACACUAUUGGUAACAUGGAUUUCUGACAUUAGAAAAGUAGCAAAAUUUGUGGAACUUUGAUAGCCCCAUUGACAAUAAGGAAUGAUGGGUUCCAUUCUUCUUAUUAAUCUCCCUUUUUUCCCCUUGAUUAAGCACUGGUUAUUUGAAAGCAAAACACAUAGUUGGAUUAGAUUGUAAAAUUAGCACCUAAAAACAUAAUUUUCAUUUUAGCACAGGGUGAUUUAGAUGAAACAACUCUAAUUUUUAAAACAAAUGCUGAACACACAUUAACUGAAAGGAACAAACCUGAAGAGGCAAGGAAGCUCAACCAAGACCACUGUGAUCUAUUUGUCUCAACAUUAAACAAUUAAAGAAGAUUAGAUAGAAACUUAGAGAACACUUCCAAAGAUAUAAGCUUUCUUCAAUUCAUCAAACGAUUACAUAAAUUUCUUAAAUUGCAAUCAAACAUAACAAACCUUAUACUUGACUAAAAGUAAACCAGCUUCCCCAUCAUUUAGGCUUCUCUACCAAGCAAUGUUUCAAAUGUUAUAAGGCUCAGCAUGGAACUCAUGGAUAGGUUUUAGGAGGCCUCUCUGAUACAGAAACAAUAUGAAGUGCAUUAACAGAUCAACAACUCCUAUUGGUAGGAAAUUCAAACAUCCUUAGUUUAAGAAAAUUACAUUUUAAUAGAUCAAAUUCAGUAUAGAAUAUCUUUACCUUGUUCUUAGCUUGGCGCCUUUGACUUGUCAGCCAUCUUACAAUACGAUUCAAUUGCUUUAACUCACCCUCUGGGGUUCGAUACCUCAAAAACUUUUAACGCCAAUGACAAGAUAACAAAUAAUUUAACAAGUAAAUGAAAUUGAAAUGCAUACCUUAAAACUCCUUUUUGGUACAAAAGUAAAAACACAUUUUACAGAAAAGAAAGCAAGGAAAAAUCCAAAUAUAGAAGUACAACAAUGUUGAAAUCCCAAGAAAAGAUAAAAGAACAUAAAAAUUAACAAACACAAGCAACUAAGUAGACAAAUAAUCAGUCUAACACAUAGAAAUAACUUAAUCCCUCAAUGCUAUCAUAGAGUGAAAUUGUUGGAAGGGUCUGCUUCUGCUGUUAGUUCUGCUGUUGAGAGACUUGCAAAGAGAUAUCCUAGUACACAAGGGCAAAUGAGUGAGCAAAGAGUUUACGUAUUAUAUAUAGAACAUGAUUCAUCGAGGAUGAAUCUUAUAUAUAUAUAUGGUUAAAAUACAAAAAUGAAAUUAAAUAUGGAGUUAAACACAUACCAAAAGUAAGUUAAUAACCACAAGCAUACUCAUCGUUCGAUGAUGUUUAGAAACCUUUGUUUGAUCUUCUUUAGCUCAAACACAACAUCCUUCAUAUCUUUUCUUUCUUCUGGCAACUCAGCUGAACAAUCCAAAGCUAACUCCAUGAUAGAAGAAAUACAAUUUGUGUUGGUGCAAGAGGCAGCAGCAAGCUGAUUUCAGCUUUGCUUAAACAGCAAGUCUCGAGGCUUGCAGCAGAAACAAUCAAGGAAGAAAAACUUACAAUGGAAAACAGAAAAGAAAGAGAGAGAUUUGAAUGAAAAUGAGCUAAAUUUUCAUUAACAUUUUUAAGAAGGCAUGAUGCCAAUACAUAUAAGGGAUUACAAUAGCAAAACAAACAAGUUACCACCUAAUAACUUACCUAACACCACAAAUUUGCCUAGUAACUUGGUAAACUUGUUUGAAUACAUAAACAGCUACCUAAACUUGUCAUUCAUGACUUAAUUACAUCAAAAUGCAGCUACCAACUAAGUUUGAUCCUAACUAAAUACAAAACAUUCAUUUAAAGAAACUAAAUGAAUAGCUUCAGCUUGCUGCACCAAUUUGCUGUUGAAGCACGUUCCCUGCAUGGCCACCUUUGCUGCUGCAUGGGAGCUGACUUCAACACUCCUCCUCAGCUUUUAUGCAGCAGACUCCUAGUUCCCUCUUUAGGCUUAGAAAUCUUGAUACACCAAGAGACUUUGUGAAGAUAUCAGCAAUCUGAUUUUCAGAGCUGCAAUGAAUCAGCUCAAUUUCUCGAGCUUGUUCCAUCUCCCUUAUCACAUGUAGUUUAAUAUCGAAGUGUUUUGUCCUACCAUGGAAGACAGGAUUUUUGGCAAUAGCAACUGCUGACUUGUUGUCACAAUGUAUCACAGUUGCUUCAUUCUGCUGUAGGUUUAAAUCACUCAAAAUUUUUCUCAGCCACACAGCUUGAUUAACAGCAUUAGCAGCUGCUACAUACUCAGCUUCAGCUGUUGACUGAGCCACCAUUGUUUGUUUUCUUGAGCUCCAACAAAUCAUUGCAGAGCCAAGUGUAAAAGCAUAACCAGAGGUGCUCUUCAUGUCAUCUUUUGAACCAGCCCAAUCGCUAUCUGUAUAGCCAAUCAAUUUCAACUCCUUGACCCUUUUGAAACAUAUACCAUGGUUCAAGGUACCUUUGAUAUACCUCAGAACCCUUUUUCCUGCUUUGUAAUGCUGCUGAUUACAGCAAUGCAUGAAUCGUGACAGCAUGCUCACAGCAAAUAGAAUAUCAGGUCUUGUUGCUGUCAAAUACAACAAACAGCCAAUAAGGCUUCUAUAAUCUGUUUCACAGACAGAUUCAUGUUCCUCUUGGCUCGAUAGCUUCAUGCCAAUAGCCAUUGGUGUGCUCAUUGGUUUACAAUUCUCCAUUGAGAAUUUAGCCAGCACUUUCAAGGCAAAUGUCUUUUGUUUCAAGAGGAUUCCUCCUUCUACUUGAUUGACUUCUAAGACAAGGGCUCUAGAUACCAAUAAUUUGCUUUAAUAACAAAAUUAUCAUCCUCUCUUCUUAAUAAAUCAGCAUCCACAAUGUCUAUCAUUCCUUCAGAUAAUAAUCUUUUCACCCAAUGCCUUAUGGUCAUUUCAUCACCAAAAAUUUCAUCUGUUGGCCUUUUCCUAGUGAAAGUUUCUAUGAGGACAAUUCCAUAACUAUAGAUGUCACAUUUUAUAGAAACAAUUCCCGUUGAUCCAAAUUCUGCAUUUUAAGCAUAAGUAAUCCUGGAUUAUUUCUAAUAUGUUUACCACUAUAUAUAGACAUACACAAAAAAUAAUCAUUAAUUAAAAAAACUCAAAAAUUCACCUGGUGCCAUAUAACCAAUAGUUGCAAGAGUCAUGGUUUGCUUCACUACAUCACCUUCUCCCAACAAUUUCGCAAUGCCAAAAUCUCCCACAUGAGCAACCAUGUCUUCAUCUAGUAGAAUAUUGCUUGGUUUUAGGUCACAAUGAAUUACAGGUGUUGGAUGUCCAGUGUGGAGAUAUUUUAGAGCAGCCGCAACAUCUACCAUUGUGUUGAUCCUUUGUAUGAUAUCAAGGAAACAACUGUUUGAAUGUAACCAUUUCUCAAGAUUUCCAUUAGACAUGAAAUCAAGCACCAAGGCUUUGAAGUCAACAUUGGAGCAGCAAGUAAUGACCUUGACAAGAUUACGAUGAACUAUGUUACGCAUAGCUUCACAUUCAAUGUCAAAGCUCCUAAAUGCUCCUUCUAUUUGCAAAUUGAAAACUUUUAUUGCAACUUCCAUUCCAUCCGAAAGCCUCCCUUUAUAUACAUAUCCAAAACUUCCUGAACCAAGCAUAUUGUGCUCCUCAAAUCCACUAGUUGCCCGUGAAAGUUCGGCAUGUGAAAUUCUUCUCCAUGUUCCCAAACAUAGUGAAUCAUCCGUAAUUGGUAGAGUUGUACUCCUAAUUCGGAAUCUUCUAUAUAUAAUAACUAAGACUAGUAGUAACAUGACAAUACAAAUUAUUGGUAAACCGUACCUUAAAUCAUGCAAUACACCCAUCUUGGAAUUUUUGCGGAUGUCAUUUUUGCAAGGUGGGACUAGCAAUCUUGGUGGACCACAAAGUGCAUAAUUCUUCAUGAAUGAUGUGCUUGGAAAGUUUGGAAAACAUCCUUUGCUAGGAAUUUCCCCUUCAAGUCUAUUGAAGGACACAUUAAAAUACUUUAGAUAUAAAAGCUUUUCCAAAGAUUUGGGAAUAACUCCAGAGAGAUUGUUAUUGCACAAAUUCAAAAAUGUCAAACUAAUCAAACCACCAAAUGAUUCGGGGAUAUGACCAUGUAUAUUAUUUGAUAAAUCUAAGAAAACCAAAGUUUCAAGACCCCCAAAUGUGGACAAGAUAUCUCCUGUGAAAAGAUUCCUUGAUAAAUUUAGUUUCAGCAGACUCCUCAAAUAUCCAACAUCAAGAGCAUGUGAACCGUUAAGGUAAUUUGAUGAUAAAUCUACUUCUAAGAUAUCUUUAAGUUUCCACAAAGUUGAGGGUAUUGCCGAACUCAAUUUGUUGGAAUUUAAAUAAAGAUAUCUCAAAGAAGUAAUAUUACCCAAACAAGAGGGUAUGGAUCCAUCCAGCUUAUUCAACCCUAAAAACAUCUCGUAUAGUCUCUCCAAACCACAGAGGCUUUUUAAGAUAGGUCCUCCUAAUUUAUUAGAGUAAAGAUCUAGACCUUGGAGAUUUUUCAUUCCUCCAAUUGAUGUCGGAAUAAAACCACUUAAUUUAUUAUGGCCAAGUUGUAAAAGUAAUAGGUUGCUUAAGUUACCUAUUUCUAUUGGAAUAUUGCCUUUAAGCUCACAAUCAGUAGCGUAAAAGUAUAUAAGGGAUGCUGAAAGGUUCCCAAUAUUAGUAGGAAGAGUGCUAUUCAAAGCAUUUUCUAAAAUAUCUACUCUUGUCAAAUUCUUGCAAUUUGUCAAAGAAGAAAGAAAGGCCCACUCAUGAUUUAUAGUAGAUCCCAUGGUCAAAUAGUUGUUUGUUAUUCGGAACCAUUCAAGGUGUCGUAAGUUACCAAACGUUUCAGGAAUUGGGCCAGAGAAGAAGUUAUCUCCCAAGUCUAGAACCUUAAGCAUGGAAGCAUUCAAGAUAGAGUUGGGAAUGUUUCCGAGAAGUUUAUUUCGACGCAACGAAAGAAAAUUCAGCUUUGGAGCCUCGAUCAUGGGUGGCAAGGUACCUGUAAAAGUUUCAUCUUUUAGUGUAUAUAUAUAUUCUCAUUCAAUACCAAAUUCUCGAUAUAUAUAUUACACAAAUACAUUUUUAAAAGGAAAAAUGUAAAACUUCAAAUCAAAUAAAAAUAAAAUUUUCACAUGGAAAAAUGCAAUUAAAUCAAUCUUAAAAAUGACACAUAAUAAGAAGUUCUGAAUAGUAAUUAGUCACUUAUGAUUUGUAUUAAAUAAUAAAAAUAAAUAAAACCAUUUUUAAUAAAGGGUGCAUAAAAAAUUAAAAUAAAAUUUUGAUUAAUUGAUAAAUUUAAGGUUUUAUUAUUGAUGUGAGUUCAAAUCUCACCAUAAUUUUUUUUUACUUUUUUUAAAUAAAAAGUAUUAAAUACCUUUAAAUAAUAAAAUUUAUUUUAAAUACAAAAGGAUAUUAUUAUAAUUGCUCUAAUCGAGUUUGUGCUUGGUUAACUCAUGACACUUAACCAAGCACCAACUUAAUUAGAAACUUAAAUUACAACAUAGAUAUUCACAUGCACCAAAAAAAGUAAAAAAAAAAAUUAGUUUCUAAUAACAAAUUUUAAUGAUUUAUAUAACAAGUAACUUUCUAAUUCACAUAAUUUUUUUAUAAAUAAUAUAUUUAUAUAAUCUAAUCUAUUAUAUUUAUAUUAAUUAUAUAUCAUCAAUGAAUCAUCAGUAAAUUUUUAUGAUCAAUUUACUGAUUAUUAAGUAAGAGUAAAAAAUUAAAUUAAAUAAUGAAAAACUAUUUUUUACAUUUGGUACAUAUGCUUUAUGAUGAUAAUUAAAAAAAAGUAUUAACACUAUUUCUGAAUUAACAAAAAUAAUUAAUAUAUUUUAAUUAUAUUUAUUAUUUAUUAUUUUGAAUAAUAUUGCUUUUUUUAAUUACAUGAAAUAAAAACAUAUUAUAUAUUAAAUAUGAUACAUAUGCUUUAAUUAUGGCUUAAAUUUUAUUAAUAUAUUUGAACUAUUAAAUAAACUAAAAUAUUUUAAUUAUGUUUAGCCGUGUGAAUAAAAAACUAAUUAAAAAAUUAUUUAAAAAAUUAAAUGUGUAAAAUCAAGUGGAAUAUCAUAAUCUAUGUAUAUGAAUGUAUAAUGUGAGAAAUGAUUAUAUGAAAUUGAGAUAUCAUGCCAUUUGUGUUUCUAGUAAUUUAAUGUCAUUUCAUUAUUUUCAUCUUAAAUUUCAGCAUAUCAUGUUGGAUUUGAUUUUUUUUUUCAAGAGAAAAAUGUUGAAAUGACAUUAAAUCAUUAAAUUAUUAAAAAUGAAUACAAAUGACAUGGUAUCCCAGUUUCAUACAAUCCCUUUUCAUGUAUAUGUAAUAUGUGGUUGUUUCAAUUUUUAAAAUAAAAUAUAUUUUCCACAUUGGUUUCUUUUCUUCCAAAGAUUAAGUAUUUCUAAUAUUUUUAUAUUUGUUGCUUAUAUAAAAUAGAUUAGUUUAUGCAAUAAAAAUUUAAUUACUUUUUUUAAGCUUAAUGGAAAUUAAAAGUUUUAAAAUAAAUCAAUUCAAAUAAAUUUUAUUGUUUAUUAUCAAAUUAAUAAAUUUUAAUGAAGUAUAUGAUCAAAAAAGGAGAACAAAUGAAAGUGAAAAACAUACCUUCCAAAUUGUUGUCAUAUAGAUAUAUUCCUUCGAGCAUAGUUUAAUUAAGGGUCAGUUCUUCAUUACUUUUGAAAAGUGUUUUUGAAAAGUUUAGUUUCAAAUUUGAGUGUUUAGCAUUGCUGUCAAAAAGUAGUUUUCGGAAAUAAAAUGUCCAUUUUAGACAUGUUAUUAUCAAGUAACAAAUAUGCAUUUAAAUAAUAUUUAAAUUAGUUAAUAUUAUUAUAUUUUAGUAAGAAUAUAAAAAAAUAUUAUAACUUGUUGUUAAUAUUUUAAUAUAUGAAAUAUAAAUUUUAAAUAUUUUUAAGAAAUAAAUAUUAAUUAUUUAUAAAAUUUAAUUAGAAUAUAUAAACUAUAUUUUAAAUAUUUAAAUACAACCAUUAAAUAUUUGUAAUUAGUAUUUUAAAAAAUAUUUUUUAUUUUUAAUUAAUGAUUUUAACACAUUUGUAAUUAAGCACCAAGAAAAAAAAGGAAAAUACUAUGUUAUUGGAGGGUUGAAAAAGUAAUUAAGCACCAAAAGUGCUUUUGAGGAAGGAAAAGCUAAAAUUUUUAGCUUCUCCUUCUCAACUCCUUUUGAGAAGUGCUUUUCAAAAGUACUUAUGAAAAGCUAAAAAUGAGACUAACACUGAAUAAUAAUUAGUUAUGAUUUGGGAAACAAAAAUGUUAAAGCCAUUAUUUAUCUUUAUUAAAUUAUAGUGUAAAAUUUAAAGAUUAUUAUCUUCUCAAUUUUUUUUUUAUUUUUCGUAUAUUUGAAAUUUAAUCUUUAUAUUUUUUAUUUUCUAUGAUUUAGUCUCUCUACUUUUUGAAUUGAAAAUUUUAGGUUCAUUUAUUAAUACAGUAAAAAAAGUUUUUGUGUUAGUAUGGCAUUUUGAAAAAUAAAAUAAACUUGAUAUCUAUGUUUUUAAUUAUUCCAAAUAUUGUUUUAUUAUUUCAAGAUAAAUUAUUUGUGUCUAGACCAAUUUCUUAAGAACUAUUGUUGCAUGUUUAAUUAUUCAAAAGAAUUGUUGAUUGAGUCUUAGCUUGAUUGGCAUGUGCAUUGUUACCAAUGUAGGAGAAUGUGGGUUCAAGUAUGUUGAAGUGUAUUAUUCUCUUGUUUAUAAAUUGGGGAGUUGGUUAAGUAUUAAAUUUUGAUAUAUUUUAAAAUAUUAAAAAUUUUUUAAAAUAUUUUUUAAAAAAAUUGAUUGUACCACAAUAUACAAUUUUAAUAUAAAUUUUUUAAUUUUUAAAAAAAAAUAUUAGCGACUAUAUACCUUAUUUCAAGUUACACAGUUUUUACUAGUUUUUAACUUUUUUUAAAAAAAAUUUAUCGUCUUUUAUAAUUUCUAAUAAUUUUUUAUAUUUUUGCAAUAUUUAAAAAUUUCUACCAAUUUUUAAUAAUUUUAUUAUUUUUUUAUUUUUACACAAUUAUAUAUUUAUAAUGUAGUUAUUUUUUUAUAUAACUUUACUUGAAAUUUUAAAGAUUUUUUUGGUUUUUUUCUAGAUGAUGAUGCCAUCAUGAUGUCAUCAUAUACCACAUGGCAAUUUAUGAUUAGUUGGAUAUCUCAAUCUAAUUUUUAAUGUCGAAUGGACUAAACUAAGAACACCUGAUAAUGUUAGAGACUAUACUAGCAAUGUUUGAUAAUAUUAGGUACUAAAGUGAGCAAAUAAAUAUUAAGGACCAAAGUAAAAAAAAAAAAAAGCAAUAUGUUGUAGGGAAUAAACUGUGCAUUAAGCCAUUAAAAAUAUAUCUAUAAUAUAUUUAAAUGCAUGGAUUUUGAGAAGCUUUUGAACUGAUAAUUAUAUAGUCUUUGUUGUUUACUAUAUUAUUGAAUUUGUUAUUUUAAAUAUUUUUUUUACUUUUAAGAUUUAUCUAAGAAUUUUGGUUUUACUAAAAUAUUUGGUUAAGUAAAUUCACUUCAUAAGAAAAUUUAGCAUCCUUAUAAAUAACAAUUUUGAUUCUAUUAAAAAUAUUAUUUUAAAAAAUAUAUAACAAUAAAUUAAAAUUUAUAUUGAAUUACUUUAUACUUCAAUUAUUAUUAGAAACUUUAUCAUACACAUACGUGUAUGAGAAUCACGUAUUUAGAACAUAAAUUUAUGUUUUAAAAUAACUUAUGAUAAAUAAUGAAAUGUAUAAUUUGAAACUAUUUAAUAAUAACACAUGGCAUAUCUACCAUAUUAAAAUAAAAAUAGAUUAAAUUGUAAGUAAAACAUAAUUUAAACAUAUGAAUACAUCUAAUUAAGAAUACUAAAUGAAUACAGUUAUUUAUGAUGAUGUUGUUGUCGAUUCCUAAGUUGGUGUCGAGUUAAUUUGUAACAUCAUCAAUUUCAGUGAUAAAUUUAAGGUUUUAUGUAUUGAUGUGGAUUCAAAUAUCACCAAUUUUUUAAAUAAAAUUUAAAAUAAAUAUAUUUUCCACAUUGGUUUCUUUUCUUCUACCGACAAAGGAUUUCUAAUGAUUUUAAAAAAAAUUUUUCUUAUAUAAAAUAGAUUAGUUUAUGUAAUAAAAAAUAAUUUCUUUUUUAAAGUUUAAUGGAAAUUAAAAAAAAUCAAUUCAUAUAAAUCUUAUUGUUUAUUAUCAAAUUCAACACAAUGUUUUUGGAGUUUGGAAAAAAUUAAAGUGAAAAACAUACCUUUUAAUUUGUUGUUAAAUUAAAAAAUUAAAAAUAAAUCAAUUCAUAUAAAUUUUAUUGUUUAUUAUUAGAUUAAAAUGAUAAAAGUAUAUGACAUAAAUAGAAGAAACAAAUUCAACACAAUGUUUAUGGAGUUUGGAAAAUAUUAAAGUGAAAACCAUACCUUCUAAUUUGUUGUCAAAUAGAACUAUUACUUCGAGCGUAGUUGAAUUAAAAAUACUUGAUGGAAUCUUACCUGCACACAUAGUCGAAAAAUCAAGGUGUCAAACUGCCUAUUUUGUUAGCAUAAGUUAAAGAGGUGUUCUUUUCUGUUCUACAGUAAUUUGGAGAUGUUACAUUUUAAUAUAUUUCAGCAUAUGUUUUUCAUCAAAUGAAAUAAAAACUUUUUCCUUCUGUAAUCUAUUACAAAUCGAACUAUUUUAUUAAAAAAAUACUUUGAAUUCAAGAUAUCAAAGAAAUUGAUUACCUUCUAGAUUAUUAAAUCCCAAAUAUAAUUCUCUGAGUUGUGUCAGAUUUCCAAUACUUCUUGGAAUGAUCCCCGUCAAUUGAUUCAAGGACAAGGACAAAAUUUUAAGGUUGCUGCACUUGCCCAUACUUGACGGAAUGUUACCAGAUAACUCAUUUCUAUCUAAGUAAAGCCCUUCAAGCUUGGGAAGAUGUUGACACAUAUCAUUAUGAAAACUACCUGAUAGGCUAUUGUUGGAGAGAACAAUGGUCUUCAGAGAAGAAAUGUUGAAGAUCGAAGUUGGAAUCUGACUUGUAAGGCCUUUAAUUGCUUGAAUAUUAAGCAAUUCCAAACCAUGAAGAUUACCGAUUUCCUCAGGAAUUUGACCUGCACACAUAGUCGAAAAAUCAAGGUGUCAAACUACUUAUUUUGUUAGCAUAAGUCAAAGAGGUUUUCUUUUCUGUUCUACAAUAAUUUGGAGAUGUUACAUUUUAAUAUAUUUCAGAAUAUGUUUUUCAUCAAAUGAAAUAAAAACUUUUUCCUUCUGUAAUCUAUUACAAAUCAAACUAUUUUAUUAAAAAAAUACUUUGAAUUCAAGAUAUCAAAGAAAUUGAUUACCUUCUAGAUUAUUAAAUCCCAAAUAUAAUUCUCUGAGUUGUGUUAGAUUUCCAAUACUUCUUGGAAUGAUCCCCGUCAAUUGAUUCAAGGACAAGGACAAAAUUUUAAGGUUGCUGCACUUGCCCAUACUUGACGGAAUGUUACCAGAUAACUCAUUUCUAUCCAAGUAAAGCCCUUCAAGCUUGGGAAGAUGUUGACACAUAUCAUUAUGAAAACUACCUGAUAGGCUAUUGUUGGAGAGAACAAUGGUCUUCAGAGAAGAAAUGUUGAAGAUCGAAGUUGGAAUCUGACUUGUAAGGCCUUUAAUUGCUUGAAUAUUAAGCAAUUCCAAACCAUGAAGAUUACCGAUUUCCUCAGGAAUUUGACCUGCACACAUAGUCGAAAAAUCAAGGUGUCAAACUACUUAUUUUGUUAGCAUAAGUCAAAGAGGUUUUCUUUUCUGUUCUACAAUAAUUUGGAGAUGUUACAUUUUAAUAUAUUUCAGAAUAUGUUUUUCAUCAAAUGAAAUAAAAACUUUUUCCUUCUGUAAUCUAUUACAAAUCAAACUAUUUUAUUAAAAAAAUACUUUGAAUUCAAGAUAUCAAAGAAAUUGAUUACCUUCUAGAUUAUUAAAUCCCAAAUAUAAUUCUCUGAGUUGUGUUAGAUUUCCAAUACUUCUUGGAAUGAUCCCCGUCAAUUGAUUCAAGGACAAGGACAAAAUUUUAAGGUUGCUGCACUUGCCCAUACUUGACGGAAUGUUACCAGAUAACUCAUUUCUAUCCAAGUAAAGCCCUUCAAGCUUGGGAAGAUGUUGACACAUAUCAUUAUGAAAACUACCUGAUAGGCUAUUGUUGGAGAGAACAAUGGUCUUCAGAGAAGAAAUGUUGAAGAUCGAAGUUGGAAUCUGACUUGUAAGGCCUUUAAUUGCUUGAAUAUUAAGCAAUUCCAAACCAUGAAGAUUACCGAUUUCCUCAGGAAUUUGACCUGCACACAUAGUCGAAAAAUCAAGGUGUCAAACUACUUAUUUUGUUAGCAUAAGUCAAAGAGGUUUUCUUUUCUGUUCUACAAUAAUUUGGAGAUGUUACAUUUUAAUAUAUUUCAAAAUAUGUUUUUCAUCAAAUGAAAUAAAAACUUUUUCCUUCUGUAAUCUAUUACAAAUCAAACUAUUUUAUUAAAAAAAUACUUUGAAUUCAAGAUAUCAAAGAAAUUGAUUACCUUCUAGAUUAUUAAAUCCCAAAUAUAAUUCUCUGAGUUGUGUCAGAUUUCCAAUACUUCUUGGAAUGAUCCCCGUCAAUUGAUUCAAGGACAAGGACAAAAUUUUAAGGUUGCUGCACUUGCCCAUACUUGACGGAAUGUUACUAGAUAAUUCAUUUCUAUCCAAGUAAAGCCCUUCAAGCUUGGGAAGAUGUUGACACAUAUCAUUAUGAAAACUACCUAAUAGGCUAUUGCUGGAGAGAACAAUGGUCUUCAGAGAAGAUAUCUUGAAGAUGGAAGAUGGAACCUGACCAGAUAAUUGAUUGAGUCCCAAGUUCAAGAUCUCUAGAUUAGAUAUGUUAACAAGUGUUUCAAGGAUUGUGCCUGUAAAGUAAUUAUUUUUCAUUUGCAGCCUUUGAACUCUCUGUAAGUUCCCAAGCCAUGAUGGAAUUUCCCCAUUCAGACGGUUGUAGCUUAAUUGAAGGAUCCUCAAACGAUGCAAUUGGCCCAAUUCUUUAGGGAGAUGGCCAUAGAAAUGGUUGCUACUCAAGUCGAGAGAGAGUAGAAAUGAAAGAUUUCCAAGAUGUGGAGGGAUAGUACCCCUAAGAUUCAUGCUUGUAAGAUUCAAAGCUGUAACUCUUUUAUGGAGGAUGCCACAAGAGACACCAAUCCAAUUGCAAGCAGAGGUUGAGGCCGUCCAAUUGUUUGCCAAGACAUUUUGAGGACCGGCAAUGCGAUCCUUAAACUCGAGAAGUGCAAACUGAUCGGAGUUGAGAUUCCUGACCGUCAUAGCCAAGCAAAGUACGGAACAUGGUAUGAAUAAAGCUAAGAGAAUAUGAAAGCAAGUUUUGCAGUUCAUGAUUGCAAGACGGAAUAAGGCAAGAAAAUAAAAAAAGUAGGAAAAGGGAAGUUGAGUUGAUAAAAUAGUUUGGAUGAUGAAGAAAAGCCUAGAGAGCAUGCUUUAAUAUGUUUCAACCCUCGCACACUUGAUAAACUUGAUAAAAAUAUUUUGAUCUAAUAAAUGUAAAAAAAUUUAAACAAAAUAAGGUUCAAAUAAUCUAUUUGUCCUUAUAUUUUGAUAAAAUUUGAGAUUAGUCCUUAUACUUAAAAGGUUAAAAAUAAAGUUUUCUUUUUUAUUUAAAAAUCUUAGUCCUAUCGUUAAUUUUUUUUUGGUCAAAAUUUGUCAACUGUACAUAUUAAUUAGGUUUCCCUUAUAUGUCGUUGUAUAUGACUAACACAAAAUAAGCAAGUUGACAAAUUAUGACAAAAAGUAUCAAAGAUGAUAAUAAUUUGAUUAAAAUUUUUAAAUUGAAUUAAUAACCUUUAACAUAUAAGGAAUGGAUAUCAAAUUUUUAUAGGAAAAAAGGGACUAACAACAUAUUUUAACCACAAAAUAAUACGAGUGAUUAGAAUGAAUCUAAAAUUUUAUAGAAAUAAAAGAGACUAACAACAUAGUUAUAACUUUGAAAAUUAAAAUAAUACGAGUGAUUAGAAUGAAUCUAAAAUUUUAUAGAAAUAAAAGAGACUAAAACAUAUUUAUAGCAUCUAAAGUGUCAAGUAAUGAAACCGUCAAAAGAAAAUGUGAAAGUGAUUUAUCAAACAAUAAUAUUCUAACUUAUAAUAUAUUUAAUUACAUUUAGUAAUUUAUCAAUCAAAAUUUAUUUAACAUCCAUCAAUACUUCAUACAAAAUUUACCAUUUAACUCAGAUUUAACUUUGCAAGUAAACUUAAAAUUUUAUUUAAUUUUCUCACUAAAUUUAAUUUGUUCAAUAUAGAUUUUGGUGAGUUAAAACAAAAUUAAUAAAAUAUUAUAUUCUUUCAGACAUCUUUUUAAUGUUUAAUAAUAAGUUAAUUUAUAAAAUAUACUUUGAUUGGACACAAGCCUCCAAGGCGAUGAACCACUGAUCAAAUUAAUUUGGAGAUAUCUUUUUUUCCAAAUAAAGUGAAUUUACGAGUUUUGUUUUUUUAAAUAUUUUUAAUAUUUUUGUGGAUAUCAAGCGAUAUCAAACACUAUUUCACUAAAAAAUUUUAAUUCACUCGAAAAGUUAGUGUUUUAUUUCAGGGGUCAUAAUUAAUCAUUAGAUUUCUCAAUUAUAAAUUUUGAAUUUUUUGACAAUUGCGUAAUUAAUAAGUACCAAAUUUGAGUGUUGUAGGGCUAGUACAAUCUCCCUUACACAUAAUUGACUCUUGAACCUACUCUUUUCUUUAGAAUUCAACGCAGACCUCAAAUUUAUGUUUUGAAAAGAAUUUUAAAAUAUCUGUAUAAAAGGUGUAAAAAUGUAUAUUUUAUUAAUUACUAUAUAUUCUUUUAUUUUCAGAAUAAUAAAUUGUUUAAAAUAUGUUAUUAGUCCCUAUAAUUUAAAAGUAUUUGGGAUCUUGAGUGCAUCAAAUUCCUCCUUUUAUUAUUAAAUGUUUUAUUGUAGUUAACAUUUAUUAUAUAAAAAUAUUUUAAAUUUUUUUCAAUUGCAGUUUAAUUCUAGUAGAAAUAUUUCAUUUAUAAAAUCAUAAAACUUUAAAAUAUUAACUUUUUUAAAUAAAAAAUGAUUUUUUUAAACAGUAAAUGUUGACUUUAUUAACACAAAUGGGUCUUUAGGGUUAAACUUCAUAAAUUGACGAGCUCUUCUACAAACUGUGGAUGAUUUGGGGAUAAGAACUUUAAUAAUUAUGGAGUUAAAGUGUAAAUUUACCCCUAUAUUAUAAGUAAAUAUUGAAAUUUAUCACUAUAUUUUAAUUGAUACUUAUCAUUACACUUUAAAAAUAUAAGUAAAUUUACCAUUUAACUCAUAUGUGAUUGAACUUUGCAAGUAGACUUAAAAUUUUAUUUAAUUUUGUCACUAAAUUUGAUUUAUUUAAUUAAAUUUACAACUCAAUAUAGAUUUUGGUGACUUAAAACAAAAUUAAUAAAAAACUAUUCUUUCAGAUAAUUUUUAAUGUUUACUAAUAAGUUGAUUUAUAAAAUAUACUUUCAUUGGACACAAGCAUCCAAGGCGAAUAUCAACAGAUACUCAAAAUUAUUUCACUAAGGAAUUAAUUAGUAUUUUAUUUUAAGGGUUCACAAUUAAACAUUAGAUUUUUCAUUUUUAAAUUUUGAUUCUUUUGACAAUGCGUAAUUAACAAGUUGAGUUAAUAUCGAUAUUGUUGUUAGUGCAGAAGAAUGUGAGUUCAAUCAUGUUUAAACACGUUUUAUCUUCCAAUUUAAGAGUUGGAGAGGAUUCUCAAUAGUUAAAUUAUAUAAGUUUUUGUCUAUUUAAAAUUGAUUUAUAAAUAAUAUAAAUAAAAAUAUUUAAAAUAUAUAUAUUCAUAUUGAUCGGCAUUUUCAUUAUUAGACUUUUUUCCCUACAGGUAAAAGUAUUUAUGGACAGGAUGAUGUAAAAUUAUGACCUGAAUAAUUUUAAACCUUUCAUCACUGCAAAAACGAAAAUAAUAGAAAUGAAAGACUAGCCAUUGUAUGAAAUUUAAAAUUAAACUGUGAACAAUAGAAAAUUGCCCGCGUGACUUGGGAUAAGAGGUUGAACAUUUCUGGAUCACAUUACAUUUAAGAUGGGUCUUUAAGGUUAUGCUUUAGUUAUUGAGAACAUUUUCCACAAUUUCCCAUCGUUAUUUGUGGGGUAAGUGGUUGAACACUUCUAGAUCACAUUGCAUUUGGGACGGGUCUUUGGAUUUAUAUGAUACUUUAACAUAGACUGACUUUUCUAUAAUUAGUCCUUGCUUUACUUUGGGUGGAUUCUUCCAACUGUCCAAGAAUUAUUGUACAAUUACAAUUAAUCUUUUUAAAUGAGACAAAAAUUUCAAAUUUGUCAUUACUAUUUGUGAGUGAUUUAGGGGUAAGAAGUUUAACACUUCUGGAUGUGUUAUAGAAUUGUGAUUAUACUUUUUGAGUAUUGACUCAGUUUUCCACAAUUGUGGGUCUCUCUUUGAGCAAAACAAUUUGAACAAUUCUUCAUCUCGUUUAAUCCAAAUACAUUUAUGCAUGUCUUAUAUCAUUGAAUUUGCUGUUUCACAUUUAAUUUUUGGACAAGUAGAACUUUCUAACCUAUUUUCCAUCAACUUCACUUGAAUUUUCACUCACAAUCAAUUGCAUUCAAGAGCACCACAUCUUUUUGGAUGAAACAAAACUUUCAAUUUUAAGAUAAACGGGUCUUUAAGGUUAUACUUCAUUUAUUGAGGGCCUUUUCCACAAUUGCCAUCAUUAUUUGCGGGUGAUUUGGGGAUAAUAACUUGAACAUUUCUCGAUCACAUUUAAUUCAAUUUUUAAAUUUUAGAGAGAUGUUUAGGUUACAACAAUUGCCAUCAUUCUGUUUAAUAGAACAUUUGGGAGGAAAAGGAGAAAAAAUUAGCGAAAACCGAAAAAUGGGGGCAAACUAUAGGAACCACACGGGCUUACCUAUUCCACACGACUGUGUGACCCAUACGGUCGUGUGGCAAGCCAUGUCAAUUUCAUAAGUUUGCACUCUGAACUGCGAAAAAAAUAUAAAUUUUAGGUUUUUCGGGCAUUCUAAGACAUAUAUAUGACAAAAAUAAGAAGAUAGGAGAGAACCUUCCUAGAAUAUUCAAGAAAACAACUCCAAAGACACCACUAAAGCCGACUCUGAAGUAUAUUUUCAUUAAGAUUGAAGAUUUCUAAUUGAUUUCUUAGGAGAUUAUCAUGAGUUCUUUUAUUUCUUUCAGUUAUACUGCCCUUUGGAUGUUUUUAUUUCUAAGCAUGAACUAAUUUUCUAAAUACCUAAGAGAGAUGAACCCUAUGAUAGAUUAUGACACCCCAAAGCUGGCAGGGAUAGACUGGCCCAAAUUCAAAGCAUUACAUUUGCCACCUAAGUAACUCUUUAGCUAACGACCACCCAAGACACACCCGAACCUUAUAACACCUCAAUCUUAUCUAAUUAUUAGUUAUUUAUUAAUGCCGAAGUAAAUUAUGAGCCAAUUUUAAACUUUUCCUAGGUAAUUUAACCUAAGGGCAUUUAUGUCAUUUUACCACAUAUGGUAAAACUAACCCCAUUUUAGAUAUCACUGUUCAAACCCAUGAGUUUUGUUUUCUUUUUUGUAAAAAAAUAUAUCAAGAGAUACCAAAAAUUAUUUUACUAAGAAAUUUUAAUUCACUCAAAAAGCAAGUGUUUUAUUUCAAGGGAUCACAAUUAAACAUUAGAUUUCUCAUUUUAAUUUUUUUUAAUAACUAAGUAAUUAACGAGUACCAAUUUUGGGUGUUGUAGGGGUGCUAUAACUUUUCCUAUACGUAAUCGACUCUUGAACUCACCUUUUUUUCCUCUAGAAUUCAAUCUUUUUAAAAGAAUUUUAAAAUCUCUUUAUAAAAGACGAUUUUUUUAGGUGACCAAUCACACUUAACAAAAAAAAUCGGUGGCAACUCCUUUCCGAUAAAUGUAAAAAACUUUUUGAACAAAAUAAGGUUGAAAUAAUCUAAUUGUCAUUAUACUUUGAUAAAAUUUGAGUUUUAGUCCUUAAACUUAAAAGUUUAAAAAUUAAUUCUUGUUUUUAUUUAAAAAUUUGAGUUUUUAAAAAUUAAUUAGGUUUAUCUUAUAUAUCGUGGUAUAUGACUAACAUAAAAUAAACAAGUUGACAAAUUCUGACAAAAAAAUAUCAAAGAUGAUAAUAAUUUAAUUAAAAUUUUUAAAUUAAAAAAAUAAGGAAUUAAAUUUAUAACUUUCAAAGUAUAAGGAAUGAACUUAUUGAAAUACAAGAACUAACAACAUAUUUUAAAAUAUUACUAGUAAAUUAUAUAUCUACAACAAGAAUUGUAACCUCUUAUAUUAUACUCUUGUAUCUACUUUGCAUCUUUCAUUAUAAUAUGAUUUAUUAAUUUUAAUAUUUUUAUAGAAUAAUAUGCUUUAAACUAUUUUUUUGUAUCAUUUAUAAAAAUUAUAAUAAACUUACAAAAUGAUUUAAUGAUAUUUAAUUAUUAAUAGAAAAAAAUGAUAUCAUAUAUAUUCUAUAUAUAUUAAGAUUCCGAAUCAUUAAUUAUAUAUCUACACAUUAUAAUAAAUUCAUCUUUCAAAAUUUUCCUUAUAAUUAAAUCAUAAAUUAUAUUUAUAAUAUUAUAAAUAUAUUAUAUCAUAAAUAUUCUUUCAAAUAGUUUUAAAUGUUUAAUAAUAAGUUAACUUAUAAAAUAUUCUUUUAGUAAAUUAACGUGAUGAGAUCGUUAGGUGUUUGGAUUUGGUGAAGGGGGAUGAAGAGAAAAGGGAUGGAAGUGAAUAAAAAUGUUGAGAAAUGGAAAGGAUUAGCGAGGGAAGCCGCCAUGAAAGGUGGUUCAAUUGAUAUAUAUGGACCUUCAAGCUUUUGUGGAUGAUGUUACUCAAGGUUGUUUCAAGUAAAUUUAAAAAUGUUUUUUAAAAUUAUUUUUUUGUUAAAAAAUUUGUUUAUUUUUUAUGUGGCAUGCCACAUUAUCAUACUAUCAUGUGACAGCUCCUGGUGAUUUCUGUCCAUAACAUUAGUCAAAUCAAUUGUUAAAUCGUUCAACUCAGAGUUUUUGUUAAAUGAAGAGGUCAAUUGAUUUUUUUUGGAAUCAUUGAGUACUCAAUUGGUGCACUUUUUCAUAAAGGCUAAAUUAAUUUUUUUAAUUUGUUAUUGUUGAGGGCUAUAGCAAUAAAAAAAAUUGAGGUAAAAUGAAAAAAAAUGUUAGAGCUAAAUUUGUCAUUAUGCCUAAAAUGUAAAAUCAAAAUUUUUUGAAAAUGAAAAAAAAAUGGAAAAUCACAAAUUCUGUCGCAUAUGUUUGCUUAAAAUUAUAGUUUUGGUCACCAAUCUUUUGAAGUAAAUAUAUGGUCACCAAUAUUAUCCAUUUGUUACUUUGUAAUAACUUACCUUAAAGUUAUACCCCAAGAAAGGAUUAAAUGACAUUGGAAUACCAUAAAACUUGUAUCUUUUUUUAUUCAUCUAAUACCAAUUUAACAUUUUCAUUUUAAAAAAUUGACAUAUUAUUUCGAAUUUUAUCUUUUUCAAGAUGAAAAUAUUGAAAUGAUGUUAAAUUAUUAGAAAGAGAUACAAGUUUCAUGGUAUCUCAAAUUCAUUUAAUCUUUCUCUCUCUAAAAAAGCUGAUGUAACACAUUAAUGACAUCAUUUCAAACAAAGUUUUAGGUCAAAUUUUUCAUCUAGUCAUUGUAAUUGUUUUUAGGUGAAUUUCAUUAUUAUUCUUUUAUUUUCUUUGGCUUAAAUACACAUUUACCCCUAAUUUUAUCACAUUCUCCUUAAUUGGUAUUUAUGGUUUAGAAAAUUUUACAAAUAUAUUAUUUUUUAAGAAAUUAUAAGAAGAUUACAAAAAUUCCAAAAUAAUAUAAAAAAGCUAAGGAAAACCUAGAAAUUCAAAAAAAAAAAAACGUGGACAUUGAAUUUGCUGUUUCACAUUCAAUUUUUGGAGAAGUAGAAUUUUCUAACUUAUUUUCCAUCAACUUCACUUCAAUUUUCAAUCACAAUCUAUUGCAUUCAAGAGCACCACAUCUUUUGGGAUGAAACAAACCUCUCAAUUUUAAGAUAAACGGAAUCAAUUGCAUUCAAGAGCACCACGUCUUUUUGGAUGAAACAAAGCUCUCAAUUUUAGGAUAAACGGGUCUUUAGGGUUAUAAAUUGAGGUCCUUUUCCACAAUUGCGGGUGAUUCGUUGAUAAUAACCUCAACAUUUCUGUAUCACAUUUAAUUCAAUUCCACAUUCAAUUUUUAGUUUUUAGAGAGAUGAUUGGGUUACAACAAUGGUUUGAAGUGAAGAUAUUUCAAAACAAGAUGAAUACUCUACCAAUAGUCAUAAUUUAAAAUGCAGGUUAUGUUUCAUUUCAGCUAAGUUAAAUGUUAAGAUUGAGGUUAAACCUUUUAGAGGUUGCUCGCAAAAGGAUCAAACCUUUAUAAAAUUGUUUAAAUGAAGGUCAAACCUCUUAAAAUAGACAAAUAAGGGCCUAACCUUUUAAAAGGUGUUCAAAUAAGGGUUUCUCAAAUUUUGUAUAUCAGGUUAUGUAUUUUACUCUAAACACAUCGACAUUUACCUAUUUUUUCUAUAAAUUGGGUUGAAGUGCAUGAAAAAACCUUAUUUAAGCACUUCUGUAAAGGUUAAACUCUUAUUUGACUAUUUUGAAAGGUUUGAUCCUUAUAUAACAACCUCUAAAAGAUUGAGCACUAAUUUGACAAGAUUGAGAAAUACCUAAAUUUGUUUUCAUGAAUCAAGAAAAUAAAAAAGAAAUGUUGAGAAAUAUUUUAGAGAUUCUUAGCUUUGACAAGUUCCCUCCAUCAUCUUCCUGCCUCCAGUCCCACCUCUUCUCUUAUGCUCCUCCCAGCUUCUUGCUUUUUGUGUGUUGAAAAUUCAAAGGAACAAAAUAUCAACCUACAUUGCCAGAACUUUACUUUCUAGCCUGUCGAUCCGAUCCAAUGAAAGAAGAACAAAGAGUCUCAAGAUCUGUCAACUUUAUUUCAUUUUCAUUUUCUUUGUCAUUUUCUAUGUUUCAUGUCGAAUACAAUGAAAGAACAUAGAAAAAUGUUGCCUAUUUAUUUCCCAAUCAUCAUGAAAUUACUUGCCAUAGACUUAGAAUUUUCUCACCAAUUUUCAAGCAAUCUGACAUGAUUUCUCAAUCACAAUUAAUUGAAUUCAAGAUCUUUUUAGAUGACACAAACAUUUCAAUUUUAACACAAACCAAUAUUUAGGUUGUACUUCAGUGCUUGACAAGCACUUUCACAUUUGUGGGAUAAGAACUCUUAACAUUUUAGGAUCACAUUUAAUUCAAUUGCAUUUAAGACCUCACGAUUUUAUUCUAUAAUUUCAGUCUUAUCAGCCUUUUCGGAAACAAUAAAACGUCGACAUUAAAUUUGUUGUUGAUGCAUUCAAUUUUUUGAGGGGUCUUUGGAGUUAUAUGUGACUUUAGCAUUGACUGACUUUUUUAUAAUUAAUCUUUUAUAAUAUAUCAAUUUUAAUAACAACGACAUGUUUUUUAGUAGGGUCGAGCAAAACCCAAUUAAAACCGAUGAUAUUGGCUUAGUUGACUCGGUCAAGUCCAUUAGAUUGAUAAAAUCAAUUUUAAAAUCAGUUAUAAUGGAUUAAGGUAAUUAAUUAUCGAGUAAUGAAAUACAUAAUCAAAUCAAUUGAUUUUGUUAGAAACUAAAAGAAAAUGAGAUAAGAUGAAAACUGAUUGCCCUUUAUUAAAAUUAACGAAUCCGCCUUUUACGUAUUAGAUAAUACGAACAUCACAUAUAUAAUAAGAAAAAUUACGUAUGAUUAUUUAUUAUCAUAAAAGGUUAGUUUAAAUUUAAAAUAAUCUAAUAUGUUUAUUGAACUUCAACUAUUAAAUAAAGUAUAAGCUAAAUAAGUAUAAAUAUUCUAGAAACCAUUUCUAACUGAUGAUAGGCUAAUUCGAUUAAUUUAUAAAAACUACAUAGUAGGGUUAUAGUCCUCAAACUACACCUAAUUUAAUAACAUUUAUAGUUUUUUUUUAGCCUUAAACAUUUAUAGUUUUUUGUUAAUUUGGUCCUUACUCUUUAAAAUUACAUAAAAAUUGCAAAAAAAAAAUUAAAAUUAAUUUUUUUUCAUAAUUUUAAUAACAUUUAUAGUUUUUUUUUGUGUGUGUGGUUUGGUAACUUAUCAACUCGACUCUCACUUGUAACCAACUUUUCUAACCUUUUUCGUACCCUUAACCUAAGUCCCGUUACAACUUUCUAAAGACCUCUUUAUUAGUGUAUCAUGUCGGUUUGUUUUAUAAUGGUGGAGAUUUGUUUUUUGUAGUGGCACGAUUGCCAGAACUUUACUUUCUAGCCUAUCGAUCCGAUCAAAUGAAAGAAGAACAAAGAGUCUUAAGAUCUGUCAACUUUAUUUCAUUUUCAUUUUCUUUGUCAUUUUCUAUGUUUCUUGUCAAAUACAAUGAAAAAAGAACAUAGAAAAAUGUUGCAUAUUUAUUUCCCAUUCAUCACUCUAACAGGCCCAAUUAGCCCAGGCCCAAACAUUAAUAAAAUGUCUAGAUUACAAAAUAAUCAACUAAAAAUUAAAAGCUCAAAAAAUAAAAUAAAACCCAUUAUAUUAACCCAAAACCCCAGCCCAAUUACAUUGAAACCCAAAAAAAAAAUAGUUUUCAGAAACCCUAAGGUUUCAGAAGCCCCUCAAUGUUAUUUUGUAUAUCUAUUUAUCUUUUUAAAUUUUCGAUAUUGUCUUGUUUUGUUUUUGUAUUAUUGUUGUUACCAUCAUUAUUCAUUAUUAUUAUUGUUGAUUUUAUUGUUCUUUGAUUAAUGUUAAUGUUAGAGUAAUAGAUGUUAUGUGAUCAUUGUUAUUAUAUGUUAUAAUUUGUUUACACUCGUAUUGUAGUCAUUUGUCAGCUUAAUAUUUUGAGUAAUAUUUUAAAUAUUACAUUAAUUUCGACCCAAAUGCAUAAUUUUUUAAUAAGUAAUAUUUUAUAUUUUGAAAUUUGAGAGAUCAUUCCCUAACUUACGGGGUCUCGAUUUUUUCGAUAAAUCUGAAUAUACUAACUAUUUUCAAAAAAUAUGUUUUAAAAUUAUCUCGGGAAUUUAAAAAGGAGCGUGUUCUAACUUACUGAAUAUGAUCUUUUUUUUUAAAAUCGAGAUAAUCAAAUAACUUUCAAAUAAAUAAAUUUUCAAUGUUUAUUCUCAUAUCAGGAUUUAAAAUAUUAUGUCCUAACUCACGGGAUACAAUUCUUUUUCUCGAUUAACAUGAAAUAUGCCCGUUUUAAUUUUAUUUUUUAAGUGAUUUUAACAAAAGGAUUGUAUUUUAAAUCUCUUCAAAAUUUUCAAUUUUUCGACAUUGAGACAUUAACUAAUCAAUUAGGUACCAAUUUUGGGCGUUACGAGGGUGCUAACCCUUCCUCGUACGUAACCGACUCCCGAACCUAUUUUUCUGAAUAUUGAAGGCCAAAAUUGUUUUAAUAAAUUAAACCCUUAAGACGUGACCCCAUCACACCUCAUAAAAAUUAUCGGUGGCGACUCUCGUUUGCGUUUUUGUUUUCGUUUUCAAAAUAAAAGUCGACCCCUUGUUUUAAAAAAGGUGGUUCGAUAGCUUGGCGACUCCGUUGAGGAAAAAAAUAAGAGAGUCAAGCCACGAGUUGAUUAUUUCUUAUUUUUUUGUCAGAAAUUGUGAAUUCGAUUUAAAUUUACGAUCUUUUCAUUGCAUUUUAUGGUCUGCAUCAGUUUGAUAUGCUUGCUUUACUGGUUCGAGUCUUUUAAUCUCCGCAUAUUGCAUUGCAUAACCGUUCGGUUAUACCCUUUUAAGUGGGAGUGAGAAACUAUUCAUUUGUGAGAUUUUUACCUCCGUAUAGGAUAGUGGAUUACUUUCGGGAUACAUCCGUACCUAUGUCUUCGUGAGAUUUUCAUCUCCGUAUAGUUAUAGGGAAAUGUAUUCCCCUGAACUGAACUCAGUCCGUAUGAGCCUAUAAUAGGUAAGGAUUGAGGAAUCUGCUGGUUCAGGUACCCUUUCUUUAGAACUAAACUGCAUGUAGUGAGCCCUAAGAGCAUACCGUAGGUAGAACCACUCCAAACCCCUAGUGGUCACCCAAAUAGGUGCUCUAUUUAUUUUUGCUUGCUUAUUUUUGCAUUGUACUAACCUAUUUUUUGUUAUGAUUGCAUUGCAUUUUCAUCAUAAAAAAGAUGUGUUGAUUCACGUUCAAUUGCUAAAUAGAGAGCUUGUCAUGGGAAACGGAUUUCUUGAUAAAGUGGAAGACAAUGUGGUUAUCCGGAUAUGGUCCAAGAAAAUUUGACGAAAGAAGGGUGAUAGUCUAAUGGAGGACUACACGACCUUGCUUUAUUGCCCGAGGAUUCAAGUUGACAAAGAUUAUUCGAGAGUCCUCAAUGUCCCGACCUUUUUCAAGAAGCUAACGAGUGUCACGAGGAUGAGUGAGUAAUGAGUUGCGGCCCGGAUCAAGCAAAAAAGAGAUAGAGGAGACACCCUUUUUGAAGAGUUCGCGAGAUUUAUAUUAAUAUCAAAAUGAAGAAAAAGAUCAAUGUCUUCGCCUGGAGUAUGAAAGCAAAGCUGUAUAUAUAUCCGCUUUAUGUAAAUAAAUUUUUUUUCUAGUAAAGUUUUUCUAAUAGAAUUGAAUCAGAAUCAAUGUCUUUUUUUGCAUUCAUUCCAUUCAUCUGCAUUGCAUUUCAUUGCAUCCAAAAUUUCACAAAAGGACCCUAAUUAAUCGAAAUUGUUAUAGUUACUCUGAAAACUAAUAAAAAUCUACCAAUUAAAUAUUCCUACGGUACCCGUCGCAAAACCAAAGUAAUGGAUCAAAUAUUAGAAAGAUUAGAACAAAUUCUGAAGGACAAGCAUAAUCGUUUUUGCUUAGGGUACAAGCCAGAUACAAGACAAAGAAGGAAGGAGUUAGAGAAGAAAUAGGAAAGAAUGACAGCACAUUUGAGCGAGGAUGAGGUCAAAUGGGAGCCUAUGAACUUUCCCUACAUAUCCAAAACUUUUGUAUCGGGAGGGAUUAUUCAUCCCGAGCGAAGAAUGCCAAGAGAAGAAAAUAUUGAAGAAAUGUUGGGAAACGUUCACAUCAAUGCCAUAUACGAAGAAGUAGUUGAAGGAUGGACCUUGUUAGAUAUCCGACCUUAUGAACCUGAGAGUGUGCUAAACAAUUGGACUACAGAAGAAAUUCCUGUAGUGUUUAGACCUUACUCAGAGUAAUAUUCAAAACACACUUGUUGCUUUUAGCCUAGAAGUGAUAAGAAUCCCUCUGUGAAAUAGGCUCAUGUAUAAACAUCAUUAUUUUAAUAAAGUAAAUCUUUGCAUUCAUUUUGAGCAAAUAUUCUUUUAUUCUUUCCAUACGAGUAAUUAUUUUAGAUUUUUCAUUAUUUUAGGAUUUUCUUCCAAAAAUCAUUCUUUUAUUACAUUCAUAAUCAUACUGUACAAAUAAUUAUUCUUAAAUUCAUUCAUUCUUUGUAUAUUCUUUUGUACCUAUAAUAGGUCCCUAGACAUCAACGACAUGAGUGACGCUGCUACAGACUUAGAAUUUCCUUUUAAACAAGACAUGUGUUUAGAGGGAUCCCAUGACUUUGAAGAUGACGUAGACUGUGGCUUAUCUCCGGACUUGUUAAGGAUGGUAAAACAAGAGGAGAAGCAAAUCCUACUUCACAAUGAAUCAAUGGAAAUUGUGAGCUUAGAAGGGGAAAAUAGGUGAAGAUUGGGACUGACAUUGCCACAAAUACGAAGUAAGACCUCAUUGAGUUACUCUAAGAAUUCAAAGAUAUUUUUGCAUGGUCAUACUAGGAUACGCUCGGGUUAAGUACUGACAUUGUAGUACACUGCCUUCCUAUAAAAGAAGAUUGCUAGCCAGUUCAGCAGAAACUCCAGAGGAUGAUGCCUGAUAUUGUGCUAAAAAUAAAAGAAGUCAAAAAGUAAUUUGAUGUUGGGUUCUUACAAGUGGUCAAAUAUUCAGAAUGGGUAGCCAACAUCGUCUCAGUUCCUAAAAAAAUGGGAAAGUACGAAUGUGCAUGGAUUAUAGAGACUUGAACAAGGCCAGUCGAAAAGACAAUUCCCUAUUGCCUCACGUUGACACUUUGGUGGAUAAUACAGUAGGCUACUCACUUUUUUCCUUCAUGGAUGGCUUCUCUGGAUACAAUCAGAUAAAGAUGCAUCCAAAAACAUGGGAAAGAUUACAUUCGUGACCCUGUGGGAAACGUUUUACUAUAAAGUGAUGACAUUCGGAUUAAAGAAUAUGGGAGCGACGUAUCAAAGGGUGAUGGUAACCUUGUUUCAUGACAUGAUUUACAAGGAAAUCGAGGUUUAUAUUGACGAUAUGAUUGCAAAAUCUAGAACAGAAGAGGAACAUGUGCAGGUCCUGAGAAAAUUAUUCUUAAGACUGAGAAAGUUCUAGCUCAAGCUUUCCAACGAAAUGCACUUUCGGAGCUAGGUCAGGAAAGCUAUUAGGCUUCAUAGUCAGUGAAAAAGGAAUCGAGAUCAACCCAGACAAAGUUAAGGUAAUAAGAGAUUUACCUCCACUAUGCACUCAGAAGAAAGUUUGAGGUUUCCUAGGAAGACUAAAUUACAUUGCUCAGUUUAUUUCACAACUAACCGAAAAAUGUGACCCCAUAUUUCAUCUUUUAAAGAAACAUAAUCCAGAUGUAUAGGAUGAAGAAUGUCAGGAAGUUUUUGAUAGGAUAAAGCAGUACCUAUCAAAUACUCUAGUGUUGUUACCACCUAGCCCAGAUAGGCCACUGAUAUUAUAUUUAACAGUGUUUGAUAAUUUUAUGGGAUGCAUGCUAGGCCAACAUGAUGAGACAGGAAAGAAAGAAAGGGUUAUAUACUAUCUCAGUAAGAAAUUCACUGAUUAUGAAAUAAGAUACUCGUCUAUUGAGAAAUUAUGUUGUGCCUUGAUCUGGAUAACUCGGAGGCUAAGGCAGUACAUGUUGUACCAUACGACUUGACUAAUUUCAAAGUUAGACCCUUUAAAGUAUAUGAUGGAGUCAACUACUUUGAAUGGGAGGAUGGCCAGAUGGCAGAUUUUACUUUUUGAAUUUGACAUACUUUAUGUGAGCCAGAAGGCUAUAAAAUGGAGUGCAAUAGCGGAUUUUCUAGCUAGCAGAGCCUUGGAGGAUUAUGAGCCUUUAAAUUUUGAUUUUUUGAACGAGGACUUAAUGUAUGUGGCAACCACUAAAGAAAAUGCUCAAGUGGAUCGCAUUUGGAAGCUAAAAUUUGACGGAGCCUCAAAUGCUAUGGGCAAUAAAAUUGAGGCAGUCUUAGUAUCCCCGAGCAGAGAUCAUUAUCCUAUUGCUGGCAAAUUGGAUUUUGAUUGUACAAACAAUAUAGCAGAAAAUGAAGCGUGUAUCAUGGGCAUCCGUAUAGCCAAAGAAUGUAAAAUCAAAGUGCUAAAGGUAUAUGGGGAUUCUGCAUUGGUGAUAUAUCAGCUUAAAGGAGGAUGGGAUAUAAGAGACCUCAAAUUGAUUAAUUAUCGAAAGUUGAUUCUCGAAUUGAUUGAUGAGUUUGAUGAUAUUACUUUCUCCUAUCUCCCACUAGAUGAAAACCAGAUGGCUGACACGUUGGCUACUCUAGCUUUCAUGAUCAAAGUAAACAAACUAGAAGACAUGAAGCCUAUCCAGAUGAGCAUUUAUGAGACUUUGGCUCAUUGCUACAGUAUCGAGGAAGAGGAAAAGGAUGAUCAUCCUUGGUACCAAGAUAUACUGCAAUAUGUAAAGAAUCACGAGUACCCUGAUCAGGCAACGAAGAAUGAUAAGAGGACAUUGAGAAGACUAGCCACUAACUAUGUCUUAGAUGGAGAGAUUUUAUACAAAAAGGGAAAGGAUCGGGUACUACUAAGAUGCUGGAUGCUAUAAAAGCUUAGAAAAUCUUGGAGGAAGUCCAUGAAGGUAUCUGCAAAAUGCAUGCCAAUGGUUUCACAAUAGUAAGACAGAUUAUGAGAUUCGGGUACUACUGGUCGACCAUGGAAGGAGAUUGCAUCAAUUAUGCCAAGAAGUGCCAUAAAUGUCAAAUUUAUGGAGACAAAAUACACGCACGUUCUUCACCUCUCAACGUUAUGACUUCUCUAUGGCCUUUCUCCAUGUGGGAUAUGGAUGUCAUCGGGCCAAUAUUGCCAAAGGCUUCUAAUAGGUAUCGUUUCAUCUUCAUGGUCAUUGGUUACUUCACUAAAUAGAUGGAAGCUGAUUCAUAUGCUAAUGUCAUGAAGUCAGGAGUCAGCAAGUUCUUGAGAAAGUCAGGAGUCAGCAAGCUGAUUCAUAUGCUGAUUCAUAUGCUAAUGUCACGAAGUCAGGAGUCAGAGAUAGAAAAGCAAGUACAUUGUACCUAAGUCAGAAGGGGUACAUUGAGAAAGUUCUUUACAAUUGUACCAAAGUCAGAAGGGGUACAUUGAGAAAGUUCUUUGCAAAUUCAAUAUGCAGAAUGCUAAGCCUAUUAGUACUCCUUUAGCAGCCCAUUUCAAACUAUCAUCGGCUUUGUCUCUACAAUCAAAUGAUGAGAUUGAGUACAUGUCACAUGUUUCAUACUCUAGUACAGUGGGAUCUCUCAUGUAUGCUAUAGUUUGUUCACAUCCAGAUUUAUCAUAUACAGUCAAUGCAGUUAGUAGAUACGUGGCGAAUCCUGGUAAAGAACAUUGGAAAGUAGUUUAGUGGAUUUUAAUAUACUUACAAGGUACUACUGAUGUUUGCUUACAGUUUAGAAGAACUAGAUAUGGAGUCAUUGGGUAUGUUGAUGUUGAUUUUGCUGAAGACCUUGCUAGAAGAAAAUUUCUCAUAGGUUAUAUCUUGACAAUCGGAAGUUGUGCAAUCAGUUGGAAAGCCACUUUGCAAACUACAGUUGCUUUGUCUUCCAUUGAAGUUGAGUACAUGGUGAUUACUUAGGCCUGUAAAGAAGCUAUUUAGUUGAAUAGACUCUUUAGUGAACUCAAUGAAGACCUUCAAAUCAAUACAGUAUUUUGUGACAGUCAGAGUGCCAUCUUCCUUACAAAAGAUCAAAUGUUUCAUGAGAGAACAAAACAUAUUGAUGUUCGGUAUCAUUUUGUUCAUGAUAUUAUUGCUCAUGGUGAUAUUGUUGUGAGCAAAAUUAGUACUCAUGAAAAGCCUGAUUGGUGUUUAUUGUUGAAGUUAAACCCUUAAGGGGUUUUAUGGAAGAGGCGGAAAACUUGGUCGUUAAAAGUUUACGAUGAAGAACUAGUUUAUUGAGAAUUCGUGUCAAGGUGGAGAUUGUUAGAAUUAAGUGACCUGAAUCCUUAUUUAAAUAAAAUAUAGUGGUAAAAUAAAAUAAAAGUAAAAUCUCUAUAGAACUACACUUCUUUUAUUUUAUUUUAGAAUAAGGUUUUUAAACCUUAUUAAACUCCAUCUAUUUCAUAUUGAUUAGAAUAAGGUGUUCCAAUCUUACUACACUCCUAUUAGAAUAUGGUUUUACAAGCCUAUAAAUAGACAUAGUCUACUCCUAUUGUAAUUAUUUAAAUUUGACAUAGUGAAUUUUCUUAUCCUCUGCCCAUGGUUUUUUCUCGAAAGGGUUUCCAUGUAAAAUUUGUGUGUUCUUUAUUUUUUCUCUCUUUUUUCUUUGCGAUACAUUGUUAUUACCGACGUUCUAUUUUUAAUAAUAACCAUAAUUCGAAAACAUUAAAACUUAAAUUAAAUGUCAUGCAAAAUAAAACAAGCAUCAAUCUAAAUCUCAUGCCACGAUUCAAAAUAAUUUAUUGUAGUCUUCGACAAUAAAAAAUCAUAUAAUGAACCUAAAUUUUUUUUUAAUUUAAUAAUGUGUCGAGACCUUACAGAUGUCUCGUCCGCAUCCUAUCCUAGUGGAUUAUCUGUAAGGAUGAAAAUUUAAAGGGGAGUGAGCUAUGACACUUAGUGUGAGUUCAUUCAUAAUAAAUUCAAUGCAAAUGGUUGGUAAGACACAUUAAUUAAUAUCACAUAAAGUAAUCACAGUCAAAUAAUAGUUCAGAAUGUCGAUUUUAGAAUUUAACUACCAAUAGUUUCACUGUAUUCACAGUUGUAAUUUCAGAAUAUCAAAUUUCCACAUCAUUCACAAUAUUCACAUAUAUAUAAAUAUAUCAUAACAAAAUUCCAAAUUUGUGUGCACAUGAUUUAGAAGAUGCCAUACAAUUUUGCGUUUUAAUAGAAUAAAUCCUACCCCACGUUACAUAUCAUAAUGGGAGUUCCCUUAAACUCCCUUCUCUAACACUACAAGUUGUGGAUAAACCACUACUCGUCUGUAGAUAAUAACUAUCAUUCGGCUGUGGACACAAAGCAACUCCCCACAGUUGGAUUCUAGCUUUAGCUGUGGGUUCACAGCAAAAAGUCCUGCAAAUGAAGCCUAUUUUUUCUGUAGAUUAUAUAACAUAUACCCGCAGUUUGAAUCUGCCUUUGGUUAUGGAUGCACUAUAACACCCCAAACCUGACCUGGAUGUUAUGGCUAAAUCCUGAUGAUUUACUUUAACUCAUUUGAAAACCCAGAAAUUUACUUUGAAAUCCUGUGGUUAAACUAGUGUUCACUUUCAUAAAUCGUGAAAGUAUGUGAUUAUUGAGGACAUGCUGAGCAUGUCAAAUGAAUGUGAAAAGUAUUGUGAUAUGAUUAUGUAUGAGAUUGUGUAACAUAUUGCAUAUGCAUUGGGUUCAGUUUUUUGGUUGACGGAGGAGUUUUGUGGAGUACCGUCAGUAUAUUAAGCUCGCAUUAUUCGUGGUCAGUGCACUACACCUGGAGUACCGAGGGGAUUGGCAAUUUUAUCGGAUAUUAUAUGUUAUUGGUAAUUGUAUCGCACUAUUGGGUAUUCGGCAGCUUUUCUGCAUUAUUGAUUAUUCGGUGGUUUUACCACAUCGAGCUAUGCUCAUAAUGUUUUGGAGACUGGCAGACGGGUUCUGGGGAACCCGUGGUAUGUAGCAAAUGGUAUGGGUAGGAACCUUUUUGUAUUGCAUCAUGUGCACGACAUAUUCGAAUGUUAUUGGUUUAUGCUACGCAUUGUAUUUUGUCGUAUUGAAUGGCAUUAAAAUUAAUGAUUGUCACUCGAAUGAAUUAUGACCUAUGCUCAUACACUGUUUGACAUUAAUUUGAUAAUGACUAUGAAACGAUAUGAAAUUCCUAUGAUGAUUCUGUUUUCUUCUGUUAAAGCUAAUUUGUUUCAUUAUAUUCGAUCUUUAUGUUUGUUUAAAUAAUUUUUCGACUCAGACUGAGCUUUUCAUAAGCUCACCACUAACAGUGUUUAACUUUUCAGGUAAACCUCAAAAAUAGGACUGAACUCAGCAUUCGAAGAAUCACCUUGGACCUUGAAUUAUUUUUUUAAUAAGUAUUAAUCAAUCUCUAAUGGUUUUGGUUUGUAAUUUUUAAUUAUUUCUAGUUUGUGGCUUGAUGACUUUUCUUCUGGGUUUUUUGCAUGCAUUGAUUACUCAAGCAUAAUAACCGGAUAAUACAUGAUAUCAGGCUUAAGUAAAAUUUGAUAAUGUUCCCUAGUUUUCGCUACAUUGCAAAGGAUUCAUUUUUGAAAAACAAAUCGAUAAAGGUAACUAAGUUUUCAAAAUGACUUGAAAAAUGGUUUUUUCGCUGCAUUAGUUUAACAUCAAUUUUUUUUGAAGGAGAGCGACAAGCAAAUGGUUUUUCUAAAACCACAUUAUUAACAAUAAAAUGAAUUCUAAGUAUACACAACCUAAUGAAUGAAUGCUUUUAAGCUAACUCAAAGUACAACUAUGGUUUUCUCUAAAAUGAUUUUAUUCAAGGUUUUCAGAAGUAAUGUAAGUUAGCUUAGCCAUUUCGGUGCCUCAUGUAGCCUUCUCAAUCUAGCCAUAACGUCUAGGCCAGGUUUGGGAGGUUACAGGAUUUAUAGGGAUUGUGGUAUAAAUUUUCUUUUGGACAUUCGUAAAGUGUUAUUUGGACUGAACUUUAGAAACUACAGAUUUUAUACUGAGCCUAAAUUUACGAAGUUUUUGCGUGGUUUUUACGAAAAUGAAACUAAUAUGAUUUUUUGAGACUAUGAUUUUUUUUAACACUCCAAUUUGAAAUUGUACAAGAAACGUCAAUUUGAAUUAUUUUUUAAUGUUUUUUAUGCCAAUUAAAUAUUGUUUCAAAACAUAGCUAAGUAUUAUUUAAUUUCCUAAAGAUGAAGCAAACACUGAACAAUCUAAAACUUCAAUGACUUGUUUGCAAUUUUUGUUUUUCCUUAAUUGUCUCCAGUUUGAUUCAAUUCUUGAUCUAUACGAUUAUUCCAUUCAAUUCAUCAAUAUUGAACAUUUAUACAUUAUGUCAUGUCAUGAAUGAACUUAGAUAAAUUCAUUUUUUGAUAUCCUUAAAGUUUUAUAUUUAUUUCAAUUUAGUCUCUAAAAUCGAAAUAGUCAUAACUUUAAAUUCUGAACUUUGGUUUGAAAAUCGACCUCAAUUUCAUUAUAGACUCUCUACUAUCCAUUAUUAUCAAAAUUUCACAUCAAUUUCACAAUUUAUUCACUUUAGUUAUUAUGUACAAAAUCAACAACCAAACAUCACAAUUUAGUCAUUUUUCAUAAUUUAAGCUUAAAAUCUAUCAAUUUAACACCAAUUUGUUCAAGAAAUCAACCAUGAAAGCUAUAAAAAAGACUUUAACAAUUUUGCAAAUUGGUACAUAGGUUAUUUAAAUCAAACUCUCAUUACCUCAAAAAUACUAUUUAAAUCAAACUCUCAUUACCUCAAAAAUACAAAAAAAAAAUACGAAAAUGAUUUAGAAAUGCAUACCAAUUGAGGACUGAAAGUUUGAAGCUCAAAAAUGGCUUUUUCCCUUGAGGUUUUAUGUUGAUUAGAUGAUGAAGAAGAAGAAAUAAAGAUGACAACUUGCACUAAGUCACCUUUAUAUACUUAGAUUAAAUCUUAACUAAUCAAAUUUAAUUAAUUAACCUUAAUCACAAUUAAUAAAAAAUUAGUGGAGGUUAACAUCAUCCUACACUAUUUGAUAUAACCAAAUGAUCUAUUUACCAUUUUGAACCUUUAGCUAAUUAGAAAUCUAUAGAGAUAAUACUUUUAAAAUUUAGUCUUUAUACCUUAAUUAAGCAAUUAAUAGACAAAGUUGAAGGUUUAAAAUUUAAUAUUCUAUUAUACGAACUCUAUAAAUAUUCAUAUUUAAUAUUUACGGACCCGAAUUACAAAAAUGAAAUUCUGAAAUUGUAUUUUCCAGUACCACUGAAAAUUGGACAAUUACGUAACCUAUUUGCACCAACGGGCCAAACAUGGCAAAUACUUGACAUGUAUGUUUUCAUAUCUUCAUCUAUUCUCUUCAAUAUAAUAACAUCCAAUAAUUGUAACAUCCACUGUAAUGUGCAGAAGCGCGACAUUUUCAUUCUAGAAGAAAGGUAUAAUUGAAACAAAAUUAAAAUAAAGAAUUCAAUACAAAAUCAACAGACAUUCCAGUUAAUACUUAUCAAUUAUUUGCAGCUUCACUGCUCCAAUUAAGAUGGUUUUUAGUCGAAUAUGGUAAAUGAAAUCAAUGAACACCAGCUACUUGAACGAGUGAAUCAAAGUCCUGAUAUGUGCCGGCUUAUUGGGGAAAAAAUAUAUGGGUUAGUUUUGCAGCAAUUCAUGAUCAUACAUUUUAUAACCUUUGCUUACAAUUAUUUACUAACUAAUCAUUCAAUGAAUGGAGGCCUCAAACUCAGCCACUAAACUUUAUUCUUUAUUUUUAGAUACAUAUUAUUUGAUCACUUCAUACAGCCUAUUACUCAUAUUAACUUCCAAUUUCCCUUCUUUAGGUUAGUUGCAAAUGUACAGCUUUUUCUAGAAGAAGAAAAUUGUCAAGAGCCACCUGUUCAAGAGAGGCGCAAACAGAAUGCAACAAUACCUGACCUACUUACGGCACAGCCAAGUAAUCAUGUGUUUCUAUGCUAGAUCAUUAAAUCAAUGACUACAAAUUUCAUGCCAUGGUUGUGUAUCAUUUAUGCCAUUGAUGCUGCUAUUUUCUAUUCUAAUGCAUAAUAGGGAUUUAGCGUUUUUACCGUUAAAAUUGUGUCCUUUAAUUUUGGCUCUUUUCAAUUGUUGAUCAUGUCCACCUAUGCUUUAUUUUACUACUAUUGCUUUCUUUAACGAUAGAUGAUUGAAUCGGUAGAAUUUUAUUAAUCCUCUACAUGUUUUAUCUUGACGUAUGGAUACUAAGCAUUCCUUGGAUUGUGCCCUCUUUGUUCAUUUUUUCUUUUUCUUGGAACCUUAUUACAUGUUGUACCACUCCAGUUUUUUGGAGAUUUCUUAUGCAGAGGAACCAAUGGCAAGAGACUCUAAAAAUCCUACUCUUUUUUAUACCUUCCUCACCUCUUUGUGAUAUUAUAGCUGAAAUAAAAUGUAUGCUAAUACAUGAAAUGUUUCCUCUUGCCUUUCUUUUUGUAGUACUAAAACUACAAAUAGUGUCUGCAAAACUCUUUAGAGAAAAACAAAUGUCUGUAAAUCUCUUUUCCCGUAAUCUUAUCUUUUCUUCAUUGUAAUAGUUGGACAACUUUUUGUUGAAGACAAUGUCAACUACCGGGAUAAGUUAUUGUAAGCAUCUUUUCUUUAAGUGUUUCAUAUUAAAAACAAACACUGUUAUUGUUUAUUUUGUAGUCUAAAUUAUGAUAAUUUCUGCACAAAAUUCACAUAAAUGGUUACCCUCCCGAAGCGGAGCGAGGGUGAUGCUUACUAGUUAUUAAGAAAACAGGACCUUGUAGGGCUUAACUGUUGAAUCAAGAAAGAAAUUUCUUUUAAUGCCGUUAAUUUUUUUUAAAGCUGAUUUUUUUUUACAAAUUAAAGUUUUGAUUGUAUGUUAAUUGCUUGAGGGAAGGUCGGAUACUUUAUUACCCCUAUUUUUAUUUGUUAUAUAUUUUAGCCAUAAUGAUUUUUUUGGCCCUACAACUUUACCAAAAAAAUCAUAUUAGCUUUCAUUUAGUUUUCGUCUCUUUUAACCCUUUAACUUGUAUUUUUUUGUCAAAUCACCUCAAAAUGGAUCGAAAACUUAACAUUUGUGAACUUGAUGAUGUGCAUUCACAUGAAUUGUCACAUGGAUGACAAGUCAACAUUUAUUUUUUUUAAAAAACUUAAAAAAUAUUAAAUAAAAUAUUUUUAAUAUUUUUUAAUUAUUUUUAAUUUAAAAAAGUUUUUAAAUAUUUUUAAUUUUUAAAAAUUAAUUAAACCCAGACAUGGAAAUUCACAUCUAUGUGUCACAGGCCGUGGAUUAAAGCCCGUGACCAUUGUGCAUAGAACACCCCAUUGAAGUCAACUUAUUAAACGAGGUUCAUUUGACCCGCAUGAACUGGCCCGACUCAUGGAACCCGUGGAGAAGCCCAUCUACUUGAAGCCUUGGUGGUCUAGUGAAAUACUCCAAUAAAACUAGAAUUACUAGGGUAAAUAGUGUAUAUCUUAAAUGGAUAAGAUUGUAUAGAGUUUAAAUCCUUUAUGACUCUCAAUUGCAGAUAAGCUCUAAUCUUGACCAUCGAUAUAACUCAAUCUAUAUCGUUGCUUCUAGGGAGCUCAACUAUAAGUAGAGGCCUCCCCUUCAUUUUUAUCCAUUCCAUUCAUAGUUGUGAAUAUAUUUGAGAGCAUUUACUCAAACACCUUGUGUACAUUGCUUUUAUUUGGCUAUUAUGCUCUUUUGAGCUUCUGUCUUUGAGUAUCACAUCCCAAAAUUGGGCCAAAAAGAAAUAUGGGGAAAAUUGAGUUUUAAUUUUUUUUAAACAUAUGGUAAGGGAAGUAGAAUGCCUUAAAAUUAUUUUUUGUUAGAAAACUAAUAAGAAUGAGUUUGUUGUUUUAGUGUUAAUGCCUUAGCCUACCCAUAGGUCCCAAGUUUGAAUCCCUUGGUGAGGAUUCAACCAACAUAUUUUUAUUUCCUUGUUUUUACAACACCAAAAGUGACAAAUUUUAAAAUAACCCAGCCCAAAAACUAUUUUUUUAAUUUAGUCCUUAAUUUAAAAUUUUCCCAAACCUACAUAAAUUUUUAAAACCUAUUCCAAUUAGGAAAAAUAAGCAUUAUAAAUAGACAAUUUCAAAACAAACCCUAGAAUUUCAUCUAGCAAAUUUUCAAGAAAACAUCCAUAAAAACUUUCUUUUCCAAAUAAAACUUUCAAGCUAAAGAAAUCGAAAUCUUCAAAAUCAUCCCUCAAGUAGAUCUUCAAUCUCUUCUCCAGCACUAAGGUUUCUAAGUAUUCAAAAUAGGUGUGGAAACUAAACCUAAAUCUUUGUGUAUAAUUGAAUCUAAUAGCAAGUAGAGAACCAGUAUAGACUAACCCUAGGAGAAACCCCCUGUAUGUGCAAUCAUGUAGGUGUGAGCCUAUAGAUGCAAAACCCCUUGUACAUGAAAACCCCAUGCAUGCAAACCCUUACGUGAAACCCUCCUUUCAUGCGAACCCUAUAUGAAUACCAUGUGAACCCUAGAUUAUAGUUGUGAACCCUAGGUUGUUAUGUGGAUACCCAUACUGUGAACCCAUGUGCACAAACAUAUAGGAAUAUUCAUGCGAACCCCCUUGCAUGCGAACCCUAGUUAGUAUACAUACGGGUCUCAUAUUUACAUGCAAACCACUACUGGUGCGAGUCAAUUAUAUGAUAUCACAUACGAACCCUACUAUUACAUGCAAACCUUUAUACAGUUAUAUUCGAACCUUUUUUUGUUAAAACAGGUGAGACUUGUCUAGUAUUACAUACGACCCUACAUAUACCUAAUUUGCUAACUCAUAUGUUAAAAGUAUGUGAACCUAUCUAUGCUUGUUAUGCGAACUCACAUGUUAGCAGUAUGUGAACCUAUAUAUAUCAGUUAUGCAAACUCACAUGUUAGCAGUAUACGAACCCAUAAGUCUGUUAUGCAAACUCACACGUUGGUAUGCGAACCCUAUAUACACCUUUAUGCAAACUCACACAUUAACAGUAUGCGACCCUAUAUACGCCUUCAUGCAAACUCAUAUGAUUAGCAGCAUGCGAUCUCUAUAUUUAUGCGAACCCUUGUAAUAAAAAAUAUGCGAACCUUAACUUGCGAACCCUAGGCAGGAACCCUGCACUCGCAAAGCCUUCUUCCGGACCUGUACAUAUACUAGAUAACCAAGCCUAUUAGUUUACAUUAAAUCACUGUACAUAUGAGACUGUUUGUUUACAUGCACAAGUUAUAUGUGCAUUUACUAUUCGAUACAAGAGUACAUAUCGACCUUUUGAUGAGAAUUCAAAGAUUAACGAUGAUAAUUCCAACAAUCCGUGUAAGAAUGAGUUAAAUCGAGAAUUGAUGUAAUUUAAGGUAAUAAAGUUAAUUUUUCAGUAAUAAAUGAAAAAUUGUUAUCGAAAGAAACGAUGGGUAAAAAAAUGAGAGUUUUAAAGAAAAGAGAGGAAAACUUCAAUUUAGGGUUGAAAAGGAACUAAAAAUCCAUGUGAAAUCAGGAAAAAAUAUAAAAUACCUAGGAUUAAGAAAUUUGAGGGGGUUGAAUGGUAAAAUACCCUUUUUGCUUAAAAAUGGAAAUGGGGAUUGAGUUUGGCAUGACUUGAACCUUGGAAGCAAAGGAAAAAAUUGCAAAGGCCUUACCAUUUGAAGGCUACCCACAUUUGGUAUAUUUUUACACUAUUUGAUAUAUAUCCUAGCUUAGUUUUGAUCAUAGGUUGUUAAAAAAGCAAGGGGUAAGAGUGUGGCUUCAACCUUAGUUCUCUAGUUAGUACACUAAGCUCUUAACCAUUAAGAUUAAGGCUCAUCUCUUAGUCAAUUAAUUCAUCUAACUCUAUAUAUUUUGGGAUGUUACAUCUUGAAUUAGAAAAACCCGUAAAAUGCAUGUAGACUUGUAUUGCUUGGUACUUGGCAGUAUAUAUGUUGACUUGUAUGUUGAUUAAGCUAGCUUAAUUAAGACCAAUGUGUUAGACUUGUCUAUGCAUUGAACAAUCUAAAAGAAAAUGAAGAAAAAGACUCUGAAAACACUUGAAAACAGAUGAAACUCAUAUGUCAUCGACUAGUUAAACUAUGAUCACUCAUAAUAGACCUUGUAUUUGACUUUUUGUUGAGGGAAAUUGACUCCUUCGGGAGAAGUUUCCUAAGUGUUGCUUGUCAAGCAGUCAGUGUUGCCCUAAACAACUAAAGGUAUUGUCCCCAUGUCGAGAUUUUACCCCCAGCCUCUGCAAAAUAAUCAUGAAGAAUACGUGCGAGGGAAUUCAAACACCAACCAAUGCAUGUGUUGCCUUUACCUUGCCACCAUCUUUGGGAACCCAUAAGGAUAAAAUCCCAACAAGAGAAUUGUAUCAGAGGGGUCUGUCAACACAAUGAAUGAAAUUUAAAUGCAUACCUUCUUUUUUUUUAAUGAAAGUAAAUAUCAUAUUUAAUUAGAGAAAAGCAACGAAAAAUCUAACAAUAAAAUCCUUAGCAAAAGAUUAAAACACAAUUGUACCAUAAAUUAAAUAAGAAACUAAAAAAAUUCAAAUCUAACAAAGACAGUAACUUGAUUCCUCAAAGCUACCACAAACAGUAAUUCAUAGGAAGGCCUGCUGCUCAAUUUAUAGGUUUCCAUCUUGAUUUUGCAAAAGAAGUUUGAAUUCCGAAGAGAGCCUAGUACAUGAGAGAAAAUGAUUGAGCAAAAUAAAGAAAAUUAGUUUAUUAAUUUUCAUUAUGUAUAACACAAACUUCAUGGAGACGGAUACCAACAUACUAGAUAUCUAUGAUUAAAAUGCUAGAAUAGAUUAAAAAUGUUGAAUUAAUGAUUAAAUUAAGAGUGAAUUAUUAAGCGCAAGUGUACUCAUUACUCACCAUCUUUGUUAAACAUGUUUAAUGUUGUUUAGCAUCCUUUGCUUGAUUUUCUUUAGCUCAACCAUAACAUGUUUCAUAUCUAUUCUUUCUUCUGGUAACUCAGCUGUGAUGGAUGAAAUACAAUUUGCUUUAACAACAAAGUACUCAUCCUCUCUUUUUAAUAAAUCAACAUCUGCAGUUUCUAUCACUCCUUUAGACAGUGAACUUUCCAUCCAAUGCCUUAUAGUCACUUCUUCAGCAAAAUAAUUAUCAGUUGGCUUUUUCUUCGUGAAAGUUUCUAUAAGGACAAUCGCAUAACUAUAGACAUCACAUUUUCUAGAAACAAUUCCUGCUGAUCCAAAUUUUGCAUUUCAAGCAUAAAUAUUAGAGCAUCAUUAAUCCUUAAUUAUUUCUAAAAUGUUUACUCAAAUGUACAAAUGAAACAAAAAUAUAAAAUGAAAAUCAAGAAAAUAAUCAUAAAAAGAAUUCACCUGGUGCCAUAUACCCGAUUGUGGUUUGCUUCACUACAUCACCUUCUCCCAAAAAGUUGGAAAUGCCAAAAUCUCCCAUAUGUGCAACCAUGUCUUUAUCUAGUAAAAUAUUGCUUGGUUUGAAGUCAGAAUGAAUCAUAGGUGUUGGAUGUCCGUAGUGGAGAUGUUCUAUAGCUGUCGCAACAUCUAUCAUUAUGUCAACCCUUUGUAUGAUAUCAAGGAAACAGUUUUUAGAAUGUAGCCAUUUCUCAAGAUUUCCAUUUGACAUGUAAUCAAACACCAAGGCUUUUUUAAAAAUAAAAUAAACUUGGUAUCCAAAAUUUUUUUGUGUUGACAUGGCAUUUUUAAAAAUAAAAUAAACUAGGUAUCUGUGUAACAAAAAUAAAAUUGUAAUAGGCCUAAUUUUAGUAAAGAAUGUUAACGAUGUUAAGAAUUCUUUAAAAUUCACAUAAUCAUUUUUAUUAGAAUAAAGUAUUUAGACUUGACUAAUUAUAUUAUAAAAAUUAAGAUACCAAAUUAUGUCAAAAUUAAAGUUAUAGAUUAAAUCUCAAUUUUAACAUUCUUAUAAUUUGAAAAAGUAGAAGAUUGGAAUUAAAUAAAUUUAUAAUCCUUAAUUGUAAAUUUGAUAAUUCCUAUUAAUCUAAAUUAUUACAAUAAUGUGCUUACAAUGCUUGGUUUUACUUAAUGAGUGAUAUUAAAUUAAUUAAAAAAUUACAUAAAAAUCAAAUAUCUUAUUUCUAAUAAUAAUAUUACUACUCCCUCACAAAACUAUAUUUCACUUGAAAGAAAUUCUAUUCCCUUCAAAAAAAAAUUACCAUCUUAAAACACUUCAAUCUUUUAAAAAAUCUUAAUGCACACUUUAAUCCCUAAAUUAUAUCACUUUUUUAACUUUAGUCUUAAAUUAUUUUUUUUGAUUUUAGUCCCUAAUAUUAUUAAACGUUUCCAGUUUAGUUCAUUGGACAAUAAAAAUUGAUUGUCGUUGGGAUAUCCAACCAAUCAUACACUACCACAUAUUGUACGAUGAUAUCAUUAUGACAUCACCAACAAAAAAAACCUUAAAAAUCUUUAAAAAUGACAAAAAAUUAUUAUAAUUAUUUAAAAAUAGAAAAAAACUAAAAUUAUAAAAAUAAAAAAUCUAUGUAAAAUAUAAAAAUUUACAUAAAAUUUAAAAAUAUAUUAGAUAUUUUAAUAUCUUUAAAAUUUUAUAAAUCACAUUUACUAGAGUUUGAACCUAUGAUUAUUGUCAACAAUUGUUUUAUGACUCAAUUAAUCAUAAUUUAUAAUUGGUAGAUCUUUUUACGUGAUAAACUUGGAUAAUUUUUUUUCAAAUUAUUUAAAUAAUGAAAAGUAAUAUUAUUUCAAAUAAAUAAUAAAUUAUAUAAUAUUUUUAAUUAUUCCAAAUAUUUUUUUUACUAUAUUAAGAUAAAUUAUUUGUCUCUAGACCAAUAUCUUAAGAACUAUUGUCGUAUGUUUAACUAUUCUAAAGAACUUUGGUAUAAAAUAGAAAAAGCAUGUGCACAAUGGUAAAUAGGGAGUCGAGUCAAAUAAACUUGUUGCCAGUAAUGCUGGCAAAGUACUAAAAAUUGAUGUAUUUUAAAAUAUUAAAAAUUUGAUAUAAAAAUUUAUUCAAAUUUUUAUUAUAAUAAUUUUAAAUAUUUUUUUAUAAAAAUUGAUUGUACUACAAUAUACAAUUUCAAUAUCAAAUUUUUAAUAUUUUAAAUGUGAUUAGCGAAUGUAUACUUUAUUUCAAGUUACACAACUUUUACUAGUAUUUUAAUUUUUUUAUUUUUUACAAUCUUUUAUUAUUUCUAAUAUUUUUUAUAUUUUUUACAAUAUUUAAAAAUUUAUAAUAACUUUUAAUAAUUUUAUUAUUUUUAGAAAUUAAAAGAAUUGACAAUUUUUUUAUUUUUUAAACAAUUAUAAAUUUAUAAUGUAGUUAAUUUUAUUUAAGUUUAUUUGAAUUUUAUGUUAUUUUAAAAAAAAAUUAUUUUUGCAAUCGUGACAUCAGCAUAUGACACGUGGUAAUUUAUGAUUAGAUGAAUAUUCGGUUUUUUUUUUAACGUCCAAAGGAUUAUGCUGAGAACACCUGGUAAUGUUAAGGACUACACUAAGAGCAUUUGAUAAUAUUAGGUACUAAAGUGGGCCUAAAAAACAUUAAGGACCAAAGCAAAAAAAAUGCUAUACUUGAACUUUCAAAAUUAUCUUUCAUUUAGUUAGGAUUAAUAUUUAACGAUUUAACAUUUAAAAAUUUGUAGUAUUGAGGUUAAAAAAUGAGUAAGAGGUGGUGGAUGGUUCAUAUAAUGGUGAGGCACAAAGAACCAUUUUAAAAUAAGAGAAGGGAGGGGUGCUUAUUCUUGAGGUUAAGAAUGAGUAUUUAUAGGUGAGGUUAAUCAUCCUUGAUCAUUAGACCUUGACAAGUGUUUGAUGCCAGUCUUAUCGUGGUUGGCCACUAAGGGAAUGAUGGACCUCUAGGUAGUGAUGGAAUUUACAUGAAUUAGAUGAGAUUAGGAUGACAAUUUGGAUUUUGAAUUCGGAUAAUAUUGGAAUUAAAAUUUUGAAAUUACUAUCUGUUGCAUAUUUGAAGUGAAUGCGGAUAGAUGUUUCAGAUUUAUAUUAGUCGAAUAUACAUUACUUAUUCGAAUAGAUGUAGAUUGGAAUUUAGAUAUCUGAAUCAACUAGUCACGAAAUGUGUAUAGUUUUGAUUAUAUAUAAAAAAAUUUGGUGGAUUCAAUUUUGAAUUUUCGUGGAUUUGGAUAUCCAGAACAUGAUUGAAAUUUUUAAAGUUACUCCUUUUUUGUUGAUUCAGAUAUUUGACGAAUAAUAGUACUUAACUUAAGCCAAAUUUAGAUAGUAAUACUCGGAUAAUUUGUAUAUAAUAAAUAAAUUUUGAUUUUCAAGCAAAUAUGCAUAUUCAAAUUCUAAUAAUUCAAAAAAUGUAGAUACUAACCUAUUGCCAUUCCUAGGCAAGAGUACCCUACGUGUGAUCCAUGCACAGAAGGAUCCAACAUCUUUCACUGAUGAGGUAGAUUAGAAGCAUCACGUACCAGGCAUAUAUGUAUCAAUGAGGUCUAUAGCAGGCAAAGUGUAGCCCCAACUGAAAUCAUAGUUGACGAGGUUGUAGUUGGGCGACAUGAUGGUGACAAAAGCCACUCUGGUAAAAUAUUAAUAGCAAUCGCCCUCCAAUUAAUGAGAAGUUAUAAAGUGACCUAAUUAAAUGGUAGCAUAGUUUACCAUAAGUGUCAUAUGUGUUGUAAGGCAUGAGCUCAAACCCUACCAAACUCAAAUGAUCAAAUUUCCUUGGUACCGUUUGUCCCAACAAGGCGCUCCCACUCUGUUGAACCUGUCACCUCUUUAGGUAGCUUUAGGCACUUGAGAUCUUUACAAAGUCGAGAGGUAAAAUUAUUGGAAAAAAAACUCGAUUUGAAAAUGGUUUUCUUGCACAGUAGAAAAAUAAAAUUUUGAAAAUCAACUUGGUUUGUGAUAUUUAUAGCAAAAAAACCUUAACUGAAUUCAUACAUGUGUUUUUGGAUAAGUGGAUCCUUGAUGUUUUCAGGCUUUCAACCAAACGAUCUUUUGCACUAUUCUCGUACCACGAACUGCUUCGAGUGUGGCCUCAAACCAAUUGAAUCAAAACACAAAACUAGAAAAGGUUUUCCUUUUUGAGUGAAAACCAAAAUUCUCUCUUCUUUAAUAGAAAUCGGUAAAAUUAUUAUUAUGAAAAAUAUGUUUAUAAGUUGAGAAUAAAUUCUCUCUAUUUUUUGACAGAAUAACAAUCUCUCAAAAGUUGUGUAAAUAGCUCUACUGGUGCCAUUUAUUUAUAGGAAGAGAAAGUAGAACCCUUGUAGAGUUGUAAAAGUUUAUAUCCACUAGAAAAAUAAUAUCCUAGCCUAUCUAGGAUAUAGGAAGCAACAACCCUAGUUAAUGAUACUAGGGUUUUGUCGUUCCACCUCCUUAUAUGAGGGGUUUUAGGCCUCUCUCACAUCGGGUCCAAGUACAAGUACUUCUUAAAUAUAAACUUGUAUUUGAUAUAUUGAUUACGUAUGAAUUUAUAUAUUGUGAGUAAAAUUUGUAUUUGAUAUAUUAAUAAUGUAUAAAUUUAUAUAUUGUUAAUACAUCAUAUGUUUAAAAAAUCUAAUAAUUAUAUAUUAUUUUCAAUAAUUUUUAAAUUUAUUAAUUGAUUUAUUGGUAUAUUAAUAUUAUUUUUUAGUAAUAUGUAAAUUUAUACCCAGUCAAUUUAUGAAAUAACAUUUAGUGAGUGGAAUAUAUAUAAAAGAAGAUAUUCUAAAUCUUUCUAAGCUUUAUAAUUCUUCCUUAAAAUAGAAAAAGAAAUAAAUUGUUGAUAUAGAUAUGUUGAUAAGAUUUUCAUGUAGGACUUUUCUGUAAUUCAUGAUUUUGUUACAUGCAUUAAUUGUAAUUGUGAUAUUUUAUAUUUUAUUUAUAUAAAUCAUGUUAAAUUUGAUUUAAAUUCCUUUUUUAAUUAUUUAUUCUUUUAAGAAAUUUCAAGUAUUCAAUAAAUAUUAAUGUAUACAUUUCCUUAAAUUGAUAUAAUAGUGAUAUCAGAUUAGUUUAAAAUUUUGCGUGUAUGACAAGUACAAUUAUAUUGAUAGAUUCAAUAGUCGGAUUAUUCAAAUAUUACUCCUACAAAUAUAUAUGUAUGAAGAAGUAUAAACUACUUUAAUUUUACACUGGUAUAAGUAGAUCUCUCUCUUACAUCUGUUGUAUAUUUGAUUUUGAUUCAAACGUACUCAUUUAAAGAAAUAAAUACAUCAAUUUAUUUUUAUAUUGAAUAAGUAUAAUUAUUUGAAUAUGAAAUAUAUAGAUGUAAAAUGAUGGUAUAUCAAUAACGAUGUUAGAUGUUUGUGAAAAUUGAAUCAAAUCAAUAUUUCAUGUAUAAAAUUGCACAAUGGACCAAAGUUCAUGUACAGUUUUGAUCUUUAUAUCUGAAAUUUAUUAAUGAAAAUUAUUUUCCAAAAGAUCACAUUGAGUAAGUUUAAUUUAAAUUUAAAUAUUUAUAUUUUUUCUCAUAUAGAAUUAUAAUUUUUUUAAAAGAAGUGUAUACUAAUUGUUGAAAGAUUUUCGACUCUUUUGGAAAGUCUUCAAAGUGGCAUAUUUUGAAGAUGGUGGACCCUCAACACGUCCAAUAUUAUCAUUGGUUAAGGUUUUUGUUGGAUCUAGUGUCCUAAGUGUAGUACUUUUUAUCAAUAUACAGUUGUAAAUUUUGUUAACAAAUUGGUUAAUAAAACAAAUUUAUCGAUUAUAUUAAUAUACUUUAUAUAAUUGUCCUAACAUAGUUUUUGCAUGCAAAGCAAAAUGGAAGCAAAUGUUGCUCAUUGGUUGCCUAAAUAUUUAACUAAUACUAAGCGGUAUUAUGUGUAUAAAAAACAGCUUGUAUUAGUAGACAAAUCUAAACAUGUCCUUAGCAUAAUUGGAAAUGAGUAAAUUGAUUGAAAAACUAAUAUGUCGUCUAUCAAGCGUAACUGGGGAGAUUCCUUGUCUUGGGCAUCGAAGCGGAUGACUCCCAAAAGGUAGAGACAUAGAUGUGACUGACUUGACUGGUAGUACAUUGGAUAGGACACAAAUAGAAUAGAUCCUGAAUUUGUUUAUGGACUUAUUCACUUGUGAUGUCCAUAGUGUGGCAUACAUAAAUCUUGAAUAGAUAGCGGAGUGUGACUUUUACACUUUGAUGUAAGUAAAAAUGUAAGUUCAAAUAGAUAAGGAACCAAAAUCUAGUACAUUUGGUUUACGACUUCUGUAGUAUGUAGCAUCAUUCAUAAUAGUGAAAUUCAUAGCCCAAAUCAUGGGUAAAUGAUAUCCUCUCAUUGACAUUACAUGGUUAAUGAAAAGUAAAUGUGGCCACGGGUUGUCCGUCUUUGUGAUGGAAACUUGAUCACUAAUUGAUAAUGAUUGAUUUUUCACGAAAGAAGCUGUAAUGGUUACCAUGAGAUAAAAUAUGAUCAUAUUGGGAGAACAAAUAUUAUCACAAAGAGAUCAAGGAUAUCCUAUGAGGGUAACACACUAAUGACAAGGUUAUUGGACGAGCAUUAAGUAGUUACUUUCGUAAUGGUAUGUCGUUGGGGAUAUUUCAUUCACGACACUAUAGUGGAAUGACUUCAUGACUAAAUGAUUUUAUAAUUAAUAGGUAAAAAAACAGAAUUUAAUUAUAAAUCAUUUGAGCCUCAACUCCAUAUGUCUACUCGGUCCCCCCACUGUUAGUUCAUUGAAACCAAAAAUGAAUUGCACGUUUGAAUGGAAAUCAGCGAAAUGGAUAGAAAAAGAGAAAUGAGAAACAUUCAGAAAUGAUUAUGGUCUCCUCUAAAAUGGAGAAAUGGAAUAAUUUGAAAAUGAAUGUAGGUUUCCAAAAAUGGAAAUAGAAAUGAAAAUGGAAACUUGCAAUUUUAUAUAUGAUUACUUAAAAAAUGAUGGAAGAAUGAGUUUAUAUUUUUUGACUGUUUUGAAGCUCGAAAAUGAAAAUAAAUCAUUCAGUCAUAGUGAACAUAUUGAGUUGUGUCAUAUUAAAUGAAUUUUCUUGAAAUUUUAUUGGAGGUAAAAUUGCCAAAAUUUUAAUGCGUAAAAUUGUCAUGAGAAAAUAAUUUAAUAUGUAAAUAUUAAAAUUUAUUUUGGAAAUAGAAAAAUUGAAUCGGGUUGGACCAUAUUACAAAGUACUAGAUCAAAAAGGCCCAGAAAGUACUCGUACUUGGACCUGAUGUGAGAGAGGCCCAAAACCCCUCAUGUAAGGUGGGACGGCAAAACCCUAUUAACUAGGGUUGUCGACCCUUAUAUCCUAGAUAGGCUAGGAUAUUAUUUUUCUAGCAGAAAUAAACUUUUACAACUCUACAUGGGUUCUAUUUUCUUCUCCUAUAAAUAGAUGGCACCAAUAGAGCUAUUUAUACAACUUUUGAGAGAUUAUUAUUCUACCGAAAAGUAGAGAGAAUUUAUUCUCAACUUAUAAACAUAUUUUUUAGAAUAACAGCUUUACCGAUUUCUAUUAAAGAAGAGAGAAUUUUCGUUUUCACCCUAAAAGAAAACCUUUUCUAGUUUUGUGUUUUGAUUCAAUUGGUUUGAGCCCACACUCGAAGCAAUUCGUGGUACGAGAAUAGCGCAGAAGAUCGUUUGGUUGAAAGCCUGAAAACAUCAAGGAUUCACCCAUCUAAAAACACAUGUAUGAAUUCGGUUAAGGUUUUUUUGCUACAAAUAUCACAAACCGAGUUGAUUUUCAAAAUUUUAACUUUUGCUGUGCAAGAAAACCAUUUUCAAACUGAGUUUUUUUUCAACAAUUUUAUCUCUCAACUUUGUAAAGAGCUCAAGUGCCUAAAGCUACCUAAAGAGGUGACAGGUUCAAUAGAGUAGGAGUGCCUUGUUGGGACAAACGGUACGUGACGCAUGACCACCUACCAAGGAAAUUUGAGCAUUUGAGUUUGGUAGGGUUUGAGCUCAUGCCUUACAACAAAUAUGGCACUUAUGGACAACUGCUACCAUUUAAUUAGGUCACUUUAUAACUUCUCAUUAAUUGGAGGGCGAUUGUUAUUAAUAUUUUUCCAGAGUAGCUUUUGUCACCAUCACCUCGGCCAACUACAACCUCGUCAACUAUGACUUCAGUUGAGGGCUACACUUUGCCAGCUUUAGACCUCAUCAAUACAUAUAUGCCUAGUACAUGAUACUUCUAAUAUACCUCGUUAGUGAAAGAUGUUGGAUCCUUCUAUGCAUGGAUCACACGUAGGCUACUCUUGCUUAGGAAUGGCAAUAGGUUAGUAUAUACAUUUCUUGAAUUAUUAGAAUUUGAAUAUGCAUAUUUGCUUAAAAAUCAAAAUUUGUUUAUUAUCUAUAAAUUAUCUGAGUAUUACUAUCUAAAUUUGGCUUAAUUUAAGUACUAUUAUCUGUAAAAUAUCUGAAUCCGCAAAAAAAGAGCAAUUUAAAAAUUUUCAAUCAUUUUUUGGAUAUCCAAAUUCACGAAAAUUCAAAAUUGAAUCCACCAAAUUUUUUAUAUAUAUAAUCAAAACUAUACACAUUUCAUUACUAGUUGAUUUAGAUAUCGAAAUUCCAAUCUACAUCUGCUAUUCGAAUAAGUAAUUUUGUAACACCUUAAAUAAUUUAAGUCUGUUUUUGUGAAAUUUGACACAAAAUGUGUACCUGCUUCAGUGGUUAAGUGUUCUAGGUGUGUGUGUGAGGUAUUGGGUUCAAUUCCUACUUUUGGAAAAACUUUGUUAUUUUAUAUCCAAGCCUAACUCUUAUUGAGUGGGCUUAUGUUAAAUUGUUUGUUAAUCCAUAUCAAAAUAAGCUUGUAGGUUUGAGUGGUAAGGAGUUGGUGUGUAGGAGGUCCUAUGUUUGAAUCCCUACGUGAGCGUAGGUAUUAAUUUUUGCUCGGUUGUCUGAUAGAGUUUGAGUGGUCUUGAAAGUCUGAGGUUGUUAAGGUUGAGUGUUAGUGGGAAGUUAGGAUAUUUUGGAGGGAUUUUUAUGUUGAUUAUUAUUUUAUUUUAUUCCUUUUUCAAAUUUUCUUCUCUCUUCCCAAAAUUUCCCUCUAAUGUUAUUCUUCAAGUUUUUUUUGUUGUCUCUAAUAUUUUUCCCCCUUUUCAUUAAAUCUUUGUUUUGUUCUUCUUUUUUUUAUUAUGUUCGUCAACCUACCAUUCGAUCGUGCCAUUGGAGUUGUCGAGUUAUCUAAUCGGUUGGUAAGUAAAACUUUGCUUCCCUUUAACUUUUGAUUUGGGAUUAUAGUGAUUUCAAUAUGUAGCAAUUGAUUAGUGGAACUUCGUGUUUAAGAGAAGAAUAGGGAGCAAUGAAUUGCACUCCAACGAUUUAGUGUGCGUUGAAGUGGUUUGUCAUCGAUGGUAAGUCAGUUUCGUGUUGUUUCUUGUCUUCAAAUUCAUUAAUGAAUCUACUAAAUCAAUGCUGGGUACUUUAAUUUUAGGAUUCAGAAGGCUCGGGAGUAUUUUUGCAUUAAAAUCAUAAUAGGUGUGUCCCUAAAACACAGAAAGUUAGGUUUCGAUAAAAGCCAAAAAUGCAUUCUGUCGAUGCCACAAGGGCGUGUGCCUGGCCGUGUGGCUAGUCGUGUGUGAGACACGGCCGUGUGUUUGACGAGGGUGUGGCUAUGCGCAAGCCACGGUCGUGUGGUAGUGUAAGUGUGGUUGUGUAGGCCAUACGGGCUAGGCCAAUCUAGGUUUGUGGGCCUACACGGGCAUGCCACACGGACGUGUAGAGGCCCACACGGCCAUGUAGGCCCACAAUUUUGAGAUUUUCCCUAAGGUUGCACGGUUCGUUUCGAACGAUUGUGGUCCUACCAUAGGGUCGGUAAGGGCUAAUCAAACCCUAAAUUAUGUGAUAUGAUAUUCUGAUAGUACACCUUGUGUAGGAUGUCGAUAUGUACAUCUGUUUUAUUUACGUAUAUAUAUGCUAUCUGUAUAUGAGCAUGUUAUGCAUGAUAUUACUGUAUCUGUUAUUUCUAUAUUAUGUAUCUGUGAUUGGGGUGGGUUUUGUAUAUGUAGAGAAAGUGAUCUGUAGGAUAACACUUCCAUUAUAUUUUAGCAGUUGACUGCAUAUUAUUUGUAAUGUGUAGCAUUGACAUUAUAUGGUGUGUAGGGAGGGGUGGGUGCUUUUAGCCCCAUAUGGUGUGAUGGGAUGGUCGAAGAUGUUGUGUAGAGGAUGGGAGUAGGAUUCUGUAUAUCUGUACUACUUAUCUGAUUCUGUUAUCUGUAUCUGGAAUGGAUAUAAGUCUAGAUCUUGAUCUGACUGUAUAUAAGACUUCUAUUUGUAUUGCAUGUCUAUUUUUGUUAGGUUACACAAUGAGUUUACGAAAACUCACAUCUGUUUGUCUGUUCUGUUCAGGUCUAUAGACUUAGGCGAAUCAGAGUGACGGAGCCUCACGGUAACCACGAGAUUGUAAACUAUUUAAGAUUAUGGUUUUUAUUUAAUUUAAGGAUUCUUUCUGGAAGUUUGUAAUAAUUGGGCUUUCUAGAAUAUUUGACUUUUAUUUCAAUUUUGGAGGCGUUUUAACUUUUAUGGCCACGUUUGACCAAAUUCUGAUUUUACUAAAAUAAAGGAUUUUCUGAAUACACGAAUUAGAUUUCCAAGAUUCAAUGCUUUUUGAAAACUUCCGCUGCAGAUUAUGUUUUGGAAAAUGAAUGAAUUAAAUAAUGCUUCUAGUAACAGAUAGUACACUUGGGGUGAUUUAUCGAACGACUUAACAAAGCUUUAUCAAAAGAUCACUAUUUUCAAAACCCUUCCAUGUAACACUCUUAGAUUCGGCCACAACGUCUAGGCCAGGAUUGGGGUGUUACAUUUAAUGGUAUCAGAGUCAGGUUGCAAAACUCGAGCUGUGAAUUUUGGGUUUCAAAAUUAUGUUUUGAAAAAGAACAGGUUUUCAAAUAAUUUGGAUCAUUUUGAAUAAGUAUGUGGUACACUGAGUCUCCGGCGUUGAUCCUAUGAGUACUUUUGAACUUAGAUAAAACUUUCUGAAAACACUAUAGUUAGUACUUUCUGAAACUGUACUGAGUUAGUUAAAAAAUAAAAACCUCUGAAAUAUGUUCAAACUUUUGAUAAUUUGAGCAUAAAAUAUCUGUUAAUAAACAUUGGAGCUGAUGCAUAAAAUUUUAUAAUGUAGAUAAAUUUUAAAAUAUAUAAUGAGCACUUGUGGAACUCGCGGUCAUGGUAUUCGUGGGCUCAGUGGGGGCCAUAGGGGGCUGGAGCUGAGUCUUUUUCUAUGGGCAAUAUGCCAAACUUAGAUAUGAGUAAGCUACGGUUUCACUUGCUACUGAGACAAGGUCUCAAAGCCAGUUGGCUAGGGACGAUGCACUAUCCCAAGCCAUGUUAAGGGUGUUGGAGAGGGUCACUGGACCCCAUUCUGGAUCUGUGGGCCAUAGGAUGGUAACUGAACAACUCUGGUCCAAUGGAGCUGAGCUGUUUAGGGGUGUCAUUGAAGUCGCUCCUACUGUGGUCGAGUAUUGGUUGGAGGGCACAAAGAGGAUUCUGAACGACAUCGAUUGUACUCCUAAGUAGAAAUUUAAUGGUGCAGCCUCUCUACUUCGCGAUGAGGCAUAUCAGUGGGGGUUGUCAGUUGAGGAGGGUACUCAACGGGACUGUCUGAACUAGGAUUAUUUUAAGACUACCUUUCAGGGGAAGUAUGUGGGCGCGAGCUAUGUUGAUACUUAUAGGCGUGGGUUCAUGAAUCUCACGCAAUGUGAUAAACCAGUGGCUAAGUAUGAGGCAGAGUUUCUAAGGUUAAACCGCUACGCUUGAGGCAUGGUGGUGACUAAAUUUGAGAAAUUCAUCUGUUUUAAGGAUAGCUUGAGGUAUAAUCUGAGGGUACUGAUUGCUCCACAGAGGGAGCAAGAGUUCACAGUUCUUGUGGAUAAGGUGAAGAUCGCAGAGGAGAUUAAGUGCGUGGAGCGCUAAAAUAGGGAUCGUGAGUGAGGCAAGAAUAAGAGGGAUUCAGAGUCCUCUAGUUCUGUUAAGAGGGCUGUUAGAGUAGGGGUUCCUAUUACUUCUAAUAGGAUUCAGCCACGUGAUGAUUGUGGUAGGCACCAUCCGGGUGAGUGUUGGAGGAGGUUGGGGGCUUGUCUGAGGUGUUGGUAUUUGCAACACCACAUUAGAGAAUGUUCACUCCAUGCAGAUUAGAUGCAAGCUUUAGGAUCAAGUUUUAUACAACCUUAGAGGGCAGUUCAGUAGCCAUCUAAGGGCCGUGGUCCGACUAGGGGUGGUAAUGGUAUGGGUCGAGGACAUAGAACAUCGGGAAAAGGUGUUAGUUAGACUGAGGCAAGGCAGCCUGCACUGGUUUAUGCUACUCAAUGCCGAGAGGAUAGAGACGCUCAUUAUGUUAUCACAGGUACUUCUUUAUUUUUGGUGUUCCAUAUACUGCUCUGAUAGACAUAGGUUCUACUCAUUCCUAUAUAGGUAGUACUAUUUCUAAAAAUUUAGGGAUUUUUGGUGAGGGUGUUUCUAGUGAAAUUAUUGUACUGAGUCCGUUAGGGCAGUCUUUUCAUGUAAGUAGACUUUAUAGGAAUGUGCCUUUGGAAGUACAAGGGAUUGUGUUUUCGGCAUAUCUGAUGGAGUUACUAUUUGGGGAGUUUGACUUAAUUUUGGGUAUAGAUUAGUUGGUUGAGCUUUGAGUUAGCUUGGAUUGCACAACUAAGAGGGUCAGUCUGAGGGCUGUGGAUGAAAGAGAGAUAGUAGUGAUCGGUGAGCAUCGAGAUUAUCUACCUAAUGUGAUCUCCGCUCUUGUGGCUGAAGAAUUGGAUCAGAAAGGGUGUGAGGCGUAUUUGGCUUACGUCAGUGUUCUAGUUUCUAGGGACUCUUCUAUCCGGGAUAUCAGAACAAUAAGGUAAUUUUUGGAUGUAUUUCUUGAGGAAUUAUCGGGUUUACCUCCGAAUUGAGAAGUUGAGUUUGGUAUUGAGCUUCUACCAGGUACAUCUUCGGUGUCCAUCGCUCCCUAUCAAAUGGCAUCGAAGGAGCUUACAGAGCUUAAGGCUCAACUUCAAGAGCUUUUGCAUCGUGGUUUCAUCCAUCCUAGUGUGUUUCUGUGGGGGGCACCGGUUCUGUUUGUAAAGAAAAAUGAUGGUACCACAAGGUUGUGUAUUGACUACCUACAGUUGAAUAAACUAACAGUAAAGAAUAAAUAUCCACUUUCGAGGAUUUAGGACUUAUUUGAUCAGUUCCGAGGGGCUGCAGUGUUUUCAAAAAUAGACCUUCAUCCUGGGUAUCAUCAGCUUAACAUUAGAUUUUCAAAUUUAAAAAUUAAAAUUUUUUUUACAGCUGCAUAAUUAAUAAGAUAUCAAUUUUGAGUGUUGUAGAAGUGUUAUAACCUUCUCAACGCAUAACCAACUCUUGAAUUCACUUUUUUCUCUAAAAUUCUACAUAGAACACAAAUUUAUUUUUUAAAUAUAUUUUAAAUCUCGCAAUAUUUUUAGGCGAUUCACCAAAGAAUAAAAACCUAGGAGGUGAUUCCUCCUUUUUAAUAAAACCUUGUGCUUUUGCAAACACCAAAUUAUUGCUAAGCUUUACAUUAAUAGACAUGAUUUAUUUGUUCGUUAUUAUUAUUUCUAUGAUUAUAAUAUUAUACUUAUCGGACUACAAUCAUAACCAUGUUUAUUAUAAUUCAAUAAAAAGAAAUAAGUGUUGGGUGUAAUGGCAAGGUUCAUUACACUCUUAAUAAGAGAUCAGGGUUUUGGACAAAGGAAGAAUAUGAUUCGAAUUUUGGAGACGACAUUCUUAAAAUGAGCAACCACGAAGCCCGAUUAUGAACCAUAAAAUGAACAUGAAAAGUACAAAAAAUACGUCUAUUAUCAAAUUAGUAAUCCAUCCCAAGGCUUAAAUUAACAAAAUUCACCAUGCAACCAUGUAGACUAUUUUACGUAUAUACUAUAUUCAUUCUUCAUGCAAAAUGUUUAUUAUAUUUAAAAAUUAAAAUAUAUGGUUCAUUGAGUUUUAGUUGAGUUAAUAUUGAUAUUGUUGUUAGUGCAGAAGAAUGUGAGUUCAAACAUGUUUAAACGCGUUUUUCUUCCAAUUUAGGAGUUGGAAAGGGUUUUCAAUAGUUAAAUUAUAUAAGUUUUUUUGUCUAAUUAAAAUUGAUUUAUAAACAAUAUAAAUAAAAAGAUUUAAAAUAUAUAUAUUCAUAUUGAUGGGCUUUUUCAUUAUUAGACUUUUUUCCUUACAGGUAAAAGUAUAUAUGGACAGGAUGAUGUAAAAUUAUGACCUGAAUAAUUUUAAACCUUUCAUGACUACAAAAAUGAAAAUAAUAGAAAUGAAAGACUAGCCAUUGUAUGAAAUUUAUAAUUGAACUGCCAACAAAAUUGGGAGAAAUUUUUAAAUUUUAUGAAAUUUUAAAAUUAAACUAUCAAUAAUAGAAAAUUGCCUGAGUGACUUGGGAUUAGAGGUUGAACAUUUCUGGACCACAAUACAUUUAAGAUGGGUCUUUAAGGUUAUACUUUAGUUAUUGAGAACAUUUUCCACAAAUUGUCAUUAUUGUUUACUGCAGCAAAACAGGCUUUUAGCAUCGUUUUCUUAGGCCUAUAGCAGCUUUUUCACAAGCGCCGCAAAAAAUGCCACUAUAGACAACGCUGUUAAAUUUUGCGGCAUUUUAGAACAUGACCUUUAGCGACACUUUACCCAAAAAUGCCACUGAAGAACAUGAUCUUUAGCGGCGCUUUCCCAUAAACACCGCUAAAGAACUUGAUCUUUAGCAGCGCUUUUAUCACAAACGUCGCUAAAGAACAUGACCUUUAGCGGUGCUUUUAUCACAAACGCCGCUAAAGAGCAUGGCCUUUAGUGGUGCUUUUAUCACAAACACCGUUAAAAGUACCGUUCUUUAGCAGCGUUUAUGAAAAAACACCACUAACUUUGGCAGAUUUGUAACAUCCAAUUUUCAUCCAUAUACAACCCUUCCUGUAGCAUGAAAUCCAACCAAAAACAACAAAUCUAAAUGAUACUUCAAAUUCUACGAAAGAUAUAUGAUAUAAAUUGAUAACUGAAGUAUAAUUCAAAAUAUUCUUACAAUAAUGUUAAAAGUUACAAAGUUAAAAAUAUUCUUACAAUAAGAAAACAAAUGUCUAAGAUGGCAGAUUUUGCAACUGCUGAAACAUCUUCAUCAUAUUCUGAAGCUGUAGCUGCAGUGUAUAGUACUUUCUAAUUGAAUAAACACAAAUCUAUUUUUCAACAGCUAUAACAAAUCAGCUAUAAACCUUCAACAGGACCAGUACUUGCAAAAACCUCUUGGAGUAGUGGUUCAGCCCACCUACCUACAGUUUCUCAAAAAUUAAAAUAAAAAAUUAAAAGUUAAAGAAAAAAACAGAAAAAAGAAGAGAUAAAUAAAACUAUAUAAGUAACUUUCUAAGUUGUUAAAAAGAUGCAAGAACAUGCAAGCAUCUAUCAGAUUCCAAAAACCAUUUAACUAUCAAUUAAAAGAGCCAUUAGCUUAGAAUUUUGCACAGAGGGUCAUAGCCACGUAUCCAAUAAGUAGACUCAUGAAGGAAAGUGUCUCUAAUUCAUGCAGUUAUAAGCAUAGAAGUGACUAGGGUAUGUGCUUAAGCAAGAAGGGGAAAUAAGCGACUCACAAUAUACAAAUAAAACAAAAUGGAAAAAGGGGAAAAAUAAGUAAAAAAAACCUAGGCAAACACUCACACACUGCGGCAAGUACUUGGAUCAAAACCAGGAGGCAAAUUUCCACUUGGUAUUGGCUCUAUCUGCAGAAUAGAAAAGUGAAAAAUAAAAAAGAAGAGAAAAGAAGAAACGAUGUACAAAAAAGUUAGGUCCCACUCAACUCAAUUCUAAAGCCUCCAUAUCCAAGAAAAAGGAUGAGUUUUUGAAGAAAUCUAAUAGUCAACCUAAAAGAACAAGCAAGAUGCUAACUACGACCAUGACAAAUGUAAGCAUCACUUCUCCUACUUUGGCAAUACUUUCCACUUGAAAAGACAACAGACUUCCUUGCUUUUACUAUUAUCACAUUUUCCCUUUUCAUUUUUUCAGUGCCGACCUGAAAAAAUAUAUUUUAGCCUCAUCUAAAUAAGACAUACUUUAGCAGAACAACAGACUGUAGAUCAGACCCAAUUCAAGGGUAAUGCAGUCCAAAGUUCCUUGAGCUCCCUCCUCCAAAGUGAAAAACAAAUCUAUAUCUUUCUGCAUGAUUCAAACAAAAAUGACUGUUGGACAUGUAACUCAGAAAGAAUGCAAAUACAUUGAAAGCACCACAGACUUUAUAAAUUAGCUUCAUGCUGUUAAAUUUCAACACUAUAAACCUAACAAAUCCCAGAACGAAAUGCGGGAAUCAUGUCUUAAACUCUAAUACUCAAACAAGAGACAGAUAAAUUGCACGUUUUUUUUAUAUAAUAUUUACAAACUAGAGAUAAAGAUGUAGAAAAAUAUAAACAUGGACAUGGACAAAAAGACUAAUUGACUGUGCAUGUGUGCCAGAGAGAUGGCAACUAAACAUUAUCCAAACACAAUCAUUUCUCAACAUUUGCAAAACAAAAUGAAGAUUAAGAUUAGCGGUAAACUAAAUAAAACCAAAGAAGUGAGAACCACAAGUAAAUGAGAAAGAAAACAAAAUAGAGAACCUAAUAGCUUUCCCAUUGAACUUCGUAUAAAAGAAAUAACAACAUUUGAACUUCAAGCAAAUAAAAAUGUAAAAUAUUUAGAAUCAAAACAAUCUUUUAUCAAAAUUCAAACCAAAAACAAUGAGCUUCACUCUAUACAAGAAGCAUGUUAACGUCAUAGGCUUUCUCAUUUCUGGAAACCAAAUCCAGAAACGUCUCCCACCAAAAAUCAAGAAAAUAACUUUUGUUUUUGAAAAUCACAUUCAAAUCGCGAAAUAGGAGCAAGGUCCUUCGAAUUCAAGCAAAGUUGAUGGUAAAAGCUUAGCUUUCAAAGGUCAAACAUCACAGCAUUAAAUAUAAAACUAACCCAAUCUCCACCAAUUCAAAAACAAGAAACCAAACACAAGAAGAUCCAAACACGAUUUCGAAAAAAGAAAAAUAGAUAUUCCUGAAAACCGGAUCAAAAACUAGCAUAUACUUAAUGAAAAGAGAAAUUGACGAAAAAUCACAGGAGAUCUGCAUGCAAAUAGAAGCACACUUUUGCUUGAUUAUUCGCUUAAAAAAGUAACAAUGGAAAAUAAGAUGCAAGUGCUAGGUAAAACCAUCAUGUCUUCUUACUCACCACAAACAAAGGCCCUCUAGGACCUUCAUGAAUUUUUGUCUCAUAAGUGCUUCUAUUGUGAGCCCGAACAGCUUGAUAGCCCACAAGAUAAGGAUAUCGAUCUUCACCCUACAGAUUAACAAGGCUAAAUCCACUUAAAUGAAACACCAUUAGUCCAUAACAAUUUACUUCAAUUUUCUGCUGUUAGUUCAAAUAUGUAUUUUUUUUAAUUUGCCAAAACUUGUUAGGAUCGAAGAUUCGGAAUUCCUAAAUUUCAAUUCAAAUUUACACAAUACUUGCAGAAAAAUAUACUACUAUUAGAGACACCGGCAAUCAACCAGAGUUCUUUAGUUUUCGAUCAAGUUAUUCGGCAGGUAUCUAUAUUGAUUACACAAAAAAAAAAAAUCUUACACCGUGAGAAUGUCGAGUAAAUUGCAAAUAGAAAAGCAAACGAACCCUAGAGGAGCUCCAAUACUUCUUCUCCCAAGGGCCUUUGUAUAGAGAUCCAAUGGAAAUGAUCUCUAGAUCGUCUAAUUUCGCUGUUUGUUCUGCUUCUUUAGUUUUCGCCAUUCAAAGAAAUGAGAAGAAAGCAAGAUUUCCAAACAACUAACAAUAAGCGAGUAGAGAGGAUUUUCAAGAUAGACGAAGACAUAACAUUUUAAAAUAGCAAGAACUAAAAUCUUAAAAUGCGUCAUUUCCCUCGAAAUUCUAAAUAAAAACUUUAUUUGAUUAGGAAAAAUGUGAAUUGAUUUUGGGAAAAAGAAGGGAAAAAAAAAAGAAAAGAUUUCAUUUGAAAUAUUGGGAUAAAAAAUAUAAUUACAAAAGGACCCCGUUUUGAAAAAAACAUAUUCGUGGCGUUUGGAAAAAAAGUCACUAUUGCUCGACUUUUAGCGACAUUUGGACCAAAAACGCUACUAUUGUUCAACUUUUUUCUGCAUUUACAACAAAAAAGCCGCUAUUGCUUACCUUUUGCGGCUUUUUUUUAUAAAUGCCGCUAGCGCUUGACUUUUUUACAAUUUUUAUAUUGAAUUAUUGUAUCUUUCAUAUAAAUUUUAAAUGAAUAAUUUUUUAAAUUUUAAGUAAUAUUUAAAAGAAUUAGAUAAAAUUAUAAUUUUUAGUUUUUGUAUUUCAUUUUUAUUUUUGUAUUUGAUUUUUAUUUGUUAUAAGUUUGUCCUAUCCAAAAUAGAUAGUUACCUAUCCAUAUCAAUCUGUUACUUUUUUUAUUUAUUUAUCAAUGUUUUUUUAAAUCUAAUAUUUAAAUAUAUCAAUUGGUUUAGAUUAAAUAUUUUUAAAUAUAAAAGCAUUAAUUGAUUGUAUAAAAUUUCAUCAUUUAACAAAUCUCAAGUAAACCUUAAAUCUUAAACCAUUUAAUAUUUAUAAAGUUUAUCUAUUAUCUCUUACAUAAUUUAAACUAUAAUCAUAAUUUUAAUAUAUUAAAAUUAAAAUUAUCUCUUUUACAAUUAUAUAAUAAAUUAUUUAAUAUAUAAAUUAAAAAAUACUAAUUAAUCUAAACUCUAAACCCCUAUCCCCUAAACCUUAAAUCAUAAAACAUAAACCCUAAAUCCCUAACCCUUAACCCCUAACCCCUAAACCUUAAACCCCAACCCUUAAACCAAAAAUCAUAAACCAUAAACUAUAAUCCCUAAACCCAUAAUCCAUAAACCUUAAAAUAGUAACUCCUAAACCAUAAACCAUAACCCUAAACCCUAAACUAUAAUGAUAAUUAAUUCAAUAUUUUAAAAUUAAUUCUAUCUCUUUUAUAAUUAUAUAAGAAAUUAUUUAAUAUAUAAAUUAAAAAACAAUCAGUCAUGAACCCAAAAAACUUUAAAAUUAUUUUAAAUAAUAGUAUUUUCAUUUUUUUUCAUUUUUAACAAAUAUUUUCUAUGUUUUUACUUUCAAAAUUUGUCUACGUGUCAUUAUUUUUUUCUGAAAAUUUUAAAUAUUCAAUUAAAAAUAAAUUUUAUUUUAAUUAAUAUAAAUAAACCAGUUAAAUAAUAAAUAGACAAAUAAAAUAUUUUUUGCGACAUUUUUGAUAAAGUGCGGCUAAAUCUCGAUCUAUAGUUGCGUUUUACAAAAAAGCGUUGCUAAUGCCACUAAAGCUCAACAUACAACGUCUUACUGAAUUUUUUGCGGCAUUUUUCAAAAAGCACGACUAAUGCUUGAUCUAUAGUGGCGUUUUUCAAGAAGCGCCGCUAAUGCCACUAAAGCUCAAUAUAAAGGUACCUGAGUCUAGUUUUAAAGACAUCAAGUGGAUCUUAAUUCGGAAUUUUGUAGCUCAAGAUAUAAAUUUAUGUUAAUCUUGUUAUCUUUCUUAUUUUAGAAUUGAUUACAUGAAAGUUAAUUGCUAAUACUAUUAGUUAAUUAUUAGUUUUCUUCAAAUCAAAUUAAAACCCGAAAGGUCCCUCUUUUUUUAUAUUAGUUUUAGUUUUCCAUUAAAUUUGUUUCUUUGUAAUAAAAUUAAAUUAUAGAAAUAACAUUAAAAUUUUAAAUAAAAGUAGUUCACAAUAAUUUAUUAUUUAAAAAACUCCCUGAAAUUUAAAAUUAUUGUUAUAAGUAUACCAUUAAAUCAUACAGAAUUUAAUUUUUCUUUCAAAUACUACAGUUAAUAAGGAAAGAGAAUAUAGUACAUAUCAAUAAAACUUUUAAAAAAGAAAUAUUGUUUGUAAUACCAAUUUUUUCUGCCCGGGCCCAUACAAAAUAAAAUACAGCAGGCCCAUCUACAGACCAAACCCAUAUUCAAAAAAAAACCUAGGCUAAGAAGCAGCAAGCUUCAGCCGCACGCCCAACAGCAGCCUCCCUAACCGCCGCCGCAUCCUCCGCGCACAUACACCUCUUCCACGGCCUCCAUACCUACGAGAAAAGCGGAUCCAAACAGCAAUAGACGCAGCCAAUAAUGAAAUAGGAUUUUUUACUUUUUUUUUGCUGUAAUUUUGGCUAUAAAAAGCCAUCAAAAAUCUGUAAAAAAGGGGAGGGAUUUUUGGAGUUUAAAAGAUACGAAAUAGAGGGAAAGAACAGAGAUCGAACUUGUUUUUUUUAAAGGUUUUUUUCGUUUUACUUUGCAGUGCCUAUUGUUUUUAUUUCCAUAUUUUUUUCUUUUAUUUUCAUUUUGUUUUAUUUAAAAUAACAAAGGAAAGAAAGAAGAGGGGAAGAUCUUACCUCUUUCGCCGGAGCUGACGAGCCGUUGCCACCACCGACGAUUGGGCCGUGGCGCAUGGGAAAUGGCGGCGCAAGGACGCUAGGAGUCCAAACCUAGCAGAGCAAAACAGGGGGGGAGGGCUUUGUUUUUUUCUCUUCGGUUGUAAUUAAUUUUGAAAGAAAAAAUUUGUUUUAAAUAACAAAAGUGAAACGGCGCCGUUUUGAUGGCCAGACCCGCGCGUUCUGGCUUUAAGUGGGAAAUUUUCGCUUUCAGUCCCUUCUUUUUGCGACACGUUUCAAUCAAGCCCAAUUGUUGUUUUUUAAAUUUAGCCAUGUACUUUAUUUUUUGUUUCAAAUUGGCCCUUUGUUGCGCAGCGCUUUGGAGGGUGGGAUUAAUUUCCCUUUAGGUCCCCAUGGUCGUUCGCGCGUUCAAGUUGGUCCCUUUUUGUUUAUUCUCGAAUUUACCCCAUUCUUUUGUCUUUAAGUUCAAUUUAGUCUAUUUUUUUUGAACUAUUCAACUUUUUUUUUUUGUAAUUAUUAUAUUAUACCAUCAUUAUUUAUUAUUAUUAUUAAUACUAUACUUAUUAUUUUUCAUGAACAUACGCAUUUUAUAUAAUAUAUGUUCUAAUUUCAAAAAACGUUUUACUUUUGUAAAUGUUAUUUUAAUUUCAAAAACGUUUUCCGCUUUUUGUAAAUAUAUAAUUCUAUAUUUUAUUAUAAAUAUUUUUUUUCCUCUAUUUUACAAAUGUAUAUAUAUAUGAAUCUACAUACGCAUUUUAAAAUACGCAUGCACCUUACAUAUCUAUAUAUAUAUAUUUUAUUCUACUUACAUAAUUUUUAUAUACAUUUAUAUUUGAUAUAGAUAUACAUUUUUGUAAUAUAUAUAUUUCUCAUAUGUUAUAAUUCAAAACAUACAUUUAUACAUUUUCUAUAAUAUACAUACACUUUCCAUUUUUUAAUUAUUGUAAAUAUUUUUUUUGUUAUUUCAUGUAUCCCAUUAUUUUAUAUACAUAUUGUACAUAUAUAUAUGUAUUUGAAUAUAUACGUAUACGAAUUUUCGUGAUUUACCUAUGUAUAUAUACUUAUAUAUUUUAUUUUUCUAUUUUGUAAAUAUAUACACAUCUACAUGUUCUUUAUUCUAUUUUUACAAUUUUCAUUACAUGUAUACAUGCAUAUUUUUUAGAAAUUAUUAUAAGUUUGUUGUAUAUAUUUCUUCACUUGCCUUUUUAUAUGUACACUUAUAUUUAUGUGUUAAGUAUGCGCCCCCUCAUAUUUUCGAAUUUGCUUGUAUAUUGUACUUGUAUAUAUAUUGUAAAUACAUAUUCAUAUACGUUUUACAUUAAAGUUUUGUUUCACAUUGUACCUUAACCUUAACAUACCCUUUUGAAAAUAUAUUUUGGUUUUAACCAUUCAUCAAGGUUAUUUUCUUGAUUUAAAAGUUUUUUUUUUGAAUAAAAGCAUUAUUUGAGGUUUGGGAUUUUCGAGGGAAAUUGAGCCCUAACGUAUUGGGUUCUGAUUUUCUUUGUCAAUCUUAAAUGAUCGAGAAUACUCUUUAUUCAAAAUGCAUUAGUAUAAAAAUCAUUUUUGGGAACUUAACUUGUUGUGCCCUAACGUAUUGGGUGUGGCCAGUUACUUUCUCGAAAUGAAGAUUUUCGCAUAAAAUAAAAGUGAUAUUCAAAGUUCGGGGAUUAUGAGGAAUCGUACCCUAACGUAUUGGGACUCGAUUUCUUUACAUGACUUGAACAAUUGGUUAUCCUUUUGCAAAUUUCAUCAUUCAAGCUUAUUUUAAAAUCUUUUUUAACUUUCGACACUAAGACAUCAAAUAAUCAAUUUGGUACCGAUUUUGGGCGUUACGAGGGUGCUAACCCUUCCUCGUGCGUAACUGACUCCCAGACUCGUUUUCUCAAAAUUCGUAGGCCAAAAUAAUUUUUUUAAAAGGUGGGCCGAUCACACCUUAGUAAAAGAAUCGGUGGCGACUCCAGUUUUAUUUUUAAAAGUCGACAACUAAAUUUUUGUUUUCAAAAAAACGGUUUCGACAUUGUUUAAUUAGUUAAUUUAAAAAUCAAUAGAGUCUAAAAACGGUCAGAAUGAAAUAUUAGAUUUUAUAAGAUUUCAUUAUUCUAAAAAAUAAAAUACGACAAUGCUUAAAAAUUUUAUCAAAAAAGUUUUAAAUUUUAUAUAAAAUUAAAAAAAACAGUAUUAAAAUUUUUUAUAACAAAUUUAAAUAUUAAUUAGUAAAUUAUUUUUGUAAUAUUUAUAUGUAUUUUCAUUUUUAUAAAUACUAUUAAAAUUUAUUAAAAAAAUUGAAUGCUAUUUAAAAACAUUAUUAAAAAAUAAAAUAUUAUAUGAAAGUUAAAAUGACCUAAAAACAUAUUUUAAAAAUUUAAAUACUUUAUACAAUAUUUAAAACUGUUUAAAAAUUUCUAAACCCUAAAAAAUCAAUAAAAUAUAAUUUUUUUUCUAAGAAAUCAAUAAAAAUAUAUUUAUAAUUGAACUGUCAACAAAAUUGUGAGAAAUAUUUAAAUUUUAUGAAAUUUUAAACUUAAACUGUCAAUAAUAGAAAAUUACCUCAGUGACUUGGGAUAAGAAGUUCAACAUUUAUGGAUCACAUCGUUAUGAUCGAUCGUAGGCCUUUCGUGGGGUCGAUAUAUAAUCAAAUAGACUGUAAAUUAUGAAAUCCGGUGAACUAAUACUAUAAAUUCUGAUAUCUAUUCAUAUAUUUGAGAUGUUAUUUGUUAAAUAAACCUUGUAAUAGGCUAUGAGAAACUUGAGAAAUAUUAUGUAUGCUUUGUAUCUGUUAUGUCAUACAUGUAUAACUGUAUUAUGUCCGAUUCUGUUCUAUUCUUUUCUGUAUUUGCAUCUGGGGUGGGUUAUAUUAUGUGGAGGAAGUGUUUCUUUGAAUGGCGAUAAUUCGCCUAUUACACUGGCAGCUCAGCUACAAAUAUUCUGAAAAGUGUCAUAUCGACACUAAGUGGUGUGUAGGGCUGGAUGAGUGUUUCAUACCCCAUAUGGUGUGUUGGGAUGGUCGGAACUAGUGUGUAGCGGAUGGGGUAGGAAUAUAUGUCUGUAUUUGUACUGCUCUAAUAUGAAUAUGUUCUGCUAAAUCUAUCUGAUAUAAAUUAACUGUUUAAAGUUAUUCGUUAUACAUUGAGUUUUGUAAACUCACUUUCUGUUUGUUUGAUAUUUUUUGGUAAUCCUCUGACUUUGACAAAUCGGUGCGAAAGAGCUCAGUUAAAUUGAUUUAGUUUCAUUAUCUAUUAUAAUUAAAUUUUGGGUUAUUGUGUUUUAUUAUUUUUGGACUGUUGGGAAUUUUUGGAUUGUUUUGGUUUUUGAGAUUUUAUUUUCAAUUUUUGCAUGAUACUAUUAAAAAUGUUUUAUCGGAAAUGUUUGUUUUCUUGCGAAACAACUGAUUUCAGAAAAAUAAACUUAGUUUUCCAAACAUAAUGAUCUAAGAAUUUCCACUGCUAAUAAUUCAUUUUAGAAAAAGUAAGCAAACAUCGUUUCAACUAUAAAGUUAAGUUAGAUGUAUUUUUCUCUUAAAUUGAGGUUUAAGUAAUAAAAGUUUACGACAUUUUUCCAAAUUGUACAAAAAAUUGGAUUUACAAUUGUUUUAUAUAACAUCUCUAGAUUUGGCCAUAGCGUCUAGUUGGAUUUCGGGUGUUAUAUUUAGUGAUAUCAGGUCAGGUUGCAAAACUUAGGCUGUGAAAUUUUCGGUUCAAAAUUUUGUGAAAACUAUUUUUCGAGUAAAGUUUGUCGAAACUACUUUUUGGAAACAAAAAAUAGCGUUGACUUAAAAUAUGAAAAUUGGAGUCGCCACCAAUCUUUUUUAUUUAGGUGUGAUCGGAUCACCUCCUAAUUUAAUCAUUUUAAUAAAAGUUAAAAUUUACUAAAACGAUAAUUUUUGGUCUACAAAAUUCAGAAAAUGGGUUCAGGAGUCGGUUACGCACGAGGAAGGAUUAGCACCCUCGAUACGCCCAAAAUUGGUACCUAGUUGAUUAAUUAAUGUCUUAAUGCUGAAUAUCAAAAACUCGAAAAGAUUAAAAAUACGAUCUUUUUAUUAAAAAACUUGUAUAAAUCAAAAUGUGUGCUAAGACCCCCUUAUUUCGGGAGAUAGAAUGUCACAUCCAAUGAGUGAGGAUGUGAUGUUUCGCAACCUCAAAAAUGAGAUUGUCUUUUGAUUUUUAAAACUCAUGCAGUGAAGUUUAAAAAUGAUAUUCAAUUGUUUAAGUCAGAUGAAAAAUCGAAGCGCAAUAUGUUAGGGCACAAUUCCUCAAAAUUCUAAAUAUUGAAUAUUGCCUUUAUUAUUUUUUAGAAAAAUCCUCAUCUUGAGAAAACAACAUGUCAUAUCCAAUGCAUUAGGACACAACGUAUCGAAUUCCUGAGAAUGAGCUUUUUAUUUAUGUGUUUUGAUUAAAGAAUAUUCCCAAUUAUUUAGAUUCAACGAGGAAAAUUGGAACCUAAUACGUUAGGGCUCAAUCCUCUCGAAGAUCCCAAAUACCGAGUAUUGCGUUAUCUUGAAACCUUUUGAAUAAAAUGAUUCCCAAAACUUAAACCAUAUUAAACAUAAUUUUUGAGCAAAUAAAGCAUGAUGGAAAUGAUAAUAUGCAAUGCGAAGUAAUAAUUCGUAAGCCAAAAAAAAAUACUCUAAUGGAUGACAAAUAAUCAAUAAGUACAAGUAAGCGAUACAAUACACAUAAGGGCAAUAGUCACAUAUUAUGUAAAUACAAACAUUAAUCUUUGCAAGCUAAUCUAAAAAAAAUACCAAACAAAUUAACAAAUAUGAAAUGUGACAAGUUUUUGAAAUAACUAAAAAACAAACAACAUGUAAGAAGGGAAAUUAUAAUCAAUAAAUUAUAUUUACAAAAAUGAAAGUUUGAAAUAAAUCAAAUAGUAUUAAAAAUAAAUACUACAUAAAAUAAUAGUAUUUAAAUAAAUUUUAAAGUAAAUUGUAUAAGUAGAAAAUCAAAAUAAAUAGUACACAAAAUAACAUACAUAUAUUAAUCUAAACAAGUAAUACAUGAAAACUUAAUAUAAAUUAUAAUGUAUGCAUAUAAUAAUGUAUAUAAAAAAGUUGAGAUAAACCAAGUAUAUAAUAAAAUAGGGUUUUAAGAUAUAAAUUAUGUAUAUAUAAAAAUAGGUUUUUAAAAAAUAUAUAUAAACACAUUUGAAAGAAAACUUAAAGUUAACAAUUAUAAUAAUAUGAAAUCAAUAAUAUAUAUAUAGAAUAAAAAUACUUUAAUAUAAAUUAUACAUGUAUAUAAAAUAGUAUAAUAAAAAUAUUUUUAUAUAAAUCUUCAAAACAUAGAAAUAUAUAAAGUGAAUUUUUUUAAAAAAUAAAUUAAAAAUAAAAAUCAUUAAAAAUAUAUACAUUAUAUUGGAUUUUAAAGAAUAAUACAUUAUAAAAUUAAAUGAUAAUAUAUGACAAUAAUAUAAAAACCUAUAGUAGAAUAAAAUUACGUAUAUAAAAAGGUUAGACUAAUAUAAAAAAGAUAAUAAUAGAUUAAUAUUAAACCCAUUAUUUUAAUAGCAAAAAUCACAAAGCAAUGGACUAAUUUGUAAUGAAAACAGAAACUUAAGGGCAAAUCUGAAAUAAAUAAAAAGAAAAGGAUCGGAUCAAAACACGCUAUACAAGCGGAGGGACCAUUUGCGCAAAUAUCUCUCUGAAGCAAAAACAUGCGGAUCCUUCCCCUAGGUUGGGUCACCGCGCGGGUCAAAACCCACCAAACAGCGUCGUUUUGGCGCUAUGGACCUUAGCUCAAAAUGGCGCCAUAUUAUACUAUUAUUUAAACAAAACCUUCUUUUUUUAAAACAUUUGCAGCCUGAGUUUAAAAAAAAAAUUUGCUGCUCAUGUUCUCUGCUAGGGUUUCAACGCUAGUUUCACGAGGCCGAAAGCUCCGCCGAUCUUCGGCCUUACAGCCCUUGCCCGAACUUUGACUGUGACGAAGCGAACAAGGAUCCAAUCGGCGCUAACACUGAGGUAAAUCCCUUCCCUCUUCUUUAUUUUUAUUUUACAAACAUUAACAAUAAUAAACGAACAUCGAAGAAACAGAAAAGAAAAAAGAAAUCAAAAAGAAAAAAAAUCAGAUUUCAAAUCACCUCACAAAAAUUUAAUUGCUUUCUGAUUUCUUUGGUAUCUUUUUUUUACUUAUUUCGUAUUGUUCGCGUAAAAAACUUACGAAGGUCUUUUCUUCUAUUUUAUAGCCAAAAUCUAAAAUAUAUAUAUAAUAUAUGUUUUUUUCUGUGCUAUUUUUUCGUCCUAUUUGCAGGUAUGAAGACCAGCUGGCAGUGUACGGAGGCGGUGGUGCAGCACGCGCUUGGCUGAGGCGACUAGAGGCAUGCGGCGGCUGGGUCUGCUGGGGUUUAAUUUGGGCCUGGGAUUGGGUUUGAUUUAAUGGGUUUGAUUUUUGGGCCGUAAAUGGGCUUUUUAAUAUUAGACUUUUAUUUUUUAUUUGGAUUAUUAUUAUUUUUUGUGUAUGUGGGUCGGGGCAGAAAUUGGGCUCUACAAAUUUCAUUUCUGCAUUAAUCUGAAAAUUAAUUAUGUGAAAUAUCGAGUCUCUGACGUUGAUCCUGUAAGUACUUCUGACUUAGAUAAACUUUAGUUUUAGAAAACUCUAAAAUUAUUAGAACUGUACUUGGAUAGUUAGAGACUGAAACAUCUCUAUAAAUUCUUUUGAUAACUUUUUGAGUAUAAAAUGUUUGCUAAUAAAUACUAAAAUUGAUACAUAAAAUUCGUAAUAUAGGUAAUAUAUACGAUGAGUACUCGUGGAACACAUGGACGUGGUAACCGUAGGCAUGGCGGGCGCCGAAGAGAGGCUCGAGCUGAGUCAUCCUCGAUGGGUACCUGAUAGGCUAUUGUUGGAGAGAGCAAUAGUCUUGAGAGAAGAAAUUUUGAAGAUCAAAGUCAAAAUCUGACAUGUAAGGCCUUUAAUUGCUUGAAUAAUAAGCAUUUCCAAACUAAAAGGAUUACGAUUUCUUCAAGAAUUUGACCUGCAGACAUAGUUGAAACAUCAAGGUGUUAAAUUACCUAUUUUGUUAGUGUAAAUCAAAGAGGCUUUUUAUUUUUUUUUUCGUUGUGAAAUAAUAUGGAUAUGUUAGAUUCUAAUCAUAUUUAAGUAUAUAUUAGUUCUUGAAGAGUUCUUAUUUUUUGGUAUUUAUAUUGCAAAUAUUUUUUUUAAAAUUAAGAAAAAAGGGGGGGGGGCAAAUGUGUAUAAACUACAGACAUCAAGGAGAAGGCAUACCUUCUAGGUUAUUUAACCCCAAGUAUAAUUGUUUAAGUUGUGUCAAAUUCCCAAUGCUUUUUGGAAUGAUCCCACUAAAUUGAUUAACAGACAAUUCCAAAAUUUGAAAGUUGCAGCAUUUGUCUAUACUUGAUGGAAUAGAACUUGAUAAUUCAUUUCUACUGAUCAAGUAAAGCUCUUUAAGCUUGGGAAGAUGGACACACAAAUCAUCGGGCAAGCCACCAGAAAGACUAUUAUCACGAAAAUGAAUCCUUUUCAAAGAAGAAAUGUUAAAGAUGGAAGAUGCAACCUGGCCAGGUAAUUGAUAAAACUUUGACUUAAUCCUUUAAAAAAUGUAAAAAUAUAGGCUAUUAAAAUGGUAAAAUUACAUUUUUACUAUUGUAAAAAUUACAAUUUAAUUUCACUCCUAAAAAGAUUUUCUGGCUUCGACCCUAAUAAAUUCUUUGGCAAAAGAUUAAAAUAAAAUUAUACCGUAAAUGAAAAAAAGAAACUAAGAAAAUCCAAUCUAACAAAGAAAAUAACUUGAUGUCCAAAAGCUACCAUAAACCGUAAUUCAUGGGAAGGCUUGUUGCUCAUUUUAUUGGUUUCCAUUUUGAUUUUGCAAAAGAAGUUUGAAUUUUGAAGAGAGCCUACUACGUGAGAGCAAAAGAAAAAAAAUAGUUUAUAUGAUUAAAAUUCCAGAAUAGAUUAAAAAUGUUGAAUUAAAGAUAAAAUUACUCACCAUCUCUGUUAAAAAUGUUGGAUGUUGUUUAGCAACCUUUGUUUGAUUUUCUUCAGCUCAACCACAACAUCUUUCAUAUCUUUUCUUUCUUCUGGCAACUCAGCUGAACAAUUCAAAGCCAACUCCAUGAUAGAUGAAAUACAAUUUGCUUUAACAACAAUGUACUCAUCCUCUCUUCUUAAUAAAUCAACAUCUGCAAUUUCUAUCGCUCCUUUAGGCAAUGAACUUUCCAUCCAAUGCCUUAUAGUCUCUUCUUCAACAAAAGCAUUAUCAGUUGGCUUUUUCUUUGUGAAAGUUUCUAUAAGGACGAUCCCAUAACUAUAGACGUCAGAUUUUAUAGAAACAACUCCUGCUGAUCCAAAUUCUGCAUUUCAAGUAUAAUUAGAGCAUCGUUCAUCCUCAAUUAUUUCUAAAAUGCUUAUUCAAAUAUAUAUCCACAUACACAUGAAACAAAAAUAUAAAAUGCAAAUUAGGAAAAUAAUCAUACAAAAAUAAAAAAAGAAUUCACCUGGUGCCAUAUACCCGAUAGUUGCAAGAGUCAUGGUUUGCUUCAUUACUUCACCUUCUCCCAACAAUUUGGCAACGCCAAAAUCUCCAACAUGUGCAACCAUGUCUUCAUCUAGUAAAAUAUUGCUUGGUUUUAUGUCACAAUGAAUUAUAGGUGUUGGAUGUCCAUUGUGGAGGUGUUCUAUAGCUACCGCAACAUCUAUCAUUAUCUCGACCCUUUGUAUGAUAUCAAGGAAACAAUUUUCAGAAUGUAACCAUUUAUCAAGGUUUCCAUUAGACAUGUAACCAAGCACCAAGGCUUUGAAGUCAACACUUGAGC